This 454025-nucleotide long non-coding RNA is filed under the name Triticum aestivum (bread wheat). RNAcentral's name for it is "long non-coding RNA (TAES_LNC028560)". The stretch from base 197232 to 197365 matches the Rfam family "MIR1120/MIR1122 microRNA precursor family". The record is from RNAcentral. Lineage: Eukaryota; Viridiplantae; Streptophyta; Magnoliopsida; Poales; Poaceae.
AAAAUUCAACAAGCAAUCCAACCCGAGGAGAUCGACCGAGCUCGAGAUCAGCGAGCGAGAAUGGCGGGCAUGGUGUUCGGCUUGGAGAACCCAAUGAUGACGGCGCUGCAACACCUGCUGGACAUCCCAGACGGCGAGGCCGGUGCAGCCGGUGGAGAGAAGCAGGGCCCGACGCGCGCCUACGUCCGCGACGCGCGCGCCAUGGCGGCCACCCCGGCCGACGUGAAGGAGCUGCCGGGCGCGUACGCGUUCGUGGUGGACAUGCCGGGGCUGGGGUCCGGCGACAUCAAGGUGCAGGUGGAGGACGAGCGGGUGCUGGUCAUCAGCGGCGAGCGGAGCAGGGAGGAGAAGGAGGACGCCAAGUACCUGCGGAUGGAGCGCCGCAUGGGCAAGCUGAUGCGCAAGUUCGUGCUGCCAGAGAACGCCGACAUGGAGAAGAUCUCCGCCGCGUGCCGCGACGGCGUGCUCACCGUCACCGUCGAGAAGCUGCCGCCGCCCGAGCCCAAGAAGCCCAAGACCAUCCAGGUCCAGGUCGCCUGAGAUGCGUCUGCGUGCGCGUCGAAUCGAAGCAGAGUGCGAGUGGGAGCGAGUUUCCUGUGAUGAGUAAUGGAGUGUGUGUCUUUUGAUCUCAUCUGCUAGAGUGUGUGUGUGUGUGUGUGUCGUAUCGAUUCCUGCGCACUGGUGAAGGUUUGAUGUUUCCUUAAUGGAAAUGGGGAUGUUCUCCGGCUUCGCCUGAAUAAAACAUGCGAUUCUCUUGGCCACAUUUUAGAUUGAAAAAUCCAAGAUGCCCGUGUUCUGAAAAUUCAGAAAACUGCCUUUGUAAUUCAAAGGAAAACUGGAUAAGACCAGAACAUGUGGAAUAGUAAAGCUAGGUGGAAAACGAACUAGCUCUUGGCAUUCUCAUCUUGAGAAAUGGCUGACUUUUGGGAAGAUAGAAAAAAGAAAUUCUAAUUAGAAUUGAGAAUUCAGAAAUGUUAUUCUGCUUUGCCUUAAAGAAACAUGUGAGAAUCUCCAAAUUCGAUUGAUCGAGGUAUGAGGACAUUUGAGAUAACCGAUUCAGUGUAUUAUGAAUUGAUUUCCAAAUACAUUUAUUUUGACACAACGAAAAAAUAAAGCAGCCAUGAUUGUGUAGGGACUAUCUCGACAGAGAAAUGCCAUGGUACUCUCGGGUGUGAGUACAUAUGCGGGAAGUAAUUCCAAAAAAAAUAAAAAAUUCUGAACAUUUUCAGAAAUAAAUUUGGCCUUCUAUUAUGCCAAGAAAAAAAAGUCCCGUCAACUUCGGAAAAUAAAAAUCAGACGAAAAAGUGAAUGAUAACUUGUAUAUAUUGUUGAUCUUUUUCACCAAAAAUACCGUGAAAGUCAUUUCUCGACCAAAGUUUUUAUACAAAUACAACAGAGAGUAGGGCAUUUUGGAGACCGAAUUCGAUAGAGGCUUUAAUUUCAAAAUUUAAAAAAUCUAAAAAAUCAAUAUACUUGUAGAACGAUAUAAUGUGUAUGUGUGUAAAAAUAUAGGAUGAAAUACCUUAAAAUUCGAGCUGCACAAAAAAAUUAUGAACUUUGAGGAUCAACAAUACAUAUGCUUAAAAAUGCACAAAAUUGUCUUUUUUGUCGCCCUCGUAUUUUGACCUGAAAACUUACACAAAUGUACAAUAUCUCUCUUGGUAUAUUUUUAUUUUUUUUAGAAUUUUUUAAAACUGGAAAGUUUGAAUUUCAAAGUUUUUAAAUUAAGGCCUCCAUGAAGCUCGGGCUCCAUUUGACAUUUUCAUACAACAGAAGGUCAACUUUGUUUACCAAAAUGUUUCAUCGUUUUUUGACUCUUUUUGAAAUUGCAAAAAAUAUAUCAUAUCAGGUGCACUUGCACCCCAGAGCCGGGACAAGCACCUUUGGCUCUCGGGUGUAGGUGCACCCUUUAUGGGAAGAAAAAUAGCAUUUUUUUAAAAAAAGUGAUAAAAUUAUGAAUUUUUUGUUAAUGAAUGACUUUCAUGCUAUUCUAGGUGGAAAAAAAUCAGCACUAUAUACAAGUUAAAAUUCAUACUUUUUGUCCUUGAUUUUUUUUUUGCACUAAAGGCGACAGGAGUUUUUUCUUAAUGAAACUUUUUAUACGAGUACAAUUGAACUUCAAGUUUGUUUCUAAAAUUUUUUCAAAACUUUUUGACCAUUCUUGGAAUUAAUUUUUUUUCCCCAUAUAGGUUGCACCUACACCGAGAGCCAAAAGGUAUUCUCCGGAUUGAAUAUGAUAUUUACAGAAUUAAGGAGUUUAUGCAUGUCCGAGCUAGCUUUUGCUAGGGUAGUCCAAUAUAGUGGUGACUGAUGGGUUUUUUCAUCUCUCGCCACAAAAGGCAAAGCCUUUUGUAAUUAGAGCUUAGCCUCAAACUACUUUACCUUUUUUUCUGCUAAUACUCCUUCCGUUCCUAAAUAUAAGUCUUUGUAACAAAGACUUAUGUUUAGGAAUGGAGGGAGUAAAACCCAGAAUGGUCCUCACAGUUUGGAAACAAGACUGGUCUUAUUAAUAGCAAGGUGUACCUUAAGAAAAUUGUUUUAAUUCAUUUAUCUUUUCUUAGUGGACGUGAAAUCUUUUCAUGGCCUUUUACUGAGUGGCUUUAUUUGAUUUAAUCCCUUUUUGCCUAAUAUGUAUAACUCUAUAGUUUUGUGUGCAUCCUAAGCCGAAGGAUGUAACGAGGAACUUGGUAAUUUGACAUCUCCCCAAAAGGGCAGAAGUUGUACAAUUUGUGCAAAAACAAAAAUUCAUCUGGAGAGGUGUGGUGUGAUAGCUUCCUUGUAUGCUCUUUUUUCUUGGUUCUUAUUUGUAGUCUCCUAUUUCUAUAUGAAUUUGUUGGUUCAUAAUCAACCCUUGAAGAGUCAACAUCCCGAUCGACAAAUUUUAUAGCAAGGGUGUCAUUAAAUUCUUUUGAGACCCUUCCCCUAUAAAAGUGAAGUUAUUUCCUGUAAUUAUAAUUGUGUUUGCUAUUUAUCAACUGACUGGAAUUUUCAGCCACGUCAGUCGACAUGUGACUGGGAAGUAGCUGAGACGGCGCUAAGGCCGAGAUGGAGGUGACACUGCCUGUCGCGGUGUCUCCAAGAUACAGAGCCAGGACCUAGACGGAGGCAGGGACGACGGAGGACAUGUAGGAUGCGACGGGUUGUGGGGUUCGUGGGAGGUGGGUUAGAGGAAUGACCAGCGACGGUGGUGGCAGCUCGGGCUUGUUAGGGCGGCGAGGCUGCAGUGCGGGCGUUUGUGUGUGAUGGCAUUGGACCUGGAGGAAGAAGAAGGUUACGGGCCUGUUGGAUGCAUAUAGAACGGUGGAGGGAAAACAGACUAAAGAGAAAUCUUUUCGAACCUGAUAGUCACUCUCAAUUGUAACUAUAGAAACUUGGCACGGUUUUGAAGAACCGGAGUUGCAUGUGUGUUGUAUGACUAAGUUUUUUCUGGCAAUUUCAAGGCCUUUGUUUACUCUAUCUUGAAGACCUUCGUUCUACACGUCUUCGUAUGGAUUUUGAAGAAAUAGAGUUCCAUUGUAUGACAUGAGAAAAAGAAAUGGUGCACAUGAUGAGAUAGAAUCGCACUAUGUGUUUUUUUUAUCGUGGUCCAUAAACCUAUAUCCAGUAUAUCUAUGUGGUAAUUCAAAUUGCAAUAUCACACCUUGGAAAUUCAACUCGGCUCCCGGGAGCACAUGCUCCCAGGCCCAAAAAUAAUUUUUUAAAUGUCAAAUAAGUGAAUACAAAAAAAUUAUGUGUUCUUAGUCACAUCCAAAUGCUACCUGUAAAUUUUGAGGCAAAAGGGUUAAGCAUUUUGGCCUGUGCAAAAAAAGAAACAAAUUGAACACCAAAUGUUACCCCUAAAUGUCACCUCAAUUUUUUCUCCACCGACGAAAUAUUGAUACUCCAUUUCGCAUGAAAAUAGUCAAGUAUGCUUGCGACACUAACCCAGACAUCCAUAAAAGAAUUCAGAAUUUUUGAAAGCAUUUACUAUUUUUUUCGCGUUACUAUUCAUGCGGAAGCCAAAAUGCCUCUCACAUCUUUUCUUCUAUCUGUAAGUGGCUACUACCUUCAUUCCAAAAUAUAAGAAAUAUAAGACAUUUUGGUAGGCUGGUGUAACCUACCAAAAUGUCUUAGAUUUCAAAAUGGAGGUAGUACUAGGUAGUUUAAUUAUUUGUGUAUCACUACAUUGUCCGAACCAUCACAUUGUUAUCGCUAAGUCUCAAUGGUUUAAGACUUGAUUAUAUCUCAGUCAAUGCUAUAUUCGUUCGAUCUUACGUGAAGAUUUAUGCAAAAAAAAAAAGAAUUAGCCUUUUCUUGUUCUUAUAUACUAGGAAAAAGUCCAAAACAUACCUUGAACUUGUAGAUGAAAGCUAAAUCAAACUCUGAACUUGUAAUUCUGAAAAUCAGCACAUCGAACUCAUUGAUCCUCGUCUAUUUUAAACCUUCAAGGCGUUCCCAAACAGGGAUUGAUGACGUGGCAGAUCAAUUCCCGGGAUUGUCGGCUGCAAACGCGAUUGGGGCGGCCCAUCAGGCACAAAGGGAGUUUUUUUUUUCUUUUUGGUAAGCGCGACGAUAAAAUAACCCAAAAAAAACACACUUAAGUGAGUCAGCACAUCGAACUCAUUGAUCCUCGUCUAUUUUAAACCUUCAAGGCGUUCCCAAACAGGGAUUGAUGACGUGGCAGAUCAACUCCCGGGAUUGUCGGCUGCAAACGCGAUUGGGGCGGCCCAUCAGGCACAAAGGGAGUUUUUUUUUAUUUUUGGUAAGUGCGACGAUAAAAUAACCCAAAAAAACACACUUAGGCGAGUCGAACUGUGACUUGGCGUCGUCGAUCUCCACUUGCUAGCCGUCAGAGUAGAUAAAUAUUAGUGGAAUAUGUUGAAGACUAAAAGUAGUUAAUCAGACACCAACAUCGAGAUUUGAAAACAUUUUUGAGAGCAAACAAUUUUUUUUUGAAAUGCCCAAGCAUUUUCUAAGGUGCGAACAGUUAUUUAAAUUCCGAAUACUUUUGAAAAAAGGAACAAUUUUUGAAAACACAAUCAGUUUUUACAAAGCGAGCACUCUUCGAAAUAUAUCUUUUUUUAAGGGAACAAAUUUUUAAUCCUGAAGAAUAUGCACAAACUUUCAAAAAAUUGCUUUCUAAAAUUUUGUUCAUAAAUUAAAACAUGUUCACACAUUUAAUAAAUUGUUCAGAAGUUAAAAAAUGUUCAUGUUUUCUAUUUUUUGUCACAAACUAAAAAAAUGUUUAGUGUUUUUCAAAAAAUGUUUGGAGUUCUCAAGUUCUUUCUAAAAUUUUAAAACUGUUCGUGAUUUCAAAAAUUGUUUACGUCAAAAGAUGUUUGGAAUUCCAAAAGUUGUUCACAUGUUUCCGAAAAAUGUUUGGAUUUUCAAAAAUUGUGUCACGUUUUCCUUAUAGUUUCUGGAAUUUCAUAAAUUAUUUGCGUUAAAAGCGGCAUUUCAAAAUUGUUGAAAAAAAGUUCAAGAAAUAUUCGAUUUUCUAAAAUGUUUACAUAUAUGUACGGCUCUGUCCGUACUUACAAAUGUGCACGUCAUGAGCAGCCUUCUGGUCCAGUGGCUAGCUGGAGUUGCUCUCUCAAUGUGAGAACCAGAGAUCGAGUGCUGUGAAGUACUCUGGACAGCGAAUUUUUCUUUUGUCGCCCAGUAAUUUUUCAUCGCUCCUUAUAAAAGACGAGUGGCUUUGUGUAGUUUUAAAAAAGUUUGUUCUUAUUAUGAAAGUACUAAAGUUUUAUUAUCAUUACGAAUAAAUAACAAAAAAAGAAAAUGAAAAUAAGAAGAAAAAAACAUAGCAGCUCGAGUGACUGCGCUAAUGGCCGGCCUGUUUCGUCUUAAUGCCAAGCCAGUCAACAAUCCUAGGAUUUGACUUUCCAUGUCAGCGAAUACCAGCUAAACGUGGUCAAGGUUCAAAAUAGACCCGUAUCGAGAAAGUUCGAUGUGCUCAUUUUCGGAAUUAAAUGUUUAUGGUUUGAUUUAGCUUUCAUCUAUAAGUUUAAGGUUUAUUUUGAACUUAUAUACUACUCCCUCCGUCCCAUAAUAUAAGAGCGUUUUUUGACACAAUAACCAAUAGCGGAACCUGGAUGCUCAUAUUGGCUCCUACAUAUUCUACGAAGAUCUUUAUCGGUCAAACCGCAUAACAACAUACGUUGUUCCCUUUGUCAUCGGUAUGUUAUUUGCCCGAGAUUCGAUCGUCGGUAUCUCAAUACCUAGUUCAAUCUCGUUACCGGCAAGUCUCUUUACUCGUUCCAUAAUGCAUCAUCCCGCAACUAACUCAUUAGUUACAUUGCUUGCAAGGCUUAUAGUGAUGUGCAUUACCGAGAGGGCCCAGAGAUACCUCUCCGACAAUCGGAGUGACAAAUCCUAAUCUCGAUCUAUGCCAACUCAACAAGUACCAUCGAAGAGACCUGUAGAGCACCUUUAUAAUCACCCAGUUACGUUGUGAUGUUUGGUAGCACACAAGGUGUUCCUCCUGUAUUCGGGAGUUGCAUAAUCUCAUAGUCAUAGGAACAUGUAUAAGUCAUGAAGAAAGCAAUAUCAAUAUACUAAACGAUCAAAUGCUAAGCUAACGGAAUGGGUCAAGCCAAUCACAUCAUUCUCUAAUGAUGUGAUCCCGUUAAUCAAAUGACAACUCAUGUCUAUGGUUAGGAAACAUAACUAUCUUUGAUUCAACGAGCUAGUCAAGUAGUGACACUCUGUUUGUGUAUGUAUUCACACAUGUACUAAGGUUUUGGUUAAUACAAUUCUAGCAUGAAUAAUAAACAUUUAUCACGAUAUAAGGAAAUAUAAAUAACAACUUUAUUAUUGCCUCUAGGGCAUAUUUCCUUCAGUCUCUCACUUGCACUAGAGUCAAUAAUCUUCAUUACACAGUAAUGAUUCUAACACACAUGGAGUCUUGGUGCUGAUCAUGUUUUGCUCGUGAGAGAGGCUUAGUCAAUGGGUCUGCAACAUUCAGAUCCGUAUGUAUUUUGCAAAUCUCUGUCUCCCUCCUUGACUUGAUCGCGGAUGGAAUCGAAGCGUCUCUUGAUGUGCUUGGUUCUCUUGUGAAAUCUGGAUUCCUUUGCCAAGGCAAUUGCACCAGUAUUGUCACAAAAGAUUUUCAUUGGACCCGAUGCACUAGGUAUGACACCUAGAUCGGAUAUGAACUCCUUCAUCCAGACUCCUUCAUUUGCUGCUUCUGAAGUAGCUAUGUACUCCGCUUCACACGUAGAUCCCACCACGACGCUUUGCUUAGAACUGCACCAACUGACAGCUCCACCGUUCAAUAUAAACACGUAUCCAGUUUGUGACUUAGAGUCAUCUGGUUUAGUGUUAAAGCUUGCAUCGACGUAACCAUUUAUGACAAGCUCUUUGUCACCUCCAUAAAUGAGAAACAUAUCCUUAGUCCUUUUCAGGUAUUUCAGGAUGUUCUUGACCGCUACCCAGUGAUCCACUCCUGGAUUAGUUUGGUACCUCCCUGCUAAACUAAUAGCAAGGCACACAUCAGGUCUGGUACACAGCAUUGCAUACAUGAUAGAGCCUAUGGCUGAAGCAUAGGGAACACCUUUCAUUUUCUCUCUAUCUUCUGCAGUGGUCAGGCAUUGAGUCAGACUCAACUUCACGCCUUGUAACACAGGCAAGAACCCUUUCUUUGCUUGAUCCAUUUUGAAAUUUUUCAAAACUUUAUCAAGGUAUGUGCUUUGUGAAAGUCCAAUUAAGCGACUUGAUCUAUCUCUAUAGAUCUUGAUGCCCAAUAUAUAAGCAGCUUCACCGAGGUCUUUCAUUGAAAAACUCUUAUUCAAGUAUCCUUUUAUGCUAUCCAGAAAUUCUAUAUCAUUUCCAAUCAACAAUAUGUCAUCCACAUAUAAUAUUAGAAAUGCUACAGAGCUCCCACUCACUUUCUUGUAAAUACAGGCUUCUCCAAAAGUCUGUAUAAAACCAUAUGCUUUGAUCACACUAUCAAAACGUUUAUUCCAACUCCGAGAUGCUUGCACCAGUCCAUAAAUGGAUCGCUGGAGCUUGCACACUUUGUUAGCAUCCUUUGGAUCGAUAAAACCUUCAGGUUGCAUCAUAUACAACUCUUCUUCCAGAAAUCCAUGCAGGAAUGCAGUCUUUACAUCCGUUUGCCAAAUUUCAUAAUCAUAAAAUGCAGCAAUUGCUAACAUGAUUCGGACGGACUUAAGCAUCGCUACGGGUGAGAAAGUCUCAUCGUAGUCAACUCCUUGAACUUGUCGAAAACCUUUCGCAACAAGUCGAGCUUUGUAGACAGUAACAUUACCGUCAGUGUCAGUCUUCUUCUUGAAGAUCCAUUUAUUCUCGAUGGCUUGCCGAUCAUCGGGCAAGUCAACCAAAGUCCACACUUUGUUCUCAUACAUGGAUCCCAUCUCAGAUUUCAUGGCCUCAAGCCAUUUCGUGGAAUCUGGGCUAAUCAUCGCUUCCUCAUAGUUCAUAGGUUCGUCAUGGUCAAGUAACAUGACCUCCAAAACAGGAUUACCGUACCACUCUGGUGCGGAUCUUACUCCGACUGACCUACGAGGUUCAGUAGUAACUUGAUCUGAAGUUACAUGAUCAUCAUAAUUAGCUUCCUCACUAAUUGGUGUAGGAGUCACAGGAACAGAUUUCUGUGAUGAACUACUUUCCAAUAAGGGAGUAGGUAUACUUACCUCAUCAAGUUCUACUUUCCUCCCACUCACUUCUUUCGAGAGAAAUUCCUUCUCUAGAAAGGAUCCAUUCUUAGCAACAAAUAUCUUUCCUUCGGAUCUGUGAUAGAAGCUGUACCCAACAGUCUCCUUUGGGUAUCCUAUGAACACACAUGGUUCGAGCUUAUCAGGUUGAAGCUUUUUCACAUAAGCAUCGCAACCCCAAACUUUAAGAAACGACAACUUUGGUUUCUUGCCAAAUCACAGUUCAUAAGGUGUCGUCUCAACGGAUUUAGAUGGUGCCCUAUUUAACGUGAAUGCAGCCGUCUCUAAAGCAUAACCCCAAAACGAUAGCGGUAAAUCAGUAAGAGACAUCAUAGAUCGCACUAUAUCUAGUAAAGUACGAUUACGACGUUCGGACACACCAUUACGCUAUGGUGUUCCGGGUGGCGUGAGUUGCGAAACUAUUCCGCAUUGUUUCAAAUGAAGACCAAACUCGUAACUCAAAUAUUCUCCUCCAUGAUCAGAUCAUAGAAACUUUAUUUUCUUGUUACGAUGAUUUUCCACUUCACUCUGAAAUUCUUUGAACUUUUCAAAUGUUUUAGACUUAUGUUUCAUCAAGUAGAUAUACCCAUAUCUGCUCAAAUCAUCUGUGAAGGUGAGAAAAUAACGAUACCCGCCGCGAGCCUCAACAUUCAUCGGACCACAUACAUCAGUAUGUAUGAUUUCCAAUAAAUCUGUUGCUCGCUCCAUUGUUCCGGAGAACGGCAUUUUAGUCAUCUUGCCCAUGAGGCAUGGUUCGCAAGUACCAAGUGAUUCCAAAAGUCCAUUAGAAUGGAGUUUCUUCAUGCGUUUUACACCAAUAUGACCUAAACGGUAGUGCCACAAAUAAGUUGCACUAUCAUUAUCAACUCUGCAUCUUUUGGCUUCAAUAUUAUGAAUAUGUGUAUCACUACUAUCGAGAUUCAAUAUAAAUAGACCACUCUUCAAGGGUGCAUGCCCAUAAAAGAUAUUACUCAUAUAAAUAGAACAACCAUUAUUCUCUGAUUUAAAUGAAUAACCAUCUCGCAUCAAACAAGAUCCAGAUAUAAUGUUCAUGCUCAACGCUGGCACCAAAUAACAAUUAUUCAGGUCUAAAACUAAUCCCGAAGGUAGAUGUAGAGGUAGUGUGUCGACCGCGAUCACAUCGACUUUGGAACCAUUUCCCACGCGCAUCGUCACCUCGUCCUUAGCGAAUCUUCGCUUAAUUCGUAGUCCUUGUUCGAGUUGCAAAUAUUAGCAACAGAACCAGUAUAAAAUACCCAGGCACUACUGCGAGCAUUAGUAAGGUACACAUCAAUAACAUGUAGAUCUGCUACCUCUUGAGCACUGCGUUGGUUUUCCCUUGAAGAGGAAAGGGUGCUGCAGUAAAGUAGCGUAAGUAUUUACCUCAGUUUUUGAGAAACAAGGUAUCAAUCCAGUAGGAGACCACACUCAAGUCCCACGCACCUACACAAACAAAUAAGAACCUUGUGUUGGGGAACGUAGUAAUUUCAAAAAAAUUCCUACGCACACGCAAGAUCAUGGUGAUGCAUAGCAACGAGAGGGGAGAGUGUUGCCACGUACCCUCGUAGACCGACAGCGGAAGCGUUAUCACAACGCGGUUGAUGUAGUCGUACGUCUUCACGAUCCGACCGAUCAAGUACCGAACGCACGGCACCUCCGAGUUCUACACACGUUCAGCUCGAUAACGUCCCUCGAACUCUGAUCCAGCCGAGUGUUGAGGGAGAGUUUCGUCAGCACGACGGUGUGGUGACGAUGAUGAUGUUCCACCGACGCAGGGCUUCGCCUAAGCUCCGCAACAGUAUUAUCGAGGUGUAAUAUGGUGGAGGGCGGCACCGCACACAGCUAAGAGAUCUCAAGGAUCAAUUGUUGUGUCUCUGGGGUGCCCCCUUGCCCCCGUAUAUAAAGGAGCAAGGGGGAGGCAGCCGGCCAAGGGGAGAGGCGCGCCAUAGGGGGGAGUCCUACUCCCACCGGGAGUAGGACUCCUCCUUUCCUUGUGGGAGUAGGAGAAGGGAAGGGGGAAGUAGAAAGAAGGAAGGGUGCGCCCCCCUUCCCUAGUCCAAUUCGGACCAGACCAUGGGGAGGGGUGCGGCCACCUUUUGAGGCCUUUCUCUCCUUUCCCGUAUGGCCAUUAAGGCCCAAUACGAAUUCCCGUAACUCUCCGGUACUCCGAAAAAUACCCGAAUCACUCGGAACCUUUCCGAAGUCCGAAUAUAGUCGUCCAAUAUAUUGAUUUUUACGUCUCGACCAUUUCGAGACUCCUCGUCAUAUCCCCGAUCUCAUCCGGGACUCCGAACUCCUUCGGUACAUCAAAACUCAAUAAAACUGUCAUCGUAACGUUAAGCGUGCGGACCCUUCGGGUUCGAGAACUAUGUAGACAUGACCGAGACACCUCUCCGGUCAAUAACCAAUAGCGGGACCUGGAUGCCCAUAUUGGCUCCCACAUAUUCUACGAAGAUCUUUAUCGGUCAGACCGCAUAACAACAUACGUUGUUCCCUUUCUCAUCGGUAUGUUACUUGCCCGAGAUUCGAUCGUCGGUAUCUCGAUACCUAGUUCAAUCUCGUUACCGGCCAGUCUCUUUACUCGUUCCGUAAUACAUCAUCCCGCAACUAACUCAUUAGUCACAAUGCUUGCUAGGCUUUAUAGUGAUGUGCAUUACCGAGUGGGCCCAGAGAUACCUCUCCGACAAUCGGAGUGACAAAUCCUAAUCUCGAAAUACGCCAACCCAACAAGUACCUUUGGAGACACCUGUAGAGCACCUUUAUAAUCACCCAGUUACGUUGUGACGUUUGGUAGCACACAAAGUGUUCCUCCGGUAAACGGGAGUUGCAUAAUCUCAUAGUCAUAGGAACAUGUAUAAGUCAUGAAGAAAGCAAUAGCAACAUACUAAACGAUCGGGUGCUAAGCUAACGUAAUGGGUCAUGUCAAUCACGUCAUUCUCCUAAUGAGGUGAUCCCGUUAAUCAAAUGACAACUCAUGUCUAUGGCUAGGAAACAUAACCAUCUUUGAUUAACGAGUUAGUCAAGUAGAGGCAUACUAGUGACACUCUGUUUGUCUAUGUAUUCACACAUGUAUUAUGUUUCCGGUUAAUACAAUUCUAGCAUGAAUAAUAAACAUUUAUCAUGAUAUAAGGAAAUAUAUAAUACUUUAUUAUUGCCUCUAGGGCAUAUUUCCUUCACCUUGCAACCAACGCGAUAAAGGGGCUGUCAAUCCCUUCACGGCCACUUGCAAAAGUGAGACCUGAUAGAGAUGAUAAGAUAAUAUUUUUGGUAUUUUAUGAUAAAGAGUAAAAGUAAAGAAUGCAAAGUAAAAUAAAUGACGACAGAAAUAGCUAGUUGACAGGAGAUUAAUAUGAUAGAAAAUAGACCCGGGGGCCAUAGGUUUCACUACUGGCUUCUCUCAAGUGUUGGGAAUCGUAGCAUAAUUUAAAAUUUUCCUACGCUCACCAAGAUGCAUCUAUGGAGUCUACUAGCAACGAGGGGAAAGGAGUGCAUCUACAUACCCUUGUAGAUCGCGAGCGGAAGCGUUCCAAUGAACGUGGAUGACGGAGUCGUACUCGCCGUGAUCCAAAUCACCGAUGACCGAGUGCCGAACGUACGGCACCUCCGCGUUCAACACACGUACGGUGCAGCGACGUCUCCUCCUUCUUGAUCCAGCAAGGGGGGAGGAGAGGUUGAUGGAGAUCCAACAGCACGACGGCGUGGUGGUGGAUGUAGCGGGUCUCCGGCAGGGCUUCGCCGAGCUUCUGCGAGAGAGAGAGGUGUUGCAGGGGAGGAGGGAGGCGCCCAAGGCUGUUAUUUGCUGCCCUCCCUCCCCCCCACUAUUUAUAGGACCCCUGGGGGGGCGCCAGCCCUUGGGAGAUCAGAUCUCCAAGGGGGGCGGCGGCCAAGUGGGGAGGAAGGGGUGCCUUGCCCCCCAAGGCAAGGGGGAAGCUCCCCCUAGGAUUCCCAACCCUAGGCGCAUGGGGGGAGGCCCAAGGGGGCGCCCCAGCCCACUAAGGGCUGGUUCCCUUCCACUUUCAGCCCACGGGGCCCUCCGGGAUAGGUGGCCCCACCCGGUGGACCCCCGGGACCCUUCCGGUGGUCCCGGUACAAUACCGGUAACCCCCGAAACUUUCCCGGUGGCCGAAACUUGACUUCCUAUAUAUAAUUCUUCACCUCCGGACCAUUCCGGAACCUCUCGUGACGUCCGGGAUCUCAUCCGGGACUCCGAACAACUUUCGGGUUUCCGCAUACAUAUAUCUCUACAACCCUAGCGUCACCGGACCUUAAGUGUGUAGACCCUACGGGUUCGGGAGACAUGCAGACAUGACCGAGACGCCUCUCCGGUCAAUAACCAACAGCGGGAUCUGAAUACCCAUGUUGGCUCCCACAUGUUCCACGAUGAUCUCAUCGGAUGAACCACGGUGUCGAGGAUUCAAUCAAUCCGUAUGCAAUUCCCUUUGUCAAACGGUAUGUUACUUGCCCGAGAUUCGAUCGUCGGUAUCCCAAUACCUUGUUCAAUCUCGUUACCGGCAAGUCUCUUUACUCGUACCGCAAUGCAUGAUCUCGUGACUAACGCCUUAGUCACAUUGAGCUCAUUAUGAUGAUGCAUUACCGAGUGGGCCCAGAGAUACCUCUCCGUCACACGGAGUGACAAAUCCCAGUCUCGAUCCGUGCCAACCCAACAGACACUUUCGGAGAUACCCGUAGUGCACCUUUAUAGUCACCCAGUUACGUUGUGACGUUUGGCACACCCAAAGCACUCCUACGGUAUCCGGGAGUUGCACGAUCUCAUGGUCUAAGGAAAAGAUACUUGACAUUGGAAAAGCUCUAGGAAACGAAACUACACGAUCUUUUAUGCUAUGCUUAGGAUUGGGUCUUGUCCAUCACAUCAUUCUCCUAAUGAUGUGAUCCCGUUAUCAAUGACAUACAAUGUCCAUAGUCAGGAAACCAUGACUAUCAGUUGAUCAACGAGCUAGUCAACUAGAGGCUUACUAGGGACACGUUGUGGUCUAUGUAUUCACACAUGUAUUACGAUUUCCGGACAAUACAAUUAUAGCAUGAAUAAUAGACAAUUAUCAUGAACAAAGAAAUAUAAUAAUAACCAUUUAUUAUUGCCUCUAGGGCAUAUUUCCAACAGUCUCCCACUUGCACUAGAGUCAAUAAUCUAGUUCACAUCACCAUGUGAUUAACACUCACUGGUCACAUCACCAUGUGACCAACAUCUAAAGAGUUUACUAGAGUCAUCAAUCUAGUUCACAUCACUAUGUGAUUAUCACUCAAUGUGUUCUGGUUUGGUCAUGUUAUGCUUGUGAGAGAGGUUAUUAGUCAACGGGUCUGAACCUUUCAGAACCGUGUGCUUUACGAAUAUCUAUGUCAUCUUGUGGAUGCUACCACGCGCUAUUUGGAGCCAUUUCAAAUAAUUGCUCUACUAUACGAAUCCGGUUUACUCCUCAGUGUCAUCCGGAUUAGUGUCAAAGUUCGCAUCGACGUAACCCUUUACGACGAACUCCUUUCCACCUCCAUAAUCGAGAAAAUUCCUUAAUCCACUAGGUACUAAGGAUAAGUUCGACCGCUGUCAUGAGAUCCUUUCCGGAUCACCAUUGUACCCUCUUGACCAACUCAUGGCAAGGCACACUACAUGUGCGGUACACAGCAUAGCAUACUAUAGAGCCUACGUCUAAAGCAUAGGGGACGACCUUCGUCCUUUCUCUAUGUUCUGCUAUGGUCAGGUCUUGAGUCUCACUCAAUACUCACACCUUGUAACACAGCCAAGAACUCCUUCUUUGCUGAUCUAUUUUGAACUCUUUCAAAAUCAUGUCAAGGUGUGCUGUCUUUUGAAAGUAUCAUCAGGCGUCUUGAUCUAUCUCUAUGGAUCUUGAUGCCCAAUAUGUAAGCAGCUUUAUCCAGGUCUUCCUUUAAAAAACUCCUUUCAAACAACCCUUUAUGCUUUCCAGAAAUUUUACAUCAUUUCGGAUCAACAAUAUGUCAUUCACAUAUACUUAUCAGAAAUGUUGUAGCGCUCCCACUCACUUUAUUGUAAAUACAAGUUUCUAACAAACUUUGUAUAAAACCAAAAAACUUUGAUCACUCCAUCAAAGCGUAUAUUCUGACUCCGAGAUGCUUGCUCUAAUCCAUGGAAGGAUCGCUGGAGCUAGCAUACCUUUUAGCAUCCUUAGGAUCGACAAAACCUUUCUGAUUGUAUCACAUACAACCUUUCCUUACGAAAACUGGUAAGGAAACUUGUUUUGACAUCCAUCUGCCAGAUUUCAUAAAUGUAGCUAAUGCUAACAUGAUUCCGACGGACCUAAGCAUCGCUACGGAUGAGAAAAAAACUCAUCGUAGUUAACUCCUUGAACUUGUGAAAAUACUCUUUGCCACAAGUCGAGCUUCAUAGAUGGUAACAUUACCUUCCAUGUCCGUCUUCUUCUUAAAGAUCCAUUUAUCUCAAUGGCUUGCCGAUCAUCGGGCAAGUUCACCAAAGUCCAUGCUUUGUUCUGAUACAUGGAUUCUAUCUCGGAUUUCAUGGCCUCGAGCCAUUCGUCGGAAUAUGGGUCCACCAUCGCUUCUCCAUAGCUCGUAGGUUCAUUGUUGUCUAGCAACAUGACUUUCAAGACAGGAUCACGCAUUACUCUGAAGUAGUGCGCAUCCUCGUCGUCCUACGAGGUUUGGUAGUGACUUGAUCCGAAGUUCAUGAUCACUAUCAUAAGCUUCCACUUCAAUUGGUGUAGGUGCCACAGGAACAACUUCCUGUGCCCUGCUACAUACUAGUUGAAGCGACGGUUCAAUAACCUUAUCAAGUCUCCACCAUCCUCCCACUCAAUUCUUUCGAGAGAAACUUUUCCUCGAGAAAGGACUCGUUUCUAGAAGCAAUUACUUUUGCUUCCAGAUCUGAAAUAGGAGGUAUACCCAACUGUUUUUGGGUAUUCUAUGAAGAUGCAUUUAUCCGCUUUGGGUUCGAGCUUAUCAGCCUGAAACUUUUUCACAUAAGCAUCGCAGCCCCAAACUUUUAAGAAACGACAACUUAGGUUUCUAUAAACGGUGUCGUCUCAACGGAAUUGCGUGGUGCCCCUUUUAAAGUGAAUGCGGUUGUCUCUAAUGCCUAACCCAUAAAUGAUAGUGGUAAUUUGAUAAGAAACAUCAUGGUAUGUACCAUAUCCAAUAGGGUGCAGUUAUGAUGUUCGGACACACCAUCACACUAUGGUGUUCCAGGCGGUAUUAAUUGUGAAACACUUUCCACAAUGUCUCAAUUAUGUGCCAAACUCGUAUCUCAGAUACGCAUCUCUAUGAUCAUAUCACAGACAUUUUAUCCUCUUGUCACGACGAUCUUCAACUUCACUCUGAAAUUACUUGAACCUUUCAAUAAUUCAGACUAGUGUUUCAUCAAGUAAAUACACUCAGCAUCUACUCAAAUCAUCUGUGAAGUAAGAACAUAACGAUGUCCACUGCAUGCCUCAGCACUCAUUGGACCGCGUACAUCAAAAUGUAUUACUUCCAAUAAGUUGCUCUCUUGUUCCAUCUCACUGAAAACGAGGACUUUCAGUCAUUUUGCCCAUGUGGUAUGAUUUGCAUGUCUCAAGUGAUUCAUAAUCAAGUGAGUCCAAACGAUCCAUCUGUAUGGAGUUUCUUCAUGCAUAUAUACCAAUAGACAUGGUUCGCAUGUCUCAAUCUUUUCAAAAAUGAGUGAGUCCAAAGAUCCACCUACAUGGAGCUUCCUCAUGCGUUCUACACCAAUAUGACUCAAGUGGCAGUGCCACAAGUAUGUGGUACUAUCAUUACUAUCUUAUAUCUUUUUGGCAUGAACAUGUGUAUCACUACGAUCGAGAUUCAUUUUAGGUGCAAGACCAUUGAAGGUAUUAUUCAAAUAAACAGAGUAACCAUUAUUCUCCUUAAAUGAAUAACCGUUUUGCGGUAAACAUAAUCCAAUCAUGUUCAACGCAAACACCAAAUCUCGAUGGUAGAGGGAGCAUGCGAUGCUUGAUCACAUCAACCUUGGAAACACUUCCAACACAUAUCGUCAUCUCACCUUUAGCUAGUCUCCAUUUAUUCCGCAGCUUUUAUUCCGAGUUACUAACACUUAGCAACCGAACCAGUAUCUAAUACCCUGGUGCUGCUAGGAGUACUAGUAAAGUACACAUUCAUAUAACGUAUAUCCAAUAUACUUCUGUCGACCUUGCCUGCCUUCUCAUCUACCAAGUAUCUAGGGUAGUACUGCUUCAGUGACCGUUCCUCUCAUUACAGAAGCACUUAGUCUUGGGUUUGGGUUCAACCUUGGGAUUCUUCACUAGAGCAGCAAACGACUUGCUGUUUCAUGAAGUAUCCCUUUUGCCCUUGCCCUUCUUAAACUAGUGGUUUUACUAACCAUCAACAAUUGAUGCUCCUUCUUAAUUUCUACUCUCGCGGUGUCAAACAUCGCGAAUAGCUCAAGGAUCAUCAUAACUAUCCUUGAUAUGUUAUAGUUCAUCACGAAGCUCUACUAGCUUGGUGGCAGUGACUAUGGAGAACUAUCACUAUCUCAUCUGGGAGAUUAACUCCCACUCGAUUCAAGCGAUUGUGGCACUCAGACAAUCUGAGCACACGCUCAACGAUUGAGCUUUUCUCCCUUAGUUUGCAGGCUUAAGAAACUUGUCAGAGGUCUCAUACCUAUUGACGUGGGCACUAGUCUGAAAUCCCAAUUUCAGUCUUCGGAACAUCUCACAUGUUCUGCGACGUUUCAAAAACGUCUUUGGUGCCACAAUUCUAAACCGCACUGUACUAUCACGUAGUCAUCAAAACGUGUAUGUCAAAUGUUUCUUAACAUCUACAGACGACGCUGAGGUUCAGCACACCGAGCGGUGCAUUAAGGACAUAAGCCUUCUGUGCAGCAAUGAGGACAAUCCUUAGUUUACGGACCCAGUCCGCAUAAUUGCUACUACCAACUUUCAACUAAAUUUUCUCUAGGAACAUAUCUUAACCAGUAGAACUAAAGCGCAAGCUAUGACAUAAUUUGCAAAUACCUUUUUGACUAUGUUCAUGAUAAUGAAGUUCAUCUGAUUAUGAACUUCCACUCAGAUAGACAUCCCUCUAGUCAUCUAAGUGAAACAUGAUCCGAGUUUAACUAGGCCGUGUCCGAUCAUCACGUGAGACGAACUAGUCAAGAUUGGUGAACAUCUCCAUGUUGAUCGUAUCUUCUAUACGACUCAUGCUCGACCUUUCGGUCCUCCGUGUUCCGAGGCCAUGUCUGUACAUGCUAGGCUCGUCAAGUCAACCUAAGUGUAUUGCGUGUGUUCCGAGGCCAUGUAUGUACAUGCUAGGCUCGUCAACACCCAUUGUAUUCGAACGUUAGAAUCUAUCACACCCGAUCAUCACGUGGUGCUUCGAAACAACGAACCUUCGCAACAGUGCACAGUUAGGGUGAACACUUUCUUGAAAUUAUUAUAAGGGAUCAUCCUACUUGCUACCGUCGUUCUAAGCAAAUAAGAUGCAAAAACAUGAUAAACAUCACAUGCAAUCAAAUAGUGACAUGAUAUGGCCAAUAUCAUCAUGCUCCUUUGAUCUCCAUCUUCGGGGCACCAUGAUCAUCUUUGUCACCGGCAUGACACCAUGAUCUCCAUCAUCAUGAUCUCCAUCAUUGUGUCUUCAUGAAGUCGUCACGCCAACGAUUACUUCUACUUCUAUGGCUAACGCGUUUAGCAACAAAGUAAAGUAAUUUACAUGGCGUUAUUCAAUGACACGCAGGUCAUGCAAAAUAAUAAAGACAACUCCUAUGGCUCCUGCCGGUUGUCAUACUCAUCGACAUGCAAGUCGUGAUUCCUAUUACAAGAAUAUGAUCAAUCUCAUACAUCACAUAUAUCAUUCAUCACAUCUUCUGGCCAUAUCACAUCACAUAGCACUUCCUGCAAAAACAAGUUAGACGUCCUCUAAUUGUUGUUGCAAGUUUUUUUUACGUGGUUUGUAGGUUUCUAGCAAGAACGUUUCUUACCUACGUAUGACCACAACGUGAUUUGCCAAUUUCUAUUUACCCUUCAUAAGCACCCUUUUCAUCGAAUCCGUUCCGACUAAAGUAGGAGAGACAGACACCCGCUAGCCACCUUAUGCAACUUGCGCAUGUCAGUCGGUGGAACCUGUCUCACGUAAGUGUACGUGUAAGGUCGGUCCGGGCCGCUUCAUCCUACAAUGCCGCCGAAACAAGAAAAUACUAGUAGCGGCAAGAAGAAUUGGCAAACUCAACGCCCACAACUGCUUUGUGUUCUACUCGUGCAUAGUAACUACGCAUAGACCUGGCUCUGAUACCACUGUUGGGAAUCGUAGCAUAAUAUAAAAUUUUUCUACGCUCACCAAGAUGCAUCUAUGGAGUCUACUAGCAACGAGGGGAAAGGAGUGCAUCUACAUACCCUUGUAGAUCGCGAGCGGAAGCGUUCCAAUGAACGUGGAUGACGGAGUCGUACUCGCCGUGAUCAAAAUCACCGAUGACCGAGUGCCGAACGUACGGCACCUCCGCGUUCAACACACGUACGGUGCAGCGACGUCUCCUCCUUCUUGAUCCAGCAAGGGGGGAGGAGAGGUUGAUGGAGAUCCAACAGCACGACGGCGUGGUGGUGGAUGUAGCGGGUCUCCGGCAGGGCUUCGCCGAGCUUCUGCGAGAGAGAGAGAGGUGUUGCAGGGGAGGAGGGAGGCGCCCAAGGCUGUUAUUUGCUGCCCUCCCUCCCCCCCACUAUUUAUAGGACCCCUGGGGGGGGCGCCAGCCCUUGGGAGAUCAGAUCUCCAAGGGGGGCGGCGGCCAAGUGGGGAGGAAGGGGUGCCUUGCCCCCCAAGGCAAGGGGGAAGCUCUCCCCUAGGAUUCCCAACCCUAGGCGCAUGGAGGGAGGCCCAAGGGGGCGCCCCAGCCCACUAAGGGCUGGUUCCCUUCCACUUUCAGCCCACGGGGCCCUCCGGGAUAGGUGGCCCCACCCGGUGGACCCCCGGGACCCUUCCGGUGGUCCCGGUACAAUACCGGUAACCCCCGAAACUUUCCCGGUGGCCGAAACUUGACUUCCUAUAUAUAAUUCUUCACCUCCGGACCAUUCCGGAACCUCUCGUGACGUCCGGGAUCUCAUCCGGGACUCCGAACAACUUUCGGGUUUCCGCAUACAUAUAUCUCUACAACCCUAGCGUCACCGGACCUUAAGUGUGUAGACCCUACGGGUUCGGGAGACAUGCAGACAUGACCGAGAGGCCUCUCCGGUCAAUAACCAACAGCGGGAUCUGGAUACCCAUGUUGGCUCCCACAUGUUCCAUGAUGAUCUCAUCGGAUGAACCACGGUGUCGAGGAUUCAAUCAAUCCGUAUGCAAUUCCCUUUGUCAAACGGUAUGUUACUUACCCGAGAUUCGAUCGUCGGUAUCCCAAUACCUUGUUCAAUCUCGUUACCGGCAAGUCUCUUUACUCGUACCGCAAUGCAUGAUCCCGUGACUAACGCCUUAGUCACAUUGAGCUCAUUAUGAUGAUGCAUUACCGAGUGGGCCCAGAGAUACCUCUCCGUCACACGGAGUGACAAAUCCCAGUCUCGAUCCGUGCCAACCCAACAGACACUUUCGGAGAUACCCGUAGUGCACCUUUAUAGUCACCCAGUUACGUUGUGACGUUUGGCACACCCAAAGCACUCCUACGGUAUCCGGGAGUUGCACGAUCUCAUGGUCUAAGGAAAAGAUACUUGACAUUAGAAAAGCUCUAGCGAACGAAACUACACGAUCUUUUAUGCUAUGCUUAGGAUUGGGUCUUGUCCAUCACAUCAUUCUCCUAAUGAUGUGAUCCCGUUAUCAAUGACAUCCAAUGUCCAUAGUCAGGAAACCAUGACUAUCAGUUGAUCAACGAGCUAGUCAACUAGAGGCUUACUAGGGACACGUUGUGGUCUAUAUAUUCACACAUGUAUUACGAUUUCCGGAUAACACAAUUAUAGCAUGAACAAUAGAAAAUUAUCAUGAACAAAGAAAUAUAAUAAUAACCAUUUAUUAUUGACUCUAGGGCAUAUUUCCAACAUCAAGAGCAUAAGUAUUACGGUGGGUAAACGAAUUACUGUCGAGCAAUUGAUAGAAUUGAGCAUAGUUAUGAGAAUAUCUAGGUAUGAUCAUGUAUAUAGGCAUCACGUCCGUGACAAGUAGACCGACUCCUGCCUGCAUCUACACUAUUACUCCACACAUCGACCACUAUCCAGCAUGCAUCUAGAGUAUUAAGUUCAUAAGAACGGAGUAACGCUUUUAAGCAAGAUGACAUGAUGUAGAGGGAUAAACUCAAGCAAUAUGAUAUAAACCCCAUCUUUUUAUCCUCGAUGGCAACAAUUCAAUACGUGUCGUUUCCCCUACUGUCACUGGGAUCGAGCACCGCAAGAUUGAACCCAAAGCUAAGCACUUCUCCCAUUGCAAGAAAGAUAAAUCUAGUAGGCCAAACCAAACUGAGAAUUCAAAGAGACUUGCAAAGAUAACCAAUCAUACAUAAAAGAAUUCAUAGGAGAUUCAAAUAUUGUUCAUAGAUAAUCUUGAUCAUAAACCCACAAUUCAUCGGAUCUCGACAAACACACCGCAAAAGAAGAUUACAUCGAAUAGAUCUCCAAGAAAAUCGAGGAGAACUUUGUAUUGAGAUCCAAAGAGAGAGAAGAUGUCGGAGAUAUGCCCUAGAGGCAAUAAUAAAAUGGUUAUUAUUAUAUUUCCUUGUUCAUGAUAAUUUUCUAUUGUUCAUGCUAUAAUUGUGUUAUCCGGAAAUCGUAAUACAUGUGUGAAUACAUAGACCACAACAUGUCCCUAGUGAGCCUCUAGUUGACUAGCUCGUUGAUCAACAGAUAGUCAUGGUUUCCUGACUAUGGACAUUGGAUGUCAUUGAUAACGGGAUCACAUCAUUAGGAGAAUGAUGUGAUGGACAAGACCCAAUCCUAAGCAUAGCACAAAGAUCCUGUAGUUCGUUUGCUAGAGCUUUUCCAAUGUCAAGUAUCAUUUCCUUAGACCAUGAGAUCGUGUAACUCCCAGAUGCCGUAGGAGUGCUUUGGGUGUACCAAACGUCACAACGUAACUGGGUGAAUAUAAAGGUACACUACAGGUAUCUCUGAAAGUGUCUGUUGGGUUGACACGGAUCGAGACUGCGAUUUGUCACUCCGUAUGACGGAGAGGUAUCUCUGGGCCCACUCGGUAAUGCAUCAUCAUAAUGAGCUCAAAGUGACCAAGUGGUUGGUCAUGGGAUCAUGCAUUACGGUACGAGUAAAGUGACUUGCCGGUAACGAGAUUGAACAAGGUAUUGGGAUACCGACGAUCGAAUCUCGGGCAAGUAACGUACCGAUUGACAAAGGGAAUUGUAUACGGGAUUGAUUGAAUCCUCGACAUCGUGGUUCAUCCGAUGAGAUCAUCGUGGAACAUGUGGGAGCCAACAUGGGUAUCCAGAUCCCGCUGUUGGUUAUUGACCGGAGAGUCGUCUCGGUCAUGUCUGCGUGUCUCCCGAACCCGUAGGGUCUACACACUUAAGGUUCAGUGACGCUAGGGUUGUAGAGAUAUUAGUAUGCGGUAACCCGAAAGUUGUUCGGAGUCCCGGAUGAGAUCCCGGACGUCACGAGAAGUUCCGGAAUGGUCCGGAGGUGAAGAAUUAUAUAUAGGAAGUCCAGUUUCGGCCACCGGGAAAGUUUCGGGGGGUACCGGUAUUGUACCAGGACCACCGGAAGGGUCCCGGGGGUCCACCGGGUGGGGCCACCUAUCCCGGAGGGCCCCAUGGGCUGAAGUGGGAGGGUAACCAGCCCCUGGUGGGCUGGUGCGCCCCCCUUGGGCCUCCCCCUGCGCCUAGGGUUGGAAACCCUAGGGGUGGGGGGCGCCCCACUUGGCUUGGGGGGGAAGCCACCCCCCUUGGCCGCCGCCCCCCUUGGAGAUUGCAUCUCCCAGGGCCGGCGCCCCCCAGGGGCCCUAUAUAUAGUGGGGGGGAGGGAGGGCAGCCGCACCACAGCCCCUGGCGCCUCCCUCUCCCUCCCGUGACACAUCUCCCUCCUCCCGCAGCGCUCGACGAAGCCCUGUCGGAAUCCCGCUACUUCCACCACCACACCGUCGUGCUGCUGGAUCUCCAUCAACUUCUCCUUCCCCCUUGCUAGAUCAAGAAGGAGGAGACGUCGCUGCUCCGUACGUGUGUUGAACGCAGAGGUGUCGUCCGUUCGGCGCUCGGUCAUCGGUGAUUUGGAUCACGACAACUACGACUCCAUCAACCCCGUUCACUUGAACGUUUCCGCUCGCGAUCUACAAGGGUAUGUAGAUGCACUCCUCUCUCUCGUUGCUAGAUGACUCCAUAGAUUGAUCUUGGUGAUGCGUAGAAAAUUUUAAAUUUAUGCUACGAUCCCCAACAGUGGUAUCAGAGCCAGGUUUAUGGGUAGUUUCUAUGCACGAAUAGAACACAAACUUGUUGUGGGCGUAGAUGUUGUCAAUUUUCUUGCCACUACUAGUCUUAUCUUAUUUCGGCGGCAUUGUGGGAUGAAGCGGCCCGGACCGACCUUACACGUACGCUUACAUGAGACAGGUUCCACCGACUGACAUGCACUAGUUGCAUAAGGUGGCUAGCGGGUGUCUGUCUCUCCCACUUUAGUCGGAACGGAUUCGAUGAAAAGGGUCCUUAUGAAGGGUAAAUAGAAAUUGGCAUAUCACGUUGUGGUUUUACGUAGGUAAGAAACGUUCUUGCUAGAAACCUAUAGAAGCCACGUAAAAACAUGCAACAACAAUUAGAGGACGUCUAACUUGUUUUUGCAGCAUAUGCCUUGUGAUGUGAUAUGGCCAAAAGGAUGUGAUGAAUGAGAUAUAUGUGAUGUAUGAGAUUGAUCAUGUUCUUGUAAUAGGAAUCACGACUUGCAUGUCGAUGAGUAUGACAACCGGCAGGAGCCAUAGGAGUUGUCUUUAUUUUUUGUAUGACCUGCGUGUCAUUGAAUAACGCCAUAUAAAUUAGUUUACUUUAUUGCUAAACACGUUAGCCAUAGAAGUAGAAGUAAUCGUUGGCGUGACAACUUCAUGAAGACACGAUGAUGGAGAUCAUGAUGAUGGAGAUCAUGGUGUCAUGCCGGUGACGAAGAUGAUCAUGGCACCCCGAAGAUGGAGAUCAAAGGAGCAAAAUGAUAUUGGCCAUAUCAUGUCACUAUUUGAUUGCAUGUGAUGUUUAUCAUGUUUUACAUCUUAUUUUCUUAGAACGACGAUAGCUUAAAUAAUAUGAUCCCUCACAAUAAUUUCAAGAAAGUGUUCCCCCUAACUGUGCACCGUUGCGAAGGUUCGCUGUUUUGAAGCACCACGUGAUGAUCGGGUGUGAUAGAUUCUAACGUUCGAAUACAACGGGUGUAAGCCAGAUUUACAAACGCAAUACACUUAGGUUGACUUGACGAGCCUAGCAUGUACAGACAUGGCCUCGGAACACGGAAGACCGAAAGGUCGAGCAUGAGUCGUAUAGAAGAUACGAUCAACAUGAAGAUGUUCACCGAUGUUGACUAGUCCGUCUCACGUGAUGAUCGGACACGGCCUAGUUGACUCGGAUCAUGUUUCACUUAGAUGACUAGAGGGAUGUCUAUCUGAGUGGGAGUUCAUUGAAUAAUUUGAUUAGAUGAACUUAAUUAUCAUGAACUUAGUCUAAGAUCUUUACAAUAUGUCUUGUAGAUCAAAUGGCCCACGUUGCCCUCAACUUCAACGCGUUCCAAGAGAAAACCAAGCUGAAAGAUGAUGGCAGCAACUAUGCGGACUGGGUCCGGAACCUGAGGAUCAUCCUCAUAGUUGCCAAGAAAGAUUAUGUCCUAGAAGCACCGCUAGGUGAAGCACCCAUCCCAGAGAACCAAGACGUUAUGAAUGCUUGGCAAUCACGUGCUGAUGAUUACUCCCUUGUUCAGUGUGGUAUGCUUUACAGCUUAGAACCGGGGCUCCAAAAGCGUUUUGAGCAACACGGAGCAUAUGAGAUGUUCGAAGAGCUGAAAAUGGUUUUCCAAGCUCAUGCCCGGGUCAAGAGAUAUGAAGUCUCCGACAAGUUCUUCAGUUGUAAGAUGGAGGAAAACAGUUCUGUCAGUGAGCACAUACUCAAAAUGUCUGGGUUGCACAACCGCUUGACUCAGCUGGGAGUUAAUCUCCCGGAUGACGCGGUCAUUGACAGAAUCCUUCAGUCGCUUCCACCAAGCUACAAGAGCUUUGUGAUGAACUUCAAUAUGCAGUGGAUGGAAAAGACCAUUCCUGAGGUAUAUUCAAUGCUGAAAUCAGCGGAGGUGGAGAUCAGAAAGGAACAUCAAGUGUUGAUGGUGAAUAAAACCACUAAGUUCAAGAAAGGCAAGGGUAAGAAGAACUUCAAGAAGGACGGCAAGGGAGUUGCCGCACCCGGUAAGCCAGUUGCCGGGAAGAAGCCAAAGAAUGGACCCAAGCCUGAGACUGAGUGCUUUUAUUGCAAGGGAAGUGGUCACUGGAAGCGGAACUGCCCCAAAUACUUAGCGGACAAGAAGGCCGGCAACACCAAAGGUAUAUGUGAUAUACAUGUAAUUGAUGUGUAGCUUACCAGUACUCGUAGUAGCUCCUGGGUAUUUGAUACCGGCGCGGUUGCUCAUAUUUGUAACUCAAAACAGGAGCUGCGGAAUAAGCGGAGACUUGCGAAGGACGAGGUGACGAUGCGCGUCGGGAAUGGUUCCAAGGUCGAUGUGAUCGCCGUCGGCACGCUACCUCUACAUUUACCUACGGGAUUAGUUUUAAACCACAAUAAUUGUUAUUUAGUGCCAGCUUUGAGCAUGAACAUUGUAUCAGGAUCUCGUUUAAUGCGAGAUGGCUACUCAUUUAAAUCCGAGAAUAAUGGUUGUUCUAUUUAUAUGAGAGAUAUGUUUUAUGGUCAUGCCCCGCUGGUCAAUGGUUUAUUCUUAAUGAAUCUCGAACGUGAUGUUACACAUAUUCAUAGUGUGAAUACCAAAAGAUGUAAAGUUGAUAACGAUAGUCCCACAUACUUGUGGCACUGCCGCCUUGGUCACAUUGGUGUCAAGCGCAUGAAAAGCUCCAUGCAGAUGGACUUUUGGAGUCUCUUGAUUACGAAUCAUUUGACACGUGCGAACCAUGCCUCAUGGGUAAGAUGACCAAGACUCCGUUCUCCGGAACAAUGGAGCGAGCAACCAACUUAUUGGAAAUCAUACAUACUGAUGUGUGCGGUCCAAUGAGUGUUGAGGCUCGCGGUGGCUAUCGUUAUGUUCUCACUCUCACUGAUGACUUGAGUAGAUAUGGGUAUGUCUACCUAAUGAAACACAAGUCUGAAACCUUUGAAAAGUUCAAGGAAUUUCAGAGUGAGGUUGAGAAUCAACGUGACAGGAAAAUAAAGUUCUUACGAUCAGAUCGUGGAGGAGAAUAUUUGAGUCACGAAUUUGGCACACACUUAAGGACAUGUGGAAUAGUUUCACAACUCACGCCGCCUGGAACACCUCAGCGAAAUGGUGUGUCCGAACGUCGUAAUCGCACUCUAUUGGAUAUGGUGCGAUCUAUGAUGUCUCUUACCGAUCUACCGCUCUCAUUUUGGGGCUAUGCUUUAGAGACUGCCGCAUUCACUUUAAAUAGGGCUCCGUCGAAAUCCGUUGAGACGACACCGUAUGAAUUAUGGUUUGGGAAGAAACCUAAGCUGUCGUUUCUAAAAGUUUGGGGAUGCAAUGCUUAUGUCAAGAAGCUUCAACCUGAAAAGCUCGAACCCAAGUCGGAAAAAUGCGUCUUCAUAGGAUACCCUAAGGAAACCAUUGGGUAUACCUUCUACCUCAGAUCCGAAGGCAAAAUCUUUGUUGCCAAGAACGGGUCCUUCCUGGAGAAAGAGUUUCUCUUGAAAGAAGUGAGUGGGAGGAAAGUGGAACUUGAUGAGGUGAUAGUCACCCCUUCUGAACCGGAAAGUAGCGCAACGCGGGAAGAUAUUCCUGUGGUGCUUGCACCGACUGGGGAGGAAGUUAAUGAUGAUGAUCAUGAAGCUUCAGAUCAAGUUACUGCUGAACUUCGUAGGUCCACAAGGACACGUUCCGCACCAGAGUGGUACGGCAACCCUGUCAUGGAAAUCAUGUUGUUAGACAACGGUGAACCUUCAAACUAUGAAGAAGCGAUGGCGGGCCCGGAUUCCAACAAAGGCUUGAAGCCAUGCAAUCCGAGAUAGGAUCCAUGUAUGAAAACGAAGUAUGGACUUUGACUGACUUGCCCGAUGAUCGGCGAGCCAUAGAAAAUAAAUGGAUCUUUAAGAAGAAGACAGACGCGGAUGGUAACGUGACCAUCUAUAAGGAUCGACUUGUCGCUAAGGGUUAUCGACAAGUUCAAGGGGUUAACUACGACGAGACUUUCUCACCCGUAGCGAAGCUGAAGUCCGUCCGAAUCAUGUUAGCAAUUGCCGCAUUCUAUGAUUAUGAGAUAUGGCAAAUGGACGUCAAAACGACAUUCCUUAACGGCUUUCUUAAGGAAGAAUUGUAUAUGAUGCAGCCGGAAGGUUUUGUCGAUCCUAAGAAUGCAAACAAGGUAUGCAAGCUCCAGCGCUCCAUCUAUGGGCUGUUGCAAGCAUCUCGGAGUUGGAACAUUUGAUUUGAUGAGAUGAUCAAAGCGUUUGGGUUUACACAGACUUAUGGAGAAGCCUGUGUUUACAAGAAAGUGAGUGGGAGCUCUGUAACAUUUCUCUUAUUAUAUGUGGAUGACAUACUAUUGAUGGGAAAUGAUAUAGAAUUCUUGGAAAGUAUAAAGGCCUAUUUGAAUAAGUGUUUUUCAAUGAAGGACCUUGGAGAAGCUGCUUAUAUAUUAGGCAUCAAGAUCUAUAGAGAUAGAUCAAGACGCCUCAUUGGUCUUUCACAGAGUACGUACCUUGACAAGAUAUUGAAGAAGUUCAAUAUGGAUCAGUCCAAGAAGGGGUUCUUGCCUGUAUUGCAAGGUGUGCAAUUGAGCACGGCUUAAUGCCCGACCACGGCAGAAGAUAGAGAAAAGAUGAGUGGCAUCCCCUAUGCUUCGGCCAUAGGGUUUAUUAUGUAUGCCAUGCUGUGUACCAGACCUGAUGUAAACCUUGCCGCAAGUUUGGUAGGAAGGUACCAAAGUAAUCCCGGCAUGGAACACUGGACAGCAGUCAAGAAUAUCCUGAAGUACCUGAAAAGGACUAAGGAUAUGUUUCUCGUAUAUGGAGGUGACGAAGAGCUCGUCGUAAAGGGUUACGUCGACGCUAGCUUCGACACAGAUCUGGAUGACUCGAAGUCACAAACCGGAUACGUGUAUAUUUUGAAUGGAGGGGCAGUAAGCUGGUGCAGUUGCAAGCAAAGCGUCGUGGCGGGAUCUACAUGUGAAGCGGAGUACAUGGCGGCCUCAGAGGCAGCGCAAGAAGCAAUCUGGAUGAAGGAGUUCAUUACUGACCUAGGGGUGAUUCCCAAUGCGUCGGGCCUGAUGACUCUCUUCUGCGACAACACUGGAGCUAUUGCCCUUGCCAAGGAGCCCAGGUUUCACAGGAAGACCAGGCAUAUCAAGCGUCGCUUCAACUCCAUUCGUGAAAGUGUUCAAAAUGGAGACAUAGAUAUUUGUAAAGUACAUACGGACCUGAAUGUAGCAGAUCCGUUGACUAAACCUCUCCCUAGAGCAAAACAUGAUCAACACCAGAACUCUAUGGGUGUUCGAUUCAUCACAAUGUAACUAGAUUAUUGACUCUAGUGCAAGUGGGAGACUGUUGGAGAUAUGCCCUAGAGGCAAUAAUAAAAUGGUUAUUAUUAUAUUUCCUUGUUCAUGAUAAUUGUCUAUUGUUCAUGCUAUAAUUGUGUUAUCCGGAAAUCGUAAUACAUGUGUGAAUACAUAGACCACAACAUGUCCCUAGUGAGCCUCUAGUUGACUAGCUCGUUGAUCAACAGAUAGUCAUGGUUUCCUGACUAUGGACAUUGGAUGUCAUUGAUAACGGGAUCACAUCAUUAGGAGAAUGAUGUGAUGGACAAGACCCAAUCCUAAGCAUAGCACAAAGAUCGUGUAGUUCGUUUGCUAGAGCUUUUCCAAUGUCAAGUAUCAUUUCCUUAGACCAUGAGAUCGUGUAACUCCCGGAUGCCGUAGGAGUGCUUUGGGUGUACCAAACGUCACAACGUAACUGGGUAACUAUAAAGGUACACUACAGGUAUCUCUGAAAGUGUCUGUUGGGUUGACACGGAUCGAGACUGCGAUUUGUCACUCCGUAUGACGGAGAGGUAUCUUUGGGCCCACUCGGUAAUGCAUCAUCAUAAUGAGCUCAAAGUGACCAAGUGGUUGGUCACGGGAUCAUGCAUUACGGUACGAGUAAAGUGACUUGCCGGUAACGAGAUUGAACAAGGUAUUGGGAUACCGACGAUCGAAUCUCGGGCAAUUAACGUACCGAUUGACAAAGGGAAUUGUAUACGGGAUUGAUUGAAUCCUCGACAUCGUGGUUCAUCCGAUGAGAUCAUCGUGGAACAUGUGGGAGCCAACAUGGGUAUCCAGAUCCUGCUGUUGGUUAUUGACCGGAGAGUCGUCUCGGUCAUGUCUGCGUGUCUCCCGAACCCGUAAGGUCUACACACUUAAGGUUCGGUGAUGCUAGGGUUGUAGAGAUAUUAGUAUGCGGUAACCUGAAAGUUGUUCGGAGUCCCAGAUGAGAUCCCGGACGUCACGAGGAGUUCAGGAAUGGUCCGGAGGUGAAGAAUUAUAUAUAGGAAGUCCAGUUUCGGCCACCGGGAAAGUUUCGGGGGUUACCGGUAUUGUACCGGGACCACCGGAAGGGUCCCGGGGGUCCAUCGGGUGGGGCCACCUAUCCCGAAGGGCCCCAUGGGCUGAAGUGGGAGGGGAACCAUCCCCUGGUGGGCUGGUGCGCCCCCCUUGGGCCUCCCCCUGCGCCUAGGGUUGGAAACCCUAGGGGUGGGGGGCGCCCUACUAGGCUUGGGGGGGGAAGCCACCCCCCUUGGCCGCCGCCCCCCUUGGAGAUUGCAUCUCCCAGGGCCGGCGGCCCCCCAGGGGCCCUAUAUAUAGUGGGGGGAGGGAGGGCAGCCGCACCACAGCCCCUGGCGCCUCCCUCUCCCUCCCGUGACACAUCUCCCUCCUCCCACAGCGCUCGGCAAAGCCCUGUCGGAAUCCCGCUACUUCCACCACCACGCCGUCGUGCUGCUGGAUCUCCAUCAACCUCUCCUUCCCCCUUGCUGGAUCAAGAAGGAGGAGACGUCGCUGCUCCGUACGUGUGUUGAACGUGGAGGUGCCGUCCGUUCGGCGCUCGGUCAUCGGUGAUUUGGAUCACGACUAGUACGACUCCAUCAACCCCGUUCACUUGAACGCUUCCGCUCGCGAUCAGAAGGUAUGUAGAUGCACUCCUCUCUCUCGUUGCUAGAUGACUCCAUAGAUUGAUCUUGGUGAUGCGUAGAAAAUUUUAAAUUAUGCUACGAUCCCCAACAGAAGAAGCCAUCUAGCUAAUAACUAUGGACCCAAAGGUCUGAAGUAAACUACUCACACUUCAUCGAAGAGGCUAUGGUGUUGAUGUAGAAGCCCUCCGUGAUCAAUGCCCCCUCCGGCAGAGCGCCGGAAAAGGCCCCAAGAUGGGAUCUCACGGGUACAGAGAGUUGCGGUAGAAAUAGGGUUUUCGCUCCGUAUCUGAUGUUUCCAGGGUAUAUGAGUAUAUAUAGGCGAAAGAGGUCGGUCAUGAGAGCUACGAGGGGCCCACGAGGGUGGGGGGCGCGCCUCCCUGCCUCGUGGCCUCCUCGUCGAUUGCUUACGUCCACUCCAAGUCCUCUGGAUCACGUUUGUUCCGAAAAUCACGUUCCCGAAGGUUUCAUUCCGUUUGGACUACGUUUGAUAUCCUUUUCCUUCGAAACACUGAAAUAGGCAAAAAAAAAUAGCAAUUUGGGUUGGGCCUCCGGUUAAUAGGUUAGUCCCAAAAAUAAUAUAAAAGUGUAUAAUAAAGCCCAUUAAACAUCCAAACAGAAUAUAUAAUAGCAUGGAACAAUAAAAAAUUAUAGAUACGUUGGAGACGUAUCAAGCAUCCCCAAGCUUAAUUCCCGCUCGUCCUCGAGUAGGUAAAUGAUAAAAACAUAAUUUUUGAUGUGGAGUGCUACUUAGCAUAAUUUUCAAUGUAAUUCUCUUAAUUGUGGCAUGAAUAUUCAGAUCCGAAAGAUUCAAGAUAAAAGUUUAAUAUUGACAUAAAAUAAUAAUACUUCAAGUAUACUAACUAAGCAAUUAUGUCUUCUCAAAAUAACAUGGCCAAAGAAAGUUCAUCCCUACAAAAUCAUAUAGUUUGGUCAUGCUCCAUUUUCGUCACACAAGAAUGCUCUCAUCAUGCACAACCCCGAUGACAAGCCAAGCAAUUGUUUCAUACUUUAGUAAUCUCAAACUUUUUCAACCUUCACGCAAUAUAUGAGCGUCAGCCAUGGAUAUAGCACUAUGGGUGGAAUAGAAUAUGAUGAUGGGGGUUAUGUGGAGAAGACAAAAAGGAGAAAGUCUCACAUUGACGCGACUAAUCAACGGGCUAGGGAGAUGCCCAUCAAAUGAUGUCAAUGCAAGGAGUAGGGAUUGCCAUGCAACGGAUGCACUAGAGCUAUAAAUGUAUGAAAGCUCAACAAAAGAAACUAAGUGGGUGUGCAUCCAACUUGCUUGCUCACGAAGACCUAGGGCAUUUGAGGAAGCCCAUUGUUGGAAUAUACAAGCCAAGUUCUAUAAUGAAAAAUUCCCACUAGUAUAUGAAAGUGACAAAACAAAAGACUUUCUAUCAUAAAGAUCAUGAUGCUACUUUGAAGCACAAGUGUGGAAAAAGGAUAGUAGCAUUGCCCCUUUUUAUUUUCUUUUUUUCUUUUUUUUGGGCCUUUCCCUUUUUUGGCCUUUUUUUUUGGGACAAUGCUCUAUGAAUGAUGAUCAUCACACUUCUAUUUAUUUACAACUCAAUGAUUACAACUCGAUACUAGAACAAAGUAUGACUCUAUAUAAAUGCCUCCGGCGGUGUAUCGGGAUGGGCAAUGAAUCAAGAGUGACAUGUAUGAAAUAAUAUGCAUGGUGGCUUUGCCACAAAUACGAUGUCAACUACAUGAUCAUGCAAGGCAAUAUGACAAUGAUGAAGCGUGUCAUGAUAAACGGAAUGGUGGAAAUUUGCAAGGUAAUAUAUCUCGGAAUGGCUAUGGAAAUGCCAUAAUAGGUAGGUAUGGUGGCUGUUUUGAGGAAGAUAUAAGGAAGUUUAUGUGUGAUAGAGCGUAUCAUAUCACGGGGUUUGGAUGCACCGGCGAAGUUUGCGCCAACUCUCAAGGUGAGAAAGGGCAAUGCACGGUACCGAAGAGGCUAGCAAUGAUGGAAGGGUGAGAGUGCGUAUAAUCCAUGGACUCAGCAUUAGUCAUAAAGAACUCACAUACUUAUUGCAAAAAUCUACAAGUCAUCAAAAACCAAGCACUGCACGCAUGCUCCUAGGGGGGUAGAUUGGUAGGAAAAGGCCAUCGCUCGUCCCCGACCGCCACUCAUAAGGAGGACAAUCAAAGAACACCUCAUGUUUCAAAUUUGUUACACAACGUUUACCAUACGUGCAUGCUACGGGACUUGCAAACUUCAACACAAGUAUUUAUCAAAUUCACAAUUACUCAACUAGCACAACUUUAAUAUCACUACCUCCAUAUCUCAAAACAAUCAUCAACCAUCAAACUUAUCUUAGUAUUCAACGCACUUAUAAGAAAGUUUUUACUAAUCUUGGAUGCCUAUCAUAUUAGGACUAAUUUCACAAUUUAAGCAAAUUAUCAUGCUGUUUUGUAGGACUCUCAAAAUAAUAUAAGUGAAGCAUGAGAGAACAAUAAUUUCUAUAAAACAAAACCACCACCGUGCUCUAAAAGAUAUAAGUGAAGCACUAGAGCAAAAACUAUAUAGCUCAAAAGAUAUAAGUGAAGCACAUAGAGUAUUCUAAUAAAUUCCGAUUCAUGUGUGUCUCUCCCAAAAGGUGUGUACAUCAAGGAAGAUUGUGCUAAACUAAAAAGCAAAGACUCAAAUCAUACAAGACGCUCCAAGCAAAACACAUAUCAUGUGGUGAAUAAAAUAUAGCAUCAAGUAAAGUUACCGAUGGACGAAGACGAAAGAGGGGAUGCCUUCCGGGGCAUCCCCAAGCUUAGGCUUUUGGUUGUCCUUUAAUUUUACCUUGGGGUGCCUUGGGCAUCUCCAAGCUUAGGCUCUUGCCAAUCCUUUUUCCAAAAUCCAUCAAAUCUUUACCCAAAACUUGAAAACUUCACAACACAAAACUCAACAGAAAAUCUCAUGAGCUCCGUUAGCGAAAGAAAACAAAACACCACUUCAAGGUACUGUAAUAAACUCAUUAUUUAUUUAUAUUGGUGUUAAACCCACUGUAUUCCAACUUCUCUAUGGUUUAUAGACUCUUUUACUAACCAUGGACUCAUCAAAAUAAGCAAACAACACAUGAAAAACAGAAUCUGUCAAAAACAGAACAGUCUGUAGUAAUCUGUAUCUAACGCAAACUUCUGUAACUCAGAAAAAUCUACCAAAAUAGGAAGUCCUAGAUAAUUUGUUUAUUGAUCUACUGCAAUUGGAAUCAGUAUUUUAUCACGUUCUGGUGAUUUUUAACAAUUGUUUUUGUGAACAGAAAGUUUCUGAAAUUUUGAGCAAGACCAAAUAACUAUCAUCCAAGAAGAUCCUAUAGGUUUAACUUGGCACAAACACGAAUUAAAACAUAAAAACACAUCUAACCAGAAGCUAGAUGGAUUAUUUAUUGCUAAAAAGCAAGUAAAAAUAUUGGGUUGUCUCCCAACAAGCGCUUUUCUUUAAAGCCUUUUUAGCUAGGCAUUGAGAUUUCAAUGAUGCUCACAAGAAAGACAAGAAUUGAAGCACAAAGAGAGCAUCAUAAAACACGUGACAAACACAUCUAAGUCUAACAUACUUCCUAUGCAUAGGCAUCUUAUAGGAAAACAAAUUAUCAAGGCAAGCAAAAACUAGCAUAUGCAAGGAAGCGGAAAGAAACAAAAGCAAUCUCAACAUAACGAGAGGUAAUUUAGUAACAUGAAAAUUUCUACAACCAUACUUUCCUCUCUCAUAAUAAUUACAUGUAGGAUCAUAAGCAAAUUCAACAAUAUAGCUAUCACAAAACAUAUGCUUACCACGAUCCACAUGUAUGCAAAGUUGACACUCUUCCAAAAUAGUGGGAUUAACAUUAGCUAAAGUCAUGACCUCUCCAAACCCACUUUUAUCAAAAACUUCAUAAGAUUGAUCAAAAUCCAAAUAUGUGGGAUCUAAAGUUGACACUCUUCCAAACCCACCUUCAAUACUAUUGUAAACAUUAUUAUCAAUCUCAUAUUCAUCAUGGGGCUUAAAUAAAUUUGCAAGAUCAUAAGAAGAAUCACCCCAAUCAUGAUCAUUGCAACAAGUAGUGGACCUAGCAAAACUAGCAUCCCCAAGCUUAGGGUUUUGCAUAUUAUUAGCACAAUUGACAUUAAUAGAAUUUAUAAUAACAUCAUUGCAAUCAUGCUUUUCAUCGAAGGAACUAUCAAGUAUGGGUGCAAUAGCAACGAUCUCAUGUUUAACAUAUGAGACUAUAGCAAAUUCAUCUUUAUAAAUAUUGGCAUCAUGGCCACAAGAAUAGAAAGCAUCAUGUUCAUCAGGGGAUAUUUCAAUCAAAUCAUCAGACUCAUAAUUAUCUAUAGAUUCAUGCAUAUCAUUAUUUUCUUCCUCCAUAGACUCCUGCAAAAUAUUAGUCUCUUCUAGGACAGCGGAGGAGUCCUCAAUAUAUGGUUUAACAUAGGCAUUGGAAGCAUAAUUAUCAUAACAAUAUUUAAGUAUGGCAAAAUUUUCAGAUUUGUAAAGAGUAGCAUCAUAUGUUUCAAUCAAAGAAGCAAUUUCAUAAGCACACUUAAAAGCAACAAAUUCUUCAAUUUGUUGAACAUCAUAGUAAUUAUAAACACCCUUAGCAUACGAAGGUACGAUUCCAUUAUCACUAAACUCACAUUGGUAGGGAAGGUGUUUCUUAAUGUUUUCAGAGCAACAAGUAAAAUCAUAAAUUUCACAAAGAUUCCAAGCAUAACAAAUCAAUCUGUUUAUUUGAUCCCAUAAGAGUCUCCCCUUUUCAGACAAACGAUGACGCACAAAAUGAGCAUGCUCAUCUAAAGAUUUCCCAUCAACUAAGCUAGUUGGGGUUUCAGUACGAGCGCAUAAGGAUCAAAGAUGAUCCAAGUAGAACACUUUAAGUGGAUCCAUAUCAAUAGAUUUUUAGCAAGCAAAGAUGCAAGCAAAUAGAAGGCACGUGGAAACACAAACAGAAAGGCAUACGGGAAGAAGGCGAAUAAAACGGCAAGGGUGAAGUGGGGGAGAUGAAAACGAGAGGCAAAUGGAAAAUAAUGUAAUGCGAGGGAUAAGAUUUUGUGAUGGGUACUUGGUAGUCUUGACUUGUGUGUAGACUCCCCGGCAACGUCGCCAGAAAUGGCUCGUUGACGGGAAAUCAAAUCUUGACUUGACUUGGUGUGCACCUCCCCGGCAACGGCGCCAGAAAUCCUUCUUGCUACCUCUUGAGCACUGCGUUGGUUUUCCCUUGAAGAGGAAAGGGUGCUGCAGUAAAGUAGCGUAAGUAUUUCCCUCAGUUUUUGAGAACCAAGGUAUCAAUCCAGUAGGAGACCACGCUCAAGUCCCACGCACCUACACAAACAAAUAAGAACCUUGCAACCAACGCGAUAAAGGGGUUGUCAAUCCCUACACGGCCACUUGCAAAAGUGAGAUCUGAUAGCGAUGAUAAGAUAAUAUUUUUGGUAUUUUUAUGAUAAAGAGUAAAAGUAAAGAAUGCAAAGUAAAAUAAAUGACGACAGAAAUAGCUAGUUGACAGGAGAUUAAUAUGAUAGAAAAUAGACUCGGGGGCCAUAGGUUUCACUAGUGGCUUCUCUCAAGAGCAUAAGUAUUACGGUGGGUAAACGAAUUACUGUCGAGCAAUUGAUAGAAUUGAGCAUAGUUAUGAGAAUAUCUAGGUAUGAUCAUGUAUAUAGGCAUCACGUCCGUGACAAGUAGACCGACUCCUACCUGCAUCUACUACUAUUACUGCACACAUCAACCGCUAUCCAGCAUGCAUCUAGAGUAUUAAGUUCAUAAGAACGGAGUAACGCUUUAAGCAAGAUGACAUGAUGUAGAGGGAUAAACUCAAGCAAUAUGAUAUAAACCCCAUCUUUUUAUCCUCGAUGGCAACAAUUCAAUACAUGUCGUUUCCCCUACUGUCACUGGGAUCGAGCACCGCAAGAUUGAACCCAAAGCUAAGCACUUCUCCCAUUGCAAGAAAGAUCAAUCUAGUAGGCCAAACCAAACUGAUAAUUCGAAGAGACUUGCAAAGAUAACCAAUCAUACAUAAAAGAAUUCAAAGGAGACUCAAAUAUUGUUCAUAGAUAAUCUUGAUCAUAAACCCACAAUUCAUCGGAUCUCGACAAACACACCGCAAAAGAAGAUUACAUCGAAUAGAUCUCCAAGAGAAUCGAGGAGAACUUUGUAUUGAGAUCCAAAGAGAGAGAAGAAGCCAUCUAGCUAAUAACUAUGGACCCGAAGGUCUAAGGUAAACUACUCACACAUCAUCGGAGAGGCUAUGGUGUUGAUGUAGAAGCCCUCCGUGAUCAAUGCCCCCUCCAGCAGAGCGCCGGAAAAGGCCCCAAGAUGGGAUCUCACGUGUACAGAGAGUUGCGGUGGUGGAAAUAGGGUUUUUGCUCCGUAUCUGAUGUUUCCAGGGUAUAUGAGUAUAUAUAGGCGAAAGAGGUCGGUCAGGAGAGCUAUGAGGGGCCCACGAGGGUGGGGGCGCGCCUCCCUGCCUCGUGGCCUCCUCAUCGAUUGCUUGACGUCCACUCCAAGUCCUCUGGAUCACGUUUGUUCCGAAAAUCACGUUCCCGAAGGUUUCAUUCCGUUUGGACUCCGUUUGAUAUCCUUUUCCUUCGAAACACUGAAAUAGGCAAAAAAAACAACAAUUUGGGCUGGGCCUCCGGUUAAUAGGUUAGUCCCAAAAAUAAUAUAAAAGUGUAUAAUAAAGCCCAUUAAACAUCCAAAACAGAAUAUAUAAUAGCAUGGAACAAUCAAAAAUUAUAGAUACGUUGGAGACGUAUCAAUAUCACAUAUACCUUUGUUCACCUUGCCAUCCUUCUUUAUCCGCCAAAUACUUGGGGCAGUUCCGCUUCCAGUGACCAGUGCCUUUGCAGUAGAAGCACUCAGUCUCAGGCUUAGGUCCAGACUUGGGCUUCUUCACUUGAGCAGCAACUUGCUUGCCGUUCUUCUUGAAGUUCCCCUUCUUCCCUUUACCUUUUUCUUGAAACGGGUGGUCUUGUUGACCAUCAACACUUGAUGCUCCUUCUUGAUUUCUACCUCCGCAGCCUUUAGCAUUGCGAAGAGCUCGGGAAUUAUCUUAUCCAUCCCUUGCAUGUUAUAGUUCAUCACAAAGCUCUUGUAGCUUGGUGGCAGUGAUUGAAGAAUUCUAUCAAUGAAACUAUCAUUAGGAAGAUUAACUCCCAGUUGAAUCAAGUGUUUGUUAUACCCAGACAUUUUGACUAUAUGCUCACUGACAGAACUAUUCUCCUCCAUCUUGCAGCUGUAGAACUUAUUGGAGACUUCAUAUCUCUCAAUCCGGGCAUUUGCUUGAAAUAUUAACUUCAACUCCUGGAACAUCUCAUAUGCUCCAUGACGUUCAAAACGUCGUUGAAGUCCCGGUUCUAAGCCGUAAAGCAUGGCACACUGAACUAUCGAGUAGUCAUCAGCUUUGCUCUGCCAGCCGUUCAUAACAUCUGGUGUUGCUCCUGCAGCGGGUUUGGCACCUAGCGGUGCUUCCAGGACGUAAUUCUUCUGUGCAACAAUGAGGAUAAUCCUCAAGUUAUGGACCCAGUCUGUGUAGUUGCUACCAUCAUCUUUCAACUUAGCUUUCUCUAGGAACGCAUUAAAAUUCAACGGAACAACAGCACGGGCCAUCUAUCUACAACAACAUAGACAUGUAAAAUACUAUCAGGUACUAAGUUCAUGAUAAAUUAAAGUUCAAUUGAUCAAAUUACUUCAGAACUCCCACUUAGAUAGACAUCCCUCUAAUCACCUAAGUGAUCACGUGAUCCAUAUCAACUAAACCAUGUCCGAUCAUCACGUGAGAUGGAGUAGUUUUAAAUGGUGAACAUCACUAUGUUGAUCAUAUCUACUAUAUGAUUCACGCUCGACCUUUCGGUCUCAGUGUUCCGAGGCCAUAUCUGCAUAUGCUAGGCUCGUCAAGUUUAACCCGAGUAUUCUGCGUGUGCAAAACUGGCUUGCACCCGUUGUAUGUGAACAUAGAGCUUAUCACACCCGAUCAUCACGUGGUGUCUCGGCACGACGAACUUUCGCAACGGUGCAUACUCAGGGAGAACACUUAUACCUUGAAAUUUAGUGAGAGAUCAUCUUAUAAUGCUACCAUCGAUCUAAGCAAAAUAAGAUGCAUAAGGAUAAACAUCACAUGCAAUCAAUAUAAGUGAUAUGAUAUGGCCAUAAUCAUCUUGUGCCUUUGAUCUCCAUCUCCAAAGCACCGUCAUGAUCACCAUCGUCACCGGCGCGACACCUUGAUCUUCAUCGUAGCAUCGUUGUCGUCUCGCCAACUAUUGCUUCUACGACUAUCGCUGCCGCUUAGUGAUAUAGUAAAGCAAUUACAUGGCGAUUGCAUUUCAUACAAUAAAGCGACAACCAUAUGGCUCAUGCCAGUUGCCGAUAACUUUGUUACAAAACAUGAUCAUCUCAUACAAUAAAAUUUAGCAUCACGUCUUGACCAUAUCACAUCACAACAUGCCCAGCAAAAACAAGUUAGACGUCCUCUACUUUGUUGUUGCAAGUUUUACGUGGCUGCUACGGGCUGAGCAAGAACCGUUCUUACCUACGCAUCAAAACCACAACGAUGUUUCGUCAAGUAUGUGUUGUUUUAACCUUCAACAAGGACCGGGCGUAGCCAUACUCGAUUCAACUAAAGUUGGAGAAACUGACACCCGCCAGCCACCUGUGUGCGAAGCACGUCGGUAGAACCAGUCGCGCGUAAGCGUACGCGUAAUGUCGGUUCGGGCCGCUUCAUCCAACAAUACCGCCGAAUCAAAGUAUGACAUGCUGGUAAGCAGUAUGACUAGUAUCACCCAUAACUCACUUGUGUUCUACUCAUGCAUAUAACAUCUACGCAUAAAUCUGGCUCGGAUGCCACUGUUGGGGAACGUAGUAAUUCAAAAAAAAUCCUACGCACACGCAGGAUCAUGGUGUUGCAUAGCAACGAGAGGGGAGAGUGUUGUCCACGUACCCUCGUAGACCGUAAGCGAAAGCGUUAUGACAACGCGGUUGACGUAGUCGUACGUCUUCACGAUCAACCGAUCCUAGUACCAAACGUAUGGCACUUCCGCGAUCUGCACACGUUCAUCUCGGUGAUGUCCCACGAACUCACGAUCCAGCAGACUGUCGAGGGAGAGUUUCGUCAGCACGACGGCGUGAUGACGGUGAUGAUGAAGCUACCGGCGCAGGGCUUCGCCUAAGCACUGCAACGAUAUGACUGAUGUCUACUACGCAACCUUCUUCUUGUAGACAUUGUUGGGCCUCCAAGUGCAGAGGUUUGUAGGACAGUAGCAAAUUUCCCUCAAGUGGAUGACCUAAGGUUUAUCAAUCCAUGGGAGGCGUAGGUUGAAGAUGGUCUCUCUCAAACAACCCUGCAACCGAAUAACAAAGAGUCUCUUGUGUCCCCAACACACCCAAUACAAUGGUAAAUUGUAUAGGUGCACUAGUUCCGCGAAGAGAUGGUGAUACAAGUGCAAUAUGGAUGGUAGAUAUAGGUUUUUGUAAUCUGAAAAUAUAAAAACAGCAAGGUAACUAAUGAUAAAAGUGAGCACAAACGGUAUUGCAAUGCUAGAAAACAAGGCCUAGGGUUCAUACUUUCACUAGUGCAAGUUCUUUCAACAAUAAUAACAUAAUUGGAUCAUAUAACUAUCCCUCAACAUGCAACAAAGAGUCACUCCAAAGUCACUAAUAGCGGAGAACAAAUGAAGAGAUUAUUGUAGGGUACGAAACCACCUCAAAGUUAUCCUUUCUGAUCGAUCUAUUCAAGAGUCCGUAGUAAAAUAACACGAAGCUAUUCUUUCCGUUCGAUCUAUCAUAGAGUUCGUACUAGAAUAACACCUUAAGACACAAAUCAACCAAAACCCUAAUGUCACCUAGAUACUCCAAUGUCACCUCAAGUAUCCGUGGGUAUGAUUAUACGAUAUGCAUCACACAAUCUCAGAUUCAUCUAUUCAACCAACACAAAGAACUUCAAAGAGUGCCCCAAAGUUUCUACCGGAGAGUCAAGACGAAAACGUGUGCCAACCCCUAUGCAUAGAUUCCCAAGGUCACGGAACCCGCAAGUUGAUCACCAAAACAUACAUCAAGUGAAUCAAUAGAAUACCCCAUUGUCACCACGGGUAUCCCACGCAAGACAUACAUCAAGUGUUCUCAAAUCCUUAAAGACUCAAUCCGAUAAGAUAACUUCAAAGGGAAAACUCAAUCCAUUACAAGAGAGUAGAGGGGGAGAAACAUCAUAAGAUCCAACUAUAAUAGCAAAGCUCGCGAUACAUCAAGAUCGUGCCAAAUCAAGAACACGAGAGAGAGAGAUCAAACACAUAGCUACUGGUACAUACCCUCAGCCCCGAUGGUGAACUACUCCCUCCUCGUCAUGGAGAUCACCGGGGUGAUGAAGAUGGCCACCAGAGAGGGAUUCCCCCCUCCAGCAGGGUGCCAUCUCCUCCGAUUGGGCGAUGGCGAACUUCGCCUUCGCCUGCUCCAUGUUGAAGCCCGACAACUCCUGCUCCGGCGACUCCGCCUCCUCCACCUCCAUCGGAGCCAACUCCUAUUCCUUUUCCCUCAGCUGCCCCUCCUCCUCCUCCGACUCCAGCGAGUCCAGAGGCAGCCUGGCAGCGAUACGGGCGGCGCGUGGCUUGUCUCGCCCGGAUCUCCUGCAGGAUCUCAUACCGGCGCUCCGGCGUGAGCAUUGCGUAGUAUCUGAUCUUUCUCCGGAACAUGGCGGAGCGCAAGAGCGUGGACAGAGCACCAGAGCGGGAGAGGAAGGAGGUAGAUGGGCUCUGGCGGCGCUGAGAGGGGGAGGUGAAUGGGCUAGGGUUGCGGGCGCCGGCCAGGUUAAAUAGACGGGUUUGGUCUCGGGCAGCGAGCCGGAGCGACGCCACGCGACGUUCACACCGCGGCGACGGAGGAGGCGUCUGUCGGACCGCCGGGUUUCCGGGCGAGUCCGCGUGGGACCCUUCGCCAGUCCUACAUGACGGGCGCGCCCGGACGCCGCCAUAUCCGCCUCAUAUUUGGGCUGGAUAUGAGGGGUGCCGGUCAGCCCGGGUGUCUGAGGCCCGUUUGGGGGGUCGUCUGGAUCAAAAAUUGUGACCGGUCAGUGCCCAGACGACCCGCCCGGGUGUAUGAGGCGGGUUUGGGGCGUCCGGCUAAAGAUGCUUUAUGAUGCGGUUUGAAUCAAACACACACAUCUAAGUUGGUCAAAUUUGCCUAACCUUAGGUGUGGCAAUCUUAGCCAAACUUAGUCUCAAACCAAACCAAUAGGUCUGAAUAAAAGCCUUUGCCCCUAAAAAAACAUCUCUGUAUGCGUUUUUUUUUCAAAAGGAAAAUCUCUAUGCCUAUCCUAGAAAAAAAAUAUCUCUCUGCUGCCCCGAAUGACAUGUGGGGCCAAGGCUACCGCGCAACAAUUCGGAAUGUCGAACCUCUAGAACUUUCUUCAUCGGUGCCCGAAGGACUCCCCACUGCUCCGCGCUUGUUCCACCACCUUUCAGAACUUUCCAUCACCUUCCAGACCCCCGCCCCCGGGGACCUACAUAAACUCCCUCCUCCUCGCCAUCGCAUCCCCACCAAAGCAUUCCACAAAAUUCAACAAGCAAUCCAACGCAGUCCAACCCGAGGAGAUCGACCGAGCUCGAGAUCAGCGAGCGAGAAUGGCGGGCAUGGUGUUCGGCUUGGAGAACCCAAUGAUGACGGCGCUGCAACACCUGCUGGACAUCCCAGACGGCGAGGCCGGUGCAGCCGGUGGAGAGAAGCAGGGCCCGACGCGCGCCUACGUCCGCGACGCGCGCGCCAUGGCGGCCACCCCGGCCGACGUGAAGGAGCUGCCGGGCGCGUACGCGUUCGUGGUGGACAUGCCGGGGCUGGGGUCCGGCGACAUCAAGGUGCAGGUGGAGGACGAGCGGGUGCUGGUCAUCAGCGGCGAGCGGAGCAGGGAGGAGAAGGAGGACGCCAAGUACCUGCGGAUGGAGCGCCGCAUGGGCAAGCUGAUGCGCAAGUUCGUGCUGCCAGAGAACGCCGACAUGGAGAAGAUCUCCGCCGCGUGCCGCGACGGCGUGCUCACCGUCACCGUCGAGAAGCUGCCGCCGCCCGAGCCCAAGAAGCCCAAGACCAUCCAGGUCCAGGUCGCCUGAGAUGCGUCUGCGUGCGCGUCGAAUCGAAGCAGAGCGUGAGUGGGAGCGAGUUUCCUGUGAUGAGUAAUGGAGUGUGUGUGUGUGUUUUGAUCUCAUCUGCUAGAGAGUGUGUGUGUCGUAUCGAUUCCUGCGCACUGGUGAUGGUUCGAUGUUUCGUUAAUGGAAAUGGGGAUGAUCUCCGGCUUCGCCUGAAUAAAACAUGCGAUUCUCUUGGCCACAUUUUCUAUUGAAAAAUCCAAGAUGUUCGUUUCUACUCAGUGUUCUGAAAAUUCAGAAAGCUGUGUUUGUAGCUUAACGGAAAACUGGAUAAGAGCAGAACAUGUGGAAUAGCAAAAUUAGGUGGAAAACGAACUAGUUCUGAAGUGCUUCUCUCACCAGGGAGAAAAAUCCUGGAUGUCUUGGCAUUUUCAUCUUAACAAUUGUCUGCCUUUUGGGGAGAUAGAAAAGGCAAAUUCCAGUAAGAAUUGAGAAUUCAGAAAUGUUAUUCUGCUUUGCCUGAAUGAAACAUGUGAGAAUCUCCAAAUUCGAUUGAUCGAGGUAUGAGGAUAUAUGAGAUUAUUCGCAAAAAAAAAAGAGGAUAUAUGAGAUAAUAGAUUCAUUGUAUUAUGAACCGAUUUUCAAAUACAUUGUAUUAUGAACCGAUUUUCAAAUACAUAUAUUUUGAUACAACGAAAAAUAAAACAGCCAUGAUUGUGUGGGGGCUAAAAGAGUGAUGUGUUUUAUGCACAAACCUCUUUUAUCUCGACAGAACUUGGGAAAUGCCAUGGUACUCUCGGGUGUAUGUACAUAUAUGCGAAGUAAUUCCAAAAAAACUUAAAAAUUUCAGAAAAAUUUUCAAAAACAAAUUUGAUCUUCUGUUGUGCUCAUAUAAAAGUUAUGCAAGAAAAGAAGUCCAGUCGACUUCAGAAAAUAAAAAUCCGACGAGAAAAAGCAUGAAUAUAACUUGUAUAUAGUGUCCAUUUUUUCAACCAAAAAUACCAUGAAAGUCACUUCUUGGCCAAUCUAUACAAUACAAAAAAGAGUAGGACAUUUUGAAAACCAAGCUCCAUAGAGGCCUUAAUUUUAAACAAUUCAAAAUUUAAACUUUUUAAUUUCAAAAAAUCUAAAAAAUAUAUACAUGUAUACAAGGAUGUAAUGUGUAUGUGUGUAAAAAUAUAGGAUGAAAUGCCUUAAAAUUUGAUCUGCACAAAAAAUAAUUAUGGACUUUGAGUAUGAAGAACACAUAUACUAAAAAGGCACAAAUUUGUCUUUUUUGUGUAGCCCUUGGUUUAACAUAUUUUGACUUGAAAAUUUACAUAUGUACAUUAUGUCUCUAGAUAUAUGUGUAUUAUUUUAGAAGUUUUUAAAACUGGAAAGUUUGAAUUUCAAAGUUUUAAAAUUAAGCCCUCCAUGAAGCUCGGCCUUCAUUGGGCAUUUUCAUACAACAGAAGGUCAACUUUGUUUACCAAAAUGUUUCAUGCCUUUUUGACUGUUUUUGGAAUUACUAAGAAAAUCAUAUCAGGUGCACUUGCACAUAGAGCCCGACAAGCACCUUUGGCUCUUUAGUCUAGGUGCACCCUAUAUGGGAAGAUUAUUUUGAAAAAGUCAUAAAAUUAUGGGCUUUUUUUGCCAAUGAAUGACUUUCAUGCUAUUUUAGGUGGGGAAAAAUUAGUACUAUACACAAGUUAAUAUUCAUGCCUUUUGUCCUUGAAAUUAUUUUUUUGCACUAAAGUCUAUGGGAGUUUUUCUUAACGAAACUUUUUAUAGGAGUACAAUUGAAGGUCAAGUUUGUUUCCAAAAAAGUUCUGUCUUUUUUGAAUUACUAUUUUUUUCCAUAUAGGUUGCACCUACACUUGAGAGCCAACAGGUAUUUCUUCGGAUUGAAAACACUAUUUUCAUAUUAGGGAAUUUAUGCGCGCGAGAGCUAGCUUUUACUAGGGAGUCCAUGAUGAUGUUGACUGGUGGGUUUUUUUCAACUCUCCCCACAAAAGGCAAAGGCUUUUGUAAUUAGCGCUUAGGCUCAAACUAUGUCACCUUUAUUUUCUCUACUAAUAAAAACAAGAGUGGUCCUCUCAAUUUGGAAACAAAGAGUGGUCUUAUUAAUAGCAAGAUAUACCUUAAGAAAAUUGUUUUAAUUCAGUUAUCUUUUCUUAGUGGACGUGAAAUCUUUUAGUCGCCUUUUUCGUGAGCGACUACAUUAUUUGUUUUAAUUCCUUUUUGCCUAAAAUGCAUAAUUCUAUAGUUUUGUAUGCUGCCUAAGCCGGAGGAUGCAAUGUGGGACUUCACCUGGUAAUUUUAUAUCUCCCCAAAAGGGUAAAAGUUGCACAAUUUGUGCAAAACCAAAAUUCAACUAGAGAGGUAUGGUGUGGUUGCUUCCUUGUAUGCUCUUUUUCUUGGUUCUUGUUUGUAAUCUCCAAUUUGUAUAUGAAAUUGUUGGUUCACAAUCAACCCUUGGAAGUGUCAACAUCCUAAUCGACAAAUUUACAGCAAGGACGCCAUUAAAUUCUUUUGAGGCCCUUCCCUAUUUAGUAAUGUAUUUUAUAUCAUUUAUUGGAGAUGUUAUUAGAAUCUCACUUGAAGUUAACGAUAUCUGUUUUGUAUUGCUUCAGCAUCGACGUUUUAUUAGAAUCUCGCCAGAGUUGCUCCAACGACGGAACCAUCCAUCACAAUAGAGCAGUACCCUGGAAGCCGUCUAUAGACACCUCAAAUCUUCCUCCACACCUCCGACAGCCACCUCUGUUGCAACUUCUUCAGCGACCAACCCAAUGAUGCUGAGGUCGGCACGGCUACGCCAAAGAGGUUAUACACUUGUCACAUCACUUAUUACUCUACAUUCAUGUCAAUCCAUCAGGGCUAUUUUGGUUCAAAGGAAAAGGGGCGCACGAGGCGGCGGACGUCGGCGAGGCGGAGUCGCAUUCUCCGGCGCCGCGUAUGGCGCAUCAGUCCGGGCGCCGCAACCGCAUCGUGGUGGACGUUAGCGGCUCGUCCCCGGACGGAUCCAUCAUUGAUCUGACGUCCACCGGCACCGUUCGGAUUCCGGUCUCCGACGAGAAGGAGUAGGGCAUGGGAGACGGCGGUGCCUUGAGUCCCGUGAGCCAACUCGUGUCCCAUGCCCUACCCUACCUUGCCGGCGACCGGACCAACACUAUGAGGAGCGCAGCCGGCCGCCGGGCAUGGCCGGGGGGGGGGGGGAACCGGGCGAGCGCGGAGCGGAACCGGACAUGCUCCACAUAGAUUAGGUUUCACGUUGCAUGUCUAUACUUACUUUUCCUAUACCCCUAUAUAGUGCGCGAAUAACUUUGAAAGUUGGUCGUUGGAUGAAGCCAAUCCAACGGUAUAGAGAUGGCAAAUCCGAGCACUGCUGGCCGUUGGAUAUCAUCUACAUUCCACCAGAUCUUGCCCAUGUACAAUCUAGAAGACUCCAUGGUUGAACUUAAGCAUAAUGCACAAACCUCAAAACACAAAAUCACUUCUCCUUUGUUCUCUAAAAUCUUCCAUAUCUUAGUUGCCCAAACUUUUUUUUCUAAAUGAAUUGUCACCUUUUAUUUUUACUUUAUGUUUUACAAUGCACAAUUCCAUGAAUCUUAAAAUAGAUUUUUUUAAUAAAACUAAUUGAUUUUGGAUGAGAUGAACUAUAAGAAUUAAACGAACAUCUACAUUAUGCAUAUAUGACUCAAAGCUUAUAUGCUAUAGUGUGGUAUUUAUUCAUAAUUUGGUUACCAAAUCUCAUACCUGCAAUGCAUGUGUACCUUACUAGUCCUAUAUACUAUACCAAUAUUGACUCAUACGGACCAUUGGAUCUGUGUAAUCAGACGGCUCACAUUCAAUAGCUAUAACUAGAGGACCAUGUGGCCAAAUAUGCACCAUUGGAUAGGACAAUCUGACGGACCACAGAGCUAGGAUUCGCGCUGGGAGGCAUUAGAGCAACUCCAAUGGUGCGACCCAUUUAGUCCGCCGCUGUCCGUUUGGGUCGGCGCGGACAGAAAAGUCGGCCCAACGCGCCGACCCAAACGGACGCGCGUCCGCUUUUCUGCGGGCGACCCAUUCCCGGCCCAUUUUUGGGCCGGAUUUGCGGGCGCGGACACGCGGCGGACGCGCACACGCUCGCCUUCUCCUCUUCCCGGACCCGCUGGUCGGUGGCUCAUUGGCCUCCCCCACCCCCUAGCCAACAACAACCCUCGCCCACCUCCUUCGUCGUCGCCGCUGCCGCCGCCCUUUUUUGCCGGCGACUCUGCCAGCUGCCGCCGCCUCCACAUCCGCCCAGCAACGCCGCUCACUCCCCCCGUCACCCCGCCACCGCCGUCUUGCCGCCGAGGAGCAAACUGUUUCCCACCGCUGCUCCCCAACCGCACAGCCGCCCGCGACCAAGAGGCCGCCUCGCCGCCCCGGCCAGAUCCUCACCGUCACGCUCGUCGGACGCCGGCCCACUCGUCGGACGUCGGCAGGGCAGCUAGCUCGUCCGUGCACGCCGAGACUCCCCUCGCCAGCCGUCUCCUUGUUCGACGCCCGCAAGCUGUUCGACAGUUUGCCAAGGUACGAAAAUGGACUCCGCCGACGAGUUCUUUUCCACAAUUUCCUUUGGGACUCCGACGAGUGGGGCAUCGUCCGGUAUCCUGCUAAUACCUGGAGCAUGCAGAAACUGUGGGAGGUGAUGACUGCUUGUGUGAUUAUGCACAAUAUGAUCGUAGAAGACGAGCGCCCGGAACGUCUGUACGAUCAAGGGUUUCAGUUUCAGGGUGAGAAUGUUGUGCCUGACCAUGGAGUAGCGGCAACAUUUGAACAGUUCAUCCAAUUUCAUGAAGACAUGCGUGAUUGGGAAACUCACGUGCAGCUGCAAAAUGAUUUGGUUGAGUAUAUGUGGGCUCAUGUUGGCAACCAAUAGAUGUAUCUUUUUUUAUUCGUUUGCAAAACUAUGUGAAACAUUUUUAUUUGUAUCCGGCUUGUAAAACUAUAAUAUUUUUAUUCGGUAAAACUAUGUUAUUUGACAAUAUGUUUGAAUGCAAAUCAAUGUAAAUAUAGUGCGGCCAGCUGGCCACGCCGGCACAUAUGGGUCGGCGCGUUGGGCGCGCUGCCGACCCAAAUCUAAAAAAGGGCGGACGCAGGGCGGGCGACCGACCCAAACGGACAAAAAGCGGACGAAAUCGCUGUCCAUUUGGAUAGUGUUGCUCUUACUACCGUGCCAGCCCGCCGACCACACGCGGUGAUUCUAUUCUUACUAGAAAAUUCUAGCAUGCCCAUGUCACAUGAGUACUGUAGUACAUGCAGCCUAGAGUUGUUUAGAGAGCCCUACAGCCCUACAGCAAGUCUAUACCACUGUAUAGUGUGGGAAUAACAAUGAAUGUGAGCCAUUCGAUCUACACAUCCGAUGGCUAGGAUGUGGCAAAUCCCUACAGCGUGAGCCGUUGAUUUCGGCAUCCAACGGCUGAAAAUCACAGCCCCUGUCUAGCUUUGACAGCAUGCUCGCCUUUCCCCUGCUCUGCUGCCUCGCUUCCCCGGCCCCUGGCCACCGCCUUUCUACCUCCAUCGCAUCGUCGUCUCUCCCACCCGCCCCGGCUCUAUCCCACGUUCGUUCGAUUAAAUGAACCAUCAUGGCACAUAUGAUUCGCUCUCUCAUGAUCCACCUAUUCGGCAUUACCUUGUUUUGUUGCUCCAAAAAUUUCACGCCGCCACAGCCGUCCGCUUCCCCACCCGCGCAUGUCGCCAAGUCGUUCGGGAAGAAAGCGCGUGAAACCGCGGGAGCGACAAAGCUAUGGUGGCCGCCCGGGAGGAGGCCGGAGACCACGGGAUCAGCCAAAGCCUUGGUGGUCGGGAGGAGGCCGGAGACCGCUGGAUCAGCCAGAGCCAUGGUGGCCGGGAGGAGGCCGGAGACGGCUUCCUCGGAGGCCCGCGAAGCUAUAGUCCUUUGAGUGGCGGCCGGUGACAUCGACGAGGCGAGGAACAACGGCGAUGGGGUAGAGAAGAUGUCAAGAACUAUGUGCGACGGAUGUAAGACACAGAACUGGUCAACUCGAGACGAGAAGAAGCGACGACAGAAGAGACGGGACAGUUCGAGAGAAGCGUAGCUGGGCAUUCACGGGCCUGCUCGGGUGGGCAAGUGGGCCAUAUUGGAAUUUCUUCUUCCCAAUGAUGAUGACGUGGUACAAUAGCCCUGAAUGAAUGGCCUAAAUGAAUGCUCACGGACACCUAAAAGGAAAUCUCACCGUAGGCUAACAUACAGUCUAAGAUAAAUGUGACAUGAACCCCUAGAAAAAACAUAAGGUGACAUGAUUCAUUUCAAAAGAAAAAAGAACGUGACAAGGUUAGCUCCAAUACAAAACGUGAGAUAAUUGUGGAAAUAGCCCGUGGGUCUCGGGUCCCAUUGCACCUGAAUUUCAUCUUUUUUUUUAUAUAAAAAAUAGUCAAAAUUCUGAAACAUUUGUGUCACAAAUAUGACUUAGUGUAAUAAUCGCAUGAAAAUUUUCGCGGAGGAAUGACUACCAUGAUAUUCUGGACGGGAAAAAGAUCAAUACUAUAUAAAAGUUACUGUUCAUAAUUUUUUGGAUUUGCGAUUUUUUUGCGGAGGAUACCAUGAAACUCUUUACAUGAGUAUUUUCCCACUAGGCCAUGCUUGUUACAAAAAAGUUUGAGAAAGUUUUGACUCUUUUUGACUUUUUAAAAAUGUUUCUCCAAUUCGGAUGCAUUGGCACCCAUGUUCCAAAGAUCCGCACCGACAUAAUAGCUCUCACAAAUAUACACUAAAAAAGGAAAAUGCGACAUAAGAAAGUGUAUAUAAGCAGAAAUGAUAUAUAUUGCGAAACUAGGUAAUGCCCCGCACGUUGAUGCAAAAGCCUUACUAAAAAUGCAUAAAUAGUUGCUACAAAAACAUCUAAAACUAAUGGAAAGAAAAUGCAAGCUCAAAAAUAAAACAUAAAAAGCAUAUAAAAAGAGAAAAAAUGAAGUGCAGUUAAAAUAAUAUCAUUUCUAACAAAAUGUGAAGGAGGAAUUCUAAUACAAAAAUGUCUUUAUGACUAAGAUGCAUGAAUUGAUGAUGUGCACCAUUGCAUGUAUAAAGUAAUGCAAAAAAGAAAAUAUAAUUUAUGACUUGCAUGUAUGACUCUCCUAUGUGGCAUGGUUGCAUGGCUGAAAAAACAAAAACAAAAUUGAGAGUAGUAGCUAUUUAGAAAUAGAAGAUGUAGCAUAGUUGCAUGGCUAGAAAAAAAAGGUAGUGAGUUAUAGCUAUUUAGGAACAGAAGAUGUAGCAUGGCUAGAAAAAUAAAUAGUAAGUCUUAGCUAUUUGGGAAUAGAAGAUACCAACAUGAAUCGUUGACAUGCAUGCCAUCAACGUGCAAAGCACGUGCCAUUUACUAUAGCCUAGAGAGCCCUACAGGCUACAGCCCUACCGUAAGACAGCUACUUUAGCAGUAGAGAAAAGAAUAGAAACGGAUAUGAGUAAAGAUGAGAGAGAGAAUGGAUGCACCAAUGCAGCGACGGUAAGGACAAAUGCACAAUUUACCAAAUUAGAUAACGGCAAGUAAAGUAAACGGUCUAAUAUGUGUUAUAAGAAAAUAGACUUUACUUUCUUUUAUAAUUUUAUUUUCAAAACAUUACGAUAUGGACAUUCCUUUGUUUUUGCCAGCAAUUUAUAUUUGUAAAAUUCUAAUAUAUUAUUUUUUAGCGUAAAAUUGUAAUCUAUUAUACGGCAAGUGUAUGGAAUUUGUUUCAAAAAUGAAAUUAACAAAUAUUGACAAUGGGAUUCUAAAUAUACUAAACCUGGCCAGGUUUAGUUUACCACGAUUUUUUUACUUUUUCUUAUCAGUCAAAAUCGGCCCAAUGGGUGGGCGACACGUGCUUUAGUGGGGGAUACAGCCGGGUACACGGUUUGGUGCACGUACUGAUUUCUGCCGGAAAACAUAAAAAAUUGAGGCCUGAACUCUCCAUUGGCUGCAUGUGCUGGUUCCUUCUCAGUUUGGGAUUGGUUGCAUGCCCUGCGCGUGGAGGGAUCGAGAUUCUGCAUGGCUGUUUGUUUUAUCUUUCCAAUCGAGUCGGUCGCCGUCCGCACCUUCUGGGUUUGCCAUGUUGUCGGUUGCCGCUUCCGAUCAGUUUUCUGGGCCCUUCUACAGCAUGUGCGCGCGGUAGCUGUUUCGAUUUUUUGCUCUUCCUCUCUGCUGUCUCCUAUAAAUACUGCCUGCUCCGUGUGUCCGUUCUUCAUUCCAACUGCUCCCGUCUGCUCUCUCUCUUCUUUCUAACUACUGGUGCCAUUGUUCGGCCGGCGAUGGUUGCUCCUGCUCCUGUUCGUUCUGGACGGCGCCGUCGGGGUCGUCCUCCUGGGAUUCGGGCAGCCGUUAUUGCCCGUGUACGCCGUGCCGGCAUGCCUAUUUCUUCUGCGGAUUCCUCGUCGGUGACGGCAGGCGCUGCUCUGCGUGGUCGGUUGGCUGGGGUCGGUUCAGGACGGCGUUCCCGCUCCGCGGCGGCUCGACGGCCGCUUAGUUCUCGCCGGGCUGGUGAGUUUAUCUACUCUUUUGUACUUGCGGUUCUGUUUGGAUUGUUCUUCUACUUGUUUGCUUGCUGUGCGGUCAGCUUAUUUGGUUACUUGAUUUUGUAGGCUGCCAGCGUUCUGACUCGCCGGCGACGUGCUCAGCUCUACACGGAGAUAACCACGUCUGCUUGGCGGUGGCUCUCCACGCCAGCGCCCGUUCCUUCUUCACCCGACGACGAUGGCAGCGCCGUGAUCGCAUAGCCUGCGGCCUUCCACAGCGAGCGGCCCGCCGAUCACGCUCGAGGUCGCCCUGGUAACCGACUUAUCGCCAACGACGUCGAUGAUUGCGGCGAGCUCGCCCACGGAGGGCACCCAGUGCAGCCCUACACCGUUCCACGGUCGUGGAGCGACGGCGUCUGCACCAGACCAGCCCAGAAUACUGCUGCUCCUCUAAGUCGCAGUUCCAGUUUCUCAGAGGGGCGCCACAGUGGGGGGAGACGUCGACGACGCGGCAUGCGGCGCAGAGCAGGGGGGUGCCGCCAGCGGAAGGAGACCGUGUUGCCGUUGUGGAUAUGGCGGUCGCACGGCAAGCAGAGCCCCACUGUUUCCGCCCGGAAGUAUACCACGGCCAGCGCGACGGAGCAUUAGCACUCCGUUGUGGGCACCAUGUCGGCGGCAACCCCUGGCACCAUGCAUGUAUUACUCCACGGAGGGAGUAUGUAAUAGGAGUAGUUUUUAUAGUAAACAGAUGAAGAAUGGCAUGUGCAUGUGGUUCUUGGCUAGAUGCCACUACACGGAGGAUGCGGUGAUCCUGUAUUUUCAUGCAGGUUCAUUGCACUCUACGCGUGCGGCAGUUGCGACACCUCGCAUCUCGAUCGAUCCUGGCAAAGCUAAUUUGUUCGCCGGCAGCCUCUAUGCUAUAGGAGCUAUGCAUAUGUUUCAUGAUUACGGCCUCUCUGAAUUCAGAAUAUAUGAAUAGACCAUGCAUGACCGGGUGUAUACAUCCGUUAGUUCAACUAGCUAGCUAGCAAGGAAAAAGGCAGAACCAAGAAAGAGAUCGCAUGCAAGCCUUUGUUCAGGUGUGUCUGUAGCUCGGUGCUUAGCACUUUUGGCUUUUCUAUAUACGGUGCAGCCGGUUUCGACUUGCAUGUGUAUUCUGAAUUUAGAAUAUAUGAAUGUUUGUCUUCUUGGGAAGUGCCUGUAGAAAUUUGGAUCUGAAGAUGCAACUCACGUACUGCAGAAAAAGUUUCUCAGUAGUCAGACUUUGUCAAGCCAAAGAAGGACCUAGGCACUCACAAUUUUGGAACUCCCUCAUGGGAUUUAAAGACCUGUUAUUUCCUUCCUAUACAAGGAAAAUUGGCAUCCCGCCAGAUUCUUGGAGGAUUUGUCGAUGGGAGUGGUUUUUCAGCCCUACACCCCAUAUGAGGCUAUGAACAGUAAAUUAGAAAAAAUCUGAAACUUUCCAACGUCAAAUAGAUUCAGUGGAUUGGCUCCGAACGUCUUGCACAUAUUAAAUUAACUGUUCUUCUGUUACACUUACAUGCUUCCACCCAUUAUUUUAAACAAAAUAAGCACAAUUACCCGAGACAGUCCAACAUACAAACAAGAAUAUGAAAAAAAUUAAAAAAACUGAACAACAAAUGAGAAAUAUCUAUACACAAUAUAAUAACAUAAACUAUACUCCCUCCGUCCGCGAAUAAAUGUACAUAUAACUUUUGUCCUAAGUCAAAGUUUUAAAAUUUUGACCAACUUUCUAGAAAAAGUAGCAUCAUUUAUGGCACCAAAUUAGCAUUGUUAGAUUCAUUUUGAAAUGUACUUUCAUAAUAUACCAACUUGAUGUCAUAUAUGCUACUAUUCUUUCUGUAAAUUUGGUCAAACUUUUAAAACUUUGACGAAGACAAAAGCUAAAUGUACACUUAUUCGCAGACGGAGGGAGUAUGCAAUAUAAUAACAUAAACUAUCAUCUACAAGCAGACACUACUACUUUGUGAUUCAGUGGAUUGGCUCCGAAUGUCUUGCACAUAUUAAAUUAAUUGUUCUUCUGUUACACUUACAUGCUUGAAACCACUAUUUUAAAUAAAAAAAGCACAAUUACCUGAGACACUUCAAUGUACAAACAAAAAUAUGAAAAAAAAUUAAAAGAACUCAACAACAACUGAGAAAUAUCUGUACACAAUAUAAUAACAUAAACUAUAUGCAAUAUAAUAACAUAAAUUAUCAUCUACAAGCAGACACUACUACUAUCACAACAAGCGCAUUGCGGUGUGGCUUAGAUCGGUUCCCUCUGAGAUUGAUUUGCUGUAUUCAAACGAUUGUAACCACACUGGUUCACUAGUAGGAAAAGGGGCUUUUACCCCGGUUUGUAAGGGCCUUUUGUCCCGGUUUUCGAACUGGGACUAAAGGGUCGUUAUUAAAGCCCUAACCCUUUAGUCUCGGUUCUUACACGAACCGGGACAGAAGGUCCUCCAUGUGGCCGCUGCUGCCAGCCCAGGCAGGGGGGCCUUUGGUCCCGGUUGGUGCCAACAACCGGGACUAAUAGGCAGGGCCUUUUGUCUCGGUUGGUGUCACCAACCGGGACCAAUAGGCAAUAGGCAUCCACGCGUCAGCAUUUCAGNNNNNNNNNNNNNNNNNNNNNNNNNNNNNNNNNNNNNNNNNNNNNNNNNNNNNNNNNNNNNNNNNNNNNNNNNNNNNNNNNNNNNNNNNNNNNNNNNNNNNNNNNNNNNNNNNNNNNNNNNNNNNNNNNNNNNNNNNNNNNNNNNNNNNNNNNNNNNNNNNNNNNNNNNNNNNNNNNNNNNNNNNNNNNNNNNNNNNNNNNNNNNNNNNNNNNNNNNNNNNNNNNNNNNNNNNNNGUUUCAUAUAUUGUGUUAGCUAGCUAAUUAAUAGAGAAGUGUCCUCUCUUAUUUCCGUGCUUGGUCGACACUACGUACUAUAUACGUAUGGAGAGGACUAGACACGCUAGCUAGUAAACAAAUGAAGGAAACAGAAGAUCGUCAUGAACAUAUGCAUGCAGAGAGAAGUGAUAUCGACCACCUCUCCUUCUCCGAGAGAUUGAUCGAACAACAAGUUCUCGUAUAUCUAUCUGACACUACCGGCUACAUAUAUACAAUAAUUAUCUCUUACAAUAUAAUCUCCUAAUUAAAUUGUAAGAACACAGGGUCCACAUAGUAUUCUCCGUUUUCAGCGAUCACGUGGUCAAGGAAGAAUGCCGCCAAUUCCUCUUGAAUUGCUCGCAUACGAUCUUCUGCUAGGAGUUCAUCCCGCAUCCAAAACAUCUAAUUUGAAGAAGGGGGUCAAUACAUAUAUAUAUGAAUAAAUGAAACUCGACACAAAUGAUGGUAAUAAAAUAAAAUUGUGAAUAUUAUUGCUUACGCACUUCAUAUUGUUCGUCAGAGUAGCCCCGCUCACAGGUCGUGUGGCGGAUAGACUCGCAAACGUAGUAUCCACAGAAAUCAUUCCCUUGUUCCUGCCACAACCACUUUACAAGAAAUAGAGGUCAAUCUAACUGAUAAGCAAGCAUGCUAAAUGGUAUUGAUGAAACUAGCGCUUGAAUCACUAGGAGAUGUGCGGAACAUGCUACUAUAGUACUUACUUUCGGGUGUCUAAAUUGCAGCUUCUUCGGCAGUCCCGGAGCUUUUGUGGUGAAUUUUCUCCAAACCCUGCCAGACAAAGAAAACAAUUACUUGAUAUCAGGAAAUGAACAAAGUUGCUGAUAUGGUGGAUAAUGAUCGAUUUAACUUACUUCUCGAGCAUUUGAGUCAUGUCCGCAUAGUCCUGGGGAUCUUUUCGUCUCGAGUCUAAGACAGUUACUACUCCCUGCUCAAGCUUAAUCUCUAGGAGAAUAUAGUGGAAGCUGCGCAUGCAUGCAUAAGUCAUCAAUUACAUUACCAUAACCUGGACUAAUAAAGGAAACCGAAUAUGCACAACACUCACUUGAAGUUGUAAGGAAAGAGUAUUAUAUCUUUGUUUUGAUUUAAUACCAACGAUCGUAGCAAGUUGGCCUCGGCUUCUUUGGGAUGUUUUUCAACCGUAUAUUCAUCUAUGAGAUUUGUGUUAAUGAACCCAAUAUCACCGAUUUGUCUUUUCUUCAAUUCGGCGAUCUUCAAUCUGCAUAAUAUAGUGAGGAUAAUUAUAAAUACAUGCAAUGAAAGAGCUGACCUAUAUAGAGAGACUUAAUGACAGAAGUAGUACUACUUACAGACAGUAGCAAGUGAUCGUUGAUUUAUCGAGGGCCUUUUGAUUGUAAAACUGGAAGAAGUCCUCAAAUGGAACAUUCAGCAGUUCAAUUCCAACGAGGUCAUGCUCCGGUUUAACUCUCAGCGUCAAAGUAUUCAUCCCAUCAGACUCUCUGCAGGUUUUCAUGUACCAAUCAUGUAAUCUUCGCAUCAUCGUUGUUAGAGAUCUUUCAUCUUUGACCAGAGGCUUCCCGUAAUGGUAUUUGUGUUCGUCCACCUCCAUGAUUUCAUAAUGUACAUCGUCGGACAGGUAAUCUCCAAGAUUGCUAUAACCGGCCACCAUCCUCGGAUCAUUAGCGACGAUGUCUUUAGACACCUUGAGCGGGGGGCACGAUUGGUUCGCUUGUUCGCCGAGCUGGGCAAUUUUUUCCCAGCUCGUCGUUCUUUUAACCUUUGAUCACUGACAGUACUUCCCGACCGCUCCGCUUCGACAAAUGUCUUUGUAAUAAUGCGCUCAUAGUUGCCUUUCGGUAGAGACUUUGGUGGUUUUGUCAUGGCAUCCAGAGUGCGCUUCGCUUUCACCGGAUCUACCUUCUCCUCCGGAGGUGGAUGUUUCUUUGCUUCCACCCCUUCAAAGAAGUUCUUCACUUCGGCUCGCACGAUCUUCGCGUUCUCCUCCUCGGUCCUCUCGUAUGGUAACUUCUCUAGAGUCUUCAGAGAAGGACCGAAUCUGUAUUGCCUCCCGCCUCUGGCAGCUGUACUUCUAGACGCCGGCAGAGCAGACGGAGCGGCUGCGGCUGUCUUCUUUCCUUGCUUACGAGGCGGAGGAGAAGGACUACGACGCUCCGGAGCAGCCGGAGCGGCGGCGGGUCUCUUCCGCCCUUGCUGACGAGGCGGAGAAGGAGGAGGCUGGCUACUCUGGCACGCCGGCGCGGGCGGAGAAGGAGGCGGAGUGCCGCCACGCGCCGGAGAAGGAGGUUGAUGAGUGCCCUGAUCACUCGCCGGAGGAGGAGGCGGAGUGCCGCCACGCGCCGGAGAAGGAGGCUGAGUGCCCUGAUCACUCGCCGGAGGAGGAGGCGGCGGCGGAGUGCCCUUACUCGCCGGAGGCGUCCAGUUCGGAAGGUUAAUGAGCUCCUUCCGCCAUAGGCACGGAGUCUUCAGAGCUAAACCCAGCCGAGUCUCCCCUUCACCGGUAGGGUGGUCAAGCUGGAGGUCCUCAAAUCCCUCCGUUAUUUCAUCCACCAUCACCCUAGCAUAUCCUUCUGGAAUCGGCCGGCAGUGGUAGGUUGCGCCGGGUUCAGGAGGUAAAACAGAGCCAACAGCCGCCUUGACUUUGAAGUUCUGCCAUUGCGCCAUAAGGUGGCAAUGUUGAGACUCCGUGAUAGCAUCCACGGGGUAGCUAGCAGGAGUCAUCAAGACAUGCUCUGGCUGAAGCAGCUCGGUGGAAGCCACGCUGCUUCUCCGCUGAGAUGGCGGGGUAGCUUCGGGGGUAGUUUCGGCAUGUCGAUUGCCGUCUCGUUCCUCUAGCGCUUGAACCCUUUCGUGCAGCUUCUGAAUUUGGGUCUGCUCCAUUUUUUUCCUCCUCUCCUGGCUUUUGUAACCGCCUACGUCCGGAAAACCAGCCUUCCACGGAACGGAGCCUGGCGUGCCUCGUGUCCGUCCAGGGUGCUCAGGAUUCCCGAGGGCCAUUGUGAGCUCGUCGUUCUCUCUGUCUGGAACGAACGUCCCUUCCUGCGCUGCAUCGAUAUAUUGCUGAAUCUUCUUGACUAGUAUUCUCAAAAGCUCGUUCGUCCAAACGCACCUCCCUGAUACAGGGUCCAAGGUUCCGCCAGCCCCGAAGAACCAAGUCCGGCAACGGUCUGUCCAGUUCAUUGUCUGUGGUUCGAUCCCUUUUUCAAGCAGAUCAUUCUUAGCCUUGGCCCACUUAGGCCGGGCUUUGAGGUAGCCACCUGACCCCAUGCGAUGGUGAAGCUUCUUCUUUGCAGCAUUCUUCUUGUUUGUCGCUGACAUCUUCUUACUCCUUUCCGAUGUCUUGUGGGCCACAAAUGCGGGCCAUUGAUCUCUGAUCUUCUCAUACCGGCCGAUGAAUUCUGGUGUCUCUUCUUUGUCGACAAACGUUUUCAGCUCAUUCUUCCACCUCCUGAAUAGGUCUGCCAUCUUCUUAAGAGCAUGAGACUUGAUUAAUUGCUCUUUAACUGGCUUCUCCGGAUCCUCCUCUGGCGGUAGGGUGAAAUUUGCCUUCAGCCCAGUCCAAAGAUCAUCUUUCUGCAUAUCAUUGACAUAAGACACCUCAGGGUCUUCCUUCUUAGGCUUAUACCAUUGCUGGAUGCUGAUCGGGAUCUUGUCCCUAACUAGAACCACGCACUGAGCAGCAAAUGCAUCCUUUGUCCAGAUGGGUUCAAUCGGUUGGCCGUCGCGCGCGAUUGCUGUGAUCUCAAACCUUUCAUCCGAGCGCAACUUUCUCUUCGGGCCUUGUCUCUUUACCGCAGUUGUGCUCGAUCCGGAGGGCUAGAAAAAAGAAGAAAGACGAGUGUUAAUUAAUAUGUGUACAUACCAAAACAAUGAAUGCAUCAAUUAGCUAGUCAGCACAGGCUUAACUAAUAUAUUUACCUGGCCGGACUCUGUUCGGUCACCGGAGCCGUCACCACGGGCUCCUUCUUGCACCAGCAUUGGGUCACCGGAGCCAUCAUAAUCAUGUCUUUCCUCCUCCACUCUUCGAUCACCGUAGCCUGCUUCUUCACCCUGUUCUUCCAGACCAUCAUUGUCGUUAAGAUACGACAAGAUAUCACCUCCGGCUAAGAUUAUGUCCCCCAACACCUCUUCUGCUUGCUCGUCUCGUCCGUGCUCCAUUGUUUCUGCAAAUAUUACAACAUGGCAAUUAUUACACANNNNNNNNNNUGCUCCCGUGGUAUAAGUUAUCAUGGUCGAGAGGGGGUAUAAAUAUCGACCGUCCAUCAUGUCGAAGUUAUCUGGGAGGGAGUUAUAUAUAUCGACAACGACGACAUACAUACAUGGGAAAAUAAUGUUAUCGGGGAGGGGGUAUAUCGACCCCCCCCACGUGUUGAAGUUAUCGGGAGGGGGUUAUAUCGACAACGACGACAUACGUACAUGGGAAAAUAAUAUUAUCGGGGAGGGGGUAUAUCGACCCCCCCUCGUGUUGAAGUUAUCGGGAGAGGGGUAUAUCGACGACGACAGACCCGAUAAAACAUAAGAAAACGAAGAAGAAAUAAAAAGAGGAGAAGAAGAAAAGGAAUAGAGGAGAAGAUCGAAGAAAAAAAAGAAGAAAAAAAAGAGGAGAAGAAGAAAGGAAUAGAGGAGAGAAGAAGAAAAAAUAGAAUUUUUUCUAUUUUUUCUUCUUCUAUUCUAUUCCUUUCUUCUUCUCCUCUUCUUUUUCUUCUUUUUUCCUCUUCUUAUUUAUUUCUCCUCUUCUUCCUCUCCUCCUCUUCUCCUUUCUUCCUAUUUCAUCAUCGUUCAUAUUUCAUUGUUCAUAUUUCAUCAUGUUCAUAUUUCGAAAAAAGUAAAGGUUUUGCCUAAUGCAUUGUUCAUAUUUCAUCAUGUUCUAUGAACAAAAAAACAUCAUAUUUCAUCCACAUCCAUGCAUACAUCAUAUAUGCGAUCAUCUAUGAAAAAAACAUCAUAUUCUAUAAAAACAAUCAUUACAUAUAUAUAUAUGAACAAAAACAAUUAUGAUAACAAGCAUAUAUAUCAUCAUAUAUAUAAAAAAACAAGCAUAUAUAUAUGAAAAAAACAAGAAAAAAUGCUAGGGAGGGCGCCGGCCGGACCAAGGUGAGGAGGACCACGGGGUCAGCGGCGAGGAUGGCGACGGGGCAGUGGGCGCGCGCUCGGGGUAGGGGCGACGGCGGCGAAGGGCGGGGCAGGGCNNNNNNNNNNNNNNNNNNNNNNNNNNNNNNNNNNNNNNNNNNNNNNNNNNNNNNNNNNNNNNNNNNNNNNNNNNNNNNNNNNNNNNNNNNNNNNNNNNNNNNNNNNNNNNNNNNNNNNNNNNNNNNNNNNNNNNNNNNNNNNNNNNNNNNNNNNNNNNNNNNNNNNNNNNNNNNNNNNNNNNNCGUCGGGGCAAACUGCAGAUGAACUCUGAAAAAUUUCCUAAGUGUUUGCUUAUAUAGCAAAGCCUUUAGUCCCGGUUCGUGGCACAAUCCGGGACUAAAGGUAGGCAUUAGUCCCGGUUGGUGCCACCAACCGGGACCAAAGCCCUCUUUUCAGCAGCCCAAAGGGCGGGAAGCGGCGGCCUUUGGUGCCGGUUGGUGCCACGAACCGGUACCAAUGCACCCCUUUAGUCCCGGUUGGUGGCACCAACCGGGACCAAAGGCCUCUUGCUGCCCGCGUCGCGGUCAAAAGUUUAGUCCCACCUCGCUAGCCGAGGGGCGCCCGCACCAGUUUAAAAGCUCCGGCGCGGCUGCUGUCUCGAACUCCUCUCUAUAGCAGGCUUCUGGGCCUAACUUUGGCGCGCUGCCCGUUGAGCCUUCUAGCCCUUCUGGGCCUGUAUUUGCAAACCCGAGGGUUGGAAGGCCCAGCGGGCAGCGCCCCAACAAUUUUUUUUGCCGUAUUUAGUUUUUUUGUUUUCUUUUUUACUUUAUUUAUUUUGUUUUGUUUCUACUUACAACAAAAAACUUAUUUAUUUUAUUUUAUUUUGUUUCUAAUUACUUAUUUAUUUUACUUUAUGAUAAUUCUUUUUGCUAUUAAAGUUUCUAUCAAAAAAAGUUCUUUAUGAAAAUUCUUUUUGCUGUAUUNNNNNNNNNNNNNNNNNNNNNNNNNNNNNNNNNNNNNNNNNNNNNNNNNNNNNNNNNNNNNNNNNNNNNNNNNNNNNNNNNNNNNNNNNNNNNNNNNNNNNNNNNNNNNNNNNNNNNNNNNNNNNNNNNNNNNNNNNNNNNNNNNNNNNNNNNNNNNNNNNNNNNNNNNNNNNNNNNNNNNNNNNNNNNNNNNNNNNNNNNNNNNNNNNNNNNNNNNNNNNNNNNNNNNNNNNNNNNNNNNNNNNNNNNNNNNNNNNNNNNNNNNNNNNNAGUUUCUAUCAAAAAAAGUUCUUUAUGAAAAUUCUUUUUGCUUUUAAUGAUUUUGAACAGAAAAUACUUCGAUAAUUUUAGUUGCAUCAAUUUUAUAUGAUUUUAGUUUCAAUAAUGCUAGAGGUUUCUUAUAAUGUUUUGAACAGAAAAUACUUUGUUAAUUUUAGUUUCAUAAAUUUUAUUAAAUUUUAUUUUAUUUUGUCGUAACACAAGAAGUUCAGAGUUGUAAUAAGUUAUUAAAAAUAAAAAAGAGGCGCAAUGCUCGUGGAUUAGCUUCAAGCCUUUCGGAAUAGUGUAGACUGCACUGCACAUAGCUCCAUGCUCGUUGAUUAGCUUCAAGGCUUGAAGCUAAGCAACGUGAAGGUGAGCAUUGCGCCUCUUCUUCAUCGUCUCUGCACUCAGGGCUUAUAAACCGCUCCUAGUGCCUCUCAGCUACCGAGGUGGGACUAAAAAACUGCUUAGUAAGAAACUCUAGUACCGGUUCGUGCCACGAACCGGUACUAAAGGUGCUCGUGGGGCCACAGCCUCAUUAGUACCGGUUCGUGGCACCAACCGAGACCAAAGGGUGGAAUUGGUCCCGGUUCGUGCCACCAACCGGGACCAAUGGCCUUGCACAGCGGCGUGGUGGUGGGAGUUUAAUCCCACCUCGCUAGCUGAGAGAGAGCCACACCUGUUUAUAAGGUGCGGUGCGCCUGAGCUGUCGAGCUCCUCUCUAAAGCAGGCUUACGGGCCUAACCUCUCUGUACAUGCCUGUGGGCCUACUGGGCCUUCUGCGGGCCUGAAUCCUGACCCAUGGAUGGGUUUCUAAUCGUAUUCAGGCCGUGGUGGCCCAGUAGGUGGCAUAAUUUUUAAUUUUUGGCCUGUUAUUUUUCAUGCAUUUACUAAUUAUUUUGAGCUAUAAGACCCUAAAAUUGAAAAGCAUUUCAAAUGAACUCUGAAAAGGUUGAAAGUUGGCAAGGUAUCAUCAUUUCAUCCACAUAGCAUGUGCAAGAAACUUGAGAGGGUUACGACAAAAACUAGAUGUACUUCGUGUACAAAACGGACAAUGGUAUCAUACUCGUCUGUUACAAAGUUGGCAUGGUAUCAUCAUAAUAGUUGCGGGAGAAAGUCUUCACUUUUUCUUCGCUUGUGUCACUUGCUUAUUGCGCCGUAACCAUGGAUAAUCUUCAUCGUUUAUCAGGAUGCUUGGAUCAGCCUUGACUUUGAAGGGAGGAAUUUCAUGAAACUUUUCAUAAUCUUCAGACAUGUCUGUCUUGCCCUCCACUCCCACAAUGUCCCUUUUUCCUGAAAGAACUAUGUGGCGCUUUGGCUCAUCGUAUGAUGUAUUCGCUUCCUUAUCUUUUCUUUUUCUCGGUCUGGUAGACAUGUCCUUCACAUAGAUAACCUGUGCCACAUCAUUGGGUAGGAUGAACGGUUCGUCAGUGUACCCAAGAUUGUUCAGAUCCACUGUUGUCAUUCCGUACUGUGGGUCUACCUGUACCCCGCCUCCUGACAGAUUGACCCAUUUGCACUUAAACAAAGGGACCUUAAAAUCAUGUCCGUAGUCAAGUUCCCAUAUGUCCAUUAUGUAACCAUAAUAUGUGUCCUUUCCCCUCUCGGUUGCUGCAUCAAAGCGGACACCGCUGUUUUGGUUGGUGCUCUUUUGAUCUUGGGCGAUCGUGCAAAAUGUAUUCCCAUUUAUCUCGUACCCUUUGUAAGUCAAUACAGUCGAAGAUGGUCCCCUGGACAACGAGUACAACUCAUCACAAACAGUGGUGUCACCUCUGAGACGUGUUUCCAACCAACUGCUGAAAGUCCUGAUGUGUUCACAUGUAAUCUAGUCGUCACACUGCUCCGGGUGUUUGGAGCGCAGACUGUUCUUGUGUUCAUCGACAUACGGGGUCACCAAGAUAGAGUUCUGUAGAACUGUGUAGUGUGCUUGAGACCAAGAGUAUCCGUCCCUGCAUAUUAUUGAGUCCCCUCCAAGCGUGCCUUUUCUAGUCAGUCUCCCCUCAUACCGCGAUUUAGGGAGACCUAUCUUCUUAAGGCCAGGAAUGAAGUCAACACAAAACCCAAUGACAUCCUCUGUUUGAUGGCCCAUGGAGAUGCUUCCUUCUGGCCUAGCGCGGUUACGGACAUAUUUCUUUAGGACUCCCAUGAACCUCUCAAAGGGGAACAUAUUGUGUAGAAAUACGGGCCCCAGAAUGACAAUCUCGUCGACUAGAUGAACUAGGAUGUGCGUCAUGAUAUUGAAGAAGGAUGGUGGGAACACCAGCUCGAAACUGACAAGACAUUGCGCCACAUCACUCCUUAGCCUUGGUAUGAUUUCUGGAUCGAUCACCUUCUGAGAGAUUGCAUUGAGAAAUGCACAUAGCUUCACAAUGGCUAAUCGGACGUUUUCCGGUAGAAGCCCCCUCAAUGCAACCGGAAGCAGUUGCGUCAUAAACACGUGGCAGUCAUGAGACUUUAGGUUAUGGAACUUUUUCUCUGGCAUAUUUAUUAUUCCCUUUAUAUUCGACGAGAAGCCUGUCGGGACCUUCAUACUGAGCAGGCAUUCAAAGAAGAUUUCUUUCUCUUCUUUCGUAAGAGCGUAGCUGGCAGGACCUUCAUACUGCUUCGGAGGCAUGCCGUCUUUUUCGUGCAAACGUUGCAGGUCCUCCCGUGCCUCAGGUGUAUCUUUUGUCUUCCCAUACACGCCCAAGAAGCCUAGCAGGUUCACGCAAAGGUUCUUCGUCACGUGCAUCACGUCGAUUGAAGAGCGGACCUCUAGCUCUUUCCAGUAGGGUAGGUCCCAAAAUAUAGAUUUCUUCUUCCACAUCGGUGCGUGUCCCUCAGCGUCAUUCGGAACAGCUAGUCUGCCGGGACCCUUUCCAAAGAUUACGUGUAAAUCACUGACCAUAGCAAGUACGUGAUCACCGGUACGCAUGGCGGGCUUCUUCCGGUGAUCUGCCUCGCCUUUGAAAUGCUUGCCUUUCUUUCGACAUUGAUGGUUGGUCGGAAGAAAUCGACGAUGGCCCAGGUACACAUUCUUCCUGCAUUUGUCCAGGUAUAUACUUUCAGUGUCAUCUAAACAGUGCGUGCAUGCGUGGUAUCCCUUGUUUGUCUGUCCUGAAAGGUUACUGAGAGCGGGCCAAUCGUUGAUGGUUACAAACAGCAACGCGUGCAGGUUAAAUUCCUCCUAUUUGUGCUCAUCCCACGUACGUACACCAUUUCCAUUCCACAGCUGUAAAAGUUCUUCAACUAAUGGCCUUAGGUACACAUCAAUGUUUUUGCCGGGUUGCUUAGGGCCUUGGAUGAGAACUGGCAUCAUAAUGAACUUCCGCUUCAUGCACAUCCAAGGAGGAAGGUUAUACAUACAUAGAGUCACGGGCGAGGUGCUGUGAUUGCUGCUCUGCUCCCCGAAAGGAUUAAUGCCAUCCGCGCUUAAACCAAACCAUACGUUCCUUGGGUCAGCUGCAAACUCAGCCCAGUACUUUCUCUCGAUUUUUCUCCACUGCGACCCAUUAGCGGGUGCUCUCAACUUCCGUCUUUCUUACGGUCCUCACUAUGCCAUCGCAUCAACUUGGCAUGCUCUUCGUUUCUGAACAGACGUUUCAACCGUGGUAUUAUAGGAGCAUACCACAUCACCUUCGCAGGAACCCUCUUCCUGGGGGGCUGGCCGUCAACAUCACCAGGGUCAUCUCGUCUGAUCUUAUACCGCAAUGCACCGCAUACCGGGCAUGCGUUCAGAUCCUUGUACGCACCGCGGUAGAGGAUGCAGUCAUUAGGGCAUGCAUGUAUCUUCUGCACCUCCAAUCCUAGAGGGCAUACGACCUUCUUUGCUGCGUAUGUACUGUCGGGCAAUUCAUUAUCCUUUGGAAGCUUCUUCUUCAAUAUUUUCAAUAGCUUCUCAAAUCCUUUGUCAGGCACAGCAUUCUCUGCCUUCCACUGCAGCAAUUCCAGUACGGUACCGAGCUUUGUGUUGCCAUCUUCGCAAUUGGGGUACAACCCUUUUUUGUGAUCCUCUAACAUGUGAUCGAACUUCAGCUUCUCCUUUUGACUUUCGCAUUGCGUCCUUGCAUCGACAAUGACCCGGCGGAGAUCAUCAUCAUCGGGCACUGGUUCCUCUUGAUCUUCAGCAGCUUCCCCCGUUGCAGCAUCAUUGGGCACAUCGUCUGGUUCCUCUUGAUCUUCAGCAGCUUCCCCCGUUGCAGCAUCACCGUAUUCAGGGGGCACAUAGUUGUCAUCGUCCUCUUCUUCUUUGCCGUCUUCCAUCAUAACCCCUAUUUCUCCGUGCCUCGUCCAAACAUUAUAGUGUGGCAUGAAACCCUUGUAAAGCAGGUGGGUGUGAAGGAUUUUCCGGUCAGAGUAAGACUUCGUAUUCCCACAUAUAGGGCAUGGACAACACAUAAAACCAUUCUGCUUGUUUGCCUCAGCCACUUCGAGAAAAUCAUGCACGCCCUUAAUAUACUCGGAGGUGUGUCUGUCACCGUACAUCCAUUGCCGGUUCAUCUGCGUGCAUUAUAUAUAAUUAAGUGUGUCAAAAACCAUUACAGAACAUCAUGAAUAGAUAAUUAAGUGACCAAAUUAAUAGAAGUUCAUCAUCACAUUAAAACCAAAGUACAUACAUAGUUCUCAUCUAACAACAUAUAUAUAGCUCUCCAGAGCAUCUAAUUAAUUAAACCAUACAUUGAAACUAUGUAAAACAUUUCAAUGCGAAAACAAAUGCGAUCAUAAUCGCAACCAAGGUAACAAUUGAUCCAACGGCAUAAUGAUACCAAGCCUCGGUAUGAAUGGCAUAUUUUCUAAUCUUUCUAAUCUUCAAGCGCAUUGCAUCCAUCUUGAUCUUGUGAUCAUCGACAACAUCCGCAACAUGCAACUCCAAUAUCAUCUUCUCCUCCUCAAUUUUUUUAUUUUUUCCUUCAAGUAAUUGUUUUCUUCUUCAACUAAAUUUAACCUCUCGACAAUAGGGUCGGUUAGAAUUUCCGGUUCAACCACCUCCUAGAUAAAUAAAAUCUAUGUCACGUUGGUCGGUAUAUUUGUCAUAAACAAUAAAUGAACCAAAUAGUUAUAAAAAGAUAAUAUAUACCACAUCCAAAUCAUAGACAGGACGAGGGCCGACGGGGGCGGAUACCAAAACCAUCGCACUAUGUAAUAAGAAGGAAUAAUAAAAGUAACAAAAUUAGACAAGUAUCUAUCUAAAGUAAGAAUUUUUUCCUUUCAGAAAGAAGAUAAGAACAAGAGGCUCACCACGGUGGUGCUGGCGACGAGAUCGGCGCGGGCGAUCGACGGCGGUGAAGACGGGGACGGGACGUGACGGACCGCUAAACCUAGACAAAUCUCGGGGAAAAUGGAGCUCGGAGGUCGAGUUUCGAGAGGAGAAAGAUUAACUAGUGUGGCUCAGACAUUUCAUCGAACACCUCAUGUGCAUAGGAGGUGAGCUAGAGCACCCAAAUGCCCUCCCCUCGCCGGCCAGAAAAAAUAGAGCACUGUGGAGUGCUCUGCUGUGGCGAUGGGGUAUAUAUAGGGAACUCAUUGGUCCCGGUUCGUGGCACCAACCGGGACUAAAGGCCUUUGGUCCCGGUUGGUGCCGCGAACCGGGACCAAUGACCCCCUUUAGUCCCGGUUGGUGGCACCAACCGGGACCAAAGGCCUUGUGCUGCCCCGCGUCAAAAGUUUAGUCCCACCUCGCUAGUUGAGAGGGGUCGAGAGUGGUUUAUAAGCGCUGCUGCACCCACCCUCUCGAGCUCCUCUCAACUGCAGGCUUUCGGGCCUAACCGUUCUCUUUGCCUGUGGGGCCUACUUGGCCUUCUGCGGGUCUGAAUCCUAGCCCAUGGAUGGGUUUCAAGUCGUAUUCAGGCCGUGGUGGCCCAGUAGGUGGCAUAAUUUUUUUCUCUAUUUUUUGUUUUCUCUUUUGCUUUAUUUGUUUUGUUUUGUUUCUACUUACAACAAAAAACUUAUUUAUUUUAUUUCUAAUUACUUAUGUAUUUUACUUUAAUUAUUUUAUUUUUAUUUAUUUUACUGCUGCUAUUUUUAUUUAAUUUAUUAAGGUUUAUUUAUUUUAGUUACUAUAGUUUAUUUUAUUUUAUUUUAUUAAGGUUUAUUUAUUUUUAUUUAUUUUAUUAAGGUUUAUUUAUUUUAUUUACUAUAAAAAAAUGAACAUAGAUGCGCCUAUAGAGAAAAUUCAACCUAAAUUCAUAAUAAAUUUCUAUGAAAUUCAAAGAAAUUUACUGUGAAUUUAGGUCAAAUUCCCUGUAUAAGGGCAUCUAUUUUCACUUUGAGAGGAGCUCAACAAGGCAGAGAGGGACGGACUUAUAAACUGGUGUGAGCGCCCUUCGGUUGGCGAGGUGGGACUAAACACUGGCCGCAACUAGGACCGGCCCUUUAGUCCCGGUUUGUGGUAUGAACCAGGACUAAAGGGCAGUGGGCCAGGAGCGUGGCCCAUUGGUCCCGGUUUGUCCCACCAACCGGGACCAAAGGGGCCGGAUGAACCGGGACCAAUGCCCCCACGAGGCCCGGCAGGCCCCUGGCCGCACGAACCGGGAACAAUGCUCGCAUUAGUCCCGGUUCGUGACUGAACCGGGACUAAUGUGAAUAUUGCCCUGUGACCAAAGCCCAGUUUUCUACUAGUGUUUAAGCAAUGAAAUCUCUUUUUUCUCGCAAAAAAAAGAAAAAGAAAAUACACUACUACUUUGUGAAGAAGAAAAAAAAUCCUUGCCAACAUAACAAUGCUCAACAAGGUCAAUUCACAAGGCAGACUAAAAUGUUGGCAACGAUAUGUGGAAAUGUUUCGAAUAUCAUACCGCUCCAUAUAAUUACCACUUCACAUGUAUCCCCAGCUCCCAGAUAGCGACGAUCCCAUUAUUACAUACACGGGCGCGCACCCUCCCGUCAGACGUGUGCAGGAAUUCGCAAAAUCACUUUACCACUUUAUCACAGGCACCAAUCCUUCAGGAGGAUAUACUAGAAUGAUCUAAUCCACUAGCAACUACUUCUAGCUUAUUUAUGUAGUGUGUUUGUGUUUGUUGGAAAUAUGCCCUAGAGGCAAUAAUAAAAUGGUUAUUAUUUUAUUUCCUUGUUCAUGAUAAUUGUCUGUUGUUCAUGCUAUAAUUGUAUUAACUGGAAACCGUAAUACAUGUGUGAAUACAUAGACCACAACAUGUCCCUAGUAAGCCUCUAGUUGACUAGCUCGUUGAUCAAUAGAUGGUUAUGGUUUCCUGACCAUGGACAUUGGAUGUCAUUGAUAACGGGAUCACAUCAUUAGGAGAAUGAUGUGAUGGACAAGACCCAAUCCUAAGCAUAGCACAAGAUCGUGUAGUUCGUUUGCUAGAGCUUUUCUAAUGUCAAGUAUCAUUUCCUUAGACCAUGAGAUUGUGCAAAUCCCGGAUACCGUAGGAAUGAUUUGGGUGUACCAAACGUCACAACGUAACUGGGUGGCUAUAAAGGUGCACUACAGGUAUCUCCGAAAGUGUCUGUUGGAUUGGCACGAAUCGAGACUGGGAUUUGUCACUCCGUAUGACGGAGAGGUAUCUCUGGGCCCACUCGGUAAUGCAUCAUCAUAAUGAGCUCAAUGUGACUAAGGAGUUAGCCACGGGAUCAUGCGUUACGGUACGAGUAAAGUGACUUGCCGGUGACGAGAUUGAACAAGGUAUUGGGAUACCGACGAUCGAAUCUCGGGCAAGUAACGUACCGAUUGACAAAGGGAAUUGUAUACGGGAUUGAUUGAAUCCUCGACAUCGUGGUUCAUCCGAUGAGUUCAUCGUGGAACAUGUGGGAGCCAACAUGGGUAUCCAGAUCCCGCUGUGGGUUAUUGACCGGAGAGUCGUCUCGGUCAUGUCUGCAUGUCUCCCGAACCCGUAGGGUCUACACACUUAAGGUUCGGUGACGCUAGAGUUGUAGUGAUAUUAGUAUGCGGUUAACCGAAAGUUGUUUGGAGUCCCGGAUGAGAUCCCGGACGUCACGAGGAAUUCCGGAAUGGUCCAGAGGUAAAGAUUUAUAUAUGGGAAGUCCUAUUUUGGCCACCAGAAAAUGUUCGGGAUUUUUCGGUAUUGUACCGGGAAGGUUCUAGAAGGUUCCGAAGUGGGGCCCACCUGCAUGUGUUGGGGAACGUAGCAGAAAUUCAAAAUUUUCUACGCAUCACCAAGAUCAAUCUAUGGAGUAAUCUAGCAAUGAGGGAAGGGGAGUGCAUCUACAUACCCUUGUAGAUCGCGAGCGGAAGCGUUCAAGAGAACGGGGUUGAUGGAGUCGUACUCGUCGUGAUCCAAAUCACCGAUGAUCCUAGCGCCGAACGGACGGCACCUUCGUGUUCAACACACGUACGGAGCAGCGACGUCUCCUCCUUCUUGAUCCAGCAAGGGGGGAGGAGAGGUUGAUGGAGAUCCAGCAGCACGACGGCGUGGUGGUGGAAGUAGCGGGAUCCCUGCAGGGCUUCGCCAAGCGCAAGCGGGGAGGAAGAGGUGUUACGGGAGGGAGGGAGGCGCCAGGGCUUAGAUAUUGCUGCCCUCCCUUCCCCUCACUAUAUAUAGGGCCAAGGGAGAGGGGGGGGCGCAGCCUUGGCCCUUCCUCCAAGGAAGGGUGCGGCCAGGGAGGAGUCCAUCCUCCCCAAGGCACCUCGGAGGUGCCUUCCCCCUUUAGGACUCUUCCUUUCCCUUAUCUCUUGGCGCAUGGGCCUCUUGGGGCGGGUGCCCUUGGCCCAUAUAGGCCAAGGCGCACACCCCUACAGCCCAUGUGGCCCCCCGGGGCUGGUGGACCCCCGGACCCCUUUCGGCACUCCCGGUACAAUACCGAUAAUGCGCGAAACUUUUCCGGCGACCAAAAUAAGACUUCCCAUAUAUAAAUCUUUACCUCCGGACCAUUCCGAAACUCCUCGUGACGUCCGGGAUCNNNNNNNNNNNNNNNNNNNNNNNNNNNNNNNNNNNNNNNNNNNNNNNNNNNNNNNNNNNNNNNNNNNNNNNNNNNNNNNNNNNNNNNNNNNNNNNNNNNNNNNNNNNNNNNNNNNNNNNNNNNNNNNNNNNNNNNNNNNNNNNNNNNNNNNNNNNNNNNNNNNNNNNNNNNNNNNNNNNNNNNNNNNNNNNNNNNNNNNNNNNNNNNNNNNNNNNNNNNNNNNNNNNNNGGGGGGGGCGCAGCCUUGGCCCUUCCUCCAAGGAAGGGUGCGGCCAGGGAGGAGUCCAUCCUCCCCAAGGCACCUCGGAGGUGCCUUCCCCCUUUAGGACUCUUCCUUUCCCUUAUCUCUUGGCGCAUGGGCCUCUUGGGGCGGGUGCCCUUGGCCCCUAUAGGCCAAGGCGCACACCCCUACAGCCCAUGUGGCCCCCCGGGGCUGGUGGACCCCCGGACCCCUUUCGGCACUCCCGGUACAAUACCGAUAAUGCGCGAAACUUUUCCGGCGACCAAAAUAAGACUUCCCAUAUAUAAAUCUUUACCUCCGGACCAUUCCGAAACUCCUCGUGACGUCCGGGAUCUCAUCCGGGACUCCGAACAACUUUCGGGUUACCGCAUACUAAUAUCUCUACAACCCUAGCGUCACCGAACCUUAAGUGUGUAGACCCUACGGGUUCGGGAGACAUGCAGACAUGACCGAGACGACUCUCCGGUCAAUAACCAACAACGGGAUCUGGAUACCCAUGUUGGCUCCCACAUGCUCCUCGAUGAUCUCAUCGGAUGAACCAUGAUGUCGGGGAUUCAAUCAAUCCCAUAUACAAUUCCCUUUGUCAAUCGGUAUGUUACUUGCCCGAGAUUCGAUCGUCGGUAUCCCGAUACCUUGUUCAAUCUCGUUACCGGCAAGUCUCUUUACUCGUUCCGUAACACAUCAUCCCGUGAUCAACUCCUUGGUCACAUUGUGCACAUUAUGAUGAUGUCCUACCGAGUGGGCCCAGAGAUACCUCUCCGUUUACACGGAGUGACAAAUCCCAGUCUCGAUUCGUGCCAACCCAACAGACACUUUCGGAGAUACCUGUAGUGGACCUUUAUAGCCACCCAGUUACGUUGUGACGUUUGGUACACCCAAAGCAUUCCUACGGUAUCCGGGAGUUGCACAAUCUCAUGGUCUAAGGAAAUGAUGCUUGACAUUAGAAAAGCUCUUAGCAAACGAACUACACGAUCUUCUGCUAGGCUUAGGAUUGGGUCUUGUCCAUCACAUCAUUCUCCUAAUGAUGUGAUCCCGUUAUCAACGACAUCCAAUGUCCAUGGUCAGGAAACCGUAACCAUCUAUUGAUCAACGAGCUAGUCAACUAGAGGCUUACUAGGGACAUGGUGUUGUCUAUGUAUCCACACAUGUAUCUGAGUUUCCUAUCAAUACAAUUCUAGCAUGGAUAAUAAACGAUUAUCAUGAACAAGGAAAUAUAAUAAUAACCAAUUUAUUAUUGCCUCUAGGGCAUAUUUCCAACAGCAUGGGGGACCCACAUGAACGUGGGUAGUGGGGGCAAGGCCCCACACCCCUGGUCAAGGCGCACCAAGAUCCCACCUUAGAAGGAAUAAGAUCAUAUCCCGAAGGGAUAAGAUCAAGAUCCCUAAAAAGGGGGGAUAACAAUCGGUGGGGAAGGGAAAUGAUGGGAUUUCUUUCCCCCACCUUUGCCAAUGCCCCAAUGGACUUGGAGGGCAAGAAACCAGCCCCCUCCAACCCUAUAUAUAGUGGGGAGGCGCAUGGGAGCAGCACCCCCAAGCCCUGGCGCCUCCCUCCCUCCCGUGACACCUCUUCCUCCCCGCUUGCGCUUGGCGAAGCCCUGCCGGGAUCCCGCUACUUCCACCACAACGUCGUCGUGCUGCUGGAUCUCCAUCAACUUCUCCUCCCCCCUUGCUGGAUCAAGAAGGAGGAGACGUCCCCGCUCCGUACGUGUGUUGAAUGCGGAGGUGCCGUCCGUUCGGCGCUAGGAUCAUCGGUGAUUUGGAUCACGACGAGUACGACUCCAUCAACCCCGUUCUCUUGAACGCUUCUGCGCGCGAUCUACAAGGGUAUGUAGAUGCACUCCCCUCUCUCUCGUUGCUAGAUGACUCCAUAGAUUGAUCUUGGUGAUACGUAGAAAAUUUUAAAUUUCUGUUACGUUCCCCAACAGUGGCAUCAUGAGCCAGGUUUAUGCGUAGAUUCUAUGCACGAGUAGAACACAAAGUAGUUGUGGGCGACGAUUUGUUCAAUUUGCUUACCGUUACUAGUCUUAUCUUGAUUCGGCGGCAUUGUGGGAUGAAGCGGCCCGGACCGACCUUACACGUACUCUUACGUGAGACAGGUUCCACCGACUGACAUGCACUUGAUGCAUAAGGUGGCUAGCGGGUGUCUGUCUCUCCCACUUUAGUUGGAUCGGAUUCGAUGAAAAGGGUCCUUAUGAAGGGUAAAUAGCAAUUGGCAUAUCACCGUUGUGGCUUUUGCGUAGGUAAGAAACGUUCUUGCUAGAAACCCAUAGCAGCCACGUAAAACAUGCAACAACAAUUAGAGGAAGUCUAACUUGUUUUUGCAGGGUAUGCUAUGUGAUGUGAUAUGGCCAAAAGGAUGUGAUGAAUGAUAUAUGUGAUGUAUGAGAUUGAUCAUGUUCUUGUAAUAGGAAUCACGACUUGCAUGUCGAUGAGUAUGACAACCGGCAGGAGCCAUAGGAGUUGUCUUAAUUUAUUGUAUGACCUGCGUGUCAAUGAAAAACGCCAUGUAAUUACUUUACUUUAUUGCUAACCGUUAGCCACAGUAGUAGAAGUAAUAGUUGGUGAGACAACUUCAUGAAGACACGAUGAUGGAGAUCAUGCCGGUGACGAAGGUGAUCAUGCCGCGCCUCGAAGAUGGAGAUCAAAAGGCGCAAGAUGAUAUUGGCCAUAUCAUGUCACUUUAUGAUUUGCAUGUGAUGUUUGUCAUGUUUACAUCUUAUUUGCUUAGAACGACGGUAGCAUAAAUAAGAUGAUCCCUCAGUAAAAUUUCAAGAGAUGUGUUUCCCCUAACUGUGCACCGUUGCGAACGUUCGUUGUUUCGAAGCACCACGUGAUGAUCGGGGUGUGAUAGAUUCUAACGUUCGCAUACAACGGGUUUUGACGAGCCUAGCAUGUACAGACAUGGCCUCGGAACACAAGCAAAACACUUAGGUUGACUUGACGAGCCUAGCAUGUACAGACAUGGCCUCGGAACACAAGAGACCGAAAGGUCGAACAUGAGUCGUAUAGUAGAUACGAUCAACAUGGAGAUGUUCACCGAUGAUGACUAGUCCGUCUCACGUGAUGAUCGGACACGGCCUAGUCGAUUCGGAUCAUGUAUCACUUAGAUGACUAGAGGGAUGUCCAUCUAAGUGGGAGUUCAUUAAAUAAUCAGAUGAACUUAAUUAUCAUGAACAUAGUCAAAAGGUCUUUGCAAAUAAUGUCGUAGCUUACGCAUUAGUUCUACUAAGAUAUGUUCCUAGAGAAAGUUUAGUUGAAAGUUGAUAGUAGCAAUUAUGCGGACUGGGUCCGUAAACUGAGGAUUGUCCUCAUUGCUGCACAGAAGGCUUAUGUCCUUAAUGCACCGCUCGGUGUGCUGAACCUCGAGCGUCGUCUGUAGAUGUUACGAAACAUCUGACAUACAUGUUUUGAUGACUACGUGAUAGUUUAGUGUGUGAUGCUAACGGUUUAAAAUUGUGGCACCAAAGACGGUUUUGAAACGUCGCAGAACAUAUGAGAUGUUCCAAAGACUGAAAUUGGGAUUUCAGACUAAUGCCCACGUCAAGAGGUAUGAGACCUCUGACAAGUUUCUUAAGCCUGCAAACUAAGGGAGAAAAGCUCAAUCAUUGAGCAUGUGCUCAGAUUGUCUGAGUACUACAAUCACUUGAAUCGAGUGGGAGUUAAUCUUCCAGAUGAGAUAGUGAUGGUUCUCCAUAGUCACUGCCACCAAGCUAUUAGAGAUUCGUGAUGAACUAUAACAUAUCAGGGAUAGACAUGAUGAUCCUUGAGCAACUCGCGAUGUUUGACACCGCGAAAGUAGAAAUCAAGAAGGAGCAUAAAUUGUUGAUGGUUAGGAAAACCACUAGUUUCUAGAAGGGCAAGGGCAAGAAGGGAUACUUCAUGAAACGGCAAAUCAGUUGCUGCUCUAGUGAAGAAACCCAAGGUUGAACCCAACCCCGAGACUAAGUGCUUCUGAAAUGAGGGGAACGGUCACUGAAGCAGAACUACCCUAGAUACUUCGUAGAUGAGAAGGCUGGCAAGGUCGACAGAAGUAUAUUGGAUAUACAUUAUAUUAAUGUGUACUUUACUAGUACUCCUAGUAGCACCAGGGUAUUAGAUACCGGUUCGGUUGCUAAGUGUUAGUAACUCGAAAUAAAAGCUGCGGAAUAAACGGAGACUAGCUAAAGGUGAGAUGACGAUAUGUGUUGGAAGUGUUGCCAAGGUUGAUGUGAUCAAGCAUCGCAUGCUCCCUCUACCAUCGAGAUUGGGGUUAAACCUGAAUAAUUAUUAUUUGGUGUUUGCGUUGAGCAUAGACAUGAUUGGAUUAUGUUUAUCGCAAUACGGUUAUUCAUUAAAGGAGAAUAAUAGUUACUCUGUCUAUUUGAUUAAUACCUUCAAUGGUCUUGCACCUAAAAUGAAUCGUUUAUUGAAUCUCGAUCGUAGUGAUACACAUGUUCAUGCCAAAAGAUAUAAGAUAGUAAUGAUAGUACCACAUACUUGUGGCACUACCACUUGAGUCAUAUUGGUAUAAAACGCAUGAAGAAGCUCCAUGUUGAUGGAUCUUUGGACUCACUCGUUUUUGAAAAGAUUGAGACAUGUGAACCAUGUCUAUUAGUAUAUAUGCAUGAAGAAAGUCCAUACAGAUGGAUCAUUUGGACUCACUUGAUUCUGAAUCACUUGAGACAUGCAAAUCAUACCACAUGGGCAAGAUGACUGAAAGGCCUCUUUUUCAGUAAGAUGGAACAAGAGAGCAACUUGUUGGAAGUAAUACAUUUGAUGUGUGCAGUCCAAUGAGUGCUGACGCACAAAGUGGAUAUCGUUAUGUUCUUACUUCACAGAUGAUUUGAGUAGAUGCUGAGAAUAUUUACUUGAUGAAACACAAGUCUGAAUUAUUGAAAGGUUCAAGUAAUUUCAGAGUGAAGUUGAAGAUCGUCGUGACAAGAGGAUAAAAUGUCUAUGAUAUGAUCAUAGAGAUGAAUAUCUGAGUUACGAGUUUGGCACACAAUUAAGAAAUUGUGGAAAUUGUUUCACGACUAAUACCGCCUGGAACACCAUAUUGUGAUGGUGUGUCCGAACAUCAUAACUGCACCCUAUUGGAUAUGGUGCAUACCAUGAUGUCUCUUAUCGAAUUACAACAAUCGUUUAUGGGUUAGGCAUUAGAGACAACCGCAUUCACUUUAAAUAGGGCACCACGCAAUUCCGUUGAGACGACACCGUAUGAACUAUGGUUUAGAGAAACCUAAGUUGUCGUUUCUUAAAAGUUUGGGGCUGCGACGCUUAUGUGAAAAAGUUUCAGGCUGAUAAGCUCGAACCCAAAGCGGAUAAAUGCAUCUUCAUAGAAUACCCAAAUCAGUUGGGUAUACCUCCUAUUUCAGAUCUGGAAGCAAAAGUGAUUGUUUCUAGAAACGGGUCCUUUCUCGAGGAAAAGUUUCUCUCGGAAGAAUUGAGUGGGAGGAUGGUGGAGACUUGAUGAGGUCAUUGAACCGUCACUUCAACUAAUGUGUAGCAGGGCACAAGAAGUUGUUCCUGUGGCACCUACACCAAUUGAAGUGGAAGCUUAUGAUAGUGAUCAUGAAACUUCAGAUCAAGUCACUACCAAACCUCAUAGGACGACAAGGAUGCGUACUACUUCAGAGUGGUACGUAAUCCUGUCUUGGAAGUCAUGUUGCUAGACAACAAUGAACCUACGAGCUAUGGAGAAGCGAUGGUGGGCCCGGAUUCCGACGAAUGGCUCGAGGCCAUGAAAUCCGAGAGGAUCCAUGUAUGAAAACAAAGUAUAGACUUUGAAAGAACUACUUGAUGGUCGUAAGGCUGUUGGGUACAGAUGGAUUUUAAAGGGAAGACAGACAAUGAUGGUAAGUGUCACCAUUAAGAAAGCUCGACUUGUCCUUAAGAUGUUUUCCGGCGAGUUCAAGGAGUUGACUGCGAUGAGACUUUCUCACUCAUAGCGAUGCUAAGAGUCUGUUAGAAUUAUAUUAGCAGUUACUGCAUUAUUUAUGAAAUCUUGCAGAUAGGAUGUCAAAACAUUGUUUCCUCGACGAUUUUCUUGAGGAAAGGUUGUAUGUGAUACAACCAGAAGGUUUUGUCAAUCCUGAAAGAUGCUAACAAGUAUGCAAAGCUCCAGCAAUCCUUCUAAGGAUUGGAGUAAGCAUCUCGGAGUUGGAAUGAACGCUUUGAUGAGAUGAUCAAAGAUUUUGGGUUUAUACAAAGUUCAUGAGAAACUUGUAUUUCCAAAGAAGUGAGUGGGAGCACUAUAGAAUUUUUGAUGAGUAUAUGUUGUUAACAUAUUGUUGAUCAGAAAUGAUGUAGAAUUUCUGGAAAGCAUCCAGGGUUAUUUGAAAAGUGUUUUUAAUGGAAAACCUGGAUUAAGCUACUUGAACAUUGAGCAUCAAGAUCUAUAAGGAUAGAUAAAAAACGCUUAAUAGUACUUUCAAAUGAAUACAUACCGUGACAAGAUUUUGAAGGAGUUCAAAAUAGAUCAGCAAAGAAGGAGUUCUUGGCUGUGUUACGAGGUGUGAGUAUUGAGUAAGACUCAAGACCUGACCACGACAGAAGAAAGAGAAAGGACGAAGGUCGUCCCCUAUGCUUUAGACGUAGGCUCUACAAUAUGCUAUGCUGUGUACCGCACCUGAAGUGUGCCUUGCCAUGAGAUAGUCAAGGGGUACAAUAGUGAUCCAGGAAGGGAUCACAUGACAGCGGUCGAACUUAUCCUUAGUAUCUAGUGGACUAAGGAAUUUUCUCGAUUAUGGAGGUGGAAAGGGGGUUCGUCGUAAAGGGUUACGUCGAUGCAAACUUUGACACUAAUCCGGAUGACUCUGAGUAGUGAACCGGAUUCGUAUAGUAGAGCAGUUAUUUGGAAUAGCUCCAAGUAGCGCGUGGUAGCUGCAUCUACAAGAUGACAUAGAGAUUUGUAAAGCACACACGGAUCUGAAUGUUGCAGACCCGUUGACUAAAAUCUCUCUCGUAAGCAUAACAUGAUCAAACCCUAGAACUCAUUGAGUGUUAAUCACAUGGUGAUGUGAACUAGAUUAUUGACUCUAGUAAACUCUUGGGUAUUAGUCACAUGGCGAUUUGAACUUUGAGUGUUAAUCACAUGGUGAUGUGAACUAGAUUAUUGACUCUAGUGCAAGUGGGAGACUGUUGGAAAUAUGCCCUAGAGGCAAUAAUAAAAUGGUUAUUAUUGUAUUUCCUUGUUCAUGAUAAUUGUCUGUUGUUCAUGCUAUAAUUGUAUUAACUAGAAACCGUAAUACAUGUGUGAAUACAUAGACCACAACAUGUCCCUAGUAAGCCUCUAGUUGACUAGCUCGUUGAUCAAUAGAUGGUUAUGGUUUCCUGACCAUGGACAUUGGAUGUCAUUGAUAACGGGAUCACAUCAUUAGGAGAAUGAUGUGAUGGACAAGACCCAAUCCUAAGCAUAGCACAAGAUCGUGUAGUUCGUUUGCUAGAGCUUUUCUAAUGUCAAGUAUCAUUUCCUUAGACCAUGAGAUUGUGCAACUCCCGGAUACCGUAGGAAUUCUUUGGGUGUACCAAACGUCACAACGUAACUGGGUGGCUAUAAAGGUGCACUACAGGUAUCUCCGAAAGUGUCUGUUGGGUUGGCACGAAUCGAGACUGGGAUUUGUCACUCCGUAUGACGGAGAGGUAUCUCUGGGCCCACUCGGUAAUGCAUCAUCAUAAUGAGCUCAAUGUGACUAAGGAGUUAGCCACGGGAUCAUGCGUUAUGGUACGAGUAAAGUGACUUGCCGGUAACGAGAUUGAACAAGGUAUUGGGAUACCGACGAUCGAAUCUCGGGCAAGUAACGUACCGGUUGACAAAGGGAAUUGUAUACGGGAUUGAUUGAAUCCUCGACAUCGUGGUUCAUCCGAUGAGAUCAUCGUGGAACAUGUGGGAGCCAACAUGGGUAUCCAGAUCCCGCUGUUGGUUAUUGACCGGAGAGUCGUCUCGGUCAUGUCUGCAUGUCUCCCAAACCCGUAGGGUCUACACACUUAAGGUUCGGUGAUGCUAGAGUUGUAGAGAUAUUAGUAUGCGGUUAACCGAAAGUUGUUCGGAGUCCCGGAUGAGAUCCCGGACGUCACGAGGAGUUCCGGAAUGGUCCGGAGGUAAAGAUUUAUAUGUGGGAAGUCCUAUUUUGGCCACCGGAAAAUGUUCAGGAUUUUUCGGUAUUGUACCGGGAAGGUUCUAGAAGGUUCCGAAGUGGGGCCCACCUGCAUGGGGGGACCCACAUGAACGUGGGUAGUGGGGGCAAGGCCCCACACCCCUGGUCAAGGCGCACCAAGAUCCCACCUUAGAAGGAAUAAGAUCAUAUCCCGAAGGGAUAAGAUCAAGAUCCCUAAAAAGGGGGGAUAACAAUCGGUGGGGAAGGGAAAUGAUGGGAUUUCUUUCCCCCGCCUUUGCCAACGCCCCAAUGGACUUGGAGGGCAAGAAACCAGCCCCCUCCACCCCUAUAUAUAGUGGGGAGGCGCAUGGGAGCAGCAACCCAAGCCGUGGCGCCUCCCUCCCUUCCGUGACACCUCUUCCUCCCCGCUUGCGCUUGGCGAAGCCCUGCCGGGAUCCCGCUACUUCCACCACCACACCGUCGUGCUGCUGGAUCUCCAUCAACUUCUCCUCCCCCUUGCUGGAUCAAGAAGGAGGAGACGUCCCCGCUCCGUACGUGUGUUGAACGCGGAGGUGCCGUCCGUUCGGCGCUAGGAUCAUCGGUGAUUUGGAUCACGACGAAUACGACUCCAUCAACCCCGUUCUCUUGAACGCUUCUGCGCGCGAUCUACAAGGGUAUGUAGAUGCACUCCCCUCUCUCUCUUUGCUAGAUGACUCCAUAGAUUGAUCUUGGUGAUACGUAGAAAAUUUUAAAUUUUUGCUACGUUCCCAACAGUGUUUUUAUAUACAGUUCUCUGUUUGCAGUGAACUGUAUGUAGUUUGAAUAACUGGUUUACUUCUGAAGUGUGCUACUUUUAAUUUGUACCUUUGUAUCCCUACGUUUGCAACAUUUCAAUAGCUUCAUAUGUUCGAUUUCUUCAAUGUCUCUAUAUAUUAUUCUGAGAUUAAAUCAGCAUGCACUGAUCCACUCUUGAAUCAGUAGAUUGCACAUUUGCGAGUGAUCAUCGAGCGCGGCGUGCCGCCGCGCGGGUUAGGCUAGUUAUAUGCUAGAUUGCAACCAAUCCUUCCAUCAUAUAUUAUUCCAGAUUCCUUGUGGUAGAUCAACCGGGUUCAAGUCCUAGACUUAGCGCAGGGUAUUUGUGUGUGCGUUCAUACUAUUGCGUCUAUGUGAGUAUUUGCCUUUAUACUGCCCUAGAAAAACUUUUACAACAUUACAACUUACAACAUUUCACAAUACUUAUAAUCUACACAUGCAUGGCACGUGACAUUUACUAGUAAUAAUAUGGAUUUGAGAUUUCUAACUGAGGUACCCGAAUGUGGAAUGCAUUUUUUGAGGGAUGACCGGUCACUGUCCACGAACGCGCUGGUCGGAUUUGCCAUGUCAAGUUGUAGAUGCUCUAAAAGCCCCAUAUUAAGAGCAACUCUAGCAAACCCCGCAAAAGUGGCAAACCCACAAAAUUCCGGCGAGUAUACGGGCUCGGCCCAAUUUUCUGGCCAGAACAGAGCCAGUAUACUCGCCCGGCCCGUAAAUUUUUUUACCGCGGCCCGCAAACCGCCCCCCUCCCGGCCAGUAUAUGUUUGGGUUCGCGUUGCAUUUGCGGGUCGAAACCCUAUCCCCCCGCCGCCGCGUCUCUCUGCAAUUCCCCACUCCACUCCUCACAUUUCUCGUCGCCGGUGAGCUGCAUUCCGCCUCCAGCCGCCAUGUGGGGACGCAUGUGGUGCUCCGGCCGCGGCUCCGGGAGUAGAUCCGGCGGCGGCGCCGCCCCGAGCGCGAGCGGUGUGUUCGCUCGGACGGCGCGAGGAAGCGCGGGGCGAGGAAGUGGACGAACCGGGGCCUCUCGCCGCCGCCAAACUUCCGCGUCCGCUAGACAGAGGAAUGCGACCAUAGGCACGGGCGUAUGCCCUCCUUCGCCGUGGGCUCGUCCUCCGCCGCAAGAUCUUCCCAGCUGCGAGCUCUUCCCACGCCGCGAGCUCUUCCUCCUCCGGCGCAAGCCUUCUCCCCGUGAAGAGGGAGUGGUCGGAGGAGAUCGAGGUCGUCGCCGUCAAGCAGGAGCCCGAGGAGAUCAUGUGGCGCGGUGUCGUCGGGCCCGAGGACUUCGUCGCCGAUGUCGACGCGGUCGUGGCCGCCAUUGCCGAACGCAGCUUGCGUGAGGAGGCGGAGCGCCGGCGCCACCACGAGGAGCUCGACGACCUCGUGUUCCAGCAGGCGGUAGCGGCGAACCUUGCCGCCAAGGAGAAGGACGACGAGUGGCGGCGCAUCCGCGAGGAGCAGAAGCAGAAGUACAUCGACCUCGACAGCUCCGACGAGGAGGAUUGAGCUCCUCCACCGCGUCGUCCAUGGCUGCUAGCUCGCCCCCGUGAGAUCUCCACCCCCUCUAGUACUAGUAAUGAAUGUAGUAUGUAGUAUGAACUAGUGUUUGUAAUGAAUUAGUGUUUCAUCAUGUAGUAUGUGAUAGUAUGUGAUGAAGUACUACGGUUGCAAUUUCUCUCGCGAAACUUUUAUUUUCAAAUUAUGCAGUUUCAUAUAUGGUUUUUGUUCGGCUGCGCACGUUUUCAACCCGCAAACGAGAUCUGCGUCGAACUGCAAACGCGUUUUGCGGGUCGGGAUUUUGCGGGGUCUGCUAGAGUUGCUCUAAGCCCGUGAAUGUAGCAUUGCUGCCUUCCGAACGGCAAGCAGACAUAUUUUUUUCCCAACUACGAUAUUCACCAAGAGGUAUUUAAACUGGAGUACUAUAAUUCCAAAGUUAAACGCAUAGUCGUGUAAACAGUAAAUUGCUGGCCAUUAAAGUUGGACUAUAUUUCGCAGGCCAAAUUGAAUGUAAUAGUUUGUAGAUUGAAUCAGAUUGUAGUUACGCGGUGAAUGCCAUCUUGAUGAUGGCUACCAAGGGCCCGAUGUCGUCACGAUAGUAGAGUGCAAAGACUUGUUACGGGAUUUUGCAAAAGUUCAGUUCACACAUUGCUUCAGAUAACCAAAUGCUGCAGCAGAUGGCUUAGCUAAAACAUUGCCAUAAUUCUAAAUACCCUAGCUUUCUGGCGUUUUUAUCCCUGAUUUUAUUUCUCACCUUCAUGUAAAUGAUCUGUCUAUUAUAUGAGAAAUAAAGUAGCAAAACAGUAAAAUCCAAAAAACACUUACUAAGCAAAAUAAAAGAAAAUCAAUUAAUUUUUUGGCAAUGUGACCUCCGUCCUAUCCUAGUCUAUAUGAAAGAAAAAUACAAACAUGAGUGCUGCAAAUAACUUUUCUGAGCCCAAAUCUUUCUGAUACGAUCCAUCAUGAAUGUCUUUUUUUUUUUGAAAAAACAAAAUUCAAGCAGUUAGAGCAUAUGUUGAUGUUUAUUAGAAAACUCUCAUUUAUUUCAAUUUUCUUUGGAUUUUGUUGUUCAGGCUGUUUGGAUUUUGACUGUUUUUGCCACAUAUUGCCAUAGUGUUUUGUCAUAUUUGCCAUACUUGAGGUGUUUUUGCCACACUUUGACUUGCCUUAGGGAAUUUUGCCACACAUUUUUUAUCUAUGACAUGUGGGACUUAUACGGCUAAUAAAAGAAAUUCUUCCCUUAGUUGUGGCAAGAACCCAACGCAUAUCUAACUUGGUCAAACUUAUCUAAAUUGAUAUGUGACAAAGUGUGGCAAAUUGUAGCUUCGAACCAAACACCCCGAAGUUUGAGCUUGGGAGCAUAAAAAUCCAUGUCUUUAAAAUUUGUACUUUUCUACCCCUUUACUUUUAAAUGUGUUUAGCGUUUCGGGCUUUAUCAUCAAUUUUACUUUCAAAAAAAUUGUUAUCGCCCGACUAAUAGGUGCGCUCCACUCAACUACCACAAGCGUCUAUCAGGUGUCCUUAUGGUGGUGAAAGAUAAAGAAAUCCAUUGAUAUUUUCUAAGUCUCUCACCAAUUUGCCUUUGUCCUUAUAAUUUUCAUUUUGUUCCCCUCUGCUCGGAUAAGUACCUUUGGCUCUCGGGUGUAGGUCCACCCUAUAUGGGAAAAAUAAUGGAAAAUUUCAAAAAAUUAUCAAAAUUCUUGGGAAACAAACUUAACCUUCAGUUGUAUUUGUAUAUAUAAUAAAAAUUUCCAAGGAAUGACUUUCAUGCUAUUUUGGGUAGAAAAAGUCAACACUAUAUACAAGUUACUAUUCAUGCAUUUUGUCCUUGAAAUUUUGUCUUUUUGCUUUGAAGUCAAGAGGAAUAUUUUCUUAACCAAACUUUUUAUAUGAGUACAAUUCAAGGUAAAGUUUGUUUUCGAAAAAUGUUUUAGAAUUUUUUGGAUAAAAAAAAUUCACAUAUAGGUUGCAUUUACACCCGAGAGUUAAAGAGUAUUUCUUUCGGAUGAAGAUACUAUUUUUAGAAUUAAGGAGUUUAUGCGCGCGCGAGAGCUAGCUUUUGCUAGAGUAGUCCAAGAUGAUGGCGAUUGAUGGGUUCUUUCAUCUCUCCCCAUAAAGGCAAAGCCUUUUUAAUUAGAGCUUAGGCUCAAACUAUGUCACCUUUAUUUUCCCAGCUAAUAAAAACACAGAAAUGAUAAAAUCCGAACGUUCGGGAUUUCCUCAUGGCAAAUCGAACGUCUUUUAUGCCAACUUUAGUUGACGUGAGAAUGGCAAAUUUAAUUGACAAGCAUGAUAAUUUUCUAAAAAAAUGCAAAGGGCGAAUUUAUCAUAUGCUUACCAAUUAAACUUAUCAUGGUCAAUAAAUAUAAAUUAUCACAAAAUAUGUUCGAUUUGCCAUGGCCAGAUCCUGAACAUUCAGGACUUAUCGACGUCCUAGAAACAAUAGCUCUCCUGUCAGAGUUUUUUUUUAAAUCCACAUGUAAAAAUUCCCAACCAUGACGGUCCAUGCGGGUUGCCGAAUAAGGCCCAAUGGAAUUUGUUUUGAACACAGUACAGACACAAGCGCUCAUAUACACGCUCAUCUCUACUACUAUUAAACAAGCAAACAUAUUCUUCACUAUGCCCACCCAAAUAAACGUACACAAAGAAAAACAAGACAAACUACAACCCCAAGAUUAUGCAUCUAACCGUCCACAUAAGAGUCAGGCCCACCUGUGUGCGUUUAGCAAUUUAGAAUAGCGGACGAAACUCUGUCAUUCGAUCGAACAGUUCACCUCCCCGCAAAAAAAGAUAAAGCCAAUCAACUACAGAAAAAAAAAGAUAAAGCCAAUCAACAGUUCGACAAACCAUGGCAUUGGGCGGGGCUUCAGGAUCUCGUCCGAGUGGAUCGAUGGAAACUGACGACGUGACAGCCCUGAUGAAGGAGCUAGGUCUUCGGGAGGAGGAUCUCGACGACGUGAUUUUUGAUGAGAAGGAGGCUCCGGUCGAGGCGGCGCGCUGGAUAGCGUUGGCUAGGGUUCACUCGCCCAAGACAUAUAGCCAGUAUUGGUUCUUCAAAAACAUGAGAGCCGCGUGGGAUCUUGCCCAAGAUGUUCAGUUCAAGCCCCCUGAGGAUAAUCUCUAUAUUGUGCAAUUCUCCUGCUUGGGGGAUUGGGAAAGAGUAACGAGGGACGGACCUGGCACUUCCGAGGAGAUGCUGUCAUCCUCAAGCCAUAUGAUGGAUUGACAAAGCCGUCCACAGUGCAGCUUGACACUAUAGAAAUUUGGGUACAGAUUCAUGAUGUACCUCCACUAUAUGCCCAUCUGAUCCCUUCUUUAGCAGCAAAGGUUGUUGAAGUCAUCUACACCGAACCCCAAUCGCAAGACUUUGCCGGCAACUUCCAUCAAGUUUGGGUCCGGAUUAAUGUUGAUAAGCCUCUGAAGAACGCAGUUUCUAUGAUAAGAGAGGGGAAGCGCCAGAUAUACAGGAUCAAGUAUGAAAAACUUCCGGACUGGUGUGCAGUUUGUGGCAUGUUGGGUCAUCAGUUCAAGGAGCAUGGUAAUGGUAUACACCCUCCGUCCGCGUUGAUCUUUAAGGAUGUUAGGGCCUCGUGGGUCAUGAGGACAGGACAGGGUCCUGGAGGGGGCCGUGGAAGAAGAGGAGGACGGCGGGGAGGCCGUGGUGGCCGUGGAGCAAACCCCCGAUCGGAUCAGGAUGAUGGUUAUGAUGGGAAAGACAAUUUGAGCUCUGAUACUGAUGCGGUCAUGGACGAUGCUGAAAACAACAGAAAGAGGGCGCAACACAUGAAGCACUCUAUGAACAACGAAUCAAACAGUUCUGGUCCUGGGUUGAUGUUAGCUCUAACCUCUUCGCCGUCUAUACCCCAGAGCCCGAGUAGCAAGCAAGACCCAAAGAGAGCCAAGAAAAACAUAGAUGCAGCGGCUGAGGAUUUGGAAAAAGGUGUCGGUCGUGGCAACAUCGUCACUUCUUUGGCGGGCUCCUUCGAGGAGCGCCGCCGAGCCCAAUGAAUGCGCUAUGCUGGAACUGCCGUGGCGCGGGUAAACCUGCGGCAGUUCAAGAGCUUCGCGAAUUCGCGAGGAAGUUUACCCCUACCCUCCUUUGUAUCGUUGAGACACAGAUAGAUGGUCGGAGGGUAGAAGCUAUGGCUAGCUCGAUAGGCUAUGAUAAUUCCUAUGCUGUCGAUAGUCAGGGAAGGAGUGGUGGAAUUGGCUUAUUUUGGAACAAUGCAAUAAAAGUUGAGAUUCUCGGUUAUUCAUGUUAUCACCUUGAUGUUUCAAUUACAGAACAGGGGGAGGACCCAUGGAGGAUGACGUGUGUCUAUGGGGAGGCGCAGACCCAUCUUAGACACCAAACGUGGACUGUACUUAAAAAUAUCAGUACUUUAAAUGGCCUUCCAUGGUUGUGCAUAGGCGACUUCAAUGAAGUGUUACGUCCAAGUGAGCAUGAAGGUGUAGGAGAACGCAGUAACGCACAAAUCCAGGCAUUCGGAGACACGGUGGACGUUUGCAUGUUGCUUGAUUUGGGCUAUAAGGGCUGUUCUGGACGUUUGAGAAGAAAGUGACUGGUGGCUCAUUUACUCGAUGCCGUCUUGACAACGCGUUGGUAAAUUUAGAUUGGUUGGCGAGAUUCCUGUUAGCCUCUAUAACACACGAGGUUGCGGCGUCAUCGGACCAUAUGGCUUUGCUUCUGGACCUUGGAAGAGUUAAGGGCGAAAGGGCAAAGAUGGGGUUUAGAUACGAGACCAUGUGGGAGACUCACGCGGGCCUAAGAGAUAUGUUGGUUCAAAGCUGGGAAACCGAAGCUCCCUGCAACUCGGUGGAAGAUAUACGACGCAAGAUCGAGAACCUGGCUAAAGGACUUGACAGAUGGAGUAAUGACACGUUCGGAAGCGUGAGGAAGGAAAUCAAGCAUCUAAAGAAAAUGCUAGAAGAGCUGCAGUCCGAUCCUUUACGGACGGGGCCGUCACAUGUUGAACUCAAAAUAAAUGAACGUCUCAUCGAAAUGUAUCACCGUGAGGAGAUAAUGUGGCGCCAGAGGGCGAGGAUAGAUUGGCUGACGUCAGGUGACAAGAACACCAAAUUCUUUCAUCUACGGGCGAGUUUGAGGAGGAAGAAAAAUAUGAUAAAAGCCUUACAUAAUUCAUUGGGAGCAAUUGUAGUAGAUCCAGAUGAGCUCAAAGCCAUGGUAAAUAAUUUUUACCAAACGUUAUAUACUUCCGAGGAGGUCCGGGGGAUGGAUGCAGUGCUUACUCACGUGCCAAGGAAAGUGUCUGAGGAGAUGAAUGCUAUGUUGAAUGCAGAUUACACUAAGGAAGAGGUGAAAACAACAUUGUUCCAAAUGUUCCCGACGAAGGCACCGGGGCCAGACGGCUUUCCGGCACAAUUUUAUCAGCGCCAUUGGGAUAUUUGUGGGGAUGAUGUAACAAGGGUGGUGUUGAAAAUAGUCCAUGGAGAAGAGAGCCCAGAAGGUAUUAAUGACACCGUUCUUGUUCUAAUACCGAAGGUAAUAAAUCCCACCCUCCUUUCCCAGUUUAGGCCCAUAAGCUUAUGCAACGUUAUGUAUAAAAUUGCCUCUAAAGUGGUGGCCAAUAGACUGAAGCUAGUUCUACCAGACAUAAUUUCGGCUGAACAGUUUGCUUUUGUUCCGGGGUGGCUUAUCACUGAUAACAUUAUAUGUGCAUAUGAGUGCUUGCAUUUCAUGAAGAGGUCUAAAGCAAAGACUAACAACUAUUGUGCUCUCAAAUUGGAUAUGAUGAAGGCUUAUGACAGAUUGGAGUGGCCUUAUUUGAGGGCUAUUAUGAUAAAGCUUGGCUUCUCUCAUCGAUGGAUUAAUACAGUUAGGGGCAUGGUCUCUUCAGUGUCCUUUUCUGUUCUUUUUAAUGGUGAGAAGCUUGAUUCUUUCAGACCAACCAGAGGUAUCCGACAGGGAGACCCAAUUUCCCCUUACUUAUUCUUGAUUGCAGCAGAGGGCCUUUCGUGCCUCCUGAAAUCCAGUACAUAGUCAUCAAUUGCAGGUAUUAAGGUGGCCCCAACUGCCCCAACUAUAAACCACCUUUUAUUUGCAAAUGACAACCUGUUGCUUUUUAAGGCUAAUGUUGAGGGAUCAGUUGCAGUGUCAAACCUGUUGGAAACAUAUUGUAAGGCUUCUGGGCAACGUAUCAAUCAUGACAAGUCAUCCAUCUUUUUUAGCCGGGGCUGUCCAAGCUCUAUGAGGGAAGCAAUAAAAAACUCCUUGCAGGUUCAUAAUGAGUCCUUAAGUGAGCAUUAUUUGGGCAUGCCAACGGACGUGGGACAUUCCAAGAAUGGAACGUUCAAGUACUUGAGAGACCGGGUAUCAGAGAAGGUAAAAGGCUGGACGAAAAAAUUACUCUCUGCUGCCGGUAAAGAAGUUUUGAUCAAGGCAAUUGCGCAAGCAAUUCCAGUCUACUCUAUGUCAUGCUUCCGUCUUCCUAGAGGGUUAUGUGACACCGUCUUCCUAGAGGGUUAUGUGACAGUAUAUCUGCCAUCAUUAGGCAAUUUUGGUGGGGGAGCAAGCAAGGCAAACGAAAACCAAACUGGGUUGCUUGGGACACUAUGAUACAACCAAAACAGUUGGGUGGACUUGGAUUCCGUGAUUUGGAGAUAUUCAAUCUAGCUCUGCCUGCGAGGCAAGCUUGGAGAAUAAUGAACGAUGAACGCUCUCUUAGUGCUCAGGUUUCGAAAGCUGUUUACUUCCCAAACAAUACAUUAUUGGAGGCAGAUUUGGGUCCUCAUCCAUCUCAGAUUUGGCGAGUGCUAUUAGAUGGAAAGGAGAUACUAGCUCAGGGAAUCAUCAGGAGAAUUGGGGAUGGGGAGAGCACGGAUAUAUGAUUACAUAAUUGGAUCCCUCGAGAUAGUUUCAAAAGCCCUAUUACAUCCUUAGUGCCAAACCCACCACGGCGAAUAUCUGAUCUUAUUGAUACUACUACAGCACAAUGGAAUGAGGAGCUGGUUCGCUCAGUUUUCAUCCCGGUUGAUGCAAACGAGAUUCUAAAAAUACCAGUGUGUAUGCGUAGGCAGCCGGAUUUUUGGGCUUGGCAUGAAGAACCAACUGGCUGUUUCACCGUUCGGUCGGCAUACCGAAUGAUAUUGCGUACGAAGACAAGUAGAGAGGGAUGGUGGAACGAGGCCGAGGGCUCAUCGACGGGGCAGAACAGCAGGUUUUGGAGCACUAUAUGGCAUAUCCAGGUACCCUCAAAACUUCGUAUGUUCCUUUGGAGACUUGCCAGACAUUCUAUGCCCAGCGGAGAAGUGCUUCAUCAUCGCCAUAUGGCCGAAACAGACACUUGCUGCUUGUGUGGAGCUAGGGAUACAUGGAGACACACACUUCUCUCUUGCGCUCUCUCAAGAAGCGUAUGGGCUCUCGCACCAGAGGAGUUGGUCGAGAAAAUCAUCACACACCAAGAGGAAGACGCUAAGGACUGGUUAUUUGCUCUACAUGAAAUGCUAGAUGCGCAUGAUUUUAUCCGUGUUGUGGUAACCAUGUGGGCAAUCUGGGCUGCACCAAGAAAGGCAAUUCAUGAGGAUAUAUUUCAAUCUCCACACGCUACAACGGCUUUCAUUAAUAAGUUUCUGUCAGAGUUGGAGUUAGUUAACAAAAGGGAGAGGCAAGUGGUACCAAGUAGAGUCACGCGGAGUGCAAGAUGGAUGCCCCCAAUCCAAGGUUGUGUCAAGAUCAAUGUUGACGGGGCAGUGGCCGUGAGAAGGAAGCAUGGUUCGGUGGGAGCAAUCUGCAGAGAUCAACAGGGCAAAGCCGGGCUUCAGGCCAUUGUUUUCAAACAUAUCACAGAGCCUCAAACGCUGGAAGCCCUAGCUAUAAGGGAAGCUCUCUCGUUGGCGGAUGAUCUAUAUGCACGAGAUAUACAGGUUGCCUCGGAUUGCAAGGUGGUUGUCGACGAGUUGCAUCAUGGCAAGCUAGCUACUUAUGGAGCUGUCCUUCGGGAGAUAUUGGAACACUCUUCUAGUUUUUUAUCUUGCAAGAUAGGUCAUGAAUUUAGGAGCUCAAACUAUGAAGCUCACAAUCUAGCGAAACAUUCUCUCUCCCUCGCGGUUGACCGCCAUGUGUGGUUAGGCCAGCCGGGAGAUCUUCAUUUCGUCCCUGUAAACAUUGUGACGGGUUAAUAAAGUUUCGCGAGAUUGUCUCAAAAAGAAAAAACUACAGAAAAAUAGCCACAAUUAUGGCAAUUGAUACGUCCGCCUCACAACAAACAGCUAAACUUACGGGAAUCAACUCGAUCUUCCUGCCUUUGCCCACCCAGACGUACGUCGCAGCCGCCCAGCCUGUCCUGCGCCAUCGCCGCCAUGCGCAGCGGAUGAUGCCCGCGCCGACGAGCUUCUAGCCAACGCAGGUUCGCCGCCAUGUGCAGAUUAUCCUCUUGUGCAGUUUGUGACCAGUUCCAUCCCAGUUAAUCUCGAUGUCUUUCUUCGAUGUCGCCGUUCAAACGCACAUUGCAGUGAGACGUCGGCGCUGCCAAGCCACUGUUGCGCCUUCGCCGUCCAGCAAGUGUUGGCCAUCGCCGCCUUCCGCAGCCGACGACGUCGGUGCCAACCAAGUCCUCAGCCAACGCACCUGCCUGCACAAGGGAAAUUCUAUUUAACAAAUAUGUGUGUACUUCAUUGCUUCCCUAAUCCCCGUCAAAUUUGCAUCUUUAUAACAAUGUUCUUCACUGUUUUGCAUAUUUACAACAGUGUGCUGAUCAAUGCAUAAUUUUUGGGCAAACCAUAAUAGAUCAUGAAUUUAAUGGUGCAUCAAACUGGACCCUCCAUCAUAUUGUUUUAACAGUAUAGUAUUCGAAUCUGUAUGACUGAAUGAAUAAAACCCUGCAUGAUCUAUUUGUAACCCAGUCCAAGAGAGGGGAGAAGAAAGUCCCAGUCCAAGAAUAUGAAACCAACUCAUUUGUUUUAACAAUAUAGUAUUCAAAUUUGUUUUAACAUUCAGGCUCUAUGGACGAAUCUGUGUCGACUUGGCAUGUAAAUGAACCUAUUCAGGACAUAGUCAAACUUAGCAUGUAAAUGAUGUAUUAAGGACAUAGUCAUUCUCUUUUUGAUAGUUCUUGGAGGGUUUUGGUCAAGGAAGUGAAAUACCUGGACUGGGUUUUUCUUCUCCACUCUUAAGUUCCCCAUGAUGUGCAUUUUGUUCCCGGGCAAGAUUGCUUGUAGAACAUCUGAAAAGGAUAGACCAACGUCUCUCAGGAAAAUAUGAUGGUAACUGAAACAAGGCAGUGUUCAAAUGAUCCGAACAAUAAAGUCAUGAUUUUCAGCACACUAAAAAGGCAACAACAGGUUUAUGACUGAAACAAGUGUAAAUCCUAGAAGACCAGGACCUCUGUUAUCUAAAUAGAAGAAGAAAAGGGCCAUAAGAGCCCUUCCGCGCAUAUGUUGCACCGGUCACAUUAUCCAAUAAUGCAUCUAACAAUGAGCUUUCUGGAAACUUGAUGGUGUUUAGGAAAUUAUACAGUGUUACAAGCCGAACGAUGUAAGAAUGCUCAGUGCAGCUCGGAGAUAACUAACAGUAAGCUGCAAUUGUUCAUGCCGUUUGUAACUACAAAAACAGUCAUCAGGUAAAUAGCAACACUCAUCAGGCACGGGAAUUAAUCGCGAAGACCUCACUGCUAUGGUUAGUUAUUAGCCCCACUGCCUCAUCUUUUGAUAAGACGAUUUAUGUUGUUUUUUGCUUGUGAUGCUAAUGCUUUGUUGCUUUGUCAUUUAUUCAUGCAACAACUGAAAGUACUGAAAAAUGUAUUCCAAUUUGCAUCGCUUCACAUGGAACUAAUAUCUGAUAAGUGGAAGGACCUAACCAUCACAACAUGGCCAAGGGAAGAGUGUAUUUAGAGCAGAUUGCAGACAUAUGGGUACACCUUCCUACCUCUGUUUUUUGUAUGUCCCCAUUAAUCGUAUUACAAAGGAAGUGUCUGCAAUUAAGAAUAGUGUAGUACCAAAUGAGAGUAGAUGACAUCAUAGUUAAGGGUCUUCGUCAUCAGGAGACUACUCAUCCAUCAUGUCAACCUACAAUAGCAAAGCACGUCUCCAAGUUGUUUUAGCAGACUUUGAACAAACACAUUAAAUUUAACAAAGUAGACAAUUUGAUGAUAGCUAAUUCUCUCAAGCAAUUAUUUCAGUCAAAGUUCAGUAUGCACACAACUAUGUUCAGUUCACGCAAGAUUUAGACAAAAGCAGUCACAUAUACUUAUCCUAAUGGGGAUCUCGGAUUCCUCACCGUCUACGAAGUACGCUGAGCAGGGGGUACCCAUGGACGGACGCGGCGGCGCUCAUUGUUGCUGGGACGGCGCGAAGUAGGAGGCAUCGAUGGCCUCCUCCAGCCGCAGUCGAGGUGGGGAGCCUCUGUCGGAUCCCUCCAAGGCUGCCCGGUGGUCGGUGCCGACGAUCCGUUGGAGGCAAAGCUCAUCCAUGGCGGCGGAGCGGAGCUGUGGCUGCGGACUAGGCUGGUGGCGGCGAACGGGUUCGUCGCGGGGCUGGAGAGCGAUGGGGAAAAGGGAAGCGAGGUGGAAGCCGUAGACGGCGAAUCCGGGCUGCGUGAAGAGAGGUAAGGGCGGCUGCCAUGGACCGGCGCAUCGGCAGGAAGGGGGGGGGGCAUUAGAUGAUCAGCGGCUGGGGAAGGGCGGCCGCCAUGGACCAAGCAGGGGUGGGUGUUCGUCUCGCCGCCGGUGGGGAUGCAGUGGAAGAGGGGCGAUCGUGUUCUGUGAGGGAGAGAGGAGCUUAUCCACCUGUGUCUGUGUAGUGAGGGAGUGGACUGUGGAGUGUUUGCUCCGAUUGUCCAAUUUCUUUGUUUUUUUAAGGCAAGUGUUUACAAAUCUGGUUCGGUCAUAUAUCAAUGGUUGAUCUUCAGGCUAACUCCAACGCACAACCCCAAACAGACGUCCGUUUUGUCCGAAUAUUCGUCCGUCUAGGGUGGCAACGGGGUUGUGUCCGUCCAAAUUUGUGUUUGCGCCGGCCGGGCACCCAACGCGGGACGCAUCCCAAACGGACAGCUCGGGCCCACAACUCACGCAGCACACGCAGUCGCGUCGCGCAGCGGAGGUCGUCGCGCCGCGCCGCCCGCAGUCGCAUCGUCGUCGCUGGCGGCCAUGAUAACUCACAGGAAUAGGGGAUCGCAACAGUUUUCGAGGGUAGAGUAUUCAACCCAAAUUUAUUGAUUCGACACAAGGGGAGCCAAAGAAUAUUCUCAAGUAUUAGCAGCUGAGUUGUCAAUUCAACCACACCUGAAAGACUUAAUAUCUGCAGCAAAGUGUUUAGUAGCAAAGUAGUAUGGAAGUAACGGUAACGGUGGCAAAAGUAAGAGUAGCAGUUUUUGUAGUAAUCGUAACAGUGGCAACGGAAAAUUAACUAAGCAAAGAUCAAUAUGUGAAAAGCUCGUAGGCAAUGGAUCAAUGAUGGAUAAUUAUGCUGGAUGCGAUUCCUAAUGCAACAGUUAUAACAUAGGGUGACACAGAACUAGCUCCAGUUCAUCAAUGUAAUGUAGGCAUGUAUUCCGAAUACAGUCAUACGUGCUUAUGGAAAAGAACUUGCAUGACAUCUUUUGUCUUACCCUCCCGUGACAGCGGGAUCCUAUUGGAAACUAAGGGAUAUUAAGGCCUCCUUUUAAUAGAGUACCGGACCAAAGCAUUAACACAUAGUGAAUACAUGAACUCCUCAAACUACGGUCAUCACUGGGAGUGGUCUCGAUUAUUGUCACUUCGGGGUUGCUGGAUCAUAACACAUAGUAGGUGACUAUUGACUUGCAAGAUAGGAUCAAGAACUCACAUAUAUUCAUGAAAACAUAAUAGGUUCAGAUCUGAAAUCAUGGCAAUCGGGCCCUAGUGACAAGCAUUAAGCAUAGCAAAGUCAUAGCAACAUCAAUCUUCGAACAUAAUGGAUACUAGGGAUCAAACCCUAACAAAACUAACUCGACUACAUGGUAAAUCUCAUCCAACCCAUCACCGUCCAGCAAGCCUAUGAUGAGAUUACUCACGCACGGCGGUGAGCAUCAUGAAAUUGGUGAUGGAGGAUGGUUGAUGAUGACGACGGCGACGGAUUCCCCUCUUCGGAGGCCCGAACGGACUCCAGAUCAGCCCUCCCGAGAGAGAUUAGGGCUUGGCGGCGGCUCCGUAUCGUAAAACGCGAUGAAUCCUUCUCUUUGUUUUUUCUCCUCGAACGUGAAUAUAUAGAGUUGGAGUUGAGGUCGGUGGAGUCCCAGGGGGCCCACGAGGCAGGGGGCGCGCCCCGGGGGGGCGCCCUGCACCCUCGUGCACAGGGUGUGGGCCCUCUGAUGCUGAUUCUUUCGCCAAUAUUUUUUAUUAAUUCCAAAACGUGUCUCCGUGGAUUUUCAGGUCAUUCCGAGAACUUUUAUUUCUGCAUAAAAAUAACACCAUGGCAAUUCUGCUGAAAACAGCGUCAGACUGGAUUAGUUCCAUUCAAAUCAUGCAAGUUAGAGUCCAAAACAAGGGCAAAAGUGUUUGGAAAAGAUACGUUGGAGACGUAUCAACUCCCCCAAGCUUAAACCUUUGCUUGUCCUCAAGCAAUUCAGUUGACAAACUGAAAGUGGUAAAGAAAAACUUUUACAAACUCUGUUUGAUCUUGUUGUUGCAAAUAUGUAAAGCCAGCAUUCAAGUUUUCAGCAAAGAUUAUGAACUAACCAUAUUCACAAUAACAUUUCGGUCUCAUGUUUACUCAUAUCAAUGGCAUAAUAAACUAGCGAGCAAUAAUAAUAAAUCUCGGAUGGCAACACCUCCUCAAAACAAUCAUAACAUAAUAUAACAAGAUGGUAUUUCGCUUGCCUUUUCUGAGACCGCAAAACAUAAAUGCAGAGCACCCCUGAAGAUCAAGGACUGACUAGACAUUGUAAUUCAUGGUAAAAGAGAUCCUGUCACAGUCAUACUGAAUGUAAAUUAAUAGCAAUGCAUGUGAAUGACAGCGAUGCUCUCCAACUGGUGCUUUUUAAUAAGAGGAUGAUGACUCAACAUAAAAGUAAAUAGAUAGGCCCUUCGCAGAGGGAAGCAGGAACUUGCAGAGGUGCCAGAGUUCGAGUUUUGAAACAGAGAUUGAAUAAUAUUUUGAGUGGCAUACUUUCAUUGUCAACAUAACAAGCAAGAGAUCUCGAUAUCUUCCAUGCUACACACAUUAUAGGCGGUUCCCAAACAGAAUGGUAAAGUUUAUACUCCCCCACCACCAACAAGCAUCAAUCCAUGGCUUGCCCGAAACAACGGGUGCCUCCAACUAACAACAAUCCCGGGGGAGUUUCGUUUGCAAUUAUUUUGAUUUGAGCAUGGGACUGGGCAUCCCGGUUACCGGCCAUUUUCUCGUGAAUGAUGAGCGGAGUCCACUCAUAGUGAGAAUAACCCACCUAGCAUGGAAGAUAUAGACAGCCCUAGUUGAUACAUGAGCUAUUCGAGCAUACAAAACAUAAUUUCAUUUGAAGGUUUAGAGUUUGGCACAUACAAAUUUACUUGGAACGGCAGGUAAAUACCGCAUAUAGGAAGGUAUGGUGGACUCAUAUGGAAUAACUUUGGGGUUUAUGGAAGUGGAUGCACAAGCAGUAUUCCCGCUUAGUACAAGUGAAGGCUAGAAAGAGACUAGGAAGUGACCAACUAGAGAGCGACAACAGUCAUGAACAUGCAUUAAGAUUAAUCAACAAUGAGUGCAAGCAUGAGUAGGAUAUAAAUCACCAUGAACAUAAAUAUCGUGGAGGCUAUGUUGAUUUUGUUUCAACUACAUGCGUGAACAUGUGCCAAGUCAAGCCACUCGAAUCGUUCAAAGGAGGAUACCACCCUAUCAUACCACAUCACAAUCAUUUUAAUAGAAUGUUGGCACGCAAGGUAAACCAUUAUAAGCUCCUAGUAAAUUAAGCAUGGCAUGAGCAACUAUAAUCUCUAAUUGUCAUUGCAAACAUGUUUCAUUCAUAAUAGGCUGAAUGAGGAACGAUGAACUAAUUAUAUUUACAAAAACAAGAUAGGUCGAGUUCAUACCAGCUUCUCUCAUCUCAAUCAGUCCAUCAUAUAUCGUCAUUAUUGCCUUUCACUCGCACGACCGAAUGGUGUGGAUAAUAAUAAUAGUGCACGUUGAUACGUCUCCGUCGUAUCUACUUUUCCAAACACUUUUGCCCUUGUUUUGGACUCUAACUUGCAUGAUUUGAAUGGAACUAACCCGGACUGAUGCUGUUUUCAGCAGACUUUCCAUGGUGUUAUUUAUGUGCAGAAACAAAAGUUCUCGGAAUGACCUGAAACUCCACGGAACGUCUAUUUGGAAAUAAUAAAAAAUCCUUGCAAAAGAUGAAGACCAGGGGGCCCACACCCUAGCCACGAGGGUGGGGGGCGCGCCCCCUACCUCGUGGGCCCCCUGGAGCUCCUCUGACCUCAACUCCAAAUCUAUAUAUUUGCUUUCGGGGAGAAAAAAAUCAGAGAGAAGGAUUCAUCGCGUUUUACGAUAUGGAGCCGCCGCCAAGCCCUAAAACCUCUCGGGAGGGUUGAUCUGCAGUCCGUUCGGGACUCUGGAGAGGGGGAUUCGUCGUCGUCGUCAUCAUCAACCAUCCUCCAUCACCAAUUUCAUGAUGCUCACCGCCGUGCGUGAGUAAUUCCAUCGUAGGCUUGCUGGACGGUGAUGGGUUGGAUGAGAUCUAUCAUGUAAUCGAGUUAGUUUUGUUAGGGUUUGAUCCCUAGUAUCCACUAUGUUCUGAGAUUGAUGUUGCUAUGACUUUGCUAUGCUUAAUGCUUGUCACUAGGGCCCGAGUGCCAUGAUUUCAGAUCUGAACCUAUUAUGUUUUCAUGAAUAUAUGUGAGUUCUUGAUCCUAUCUUGCAAGUCUAUAGUCACCUACUAUGUGUUAUGAUCCGGCAACCCCGAAGUGACAAUACUCGGGACCACUCCCGGUGAUGACCAUAGUUUGAGGAGUUCAUGUAUUCACUAUGUGUUAAUGCUUUGUUCCGGUACUCUAUUAAAAGGAGGCCUUAAUAUCCCUUAGUUUCCAUUAGGACCCCGCUGCCACGGGAGGGUAGGACAAAAGAUGUCAUGCAAGUUCUUUUCCAUAAGCACGUAUGACUAUAUUCGGAAUACAUGCCUACAUUACAUUGAGAAUUGGAGCUAGUUCUGUGUCACCCUAUGUUAUGAUUGUUACAUGAUGAACCGCAUCCGGCAUAAUUCUCCAUCACCGAUCCAAUGCCUAUGAGCUUUUCACAUAUUGUUCUUUGCUUAUUUACUUUUCCGUUGCUACUGUUACAAUCACUACAAAACACCAAAAAUAUUACUUUUGCUACCGUUACUUUUGUUACCGUUACCACUACUAUCAUAUUACUUUGCUACUAAAUACUUUGCUGCAGAUACUAAGUUAUCCAGGUGUGGUUGAAUUGACAACUCAACUGCUAAUACUUGAGAAUAUUCUUUGGCUCCCCUUGUGUCGAAUCAAUAAAUUUGGGUUGAAUACUCUACCCUCGAAAACUGUUGCGAUCCACUAUACUUGUGGGUUAUCAAGACUAUUUUCUGGCGCCGUUGCCGGGGAGCAUAGCUCUAUUCUUUGAGUCACUUGGGAUUUAUAUCUGCUUGUCACUAUGAAGAACUUGAAAGACGCUAAGACAAUAAUUUAUCCCUCAACUACGAGGGGAGGUAAGGAACUGCCAUCUAGCUCUGCACUUGAUUCACCUUCUGUUUUGAGUAAGCUUGCGACACCUAAACCUACUUCUGCUAUUCGUUCCGAUAUGUCGCAUGUUAUUGAUGAUGCCACUUCUGCUAUGCGUGAUACUUAUGAUGAAACUACUUCUAUGCUUGAUACUACUGUGCCCCUUAGUGACUUUCUUGAUGAACAAAUUGCUAGGGCUAGAGAGAAAGAAAUUAUUGAAACUGAUUAUAUUGAUGAAAGUGAUGAUGAAGACUUGCCUGUUAUUCCUGAGGGUUAUGUUUUUGGUAAAGAAGCUUCUUUAGCUAUUUUAGCUUGCAAAGAUAGAUAUGAACUCAAGAGGUUAUUAGCUAAAUGGAAGCAGCAAUCCCUUAAUGAUAUAAUGAGACCUGACCCUGCUUUUGCAACUUCACCUAUCUGUGUUACCGAUAAGGAUUAUGAAUUCUCUGUUGAUCCUGAUAUAAUUACUUUGGUUGAAUCUGAUCCUUUUCAUGGCUAUGAAUCUGAAACUGUUGUGGCACAUCUUACUAAAUUAAAUGAUAUAGCCACCCUGUUCACUAAUGAUGAGAGAUCUCGCUACUUUUAUAUCCUUAAAAUAUUUCCGUUCUCAUUAAAGGGUGAUGCUAAGAUAUGGUUUAAUUCCCUUGAUCCUGGUUGUGUGCGUAGUCCCCAGGAUAUGAUUUAUUACUUCUCUGCUAAAUAUUUCCCUGCUCAUAAGAAACAAGCUGCUUUGAGGGAAAUAUACAACUUUGUGCAAAUUGAAGAAGAGAGUCUCCCACAAGCUUGGGGGAGGCUUCUCAAGUUACUUAAUGCUUUGCCUGAUCAUUCUCUCAAGAAAAAUGAAAUACUUGAUAUCUUUUAUAAUGGACUAACCGAUGCUUCCAGAGAUUACCUGGAUAGUUGUGCUGGUUCUGUUUUCAGGGAAAGAACACCUGAUGAAGCUGAAAUUCUAUUGAAUAAUAAGUUGACAAAUGAAAAUAAUUGGACACUUCCUGAGCCAAUUCCUGAGCCAAUUCCUAAACCAACUCCGAAGAAGAGAGGUGUUCUAUUUCUCAGUCCUGAAGAUAUGCAAGAGGCAAAGAAAUCUAUGAAAGAAAAAGGUAUUAAAGCUGACGAUGUUAAGAAUUUACCUCCUAUUAAAGAAAUACAUGGUCUUAAUUUACCGCCUGUUGAAGAAACAUAUGAUCUUAAUCAUUAUCUACUGAAGAACCUCAUGGUCUUGAUAACCCGACACGGGUAGUAAAUGUAAAUUCUCUCUAUAGAUAUGAUAAAGCUGAAAUCCCUCCUACUAAAAUUGCUAGCCAAUGCUUGGAUGAGUUUGAUAACUUUAUGGUUAAGCAAGAAGAUUUCAAUGCUUAUUUUGGUAGACAAUUAAAACAAAAUGCUUAUAUGAUUGAACACUUGGGUGAUUAUAUGGCUAAUGUUAGAGGUGAACUUAAACUCAUUAGUAAACAUGCUUCUAUGGUUACCACUCAAGUAGAACAAGUACUUAAAGCUCAAAAUGAUUUGCUCAAUGAAAUGAAUAGUAACAAAAAAGAUUAUGCUAUUAGAGUGGCUACUAGAACUGGUAGAAUGACUCAGGAACCUUUGUAUCCUGAAGGCCACCCUAAGAGAAUUGAACAAGAUUCUCAGAGAAAUAAUAUAGAUGCACCUAGUCCUUCUAAAAAGAAGAAAAAGAAAAAUGAUAGGACUUUGCAUGCUUCUAGUGAACCUAUUGCUGAACCACCUGAGAAUCCAAAUGAUAUCUCUAUUUCUGAUGCUGAAACACAAUCUGGUAAUGAACAUGAACCUAGUGAAAAUGUUAAUGAUGAUGUUCAUGAUGAUGCUCAACCUAGUAAUGACAAUGAUGUAGAAAUUGAACCUGCUGUUGAUCUUGAUAACCCACAAUCAAAGAAUCAACGUUAUGAUACAAGAGACUUUGUUGCUAGGAAACAUGGUAAAGAAAGAGAACCUUGGGUUCAGAAACCCAUGCCCUUUCCUCCCAAACCAUCCAAGAAAAAGGAUGACGAGGAUUUUGAGCGCUUUGCUGAAAUGAUUAGACCUAUCUUUUUGCGUAUGCGAUUAACUGAUGUGCUCAAAAUGAAUCCUUAUGCUAAGUAUAUGAAAGAUAUUGUUACAAAUAAAAGAAAGAUACCGGAAGCUGUGAUUUCCACCAUGCUUGCUAAUUACACUUUUAAGGGUGGAAUACCAAAGAAACUAGGAGAUCCAGGAGUACCAACUAUACCAUGCUCCAUUAAAAGAAACUAUGUUAAAACUGCUUUAUGUGAUCUUGGAGCCGGUGUUACUGUUAUGCCUCUCUCUUUAUAUCGUAGACUUGACUUGAAUAAGUUGACACCUACUGAAAUAUCUUUGCAAAUGGCUGACAAAUCAACUGCAAUACCUGUCGGUAUUUGUGAGGAUGUGCCUGUUGUAGUUGCAAACGUUACUAUUUUAACGGACUUUGUUAUUCUUGAUAUUCCCGAGGACGAUAGUAUGUCUAUUAUUCUUGGAAGACCUUUUUUGAACACUGCAGGGGCUGUUAUUGAUUGCAACAAAGGCAAUGUCACUUUUCAUGUUAAUGGCAAUGAGCAUACGGUACACUUUCCGAGGAAACAACCUCAAGUUCAUAGUAUCAACUCUAUUGGAAAAAUUCCAUCGAUUAUAUUUGGAGGUUUUGAAUUUCCUCUUCCUACUAUCAAGAAGAAAUAUGAUAUUCUUAUUAUUGGGGAUGUGCAUAUCCCCAUUGAGGUAACAUAGUGUUAUUCGAAAUUUCUCCGGUUCCAUGUUAUUCGGAAUGAGUUUGUUAACAAGACUUGAUCAACCUUGUUAGUGGAUUCCUUUUGAUGAGCAUGAGAUGGAUGAAACUAGAAGGCACAACCUUCUGUACCCUCCUUCUACUUUCUGUUAUUUAGUUGAAAUAAAGUAAAAAUAGUAUUUUUCUGUCUGUUUUCUGAUUUAUCUGUGCAAUAUAAAAAUACCCCGAAAAUAAAAGUUCUCCAAAUGCCCUGAAAAUGGAAUAUGAUUUUUUCUGGAAUAUUUGAGAAUAUCUGGCACUGAGAACACAGCAGGAGGGGCAAGCACCUGGCCACGAGGGUGGAGGGCGUGCCCCCUGCCUCGUGGGCCCACGGUGGCCCUCCUCCACUUAUUCCUGCGCCCAUACACUCCUUCUUCCUCCCACAAACACCAAUAUCCAGCUCAAGCACGAGUUCUAGCUCAUUUUGCUGUGAUUUUCGAUCUCCUUGCUCAAAGCAUCUCUCACAAAACUGCUUGGGGAGAUUGUUCCUUGGUAUGUCACUCCUCCAUUGGUCCAAUUAGUUUUUGUUCUAGUGCUUUAUUCAUUGCAAAUUUGUGCUGCCUAGGUGACCGUGUUCUUGAGCUUGCAUGUCAAAUUUAUAUGGUUCCAAGUAGUUCUAAUGCAUGAUAUAGUCUCUAGACACUUGUAGGAGUAGUUGCUAUCAAUUUUAUUGAGGUUGGUUCACUUUUGUUUGAAGUUACUAAAAAUUUCAGAUUAUUUCAGAAAACAAUGAAGAGAUUUUUGAGGGGCUCAUCGAGCCGAAGCUCGAAGGAAAAGCAAAAUGAAGAAGCACAGAGGCCCAAAUAUAAUUUGCCUCGCAUCGCGGAGGUCCGGCUGUGUGAAUGGCCUUCCGAUGUUUUCUUGAGAAAAGCCGGGAUUUAUGAUGAUUUCUAUUUUAUUGGCUGAGAAUGCUGGCCUCACCGACUUCCUCCGUGACCAACGUCAUCAGUAUCUCUUACUCACCAAUACUUUUGUGCAAAACUUCUACUAUUUUCCUAAGGAAUCACCUCCUUCAGUAGAGUUUCAUUUAUAUGAUGUUGUUAAGAAGAUGCCACUAGAUGAAUUUUGCAAGGUUUGCAAAAUACCCUUCGAGGGUACCUUAGAUGAACCACAUCGCAAAGAUGUGGACGGGUUUAUUGACACCAUUACUGUGGGGGAAACCAGGAAGGUUUCCGAUGCAAGAAUCACUAGCAUACAUUUUCCUGUUUUACACUACUUUGCCAUAUUUGCUAGUCGUUGCUUGAUUGGUCGCGGAAACUGUGGAAACCUUAGUGUUCCUGAUAUUAUCAUUUUGCUCCAUGGUUUAUAUUCCAAUAACACUGUUAGUAUGGGCGGUAUUAUUGCUAAACGAUUAAGUCUGAACCGUACUAAGGGUCUCAUCUUUGGAGGUAUUUAUGCUUCACGCCUUGCUGCACAUUAUAACAUACCUAUUAGGCUCUAUGAGAAAGAAGAAAAUUGUUGCCCAAUGCUUAUUUAAAUUAUAAGAGUAUGUUAGCGCAUGAUUUUAUUGUUAAGAAUUAGGAAUGGGAGCUUAAAUACAAAUUGUUCUUUGAUAAACAUCACCCUGAGACUAUUACCUUGCCUGCUCCUUCCUUGUUUAAUUUAUCUGAAGGUCCGUAUCUCGUUCCGUGGGCGGCCAUUCGAGCCUACCGGAACCCUACACCAGCCCCGGAGCCGGAACCACAAUUUGAGCCUCCACGACAGUCUGAUUACAUUUGGGAUCCGGAGAUGACCGCCAGCCAGUGGCAGUCAGAGUCCUCUUCGUCUCAGUACGAACCCGGCUACAACUAUGGAUAUCCGCCAGGCCAUCCGUGGCAAUGAACCAACUUAGGCCAAAAGCCUAAGCUUGGGGGAGUACGUAUUUCCCACCGACAUUACAUUUAUGUUCACACACUCAUUGCUAGAUGUCGGUGCUCAUACUCUUUCACUGUAAUAUCCAUGCUAGUUUAUUUUCUUUUUCUUGCUUUCUUCUUGUGUGUUUGAUAAACUUUAAGAAAAACCAAAAAAAUUAGUGUAGCUUUUAGUUAGUUUACUUUUCUUGCUGUAGUAGUAAUAAUUAAAAAGAAAACCCAAAAAGAUUUCCCGUUCUUCUUUUGCUUGUUGGGAGCUUUCCCGUGUAAAUAGCUUUUAUUUCUUUUCUUUUCUUUGGGGGUUGAUAGGAGAAGACCAUGAUUAAAUUGUUGAAGUGGCUCUUAUAUGCAUUAUUGUUGAUUUAACCAAGAGCCCAUAUUGCCUUGUCUUCUCCUGUUUAUUGAAUGCUCGCAGAUUCCAGCUUAGUCCAAUGCAUGUGCACUCAUAUUAUUAUUCACAUCAUUCGGUCGUGCAAGUGAAAGGCAAUUAUGACGAUAUAUGAUGGACUGACUGAGAUGAGAAAAGCUGGUAUGAACUCGACCUCUCUUGUUUUUGUAAAUACGAGGAGUUCAUUGUUCCUGAUUCAGCUUAUUAUGAAUAAACAUGUUUGCAAUGACAAUUAGAGAUCAUAGUUGCUCGUGCCAUGCUUGAUUAGCUAUGAGUUAUAAUGGUUUACCUUGCAUGCCAACAUGCUAUUAAAAUGGUUGUGAUGUGGUAUAGUGGGGUGGUAUCCUCCUUUGAAUGAUUUAAGUGACUUGACUUGGCACAUGUUCACACAUGUAGUUGAAACAAAAUCAAGAUAGCCUUCACGAUAUUUAUGUUCAGGGUGGAUUAUAUCCUACUCAUGCUUGCAUCCAACGUUUAUUAAUUUUAAUGCAUGUUCAUGACUGUUGUCGCUCUCUAGUUGGUCGCUUCCCAGUCUUUUGCUAGCCUUCACUUCUACUAAGCGGGAAUACUGCUUGUGCAUCCAAUCCCUUAAACCCCAAAUUUAUUCCAUAUGAGUCCACUAUACCUUCCUAUAUGCGGUAUCUACCUGCCGUUCCAAGUAAAUUUGUAUGUGCCAAACUCUAAACCUUCAAAUAAACAUUCUGUUUUGUAUGCUCGAAUAGCUCAUGUAUCAACUAGGGAUGCCCUUAUCUUCCAUGUUAGGCGGGUUAUUCUCAAGAGGAGUGGAGUCCGCUCCUCACUCACGAGAAAAUGGCUGGUCACCGGGAUGCCCAGUCCCAUGCUUUAUGCAAACUAAAUCAAAAUAAUUGCAAACAAAACUCCCCCUGGGACUGUUGCUAGUUGGAGACACUCGUUGUUUCGAGCAAGUCAUGGAUUGAUGCUUGUUGGUGGAGGGGGAGUAUAAACUUUACCAUUCUGUUUGGGAACCGCCUAUAAUGUGUGUAGCAUGGUUGAUAUCGCCAUCUCUUGGUUGUUAUGUUGACAAUGAAAUUAUGCCGCUCAAAAUAUACAUCUACAAAUCCCUGCUUCCCUCUGCGAAGGGCCUAUCUAUUUACUUUUAUGUUGAGUCAUCACCCUCUGAUUAAAAAGCACUAGCUGGAGAGCGCAGCUGUCAUUUGCAUCCAUUACUGUUAAUUUAUAUUGGGUAUGACUAUGACUGGAUCUCUUUUACCAUGAAUUACAAUGUCUACUCAGUCCUUAAUCUUUAAAGGUGCUCUGCAUUUAUGUUUUGCGGUCUCAGAAAGGGCUAGCGAGAUACCAUCUUGUUAUAUCAUAUUAUGAUUGUUUUGAGAAAGUGUUGUCAUCCGAGAUUUAUUAUUAUGGCUCGCUAGUUGAUUAUGCCAUUGACACGAGUAAACAUGAGACCUGAGAGUUAUUGCAAAUGUGGUUAGUCAUAAUCUUUGCUGAAAACUUGAAUGCUGGCUUUACAUAUUUACAACAACAAGAGCAAACAGAGUUUGUAAAAGUUUUUCUUUAUCACUUUCAGUUUGUCAACUGAAUUGCUUGAGGACAAGCAAAGGUUUAAGCUUGGGGGAGUUGAUACGUCUCCGUCGUAUCUACUUUUCCAAACACUUUUGCCCUUGUUUUGGACUCUAACUUGCAUGAUUUGAAUGGAACUAACCCGGACGGACGCUGUUUUCAGCAGACUUUCCAUGGUGUUAUUUAUGUGCAGAAACAAAAGUUCUCGGAAUGACCUGAAACUCCACGGAACGUCUAUUUGGAAAUAAUAAAAAAUCCUUGCAAAAGAUGAAGACCAGGGGCCCCACACCCUAGCCACGAGGGUGGGGGGCGCGCCCCCUACCUCGUGGGCCCCCUGGAGCUCCUCUGACCUCAACUCCAAAUCUAUAUAUUUGCUUUCGGGGAGAAAAAAAAUCAGAGAGAAGGAUUCAUCGCGUUUUACGAUAUGGAGCCGCCGCCAAGCCCUAAAACCUCUCGGGAGGGUUGAUCUGCAGUCCGUUCGGGACUCUGGAGAGGGGGAUUCGUCGUCGUCGUCAUCAUCAACCAUCCUCCAUCACCAAUUUCAUGAUGCUCACCGCCGUGCGUGAGUAAUUCCAUCGUAGGCUUGCUGGACGGUGAUGGGUUGGAUGAGAUCUAUCAUGUAAUCGAGUUAGUUUUGUUAGGGUUUGAUCCCUAGUAUCCACUAUGUUCUGAGAUUGAUGUUGCUAUGACUUUGCUAUGCUUAAUGCUUGUCACUAGGGCCCGAGUGCCAUGAUUUCAGAUCUGAACCUAUUAUGUUUUCAUGAAUAUAUGUGAGUUCUUGAUCCUAUCUUGCAAGUCUAUAGUCACCUACUAUGUGUUAUGAUCCGGCAACCCCGAAGUGACAAUAAUCGGGACCACUCCCGGUGAUGACCAUAGUUUGAGGAGUUCAUGUAUUCACUAUGUGUUAAUGCUUUGUUCCGGUACUCUAUUAAAAGGAGGCCUUAAUAUCCCUUAGUUUCCAUUAGGACCCCGCUGCCACGGGAGGGUAGGACAAAAGAUGUCAUGCAAGUUCUUUUCCAUAAGCACGUAUGACUAUAUUCGGAAUACAUGCCUACAUUACAUUGAUGAAUUGGAGCUAGUUCCGUGUCACCCUAUGUUAUGAUUGUUACAUGGUGAACCGCAUCCAGCAUAAUUCUCCAUCACCGAUCCAAUGCCUACGAGCUUUUCACAUAUUUUUCUUCGCUUAUUUACUUUUCCGUUGCUACUAUUACAAUCACUACAAAACACCAAAAAUAUUACUUUUGCUACCGUUACUUUUGUUACCGUUACCACUACUAUCAUAUUACUUUGCUACUAAAUACUUUGCUGCAGAUACUAAGUUAUCCAGGUGUGGUUGAAUUGACAACUCAACUGCUAAUACUUGAGAAUAUUCUUAGGCUCCCCUUGUGUCGAAUCAAUAAAUUUGGGUUGAAUACUCUACCCUCGAAAACUGUUGCGAUCCCCUAUACUUGUGGGUUAUCACACGUGCAUUGGACUAAGCUGGAAUCUGCAAGCAUUUAAUACAAGAGAGAAGACAAGGUAAUAUGGGCUCUUGGUUAAAUCAACAAUAAUGCAUAAGAGAGCCACUCAACAUUUUCAUCAUGGUCUUCUCCUCUCGACCCCCAAAGUAAAGAAAAGAAAUAAAACUAUUUACAUGGGAAAGCUACCAACAAGCAAAAGAAGAACGAGAAAUCUUUUUGGGUUUUCUUUUAAUUACUACCACAGGCAUGAAAAGUAGACUAGCUAAAAGCUACAACUAAUUUUUUUGUUUUUCCUUAAGGUUUUCUUUUCAGACACACAAGAAGAAGGCUUAGAAAAGAAAAUAAACUAGCAUGGAUAGUACAAUGAAAAAGUAUGAGCACCGACAACUGGCAUGAGUGUGUGAACAUGAAUGUAACGUCGGUGAGAGAUACAUACUCCCCCAAGCUUAGGCUUUUGGCCUAAGUUGGUCUAUGCCCAUGAUCGAAGCUACUCUCUCCGGUGUACUGUGGAGGGUCCUCAUGGUGCCACUGGUUGGCGAUCUCCUCCGGAUCCCACUAAUAAACAGACUGUCAAUAAGGGUCAAGUGGUGGCUCAAGCUUAGGCUCUGGAACUUGUGUCAGCCUCCAGUAUGCAUAAAUGGCCUCGGGCAAGAUGAGGUACGUGCCUGAAAGUAUAUUAAACAAAGAGGGUGCAAGAAAGGUAAUAGUCUCACAGUGAGUUUUAUCAAAUAUCAAAUUAUACUUAAUCAUCUUCUUCUUAUUUUUAACAAUAAAGUCAUGUGCUACCAUACUCUUAUAAUCUACGAAAACAGGGGGCAGAAACUUUUCCUCUUUCUCAUAAUGCCUAAUAGGUAUCUCAAAGUGUGCAGCAAGGCAUGAAGCAAAGAUGCCUCCGAAGAUGGGGCCAUUUGUACGGUUCAGACUUAAUCGUUUAGCAACAAUAGCACCUAAGUGAUACGUCCAUUUUGCAUCAUGCUUUUAUAUCAAUAUUUGUUGCAUUAUGGGCUGUUAUUACACAUUAUGCCACAAUACUUAUGCCUAUUCUCUCUUAUUUUACAAGAUUUACAUGAAGAGGGAUAAUGCCGGCAGCUGGAAUUCUGGGCUGGAAAAGGAGCAAAUAUUAGAGACCUAUUCUGCACAACUCCAAAAGUCCUGAAACUCCAUGAAAGUCAGUUUUGGAAUAUAUUAAAAAUAUUGGGCGAAGAAAGCACCAGAGGAGGGCCACACCCUGUCCACGAGGGUGGGGGCGCCACUACAAAAAAAAGACACAUCCGUGACAUUUUGGGCCGAACGAAAUUUAUUUCUAUCAUACAUAUGACACUUCUAUGACGACAAUUGUGACAAAACCCGGUAUCAUCAUAGAUGUGGUGGGCUCCUACUUCUAUGACAAAAAAUCAUGACAGAAAAUGGGCUUUUCGCCCUGGGCGGGCCGGAGACGCAGCUGCAUGACAUUCUUUGGGCCGUCCAUGAUGGAAAAAACCGUGGUAGAAGCGAGGGGAAGGAAAAUUUCGGGGAGUUCCCGGUUACGGUGGGAGGUCGGGGGCCGAGCGAUGCGCGUUUCUCUCGUACACGUACGCGCGUGUGGGCGAGGCAUUGGCUCUAACUGAACCCGAGCGAGGCGUUGGGCUCUAACUGAACCCGAGCAAUUGCACUGCAGGCUACGCGUUACUGAACCCGAGCGAUCGAUCGAUGGCUGUUAACUGAACCCGAGCGAUCGAUCGAUGGCUGUUAACUGAACCCGAUUGAGCGAUUCCUUCGCUACUGCUGCUAACUGAAGCCGAUCGAUUGGAUGAACAGUGANNNNNNNNNNNNNNNNNNNNNNNNNNNNNNNNNNNNNNNNNNNNNNNNNNNNNNNNNNNNNNNNNNNNNNNNNNNNNNNNNNNNNNNNNNNNNNNNNNNNNNNNNNNNNNNNNNNNNNNNNNNNNNNNNNNNNNNNNNNNNNNNNNNNNNNNNNNNNNNNNNNNNNNNNNNNNNNNNNNNNNNNNNNNNNNNNNNNNNNNNNNNNNNNNNNNNNNNNNNNNNNNNNNNNNNNNNNNNNNNNNNNNNNNNNNNNNNNNNNNNNNNNNNNNNNNNNNNNNNNNNNNNNNNNNNNNNNNNNNNNNNNNNNNNNNNNNNNNNNNNNNNNNNNNNNNNNNNNNNNNNNNNNNNNNNNNNNNNNNNNNNNNNNNNNNNNNNNNNNNNNNNNNNNNNNNNNNNNNNNNNNNNNNNNNNNNNNNNNNNNNNNNNNNNNNNNNNNNNNNNNNNNNNNNNNNNNNNNNNNNNNNNNNNNNNNNNNNNNNNNNNNNNNNNNNNNNNNNNNNNNNNNNNNNNNNNNNNNNNNNNNNNNNNNNNNNNNNNNNNNNNNNNNNNNNNNNNNNNNNNNNNNNNNNNNNNNNNNNNNNNNNNNNNNNNNNNNNNNNNNNNNNNNNNNNNNNNNNNNNNNNNNNNNNNNNNNNNNNNNNNNNNNNNNNNNNNNNNNNNNNNNNNNNNNNNNNNNNNNNNNNNNNACCCCUCCCGAUCAACAGGACCCCCGUUUCGACCGUGGGAGGUCCGUUUCCUCCGUUUUGCGGUACACCACACCCCUCCCGAUCAACAGGACCCCGUUCCGAACGUAGGAGGUCCAUUUCCUCCGUUUUGCGGUAUGCCAGGACGCGUUUCCAUCGCCUGUUCCGUCCAAGCCCUCCCGAUGAACACGACCACGCAUUCCGUUCCGACCCAGCUGGUUGGCUCCCACGCGUUCCGUUGCCUCCCGAUGAACACGACCCAUUCCGUUGCCUCCCCAUGAACACGACGCAUUCUGUUGCCUCCCCAUGAACAUGACGCAUUCCGUUGCCUCCCCAUGAACACGACGACGACGCUGUUUCUCCGUUCCGACCCAGCCAUGUACACGAGCCCUGGCCGUACGUAUGCGCGAGUAGGCGUUCGAGACCCCGCCCGUAUGUACACAUACGUGGCCGUAUUUUCUUUCUUGCACCCUGGCCGCUGUACGUACGUGUACAUGCUACGUGCGCGCCUCUACUACGACACGUGCGCGCCUCUACAUCCACCAGUAUAUAUGUACGUACACGUUCGCGACCAGAAUGACAACGCUACGUACGCUUUGACCAGAUGGGUCCCGACUGUCAGGCACUUCCUUGCGUGCGAAGAUGUAGCUGGUGGGUCCUAGCAGUCAGGGGGGAAACGUUUUUUCGCAAAAUACGGUGGCCCGUCCGGUGGGUCCCCGCUGUCAGGUGGAGGAAUAAUUAUUUUGCACGUAAUAAGGAGGCACUUCCUUGCUGCGGCCGUGGAUCCAGCUGUCAGCCUCUCCACGUACAGUCCACGUCCGAUGGAAGCCGUUCCUUGACCACGUUGACCACGCCGCGCUGAGAGCACCAGGGCGGUGGACGACGACGAGGCCUAGGAAGGGGACGACGCGGAGCCGGGGAAGUCGCGGCAGUGGAUUCCCAUGCGUAGAGGAGUAUGAGGGUUCACUGGUUCGCUGCGGUGUGAGGCUGCCGUCGCCGCAGAAUAACAGGGGGUGUGGGUGAGUAGAGGGAUGGCCUGGCCAGCGGUGGGAGUAGUAGGGGGCGGUGAGGCCUCCGCCGCAUCGCAGCCGGCCACGGGAGGCAGGAGCACGAGGCAUGACCGGCGCUGGUUUGGGCGGCUGGAGCAAGAAGACCAGAGGUUGAAGAAGCACUACGGCCGUUGGAUGGACAUCAUACGGUCACUGGAGCUAGAAUCAUGCACAUUGACUAAGUUGACAAAGCCCUCCGUCCCCGUCAACUUAGUAGGCCCACAAGUCAGCCAGCCACUAUACUGGGUCCCAGCUAACAGGAGGAGUAUUCAUUUUUUUGUGCGUAAUAAGGAGGCACUUCCUUGCGUGCGAAGAUAUAGCUGGUGGGUCCGAGCUGUUAGCGGCGGUAACGUUUUUUCGCGAAAUACAGAGGCCCUUUCGGUGGGUCCCUGAUGUCAGGUGGAGGAAUCAUUAUUUUGCGCGUAAUAAGGAGGCAUUUCCUUGCGUGCGGCCGUGGACCCAGCUGUCGGCCUCUCCACGUACAGUCCACUUCAGAUGCAUGUCGGUCGUUGACCACGUUGACCAGGCCGCGCCGAGAGCACCAGGGCGGUGGACGACAGCGAUGCCUAGGAAGGGAACGACACGGAGGCAGGGAAGACUCGGCAGUUGUUUCCCACGCGGAGGGGAGUACGACUGUACGAGGGUUUACUGGUUCGUCUGCCGUCGCCGGAGAAUAACAGCAGGUGUGGGUGAGUAGAGGGAUGGCUAGGCCAGCGAUGGGAGUACGGUGGGUGGUGAGGCCUGCGUGGCAGCAGAGCCAGCCGCGAGAUGGAGGGAGCAGGCAGUCCCGCUGGCGCUUGUUUGAGCGGCUGGAGCAGGAAGAGCAGAGAUUGAAGAAGCACGACGGCCGUUGGAUGGCCAUCCAACAGUCACUGCUUGUGUGUCAACCUUUUUUUAGGAAAGCCUCAAAUCUGUGGAAAACAGCAUACAUCCCAUCUGCCAUUAUUUCUAAUAAUUUAUAGCCCAUUUGCUAAUUAUUAAGGUUUUUUUGGAGCCCAUAUUCUUUUUGUUAGCAUUACAGCCCAUAUUGUGGCCACGGUUAAAAAAUUAUACGAAAUUUUGCAUAUUUCGGUGCGGUCCGAACUGUUUUUAAUCCCGAAAUUUCGACACACAUUCAAACUGAUUUUAAAAAUAAAUGUAUAUCAAUAUAAAAUCCAACAAAUUCUCCACGCAUAAAAAUUAAUGUAAUUUAAAAUCUCGAAAUGAAAAAAAAGAUAUUUGAAACUAAUUGCCGGUUUGAUGUGUUUUAAAAAUGUACAACCCAUUUCUCAUUACUGAUAGGCCAUUUUCUCGGCCAGCCGAAUGAAAGCUCUCCUCGUCUUGAAAGAUUUGUAGCCCAAAAGGCUUGACAAAGCGACUUACUUGGCAAAUCACAAAAAAACUGGGCUGUGGCCGUGGACCCAGCUGUCAGCCUCUCCACGUACAGUACUCUUCCGAUAAAAUGUCGUUGACCACGUUGACAACGCCGCGCCGAGAGCACCAAGGCGGUGGACGACGGCGAGGCCUAGGAAGGGGACGACGCGGAGCCGGGGAAGACGCGGCAGUGGAUGCCCAUGCGGAGAGGAGUACGAGGGUUCACUGGUUCGGCUGUGGUGUGAGGCUGCCGUCGCCACAGGGCCUGGCUAGCGGUGGGAGUAGUAGGGCGAUGAGGCCUCAACGGCAGCACAGCCGGCCACUGGAGGCAGGAGCAGGCGGUCUCCCCGGCACUGGUUUGGGCGGCUGGUGCAAGAAGAGCAGCGAUUGAAGAAGCAGCAAGACCGUUCGAUUCAAAUCCAACGGUUACUGCUGCUAGAAUCGUUUGUUGACUAAGUUGACAAGCCCUGCGUACGCGUCAACUUAGUAGGCCCACAGGUCAGCCUCCCAACCGGUCCGCCCCAGAUGUCAGUGGGAGGAAUCAUUUUUUUUCGCGUAAUAAGGAGGCAGUUGAUUGCGUGCGGCCAGGCCAGCGGAGGGAGUAGGAUGGGCCGGGGAAGCCUGCACGGCAUCACAGCGGGCCACAAGAGGGAGCAGGCAGUCCCGCUGGCGCUAGUUUAGGCGGCUGGAGCAGGAAGAUCAGAGAUUGAAGAAGCACGUCGGCCGUUGGAUGGACAUCCAACAGUCACUGCUGCUAGAAUCGUGUGUUCACUGACAAAGCCUUGCGUAAACAAGUCAGCCUUGAAAUCUGUGGCGUGUACAACCCAUUUGCUAUUAUUUUUAUAAUUUUUACUCAUUUUCUAAUUCAUAUGGAGUUUAUUGCAGCCCGUUUUCCAUUUUUAGAAUUGCUGGCCAUUUUCUCGUCAGUACCAGGGUCAAAAAAUUAACUAAAUAUGCGGGAAAUUUUGAAAAUUCACAAAUUUUUGCUGGGGAACGAAAUACUCUUAAUCCAAAAAUUAAUAGUCAUACUAAAACAAAUUUAAAAAUAAAUUAGUACUAUGUCAUGUUAAAGCCAAUGAAAUACGUAUAAGAUAUCAGUGAAGAACAAAAACAAAAAAAGAAACUUAUAUCCCAUUUGCUAUAAUUUUUUUGGAGUUUUCAACCCCUUUUGAUAUUACUUUUAACAGACAUUGACCAUACUCUUAAGCCAGGCCGGAAUGCAUCCCUCCUCGUCUUGAAAGAUUUGCAGCCCAGUAAUUUGGAGAAAACAAAUAGGCCUAGCUUGGGUAUUCUUCAAAAAGAAAUACUGGGCUACCUAUUUUCCCAAAGAACUAGUGCAUGAGCAUUUAGCUUUAUUUAUUUACUUAUUUAUGUUUAGGGGACCAUGAGCAUGUACCUGGGCCGGAUUCAUGUGAGAGCCUCCCUUCCAGUUAAUUAUGGGCUUCUCUAUUGGGCCUUCAUCAGUGGGCUGCAUGUUAUCAACAAGUGGAAAAUGUGUUCCGUACGAAAAAUAGUAUGCGCUACGUACGGUACGGGGCACUAAAGGAUCGAACCAUGCAACGACUUCCAAAACAUUGUGUUUGUCGUUCUAACAAAACAUUUAUUCAACCAACGAACGAAAUAUACUACUGAUUGUACAUUGAAAACAGCAGCAGCAGCAACCAGGGCUGGGGGUGCAACAAAAGCAGUAAGCAAGCCCGAAGAGUGAAGACGCAGCUCUCUCUUCCAAACCAAACAUCAGCCAUCAUUACAAAAGGGCUACCAAAAAAAGAACAAGUGUAUGCAUCAAACUAAAUAAAGAUCCUACUACACCAAGUGUACGCAUCUAACUAACUGGCUCAGUUAGACGUUACUAUUUAUUAAGCUGUGGAGAUUGGCUGACGGCUUGAACCAGAUGGGUGCCUGACGGGGGAAACUCCAGCCAGCAGGUCGAAGUCUGAUACUUGCGACCCUCUCUCCUACUUUGGGCUGCAGAGCGUGGCGGCACAUAUCAGGGUAUGGUGCAUGCAGAGAUGCAUGGUACACUGUGUACACACAGUUUUGCCUGAUGAAUGAAACUGCGCUGCCAUCAUGAUCCUUGCCGUCGGUUAUCUCAUGGUUAAUCGGAUAAUUCAGUCCGACAAACAGAGAGCGUGUACCAAGGCUACUUACCAGCCUCCAGUCAAAAAUUCCUGAAGGCCCAGAGAAGCUGGGAUCCUGCUCAAAGACCUUGCAGUGACUGUGAUUGUAUUCCGCCGUCGUCUGAUCGAGCCAGGAACCACCUGCAACUGCCAUGCCACUUUUCUUUGAAAGGUUCUGGGAUUAGGAAGGGUAGGGACACCAGGCGGCCUACAACAUCAUAUCAAGUUGGAGUCAAAUAAAAAGGGCUCUUGAUUUAGUCAAUCUUAAGAACAACAUGUUAUGAGCAUGAAUAUUUUUUCAGCAAAUGUUGACAGUAAUAUAAGCAAGCCAUCAUGAUAUCAUAGGAAAGUAACAUAUUGCUGUAACAGCCGUUUGUAGCGAUGACUGGAGUAGGCCAGCAAUACGUACAGCUAUAGAAGGAGUCGACAGCGUAAAUGAAGCCCUUGUGUUCAAUGGCAUCAGAGAACCAUGGAGGAUGUAUGAUCCUGCGAUGGACGUGCAGAUUUAUCCACUUACCGCAGUGACCUGUCAGAUAGGCGAGACCGCGGUUGAAGAACGCAAUUAGCCUGAAGUCUUUAUAAUUCGCAGAUCUUGUGGGCACUUGGCAGAUUACAACCUUGAGCAAAUCAAACUUGGUAUCAUGUUGGCUACUGUAAGAUUCCGAGUAUUCUGGGCCGCGGUGCCAAAGCAGUGCAGUGUUAAUCGAAGGAAGGGGGAUCAAUCGCCGGGUGUAGACCUCCACGAGCAUCCAGCUGCCGCGACCGUCGACGAGCACCAUCCAAGACAUGUUCAUGCCGACCCAGUACAUACCGUUAAUGUAGUUGAGGCUGACGGGGAUCGGAUCACAGUCAAGGGGGUUGAUGCUCGCCACCCUACGAUCGUUAUGCUGCAUGACACGCCGUUUCUGAAGAUCAGGCAGCAUCAGCAAGCAAGGAGCUGGCUUAAAAAGCUCCGGCCUGAGGGCUUUGAGUAAACGGUACAGCCCCGACGAGCACGCGGCGAGCGGCAUGGUACUGAGAUUGUCCACACGCGAAACAAUGAGCUUGAUUACCUCGGUGGGGAGCGAAUUCCAGCCACUCUUUUGGUGGACGCUGCUCGGUUCUGCCAUUGUUAGUGCUUGGGUUUCGGACGAGGGGGGGAGGCGCCUUAGCGGGGAUGGAAGAUUGGACGAGAUUAUGUGCGGACAAAGAUGGAGAAGCGAAUAUGUGCUGCGGGAAGUGGACAGGUGAUGAUGACUACAGCACGCCGCUUGACUUACGAGACACAUACCAACAGCGUAGGGUCAUGUCGAUGCCAGACAACUUGCUUGAGUGAUCACAGUACUGGUACUCCCUACAGUGCUAUGCCCUAACUUGCUUGAGUAGAGUAGUAGAGUAAGACUCUGCUCUAGUACUAGCACCGGACGAGUAGUAUAUUCUAAUCUAAAAUAGUUACAAACUUCAAUGCCCGAGCAUGGAACAACUACGAACCGUGCUCAAAGACCGUGUCUACGUGGUGUUUGGACAUGGGCGACAACCUCAACGCCAACGGUGCUGCUCCCGUUGCACCGUAUGUGUUUCUGUCCUACCUGUUCGAAAUCGUGGUAGAAUUCAUGUUUCUACUCUGUAUCCUACUACUAUGCUAGUCCACAUGAUUAGUUUCAUCUCUGUUAUAUCCGUCAUGAUUUAUUUUGUGCUUAUUCGGAUUAAAUCUCGUAGUAACUUGCUCAUAUAUUCAACUGGCGCAACGUCCCCUACAGCCACUCCCGUUUCAUGGACGACCUGGUCGAUGCCUCCAAGGAGCCCUUCGUCCACUGCUAUGAGUGCCCGAUGCCGUUUCGUGGCUCGCCGACGGACAUGGUGCAUCACCUCACGGAUGCGUGCAGCGGUCACUGCUGGCCCUUGGAGGAGAACAUCAAGUACGAGACGUGCUACCCGUUCACCAUGCCGGAGUCGCUGGAGGAUCACCGCCGCCUGCUAGUCUCGGAGGAGGACGGCAGCGUCUUCCUCUUGAUCGUGGGCACCGGCGAGGCCCGCGCAGGCCGCCGCCCCGUCUCUGUAAUGUGCAUCAGGGGCGACGCCGCUGACGCUGACACUGACACGAGGCCGAUGUACGGGUGCGUGGUCAGUGUUACUACCCCUCCGGGUCGCGUGGGCAGCGACACCGGCCUCAUCGAACGGACUUGGACUCUGGGGAGCUGGGACUAUCCCGCCAAUGUGGACAUGGAAAACCCAUGGCAUCCUUUACUCGCCGACGCGGUGCACGGGGGCUCCAAGGAGGUUCACCUGGACAUACGCAUUAUCAAGUUAAAUGUUGAUCAUUAGUCUUCGCUCAAUGUAAUCCGCUGUCUAAGCAUGUGGAGACUACCAUGCAGGAUCUUGCUCUAUUGGAGUAUCGCGCAUGAAUAAAAGUGUAUCCGUUUAUGGUUUAGUCUAGAAUCUUCCAUGUAUGAAUUUUUACUACAGUACUGGUGAAAGACUUACGAUGAACCAUUUCUUACAUCUCCUCUACCCGCUUGCAAGUCAUCCCGAUUUAAUCCCUCCGUCUAGGUGUAUUAGGGCAUGGUUAAUAUUACUUAAUAGUAUAGCCAGCUGUUGACUAUAAGAAAGUGCCAUGUCAUCUGUAGCCAACAUGUAUAACAAUCGAUACUCAAAAACUAAUUCUUAAAGAUCAUUUCUUGCAAAGCACAAUAAGUGUUAUUUCUUCACAAGUUUUGGAUGCAGGUUGAACAGUUGAACACUUUUGUUUGCAAAAGAUACCUUUUUAUCUAUUUCACCCGGAUGUUUGUGAGCUCUAGAGAUGAAAUAAUAUUCGAAGAAACCUAUCGAUACCCGUUACACAUGAGAUGACCCCCACAUCCUUUGUCAAAAUAAACAACUCCCCGAUCAAUGCAUUUCACUCUUCGGUGCAACGCACGGGCAGCUUACUACUAUAGAUUAGUACGACCAAAAAUUGAACUAACAUUAUAUAUAGUACGAUAAAUGCUGAUGCAUGUCACCUAAAAUUAUAUCAUUCAAAACUAUGUUCAAAUACGAAUGCAACGAUAUAGUUUUUGUUGACAUGCACUAACAUUUUGUCAGUUAAAUCUUCAGUCAAAUUCAAUGGGGGACUAAUAAACCACGACCGAUGUAGUACAAGUGUAGAGGGCGGCGCUGCAAGGGAGUCUCACCUCUCACCCCGCUCGUGGCGCGGCAGUAAAGCCGUCAUAUCAAAAAACCCAACCACUCCCAGUAAUAAGUGGCCUGGUAAAAUAAACGGACAAGCAACCAUCACAUCCCUCCGUCUUUUUUGCAUUUCAUCUCUCUGCAUUUACUUUCUCCGGUUCAUCUCGCACACUCGAUCCCUAGCUACUACUCCUAGGGCCAGUUCUUUUGGCGACUUCCCCAGCUUUUCCCACAAGACUAGUCACAGUGGAGAGUAACAAUAAGGCACCUCACUCAUUUAUUUGGGCUUCUAAACUACUACUCCGUCCUGGUUUAUUCCUCACCAUUGUAAUUUGUGCUAAAUUUUGACCAAAGAUUUAACUAGUUUAUUCCUCACCAUUGUAAUCCCUCCGUCUAGGUGUGUAAGUCAUCUUACGAAAACCAAAUAAUCCCAAAACACUUAGGCGCGGUGCAUUAACUUCUACUCCGUACCUCGUUUCUUGUUUCUUGACAUAUCAACGAAUAAGAGAUAAAGAGUGUGCAUGCUUUUAAUGACUUGAGAUAUCAAACACGACAUGCAGUGGUUAGUUCAUUGCAUGCAAUACUAUUAAUUAGCAAAUAAACAUUAACGUUUCUCGUUUUGUCCUCCUCCUUGGUCAUGGUGCACAGCCUAAGAUGACUUACUCACCUAGAAGGAUGGAGUAGUGCAUGUGACAUGCACUAACAUUUCAUUAGUUAAAUUUAUGAUCAAAAUUUGACACAGAUUACAAUGGGGACCAAUAAACCAGGACGGAGGUAGUAGUUAUGGGAUUACUAAUCUAGAAGCCUAAAAGAACUGGCCCCUGGUACUCCUACUAGUAGUAGUACUCAAGUUGGAAUUCCAAUUGCACGGCACAACUUCUUAGGCAAAAAAUUCGAUACAGGGUGUAGGAAGCGGUUUGGGAAUUUGCAUGCCUUUCCAACCAGUGAGAUACUCCAUACAAAGUACGACAGAGAAAUAACCACAGAGAAGGAAGCUAAAAGUAAACAAUCAAACAAGCAUUUUUGCAUUUGUUUUGCAUUGAAUCGUUUCACAAGCUUGACUAGUGCUCUUUUUCUACUUUUACAAAAACCGCAUCGUAAUGUUAAAACGUGCAUUUGCACGUACAUAAGUAAUAGUAGUACUCCCUCCGUCUAGGUGUAUAAGUCUUCCCUCCUUCUUGGUCACGGUGCACAACCAAAGAUGACUUAUUGACCUGGACGGAGGGAGUAGCACAGUCUGCAAGCAUAUAUCGAGAGAGACGUGUAGUGCGAUAGUAUAUAGUAAAGUUUGUGCUAUAUGCACGUACUUGCAAAAUGCGUACGAAUACAUAAGGUUUCCAAACUUUCCCUUUUACAUACUUAAUUAAGGACGCUAAAAAUUCCUGAACGUUCGGGAUUUAUCAUUUGCGUCCCAAAACUAAUAAGAUCGCCUUACGAAACAAAAAUUAUACUCCUCCUAAAAGCGACGGCGGUCGCAGGAGCGCUUGCGGCGCACCACGAGUGCCCUGGUGCGCGGCCAUUUCCCAGCGCGCCGACACAACGCCUCUUCCUCAGCCUCGCAACUCGCGAGGUGCUGAUUGGCGGCUUGCCGGCGGGCGAGCGCGAUCUCACCGGUGUGGUGAUCCAGGGCCAACAUGUACUCCUCCUCGCUGGAAGCGUGCACCCGGUCCACGUACCGCCAAGCGUAGAUGAGGCGCUUGGGCCCGACUGCACUCAGGGCGUCAGCACGGGCGUCCUCCGCCACCCUCACGGCCCUCGCACGAACCUUCUGCCAAAGAGCCAAUUGCCUGACCCUCGCGGCCCUCGCGACAUAGGCCUCCCAGGUAGCUUGUUCCGCGGGGCGCUUCUCUUCCUCGGCCUUCUUCUCCGCCUCUAUUUUGGCGCGCUCUGUUGGAGGCAAAGCCUCCCACAGGGCGACAUCCAUUUCUUUCCAAAGCUCCUCAAGGCUGGGGGGCUCGGCGGGCGGCGCGGCAUUCUCCUCGUAGCGGGGAGCCGACGCGUCCUCCGGCGCGCGUGCUGGCGAGAUUGGGAACGCCGACGCGUCCACCUCGACUCGUCACGGUGAGGAGCGGAACGCCGACGCGUCCUCCUCGACUAGUGGCGGCGAGGAACGGAACGGCGACGCAUCGCGUCGCGGCGAGGAGCGGAACGCCGACGCGUCCUCCUCAACUAGUGGCGGCGAGGAACGGAACGGCGACACGUCGCAUAGCGGCAAGGAGCGGAAUACUGACGUGUCCUCCUCGACUAGUGGCGGCGAGGAACGGAACGGCGACGCGUGACCGUCUGCGGUGCAGCGAGGGGCUCCUAGGGCUUGGGAGGGGCGAUGCCAUGGUGGUCGACGUGAGAGGGAGGGGGAGGAGAUAGCGAUGAACGUGAACGUGAGGGGGAGGAGAUAGCGAUGUCGUGGGAGGCGCAGUAUUUAUAGCGAGCAAUGGCACACCUACGUAAGAAAUGGACUGAGCUGCACUGACUUAACUGCAGGUCCAGUUGUGUCACUGACAUGUGGGCCAGACCCCUGUUGGGCCCAUAUGUCAGUGACCCAAUGCACCUGCAGUUAAGUAACAGCUACGUGGGCAUAUUUGUUGGAGUAAAUUACGGGGGAGCGAAGGGGUGGAAAUAUUGCUGGUCACAAUGGAUUGGACGAGCGUGGGGGGAAGAGAGUCAUGCAUGCAUAUUUUUUCACAUGGGGUGGAGUGGUGGGACCGUCGGAGGGAGAAGGAGAGUUUGGCAGGCAUAUUGUUUCCACACAUGGAGAGGAAAAGAUUUGGAGACGAACGGGCUUCCUGCAGGUAUGGGGAACGGUGCAUAAUAAGUCAUCUUGCAUGCCGGGCUAGGUAUAGUCUCAAGUCAUUAAAAACAUACACGCCCCACACAUGUUCAUAUUUCAAGGUGCACUAAAUUAUUGCAUGCGAUGAUUAAGGCUGGCCAUAAUGGUGGUAUCUUAGCUGGUAUCAUGCACACGGGAAUAGCAAACAUGCUGAUGUGGCAAAGAAUUAAAGAAGAGAGAGGGGGGGUUAGAGUAACUAGUGUUCAUGCAUGCAUUGGUAAACACAUUUUUUUGUGAAGAACGACAGCACUAGUUGAGUACUUUUGCAGACUUCAAAAACUAUUCCACCGCCUCUACUAUCUUGCUAAGAGUAGGUGAAAUUUUUGAAUCGAGCCCUUUAAACUAGAAGGGAGGUAGUGGUACUCUAAGGCUGGUCAUAGUGGGGAGUAACUUAGACUAGUAACAUGCAUAUGUUACUAGUCUAUGUUACUACCUCUAUAGUGCAUAGUAUCAUAGAUUAGUAUCAUAGGUGGUCUCAUUUAUUGCCAUGCAUGACACAUAGUAGCAUCACAUUUAUUAUGUUACGGUAUCUACCUAUGUUACUAUAACCAUCUCUCUCUUCUUUAAUUGCCUACCACAUUAGCAUGUUUGCGAGUCCCAAGUGCAUCAUACUACUUAUGUUACCCCCACUAUGGCCAGCCUAAUAGCUAACCUUGUUGUGAUGACAAGAUAGGACAUGGCACGCACCUGGACGGAGGAACUAGUCUGCAUUGUGCAUUUAAGUUUUGUCUGAAGUCAAUGUACCUCUACUUUCACCAGACUUAUAGAAAAAUGUGUCAACAUUCACAAUGUCAAAUCAAUAUUUUUACACUCAUUAUAAAACGUAGUUCUUAUACUCAUUAUAAUCAGUAUUGUAGAUAUUGAUAUUUUUAGUAUAAUUUUGGUCGUGGGAUUUCAUUGAUGCCUGUCAAAGCGUGGAGGAAGCGGAGCUUAGGGCUUGCAUUGCCGGUCUCUACAUAGGUAUUUCUCUUCAUAAUCCUGUAAUUUUAGAGACUGAUUGCGCUUUUGUGGUAGCGUCUCUUGCAUCGGGGGACUAUGACAGGUCUGCUAUGCGUGACCUGAAGAUGAAAGCGUUGAGUAUCUCGAAGUUGAUCAACAAUCUUCAAUUGUCAAAGAUUAGCCGUUCGGCCAAUAAGGUGGCACACUUAAUCGCUAAGUAUAGCUUUGACAAUAGAUUAGAUGGUAUUCUUGUAAAUAACAUACCGCCCUGUGUGGUGAAUAUUGUAUCGAAUGAGUGUACUGGUGUGGCUGGUUAAUUAAUAUAAGGUGGUGUUCAAAAAAAGUAUAAAUUUGGUCAAACACUUUGCAAACGGUUGACGGGAGUAAAAAGGACCAGAGGGAGUAUCAUGCAUGCGGAGUAGGCAAAAAAAUUGCUUGUCUAAAAAAAGGCAAAAAAAUUGCUCAUUUAUAGCCGGUCGAAGUCUCAAAGGGCGCGGCCGCGCGAGGGAGGCGAAGGUCGUGGGAGGCGCGACGUUUGACGGAAUUAAGUGAAGUUACAUCCACGCGCCGGCAUGGCGUGCGAACAGGCAGAAGCUAUACCGUCAUGCCUACGAUAUGGGUCUAGUAGACAUGACAUUUAGUGGGUCCCGCAUAGUUCUUGAGAACUCUUUGGGGGCUUGCAGCCGUUUAUCCACCGGGCAAGCCAGCAACCCCACGCCGUUCGCACGCCCUACUCGUCCCCGUCUUCUACCUUACAACAGUUUGCUCCCAGUCGUCCCGUCCUUUCACAUUAGUUCACUCCCAGUUUUUUUGCGGGGUACAACAGUUCAACUUCUCCUAACCCUCCUCCAAAAUCCAUGGCCUCCCAAAUCUCCAUGGUCGCCGCUUAGUACCAGGUUAGAGCCAUCACCGACGAUUAGUUCAUCGUCAUCUACACACAUGGAUCCGAGACGGUGAAAGCAUGGCUUGCUCGCUUCCUACGCAUGUUCAACAGUUCAACGGAUGAGUGGGUCGCUGGGCUAGAUGUUGAGUACACCACAGUCCUGGGAUGAGAGAAGGAUCUAAAGGACGAAGAGAGGAAGAAGCCCGCCGUGAUCCAGGUUUGCGUACAUAACGUUUGCUUGGUCUACCACAUAUGCCGUGCCGACGUUGAGUGCCAGGAUUUUAAGAACUUCCUCAAGGAAAAAAGAGUGAAAUUCGUUACUGUAGGCUUUAAGAACGACAGGGAUGUCCUACGUCGGAUAGGUCUCGUUGUAGGCCAGUCCUUCGAUCUCCAGAAGGCAAGCCUGGUGUCCUCCUCUCAACCUUCAAUGCUGACCCUGGCAGCAGCCAUGAUUGAUCCUUCGUACGGUAAACUAAAGAAACCUCAUCACGAGUUUCAUCAUGCAUGGCAGUCGAAGACAUUAGAUGAAGAUCACAUCCUGUACGCAGCAAUGGAUGCCUACCUUUGUUUAAAUAUCUACAAGGGUUGGAUGAAGAAGCCGAGCCCAGUUUCUGGUUCAAGCAAAGAAGCGUCGGCGAAGAGGAAGAGGAAGAGGGACGAGGACGAAGUUGAGGACGUGGACUCGAACUCCGAGUAGGUGGCAGUGCCGUCGCUCAUGCUGCUUCUACUGCAGUGUCAAGCGGACUAGUUUCUUAGUUUAUUUUCAAGGGUGUGUUGUGCUGAGGCCCCAGCAGAACUAUGUUUAUGUUCUUUCUCGUUAUUUGAACUCUUUAGUACGUACAGUAGUACUAGUACUAUGUCUUACUACUGUUCUUCUUGCAGUUGGUACUACUACUCGUAUCUUCGUGUUCCUACUGUACUUAAUACGUUCAUACUAGUAGUAUAAUUUGGGUCAGUCGAUUUGUGAAAGAAGUUCGACGGAGCGAAGGAAGAAGACGACAGAAGAGGUGGAAGAAGCCCUUCUAGCCAUCCAUGUUGCAUCAAACGGCUCACAUGAGUCGACUGACCCAAAUUGCUCCUUCAGAUUGCAAGAUCCACGUGGCAUUCAAGGUCUUGAAGGUAGAUUCCGCGUCCGCACCCGGUUUGCGGGCUCGACGCGCGCGACCGGCUUCCGCCGCGAUAGGCACCAUGCGCGCCUCCUCCGCGCGGGCGGAGACGACAAUGACACGCUAGUUCCUCCUUGGCGGCGUGCUAGAGCACGCGCUCGUCCUCCUCUUCGUAUGCUGCGUGCAUAGACGCAGCUCCACUAGCUGCUCGUGUGCUUGGCAGUGUGACGGCAUCGCGAGGAGGGACUGCAGACGACGUGAGUGGGCGAGCCUUCGGCUUCAUGGCAUAGGGAUGGCGGCGACACGGCGGUGAUGGGCGAGAAAUUGUUGGCCGGAGCAGGCGGGCGCCGGCAUGCGCAACGGCGGCGGCAUAUUGAUGAGUGCGCAUGUGGGAGCUUACUUUAGUUUUAUAUAUAAGGUUGGUCAAACUUAAAAGAAAACCGUACUAGUACACGUAAACAUUAGACUUAGGCAGCGCUUUUAUUAGUUAGUACCACAGCCACGAUACGGAAUCCUGUGCAAGCGCGUGAACCGCGGCCGCGCGGUCGAUCGAACGGUGCGUCACCGUGUCGCGCUCGAAGGACAUCCACCGAACCUUUUUGUGUGUGUGAAAACAAUCCUCGAAUAUUACUCAACUUUUUUUCCUGUGAAAGUUCUUGACGCUACAAUAUUUCCAUAUAUUUGAAUUUAGCUCCAGUUCGAGUUUAUUUGGAUUUGGACGUUUUAGGUGCGCCCUAGUUUUUUUAAUACUGAUUUUGUGUGUGUGACUGAGAGAGAAUGUGUGUAUGUGUCCAUAUGUGUGUUGUGGCGGAAGGGCAAUGUGGAGACGGUGUGCGUGUGAUACAGACAUAGAGAGGUGUGAAUGUGCAAAUGAUCAUGCAUGAGUGAGACAUAGACAGAUGCCGAUACAUUGUGUAUACAUGAGAGAACAGUCUUCUAGUUUACUUGUGUGUGUGUGUGUGAGAGAGAGGGAGAGAGAGAGAGACAGAGAGAGGAGCAUCCGUAACACAACAACCAUCUCCCUCGAUUCGUCCGUCCCUCGCACGGUCGCAUGCAACACAUGCAUCAACACGCACAUUUUGACACCCUCACCCGGCCCCUGCCACCUCAAGGCCCGCACAAUCUCUUCGUGAAUACCCAUUUCUCUCCUUAGGUUUGUUAUCUCUCAAUAUCUGACACACACACACAGAGACACACGCAGCACAACACACACACACACACACACACACACACACACACACACACAGAGACACGCAGCACAACACACACACACACACUCCCCGGAGCACACAAUUCAUCCCCAUCCAAGGUUAUACGACGACCACUCUCGCUUGUGCUUCUUUGCACCCCAACAUGCACAACACCUCAAUCUUCAAAGAGGGCAUCGAGCAGAUCGAAGACGGCGACCACACCGCGCUAGAGAAUGCGGGGUCAUUUGGAAGCAGGGUGAUGUGACGACGGCUGACUGACUCCUCCCCCACCCUCUCUCUCUUGCACAAAAUUACCAAUCCCUCUCUCCCCCGCACAAAAUUGUCAAUCCCUCAACCCACGAGAUCCUUCCCCUCUCGUCCAUGUUUUUCCAGCUCUCUCAUCAAACAUGUUGUCUCUUCUCCUUCCAUGUAUACAGAAUCCAGAUGCACACGCAUCUCAUGUAUAUUACAUGUAUCCAUCUUUCUCACAGACCUAACUUCUUCCUCUCUCUUUCUCUCUCUAUCUCUCUCUCUUUGUCUCGUUAGGUUUGUCUCCUACUCUCUCGUUCACAUACAUACAAUCUUUCCCGCCCUAUCUGCUCCAUCUUCAAAAGCUCUCUCUGCACGUUUCAUUCACACAUUGGGAUAUGUCAAAAUGUUGCUUCUAUAAUGGAUGAUGUAGAGUUAUGGUUGUUUUUGUUGCAUCCUACAAAGUAAUAACUAUGAAAUGCAUUUAGAUUCUCAUUUGACUGGGAUUAUGUGAGUUUGAGCAUGUUGUGAAGUACUAUAGACCUUGUAUACAUCUUGGAAUUCGACAAUGAUUGUAACUAUUGAAUUGUAUAGACCAUUACAUUCGAAGUCAAUAGCCUAAUAUAUUUAUUUCACAAUUUCAAAAAAUGAUUAGUUCACUACAAACUAAGAAAACAAAUGUGUACUCCCUCCGUUUUUAUUUAAGUCCGCGUAUUAGCAUUGGUCAAAGUCAAGUUUUGUAAACUCUCAGAAAGCUUAUAACAAAAAAUAUUAACAUAUAGGAUAACAAAUAAAUACCAUUAGAUUCAUUAUUGAAUGUACUUUCACAUCAUACAUAUUUGUUAUGGUAAAUGUUUAUAUUUUUCUAUAAACUUGGUCAAACUUUAGGAAGUUUGACUUCGGUCAAACCUAAUAUGCAGAGUUUACUACUACUACUCGCUAGUUGCUUAGCCGAAUCACUCAACACGCCACACGGGGAGUCUAGUGUCACAAAAUUUUGAGGUCGGCGGGAAAAUCUCCCGCGACCCUGAUUCGAGCAGUGGGAAGUUACCAUCAUAGCCUUCGGAACAGGCCUAUGGAUGAUGCUUGGUAGGGGGCUGUUUUCGUAACUUCAGGUUCACCCUACCCAGCCAACCCCACCCCGGCACCCAGAGUAGUACACCUGAAUACUCCCCAUUUUCUAUCCCCACCGCAAAAUAGACUUCUCCACGGCACCGCAGCCUUCGUGCUCCUCCCCUUUACAUCGGCGCACUCGUCCACCGCAGCGCAUCUACCUCAUCGACGACCUCGUACGCCGCACUGGAGCCGGUCCACCGUCGUCGUCAUACACGGAGCCUCUUCCCUGGCAUCGUCUUCCACGGUCUCGGAUCUGCUUCCCGGAAGCCGACGCCAAGCGCAGAAGUACCACCGUCGUGGACAAUGAACUGACUCCCGUUGCCGACCAUGACUCACAGAGGCCUCCGCGACCAUCGUUCUCCUCCUCGAUUGGUAAUGUGUGUAUUGAAUCACUUAGCAGUACAUGUGCAGUUCCAAUUUUGUUCAUACCCACCCUUCAAAUUUCCUGGGUGCUGUUGUUCCCGUAAAAGUAAUUGGUUAUAGCCUCCAUUGUCCAAUAGAAUAUCAGCUUCUAAUUGUGCGUCGCUCUUGUAUCGCGCUAGUAGAGAAGAGAGUAGAGAUAGCAGAGACGUCGGGAAAGGAUCGCGCGCGCGCGGGAAAAAGCGGCCGAGCGUGCGCUAGUUUUGGCGCGUGGCGUCCGGCGCGCUUUAUAAAAUCCAACGCCCUCCCACCGCUCUGUGCCUUGCCACCGCUCUCUCCCCGCUCUGUGCCUCGCCACCGCUCUCUCCCCGCUCUUUUUCGCCUCGCCGCCGCCACGCCACCAUGCCGCCGCGUCGCCGGGAAACUUGGGGAUACCGCGGCGUCCGCGUGUGCCCCUCCGGCGGCUUCUCCGCCGAGAUCCGGUUCCGUGGGAUGCGCCUCGGCCUCGGCAAUUUCGACACCGCCAACGAGGCCGCCCGCGCGUACGACGCGGCGGUGUGGCGCCUCCGGUGGCCUCAUAGAACAUUGAACUUCCCCAACGUGCCGACGCGGGAGCGGGCGCAGGAGCUCGCGCCUCUGCCGCGGCUUAGGGCGCUGUGGCGCCAACACUUCCUGCAGGACAUCAUCAACGAGCGCGAGUUCUACGCGCAAAGGAGGGCGGAGAGGGAUAAGAGGAGGGCGGAGCGAGCCGCCUAUCGCAAGGACAAGCGUAGGCGAAAAGCGGACGCUCAAUUCAACAUGAGGCUAGGAGCAGCGUCGCCCCGGGAAUCCGACGACGAUCGGUAUCUUCACGCCUACAGUCAGACGUCGGAGGAGGACAACACCGAGGAGGAGUCGGACGACGAGGAGUAGUUGAAUUAUCUUUUUUUAUCUAUCUAUGCUGAGAACUAUCCUCUACUCUCUACUAUCUACUUCUCGAUCUCAGCACUGUAAACGCUUUUUUAAAGCGCCGCGCGUUGCGAUUCUGUUGGAGAUGAUGAGUGCUUUAAUGUUGCCCACAAGAUGCGCGAGUAUUACUAGUAGUAUAUUUUUCUUGCCAUGUUGAGAUUUUAAAACCACGAGUGCGAACAUGCAGAGGAGCAAUGAAGACCAAACACGGGAUAUUCGGGACAUCUUCAAGGAGCGUGGCAAGUUAAAGAGGAGCUGCACCAAACCUGUAAAAUGAGCUUUGGUAAGUAACACCCUUUUAAUUACUUUCAUGUAGCCUCGUGUUCUUCAAUGUGUAUAUGUUGUAGUUUCUGUUUCUCUUAAGCGUGGUGUUCUUCGAUGUGUAAUAAGAAGAGUCUUAAUCGUCCUAAUGCUUUCGUUUUUAGCUUGAUGUAGGAAGUGGGUGUUCUCACCUUGUAGUCUGUUUUUAUUUUUAUUUUCCUUUUGAAUUCACUUCUCCGAGUUCUGUUUAUCUGGCUUCUACUAAAUGGAUCUAGGUUGCUCUGAGUAUUGAUCUAAAAAAGAAGUAACUUCAUGUCAGGAUGCAGUUCCUGUGAGGAGGGAAGUAUGGUCAACCUCGAGAUCAUGUUUCCAAAAUGAGGCUGGAUUACACACAAGGUGCUAGUUCCCUAAUGAUGCUGGAUUAGACACAAGGUGCAAAUUCCCAGAUGAUGCUGGAUUACACACAAGCCAGGUGGAGUCGUCAGUUGUUCGUGUCCUCGUGGCAUUAGUAAAGGCUGAAAGAAAGCGUGCAACAACCCUUGAGAAUGUAGCUGAGUUCCUGAAGAAGCAAAAAGAGCAAUCAGAUGCUCUCUUCACCCAAGCCAAAGAAGAGAUGGAAGAAGCCAGAAAUAAGCUAGCAGAGGCAGAGCAGGCUAGGCGUCUCCUGCUAUCUAAAACUGUUGUCAAUACAAAAUUUCCUUCAUAAUAGCUAGGUUCAAAUGUUUAUCCAGUCAGCAUGCCUGUUGUGAUGUCUGUGCAUCUACUGAUGUGGCACAAAAUGUUUUUUUGGGGUCAUGUAAUAAUAGCAAUUACUUUCCAAACAAUAACAGACGAAGCAUUGGACAUGGUAUAGUUCACGCGCAAGCCCGACAUUCCAAGUUCAACUUCCACAUCAAACUCAUGUUCACAGAUAUCUGCACAUUCAUACAUAAUGUCCACGACCAUGAUUCACUUCAAAGCCAAAAAAAAGUGAGGAGAGUUAUAAAGAAAGAAAAUCCUCUACUAGUUCCUACUACCAGUGCGAGCACAACAAGUCAAGACCAUGCGUAAAUUAAUUAUAUUUUAGUCAUUUUUUGUGUUCUAAAAUUCCUGCCGGCUCGUGGAAGGACGUAUUGCCGGCACACGCGCGGAUUCAAUGAAGGCAGGUGGGGCAGUCUUAAGCUGGUUGCACGUGGCGAGGAGGCGUGCUCAGCCGGGCCUGCAGCGAGUGCGGCCCUCUUGGCCGGCGCGCCGGUUCAAUGCCUGCGCUAUGAGAGGUCGCGUCCGUGUCAGAGCAAUCACUCCCUCCAGUCCUUUUUUGUUUGGGUAUAACAAAAUCUCGUUUUCCAUUCACAUUUUACAAGUAAAAUUCGUGGACAAACUUUGACCCAAAGUAUGAUGGGGACUAGUAAACCAGAAUGGAGGUAGUAGUUUUUUUAAUCAAACAAGGGUUUCCCCUUCCGAUUUUCAUUACUGAAAACCAGCAUCUAAAUCUAAACCAUAGUAUUUGCCCUAGAACUACCAGGUUCAACAUCUCGCAACAUAAACCCAUACAACCUCCAUCGCAAAAAAAACCAUACAACCAUACGCCAAGGAGGUACGUAGUACUAUGAAUUCCAUUUUCGCUCCAUACCAAUCGUUCUAAAAACUACUUACUACUUAUAACGCGCCAUUGAAAAUUGGAACUCUUAACCCCACUAAAAACGAUAUUUUAAACGUGGCUACUCGAUCUGUGGCAACUGGCGAGCCACCGCGCUCCAAGUCGUUCACCUGUGGUCCCGACCAUCAACUCCUACUGAUCAAAUUAUCACGCGAGCUGACUAUUCCUACAAAGGUGCUCCACCAUGUACCCGGUACCCACGAAAUGAUAGGGAGAGUGUGACACUUCUCAAGGGAGACGUCGAGAGACCAUGUUUGCGAUGAUAGGAGAAACAUGAAGUGAGCGUGCGGGUGAGCUGGAGAAAAGAGAGUGAUAGCUACCUAAAGGAGCAUGCAUGCGAGAGAGAUGGGCGUGAAAGGAGUGAACAAAAAAGGGAUUCAAAUAUUUGAAUUCGAGAUGAUGAUGCAUGUAAUCCAUACUCGAACCAAAAUUGAUCUAUCAAACAUGCAUACUCAUAUGAAUUCACGCACAUCUAUGUUAUUUAAUAUGUAGAUAUUACUGAUCCAUACAUUUUAGUAGAACAUAAUUUGGUUAAUUUUUUUCAAAUUCAACCUUAAGAUUUCGAGAUCGUUGUAUUUGUAAAUCAUAUUAUACAUAUAAAGGAGCAGAAUUCUUUGUUGUGCUUUUGAAAGUAUAUAUAAAAAAUGAUGUAUAUAGAAUGUAAUUCCAAUUGAAAAUGGAUCCCGCCCGAAAAAAAAUAGAAUACAAACGGGAUUCGAAUUGAGUUGGCACGGUAAACGUGCACUCUGCAAAAUUUGAACAAAGCGGGGAAAGUCGCAGUGACCGCCCGAAACCAAAAUCUGCGAGAUGGAAAUCACUACUGCCUAUCCCUGCCACGCAAAGCCUAUCUGCUGGAUUUCUAUAGGUUUCUAUAGGGGUAGGUUUGUAAUUUCACCCAAACGUGAUGUAACCGCCUCUCACCCGGAUUCAUACACGGUGGGCGCCAAAACAUAGUGUGUCCUCGGCCGAAAUCAACUCCCUCCCCGAUUCAUAUUCAUACACGGUGGGCGCCAAAAACAAACUCUCGUCGGCAAAUAUUCGGUGUAUGCGAGAUUACUAUCCUAUCCCCAACCGACUAAUGUUGCUGUGAUGUAGUAGAAAUUUGAAACGGGGGCUAAGUUUGUAAAUUUCCUCGCAUUUGAGACAAGCCCGCCCUGAAUACAUGGUUCGCCCCUUCCUCUCUAGCUCCCUUUUCCCCAUUCGUACUCCGUGGGCGCCAAAACACCCUCUCCACCCCACGCUCCUCCGUCCGCCGCCGUCCGACACCCCAUCCACCGCCGUCCUCCUCCACCAUGCCAGAGCUGAUACCAUGACGCCGCCGUCCAUUACAAGAGAUCGACCUCUCUCAUCCACGGCUUCGGACCGGGAUCCUUGCAUCCCGUCCUCUCGCUUCAUCCCCGCCGUCAUCCACCUUGCCGGCGCUGCUCCUACAACCGUCUCGUCCACCGCGCCCCGCCACCACCGUCUACCCUCCUAGAUCUGCUUCCACGCCGCCGACAGCCAUCGCUACCGCAGCACCGUCAAAUUCUCAGCAGAUGCGUACACGACGCCGCACCAGAGGCGGCACUCUUUCGUAUCUGCUCAACUUAUUUAUCGCAGCAAGAAAAUAGAUCGCCACUGCUUUACUCUGAUUUCUUGUCUUGGUUGCGAAGUUGCCUUUGUCCGGUUUGCACCUUCAGAUCCGCCAUGGCACGCUCAACACUAUACUCCCAAUGCUUAUGGUUUUCCCCUUUUAUAUUCCACACUAGUUAAAUCACAGUAGACUAAAUUUCAAAAUUGGGUCAGUCGAUUUUUCAGAGCUCGCCGGAGUUUGCCGGUGCGAUCNNNNNNNNNNNNNNNNNNNNNNNNNNNNNNNNNNNNNNNNNNNNNNNNNNNNNNNNNNNNNNNNNNNNNNNNNNNNNNNNNNNNNNNNNNNNNNNNNNNNNNNNNNNNNNNNNNNNNNNNNNNNNNNNNNNNNNNNNNNNNNNNNNNNNUAAAUCACAGUAGACUAAAUUUCAAAAUUGGGUCAGUCGAUUUUUCAGAGCUCGCCGGAGUUUGCCGGUGCGAUUGAAGGGGCUCAGGUGGUUGUGGGGCCUCGCCGAACAAAGAAAACUCGACGCGGGUGGGGGUUGGGGCGGGGGUGGGGGGUGGGGGUGGCGGAGGAACACAGGCGGUGGGGGCCGGUGGUCCGGCCGGGGGCCCGUGCGGUGUUCUGUAUGGGAAGAAUCAGAGACGAGGAAGAAGAAGGGUUAGGAGACGUAGGAUCUUCAUCCAACCGCCUAAAAUGGUCGAGAGACAGCUGGGAGUUGCAUUCUUAAUGCGCUCUGGUUCAUCAUGUGUGGGCACCGCGCAACCAACAUUUUAUUAUCCAAAAUCUGCUUGCUCUUCUUUACCAUGUUCUUCUUCCGUUCUUCUUUAAUAUGUACUCUCUCCGUUCCUAAAUACAAGUCUUUGUAUAGAUUCCACCAUGGACUACAUAUGGAGCAAAAUGAGUGAAUCUACACUCUAAAAUGUAUCUGGAUACAUCUGUAUGUCAUCCAUAGUGGAAAUCUCUACCAAGACUUAUAUUUUGGAACAGAGUGAGUAUGAUAGUAGUACAGUAUGUUCCUUGUACUGAAGAUGAGCAGGGACAUUUGCAGUGUAGAGGUCUAUACGGUCGGUUGUGAUGGACACUUUGAGCCUCUUUGAUUCAUAGGAUCUUGUAAACAUAGGAAUAGGAUUUGUAGUGGCCUGCCCACUUGAAUCCUAUAAGAAUAGCAAGGAAAUGCGGGGAGUUGUGUCGCCUUUGAGAGUUACACUGAUAUUAACAGUACCGCACCUUCACUUGAAGAGAGCUGGUAUCCGAAGCCUUUCUAGCCGUACCGGCAAUACUAGCACAUAUAUUCCAGCAAGUUCCACUUUGCUGAUUUUACUCUGAUGCUUAAGGUUUUCCCAUUAUAUCUACACUAUGAUCUAUGUAGCUGCUUUGUGUCGCACUAGCAGCAGUCCACUCUUGAAGCUAAACACUGCAAUGACUUACAAAAUUGGCACCAAGGCAUUGAGUGCCAUUCUGGAUGCAAUGAAACUCAUACGCUCCCCACCUAUUGAUUCUUGUUCAGAAUAUGAUCCUAAUGACUAUUCUAACCUCGAGGAGUCAAAGGCAGAUGGCCUGUCCUGUUCACCCAUCAAGGUGCCUAUUCUAAUUUGGCAAUGUUUUAUUGAUUGCGGGUAUCUUGCAUAUGUUGUCUUGCAUUUCUUCUACUUUGUUGCACCGCCAUCUGCUUAGUUUACUCAUCAUAUAUGUCGAGAUGCCAUGCCCAUCCAUUAUCAAUACAUAUUCCAUCUGUCAUCAUACCAUGUCUUUCCACUCAAAUGUUGUUCUUGUGCAUCAGACAUCAAAAAGGAAGAGGGUGAUUGCCGAACCUGAAGGAGCACUAGCAAAGUUCUUGAAAAACGUGGUGGUGCCGGAGAAAUCAGACAGCACUGCACUUAUAUUGGCUGUACAUCCAGUGACACAAAACGUAGGACCGACUCCAGUAGACUGUACCCAUACUUCAUUGGCCACACCACUAGCCCCACCACACAGGACCUGCACUCCAGCAAAAGGUAUACCGAUUUCAUUUGCCAUAGCACCAGCUGUACCACAGAAAAAUCCCACUCCAGCAAAAAGUACAGCAAGUCCACCGGCCGAAGACCUAUCCCAACUACAGAGACGGCCAAUUCCUGCAGAUUGGAACCCCUUUCCAUUUAUUCACAGUUUAAAAGACAAUGCUUUCAAUGUUGUUAGGGACUACGUGCAUAUAUUCCUAUCAUGGGAAGAUUAUUGUGAAUACAAACACCAUUUUCACAUCUUCUUGUCCAACUUACGUGUAAGUGCUAUUAUUCAUGGUUAUUAUUUUCCUGUUUUCUGCUGAUUGAACACAUCAAUGAUUUACAUUACAUUGUUGUAACUAGGCGAGGGUCAAUCUGGAUAGUCAUGACGAGCAAAGCUUGCUUGUGCUUUUCAAGGAAGCAUUGCAGUAGUAUCGGUGUUACCUGAGGAAAUCACACUUUGAUGGCAAGUCUAUAAACGAAUUUCUGGUGAAGUCUCCUGUGCUAAAUUUUGAAGACAUUGAAUGGAAAAACCUUGUUAUGCACUGGUCUCGUUCCCAGGAUGAGGUACUGUCUAUGAAAUCACAUGACAAUUUGAACUUCUACUUUUCCGCAUGUGCCUUACGGAUCUUUUUUGCAGGAAAUCUGCUCGAAGAAGAAUUCCGGUUUGACAAGAACGACAGGAUAUCGCAAAUAUGCUGCCCGCUGCUUUGCUCUUGUUAGUACCUGUUGUCCUGUAUCACUGUACUUGCAUACAUACCUGGUUCAUUAUGUGACAACAGUAUGCAUGAUAGCUUGCUUAUCAAUUGUUCGCUCCAAAUUAUCUGAUCUGUAUGAAUGGUUACAUUAGUGUAGAAUAUAUCCAAUGCUAUUUUUUUUAGCUCUGCAUUGUUCUUGUAAGUACAUGCUGUCCUUUAUCAGUGUACUUAUAAUGACAGGUAGUUGUUCAUGUACCAUCACUCUGCAGCUUAUUUUCCUUUGCCCUCCAUUUUCUACACAUCAGAUCUAUAUUUACUCUUACCAUAAGGUUGGUACUGAAGAAGUUUAGCUAUGCAUUGCUCUUGGCUGUACCUUUUGCCUGUAUCGCUGCACUUACAUUUAUAGCUACUUGGUUAUGUAGCAUCACUCUUCAUCUUAUCUUAAAUAUUCUCCAUUUUUUCGUAUAUUAUCACAUCUAUAUUUACUCUUAACAAAAUGUAGAAUGAAGGCAAUGCUUUUGAAGAAGAUUCUGUGGUAAACUUCUUGAAUUGCCCCCCCAUCAGCAUGGACAAGGCCUUUAUAGAGCCUGUCUUCACCAAUAAUGUAAGUUUGUCCAUCUCAAGCCUUCAAACUUUGUUGUAUAUAUUUGGUUAGGCAUGACUGCAACAUCUGUUUAUUUUUGGUGUCUGCAUCAAAUUGCUUGUUUAAAGUUUAUUAUGUAGUUCAUAAACAAAAGUUUGUCCUUUCUCAAUUUAAGUUUUCAGUUGUACAACCAAGUUCCUUCUUCAUACCAUGUAAAUUAAACUAUACAGAGCAAGUGAUCUUCUUUUGCACUGCAUGUAUGCUUCUGUUCUUCAUCCGUAAUCCAGUGGUGUGGUGAACCUACCCACUACAGCACAAUGUCAUAUUCUGCAAUGUCUUAACUAUGAACAAUGUCAUAUCAUUCUACUAUUAUUUAAACCAUCUCUUUAUUUGCCAAUCUAAAAUGGUAUAAAUUGACAGCACACUAACCAUUGAUACUUAUGAGUUCUUGAUCUGUAAUCCAGUGAAGCUGCCAACUCCUUCACAAUGUCAUUUCCUGCCAUGUCUUGACCUGAAUAAUACCAUAUUGUGUUAAUGCAAUUUUAAACUGUGUCACUUUAUUCGUCAAUAAGAAAUGUGAUGAAUUGUCAGCACUGAUACUUUUAUGUGCAAAACCUGUCAUCUGUCUCCUUGUUUAUCUUUCAGAGUGAGGAAGAUAUAAGUGUUGAACAAGCGCAGUCUCAUCAUCUUGCUCAGCUGCUUGCGCUGCAGCUCCCCAGCAGGGCUAACCUUUCUUGAACUCUAUUGAUGUGCUGUCGGUUUUGUAUAUUAUUUUGUCGGCGUGUUUAUUUGCACUGGUGGCGAUCUUUAAUGCCCAGUGUAUGUAAUCUGCUGUCUGCUUGUGCUUUAUUAUCAUAGUGGCGAACUUUGAUGCCCAAUGGAUGUAAUAUGCCAUAAUUUAUUUAUUGUAUAGUCUAGGUUUUUUCUUAUUCACGAUGCUGCAGUUAUUUUACUGUAUAUAUAUCAUGUCUUCGCAGUAAACCGGCCAAACCGUAAAAUUACGGUACAUAAUCGGGCCGUCAUGCAAUCACGAUGUAGGUUGGGCCUGAAACGUGCCGAAUAGCUCACGGGCUGGCAGCAGCCCGAAAUGAACCCCGGCCCAUGAUUGUGCGAAUCAAAUCACAGGCUUUUAACAGGCCAAAAUUGUCUCGGUCCUUGUUUGGCUCAAUCAGAUAUCGGCUGCGAGCAGGCCGGAUGCAAACCAGGCCGUAGUUAGGCCCAACUAUAUGACGGGCUUUUAAUAGGCCGAAAUUAAUAUAGGACCGAAAUGUUAAACGGGCCCUUAACAGGCCAAAACUAAUAUCAGGCCGAAUUACUAAGUGGGCCUUUAGCAAGUGGGCCCAAAAGCAUAGUGUCCAGUUGACGGGCCGAAUCUGAUAUGGGCCAUAAUUGAGCCCAAAGCCUCUUAAAGGGCCGGACCUGAUCUGGGCCGUAAUUUGGCCCAGAACGUGGUAGGCUUUUAACGGGCCGGAUCUCAUAUGGGCCACUAUUAGGCCCGGAGCGUGGCAGGCCAUUAAUGGACCGGAUCAAAUAUGGGCCGACAUUUGGCCCAAAACAUGGCAGCCAGUUAAUGGACCGGCCUACUAGGGUCCUCAAAAUCUUGUGGGCCUACAGCUGGGCCGGCCCAUUAAUGUCGGCGAAAUCUCGUGGGCCUUUAGCUGGGCCGGCCCAUUAUGAUCCGCAAGAAUCUUGUGGGCCUUUACCUGGGCCGGCCCAUUAUGGCACACAAAAAUCUUGUGGGCCUUUACCUGGGCCGGCCCAUUAUGGCCCGCAAAAUCUUGUGGGCCUUUAGCUGGGCCAGCCCGUUAUGGUCCGCAAAAUCUCGUGGGCCUUUAGCUGGGCCGGCCCAUUAUGGUCCGCAAAAUCUUGUGGGCCUUUAGUUGGGCCGGCCCAUUUAAACUUGAUGGGCCGGUCCACGUGUCAACAUAUCAUAGGCGCGUCUCACCCAUUGGAUGAGUGACACCUGUGGCAACGCGGACCUGACACGUGUCUCCUCCAACCAAUGAUGAUUUUACACGUGGAAAAUCCCAUCGGGGCUGUUAACGGGUUACCGGAUCCAAAACCCGACCCGAUAGCUUAACGGCGUUCCGUUACGGUGGAUGCCACGUGUCGGUCACCCUUGACGAAAGCAUUUCUGUGACGCGUGAUUUAUCGUCAUGGAAGUGGACACUUCCGUGAUGAUAAUUUUGGUAAUGUCAUGGAACACUUCUACGACAGCACAUGUAUGACUAUCUUGAUUCUGUCAUAAAAUUGUCAUGGAUGUACAUGCAUGACAAAAACACGACCUACUGUGACAAACACGUAUCAUCACGGAAGUGUAUUUUUUUGUAGUGAGGGCAAGGGGAUCUCGGCCACAUCGAAGACAAUCCUCUCUGUCCUGUAGUUCAGCUCGCCUCCAAACGUCACAUGCAGGGUGACCUUACCCUUCGGCUGACUCCUUCCUGGGUUGACCCCUUGAAACGUGCCCGUCUGCUCGAGGUCUCCAUCAGGAAUUUGCAGCCUCUUGAUCACAACGGGCGAGAUCAAGUUCAGACCGGCCCCGCCGUCAACUAGCAUUUUUGUCAUCUUGAGGUUGUGUAUCGUUGGUGAAACCAACAAUGGCAAACACCCGACCGCAGUUGUGCGAUCAGGGUGGUCCUCGGUGUCAAAGAUGAUAGGCGUGCUGGACCACUUCAGCGGCUUCUGAGCGUCGAACGAUGGCUCCGCUGUUGUGAUCUCACGCGCCCACUGCUUGAGCUGGCGGUGAGAGGUAUGCAGCGAGGCGCCACCGUCGACGCACAUGGCCUCCGUAGCCUUCUAGAACUCAUGCUCGCCAGACUCGCCGUCCUCGUCAUGAUCAUCGUCUUCCUGCUUCUUGUCGCGGCCCCGAGCGGGCCUCUCUUGUUGGUUAUCCUUGCCGCGGCAGCCCCCUUGGCCGCCACGCUUCUUGCCGGAUCCUUCAGCACCAUCCUGACCCUUCUCCUUGUCCCGCCUCUCAUACUCGGCUUUUUUGCUUUUCAGCAAGCAGCUCGACUUGUCGGCAGUUCUGGAGGUCAUGGCCCUUGGUGCGGUGGAUCUUGCAAUACUGCUUGUCGGAGCCUCCUGGCUUGUCGGCAGCUGCCAAGACACGGCAAGUGGCGCACCCGGCAAUCUCCUUGCCGGGGUCGUCUGCCUUGGCCUUCUUCGCAGCGUCGGUGUCGUUGGAUCCCUCAACGGCAAGCACAACCUUGCCCUUGCGUUUCUUGUUGCGGCGCCGGCCCUUCUUCAUCGGGGCGGCGGUGUCUUCGUUAGUAGAGUCGGUUUUCGCGCCGGCGUCCUUGCCGGGGUACUUCCUCCCCUCUUUAGCUCGAGCACACCUAUCGGCCAGAACAUAAAGUUCGGCCACAUCCUUGACCUUGUUCAUUGCCAUCUCUUCACGCAUCUUGCGGGUACACACAUUCUGAUGGAAUGCGCUGAUCACGGUGGCGGGUUGAACAUCUGGGAUGUUAUAUUGCACUUGGCUGAACCUCUGUAUGUACUUGCGCAGGUUUUCACAUUCCUUUUGGGGAUGAUAUGCAAAUCACUCGGCUGGCCAUGAGCUUGGUGGCCUCCAGUGAAGGCACCAACAAACUCAUAGAUCUGACCAAGAAGAAAUGGAAUCCGCCGGCAAGUGCAUCAACCAAGACAUGACAUUGGGUUUCAGGGCCAACGGGAAGUAAUUGGCAAGCACCUUAUCGUCACGAGCUCCAGCGGCUUGCAUCGCGAUGGUGUAGAUGCUGAGGAAUUCUGACGGAUGGGUCUUGCCGUUGUACUUCUCGUUGACGUCGGGCUUGAAUGUGCGGUGGGACGGCCACUGGAACUGCUGCAGCUCACGAGUAAAGGCUGGGCAACCCACCUCAUAAGGUAGGCCGCAGGAGCCUCCCGGUGCUGGGUGGUCCAUGGCGGGCCCCGCCCACCUAUCUGACUGGUGGCGUGUGUCGCGCCAGCGCUCGAUGGUGGUUCGAGCGUCUUCGUGGGCUCGCUCUCGAAGGAAUUGGCGCUGGUCGCGGUGGGUUCGUGGGUCGGACGACGCUAUGGAGAUGUUAUCACAAGCGUCGUCACGACGGAUCGACACCCGCGGUGGCUGGCGUGGAGGAGUAGAGUGCGCCGUGGCCGCAGCACCCCCGGCCCCUCCACCGCCGGCGUGCGGUGGUUCGACGGAGCGCCGGCCUGAGGGCCCUGCUGGCCAUUGGUCGUCUUUGUUGGCGACGCCAACGAGGCUCCGGAUGGUGGCUCUCCAUUCAUCGAGCUUCCGCAGCAGGAGGGAAGUUGAGGAACAACUGCACGGGCGCCAAAGCUUCUGCCGGCGUGGGCGGCGGUGAGAGCUGCGUGGACCGUGACGCGCUCCAACUCCUAACCAUGUUAGGAGGAGCUCCAUCACGGCCCUGCGGCUGCAUGCCGUUUUCGCCAGCGCUUCGGUGGGCAUGUUGGCCUUCUUCGUCCCGUGAGUGAUGCACAUGACUCUUCCCACGACGGCGCCCGGGGUCCCCAGCGUGGUGGCGCUGCUUGUCGCGCGCACCCUGGGAGGAGCGCGUCGCGGGCGCCGGCGUGGGCGACUUGGAGAUCGCCGCGCCACCCUUGGAGGGCCCCGCGCCGCCUGCGGGGGGCCCAGCUCCGUCUUUGGAUUUGGUGGCGUGCGGCCCGUCGUCUCGCGCACGGACGACGCCGCUCGCCAGGCUUUGACUGCCAGAGCAAUGUUGGUGCUCGUGGGUCGCACCUCGGGUUCUGCCCGCGACCGGCUCGCUGCUCGCCCGCACCGGUACGGGCCGUUCGGCUCUGGAUGAACCGAUCAUCGUGGUAGUCUUCUUCUUGGGAGCCAUGGCGAUGAAGAACUGCUAGGCUAACUGCGAGACCGGAUUUUCACAACUGCACGCCCCCUACCUGGCGCGCCAGAGAUGUCGGGGGAAAUCGACACCUAUGGAAUCACUGGGAUCCUUUCUACGGUUGGCGGGCGCGGGGUUGUACAAAGAGCGGGUCUGACAGGAAGCACACAAAUCGUUUACCCAGGUUCGGGCCGCGAGGAUGCGUAAUACCCUAGUCCUGCUUUGGUGGAUGUAUUCGAGUUUUCUUGUGUUCUUGAGCUAGCUACGGGGUGUAACUUGCCCAAAAGAUCCGAAUCCUCCUCCUGGAUGCCUCGGGCCUCCUUUUAUAGGCAAAAGGGGUCGCCACAGUGGCACACAGGAGGUGGAAAGGUGUAUAGGGGAUGAGUCUAUCCUCUGGCACCGUCGGACAAACGCAUUUAAUGCGCUGCCGACGUGCCCCUCCCACUUUAUCGGGGACGACAAGGAAGCACGUCCCAGCUGUCGCCGCCUCGCCUGGCUUCGACACGCGUCCGAGCUGACGAGGCACCGUGGCGCCACGUUGGCUGGCUGCUGGGCUGGCGCGGUGGUGGAGCCUUUAGGAAGACUUGCAUGCCACCACGCAGGUGCUUGCUGAGUCGGUGUAGAGGCCGCACGUUGCCAUGCAGGCGCCUGCUCAGCUGGUUGAGAUGGCAGCUGCAUGGGGACGGCGGUGGAGUCUUGGUAGGUGCAGGCCUGGCUGUGGCCCUGCUGAUGCCCUCGGCAAGGGCCUUGCCGGGGGCCCGGCAAGGGUCUUGCCGUGGCACCGCGGCCGCCCUGGCAAGGCGCUUGCCGGGGGUCUUGUGGAUUUCCUCGGCUAGGAUCCCGUCGAGGGUCGUCAUUUCCUGGUCAACAUCUGAUCUUGUGUAUUAAUGGUCUUCACAAAGAUCUGCAUGCCACUACGGAAGUGCCUCCCGAGCCCUGGUCCAAAUGUAGCUGUUGCCGGCGUUUGGGACCCUUGGGCUCAAGGGUGGCUCGCUCCAUUGGCGUCAAGCAAGUUGCCCCUGCAAGGCUCUUGCCGGGGCUGCGGAGGCCGCUCCGGCAAGGGUCUUGCCGGGGAGUCCACCUCACCCUCUUGCUCUUUGUAUCUCUGGUCUUGGCGUUGCCUUGGUUGCCUGGUGCUUUGGCUUCUCUCCAGCUUCCCUCCUCUGCCCUGCUAAGUGCGGCCGUGGCGCGCUGCUCUGACUGCCUGUGCACAAGUAAAGGGGUCAAAAGGAGAGCCCCUACUUUUGUACACCGACACCGAUCAUCGGGCAAGUCCACCAAAGUCCACACUUUGUUCUCAUACAUGGAUCCUAUCUCAGAUUUCAUGGCCUCAAGCAAUCUAUCGGAUUCUGGGCUCAUCAUAGCUUCUUCAUAGUUUGUAGGUUUGCCAUGGUCUAGUAACAUGACUUCCAAGACAUGAUUACCGUACCACUCUGGUGUGGAACGUGCUCUGUUCGACCUACGAGGUCUAGUAGUAACUUAAUCUAAAGUUUCAGGGUCAUCACUAUUAGCUCGCUCUCUAGUUGGUGUAGGCAUCACGGGAACAAAUUUCUCUGAUGUGCUACUUUCCAAUUCAAGAGAAGGUACUAUUACCUCAUCAAGUUUCUACUUUCCUCCCACUCACUUCUUUCGAGAGAAACUCCCUCUCUAGAAAGGUUCCAUUCUUGGCAACAAAGAUCUUGCCUUCGCAUCUGUGGUAGAAGGUGUAUCCAAUUGUUUCCUUAGGGUAUCCUAUGAAGAUGCAAUUCUCUGAUUUGGGUUCAAGCUUAUCAGGAUGAAGCCUUUUGACAUAAGUGUCGCAACCCCAAACUUUAGAAACGACAACUUAGGUUUCUUGCUAAACCACAGUUAAUACGGGGUCGUCUCAAUGGAUUUAGACGGUGCCCUAUUUAACGUGAAUGCAGUUGUCUCUAAUGCAUAACCCCAAAGCGAUAGUGGUAAACUGGUAAGAGACAUCAUAGAUUGCACCAUAUCUAAUAAAGUGUGGUUACGAUGUUCGAACACACCAUUACGCUGUGGUGUUCCAGGUGGCGUGAGUUGUGAAACAAUUCCACAUUGUUUUAAAUGAAGGCCAAACUCGUAACUCAAAUAUUCACUUCCGCGAUCAAAUCUUAGAAACUUUAUUUUCUUGUUACUAUUAUUCUCCACUUCACCCUGAAAUUCUUUGAACUUUUCAAAUGUUUCAGACUUGUGUUUCAUCGAGUGGAUAUACCCACACCUACUCAAAUCAUCUGUGAAGUUCAGAAAAUAAUGAUACUCGCCGCGUGCUUCAACACUCAUCGGACAGCAUACAUCGGUAUGUAUUAUUUCCAAUAAGUUAUUAGCUCACUCCAUUGUUCUAGAGAAUAGAGUUUUAGUCAUCUUUCCCAUGAGGCAUGGUUCACAAGUAUAAAAUGGUUGAUAAUGAAGUGAUUCCAAAAGUCCAUCUACAUGGAGUUUCUUCAUGCGCUUUAUACCAAUAUGACCUAAAUAGCAGUGCCACAAAUAUGUUGCACUAUCAUUAUCAACUUUGCAUCUUUUGGCAUCAAUAUUAUGAAUAUGUGUAUCACUACGAUCGAGAUGCAAUACACCAUUCACAUUGGGUGUAUGACCAUAGAAGGUUUUAUUCAUGUAAACAGAACAACAAUUAUUCUCUAACUUAAAUGAAUAAACGUAUUGCAAUAAACAUGAUCUAAUCAUAUUUAUGCUCAACGCAAACUCCAAAUAACAUUAGGUUCAACACUAAUCCCGAAGGUAGAGGGAGUGUGUGAUGGUGAUCGUAUUAACCUUGGAAUCACUUCCAACACACAUCGUUACCUCGCCCUUAACUAGUCUCUGUUCAUUCUGCAACUCCUAUUUCGAGUUACUAAUCUUAGCAACUGAACGGUAUCAAAUACCCAGGGAUUGCUAUGAACACUAGUAAAGUACACAUCAAUAACAUGUAUAUCAAAUAUACCUUUGUUCACUUUGCCAUCCUUCUUAUCCACCAAGUAUCUGGGGCAGUUCCGCUUCGACCAUUCCCUUUGCAGUAGAAGCACUUAGUUUCAGGCUUAGGUCCACCUUUGGGCUUCUUCACGGGAGUAGCAACUUGCUUGCCAUUCUUGUUGAAGUUCCCUUUCUUUCCCUUGCCCUUUUUCUUGAAACUAGUGGUCUUUUUAACCAUCAACACUUGAUGCUCUUUCUUGAUUUCUACCUUCACCGAUUUCAGCAUCGCGAAGAGCCCGGGAAUCAUUUUCGUCAUAUAUUGCAUAUUAUAGUUCAUCAUGAAGUUCUAGUAGCUUGGUGAUAGUGACUAGAGAACUCUGUCAAUCACUAUCUUAUCUGGAAGAUUAACUCCCACUUGAUUCAAGUGAUUGUAGUACCCAAACAUUCCAAGCACAUGCUCACUAGCUGAGCUAUUCUCCUCCAUCUUGUAGGCAAAGUACUUGUCAGAGGUCUCAUACCUCUCAACACGGGCAUAAGUUUGAAAUACCAAUUUCAGCUCUUGGAACAUCUCUUAUGUUCCAUGGCAUUCAAAACGUCAUUGGAGCCCCGAUUCUAAGCCGUAAAGCAUGGUGCACUAAACUAUUAAGUAGUCAUCAUAUCGAGCUUGUCAAACGUUCAUAACGUAUGCAUCUGAUCCUGCAAUAGGUCUGUCACCUAACGGUGCAUCCAGGACAUAAUUCUUCUGUGCAGCAAUGAGGAUAACCCAGAGAUCACGGACCCAGCCCGCAUCAUUGCUACUAUCAUCUUUCAACUUAGCUUUCUCUAGGAACAUAUCAAAAUAGGGGAGCUAAAUCGCGAGCUAUUGAUCUACAACAUAGGUAUGCAAAACUAUAAGACUAAGUUCAUGAAAAUUAAGUUCAAUUAAUCAAAUUACUUAAAAACUCCCACUUAAAUAAACAUCCCUCAAGUUAUCUAAGUGAUACAUGAUCCAAAUCAACUAACCCAUGUCCGAUCAUCACGUGAGAUGGGGUAGUCAUCAAUGGUGAACAUCUCUAUGUUGAUCAUAUCUACUAUAUGACUCAUGUUCAACCUUCCGGUCUCCAGUGUUCCGAGACCAUGUCUGUACAUGCUAGGCUCCUCAAGUUUAACCCAAGUAUUCUGCAUGUGCAAAACUGUCUUACACCCGUUGUAUCUGAAUGUAGAGUCUAUCACACCCGACCAUCACGUGGUGUCUCGAAACAACAAACUCCAGCAACGGUGCAUACUCAAGGAGAGCACCUUUUAUCUUGAAAUUAAGUGAAGGGGUCAUCUUAAUUAUAAUGCUACCUCCCUUCUAAGCAAAAUAAGAUGCAUAAAGUAUAAACAUCAUAUGCAAUCAAAAUAUGUGACAUGAUAUGGCCAUCAUCAUCUUGUGCUUUUGAUCUCCAUCUCCAAAGCAUCAUCAUGAUCUCCAUCAUCACCGUCUCGCACCUUGAUCUCCAUCGUUGCGUUGGGGUCGUCUUGCCAACUAUUGCUUCUACAACUAUUGCUAACGCAUAGCGAUAAAGUAAAGCAAUUACAUGGCACUUGCACUUCAUACAAUAAAGAGACAACCCUAAGGCUCCUGCCGGUUGUCGAUAUUACAAAACAUGAUCAUCUCAUACAUCAACAUAUAUCACUUCAUAUCUUGAGCAUAUCACAUCACAAGAUGCCUUGAAAAAACAAGUUAUACGUCCUGUACUUUGUUGUUUGCAAGUUUUAGGUGGCUGCUACGGGCUUCUAGCAAGAACUGUUCUUACCUACGCAUAAAACUAGAAUGGUGAUUCAUCAAGUUUGCUGUUUUAACCUUCUUCAAGGACCGGUCGCAGUCAAAUUUGAAUCAACUAAAGUAGGAGAAACAGACACCCACCGGCCAGCUUUAUGCAAAACUAGUUCCAUGUCAGACGGUUGAACUGGUCCCAUGUGCGUGGACAUGUAAGGUUGGUCCAGGCCGCUUCAUCCCAAAAUACCGCCGAAUCAAAAUAAGACGUUGGUGGUAAGCAUUAUGACUAUCACCGUCCACAACUCUUUGUGUUAUACUCGUCCAUAUCAUCUACGCAUAGACUUGGCUCGGAUGCCACUAUUGGGGAACGUUGCAUGGAAAACAAAAAAUUUCUAUGCACACGCAAUAUCUAUGAAGGAGAUUCAUAGGAACGAGAGGGGAGAGUGUGUCUAUGUACCCUCGUAGACCAUAAGCGGAGUGUUUAACAACGCGGUUGAUGUAGUCGAACUUCUUCGCACACCAACCGAUCAAGUACCGAACGUAUGGCACCUCUGCGUUCUGCACACAUUCAGCUCGGUGACGUCCUCCGCCUUCUUGAUCCAGCAAGAUGACGAGGUAGUAGAUGAGUUCCGGUAGCACGAUGGCGUGGUGACGGUGAUGGUGAAGUGAUCUCCACAGGGCUUCGCCUAAGCACUACGAAAAAAUGACCGGGGUGUAAACGGUGGAGGGGGGCGCCGCACACGGCUAGGCCGUUGUCUGUUGUAUACUAGGCGCCCCCUCCCACAUAUAUAUAGGUGGGAGGGAGGGAGGAGCAGCCAAAGGAGACGCUCAAGUAGGAGGAAUCCUACUUGGGGUCCCUCCCAAGCCGCGCCCCCUCCCUUAUAUAGGUGCGGGGAAAAGGGACGGGAGGGUGGCGCCCCCCUUCCUUUCUCCCAUGAGAGGGAAAGUCCGGAGGGGCUAGCCCUCCCCCUUUUCUUCCCUAGGGCUGGCCGGCCAGGGAGAGGGGCGCACCAGCCCCCUAUGGACUGGUAGGUCUCUCCCUUGGCCCAUUAAUCCCAUACAAUUCUAGCAUGAAUAAUAAACCUUUAUCAUGAUUUAGGAAAUAUAAUAAUAACCAUUUUAUUAUUGCAUCUAGGGCAUAUUUCCAUCACCCCAUCGCCCAUAGCUCGCCAAACCAGCUGGAGGCGAUCCGCCGGAGUCUAAAUCGGCCCGCCGUGACCCAGAUCAGGCCCAUAUCUAGGCUUGCAGGGCACCGCCGGCCAACCCCCGCCGCCACCGCUGCCAAGGGGCCGCGCCGCCGCCGCUCCGCCACCCGAUCUACAUCGGGACGCUGCCCGCCGAGGUACACCACCGCCUGAGCCGGGAUCCGCGCCGAGUAGAGGAGGGGACCGCCACCGCCGGCUAUGAAUGGCGCUGCAGGGGCAAACGCCCCACUGCGCUAGCCGACGGCAGCAGCGGGAGGGAGAGAGGUGGGGUUGCGCUAGGCAGUGAGGGGAAGCAAGGCCGCCCGGUCGCCUCACUCGGGGAGGCGGCGCGGGGGGUACGGGAGGGAGGAGAGGCCAGAAAUGGCUCCUCCAAGGCGAUGUGAAUACCGCCAACUUCCAGGUGACGCUAAUGGGCAACGCCGGAAGUGCUCUAUCCUAUGUCUCUGGGAGGGAGACUCCCUCCUGGAACAUCCGGAUGAGAUUAGGUCCCACAUUUACUGAGCAUCGCCGAACGAGGCCGCAUGCCACCACCGGAGCCACCGCUGACCGUGGAGCACCGCCACGCGUUAGCGACGGGGAAGGAGGGAGGAAGACGAACUCGUAGUCGGCACGCCGAGCGAACACACAUGGGCGCCGCCACACCGCCACUAGGGAAGGACGCCGCCGCCCCGCAUGCCAGCCGCCAUGCUGCCAGGCUCUACGGCAGCCCGACGUCUCCACGCGUAAAUUACCUCUGCUACAAGGUUUCUGCAACAUGAUCAUUUUUGCAAAGAUGUAUCUGCAACAUUGUGGCUAUUGCAAAGGGGGAACGACACGUUCGACACGCUAGACCAUUGGAGUUGCAACAAUUAAAUUAGAGUAUGCAUGUGCUACAAAAAAGUGUUACUGGAUGAUGACAUGGCACAUUCGGUGAUGUGAAGGGCUGCAUGUUGAAAGAAUUAGAGUUUGUGUGAUCAACUAUUUAGUUAUAUACUCCCUCUAUCCCAAAAUAAAUGUCUUAACCUUAGGCUAUCUCCAAGGUGGUCCCAUAAACCUCCCGCAACCAUCUGAACCGGGUAGUCCGGACAGUGGAAGCCAUCCAACGCUGACCUGUAUCGGUCUGCGGAGCGGUCCAGACACGAUUUCUCCCGCAAACCGGACACAAAAGUGGGGGAGGUUUGCUGGAGUCUGGACCGCUCCCAAGCCCCCUUCUGAUUGCCCUGGCCCACUAAUAACCUAUCACCCGCACCACCCGUGCUUUCCUUCCGAUGCACGCGCCACUUACUUCUACUUCUUGAGGUGAUGCAGUAAAGUAGACUAAGCAUUUCCCUCAGUUGAGAACCAAGGUAUCAAUCCAGUAGGAGACAACGCACAAGUCACCGAAUACUGAAGAAAAUAUGCCCUCGAGGCAAUAAUAAAUUUGUUAUUUAUAUUUCCUUAUAUCAUGAUAAAUGUUUAUUAUUCAUGCUAGAAUUGUAUUAACCAGAAACUUGAUACAUGUGUGGAUACAUAGACAAAACAUGGUGUCCCUAGUAAGCCUCUACUAGACUAGGUCGUUAAUAAAAAAUGGUUAAGUUUCCUAACCAUAGACAUGUUUUUUCAUUUGAUGAACGGGAUCACAUCAUUAGGGGAAUGAUGUGAUGGACAAGACCCAUCUGUUAGCUUAGCAUAAUGAUCGUUAAGUUUUAUUGCUAUUGCUUUCUUCAUGACUUAUACAUAUUCCUUUGACUAUGAGAUUAUGCAGCUCCCGGAUACUGGAGGAAUACCUUGUGUGCUAUCAAACGUCACAACGUAACUGGGUGAUUAUAAACAUACUCUACAGGUAUCUCCGAAGGUGUUUGUUGGGUUGCAUAGAUCGAGGUUAGGAUUUGUCACUCCGAGUAUCGGAGAGGUAUCUCUGGGCCCUCUCGGUAAUGCACAUCAUAAUAAGCCUUGCAAGCAAUGUGACUAAUGAGUUAGUUGCAGGAUGAUGCAUUACGGAACAAGUAAAGAGACUUGCCAGUAACGAGAUUGAACUAGGUAUGAAGAUACCGACGAUCGAAUAUCGGGCAAGUGACAUACCGAUGACAAAGGGAAUAACGUAUGUUGUCAUUACGGUUUGACCGAUAAAGAUCCUCGUAGAAUAUGUAGGAACUAAUAUGAGCAUCCAGCUUCCGCUGUUGGUUAUUGACCGGAGAGGCGUCUCGGUCAUGUCCACAUAGUUCUCGAACCCGUAGGGUCCGCACGCUUAACGUUCGAUGACGAUUUUGUAUUAUAUGAGUUAUGUGAUUUUGUGACUGAAUGUUGUUCAGAGUUCCGGCUGAGAUCACGGAAAUGACGAGGAGUCUCAAAUUGUUCGAGAGGUAAAGAUUCAUAUAUAGGACGAUAGUAUUUGAACACCGGAAGUGUUCCGGGGGUACCGGGUACGUAUCGGGUCACCGGAAGGUGUUCCGGCAACCCCCGGCAAACUAUAUGGGCUUAAUGGGCCUAGGGAGGGACAGACCAGCCCACAGGGGGCUGGUGCGCCCCUCCACCAGGCCGGCCAGCUCCAGGGAAGGCAAGGGAGGAGGGCUAGCCCCUCUUUCCUUCCCCUUCUCAAUGAGAAAGGAAAGGGGGGCACCUCCUCCUUCCUUCUCCUAGUGCCAAUACAAGGAAGGGGGGCCGAGUUGGGGUGGCACCCCGAGUAGGAUUCGGCCUACAUGGGCGGCCCCUGGCUGCCUCUUCCCCCUCCAACCUAUAUACAUGUGGGGAGGGGGCACCUAGAGGACACACAAACAUCUGUUAGCCGUGUGCGGCGCCCCCCUCCACAGUUACGCCUCCGGUCAUAUUGUCGUAGUGCUUAGGCAAAGCCCUGCGCGGAUCACUUCACCAUCACCGUCACCACGCCGUCGUGCUGACGAAACUCUCCAUCGACACUUUGCCGGAUCAAGAGUUCAAGGGAUGUCAUCGAGCUGAACGUGUGAAGAACUCGGAGGUGCCCUACGUUUGGUGCUUGAUCGGUCGAAACGAGAAGAAGUUCGACUACAUCAACCGCGUUGUCAAAUGCUUCCGCUUUUGGUCUACGAGGGUACGUGGACACACUCUCCCCCUUUCGUUGCUAUGCAUCUCCUAGAUAGAUCUUGCGUGGGCGUAGGAAUUUUUUUGAAAUUGCAUGCUACAUUCCCCAACAGUGGCAUCAGAGCCAGGUCUAUGCAUAGAUGAUAUGCAUGAGUAGAAUACAAAGAGUUGUGGGUGGUGAUCAUCAUACUUCUUACCACCAAUGUCUUAUUUUGAUUCGGCGGUAUUGUGGGAUGAAGCGGCCCGGACCAACCUUACAUGACCCACGUUCAUGAGACCGGUUCCACCGAAAGAUAUGCAACUAGUUUUGCAUAAAGGUGGCUGGCUGGUGUCUGUUUCUCCAACUUUAGUUGAAUCGAAUUUGACUGCGACCGGUCCUUGUUGAAGGUUAAAACAGCAAACUUGAUAAAUCACCGUUGUGGUUUUGAUGUGUAGGUAAGAACGGUUCUUACUAGAAGCCCGUAGCAGCCACGUAAAACUUGCAACAACAAAGUAGAGGACGUCUAACUUGUUUUUGUAGGGCAUGUUAUGAUAUGAUAUGGUCAAGACAUGAUGUGAUAUACGUUAUUGUAUGAGAUGAUCAUGUUUUGUAAAAGUUAUCGGCAAGUGGCUGGAGCCUUAUGGUUGUCGCCUUAUUGUAUGAAAUGCAAACGCCAUGUAAUUGCUUUACUUUAUCACUAUGCAUUAGCGAUAGUUGUAGAAGCAAUAGUUGGCGAGACGACAACAAGCACUACAAAAAAAAGACACAUCCGUGACAUUUUGGGCCGAACGAAUUUUUUUCUGUCAUGCUUAUGACACUUCUAUGACGAUAAUUGUGACAAAACCCAGUAUCAUCAUAGAUGUGGUGGGGUCCUACUUCUAUGACAAAAAAUCAUGACAGAAAAUGGGGUUUUCGUCCUGGGCGUGCAGGAGACGCAGCUGCAUGACAUUCUUUGGGCCGUCCAUGAUGGAGAAAAUCAUGGUAGAAGCGAGGGCGAGGAAAAUAUCAGGGGAGUUCCCGGUUACGGUGGGUGGUCGGGGGCCGAGCGAUGCGCGUUUCUCUCAUACGUACGCGCGUGUGUGCGAGGCGUUGCGCUCUAACUGAACCCGACCGAGGCGUUGUGCUCUAACUGAACCCGAGCGAUUGCACUGCAGGCUACGCGUUACUGAACCCGAGCGAUCGAUCGAUCCCUUUCUGUUAACUGAACUCGAGUGAUUCCUUCACUACUGCUACUAACUGAAGCCGAUCGUCGCUGCCUCUGGAUGAAGAGUGAGCGUUGUCGGGGGGUUUGGAUGAACAGUUCCCGGUGGGGGUUUGGAUGAACAGGACCCUGUGGAGGGCUGGAUGAACAGGACCCCGAUCGUUCGAGCCGGUGGAUGAACAGGACCCUGUGGAGGGCUGGAUGAACAGGACCCCGUGGAGGGAUGGUUGAAUAGUAACCGGUGGAGGGCUGGUUGAACAGUAGCCGGUGGAGGGCUGGNNNNNNNNNNNNNNNNNNNNNNNNNNNNNNNNNNNNNNNNNNNNNNNNNNNNNNNNNNNNNNNNNNNNNNNNNNNNNNNNNNNNNNNNNNNNNNNNNNNNNNNNNNNNNNNNNNNNNNNNNNNNNNNNNNNNNNNNNNNNNNNNNNNNNNNNNNNNNNNNNNNNNNNNNNNNNNNNNNNNNNNNNNNNNNNNNNNNNNNNNNNNNNNNNNNNNNNNNNNNNNNNNNNNNNNNNNNNNNNNNNNNNNNNNNNNNNNNNNNNNNNNNNNNNNNNNNNNNNNNNNNNNNNNNNNNNNNNNNNNNNNNNNNNNNNNNNNNNNNNNNNNNNNNNNNNNNNNNNNNNNNNNNGAACAUGACCCCGUGGAGAGGGCUGGUUGAACAGUAGCCGGUGGAGGAGCGCGCGGUGGAGGCUGGAUGAACAGAGCCCGUGGAUGAAUAGUCGUAGGUGGAGGCUGGAGGAGGUCGACGGUGGAUGAACAGGAGCCCGUGGAGGCUGGAGGAGGUCGACGGUGGAGAUGAACAGUAUCCCGUGGAGUCCCGUUUUGCGGUACGCCACACCCCUCCCGAUGAACAGGACCCCCGUUUCGACCGUUGCGCUCCAACACAAGUCCGUUUCCUCCGUUUUGCGGUAUGCCACACCCUCCCGAUCAACAGGACCCCGUUUUGACCGUAGAAGGUCCGUUUCCUCCAUUUUGCGGUACGCUAGACCCUCCCGAUGAACUGGAUCCCGUUUCCACCAUGGCCGGUCGAACACAAGGCCGUUUCCUCCAUUCUGCGGUAUGCCAGGCCUCGUUUCCAUAGGCUAUUCCGUCCAAGCCGGUUGGCUCCCGAUGAACAACAUGCGUUCCGUUGCCUCCCUAUGAACACAACGCAUUCCGUUGCCUCCCCAUGAACACGACGGCGACGCAGUUUCUCCGUUCCGACCCAGCCAUAGCCAAGUACACAAGCCCUGGCCUUACGUAUGCACGAGCGUUCGAGACCCUACCCGUAUGUACGUACGUGGUCAUAUUUACUUUCUUGCACCCUGGCCGCUGUACGUACGUGUACAUGCUACGUGCGCGCCUCUACGACGACACCUGCGCGCCUCUACUACCACACGUGCGCGCCUCUACUACCACACAUGCCCUUCCUUACAUGGCCACGGUUCAUCACUGCAGCCUGCAGACAGAUUGAUCGACCAGUAUGUACAUACACGUUCGCGGCCAGAAUGACAACGCUACGUACGCUUCGAUCGGAUGGGUCCCGACUGUCAGGCACUUCCUUGCGUGCGAAGAUGUAGCUCGUGGGUCCCAGCAGUCAGGGGGCGAAUCAUUUUUUGCCUGUAAUAUGGACGCACUUCCUUGCGUGCGAAGAUGUAGCUGGUGGGUCCUAGCAGUCAGGGGAGAAAACAUUAUUUUUAGGGUAAAAAGGAUGCAGUUGCAUGCAUGCGUCCUUGGGCGUGGUGCGUCCCCACUGUCAGCCUAUCAUGUACAGUCAUCUUCCGAUGACUCUCGUUUGUUGACCAUGUUGACCACACCGUGCCGAGCGCACCAAGGCCGGUGGACCACGGCGAGGCCCCAGAUUGGAACGACCAGGAGAUGGGGAAGACACGACAGUGGAGUCGCAGAUGGAGAGGAAUGGGAAACUUGACUGGUUCAGGUGCGCGGCAGCACUGCCGCCCACGGGAGACAGGAGCAAGAACAGAGGUUGAAGAAGGAGCACAGCUGUUGGAUUAAGAUCCAAUGGUCCAGCUGCUAGAAUCAUUUGUUGAUUAAGUUGACAAAGCCCUGCGUACACGUCCGCUUAGUAGGCCCAGAAGUCAGCCACCAAAUCUGACGGGUCCCAGCUGUCAAUGGGAGGAAUAGUUUUUUCACAUAACAAGGAGGCAGUUCCUUCCGUGCGAAGAUACAGCCGGUGGGUCCCAGCUGUCAGGGGGAGGAAACAUUUUUUAGCUUAAUAAAGAGGAACUUUCCUUGCGUGCAACCAUGGACCUCGUGGGUCCCAGCUAUCAGGCUCUCCACGUAUAGUCCUCUUCCGAUGACUCUCGUUUGUUGACAACACCGCGUCGAGCGCAGUGAGGCAGUGGACGACGGUGAGGCCCCGGACGGGAAUGACCCGGAGAUGGGAAGACGCGGCAGUGGAGUCGCAGAUUGAGAGGAGUACAAGGGUUAUAAGUGGUUCUGGUGCGGCAUGGGGCUGCAGUCGGUGGAGAAUAACAGGAGGUGUGGAGGUGUGGAGGGAUAGCCUGGCCAGCGGUGGGGUAGCGCUUUGCAGCGAUGCGUGCUAAGCAGAGCCGCCGAAGGCCGAACCAAGCGGUCCCGGCGAUGCUGGAGGAAGAAGACGAGAGAUUGAAGGUGCAUGCCGACCGUUGGAUAUAAAUCCAAUGGCUGUGGAUGUUAUAAUCAUUUGUUGACCAAGUUGAGAACGCCCUGCGUAGGCUUCGACCUAUUGGCCCACAUGUCAGCCUGCAAAAAUGUGGCAUCUAUUUAACCAAUGUUUUCUAGAAUGUACAGUCCAUUUGCUGGGCUGGGUGAACAAAUAAUUUCGCGUCAAUGCGGCCCAUUUAAUAUUUUCUAAGAAAUCCCAGCCCAUUUGCACUUUCUUGAAAUACACGAAUUAGCUGGGCUCGUUCUAUAUACAGUAUAAUGUUAGGUUAGAAGGAGCAAUUAAUAUCAAAAAAUAAAGCAUUGCGACACAUUUAUUAUAUAUAAAAUUAACAAAUUAGCGAGUUAUUGCUCAAAAUAAAAAUGAGCGUGUUAUUAUUACAUUGGUCCUUAAAAUCUUCGCAAACUUUUAUACGCAAUCACCAGGAUUUUCCUACCUGUGAGUCAAAAACAACCAGGAUUUUCCUUGCCAACUUCUGUUAAACAUUUACUUUUAUAAGUUAAUAACACGUGGGAUGUUUUUAUAAUGUAUAUAUAAGUCUCUAUAAAAUAUACGAUAAUAGUAAUUAUAUAAAUAUAUAUAAUGUGGUUAGAAGGGAAAACAUAAAUUGGACACAGCAUUAGUAUUCUUAUAUAUAGAUAAAUAGAACAGAGAUCUGCGUUUUAUUAAGAAAAUACAUUGGGCUGCCGAUGUUUAAGAAAAAGUAGAACCUACGCUGGGUGGCCCAUAGGCCGGUAGGGACCUCAAAAAAUAAGUUGAAACCACUGUCUCCGUAUGACGUGGGCUACACAUACCUAGGCCUAGCUGAUACUUGUUCGCCCUCUGGAAAAAAUGGUACCAGCUAGAUCCCCGAGCGAACUGGAUUAAAGAGGGGGCCGGUGGCGCACCUGAAGAAGCACAUCAGACACUAUUUUUUUUCUUCAGUGGAUGGCUCUUGAUGGCGUUUUUUUAAUUGCCUAUGCACCAUACAACUUGUAUUUUUAGCCUCCCAGUCCGUGGUGGACCAGCAGCCCAUUUGCUGGGCGGGCCAACCUACAGAAACCAGCACUCGAUUUUUCAUCAAGCCCCAAAAGCAACGCAGUACUAUGCUUGUUUUGAGGCCGAAAACAUGACGGCAGGGGUUGAGUGGGGGAUGGGGGAAGAUAGAGCAAAAAUAUUUAAAAAGAGUUGAUGCGCCGUUGCUACCCUAACAAAGCAGGUGCAAUUUUUUUCGGGAAGAAGGUGUGCCGUUGACACCCACACGUCACAAAUCCCAUAGUAGACAUACUAACAAGUUGACACACAAGUACAACAGAACAGGUAAACAUUUGUAUCAAACUCAGGUUCAUAGGACACGUUCAUAUUUAUAGCCAACAUUCACAAUCAACAACUCAAAAGAUUCAUAUAUACACAAGUUCAGCAUGUCUAUUCAUCCAAAUGAUUGAUAGAUCACACAACAAUAUUCAUAGAUAAUUCACAAAAAGAUUCAGAUAUACACAUGUUCAGUAUGUUUAUGCAACCAAAUGAUUUAGAUCACAGCCAAUAUCAUCCAUGGACGAACUUUAAUUACCUAGGGUACAGACUGGUAAAUGGUGUUCAGUCGGAGGUACUUCUUGCUAAAAUUAGUGCUUGUACGAGUAAACUUUUGAGUACAUAAGAGGCAUCAUAGACAAUCUGAACUUUGCUUGUAGGUUUAUCCUCAAAUAGUGGCCUCAUGCCGAGGGAGGUUUGAGCAACUUGGCCACUACUUUCAUCGAACUAGUUUACUGGCUCAUCUUUGUCAUGUAGCUCGCCAAAAUUCUACAUUCCAGAAAAGAAAGGAGGCGGUUGAGAAAAUGAACCACCCAAAUUUUUUGUGCCGUUCAACCGAAUGGAGCAUCCCUGGCGUGCAGGUACUUGCUAAAAUUAAUGCUUGUACGAGUAAACUUUCGAGUACAUAAGAGGCAGCACAGACAAUCUGAACUUUGCUUGUAGGUUUAUCGUCAAAUAGUUGCCUCGUGCCGAGGGAGGUUUGAGCAACUUGGCCACUACUUUCAUCCAACUAGUUUACUGGCUCAUCUUGGUCCUGUAGCUCGCCAAAAUCCUACAUUGCAGACAAGAAAGGAGGCGGUUGAGAAAAUGAACCACCCAAAUUUUUUGUGCAGUUCAACUGAAAUGGAGCAUCCCUGGAGUGCAGACUGAUUAAGUGCCAGAUGAAUAUACGCGUCAACCAACUUGUCUGGAAUCUUUAGACUCCAUACCAUACAGUUCGCUACUGUGACGCCCGGAUAAUUAAGCUACAGUAACCAUCUACUAAUGAUGCCACGUCACCUCGAUUAUUGUUGCUAAUCUCGCGUUAGUUCAAAAUCGAUUCAAAUUCAAAAUCAAGCAAACAAUAAAAGUUUUCAAAUAUUAAAACUAAAAUGUUCGGGGUAAGCCAAAUAAUGCGUAGGUAAGUAUGGUGGAGAAACCACACUUUUAGAAAUGGUUUAAAUACUCUAAAAUAUUUUAAACAGUAGCGAAAACAAUUAGUUGAAUGCCUUUUACAAAAAAUAAAAUAUUAAACUAUUUUAUUUAGUUGCCCAAACUUAUGUGGCAGUAGCCUAUUUAUUAACACUAAAUUAGGGACUACUUUUAUAGUUUAUAAAACUAAAAUAAAAGAGGAACUAAACUAAAACAGAAAACAGAAAAGGAAAAUUAAACAAAAGUAAAAUAAAGACAAAAGAAACCCCCCCCGCUGUGCCUCGGCCCAGCUAGCCAUCGGGCCAACUAGGCCGGCCCAGCCGCCCCCUAUAACCCCCCUGAGCCACCACUGAAACCCUAGCCACCUACCGCACCACCCACGUCUUUUCCCCUCCCCUCUCGAUCCCAUCUGGAUCGGGGAGGGGCUCGACCUCGCCGCGACGACCGCGUCGCCCAUCGACCCCGACGCCCCCCUUCUCCGACGUCGCCUCACCGUCCUCCUCCUCGACACCUCGCUGGAGCUGCCCCGUCGUCCUCGCCAUCGUCGCCGUCGUCCUCAUCUUCCUCCUCGACCCCCACUGCCCCGUGCCCUACAGGCCUGCGGUGAGGCUUGCGAUCUCCUCUAUCACCCGCCCCGCGCUCACCAUGAACUGUCGCGCCCACGGCCGUGCCUUCGCGCGCGCGCACGCGCCCGUCCCUCACUCGCUGCGCCGCUCGGGACUGCGCCCGCAUCCACCCCUUUCCGGCCACCGCGCCCCUGCCCCCGCAGCGCCCUCGCGCAUGCACGCCGCCCGCCUCACCUUGCUCGCCUCCACCAUGCCCGCUCUCCGCCGGCCCCGCGCUCGCCGUCCUCACCAGCCUAGCGAGCGCACACCCCUGCUCCCCUGCCACCGCGUGCGCCCGCACGCUCGCCAGCCUGCAGCGCCACCGCUGUCGUCUCGCCCACUCGCCGGUGCCGCAGUCGGCAUUCGGCCCGUUUGCAACCGCUUGCGGCCGCAACCGCCCGAUCGCUCCGCUCGCACGCUGCACCCCACUGCUCGCCACCUGCCUCGCCCUACCCCGCUCCGGCGCCGCCCGACGCUCCUCCUGUCCUUCCCGCUCCAGCCACUAGAGACCGGCCUCGCCACGGCCCCCCUCGUGGGCCACCGCUCGAGUCCACCCUAUCCUGCAGCGCCCGACAGGGUGCCCAUAACCACGCCCAGCGCUCGCAUCCCCGGUGCCCGCUAUGGCCUUUGGCCCAAUGACAGCCGGGGCCCAGCCCACAUAACGUUUUAAAAUAAAAUAAAAAUGAAUUAAUAAAAUUAUUAAUUAAUUAAUUAGUUAACUAACUUAAUUUAACUUAAUUAAUCCUGAUUAGGUUAAUCUAAUCACCAAUUAACCGUUAGUUAAUUAAUCAGGCAAUGACAUGUGGGACCCUCACGUCAGUUUGACCAGUCAACACUUCUGUUGACUGCUGACGUCAUGCUGAUGUCAGCAUACACUAUUCUGGAUAAUGUUGAUUUAAAAUAAUUAAAUAAAUUCUAAAAAUGAUUAAAUCUUUUAAAAUUAAUAUAAAAUAAAUCGUAGCUUGGAUGGAAAAACUUUGUACAUGAAAGUUCCUCAGAACGACGAGACAAAUCCGGAUACGCAGCCCGUUCGUCCACCACGCAUCCCUAGAAUAGCAAACACGCAACUUUCCCCCUCCGGUUCAUCUGUCUGAAAACGCGAAACACCGGGAAUACUUUCCCAGAUGUUUUCCCCCUUCGCCGGUAUCACCUACUACCGCCUUAGGGCACACCUAGCACCGUUCAUUGUCAUGUCAUGCAUCGUCAUGCAUAUGUUUGCUUUAUAUUUAUUGUUUCUUCCCCCUCUUCUCUCGCUAGACACCGAGACCGACGCCACUGCUACCCAGUACAACUACGGUGUUGACGACCCCUUCUUCUUGCCAGAGCAACCAGGCAAGCCCCCCUGAUCACCAGAUAUCGCCUAUUCCCUCUCUCUACUGCUUGCAUUAGAGUAGUGUAGCAUGUUACUGCUUUCGGUUAAUCCUAUUCUGCUACAUAGCUUGUCAUUGUUGCUACAGUUGUUACCCUUACCUGCAAUCCUAAAUGCUUAGUAUAGGAUGCUAGUAUUCCAUCAGUGGCCCUACACUCUUGUCCGUCUGCCAUGCUAUACUACUGGGCCGUGAUCACUUCGGGAGGUGAUCACGGGCAUAUGCUAUAUACUUUAUACUGUUGCAUUACUAUGAUACUGUUCGGAGAUGGGGGCUGAAGGGGCAGGUGGCUCCAUCCCGGUAGAGGUGGGCCUGGUGUCGGUGUCAAAACCGGCGGAUCUCGGGUAGGGGGUCCCGAACUGUGCGUCUAAGGCGGAUGGUAACAGGAGGCGGGGGACACGAUGUUUACCCAGUUUCGGGCCCUCUCGAUGGAGGUAAUACCCUACUUCCUGCUUGAUUGAUCUUGAUGAUAUGAGUAUUACAAGAGUUGAUCUACCACGAGAUCGUAGAGGCUAUACCCUAGAAGAUAGCCUAUGGUAUGAUUGUUUUUGUCCUACGGACUAAACCCUCCGGUUUAUAUAGACACCGGAGGGGGCUAGGGUUACACAGAGUCGGUUACAAGGAAGGAGAUCUACAAAUCCGUAUUGCCAAGCUUGCCUUCCAUGCCAAGGAGAGUCCCAUCCGGACACGGGUCGAAGUCUUCAAUCUUGUAUCUUCAUAGUCCAACAGUCCGGCUGUCCGAGGACCCCCUAAUCCAGGACUCCCUCAGUAGCCCCCGAACCAGGCUUCAAUGGCGAUGAGUCCGGCGCGCAGAUUGUCUUCGGCAUUGCAAGGCGGGUUCUUCUCCAAAUUCCGAAUACUUGUUUGAGUAGUGUCCGGCUUCCCAUAAAUGUUGCACUCCUUGGCUUCCGCGCCUAAUAAUGGAUAUCCUCCACACGUCGAGCGAAUGCGAGAAGUCGGGGUAUUUUUACAAUUGCCACCCUAGCCUUGUGGGUAAAUCAUCUAUUAAAGAGACGGGGAUUCUCAUAUCCAGAUCACACCGUCCUCCCACAGCGAGUAUCCAUCGGAGUGCGCCCGGAAAAAAUUCAUUCCACCAUGGCCGGUCGUCGCAGCUCCUCCUCUCGCUCCCGUAGCCCUAAGCCCGGCAAUUGGAAGAAGUGUUCCAUCCCCCACAGCCAAUUAGUAGAGUUACAGACCCAGAGGUUUCUCCCUCCAGCAUAUAUGGUCCCCGUUCGAGCCGGGCUCGCUACCUAUAACGGCGGGGAGCAAGCGGAGAUCUUUCCCAGCCCAUCCAUGGGGGAGUGGGUAUGCCUCGUCCCUUACUUAUUAAGAGGGCUUGGAUUUCCAAUUCAUCCGUUCCUCCGCGGGCUCCUGGAGUUCUAUGGCCUCCAGCUGCAUAAUUUCACUCCCGCCUCCAUAUUACACAUAGCUGGCAAUGUCGCCCUUUGCAAGCUGUUUCUGGGUUGCGAGGCUCAUUUCGAGCUAUGGAAGAGGCUAUUCUGCCUCGUACCCCGUACUCAGGAGGGGUCACUGUACCAAGUGGGCGGAGCCGAAAUAUGGCGCAUCGCCGGGACCUGAUACCUGUCCGGUACUCCGAAGAAGACAUCCGAGGACGGGCCUUCGGAGUGGUUUUAUAUGGAGGACGUCCCCCUUCCAGACCCUAUUCGGAUGGGCCUCCCUGAGUUCGACAACGCUCCCCUGAAGAAACGCUACAGAUGGCGCCCUCAGAGCCCUCAGGAGGAAGAUAACGGAGAAGUCCUUUACCUGAUGGGCCUGAUAAAAAUGCUGGCUCAAUCAGGACUGACAAUAAUCGAGGUUAUGUCAAUAUGUAUAAUGCGGGGGGUACAGCCACUUCAGUAUCGAGGGCACCCCAUGUGGCACUUUAACGGGGAAGAUGAUGCCACCCGCUGCGGGCGUAAGGGACCGGACUCAGUUGCUGCUCUAGCAAAAAUCCUGUCCGAUUUGUACAAGGGAGAGGAAGAGGAGUUCAUCCGCAUUAAGCCACGGGAUGGAUUCUCCAUGUACAACCCUCCAAGCUGGGUGAGCUGUCACUUUUUACUCCCAACCUUGCCGCAUUCUUCGUCAUAAGUACUUACCGGAGGACCCUGACCGGGCCCUCGAUCCCGGACUCGAAGAGGAUCCGGACAUAUUUGUGGAGAUGAUCGACAUGACAUUCUAUCAAUUGAGCUGCGAUGAUGCCAUGGUGGCCAUCACAGCCGACUAUCCUGGGCUACUCCCUGCAUCACAUGUAAGUAAAACCAGAGUCCCAACUUCCAAGAAGGAUCCCCCUUUUCUGCACUUCACCUACCGUACACAUAUGGUGUCUUACAGGGAAGGCCCUCGGGACGCCAUGCCGAACCCGUAGUGACUCGCCAACAAGGGGCACCGAAGCCGGGUAGGCUAAAAAGGAAGGCGGUUAGGACUGAGACGCCGUCGCAGAGGUAUGAUACAGAACCUUGCUCCGUGGUUGUCGUCUUUCAAAAUAUAAUAACAUCCACGUUUCCUAGUAGGAAAAACGCUCGCCGGACUAUAUCCGGAGAGGUUGCCGGUCACGCCUCCACCAGUCGGGCUCCAGGGCCGGACAUAGAGGCGGAAGCUAACACGGGGCGAACGCCGGAUGUUCCUCCUACAGAGGAUGCGGAUAGAUUAUCCGCUACAAAUUCCGAAGUGCAGAGCGCCAUGAAUCACAGGCGUCGCCGGGCCGUCCUCCGUGACGCUUGUUUCUCCCAAGAGGCGUUUGAUGCCUUCAACUCAGGAGACGCGUACAUCCGUGCUGCUCAAAAUGGUCUUGCCAGAGCCACGGACCAGUAUGUAAAGGAUAUACGGGUAAGAAAAUCUGAUGAUUAUAUAUAUCAGUAGCCCCUGAGACUUGAAACAGUUGACACAACUGAUUUAAGGAUCAUUAUUUGUGCAGGUUCUUACAGAGAAGAAUACCCAAUUGUCUCAAGAGCUGGAAGAGUGCCAAGCCCAGCUACGGGCCGCAGUUGCCGCGCUGAAGGAGUCCGAGAAGGCCCCCUCUGCUAACACUUGUCUCUAUUGCAAAGAAUGACAGGUGCCAGAUAGUAUGCGGCAUGCAUGCAAAUCUAACAAUAGAUUCUGCAGAUGACCCCGGAGUGAAUCCGGAGGUCGUGAUAGGGAACGAGCCGCAUGCGCAACGACUGCUAAAGGUUGGUGAGCGCAUGCUUAAAAAGGUUAGGCAGGAGAAGAACACUCUCCAAGAUGCCAAUAUCUAGCUGAGCGUGGAACUGAAGGAUGUUCGGGCCCAGCUUGCUGACUCCGUAAAGGAGAAUAGGAGGCUUCGACGCGGCAUUUUCAGUGAGUGCUUGAACGAACUUUUUAAACAGUUCGGCGAAGAAACCGGCUAACAGGCUUAUAUUUGCAGGUAUGCUGACGGGUCGUCCAGAGAAGGAGAUGCCCGGGUCCGCGGGUGAUCUUCUUCCAGAGCUCUCACAACUGCACGAACAAGUUCGGCAGGUGAUGCAGGGCAUUGCCCAAGCCUUGUGGCCAUCCGUCUCUCUGCCCGGAGGCAUGGGGGAGCUUGUAGAGAAGCUCAAGGGAGCGCGGCGGCACUUCCGAUUAUGGAAGAUAUCAGCUUGCCGACAAGGUGCGAGGGAAGCCUGGGCCAUGGUGAAGACGCGGUAUACCAAGGCUGACCCUAACCACAUGGCCGAGGUCGGACCUGUGGGGCCUGAUGGGAAGGAGAUCCCCGUCAGUUUGGUGUAUGACCAAGUAGAAUUAGCCGCAAAGUAUUCCCAACAGGAUUGUAGGCUAGACAACCUGUUGGAUGGUAUAGAAGAAGAAUUUAGUCAGUCUAAGUGACUGUGUACUUCAAGUGACAUAUAUUGUCCCUAGUCGGAUUGUAAAUCAUUUGUCAUGGCGGACCUUUUCGCUUCAACCUCUGGACCCGAUAGUCCGGAGUGUAUCUGAAUACCCGCUCAGUUAUGUAGAAACCGGGGUACGCGUGGAAACCAGGCGUAGGGGUCAUAAGUGCUUCAACAGACAAGUACCCGACUAGCUAUGUUAUAUUACAUGGAUAGUAAGAAACAUCUUCCAGGGAGAAUAGUUCCUUUAAGGGUUCCUUUCCCUGGGUACGUAUGCCCUAAUGUGCAUGUCUGAACUGCGAAAAGAGAUGCAGGCUAUAAACAUCUGGGGGCGUGUAUUAAAAUAAAUAAAAGUCAUCUUUUGUUCACCGACCGAGUAUUCCCUUAAGAACGCUAGCUUUCGGCUUCACCCAGUCUGAGGUACACAUCCGGCUGACCCGGCAGUAACAAUCGCAGAGGUGCUCCCCUUAUGCCCUAGCCGAAUUAACGGGAACGUAGGGCAUAAACACAAGAGCCAGGCAACCCAACUUGGCCAAAACUUAAGUCAUAUCGAUGCAUAUAAUGGCGAAAAAAGGUACAUGUGGAAGGAUAACACAUGUUUGGGGCAUAGAGCCCGGAAAGGAGUUAUAUUAAGCUUCUGUAUAAGAAGCCCCCAGGUAUAAUGAGCGUGGUUAGCGCGUCAAUAUUGUGUAGUCAAGACACAAUUUAGCCUUGUAAGGCCUUGAAGAAAAGGAAAAAAGAAAGAGAUAAAAGACAGAUAACGGAUAUUUUAAAAAAUUGAUGGAGGUAAGGAGACGAACAUAGAGUCCGACACUAGGCGUAGAAUCUUCGGAGUCUAGCUGCGUUCCAUGGGUUUGGCUCGAGUCGAUUGUCCGAUGCAUCCCGCAGACGGUACGCUCCACCGGUCAGAAAUUGGUCAAUAACGAAGGGACCUUCCCAUUUGGGUUUGAGCUUGUUCUUUUUCUUCUCCGGUAGGCGUAGAACGAGUUCGCCAAUGUUAUAGGUUUUGGCCCGUACUUCUCUGCUUUGAUACCUUCGAGCCUGUGCUGAUAGAAUACGGAACGGGCUUUUCCCACGUCACGCUCCUCCUCCAGGGCGUCCAAAUUGUCCUGCCGAUCAAGCUCGGCUUCUUUCUCUUCAUACAUGCGCACUCGAGGUGAGUCAUGGAUUAUGUCACAGGGCAGUACCGCCUCUGCGCCGUACACCAUAAAAAACGGUGUGUAUCCGGUAGUGCGAUUCGGCGUGGUCCGCAGCCCCCAUAGUACGGAGUCGAGCUCCUCUACCCAGUGCGUGUUUGAUUCCUUUAAGGACCACACUAAUCUGGGUUUAAUGCCGCUCAUGAUAAGACCAUUUGCUCACUCGACUUGAUCGUUAGUUUGUGGGUGAUAGACAGAAGCAUAAUCGAGCCUGAUGCCCAUGUUGCUGCACGCGUCGGCUGUAAAGUUCGAGCCGUUAUCUGUGAUGGUGUACAACCCCAGAUAUGAAGUCUAUCACUGGUCCGGAUUCGGCCGUUUUAACUGGUUUGGCUUCUAUCCAUUUGGUGAAUUUAUCCACCAUAACCAAUAAGUAUUUUUUCUUAUGGCUUCCCCCUUUGAGGGGUCCAACCAUAUCGAGCCCCCAGACCGCAAAGGGCCAAGUAAUGGGGAUUGUUUGGAGGGUGGUAGGUGGCAUAUGGCUUUGGUUUGCAAAAAGCUGGCAACCGACGCAACAUUGGACAAGGUCCUGUGCGUCUGCUCGGGCCGUCGGCCAGUAGAAACCUAUACAGAAUUCCUUGCUUACAAGGGCCCGAGCUGCGGCGUGGUGGCCGCCAAGUCUAGCAUGAGUUUCUGCCAAAAUUUUCCGCCCUUCCUCUUCGGAGAUGCACCUUUGAAGGACUCCGGUGGUGCUUUUCUUAUAAAGCUCUCCCUCGUGGACCUUGUAGGCUUUAGACCGCCGCACAAUGCAACGUGCCCCGUUUGGGUCCUCCGGUAGUUCCUGCCUAGUUAGGUAGGCCAGGAAGGGUUCUGUCCACGGGGCGAUGACAGCCAUAAUCACGUGGGCGGAAGGUGUUAUUUCGGUGGCGGAGCCUUCGAUUACGUCAGAGUGUUCGGUAUCUGGUGUUGUGGCCAAGUCCGGACUGUUGUUGCCAGUCUCUCCUUCCCAUACCACGGAUGGCUUAAACAGCCUUUCCAAGAAGAUAUUGUGUGACACCCAAAAUUUUAUUUGGCCUUUUCAAAAAAUUUAUUUGACUUGAGGGAGGUGUUUUAAAUUUGCCUUCAAAAGAACUCUCCUUUUCAAAAUAUUUUUUUUGGCAAGGGUUUUAUUUGGAUUCACCCAAGACUUGAUGUUGGUCUUGGAGGUUCUUUCUUUUUAUUUGGACUCAAACCAAAAUGCUUUUCACUUGGGAAAAAUGCCUUUUGAAAAUUCCUUUGAAAAUGCCCUAUGGCUUUUGGAAUGAUUCUUUGCCCCUUUCAACAAAUCUCUCUUGCCAUGACCUUAGUGCAAAUCCACUCUCAUAAACCAUUCCUCAUCUUUGGAUCAUGUUUUGCAUCAAAUCCAGCAAGUUGAACCUCCCCAUAUAUUUAUUUUCCAUUUAAAUCUUAUCAAAACAAUUUCUGCCUUCUAUUCUAGCCCUUGGAGAUUUACAAAGGAGCUACCAUUUCUGUUUUGAUUUUUGCCCCCAAACCAAUUUCCCUUCCUAGUCCUUUGAACCCUCAACCAAGAUCCAUGAAGAUCCACUGGUCUUUAGUUCAAAUUUUUCAAACUAUACUUGCUGCAAGUUUGGACCAGUUUUGCCAAAUUUGAUGAAAUUCAUUCAAAUCCCUCUCCAAAAAUUCUGAGAAAAAUCAGGCAGCCCCUGGGUGCAUUGAGAGGUCACCUCACCAAGUCCCAGCCCCAGGAAAAAUUUUCUUCAUACCAAAUCAUUUCGUCGAACACCUACUGGACAUUGUUUCUAUAAGGUUCAGUCAAAUUCAGUUAACAGUGUCUGAAUCACUGUCGUUUUCUUCAGUGUCUGUUGUCGAUCUCGCCAGUGCCCGGCGUCGCCGUGUUUCCUGUCCCCUCCCCCUUGUCCUCUGCACCGCACGAGCGCCUGGAUGCUUGCGGGCGUCGGCGACGAGCUGGAGGAGGUGCGCCGCCCCGUGACCGACGCCAGCGGCGGCUUUGCAGCCGCCAGAGAGAGGCGCAGCGCAGACGACGCCACUCAGCGCCGCCCAAGCCACCGGAGAUCGCCGCGUGGUCUUCCACUCCCCAGUGCGCGCUGCCACCCUCGUCGUGAACCGCUGGGCGCGGAGCGCGCUCUCUGCCGCCGUCGUGCCCGUGCGGCCACCCCACCGUGGACCGGCACCAUUACGCCAAGACCGACCGGGAUUAGCGGGGGAACGGCACCAGCACACCUCACUGAUGCUGCCUGGGCACCUAAACUCCCUGCCAAGCCACUGCCUCGCCGUAAUUGCUCGCCGGAGCAACCCCGUUCACGGCCACCCCCUCGAGCCGCCUAUAAAUAGAGGCCCCGAGCUCCAGCUAGUACCCACACCACCUCUGCACUCCACCAAGACCCUGCCUAGCCACUGGAAGAGCCCCGAGGGAGUCUUCUUCCUCGACUCCGGCCGCCGCGACCCGCCACGGGAUCCAGCUCGAUUCGCUCCCGUGCGUGCACCUCUGCCUCCCAUCUCUUGCCAGUAGCUCUCUAGUACAUCCCUCCUUCUGACCCGCACUUCAAUUCGAAGUUUGCAGCACACCACCGGAGUUCCCCACCAUCGCCCGAGCCGCCGUCCGCCGGAGAAAGUGUCGCCAUCGACGCGGUGCUCCCUGACGCCCAAGUCCACCACCCACCGACGCGGAAGGACACGCUGAUACUCUUGGUACACUCCGAUCUCCCUGACUCGCCGUGGUUCGACGCCGACGACCUCCGCAGCCUUCGGGCGCCGGCGAGGUUUUUCAAACCUGACAUGUGGACCCCCCACGUCAGCCUCUCUUAUUUCACCCCCGAAGCGUUUUCUGUUGGCGCCUUCGGGCAGAGUACGUUUUCUCUGUGGGCUGGCGCGUUUCUAUUCGAACCGUUUUCUGUUUUCUCAGUUAAGUCCCUGGAACUUCUCUGUUUCAUUACAGAUGAGUCCCUGGACAGAAACCCUUAUAACUUUUUGAUAAAAAGUGAUUUUUGAGUGAUUCUUUUUCUGACAAUCUUAUAAUUUUGUCUAGUUUUUUAUUGGAUUUAUUUGGAAAUUUUUUGGAACAACUUUUAUGCACGCGUUGGUUUUCACGUUAGUAUGCCUUUUCGCUAUACCAUAGGUUCCGGAAGAGGUGACGGAGCUGCGAACUUCGCCGAGAUAGACUCCGACUUCUCCGAACCAGGCAAGCAUGUUUGAACCUUUGAUAUGAUAGGUGUUUUGCAUGUUUGCGUGAAAGGUUGUGCGUGACAUAUGAGUAUCGGUGAGUAUCUCGUUGCUUGUGAGGCAACUACCCGUGUGUUCCAAAGUUACCUGUGAUCUCUGAUGAGUGAUGGCCUAGUCAUGUGGUGACAUGAAGGGCAGCAAGGUGGUACUGUUGUAGCAUGCCAUCCUUGCGUCAUCCGACAAUUUCUGACGUUAACGUGGACGGAGUCACUUUAUCGUUCUUCCCCCUUCCGUGCUACCACUUGUUUUCUGCCAGAAUGCGGUUUAGUAAGUUGGUAACCUCUUUCCGUGUACACACCAAACAGAGAGGCCGGGAUGAUGGUUCCAUGGCCCUGGAUUAAAGCCAGUCAUCCGGUCAGGGGGCAUGGGUGUUUCCGGUUGGGACCGAGAGGGGGGCACCCCUUAGAGCGCGCGUAUAGAAAUUUGAUCCCAUGCUACGCGAGGUUGUAGCCUCCCCGUCUCAAGGUUUUUCUUGAACGUUGCUGAGGGUGAUUCCUGGCUUUGGAUUGUUGAAUGGGUGUGUACUGGUUAGAUGUGUUUCUUCCAAAACACCGUAAACGGAACUAGUCCCCGUGACUACUGAAAUCCGUUGGCUGUGGUUAAAGUACAACUCCGCAGAGUCAAAUCCUUCCGAGUCAUCGUAUCCAAGGUCAAGUAUCAUGAUCAGCGUAUCCAUGUCUAUGUCGUAACCUCGUGGUAUAUUCUUCUUUCCGAUAAGUGAGUUAGAGUAGAAAUCUUGGCUGAACGUUAUUCCUGUGGAUGGACUAACCCUGUUGUUUGUCUCAUGUCUGAUUAUUCUCAUGAUAUGAUUUAAAAUUCAUGAGCUGCUAAGUUAGGAAUAUAAGCCCUUUAUGUGAUGUCGCUCAGACGUCCGACUGUGGCAUGUUUGUCUCUUACUUUCAAUAUAAGCCCUUUAUGUGAUGUCACUCAGACGUCCGACUGUGGCAUGUUUGUCUCUUACUUUCAAUAUAAGCCCUUUAUGUGAUGUCGCUCAGACGUCCGACUGUGGCAUGUUUGUCUCUUACUUUCAAUAUAAGCCCUUUAUGUGAUGUCGCUCAGACGUCCGACUGUGGCACGCAUUGUCUUUCAUUUUCUGUUAUAAGCCCUUUAUGUGGUGUCGCCCCGACGCCCGACUGCGGCAUUAUUAUUCUUGCAGUUUCCUCUCGAGGAGUCAUUCAGACCCUCGUUUGGCACCCAGUAUUUAUUCUGGGAUUUCGGGAGGACUACCGCCCGACUUCUCUGUUAUUUCCCCAUGCAUUAUUGUCUCUAUGUCUGAACGCACUUGUUUUUCUGUUCUCAUGCUUCAUGUUUACAUUUGUUAUAUCUUAUGUCCGAACUGUCUUGCGAGUACUUUCAUAGUACUCACCUGGCUUGUUGAUUUUGGCAGAUGUUGACGAAGGCGAUCUCUUGGAUGAAGAGUUUGAUAGUGAGUCCGACGCCUAGACGAAUCCCAGUCAGUCCUGUGCGAUCCUGGAUAUUGGUCACUUGUAUUAUAUACGCUUCCGCCACCCGCAAUAAACCUCCUCGAGCUUCACCCCGACGCUCGAAGAGCUGUAGUUUGCAGGAGUCAUAUCACCCGCUCCGCUGUGAUUUUUCCACCACCGUUGUUAUCAUGAGUUAGUAGUUAUGCCACCCUAUCCGCUGUUAUGCCUAGUCGGCGUGCAUGUAAUAAUUUGUUGAGCAGUCCCCGCUCAACCUUGUAUUAUAUUCAGUACUCCUGGUAUUUUUCUUCUGUGACCAAGAUAUUGUCUACCAGUGAGAAGGAAUUCUUCUCUACUGGUCUGUAAAAGGGAUUGGUCUCUCAAUAAAUAUUUUAUUGAAAAACCGGUCAUGACAAGCUUGGUACCAGAGCCAGGCUGAUUGUAGGAAGCCACUAGGUGCGAUCGCUAAUCGGUUAUUAGCGUAUUUUGUGCUUUUUCAGCAUUUUGCAAUUGUAGCUAUUUUCUGUUGGUCAUCAUAAAUUUAUGACAUGACUACUCAGAACUUUUGCCUACUUUUGUAGAUGGCAGGCAGCAGCUGCGAGACUCGAGUGUUCACGAACGUGCCCGAGGGGUUUGUCAAUCUCCUCGUCUCCAUCACCAAGCUCGCGAUCGGGCCAGCAACUCGCCCGGAGUUCACACUUUACCAGCACAAGCUCAGCGACGACGUGUCUAUGCACCAAGCCGUGGUGCAAUUCAAGGGAGGACGUUCUGCGUCUCGCCACUUCCGUUUUGUGGGAAGGGCCAUGCCUACGGAGAGGCAUGCCAUGCAGAUGGCUGCCCGUGAGGCGAUAGCUCGCCUCCGGGAUAUCCUUCCUAUGAUGAAGACUCGUCGCUACCGCUACCUCCCAUGCCGUGUGCCAUACACUUGUCACUAUGCAUUCGCCUGCCAUCGGGGAGAACGAGAUGAAGCCAUCGAGAUGGUUGUGGAGUAUCUCAAGGCUCUGGAGGAAUCUUUCGACAACCUCGUGGACGAUCUUGUGGCUGCCCGCAUGGACUUAGUCCGGGGCGGUCCUGCCAGCAGGAAGGAGCUUCUCCUCACAGCACCGCCUCUGACAUUCGUCUCGUCUUCAGCCGCUUAUGCACCGGCCGUUUUGGCCACUGCUUGCCGUCUGCCUACCACUGAGGAGUUCGACCGAGCAUCGCUCCUACUCCAGUCAGAGCUGCACCGCCUGCCGCACCCGCUCUGCCGCCUGUCGCCCCCGUACCAUCACCGCAGCGCAGUGCUACGCGCGAGGAACCUACUAGAGAGGAGGUGGAGGUUGAAUCCCCUGCACCGCUGAGUCUUGCCCUCGGCAAGGGAAAGGACAUCGUCACCAUCUCCGACUGAGAGCGCCGAGUAGCCGCGCGUUAUGUCUGCUUGUAUGAUGUGUUUUAUCUGUAUGCUAGUUUGUAUUAGUGUGUUCGCUGUUUUCCGGAGGAGUAUGCUAGUCUAAAUAACAUGUCAGGAUUGUGUACGCACAUCCUGAGUGCUGUAUCGUGUGUUUGCUUUUCGCGUGUAAGAUUUGGGUUAAGCAGUUCGUCUUCAUGCAAAAAUCGUUUAUGCUUUCUUGAAAAAUCUUGAGGUCUUUUAAGUUUUUGCCUUCACAAGAUUUUCCUUGUACCACACAGUUCUUCUCAUGAGUUUUGCAAAAUAAUACCCCAGACGGGGAAAAAUGUCUCAUCCAUGGACUCGUUCCAUGCGCAAUCAGCCAGAAGAAGUUUAUGGGACACAGACUAGCAACAACUUCACUCAGGGUCAGUCCAAUCAACAGGACAGCGAAGCAGCCCUGUCUCAAGUAUGCCGUCUCUUCGAACAAAGCCAGCAACAGCACCAAGAGAUGAUGAAUCACGUCAUCAAUAUGGGAAACCACCGUGAACCCUAUCAUCCUCAUUCCAAGUUAUCUGAGUUACAGAAGACUCGCCCUUCAACGUUUGCUCACACCGAUAGGCCGCUAGAAGCCGACGAUUGGCUUCGUGACAUCGAAAGGAAGCUGAUUAUUGCUCAGUGUUCAGAUCAUGAGAAGGUGCUUUAUGCACCACACUACCUUACUGGAGCAGCUGCAGCAUGGUGGGAAAACUUCCUACACAUGCAUCCCAGUGAACACAACAUCACCUGGGAAGAAUUCAAGGAAGGCUUUCGUGGGGCACACAUCCCCAGGAGCAUCAUAAAAAUCAAGAAGAGAGAAUUUGACGAUCUCAAGCAAAGAGGCAUGUCGGUGACAGAAUACAACGGUCAGUUUACCCAGCUAUCUCGUUAUGCCUACGACGAGCACAUGACAGAGAACAAAAAGAUGGAAAAAUUCCUGGACGGCCUGGCACCAGCCCUAAGAUGCCAACUGGUGGUACACACUUUCCCGGAUUUUAAAACCCUGGUUGACAAGGCCAUUACCUUGGAGAAUGAGCACCGCAGCCUGGAGGAUAUCCGUAAGCGGAAAAGGGACAAGACGACCCUCGCUCGCAACAACCGAAGCAAGACUGAGGUUCCAAGGACAGGAGCAAGGAAAUCCACGACUACUGAUCUAAGGCCCGUCAGACAGUUUCAUGCCAGGGACAAGGAGUUCACGUACCAUCCAGGGGUCACAUGCUAUGCUUGUGGAGAAGAAGGGCACUAUGCUAAACAGUGCCCAAAACCGAGGAACUCGGCCCCCAAGCCGAACAAUGGUGGAAACAAUCCAGCCCCCAAGCGCAACAAUUUCAAUCCCAACAACAAUCACAGGAAGGGUCACCUGAACCAUGUGACCAGGGAAGAAGCGCAGAAUGCCCCAGACAUCGUGCUCGGUACAUUCCCUGUCAACACAGUACCUGCCACGGUUUUGUUUGAUUCUGGAGCUUCCCAUUCGUUCGUUUCGAAGAGUUUUGUUUUGCAACAUGGUUUUCCGAUACUUCCCUUGGAAAAAUCUAUGAUCAUCAAGUCCCCCGGGAAUAAGCAAAUCGCUCAGAGUUACUGCCAAGGAGUGAUCAUUGAAUUCGAAGGACUACAGUUCCAAGCCAAUCUCAUCGUGUUGGAAAAUAGAGGACUGGAUGUCAUUUUAGGGAUGGACUGGUUGACCACCAACAAAGGAUUCAUUGACUGUUUCAAUCGGACCGUGAUUCUCACUCACCAUCACGGCAAGACAAUAAAGGUUACAGCUCAAGAAAGGCCACGGUCACGGCAACCAAAGCUGAACAAAGUGGACAUUUCAGAACUGAGAAAAGUUCCAGUGGUAUGCGAGUUCCCAGAUGUAUUUCCUGAAGACCUACCAGGCAUGCCACCAGACCGAGAGAUAGAGUUCAGCAUCGAACUAGCACCUGGCACCGCUCCCAUCUAUAAGAAACCUUAUAGAAUGGCACCCUCUGAAUUGGUGGAGUUGAAGAAGCAGAUAAAGGAAUUAUUGGACAAAGGAUUUAUUCGAGCCAGCUCCUCGCCAUGGGGUUCGCCAGUAUUAUUCGCCAAGAAAAAGGAUGGGACACUGAGACUGUGUAUAGACUAUCGAGCCCUCAAUAUGGUCACCAUCAAAAACAAAUAUCCGAUGCCACGGAUAAAUGAUUUGUUUGACCAGCUCGCACAAGCCAAGGUGUUCUCAAAAAAUGAUUUGAGAUCGGGAUAUCACCAAUUGAAAGUACAGACAGAAGAUAUCCCCAAGACAGCAUUCACUUCCAGAUAUGGGUUAUAUGAGUUCACAGUGAUGCCCUUUGGACUAACGAACGCCCCCGCAUAUUUCGUCCACCUCAUGAACAAAGUGCUCAUGAAAUUCAUGGACAAAUUUGUUGUGGUGUUCAUUGACGAUAUUCUGGUUUACUCAAGGACACCGGAAGAGCAUGCUGAGCAUCUCAGAAUUGUUUUGGGAGAAUUGAGGAAACAUCAGUUGUAUGCCAAAUUUAGCAAGUGUGAAUUUUGGCUAAGACAAGUUGGUUUCCUAGGCCACAUAUUAAACCAAGAAGGCGUGGCCGUAGACCCAGAGAAAGUCAAAGCCAUACUUGACUGGAAGCCACCCGCCAACGUGAUAGAUGUGCGGAGUUUCCUGGGAAUGGCCGGAUAUUACAGAAGAUUUAUUGAAGGAUUCUCCACUGUGGCAAAACCAAUAACACAGUUGCUCAAGAAAGACAAGAAAUUUGUAUGGACGGAAGCAUGCGAGAAAAGCUUCCAAGAACUCAAGAAGAAACUAACAACCGCACCGGUCUUAACUGUGCCAGACAUACACAAGAGUUUUGAAGUGUAUUGUGAUGCGUCCCGAAAGGGUCUCGGGUGUGUACUAAUGCAGGAUGGCAAAGUUGUCGCGUAUGCCUCCAGGCAGCUGCAAAAACAUGAGGAAAAUUACCCAACACAUGACUUGGAGCUAGCAGCAGUCAUACAUGCACUCAAGGAGUGGAGGCACUUUCUGUUGGGAAAUCGCUGUGAAAUAUAUACGGACCAUAAGAGCCUUAAAUAUAUUUUCACUCAACCAGAGCUAAACUUACGCCAACGACGCUGGUUGGAAUUGGUCAAGGACUAUGAUGUCGGUAUUCACUACCAUCCAGGGAAAACAAAUGUACUGGUCCAAACCUCAGCCCGGACAACGACGGUCCCCAAAACUUGAGGCCUGAGUUUCAGCAAGAGUUCGCUAGGCUCAACAUGGUGUUAGUCUCUGAGGGCACCAUAUCAAAUCUGGAGAUACGAUCCACCCUAGUGGAACAAAUUAAGAAGGCUCAACAGGGACAUCCCAGCAUCGAAGGUAUAAGACAGAAAAUGAACCUCGGUAAGGCUUCAGAGUUCGUCACAGACAGCGAAGAACAUUAUGGUACGGAGACAGACUUUGCGUACCUAACAUUGAGGAACUCAAGCAACAAAUCUUAACCGAAAGCCACACCGCUCCAUACUCGAUCCACCCUGGAGGAACCAAAAUGUACAAGGACAUUCAGGAAAGAUUCUGGUGGCACGGUAUGAAAAGGGAUAUAGCCACAUUUAUUGCUUGUUGCGAUUCAUGUCAGCGCAUCAAGGCCGAGCAUCAAAAGCCAGCAGGGCUACUCCAGCCAAACAGGAUAUCGGAGUGGAAAUGGGAUGAAAUAGGGAUGGACUUCAUUAUCGGACUACCUCGAUCACAACGCGGAAAUGACGCCAUAUGGGUCAUCACAGACCGACUAACCAAGGUUGCUCAUUUCAUUCCCGUGAAGACUACCUACUCCACACAAAGGCUGGCCAAGCUUUAUCUCUCUCGUAUAGUUUGUUUGCAUGGAGUCCCAAAGACUAUAAUAUCCGACCGAGGCACCCAAUUUGUCUCCAAAUUUUGGGAUUACCUACAACAAGCUCUGGGCACGCAACUAGCUUUCAGUACAGCGUACCACCCUCAGACUGAUGGACAAACGGAACGUGUGAACCAAAUCCUAGAGGAUAUGCUGAGAGCCUGUGUGCUCACCUAUGGAUCCAGUUGGGAAGAGAGUUUGCCGUAUGCCGAGUUUGCUUACAACAACAGUUACCAAGCCAGCUUGCAAAUGGCACCGUUUGAAGCACUGUACGGACGGAGGUGUCGUACCCCACUGAAUUGGUCAGAAACAGGUGACAGUCAUAUCUUCGGCCCAGACAUGCUCAAGGAGGCCGAGGAGAAAGUUAAACAGAUCAGGGACAGACUCAAGACAGCACAGAGCCGACAAAAGAGCUACUACGAUCAAAAACAUCGUGAGGUCAGCUUUGAACCCGGUGAUUCCGUAUACCUACGAGUGUCUCCUAUGAGGGGCCUGCAACGGUUCAAAAUUAAGGGGAAACUAGCCCCGAGAUUUAUUGGACCAUUCUGUAUAAUUGCACGAAGAGGCAUGGUAGCCUACCAACUAGACCUACCCAAGGAGCUGUCAGACGUCCAUGACGUAUUCCACGUCUCACAAUUGAGAAAAUGUGUAAGUAACCCGGAGAAGCAUGUAUCUCAUGAGAGCAUUGAUGUACAACCAGAUCUCACCUACAGAGAGAGGCCAGUAAAGAUAUUGGAAGUGUCUGAACGGAGGACCCGUCAGAAAACGACAAAAUUUUUCAGAGUUCAGUGGAGCGACCACACUGAGGAUGAAGCUACAUGGGAAAGGGAAGAUUUUCUUCAGGCAGAAUAUCCAUAUCUAUUCGAGGAUCAGCUAAAAUCUCGAGGACGAGAUUAUUCCAAAGGGGGUAGGUGUUGUGACACCCAAAAUUUUAUUUGGCCUUUUCAAAAAUUUUAUUUGACUUGAGGGAGGUGUUUUAAAUUUGCCUUCAAAAGAACCCUCCUUUUCAAAAUAUUUUUUUUGGCAAGGGUUUUAUUUGGAUUCACCCAAGACUUGAUGUUGGUCUUGGAGGUUCUUUCUUUUUAUUUGGACUCAAACCAAAAUGCUUUUCACUUGGGAAAAAUGCCUUUUGAAAAUUCCUUUGAAAAUUCCCUAUGGCUUUGGAAUGAUUCUUUGCCCCUUUCAACAAAUCUCUCUUGCCAUGACCUUAGUGCAAAUCCACUCUCAUAAACCUUUCCUCAUCUUUGGAUCAUGUUUUGCAUCAAAUCCAGCAAGUUGAACCUCCCCAUAUAUUUAUUUUCCAUUUAAAUCUUAUCAAAACAAUUUCUGCCUUCUAUUCUAGCCCUUGGAGAUUUACAAAGGAGCUACCAUUUCUGUUUUGAUUUUUGCCCCCAAACCAAUUUCCCUUCCUAGUCCUUUGAACCCUCAACCAAGAUCCAUGAAGAUCCACUGGUCUUCAGUUCAAAAUUUUCAAACUAUACUUGCUGCAAGUUUGGACCAGUUUUGCCAAAUUUGAUGAAAUUCAUUCAAAUCCCUCUCCAAAAAUUCUGAGAAAAAUCAGGCAGCCCCUGGGUGCAUUGAGAGGUCACAUCACCAAGUCCCAGCCCCAGGAAAAAAUUUCUUCAUACCAAAUCAUUUCGUCGAACACCUACUGGACACUGUUUCUAUAAGGUUCAGUCAAAUUCAGUUAACAGUGUCUGAAUCACUGUCGUUUCUUCAGUGUCUGUUGUCGAUCUCACCAGUGCCCGGCGUCGCCGUGUUUCCUGUCCCCUCCCCCUUGUCCUCUGCACCGCACGAGCGCCUGGAUGCUUGCGGGUGUCGGCGACGAGCUGGAGGAGGUGCGCCGCCCCGUGACCGACGCCAGCGGCUGCUUUGCGGCCGCCAGAGAGAGGCGCAGCGCAGACAGCGCCACUCAGCGCUGCCCAAGCCACCGGAGAUCGCCGCGUGGUCUUCCACUCCCCAGUGCGCGCUGCCACCCUCGUCGUGAACCGCUGGGCGCGGAGCGCGCUCUCUGCCGCCGUCGUGCCCGUGCGGCCACCCCACCGUGGACCGGCGCCAUUACGCCAAGACCGACCGGGAUUAGCGGGCGAACGGCACCAGUACACCUCACUGAUGCUGCCUGGCCACCUAAACUCCCUGCCAAGCCACUGCCUCACCGUAAUUGCUUGCCGGAGCAACCCCGUUCACGGCCACCCCCUCGAGCCGCCUAUAAAUAGAGGCCCCGAGCUCCAGCUAGUACCCACACCACCUCUGCACUCCACCAAGACCCUGCCUAGCCACUGGAAGAGCCCCGAGGGAGUCUCCUUCCUCGACUCCGGCCGCCGCGACCCGCCACGGGAUCCAGCUCGAUUCGCUCCCGUGCGUGCACCUCUGCCUCCCAUCUCUUGCCAGUAGCUCUCUAGUACAUCCCUCCUUCUGACCCGCACUUCAAUUCGAAGUUUAUAGCACACCACCGGAGUUCCCCACCAUCGCCCGAGCCGCCGUCCGCCGGAGAAAGUGUCGCCAUCGACGCGGUGCUCCCCGACGCCCAAGUCCACCACCCACCAACGCGGAAGGACACGCUGAUACUCUUGGUACACUCCGAUCUCCCUGACUCGCCGUGGUUCGACGCCGACGACCUCCGCAGCCUUCGGGCGCCGGCGAGGUUUUUCAAACCUGACAUGUGGACCCCCCACAUCAGCCUCUCUUAUUUCACCCCCGAAGCGUUUUCUGUUGGCGCCUUCGGGCAGAGUACAUUUUCUCUGUGGGCUGGCGCGUUUCUAUUCGAACCGUUUUCUGUUUUCUCAGUUAAGUCCCUGGAACUUCUCUGUUUCAUUACAGAUGAGUCCCUGGACAGAAACCCUUAGAACUUUUUGAUAAAAAGUGAUUUUUGAGUGAUUCUUUUUCUGACAAUCUUAUAAUUUUGUCUAGCUUUUUAUGGGAUUUAUUUAGAAAUUUUUUGGAACAACUUUUAUGCACGCGUUGGUUUUCACGUUAGUAUGCCUUUUCGCUAUACCGUAGGUUCCGGAAGAGGUGACGGAGGUGCGAACUUCGCCGAGCUAGACUCUGACUUCUCCGAACCAGGCAAGCAUGUUUGAACCUUUGAUAUGAUAGGUGUUUUGCAUGUUUGCGUGAAAGGUUGUGCGUGACAUAUGAGUAUCGGUGAGUAUCUCGUUGCUUGUGAGGCAACUACCCGUGUGUUCCAAAGUUACCUGUGAUCUCUGAUGAGUGAUGGCCUAGUCAUGUGGUGACAUGAAGGGGAGCAAGGUGGUACUGUUGUAGCAUGCCAGCCUUGCGUCAUCCGACAAUUUCCGACGUUAACGUGGACAGAGUCACGUUAUCGUUCUUCCCCCUUCCGUGCUACCACUUGUUUUCUGCCAGAAUGUGGUUUAGUAAGUUGGUAACCUCUUUCCGUGUACACACCAAACAGAGAGGCCGGGAUGAUGGUUCCAUGGCCCUGGAUUAAAGCCAGUCAUCCGGUCAGGGGGCACGGGUGUUUCCGGUUGGGACCGAGAGGGGGGCACCCCUUAGAGCGCGCGUAUAGAAAUUUGAUCCCAUGCUACGCGAGGUUGUAGCCUCCCCGUCUCAAGGUUUUUCUUGAACGUUCCCGAGGGUGAUUCCUGGCUUCGGAUUGUUGAGUGGGUGUGUACUAGUUAGAUGUGUUUCUUCCAAAACACCGUAUACCGAACUAGUCCCCGUGACUACUGAAAUCCAUUGGCUGUGGUUAAAGUACAACUCUGCAGAGUCAAAUCCUUCCGAGUCAUCGUAUCCAAGGUCAAGUAUCGUGAUCAGCGUAUCCAUGUCUAUGUCGUAACCUCGUGGUAUAUUCUUCUUUCCGAUAAGUGAGUUAGAGUAGAAAUCUUGGCUGAACGUUAUUCCUGUGGAUGGACUAACCCUGUUGUUUGUCUCAUGUCUGAUUAUUCUCAUGAUAUGAUUUAAAAUUCAUGAGCUGCUAAGUUAGGAAUAUAAGCCCUUUAUGUGAUGUCGCUCAGACGUCUGACUGUGGCAUGUUUGUCUCUUACUUUCAAUAUAAGCCCUUUAUGUGAUGUCGCUCAGACGUCCGACUGUGGCAUGUUUGUCUCUUACUUUCAAUAUAAGCCCUUUAUGUGAUGUCGCUCAGACGUCCGACUGUGGCAUGUUUGUCUCUUACUUUCAAUAUAAGCCCUUUAUGUGAUGUCGCUCAGACGUCCGACUGUGGCACGCAUUGUCUUUCUNNNNNNNNNNNNNNNNNNNNNNNNNNNNNNNNNNNNNNNNNNNNNNNNNNNNNNUGGCAUGUUUGUCUCUUACUUUCAAUAUAAGCCCUUUAUGUGAUGUCGCUCAGACGUCCGACUGUGGCAUGUUUGUCUCUUACUUUCAAUAUAAGCCCUUUAUGUGAUGUCGCUCAGACGUCCGACUGUGGCACGCACUGUCUUUCAUUUUCUGUUAUAAGCCCUUUAUGUGGUGUCGCCCCGACGCCCGACUGCGGCAUUAUUAUUCUUGCAGUUUCCUCUCGAGGAGUCAUUCAGACCCUCGUUUGGCACCCAGUAUUUAUUUUGGGAUUUCGGGAGGACUACCGCCCGACUUCUCUGUUAUUUCCCCAUGCAUUAUUGUCUCUAUGUCUGAACGCACUUGUUUUUCUGUUCUCAUGCUUCAUGUUUACAUUUGUUAUAUCUUAUGUCCGAACUGUCUUGCGAGUACUUUCAUAGUACUCACCUGGCUUGUUGAUUUGGCCAAAUGUUGACGAAGGCGAUCUCUUGGAUGAAGACUUUGAUAGUGAGUCCGACGCCUAGAGGAAUCCCAGUCAGUCCUGUGCGAUCCUGGAUAUUGGUCACUUGUAUUAUAUACGCUUCCGCCACCCGCAAUAAACCUCCUCGAGCUUCACCCUGACGCUCGAAGAGCUGUAGUUUGCAGGAGUCAUAUCACCCGCUCCGCUGUGAUUUUUCCACCACCGUUGUUAUCAUGAGUUAGUAGUUAUGCCACCCUAUCCGCCGUUAUGCCUAUUCGGCGUGCAUGUAAUAAUUUGUUGAGCAGUCCCCGCUCAACCUUGUAUUAUAUUCAGUACUCCUGGUAUUUUUCUUCUGUGACCAAGAUAUUGUCUACCAGUGAGAAGGAAUUCUUCUCUACUGGUCCGUAAAAGGGAUUGGUCUCUCAAUAAAUAUUUUAUUGAAAAACCGGUCGUGACAUAUUGGGUGGGACAGGGUCGCGCUUAGCGCCGAUGCGGGCGAGGAUGUCCGCCGCUUGAUUGUUUUCUCGGACCACAUGGUGGAAUUCGAGCCCCUCGAACCGAGCUGUCAUCUUGAGGACGGCGUUGCGGUAAGCCGCCAUUUUUGGAUCCUUUGCGUCAAAGUCUCCAUUUAUCUGAGAUAUUGCAAGGUUCGAGUCCCCCCGCACGUCCAGGCAUUGAAUGCCCAUGGAGACUGCCAUCCGGAGACCGUGUAACAGGGCCUCAUAUUCUGCCGCAUUGUUGGAGUCUAUGUAUAGUAUUUGGAGUACGUACUGGAUUGUAUCUCCGGUGGGGGAUGUCAGGACGACACCAGCCCCUAGACCCGCCAGCAUUUUGGGGCCAUCGAAGUGCAUGAUCCAAUUGGAGUACGUGCCGUAUUCUUUAGGGAGUUCGGCUUCUGUCCACUCGGCGACAAAAUCGGCCAGUACUUGCGACUUAAUGGCUCGCCGUGGUUUAUAUGUUAUGUCGAACGGGAGGAGCUCGAUAGCCCAUUUAGCAAUCCGGCCCGUGGCAUCGCGGUUGUUUAUUAUGUCAUUGAGUGGUACUUCCGAGGCCACCGUAAUUGAACACUCUUGAAAGUAGUGUCAUAGUUUCCGGGAUGCCAUGAAUACCGCGUAUGCUAUCUUUUGAUAAUGUGGGUACGAUGAUUUGCAUGGCGUGUGGACCGUGGAUACAUAGUAUACCAUCUUUUGAAGUGGGAAUUUAUGUCCGUCAAUCUCCCGUUCGACGACGAGCACUGCGCUUACAACUUGGUGAGUUGCCGCUAUAUAUAACAGCAUUGGUUCGCCGACAUUUGGCGCGACCAAGAUUCGGUUGGUGGCCAGGAUGGCUUUUAUUUCUUCCAAUCCGGCCGUGGCCACAUCCGUCCAUUCGAAAUGUUCGGUGCGCUGAAGAAGGCGAUAAAGGGGUCUUGCCAUUUCUCCUAAUCGGGAGAUAAAGCGGCUUAAGGCCGCCACACAUCCAGUUAGUUUCUGAAUUUGCUUGAGGUCUGUUGGGGUAGGCAACUGUGACAGAGCUCGGAUUUUAGCCGGAUUUGCUUCGAUUCCUCUACUGGAGACGAUGAAGCCCAGGAGCUUUCCGGCAUGCACGCCAAAAACACAUUUUUUCGGAUUGAGCUUGAUGUCGUAUGUUCGCAGAUUGUCGAACGUGAGCCUCAAGUCGUCUAUUAAGGAUUCGACGUGUCUGGUUUUAACGACCACAUCGUCUACGUAUGCCUCCACUGUUUUGCCGAUCUGUUUUUCCAGGCAUGUCUGAAUCAUGCGUUGAUACGUUGCCCCGGCGUUCUUAAGCCCGAAAGGCAUGGUGUUAAAACAGAAGGGGCCGUAUGGGGUGAUAAAUGCUGUUGCGGCUUGGUUGGACUUCGCCAUCUUAAUUUGAUGGUAUCCGGAGUAUGCGUCGAGGAAACACAAUGAGUCGUGUCCUGCGGUAGCGUCGAUAAUUUGACCAAUGCGGGGGAGGGGGAAGGGAUCCUUGGGGCAAGCCAUGUUAAGGUCCUUGAAAUCGACGCAUAGGCAGUCCGGAUGUUUUAUUUCUCUAAUGAAUCCAGCCUCCAGUAACUUGGCUAGCUCCUCUCCCAUGGCUUGUAGCUUAGGUUCAGAGAAACGCCGAAGGGUCUGCUUGACCGACUUGAAUCCCUUUAGAAUGUUAAGGCUAUGCUCGGCCAGCCUGCAUGGGAUUCCUGGCAUGUCGGAAGGAUGCCAGGAAAAUAUGUCCCAAUUCUCGCGCAGGAAUUCCCGUAGUGCGGCGUCUACAGCGGGGUUUAACUGUGUCCCGAUGGAUGCUGUUUUUAAGGGUCCGUUGGGUGGACUUGGAAUUUGACUAUUUCAUCCACUGGUUUAAAAGAGGUGGACUUGGAUCUUUUGUCGAGUAUCACAUCGUCCCGGUCCACUUUGGAGCGCAGCGCAGUUAAUUCCUCGGCCGGGAGGGCUUCGGAUAAUGCCUCGAGGGCCAGUGUGGCUGUUUUGUUUUCGGCGCGGAGUGCUAUGUCUAGAUCACUAGCUAGAGUGAUGAUUCCAUCGGGCCCGGGCAUUUUGAGCUUCAUGUACCCGUAAUGGGGUAUGGCUUGGAAGAUCGUGAAUGCCUCCCGCCCUAGAAGGGCGUGCUAUCCGCUACUGAACGGGGCCACUUGGAAUGUGAUUUCUUCGGACCUAUAAUUCUCUGGCGUGCCGAAUACCACAUGCAUCUAGUGUGAUUUUCCCAGUGCAUCGUGCCUCCGAACUAGGGAUGAUUCCUCUGAAGGUCGUGCUGCUUUGCUCAAUGCGGUUUCUGUCUAUUUCCAUUUUUUGAAGAGUCUCCUGAUAGAUGAGGUUUAAUCCGCUGCCGCCGUCCAUGAGCACUUUAGUAAGCCGAAAGCCGUCCACAAUUGGACUAAGGACCAAGGCGGCUGGUGCUCGGGCUGUUCGGAAUUUAGGUUCGUCACUAGCAUUGAAGGUGAUAGCCGUGUCGCUCCAUGGAUUUAUUACUGCCACGUGGCAGACUUCGGCAAGGCUGCGGAGUGCUCGCUUACGCCUAUUAUUGGAGGCGAAGGUCUCGAAGACUGUCAAUACUGUAUUGUUGUUAUCCACGGGAUGGUGCUCUGCGGUAUUUUUAAUGAGGAGAUCCUCACUGCUCUUGGCCACCUGCCAGAGUACCCAACAUGCUCUGAGGCUGUGUGUUGGUAUGGUAUCCGCUGUAUUGUGAAUUUUGCAUGGCCCAUUAAGCCAUCCCUCCAAUACGGUUCCACGCCCUGUAGUGGGCUUUUGCUUCUUUGUAAUUGAGUCGGGCGACUUAUGAGAGUGCACCCUUUUAGUUCGGACUGGGGGUUUUGUCAGAGCCGGAUUAUCCCAAAAUUUUGUUUGGGUUUUCCAGGCGCUUUCCAUCGCACAGUACUUCCGUACUAUGGCCGCCAAGUCAGCGAAGUGUGCUAUGUCACGGCGACUUAUGGUGUUGAGGAUUCCCUUGUCCAUGCAAUUAUUGCAAAAGAAUGAAAUUGCGUCUUCCUCGCGACAGUCCUUGACCUUGUUCAUUACAAGGAGGAAUCUGGCCCAAUAGUGGUGUACUGUCUCCUGGGGCUCUUGUCUAAUGUGGGAAAGAUCGUUUAUAUCUGGGUGGCUGGGUGGAUUUAAGUCCGGACCUUGACCCGAUCUGAGACCCAGGGGCGGAGGAGUUUUCGAUCUUGGAAGUUCGGGCUCCGGGAUGUUGCCUAGUACGUCUGGCCCGCUGCCUGAUUCUAGGUUCAGGGUUUGGGCGAUGUCCUCCCGUAGACGGGUAUCCGGCUCAGAGAGCUCGGGAAUUCGGACAUAGUUUGUCCUCAGGAUAGAGGAAGAAUCUCCACAUUCCUCCUCCACCACCGCUAUCUGAUGGGUGACCGGCGGGGAGUUAAUCUCCCUUUGGUCGGGUUUAAGCCCGAUCUGAUCAUAGUCUGUAGCGACUCCCAAAGCAGCAAUGCGAUCCAAGAGCUCGUUCAAAGAGGAGAGCUCUAUUGGAUCCAACUGCUCGACGAGUCCCGAGCUGACGUGGAGGCUGUUUUCGAUGACAUGGGAAGUCAUUGUCGGCGCAGCGGCCGAACAGGCAGUCAUGACGAAACCGCCUAGUCGAAGAGUUUGGCCUACAGCCAGGGCUCCCCCAGAGGUGAUGUUGUCCUUGACAACAAGGCGAGCCAUCCAGCCUUAUGAUGACGGCACAGUGGAACUCUCAAUGAAAGCACCAAUGUCGGUGUCAAAACCGGCGGAUCUCGGGUAGGGGGUCCCAAACUGUGCGUCUAAGACGGAUGUUAACAGGAGGCGGGGGACACGAUGUUUACCCAUAUUCGGGCCCUCUCGAUGGAGGUAAUACCCUACUUCCUGCUUGAUUGAUCUUGAUGAUAUGAGUAUUACAAGAGUUGAUCUACCACGAGAUCGUAGAGGCUAAACCCUAGAAGCUAGCCUAUGGUAUGAUUGUUUUUGUCCUUCGGACUAAACCCUCCGGUUUUUAUAGACACCGGAGGGGGCUAGGGUUACACAGAGUCGGUUACAAGGGAGGAGAUCUACAUAUCCGUAUUGCCAAGCUUGCCUUCCACGCCAAGGAGAGUCCCAUCCGGACACGGGUCGAAGUCUUCAAUCUUGUAUCUUCAUAGUCCAACAGUCCGGCCAAAGGAUAUAGUCCGGCUGUCCAAGGACCCCCUAAUCCAGGACUCCCUCACCUGGGUUCCGUACGGCCCCCGACUGUUACUUUGUGGCGGAGCGACAGGGCAGGUUGAGACCACCUAGGAGAGAGGUGGGCCUGGCCCUGGUCGGCGUCCGCGGUUACUUCAUAAUAACAUGCUUAACGAGAUCUUGGUAUUUGAUCUCAGUUGGGUCGUUGACCUUAUACACACUAACCGCCACGUGGGACAAGAUAUGGGCAACCGGCGUUGGUAUCAGCCGAAGCUCUUUUUGACGUUAGCGACUAAGCAGCGCGCGCCGCAUUGGACCGUAAGCCCGCGCUUGUAUUAACGGGGCUAGGUCUGCUUCCAGCCGCGUACGCAACAUGCAGGUGUGCACUGGGCGAUGGGCCCAGACCCCUGCGCGCAUAGGAUUUAGACCGGCAUGUUGACCUCUCUGUUGAGCCUAGGUAGGGCUGCGACGUGUUGAUCUCCCGAGGCCGGGCAUGACCCAGGAAAGUGUGCCCAGCCAGAGGGAUCGAGCGUGUCGGGUAAUGUGGUGCACCCCUGUAGGGAAGUUGAUCUAUUCGUAUAGUCGUGUCCACGGUAAUAGGCGACCCGGAGUUGUACCUUGACCUUAUGACAACUAGAACCGGAUACUUAGUAAAACACACCCUUCCAAUUGCCAGAUAUAACCCGGUGAUCGCUCUCACACAGGGCGACGAGGAGAGGAUCCCCGGGUAGGAUUAUGUUAUACGUUGCUACUCGGUGAACUUACCAUCUACUCUCUUCUACAUGCUGCAAGAUGGAGGCUGCCAGAAGCGUAGUGUCGGUGGGAAACGACACCUAUGGGAUCACAAGAAUCCCUACUACGGUUGCCGGGGUGCAGGGUUGUGAGAAGAGCAGGAUCAACAGUCAGCACAAGGAUCGUUAACCCAGGUUCGGGCCUCGAGGAUGCGUAAUACCCUAGUCCUGCUUUGGUGGCUGUAUUUCAAAGAGUUCUUGAGCUCUUGAACUAGCUACGGUGGCUGCGUGGUUCAAAAGAGCCGAAUCCCUCUCCAGUAUGCCAUGGGCUUCCUUUUAUAGCCGAAAGGGGCUGCCACAGUGGCACACAGGAGGUGGAAAGGCCUACAGUGCUAUGAGCUUAUCGCUCGUAUUACAAGACAAGACGCAUUUAAUGCAUAGCAUAGGUGUCCCCUUGCUUUAUUGGGGGCGGAAACGAGGCCCGUCCCGUCCGUCACCGCUCCUCCUCGCUUCGACACGCGCCCUGGCUAGCGAUGCAUGUGGCGCCAUGUAGGCAGGCAGGCAGCUUAGGUGGCGUGGUGGUAGGGUCUUCCUGAAGAUUUGCAUGCCGCCACGCAGGCGCUUGCUGAGUUGGCCUGGAAGCUGCAUGUUGCCACGCAGGUGCCUGCCCAACUGGUUGGGCGGGCAGCCGCAUGCGAACGGCGGUGGAGACUUGGCUGGUGCGGGCUUGGCAGUGGCUCUGCUGGCGUCCUUGGCAAAGGUCUUGCCGGGGGACCCGGCAAGGGCCUUGCCGCGGCGCGCAGUUGUCCCCGACAAGGAUCUUGCCGGGAUUCUUGUGGUUUUCCUCGGCAAGGAUCCUGCCGAGGGUCAUUGUCUUCUAAUCCUCAUCUGAUCUUGAGUGUUCCUUGUCUUCACAAAGAUUUGCAUGCCACCUGGAGGUGCCUCCCGAGCCCUGGCCCAACGUAGUUGAUGGUGUUGGAGACCGUGGGCUCAAGGGUGGUGCGCUCCGCUGGUGUUGGACGAGCCGCCCCGGCAAGGGCCUUGCCGGGGCCGCUGAGGCUGCCCUGGCAAGGGUCUUGCCGGGGGAACCUUCUUCGUGCCUCUGCUCUUUGUGGUCUUGGCGUUGCCUUGGCCAUCUUGUGCUUCGGCUUCUCUUCGGCUUCCCUCCUCUGCCCUGCUUAGUGCGGCCGUGGUGCGCGGCUCCGACUGCCCGUGCACAAGUAAAGGGGUACAAAGUUGCACCCCUACUUUUGUACACCGACAGGAGCCCCCGAGCCUGGGCCACACAUAAGCUUGACACGUUGUUGGGCCAGGCCCAAAACGGUGCGCGGGCAGGCGGGGCGGAUUUUCACCGUGGUAAACUGCUCGUCCGAUGCGCUUCCCCACGAGCCGCGUUGAAUGCGCGACGUGGAGGGUCGUGCGUGACGUGGGGGUCAUUCAUGGGGCGAUUCCCGCAUGCAUGUGUCAUAUCGCGAUACAGGGGCGGCUCGCGCCUUCCCCAUGAAGAGGGAGAGGCGUAAAGGCGCGGCCCAUUUACUGAGUGGGGCCGGGUCGCGGUCUUCAAGGCGUCCACACCCCACGAUCACGGGGUGGGGAGAGGUCGCUUCACCCAUCCCCUCGGUUCUGCACGUUCGCCACGCGUCCUCCAUGCACUUGGGGUGGCAAGCGAUGGAGGCGGGAAACCGGGCCGUCGCUGGUUGGGGCAGCGGGUCGGUCUCGAUUCCCUGUGCCCCCGGUGGCUGGAUUGGCCGAACGGGGCGGCCGAGCCCCGACCCCGCCCCUUUAUAAAGAGAGGGAAGGGGGAUGGCAUCCCGCACUCUUCUAUCUUCUAUCUCCUCCUGCUUCUGCUUCUUCCUCUCAUCCGCCAUGGAGAAGGGGAACCCCGAUCCCUCGACGGUGGCGGCGAGGGUCGCCGCUCGACAGCGUGUCCCUCCUUCUCCUAAGCCCGCGGUGGUGGAGCCGGCCGCGAGGGGAAGGGGGAGGGGGCGAGGCCGUGGCAGAGGUCGUGGUGCUCGGGUUAGAGGAGGACGGGGCGGCCCGCCGGCCUCGCCCCCACCGAUGAUGCCUUUCCCGACGGAGGGCCACGUUGGAGAGCAGCCCCGUGAGUUCUUCAUCAGGCUGCGCCGGCCUCCGCGUCGCCGUCUUCUUCUUCCUGCCCCGUUUGCUCGAGAUAUGGAGCGUGACCCGCCCCAGACCCUCAGUUUGCACAUGAGGGGCUGCAGGAAUGGGGGCACGCGGGUCGACGUUGACUUCCCGACUCCUCGGGUCAUGUACCUCCGCCGUGGAUGGAAUACGUUCGCUCGCAUCCACAGCCUGGCGGCGGGGCUCGUCCUCUACUUCAAAUUAAUGGAGGACGGCCUGCUCUCCGUCAAGGUCUUCGGAGAUUUUGGAACUCGCCUGAAGUGCUGCGUGGAGAGCUCCUCCGAUGGAAGCUCUUCCUCGAGCGAAAGUGACGAGGAGGACAGCGGGGCAGAUGAUGGGGACGAGUUCGACUAGGCGUCGGACGCCCCGCGCCUGGGCGGGCGCAGCAGCAGCAGCAUCUGCACCUGGCCGCUCCUCCGGCGGAGUUUUGCCGGGGGAGGGGCCAGCUCCUUGAACUUCUCGGGGCCGUCUCCUUGGGCGGCUGGCGUCGGGAGGCUGCGGAAGAGGAAGAGGGUGGGCAGAAAGGCCGUCAACUCGGAGUACACGGACACCGACGCCUUCGUCGCGUGUUUGGCGACCUGCCGCCUCGUCUUCCAGCUCCUUUCCCGACACCGUCAUCACCGGCCCUCCCUUGGGCAGCCACUGAGGUGUUCUCUUGGUGCUUUCUGCUGCUCCUAGCUUGACUAGGUGCCCCUUUUGCCCUUUCUCCUUCUUGGCCUGCCUCCUGAGGAGAGGGAAAAGAAAGGGAUUAUGGGCAUCUUAUCUCUUUUUUAGUCUGUAAGCCUUCGGGCCUUCGUUAAAUUUAGAACUUGUAAUGCCCUUGCUCAUGUUUUUCAUUCCGUAUGAACUGUACCUGUACGGGAUGUUUUUAAUGAAAAAGGGAUGUUUGCCGGGUUUUUUGUGCGUGAGCGAGGCCCAUGCCAAGGACGAGUCCUUGUUAUUUUUAUGAUAAACAUUGUUGCCCGGCAACAGGCCUUGCCCUUUCUCCCCUUCAGUCGACCAUUUUCACGCUUUUGGUGGAGGCAGGGGCGAAGUAGAGUUAGGCUCCCUGUUUAUCACCUCGCCACCGCAACUACUACCAAAUUCCGACCCAGGAGGCAGCUCUUGGGUACAGGAAAGGGGGAGCACGGUGGUUUUAAGAAUAUAAACGAGGUUUCACAUGUCCCAGUUCCAUAUCGAAAUGCAUGACAGGGGAUAAAAGACUUAUCUGGAUCUGCAGGCCCCGGCAACCUUAUCUUGCCACGGUCGAAUCCUUGUAAUUGCAGCCCCCGGCAGCUUUGGCUUGCUGGGGUCGGGACGCCGGUCCACUCCUUUUCUUCCAAGUAGCUCAGCAGAAGUGCUCAUGUGCCCUACGAACCAAAGAGGAUAGAACAAGGACAGAGAGACGCGCACUCGACCUCUAGGCUAGGUGUUAGUCGCCGCUAUGCACCAUCAACCCUAACCAAGGAAGAGACUCGACCUAGCAUGCAUGCUAUAACUUAGGGCGCCAGCGCUUCAUUUAUUUAUGCUCAGGGUCUGCGCCUAGCUUUGUACAAAGGGUUAGAUGCCUUGCUGGCAAAGCUUGUACAAAAGGUGGCUUGCCGGGAGGCCCGACAAGCCGCGCCUUAUGGGUAAAACUUGCGAAGAUGCUCGAUGUUCCAGGAGUUGCUCACUAGGACAGCAUCUUCGGUCUCCAGGCUGACUGCGCCAGGCCUGGUGACUCGUAUUACCCGAUAAGGGCCUUCCCACUUCGGCAUCAACUUGUUGGAAUUCUUGGCUGACUGAACGCGCCGAAGAACAAGGUCGCCUUCCUCAAAGUUUCGGGCAUGAACCUUGCGGCUAUGGUAGCAGCGCAAGGCUUGCUGGUAGCAUGCCGCUCUCACAGCCGCCCGAAGACGAUCUUCCUCAAGGAGCGUUGUGUCAUCUUGCCGCAACUGCUCUUGCUCAAACUCAUCAUAAGCGAGCACUCGAGGCGACCCGUAUAUGAGUUCCGUGGGGAGAACUUCUUCUGCCCCGUAUACCAGGGCAAAGGGUGUCUGGCUGGUGGCUCGAUUUGGUGUCGUCCUGAUCGACCAAAGAACCGCCGACAAUUCAUCAAUCCAGCGCCUUCCAUCCUUGCACAGCUUGUCAAAAGUGUUUGUCCUCAGGCCCCACAACACUUCAGCAUUUGCCCUCUCCGCUUGGUCGUUGCUCCAUGGGUGUGCCACGGAAGCAAAACAGACCUUGCUGCCGAGGUCUCGAAUGUAUUGCAUGAAGGUGUGGCUUGUGAACUGCGUGCCGUUGUCGGUGAUGACUCUGUUUGGCACACCAAAAUGGCAGACUAGUCCCUUGAAGAACUUGACGGCUGACUGUGCUGUCACCUUCCUCACUGGUUCUACCCCUGGCCACUUUGUGAACUUGUCGAUUGUGAUGUACAAGUACUCAAAGCCCCCGACCGCAUGGGGGAAGGGGCCCAGUAUGUCGAUCCCCUAGACUGAGAAUGGCCAGGAGAGAGGGAUCAUUUGAAGGGCUUGGGCUGGUUGAUGAAGCUUCUUUGAAUGGAACUAACACGCUUCACACUUGGUUACUAGUGUCAUUGCAUCCUGGAGGGCUGUGGGCCAGAAGAAGCCUUGCCGGAACGCCUUGCCGGCAAGGGCCCUCGACCCUAUGUGGGAGCCACAUAUGCCUCCAUGUAUCUCCGCCAACAGCUCCAGUCCUUCCUCCCGGGGAAUGCACUUCAAUUUCACUCCAUUCGGUCUCUUUCUGUACAGGACGUCAUCGACGAACUAGUACAAGGCGGACCGACGGGCUACUUUCUCCGCUUCUUCCUGCUCUUCAGGAAGUUCCCCUUAUUGGAGGAAUCGGACAGUAUGCUGCGCCCACGCCGGAGCCUGGGGCUUGACGGCGAGGACCAAAGGCAUUUCUUCUGCCAUGGGAGCGGCUGUCUCUAUGGCCAGGGCUUGACGCCCUGCCGGAUCCAGCUGCUCCUUGGAGGGCUCAGGGUCCACGGCGAUAUCCUUGCCAGCAGCCCCAGGGGGCUCGACGGGGAAGUACUUGCCGGGGCCUGAUUUCCUCCGCUUGUUCUGCCCCGUUGAUGGUUAGACGGAUGGCUGAGUCAACCAGAGCAAAAAGGUACCUGGUUCCACAGGUAGCUUGAACGCAACAUGCUUUCUCAGGUAAUCGGUGAUGUCGUUCUCCACUCGGGGAACGUGCUCCGCUUGGAUACCGUCAAAGCGCUCCUCCAGCUUCCUCACCUCAUCUACGUAAGCCUCUAUCAAUGGGAUCCGGUAAUCCUUGUUGACCUGUCUGACAACAAGCUGCGAGUCACCCCUGACGAUGAGCUUCUUAACCCCGAGGUCUGCCGCGAUCCUGAGACCAGCAGCCCCUCAUACUCAACAGUGUCGUUGGUGGACAUCUCCCUGGGAAAGUGCAUCUGGAUCACAUACUUGAGGUUCUCUCUGGUGGGUGCGACGAGCAGCACACCAGCACCGGCGCCUUGCAGCAAGAAAGCUCUGUCAAAGUACAUGAUCCAGUCGCGAACUGUUCCCUUGCCGGGGAGAGCAGUCUCCUGGAUCUCUUCAUCAGGUGUUGAGGUCCAUUCUGCAAUGAACUCCGCCAAGGCUCUGCUCUGGAUUCUUGAGGUACUUUCAAAUCUCAGACCAAAGCUUGACAACUCCAAGGCCCACUCCACAAUCCUUCCGGUCGCGUCUGGGUUGUGCAGUAUCCGUUGCAACGGGAGGUGGGUGACGACAGUGAUCUCGUGGGCUUGGAAGUAAUGACGCAGCUUCCUCGAGGCCAUAAGGAGGCCGAAGAGAAAUUUCUGCACACCAGAAUACCUUGAUCUAGCCCCCUGCAAGAGGGAGCUGACAAAGUAAACCGGGUGCUGCAUCAUCAUCUUCUUCUGCACCACUCCACUUGACGGUGUGGGCUCUGUCCUAACGGCGUCAGAUCCUACCGGGGGCCUUGCCUUGCCGGCACUAAGCCCUGCCGGGGGAGUCUCUAACUUGCUGUCUGUUGGACCUGCCGCUGCCACUGCCUCUUCAUCGACCUCCCUCAGCGCCAGUAGCGCGGCACUGACCACUUGAUUCGUCGCCGCUAGAUACAGCAGCAACGGUUCUUGUGGUUUAGGCGCGACUAGUAUUGGUGUAGAGGAAAGGUAUCUCUUCAGGUCUUGCAACGCCGCCUCGGCCUCGGGGGUCCACUCCAUAGGGCCCGCCUUCUUCAGGAUUUUGAAAAAGGGGAGGGCGCGCUCGGUAGACUUGGAGAUGAAUCGGCUCAUGGCGGCAACGCAGCCAGUUAGCGGACGCACAUCCUUGCUCCGCUUGGGCGCCUCAAUCUGCUCGAUAGCCUUGAUCUUGUCCGGGUUUGCCUCGAUCCCAUGCUGCGACACAAAGAACCCGAGAAGUUUGCCGGAUGGAACGCCGAAGACACACUUCUCAGGGUUCAGCUUGAGGUUGAUCUUGCACAGGUUGGCAAACGUCUCUUCUAGGUCUUGUACAAGAGUUGCCCUGUCCUUGGUUUUGACCACUAUGUCAUCCAUAUAUGCUUCCAUAUUUGUAUGUAGCCGGGGUUCAAAACCAACCUGGACUGCUCUUGCGAAUGUUGAACCAGCACUCUUCAACCCGAAGGGCAUCCGUAAAAAGUAGUACGUACCACACGGGGUGAGGAAUGCCGUCUUCUAUUCGUCUUCUCUCUCAUUAAGAUCUGGUGGUAGCCCGAGUAGGCAUCGUGGAAUGAUAACAGAUCACACUCGGCCGUGGAGUCAACAAUCUGGUCGAUGCGCGGCAACGGGAAGGGGUCCUUAGGACAAGUCUUAUUGAUAUAUGUGUAGUCAAUACACAGCCUCCACUUCCAAUUUGCCUUGCGCACCACCACAGGAUUGCCCAACCACGUCGGAUGGAGCACUCCUCUCACCAAACCUGCCGCUUCCAAUUUCCUAAUCUCCUCUGUGAUGAACUCCUGUCGUUCCAAACCCUGCUUCCUGACUUUCUGCUUGAUGGGCCGUGCAUGAGGACAGACAGGAAGAUGGUGCUCAAUCACCUCCCUGGGAACGCCGGGGAUGUCAGAUGCUUGCCAUGCAAACACAUCGACAUUCGCCCGCAGGAAGGCGACGAGCGCGCUUUCCUAUUUGUUGUCAAGGGUGGAGCUUAUGGUGAAAGCCCCUCCCGUGCCAUCCUCCUUGAGGGGUACCCUCUUGGUCUCUGGUGGCGUAGCUCUGGAUUUCUUGCUCUUGCCGGUGGAGCUCUCUGGCACGUCCUCGAUGGCAGUACAACACUCCGAAGAGGUGCGCUUGCCGGCGUGGGUGCGAGAGGUCUUGCCGGUCUUCUUCUUCCCUCCCGGGGCUCCAGCAGCAGGAGCAAGUGCCUUGGCGGCAGCUGCUGCAACUGCUUCCCGGUAGAGUAGGUCGGCACAGAUCAGCGCGUCCUUCUUGUCAGAGGGGACGGUGAUGAUGUUCGUCGGCCCAGGCAUCUUCAACGUGUUGUAGGAAUAGUGUGAUGCCGCCAUGAACUUGGCCAGUGCCGGGCAGCCGAGGAUCCCGUUGUAGGGCAAGGGGAUCUCGGCCACGUUGAAAACAAUCCUCUCCGUCGUGUAGUUCAGCUCGCCUCCAAACGUCACGGGCAACGUGACCUUCCCCUUCGGCUGGCUCCUCCCCGGGUUGACCCCUUGAAACGGGCCUGUUUCUCAAGGUCUCCAUCAGGAAUUUGCAGCCUUUUGAUCACAACGGGUGAGAUCAAGUUCAGACCGGCCCCGCCGUCAACCAGCAUCUUGUUCACCUUGAGGUUGCGUAUUGUUGGUGAAAGCAACAACGGCAAACACCCAACCGCAGUUUUGGGGUCAUGGUGAUCCUCGGCGUCAAAGAUGAGGGGCGUGGUGGACCACUUCAGCGGCUUCCGGGCGUCGAACGAGGGCUCCGCUGCUGUAAUCUCACGCGCCCACUAUUUGAGCUGGCGGUGAGAGGUAUGCAGCGAGGCACCACCGUCGACGCACAUGGCCUCUGUAGCCUUCUGGAACUCUUGCUCGCCGGACUCGUCGUCCUCGUCAAGAUCAUCAUCUUCUUGCUUCCUGUCGCGGCCCCGAGCGGGCCUCUCUUGUUGGUUAUCCUUGCCGCGGCGGCCUCCUUGGCAGCCACGCUUCUUGCCGGACCCCUCUGCACCAUCCUGGUCCUUUUCCUUGUACCGCCUCUCAUACUCAGCUUUUUGCUUCUCAGCAAGCAGCUCGACUUGUCGGCAGUUCUGGAGGUCGUGGCCCUUGGUGUGAUGGAUCGUGCAAUACUGCUUGCCGGAGCUUCCUGGCUUGUCGGCAGCCGCCAAGGCCCGGCAGGCGGCGCACCCGGCAAUCUCCUUGCCAGGGUCGUCUGCCUUGGUCUUCUUGGCGGCGCCAGUGCUGUCGAAUCCCUCGACAGCAAGCACGGUCUUUCCCUUCAUUUCCUGUUGCGACGCCGGCCCAUCUUCAUUGGGGCGGCAGUGUCUUCAUCAGUAGAGUCGGUUUCCGCACUGGCGUCUUCGCCGGGGUACUUCCUUCCCUCUUCAGCCCGGGCGCAUCUAUCGGCCAGUACAAAAAGUUCGGCCACAUCCUUAACCUUGUUCAUCGUCGGCUCUUCGUGCAUCUUGCGGUUGCGCACGUUCUGAUGGAACGCGCUGAUCACGGCGGCGGGAUGAACAUCGGGGAUGUUGUACUGCACCCGGCAGAACCCCUGGAUGUACUUGCGCAGGGUUUCCCCUUCCUUCUGGGGAAUGAUAUGCAAAUCACUCGCCUGGCCGUGAGCUUGGUGGCCUCCAUUGAAGGCACCAACGAACUCAUGACACAGGUCCGACCAAGAAGAAAUGGAAUCCACCGGCAAGUGCAUCAACCAGGACAUGACGUUGGGCUUCAGCGCCUACGGGAAGUAAUUGCCGAGCACCUUGUCAUCGCGAGCUCCAGUAGCUUGCAUCGCGAUGGUGUAGAUGCUGAGGAACUCCGACGGGUGGGUCUUGCCGUUGUACUUCUCGCCAACGUCGGGCUUGAACAUGCGGUGGGAUGGCCACUGGAACUGCUGCAGCCCACGGGUAAAAGCUAGGCAACCCACCUCGUAAGGUAGGCCACCAGAGAUUCCCGGUGCUGGGUGGUCCAUAGCGGGUCCUGCCCGCUUGUCCGACUGGUGGCGUGUAUCGCGCCAGCGCUCGAUAGUGGUUCGAGCGUCUUCGAGCUUGUUCUCGAAGAACUUGGCGCUGGUCGCGGUGAGUCCGCGGGUCGGACGAUGCUAUGGAGAUGUUGUCACAAGCGUCGUCACGAUAGGCUGUCAUCCGCGACGGCUGGCGUGGAGGAGAGUGCACCGUGACCGCAGCACCCCCGGUCCUUCCACCGUCGACAUGUGGUGGCUCGAUGGAGCACCGACCCGAGGGCCCCGCCGAUCGCGGGUCAUUGUUGGCGACAGCGACGAGGCUCCGGAUGGUGGCUCUCCAUUUGUUGCGCUUCUCCGCAGCAGGAGGGAAGACGAGGAGUAGCUGCGUGCAUGCCAAGGCUUCUGCUGGCGUGGGUGGUGGCGAAAGCUGCGUGGAUCGCGGCGCGCUUCGACUUCUAACUACGUUAGAAGGAGCUCUACCACGGCCCAGCGGCUGCGUGCCAUUUUCGCCAGCGCUUCGGCGGGCAUGCUGGACUCCUUCGUCCCGCGGACGAUGCACAGGGCUCUUCCCACUGCGGUGUCCGAGGUCUUCAGCGUGGUGACGCUGCUCGUUGCGCGCACCCUGGGAAGAGCGCGCUGUGGGUGCCGGCGUGGGCGUCUUGGAAGUUGCUGCGCCGCCCGGGGGUGGCACAACGACACUCCUGGAGGGCCCCGCGCCGCCUGCGGGGGGCCCAGCUCCGUCCUUGGAUCUAGCGACGUGCGGCCCAUCGUCUGGCGCGCGAACGACGCUGCUCGCCAGGCUCUGUCUGCCAGAGCGAUGCUGGUGCUCGCUGCUACCUCUUGAGCACUGCGUUGGUUUUCCCUUGAAGAGGAAAGGGUGAUGCAGCAAAGUAGCAUGAGUAUUUCCCUCAGUUUUUGAGAACCAAGGUAUCAAUCCACUAGGAGGCUACGCGCGAGUCCCUCGCACCUACACAAAACAAAUAAAUCCUCGCAACCAACGCGAUAAGGGGUUGUCAAUCCCUUCACGGUCACUUACGAGAGUGAGAUUUGAUAGAUAUGAUUGGAUAAUAUUUUUGGUAUUUUUGUGAUAAAGAUGCAAAGUAAAAUAAAAGCAAAGUAAAAAGCAAAGGAAAUAACUAAGUGUUGGAAGAUUAAUAUGAUGAAGAUAGACCCGGGGGCCAUAGGUUUCACUAGUGGCUUCUCUCAAGAGCAUAAGUAUUUUACGGUGGGUGAACGAAUUACUGUUGAGCAAUUGACAUAAUUGAGCAUAGUUAUGAGAAUAUCUAGGUAUGAUCAUGUAUAUAGGCAUCACGCCCGAGACAAGUAGACCGACUGCUGCCUGCAUCUACUACUAUUACUCCACUCAUCGACCGCUAUCCAGCAUGCAUCUAGAGUAUUAAGUUCAUGGAAACAGAGUAACGCCUUAAGCAAGAUGACAUGAUGUAGAGGGAUAAAUUCAUGCAAUAUGAUAAAAACCCCAUCUUGUUAUCCUCGAUGGCAACAAUACAAUACGUGCCUUGCUGCCCCUACUGUCACUGGGAAAGGACACCGCAAGAUUGAACCCAAAGCUAAGCACUUCUCCCAUUGCAAGAAAGAUCAAUCUAGUAGGCCAAACCAAACUGAUAAUUCGAAGAGACUUGCAAAGAUAACCAAUCAUACAUAAAAGAAUUCAAAGAAGAUUCAAAUAUUGUUCAUAGAUAAUCUUGAUCAUAAACCCACAAUUCAUCGGUCUCAACAAACACACCGCAAAAAGAAGAUUACAUCGAAUAGAUCUCCACAAGAGAGGGGGAGAACAUUGUAUUGAGAUCCAAAAAGAGAGAAGAAGCCAUCUAGCUACUAACUAUGGACCCGAGGGUCUGAGGUAAACUACUCACACUUCAUCAGAGAGGCGAUGGUGAUGAUGUAGAAGCCCUCUGUGAUGGAUGCCCCCUCCAGCGGAGCUCCGGAACAGGCCCCAAGAUGGGAUCUCGUGGGUACAGAAGGUUGCGGCGAUGGAAUUAGGUUUUUGGCUCCGUAUCUGAUCGUUUGGGGGUACGUAGGUAUAUAUAGGAGGAAGGAGUACGUCGGUGGAGCAACAGGGGGCCCACGAGGGUGGAGGGCGCGCCCCCUACCUCGUGGCCUCCUCUUUUGUUUCUUGACGUCGGGUCCAAGUCUCCUGGAUCAUAAUCUUCCUAAAAAUCACGUUCCCGAAGGUUUCAUUCAGUUUGGACUCCGUUUGAUAUUCCUUUUCUGCGAAACUCUGAAAUAGGCAAAAAACAGCAAUUCUGGGCUGGGCCUCCGGUUAAUAGGUUAGUCCCAAAAAUAAUAUAAAAGUGAAUAAUAAAGCCCAAUAAUGUCCAAAACAGUAGCUAAUAUAGCAUGGAGCAAUCAAAAAUUAUAGAUACGUUGGAGACGUAUUAGGCAUCCCCAAGCUUAAUUCCUGCUCGUCCUCAAGUAGGUAAAUGAUAAAAACAGAAUUUUUGAUGCGGAGUGCUACUUGGCAUAAUUUCAAUGUAAUUCUUCUUAAUUGUGGUAUGAAUAUUCAGAUCCGAAAGAUUCAAGACAAAAGUUUAAUAUUGACAUAAAAAUAAUAAUACUUCAAGCAUAAUAACAAAGCAAUUAUGUCUUCUCAAAAUAACAUGGCCAAAGAUAGUUAUCCCUAGAAAAUCAUAUAGUCUGGCUAUGCUCCAUCUUCACCACACAAAGUAUUUAAAUCAUGCACAACCCCAAUGACAAGCCAAGCAAUUGUUUCAUGCUCUAUCUUCACGCAAUACAUGAGCGUGAGCCAUGGAUAUAGCACUAUAGGUGGAAUAGAAUGGUGGUUGUGGAGAAGACAAAAAAGGGAGAAGAUAGUCUCACAUCAACUAGGCGUAUGAACGGGCUAUGGAGAUGCCCAUCAAUAGAUAUGAAUGUGAGUGAGUAGGGAUUGCCAUGCAACAGAUGCACUAGAGCUAUAAGUAUAUGAAAGCUCAACAAAAGAAACUAAGUGGGUGUGCAUCCAACUCGCUUGCUCACGAAGACCUAGGGCAUUUUGAGGAAGCCCAUCAUUGGAAUAUACAAGCCAAGUUCUAUAAUGAAAAUUUCCCACUAGUAUAUGAAAGUGACAAAAUGAGAGACUCUCUGUCAUGAAGAUCAUGGUGCUACUUUGAAGCACAAGUGUGGUAAAAGGAUAGUAACAUUGUCCCUUCUCUCUUUUUCUCUCAUUUUUUUAUUUGGGCCUUUUCUCUUUUUUUUAUGGCCUCUUUUCUCUUUUUUUCCGUCCGGAGUCUCAUCCCGACUUGUGGGGGAAUCAUAGUCUCCAUCAUCCUUUUCCUCACUUGGGACAAUGCUCUAAAAGUGAAGAUCAUCACACAUUUUAUUUUCUUACAACUCAACAAUUUGAACUCGAUUCUUAGAACAAAAUAUGACUCUAUAUGAAUGCCUCUGGCGGUGUACCGGGAUAUGCAAUGAAUCAAGAGUGACAUGUAUGAAAGAAUUAUGAACGGUGGCUUUGCCACAAAUACGAUGUCAACUACAUGAUCAUGCAAAGCAAUAUGACAAUGAUGGAGCGUGUCAUAAUAAAUGGAACGGUGGAAAGUUGCAUGGAAAUAUAUCUCGGAAUGGCUAUGGAAAUGCCAUGAUAGGUAGGUAUGGUGGCUGUUUUGAGGAAAGUAUAUGGUGGGUGUAUGAUACCGGCGAAAAGUGCGCGGUAUUAGAGAGGCUAGCAAUGGUGGAAGGAAGAAGGGUGCAUAUAAUCCAUGGACUCAACAUUAGUCAUAAAGAACUCAUAUACAUAUUGCAAAAAUCCACGAGUUAUCAGAGCAAAGUAUUACGCGCAUGCUCCUAGGGGGAUAGAUUGGUAGGAAAAGACCAUCGCUCGUCCCCGACCGCCACUCAUAAGGAAGACAAUCAAUAAAUAAAUUAUGGUCCGACUUCAUCACAUAACGGUUCACCAUACGUGCAUGCUACGGGAAUCACAAACUUUAACACAAGUAUUUCUCAAAUUCACAACUACUCAACUAGCAUGACUCUAAUAUCACCAUCUUUAUAUCUCAAAACAAUUAUCAAGCAUCAAACUUUUCUUAGCUUUCAACGCACUCAUAAGAAAGUUUUUACAAAUCUUGAAUACCAAGCAUAUUAGGAUUAUUUAAGCAAUUUACCAUGCUAUUUAAGACUCUCAAAAUAAUCUAAGUGAAGCAUGAGAGAUCAAUAGUUUCUAUAAAACAAAUCCACCACCAUGAUCUAAAAGAUAUAAGUGAAGUACUAGAGCAAAACUAUAUAACUCAAAAGAUACAAGCGAAGCACAUAGAGUAUUCUAACAAAUUCCAAAUCAUAUAUGGCUCUCUCAAAAGGUGUGUAUAGCAAGGACGAUUGUGGUAAACUAAAAAGCAAAGACUCAAAUCAUACAAGACACUCCAAGCAAAACACAUAUCAUGUGGUGAAUAAAAAUAUAGCUCCAAGUAAAGUUACAGAUGGAAGUAGACGAAAGAGGGGAUGCCUUCCGGGGCAUCCCCAAGCUUUGGCUUUAUGGUGUCCUUAGAUUAUCUUGGGGGUGCCAUGGUCAUCCCCAAGCUUAGGCUCUUUCCACUCCUUGUUCCAUAAUCCAUCAAAAUCUUUCACCCAAAACAUGAAAACUUCACAACACAAAACUCAACAGAAAUCUCGUGAGCUCCGUUAGCGAAUGAAAACAAAAUACCACUUCAAGGUACUGUAAUGAACUCAUUAUUUAUUUAUAUUGGUGUUAAACCUACUGUAUUCCAACUUCUCUAUGGUUUAUAAACUAUUUUACUAGCCAUAGAUUCAUCAAAAUAAGCAAACAACACACGAAAAACAGAAUCUGUCAAAAACAGAACAGUCUGUAGUAAUCUGUAACUAACGCAAACUUCUGGAACUCCAAAAAAUCAUCCAAAAUAGGACGACCUAGACAAUUUGAUUAUUGAUCAGCAGCAAUUGGAAACAGUAUUUUAUCAUGUUCUGGUGAUUUUUCACAAUUAUUUUCGUGAACAGAAAGUUUCUGGAAAUUACAGCAAGAUCAAAUAACUAUCAUCCAAGGAGAUCCUAUAGGUUUAACUUGGCAGAAACACUAAUUAAAACAUAAAAACACAUAUAACCAGAGGCUAGAACAAAUAUUUAUUCCUAAAAAGAAGCAAAAAGCAAAAAAUUAAAUAUAAAAUUGGCUUGCCUCCCAACAAGCGCUAUCGUUUAACGCCCCUAGCUAGGCAUAAAAGCAAGGAUAGAUCUAGGUAUUGCCAUCUUUGGUAGGCAAUUCUUCAAUGAGACAUCUAUCAUCCGUAGGAAUUUCUUUCUUUUUAGUAAUUAUCAAACUUUUAGGCACAAGAUCGAAAAAUUCAUUUGUAGCAAAUGGUUCCUUAAUGAAGGCAAAAAGAUUGGGAUGAAUACUUAUAGAUUUGAGAUCCGCAGUUUUCUUACUAGAGGAUUCACCCUUAUUUUUAGGAACAUACAUAAGCUUGGGAAUUUUUGUAGGAGGAAUUGGAGUAUUCUUUACGGAAGAAAAAGCGGUUCCCAAGUUGGUAAUGAUACCCUCAAGUUUAUCGAUUCUAGUGGAAUCUUGAUUUAUUCUCUCAUUAACUAUGGGUUCCUUUUCCUUAAUAUUUUUCAAAGUGACUCCUACCUUAGAUCCAUAUUGGGUAAUUUGGUUGUGGAUCUUUUUACCCAGAUUUUCAAUUAACUCUACGGUAGCAACUUUAUUUUCAAUAAUUUCAAGUCUUUGCAUUACAUGCUCCAAGUUAACAUAGUUCCAUUAACCAAAAGAGGUGGUGAGCCAAAUAAAUCUAUCAUAGCAUUAUAAGAGUCAAAAGUAUGGCUACCCAAGAAAUUCCCUCCGGUAAUGGUAUCAAGAAUAUAUCUAUACCAAGGAUUAGCGCCUACAUAAAAAUUGCGGAGAAGAACGGAAGUAGAUUGCUUCCUGGCAGAUCUAUUUUGAGCAUUGCAAAUUCUAUACCAGGCGUCUUUUAGAUUUUCUCCCUCCCUUUGUUUAAAAUUUAGAACUUCAUUCUCGGGAGAUAACGGAGAAGAUAGAUGACUAGCCAUAACAACAAGCAAGCUAAAAAGAGGCAAACGAAAAAGAGAGGGCGAAUAAAACGGCAAGGGUGAAGUGGGGGAGAGGAAAACGAGAGGCAAAUGGCAAAUAAUGUAAUGCGGGAGAUAAGAGAUUGUGAUGGGUACUUGGUAUGUUGACUUUUUCGUAGACCUCCCCGGCAACGGCGCCAGAAACCCUUCUUGCUAGCUCUUGAGCACUGCGUUGGUUUUCCCUUGAAGAGGAAAGGGUGAUGCAACAAAGUAGCGUAAGUAUUUCCCUCAGUUUUUGAGAACCAAGGUAUCAAUCCAGUAGGAGGCUACGCGCGAGUCCCUCACACCUACACAAAACAAAUAAAUCCUCGCAACCAACGCGAUAAGGGGUUGUCAAUCCCUUCACGGUCACUUACGAGAGUGAGAUCUGAUAGAUAUGAUAGGAUAAUAUUUUUGGUAUUUUUGUGAUAAAGAUGCAAAGUAAAAUAAAAGAAAAGUAAAAAGCAAAGGAAAUAACUAAGUGUUGGAAGAUUAAUAUGAUGAAGAUAGACCCGGGGGCCAUAGGUUUCACUAGUGGCUUCUCUCAAGAGCAUAAGUAUUUUACGGUGGGUGAACGAAUUACUAUUGAGCAAUUGACAGAAUUGAGCAUAGUUAUGAGAAUAUGUAGGUAUGAUCAUGUAUAUAGGCAUCACGUCCGAGACAAGUAGACCGACUCCUGCCUGCAUCUACUACUAUUACUCCACUCAUCGACCACUAUCCAGCAUGCAUCUAGAGUAUUAAGUUCAUGGAAACAGAGUAACGCCUUAAGCAAGAUGACAUGAUGUAGAGUGAUAAAUUCAUGCAAUAUGAUAAAAACCCCAUCUUGUUAUCCUCGAUGGCAACAAUACAAUACGUGCCUUGCUGCCCCUACUGUCACUUGGAAAGGACACCGCAAGAUUGAACCCAAAGCUAAGCACAUCUCCCAUUGCAAGAAAGAUCAAUCUAAUAGGCCAAACCAAACUGAUAAUUCAAAGAGACUUGCAAAGAUAACGAAUCAUACAUAAAAGAAUUCAGAGAAGAUUCAAAUAUUGUUCAUAGAUAAUCUUGAUCAUAAACCCACAAUUCAUCGGUCUCAACAAACACACCGCAAAAGAAGAUUACAUCGAAUUGAUCUCCACGAGAGAGGGGGAGAACAUUGUAUUGAGAUCCAAAAAGAGAGAAGAAGCCAUCUAGCUACUAACUAUGGACCCGAAUGUCUGAGGUAAACUACUCACACUUCAUCGGAGAGGCUAUGGUGAUGAUGUAGAAGCCCUCCGUGAUGGAUGCCCCCUCCGGCGGAGCUCCGAAACAGGCCCCAAGAUGGGAUCUCGUGGGUACAGAAGGUUGCGGCGGUGGAAUUAGGUUUUUGGCUCCGUAUCUGAUCGUUUGGGGGUACGUAGGUAUAUGUAGGAGGAAGGAGUACGUCGGUGGAGCAACAGGGGGCCCACGAGGGUGGAGGGUGCGCCCUGGGGGGGGGGUGGGCUCGCCCCCUACCUCGUGGCCUCCUCUUUUGUUUCUUGACGUAGGGUCCAAGUCUCCUGGAUCAUAAUCUUCCUAAAAAUCACGUUCCCGAAGGUUUCAUCCCGUUUGGACUCCGUUUGAUAUUCCUUUUCUGCGAAACUCUGAAAUAGGCAAAAAACAGCAAUUCUGGGCUGGGCCUCCGGUUAAUAGGUUAGUCCCAAAAAUAAUAUAAAAGUGAAUAAUAAAGCCCAAUAAUGUCCAAAAUAGUAGAUAAUAUAGCAUGGAGCAAUCAAAAAUUAUAGAUACGUUGGAGACGUAUCACUCGCGGACUGCGGCCCGGGUCCUGUCCGCGACCGGCCCGCUGCUCGCUCGCACUGGCGCGGGCCGUUCGGCUCCUGACGAGCCGAUCACUGUGGCCAUCUUCUUCUUGGGAGCCAUGGCGACGAUGAACUGCUAGGCUAACUACUAGACCAGAUUCUCACAAUUGCGCCCCCUACCUGGUGCGCCAAAGAUGUCAGUGGGAAACGACACCUAUGGGAUCACAAGAAUCCCUACUACGGUUGCCGGGGUGCAGGGUUGUGAGAAGAGCAGGAUCAACAGUCAGCACAAGGGAUCGUUUACCCAGGUUCGGGCCACGAGGAUGCGUAAUAUUCUAGUCCUGCUUUGGUGGCUGUAUUUCAAAGAGUUCUUGAUCUCUUGAACUAGCCACGGUGGCUGCGUGGUUCAAAAGAGCCGAAUCCCUCUCCAGUAUGCCAUGGGCCUCCUUUUAUAGCCGAAAGGGGCUGCCAUAGUGGCACACAGGAGGUGGAAAGGCCUACAGUGCUAUGAGCUUAUCGCUCGUAUUACAGGACAAGACACAUUUAAUGCGUAGCUUAGGUGUCCCCUUGCUUUAUUGGGGGCGGGAACGAGGCCAGUCCCGUCCGUCGCCGCUCCUCCUCGCUUCGACAUGCGCCCUGGCCAGCGAUGCAUGCGGCGCCAUGUAGGAAGGCAGGCAGCUGAGGUGGCGCGGUGGUAGGGUCUUCACGAAGAUUUGCAUGCCGCCACGCUGCGCUUGGUGAUUUGGCCUGGAAGCUGCAUGUUACCACGCAGGUGCCUGCCCAGGAUGUUGGGCGGGCAGCCGCAUGCGAUCGGCGGUGGAGACUUGGCUGGCGCGGGCCUGGUAGUGGCCCUGCUGGCAUCCUUGGCAAGGGUCUUGCCGGGGGACCCGGCAAGGGCCUUGCCGCGGCGUGCAGUUGUCCCCGGCAAGGAUCUUGCCGGAGGUCUUGUGGUUUUCCUCGGCAAGGAUCCUGCCGAGGGUCGUUGUCUUCUAAUCCUCAUCUGAUCUUGAGUGUUCCUUGUCUCACAAAGAUCUGCAUGCCACCAUGGAGGUGCCUCCCGAGCCCUGGCCCAACGUAGUUGAUGGUGUUGGAGACCGUGGGCUCAAGGGUGGUGCGCUCCGCUGGUGUUGGACGAGGCGCCCCGGCAAGGGGCUUGCCGGGGCCGCUGAGGCUACCCUGGCAAGGGUCUUGCCGGGGGAACCUGCUCCGUCCCUCUGCUCUUUGUGGUCUUGGCGUUGCCUUGGCAAUCUUGGGCUUCGGCUUCUCUCCGGCUUCCCUCCUCUACCCUGCUUAGUGCGGCUGUGGCGCGCGGCUCCGACUGCCCGUGCACAAGUAAAGGGGUACAAACGUGCGCCCCUACUUUUGUACACCGACACGUAGUCUUCGACAGGACUAGCUAUCCCCCUCUUAUUCUGGCAUUCUGCAGUUCAGUCCACCGAUAUUGCCCCUUUACACAGAUACCCAUGCAUAUGUAGUGUAGAUCCUUGCUUCCGAUUACUUUGGAUGAGUACUCAUGGUUGCUUUUCUCCCUCUUUUCCCCCUUUCCAUUCUACCUGGUUGUCGCAACCAGAUGCUGGAGCCCAGGAGCCAGACGCCACCGUCGAAAUUGACUCGUACUACACCGGAGGUGCCUACUACUACGUGCAGGCCGCUGACAACGACCAGGAGUAGUUUAGGAGGAUCCCAGGCAGGAGGCCUGCGGCUCUUUCGAUCUGUAUCCCAGCUUGUGCUAGCCAUCUUAUGGCAACUUGUUUAACUUAUGUCUGUACUCAGAUAUUUUUGCUUUCGCUGACUCAUCUAUGAUCGAGGACUUGUAUUCGAGCCCUCGAGGCCCCUGGCUUGUAUUAUGAUGCUUGUAUGACUUAUUUAUGUUUUAGAGUUGUGUUGUGAUAUCUUCCCGUGAGUCCCUGAUCUUGAUCAUACACGUUUGCGUGCAUGAUUAGUGUAUGAUUGAAUUGGGGGCGUCACAGCUACCAUAUGUGCCGAUAACCAAAAGGCACAAGUUGGGACCAAAGACUGGAUUGCGUUUUUCUGGGCUAUGCGCCAAGCAAUAUUUUUGGCGUUCACUCUCCUAAUACUUGGAGUUUGACAACUGGUUGACGCUGGUUGAUACUCGAAUGAAUAUAGGCACUUCUUCUUGUCAACAUCGAUGCUUGUCUGAGUGAACUUUGGAGUACAUAGCAACAGCAUAAGUACCUAUCCAUCUGAUCUUUUUGUGCAGUUCUACUGAAAUCACCCAAUAUAAUGAUUUGCGUGCGAGUUCAGGCUCCAAGUUACUCCUUUAUGAAAUCGGCAAACAGUAGCACAAUACCAAAUUACCAAUACAUAUGACAAGCACAAUAAUCAGGAUAGACCAGUACCAACCUGUGUGAGGUAGCAUAUCAAUUACUAUUUCCUUUGACUGGAAGCCGAGAUAAGCCAAGCGACUAACAGCAAAGGAAGGAAGCAAGCCCAGAUUAGCGACUGACAGGAAAGGAAGGAAGCUAUCGAGGCAAUGAAGCACCCAAAGUUUUUGUGCAGUUCCACCAAAAUCGAGCAUCCCUGUUGGCACAUAUAUUGAGACUGAGAUUACUGUAAUAGUGGGACUAGUUGAUGAAACAUACACUAACAAAUAGAAGCACCCUCAUUAUCUUAAUGGGUAAAGUUAGCAACAUAGUAGUCUUGCUUAAAGAGAGGUAUUAGUUUAUUUAAUCAGUGCCAAUUAGCUCAACACUCAAAGCAUUACCAUGUAUCAUAGGUUGCAAAACUUUAACGUGCAAAGAUAAAGGAGUUUCUCAUGACAGUAGCACGAUACAAAUAGAGAUGACAGCAAACUAAUAUGGAUGAAGGCCUUAGGCCGGUACCAACCUGAGAAAAAAAACUUAUUCAUGUAGUCCCAGAAGAGAUGAUAAAGCACUCACUGGAAUCACUCAAUAGUAUAUAUUUUUGUGCACUUCAAAUGUAUGGUUGAAAUCACUCUUGUUUACCAGUGUUGAGAUUAUAUCGAAAGAUUAUCAAGAACUUCCAGCAGAGUUAAAGCACUGGCUGGGAUACAGUUCAUUGUAUUGUCUUGUGUAGUUCCACUGAAAUGUAUGAUUGACACAACAUGAUCCCUGUUUGGACAAGUAGGAACAAGGUGGAACCUUCAUUAGCUUAGUGAGAAAUGAUAGAAAGACAUUAGCAUAUUACUCUAACAGUAGCAUCAAAUUCAUCAUGGACAAUACGCAGAAGUGGAAGGGCUCCCUGGAGGAUCGUCUCACAUGUAAGGUAUACGUUGCCGGAGCCCUUGAAUGGCCUCGACUGAGGCCUCGGCUUCAGCAAGAUCACUUUGGCACUGUUUAUUCUUCUUCUUCUUCCUCUUCAUGCUCUGUUUCUCUUUCUCCUCACCAGUUGGUGAAACCAAGUACAUGAUUGGCCUUCUAUUUCAGAAUUGGUUUUGUCAGUGAGGGAGUACAAGUGUACUAGUAAACAAUAGCAUUAUUUUCUCAUGGCAGUCGCAAAAUAGAGAUGAACACAUGCAUUAAAUAUCAUUCUUACCUAAAGUAAGGUUAUGGUGCCAAUAUGGAUGAUGAGGAUUGGAACACAGAUCUCCCUUUGUGCAGUUCCACCGAAAUGAACCAACUGUUCCAUUCUGACAUUCCAGUUAAACAUCACAAAAGUCACUUCUUUUUAGAAGUGUUUUGUGCAGUGCACCAAAAGGUCACAACAGCAACCAGGUGAAAUGGAUAUCCCUGUUUGCACAAAUAGCUACAGAGGAAACAGUCAGAGUCUCAAACAAUUACAGGAAAAAACAUUUGGCUAAACUUGUCAUGGCUUAUAACAGUGGCAUGGCUUCAUUUUAACAGGAGCAUUAGAUUAAGAACAGCUAAAUAUUUGGUAUAAGGUCAUGGGAUAGUGGGUGCACCAGCAGUCCAGCACCAUGUACCUAAACCGGGGCAUAAAGUGGUGAUUCAGAGUUUGUUGCCCCGAGAAACAAACAUCCAAGAAACAUAUCUGGGUUGGUCCCAUUUUUUGUUCACUCUAGCCACCUACUCCUAUGUUUUUUUUUUGAAAUGGAGGCGUGCCCCCGGCCUCUGCAUCAUAAUGAUGCAUGCAGCCAUCUUAUGUGUGGAUAGAAAAUCUAGUCCUGGUCAUACCACUGUGUACAACGUUUCCCCUAUAUUUCCCUUUUCGACCAAGAGACCGGUUGGAUGACCAGUCUGUACUACUUUCACCCCCUAUCCUUCCUGUUUGUACCAAGUCCGAUGUACAUACUAAAUUCCCCCACCCCCACUUUAUUUCUUGUUUGAACCAAGUACAAGAUUUGACUCCAUGAAGUAGCUUUACCUCUAACAAUAGAAAGAAAAAAAUACUCCCUCCGUCCCAAAAUUCUUGUCUUAGAUUCAUCUAGAUACGGAUGUAUCUAAUACUAAACGUGACUUGAUACAUCCGUAUUUAGACAAAUCUAAGACAAGAAUUUUGGGACGGAGAGAGUAUGUGUCGUUGGACCAUCCGAUUGAGAGGGGCUGAGAGGUAGAAAAUGAUGCACAUGCAGCGACGUAGCGAGCUGGGGAAGUAGAGCUAGGGCGGUUUCAAAGGAAGAUAUACCUGAAGGUCAUCGGGAUGUGGAUAGGUGGGCGGUGGGAGGCCGGAUCCGCCCACACUAGGGCAACGAUGAAGGGUUCGGAGGACCUCCCGCGCCGGCGCUCGGCCAGAGAUGACGGUGCGGCUGGCAGUGGGUCUCCUCCCUCGCUGUCGACGACGGCCUAAAUGCUGCCCCUCCUCCCCUUCACCAGCGGAGGGGGCUGCGUCCGGAUCUGUAACCAGUGGUGAGGAUAGAAAGACAUUGUUUUUUGAAGGGAGAAAUACAGUGUUACCACCGCUAUCUUGUUUAGAUCUAGAGAGGAUGAGAGUGUGUGAAGGGAGCAACCCUAGCAAGCAAGCGCGGAGGCUCCGGCCUAUAUAUACGUAGUGGGGUAGUUUUCCUUUUUCACUCCAUCAAAACAAUUGUUUAAAAUUGUGUACGUGCUAGGUUGCCGUUUUUUGAGUUGUUGAUUGUUUUUUGAGAUAGCUACCCGCUUAUUCCAAGUGGUGUUACGGUGUGCCAGGUCACACUUUGUAUCGUUCAAGUCUGGUACAAGACCCUCCAUUAAAUGAACAACCACCCCCUCAUAAAAUUUGUGAACAAGCCCACGGCUAAAAUUAUCGGAAGCGUGGGCUGCCCAACAUGCAUUAUUAUUUAUAUUUUCUAUGUGGGAGUAUCCUCAAAACAAAAUGUGAGAGUACAAUAGGUAUUGGGCCCCUUUGUAAGUGGUGCUAAAUUUUGACCAAAGAUUUAACUGACAAAUUGUUAGUGCAUGUUAACAAAAAUUAUAUCGUUUGAUUCGUAUUUGAACAUAGUUUUCAAUUAUGUAAUUUUUUGUGACAUACAUGAACAUUUUGUUAGUUAAAUUUAUAGUCAAAAUUUCGCAAGGUGCAUUAAAUCAACACAUGCAAGUAUCAAAAGGAGAGUCAUGGCAUGCAGGCAUGCGUUGUAAUUAAUGCAUCAGUAAACAAAAAUUAUUGAAAUAUAUCGAGUGGAGUGCUUUGAUGUGUCGCGUCAACUCGUACAAGACCGACAAGUUUGAUUACUACAACGCCCUCUCCCUCGCGGACUGAGCUCCGGUGGCUGCACCUGCCUUUGGCUGCAUGACAGGUGGGCCACCCGCCUGUUGGGCCCACCUGUCAUGCACGCAUAGGCAGGAGCAGUAAGUCAAUGAAGCUGCAUCCCUCCCUCGCCCAUGAGCGUGGUGGCUGGCAAGACUAGGAGAAGCUUUCGUUUGCUACACGCUCUGCCUCCCGCACGCGAUGGACAUGCAGCAGUUCAAUCGGUGUCAGAUGGCCAGAAGCAUGCAGUAGUACUCCAUCAUUGUUCGACUUCCCGAAGAGGCGAAGAGCCAAGCGCAGCCCGUACGCUCGUGUGGCAGUUUCAUGUGUAGAGUAGUCUAGGAUAGCGUGUACCGUGCCUGUAAGCUUAAAAUCGUUGGGGUCGGCUCCAUGCUUUUUUUGAUUAAAAUAAUCUUCUGGCCCUACCUGUCAUCCUGGUGAUUGUAGUUUGCACGCUCAUGUGGUCAAGACAGGAAUAUAUAUUUUAAUUUUUGGUGGGGUAAAUGUUAGAGGUUGCAGCAAAUGGAGUAUUGUACACUGCGGGUCUCUCAGCCAAGUUUAGAGGCAACCAUGUGGGGCCAGUGCUAUGAUGUGUCGCUGUCGGCGUUUUGGGAACGGGGGUCCCCAGACUUGCCUUCCUGCGGCCCACGGCGUGGCUAAGCUAGCGGGCCGUACAGCCCGUCUUCAUCAACAAGGCAUCCAAGACCCUCGCGAGGCGGACGACGCAAGACCUCCUCAGGAGUGGCCUAGCCAGGCAUGCUCACGAGGAGCGGAGAUAUCAAGGCAGGGAAAACCUCGCGAGGCUCUCGUGAGGUAAGCCAUGAUGAUCGACACCAGGCAGGCGCUAGGCGGGCGCCAGCGCACGCAUCGUCCUUGUUUCCUCUUUGGUGCUAAGGAGGCAGGCGCAGGCGCGGAGUACCGAGGCAUCAAGCAAAGGUUUCCAUAUCGGUGCAACGAGACCAAGACCAGCAGGACGGCAAGACGGAGGUCACCGUGGAGCCCAAGACGGCGUCAUCACCAGAGCCUUUAGCAGGCGAAGACCACUUUUGUCAGGAUAGCUUGUACUAGUUGUCCCCUUUCAAAUUCGCCCGCCGUUGUUGGCUCCCUUCCCGCUCAAUAUUUGGGGAGAGGACCAGGGCCUAUAUAAGUAGAGCUAGCCACCACAGUAGAGGGGAUCGAAUAGAGACCCACGCUAGUUCACCAAGCACAAGAACACCUCAACCUGAGGAGGCUGUUCUUCCCCUUGUACUGUUCAUCAUCAGCCCAAGAGGAAAUCCACCACCACACACACUGGAGCAGGGUAUUACACCACAACGAUGGCCCGAACCAAUAUAAAUCUCGUGUCGUUCAGUGUUGCGAGUGCGUCAAGUUCGUCCGCGAGAUCUUAGUGAGCUAGGGCGUGGAUCGGUAGGAGGGGAAGAUCUUGGCGCGCACCCCAGAGUUCGAACCUUAAGGGUUUUGCCGGAACCCGAGAUCUGACAUUUGGUGUGCCGGGUAGGGGUGCGCCGUAGCUUCCCUUCCGUCGAUUCGUCGCUCCGUCGCCCCGUCGUCUCCAUGGUGGACGCUCGCCGCGCUCGAGCUGAGCACCGGGCUGCCCACACCGCCCGCGUUGCUCAGACGGAUCCCGUCGGCGGGCCACCUCGUCGUUCCCCGUCUCGUGCCGCCAACGCCGCUACCGGCCCGGCAGGGAACGAGCAGCAAGCGUCCUCGCUGCACCCAUCGGUGUGGCAGGACGGCCACACCGCCACUCCAUCGCUGACCCCGGCCAGUUCCUCGUCCCACGCACGUCGCGCUCCCAUGGACGCGCAGGCAGCGCUCCUCAUGGCGAACGAGCUCCUACGCUACCGCCCGGUCGACGACCUCUACGAGGACUGGCUCGCCCGCGUUGCCGAACUCGUCCGUGCUGCAGGGGCUCCCCGGCGCUGUCCCACUCUCUGCCUCGCCCUCCGCCAGCCACGGGCGACGUGGCUCAUGGAGCGCCUCCACCACCUCUGCCCCAAGAUGGUGCCUUGGCACCAAGGCACGCGGCCCCACGGCGUGAUCCACCAUGCCCGGUGCCCGCGCGCGAAGAGAGAAGCUACCAAGAAAUUCCUCGGCCGCCGGAAGUCGUGCAUGCGCUCCCCGCGCCACCUCGCCAAGACCGCGCGCUACCUGCCGUAGUGGCACGCGGGCCUCACCAAGACCAAGCUCCACCUCCGAGGCGGGCCCCGGCAACCACGGCCGGCUGCCGCGCCUUCACCCCCGAGCUGCGUAGCGUCGCCUAGCCAGGCAAGUUCAAGCCGGAUCUGCCUCCCCGCUACGACGGCACCGACGACCCCGCGGAGUUCCUACAGCUCUACGAGCUGAGCAUCGAAGCGGCCAACGGCGACGAGAAGGUCAGGCGAACUAGUUUCCCAUGGCUCUCAAGGAUGGUGCUCGCUCCUGGCUCCUGAACCUGCAGCACGUCUCGAUCUCCUCGUGGGAUGAGAUGCAUGACUGCUUCGUCGCCAACUUCCAUGGCACCCGCGACCGCCCGCCGGCCGCGGGUGACCCGCGCCGCAUCAAGCAACAACCAGGGGAGACCCUCCAGAAGUACAUCCAGCGCUUCAACAACACUCGCCUCAAGAUCCCCAAGGUCACGGACGAGGCCAUCAUCUCCGCGUUCUCUGACGGCAUCCGCGACGUCAAGAUGAAGGAGGAGCUCGCUAUCCACAAGGAACUGUGCACAUCUCAGGAGCUGUUCAACCUGGCAACCAAGUGCGCAAGAGCUGAGGAGGGGCGCCUUUCCAUCCUCGAGCUGCCAGCUGCGGGUGCAGAGGAGAAGAAGGCCAAGGCCAAGGACGUGAAGCGCAAGGAGGCAGCUGUGCUCGCAGCGGAACCGGACACCAAGUGGGGCAGAGACCAGCCCGAGUCAUCCAAGGGCAGCCGACCGUUCUGCGCCUUCCACAAUCUGAACACCCACAACACCCGCGACUGCCAACAGCUCAGAGCCAUCCGUGAAGGACGUUUUGGUCGACGCCCCGAGCGUAGCGACCGGCGCUACAGCCGUGGAGGCGGACGCUGGGACGACCGUGGCCCGCGCCAGGAGUGGCGUGACAGGCCUCAUGAGGACCGCUGGCAGGACCAUCCUUGCGAGGGUGCCUGGAGGGACCAGCCUUGUGAGGAUCGCCCUCAGGGCAACGCCGGCCUUCCCCCACUGCAGCCACCACCAAGAAGGAAUGACGAUCACCAUCAGGACGAAGGGGCUGGGGGCUUUCAGGAGCUGCGUGCUAUCGCGUGCAUCUUAGGCGGCGCGCAGGCCCCAGCCUCUCAGCGCAUCUUCAAAUAAUUCGCUCGUGAAGUGAACGCGGUACUCCCCAAGCUCGAGGCCACGCGCCCGCUCAAGUGGUCCCAGUGCGCCAUCACCUUCAACUCGGCAAAUCAGCUCAAGUGUGCAGCCACCGCUGGUGCUCUUCCGAUGCUUUGUUCACCAGUCAUCAACAACGUGCAAGUUACCACAAGACCCUCAUGGACGGCGGCGCAGGGCUCAACGUCCUAUCAGUCGACACGUUCGACAACCUCCAGGUCCCGUAUGAGCAGCUUCAGCCUACCAGGCCUUUCUCAGGAGUGACCGACAGUUCCACCACACCGAUAGGGCAGGUCCACCUGCCUGUCACCUUUGGAGAGUCCAAGAACUACCGCACCAAGUGUCGGUGUCAAAACCGUCAGAUCUCGGGUAGGGGGUCCCGAACUAUGCGUCUAGGAUUGAUGGUAACAGGAGACGGGGGACACAAUGUUUACCCAUGUUCGGGCUCUCUUUAUGGAGGUAAUACCCUACUUCCUGCUUGAUUGAUCUUUUUGAAUAUGAGUGUUACAAGAGUUGAUCUACCACGAGAUCGUAAUGGCUAAACCCUAGAAGUCUAGCCUAUGCGUAUAUAGUAAUGAAUCUGUCCUAUCCGGACUAUGCUCUCCGGUUUAUAUAGACACCGGAGAGAUCUAGGGUUACAUGGAGUCGGUUACAUAAGAGGGAAUCUUCAUAGUCGGUCGCCAAGCUUGUCUUCCACGCCAAGUAGAGUCCAAUCCGGAAACGGGUAUAGUCUUCGGCCUUCAUGCCUUCACAGCCCAUUAGUCCGGCCCAGUAGAUAACAGGUCGGACGCCCGAGGACCCCUUAGUCCAGGAGUCCCUCAGUAGCCCCUAAACCUGGCUUCAAUGACGAGGACUCCAGCGCGCAGAUUGUCUUCGGCAUUGCAAGGCGGGUUCCCCUUCUUCCGAACUCCAAGAUUGUCUUCGGCAUUGCAAGGCGGGUUCCCCUUCUUCCGAACUCCAAGAUAGUCUUCGGAUGUAGUAAAUAUAUCCGGACUUGUGUAUGUAAUUGCAGAAAAUACAAUACUCCACGAGUCCAAUCUGCUGACAAUGGUUUAUGACAUUGUGUCAUGCCCGCCCGGUUAUUAUUUCCAACCGUUGGCUAGCCCGUCGCCCCACGUCUUGAGGGGCGGUUUUAUUGCCACGUCUUGUCAAAGCAGAUAUCGUGCCCCCCAAUCCACGGGAUUUUCAAUAACGCAGGUGUGGGUAACCCAACCGUCCCCAGGGUACAACUCUUCGAGGAUAGGUAAGUUUCGAGACCCGGGAGGGGACGCUCGAUAUCCUGGGCCUUUAUAUAGGGGCCCAAACUUGACUUUCUCUUCCGCGCUUGCUUCUUCCUCAACCCCAGCCACCUCGAGUUCUAUCCCUCGAGUUUCAAUCACCACCAGCUCCAAUCAUGUCCGGGCCCGGCCGUUCAGGCCGGUGGGUGGCCUGUUCUGUCACAGAGGAGGAUAUUGCGAAGCUCCGGGUGGCGAGGUAUCUGACCCCAGAAAUCCUUCAUCGGCUUCCUGCCAAGGGGCAGGUUAUUCCCACCCCCAAAUCCAGUGAGAGGGUAGUAUUUGUAUCACACUUUCUCCAUGGUUAGGGUUCGCGCUUAACCCCUUCGUCCGGGGGCUCAUGUUCUACUAUGGGAUAGAUUUUCAUGAUCUGGCCCCGGUCUCCGUCCUCCUCAUCUCAACAUUUAUCGUCACAUGUGAGGCCUUCCUCCGGACUCCUCCGCACUUUGGUUUAUGGCUCAAGACUUUCGAUGUGAGGCCGCGGGUGAUGGAGGAGGAGCAGGUAGAGUGUGGCAGCGUUAUAAUAAGCAAGCUUGCCAGCGCGAUUUGGUUUGAAGGAUCUUUCGCCGUGUCUUCCGACCUAUGGCAGCAGGGGUGAUUUUAUGUCAACGAGCCAUGGGGCUCCAAGUGGGCAGCUGCGCCCGUGUUCCGACCCGGCCCUCCGACUUAGCUUGCUUCAUGGAUCAACAGGGGACUAGACUGGGGGUCCGCCAAUGAAGUGCAGACUCUGCAAAGUCGCAUCCGAAGCUUUACCAAGAAGGGCAUCGGACUCGUGAACGUUGUUCAAGUAAUGCUAGUCCGCCGGACCCUGCCAUGCCAGCGGCGGCCUCUCCGUAUGUGGGAGUUUCAUCCAGAGGGGCGGCGGACUCUUCAGCACUUCUUCGGCGCUACGCACAAUGGGAUGUGGAGACUAUAUUUCGGGGAGCGAGAACAAUGGCCGGACACCACUGAGGACGUUGGCCUUGACUGCAAUCAUCCGGACACUCCGGUAAGUAUUCAAUCUCGGAACACCUUUCGUUCACGCAUCUCUUGACAAGAUACUGAACGACCUGUUGAUACAUCCAUUUUGCAUCAUGCUUUUAUAUCGAUAUUUAUUGCAUUAUGGGCUGUUAUUACACAUUAUGUCACAAUACUUAUGCAUAUUCUCUUUUAUUUUACGAGGUUUACAUAAGGAGGGAGAAUGCCGGCAGCUGGAAUUCUGGGCUGGAAAAGGAGCCAAUAUUAGAGACCUAUUCUGCACAACUCCAAAAGUCCUGAAACUCCACGAAUGUUAUUUUUGGAAAUAAUAAAAAAUGCUGAGCGGAAGAAAUACCAGAGGGGGCCCACACCCUGGCCACGAGGGUGGGGGGCGCGCCCUACCCCCCUGGGCGUGCCCCCUGCCUCGUGGGCCCCCUGUUGGCCCUCCGGUGCCCAUCUUCUGCUAUAUGAAGUCUUUCGUCCGAAGAAAAAUCAUAAGCAAGCUUUCGGGACGAGACUCUGCCGCCACGAGGCGGAACCUUGGCGGAACCAAUCUAGGGCUCCGGCGGAGCUGUUCUGCCGGGGAAACUUCCCUCCGGGAGGGGGAAAUCAUCGCCAUCAUCAUCACCAACGCUCCUCUCAUCGGGAGAGGGCAAUCUCCAUCAACAUCUUCACCAGCACCAACUCCUCUCAAACCCUAGUUCAUCUCUUGUAUCCAAUUCUUGUCUCCAAGCCUGGGAUUGGUACCUGUAGGUUGCUAGUAGUGUUGAUUACUCCUUGUAGUUGAUGCUAGUUGGUUUAUUUGGUGGAAGAUCAUAUGUUCAGAUCCUUUAUGCAUAUUAAUACUCCUCUGAUUAUGAACAUUAAUAUGCUUUGUGAGUAGUUAUGUUUGUUCCUGAGGACAUGGGAGAGGUCUUGCUAUUAGUAGUCAUGUGAAUUUGGUAUUCGUUCGAUAUUUUGAUGAGAUGUAUGUUGUCUAUCCUCUAGUGGUGUUAUGUGAACGUCGACUACAUGACACUUCACCAUUAUUUGGGCCUAGAGGAAGGCAUUGGGAAGUAAUAAGUAGAUGAUGGGUUGCUAGAGUGACAGAAGCUUAAACCCUAGUUUAUGCGUUGCUUCGUAAGGGGCUGAUUUGGAUCCACAUGUUUCAUGAUAUGGUUAGGUUUACCUUAAUACUUCUUUUGUAGUUGCAGAUGCUUGCAUUAGGGGUUAAUCAUAAGUGGGAUGCUUGUCCAAGUAAGGACAGCACCCAAGCACCGGUCCACCCACAUAUCAAUUUAUCAAAGUAACGAACGUGAAUCAUAUGAACGUGAUGAAAACUAGCUUGACGAUAAUUCCCAUGUGUCCUCGGGAGCGCUUUUCUCCAUAUAAGAAAUUGUCCAGGCUUGUCCUUUGCUACAAAAAGGAUUGGGCCAACUUGCUGCACUUUAUUUACUUUUGUUACUUGUUGCUCGUUACAAAUUAUCUUAUCACAAAACUAUCUGUUACCUAUAAUUUUAGUGCUUGAAGAGAAUACCUUGCUGAAAACCGCUUAUCAUUUCCUUCUGCUCCUCGUUGGGUUCGACACUCUUACUUAUCGAAAGGACUACGAUAGAUCCCCUAUACUUGUGGGUCAUCAAGACUCUUUUCCGGCGCCGUUGCCGGGGAGUGAAGCGCCUUUGGUAGGGGGAAUUUGGUAAGGAAAAAUUUAUAUAGUGUGCUGAAAUUUACUGUAACUUGUUACUAUGGAAAGUUAUCCUCUGAGGGGCUUGUUCGGGGUAUCUUCACCUCGACCAGUAGAGCAAAGAGUUGCUCCUCAACCUACUGAACCUACUAAAAAUGAAAAUGUCUACUUUGAGAUUCCUUCGGGUAUGAUAGAAAAACUGCUAGCUAAUCCUUUUGCAGUAGACGGAACAAUGCAUCCUGAUGAGCACCUAAUAUAUGUGGAUGAAGUUUGUGGAUUAUUUAAGCUUGCAGGUGUGCCCGAUGAUGUUAUUAAGAAGAAGGUCUUCCCUUUAUCUUUGAAGAGAUAUGCAUUGACAUGGUAUAGGCUAUGUGAUGACAUGGGAUCAUGGAACUACAAACGAUUGAAAUUGGAAUUUCAUCAGAAGUUUUAUCCUAUGCAUCUUGUUCAUCAUGAUCGCAAUUAUAUAUAUAAUUUUUGGCCUCGCGAAGGAGAAAGCAUCGCUCAAGCUUGGGGGAGGCUUAAAUCAAUGUUAUAUUCAUGCCCGAAUCAUGAGCUCCCAAGAGAAAUAAUUAUUCAAAAUUUUUAUGCUCGACUUUCUGAUAACAAUCGCACCAUGCUCGAUACUUCUUGUGCUGGCUCUUUUAUGAUGAAGACUAUUGAAUUCAAAUGGGAUUUAUUGGAAAGAAUUAAACGCAACCCUGAAGAUUGGGACCUCGACGAAGGUAAGGAGUCAGGUAGGACACCUAAGUUUGAUUGUGUUAAAUCUUUUAUGGAUACUGAUGUUUUCUGUAAAUUUAGCACUAAAUAUGGACUUGACUCUGAGAUAGUAGCUUCUUUCUGUGAAUCCUUUGCUACUCAUGUUGAUCUCCCUAAGGAGAAGUGGUUUAAAUAUCAUCCUCCCAUAGAAGUAAAAGUAGCUGCACCUAUUAAAGUUGAAGAAAGGACUAUCACUUAUAAUGAUCCUAUUGUUCCUACUACUUAUGUUGAGAAACCACCUUUUCCUGUUAGGAUAAAAGAUCAUGCUAAAGCUUCAACUGUGGUUCGUAAAAGUAAUAUUAGAACCUAUACACCUCCUGAGCAAGUUAAAUUUGAACCUAAUAUUGCUAUUGUUAAAGAUCUCUUGUCUGAUAAUAUUGAUGGGCAUGUUAUUCAUUUCUGUAAUGAAACUGCUAGAAUUGCCAAACCUUGUGCUAAAGAUAAACAUAGACCUAUGGUAGGCAUGCCGGUCAUUUCUGUUAAAAUAGGAGAUCAUUGUUAUCAUGUCUUAUGUGAUAUGGGUGCUAGUGCUAGCGCAAUACCUCAUGACUUAUACAAAGAAAUUAUGCAUGAUAUUGCACCUGCUGAGUUAGAAGAUAUUGAAGUCACAAUUAAACUUGCUAAUAGAGAUACUAUAUCACCAAUUGGAAUUGUUAGAGAUGUUGAAGUCUUGUGUGGAAAAACUAAGUAUCCUGCUGAUUUUCUUGUUCUCGGUUCCCCACAAGAUAGCUUUUUCCCCAUUAUAUUUGGUAGACCCUUCUUGAACACUGUUAAUGCUAAGAUAGACUGCGAAAAGGAUAUUGUUACUAUUGGUUUGGGUGAUAUGUCUCAUGAGUUUAAUUUCUCUAAAUUUCGUAGACAACACCGUGAAGAGGAAUUGCCCAGUAAGGAUGAAAUUAUUGGUCUUGCUUCUAUUGCCGUACCUCCUAGUGAUCCUUUAGAACAAUAUUUGCUAGACCAUGAAAAUGAUAUGGUUAUGAAUGAAAGAAGGGAAAUAGAUGAAGUAUUCUUUAAACACGAACACAUCUUGAAACACAAUUUGCCUGUUGAAAUCCUAGGGGAUCCUCCUCCACCCAAGGGUGAUCCCGUGUUUGAGCUUAAACCAUUGCCUGAUACCCUUAAAUAUUCUUAUCUUGAUGAAAAGAAGAUAUAUCAUGUUAUUAUUAGUGCUAAACUUUCAGAGCAUGAGGAAGAGAGAUUAUUGAAAACUCUGAAGAAGCACCGCGCUGCUAUUGGAUAUACUCUUGAUGAUCUUAAGGGCAUUAGUCCCACUCUAUGUCAACAUAAAAUAAAUUUGGAGAAAGAUGCCAAACCAGUUCGUGAUCACCAACGACUGCUGAAUCCUAAGAUGAAAGAAGUGUUAAGAAAGGAAAUACUAAGGCUUCUUGAGGCAAGUAUUAUUUAUCCCGUUGCUGAUAGUCAAUGGGUAAGUCCUGUCCAUUGUGUCCCUAAAAAGGGAGGUAUUACCGUCGUUCCUAAUGAUAAAGAUGAAUUGAUCCCGCAAAGAUUUAUUACAGGUUAUAGGAUGGUAAUUGAUUUACGCAAAUUAAAUAAGGCUACUAAAAAGGAUCAUCACCCCUUACCUUUUAUUGAUCAAAUGGUAGAAAGAUUAUCUAAACAUACACAUUUUUGCUUUCUAGAUGGUUAUUCUGGUUUCUCUCAAAUACCUGUGUCAGACGAUGAUCAAUCAAAGACCACUUUUACUUGCCCUUUCGGUACUUUUGCUUAUAGACGUAUGCCUUUUGGUUUAUGUAAUGCACCUGCUACCUUUCAAAGAUGCAUGAUGGCUAUAUUCUCUGACUUUUGUGAAAAGAUUUGUGAGGUUUCCAUGGAUGAUUUCUCCGUUUAUGGAUCCUCUUUUGAUGAUUGCUUGAGCAACCUUAAUCGAGUUUUGCAGAGAUGUGAAGAAACUAAUCUUGUCUUGAACUGGGAAAAGUGCCACUUUAUGGUUAAUGAAGGUAUUGUCUUGGGGCAUAAUUUUUCUGAAAGAGGUAUUGAAGUUGAUAAAGCCAAGGUUGAUGCUAUUGAAAAGAUGCCAUGUCCCAAGGACAUCAAAGGUAUAAGAAGUUUCCUUGGUCAUUCCGGUUUUUAUAGGAGGUUCAUUAAAGACUUCUUAAAAAUUUCUCGGCCUUUGACUAAUUUAUUACAAAAAUAUGUACCAUUUGUAUUUGAUGAUGAUUGUGUAGAAGCAUUUGAAAUACUUAAGAAAGCAUUGAUCUCGGCACCUAUCGUUCAGCCACCUGAUUGGAAUUUACCUUUUGAAAUUAUGUGUGAUGCUAGUGAUUAUGCUGUAGGUGCUGUUCUAGGGCAAAGAGUUGAUAAUAAAUUAAAUGUUAUUCAAUAUGCUAGUAAAACUCUAGAUAAUGCUCAGAGAAAUUAUGCUACUACUGAAAAAGAAUUCUUAGCAGUUGUAUUUGCCUGUGAUAAGUUUAGACCUUAUAUUGUUGAUUCUAAAGUAACUAUUCACAUGGAUCAUGCUGCUAUUAAAUACCUUAUGGAAAAGAAAGAUGCUAAACCUAGACUUAUUAGAUGGGUUCUCUUGCUACAUGAAUUUGAUUUGCAUAUUAUAGAUAGAAAGGGAGCUGAGAACCCCGUUGCAGACAACUUGUCUAGGUUAGAGAAUGUUCUUGAUGACCCACUACCUAUUGAUGAUAGCUUUCCUGAUGAACAAUUAAAUGUCAUAAAUGCUUCUCGUACUGCUCCAUGGUAUGCUGAUUAUGCUAAUUAUAUUGUUGCUAGUUUCACAUACCAGCAAAAGAAAAAGUUUUUCUAUGAUUUGAGGCAUUACUUUUGGGAUGACCCACAUCUUUAUAAAGAAGGAGUAGAUGGUGUUAUUAGACGCUGUGUACCUGAGCAUGAACAGGAACAGAUCCUACGCAAGUGUCACUCCGAGGCUUAUGGAGGACACCACGCUGGAGAUAGAACUGCACAUAAGGUAUUGCAAUCUGGUUUUUAUUGGCCUACUCUCAUCAAGGAUGCCCGUAAGUUUGUCUUAUCUUGUGAUGAAUGUCAAAGAAUUUGUAAUAUCAGUAGACGUCAAGAAAUGCCUAUGAAUUAUUCACUUGUUAUUGAACCAUUCGAUGUCUGGGGCUUUGAUUAUAUGGGACCUUUUCCUGCCUCUAACGGAUAUACACAUAUUUUAGUUGCUGUUGAUUAAGUUACUAAGUGGGUAGAAGCUAUUCCGACUAGUAGUGCUGAUCAUAACACUUCUAUUAAGAUGCUUAAAGAAGUUAUUUUUCCGAGGUUUGGAGUCCCUAGAUAUUUAAUGACUGAUGGUGGUUCACAUUUUAUUCAUGGUGCUUUCCGUAAAAUGCUUGCUAAGUAUGAUGUUAAUCAUAGAAUUGCAUCCCCUUAUCACCCACAGUCUAGUGGUCAAGUAGAAUUGAGUAAUAGAGAACUCAAAUUAAUUUUGCAAAAGACUGUUAAUAGAUCUAGAAAGAAUUGGUCCAAGAAACUUGAUGAUGCAUUAUGGGCCUAUAGAACUGCAUAUAAAAAUCCUAUGGGUAUGUCUCCGUAUAAAAUGGUUUAUGGAAAAGCAUGUCACUUACCUCUCGAACUAGAACAUAAGGCAUAUUGGGCCAUUAAAGAGCUCAAUUAUGAUUUCAAACUUGCCGGUGAGAAGAUGUUAUUUGACAUUAGCUCACUUGAUGAAUGGAGAACCCAAGCUUAUGAGAAUGCCAAAUUGUUUAAAGAAAAAGUUAAAAGAUGGCAUGACAAAAGGAUACAAAAGCAUGAGUUUAAUGUAGGUGAUUAUGUAUUGCUAUACAACUCUCAUUUAAUAUUUUUUGCAGGAAAACUUCUCUCUAAUUAGGAAGGUCCUUACGUUAUCGAGGAGGUCUAUCGUUCCGGUGCCAUAAAAAUCAACAACUUCGAGGGCACAAAUCCGAAGGUGGUGAACGGUCAAAGAAUCAAACAUUAUAUCUCAGGUAAUCCUAUAAAUGUUGAAACCAAUGUUACUGAAACCGUAACCCCGGAGGAAUACAUAAGGGACACUUUCCGGAACGUUUCAGACUCCGAAAAGGAAUAGGUAUGUGGUACGGUAAGUAAACCGACUCCAAAACAGUUCUAAUGGUAAUUUUUCUCCGUUUUGGAAUAUUUAGAAAAAUAGAAAAAUAAGAAGCUGUCCGGGAAGGACACGAGGCCUCCACGCGGGUGGAGGGCGCGCCCUACCCCCCUGGGCGCGCCCCCUGCUUCGUGGGUACCUCGUGUGCUCUCCGGACUCCGUUUUCUUGCACGAUACGUAUUUUGGUCGGUAAAAAUUCAUUAUAUAAUCUCCCGAAGGUUUUGGCUCCUGUAUCAUGCAAUUGUCCUUUGUUCUUGUUUCGAGCUGCUUCUGUAGCAGAUUUGGAGCAAGAUGUCAUCUCAGGAUUCCGACGGAGAGAGCUGUGUCUCACACCUCAUUGCUGACCCAAGGACCUAGGGGGAUCUAUCUCCUUGUGGUCGAACUACAGAUGAGGAGGAGGAUGCUCAUUUGAUGAGGAUCAAUGAUUUAAGUUCGGAGGAGGAGGAUGUCCCUCUACCUCAACCUGGGGAUAUGCACAUGAAGUUCAACAAAUCUAGUUUCCCUAAGAGGGCUAAACUAUCUAACAACCGAUCUAUUCCGUCUCGUUUUCGGCAGAAAAGCAAAGGAGAUUUAUUUGAAAAGAUCUUGAAGCUGGAAUCGGAGGUCGAUGAUUUAAAAGAGGAAAUUGCCCUUCUCAAUUACAGUAUGAAGAAGCUAAAGACACAACUGUCAUCAUCAACAACUCCAUCAUCACCAUCUCCGAAGAAGGAGACAUAAUCAUAUGGGUAUGUGCACUCCCCUUGGCAACUGCCAAGCUUGGGGGAGGUGCCCCGGUAUCGUAUCACCACCACACUCCUAUCUUUACCGUUUUCUUAGUUCAAUCCUUUUAGUAAUAUCUUGAUCUAGUAGAAUAAAGUUUUGGUAUGAUCUAGUUUUGAUUUUUGCUUUAUGAUCCCUUUAUGUAAUCAAGUCUGUGAGCUAUAUAAUAAAGAUUAGUGUUAAGUCGAGGACUUGAUUAUUUUGCUAUGAUCUUGAGUGAAUAAAAGACAAGAGAAAGAAUAAAAAGAAACAAAGAGAUCAUAUUGAUCUUAUGGAGAGUAAUGACUUCACAUAGAAAGAGUAUGAUGAUUAAAAAUUGUUGAGAGUUGACAGACAUAGCUUUGGUCAUCGUUGAAAUUAAUAGGAAGUAAUAAAGAAAGAGAGGUUUCACAUAUAAAUAUACUAUCUUUAACAUCUUUUAUGAUUGUGAUCACUCAUUGAAAUAUGACAUGCUAAAGAGUUGAUGUUGGACAAGGAAGACAACGUAAUGGGUUAUGUUUUCUUAUAUCUGAAAUAAAGUAUAUUGUCAUGGAUCCAACAUGUUGAGCUUGCCUUUCCCCGUCAUGCUAGCCAAAUUCUUUGCACCAAGUAGAGAUACUACUUGUGCUUCCAAAUACCCUUAAACCAGUUUUGCCAUGAGAGUCCACCAUAUCUACCUAUGGAUUGAGUAAGAUCCUUCAAGUAAGUUGUCAUCGGUGCAAGCAAUAAAAAUUGCUCUCUAAAUAUGUAUGAUUGAUUGGUGUGGAGGAAAUAAGCUUUAUACGAUCUUGUGAUGUGGAAGAAAUAAAGCGACGGACUGCAUAAUAAAGGUCCAUAUCACAAGUGGCAAUAUAAAGUGACGUUCUUUCGCAUUAAGAUUUUGUGCAUCCAACCCUGAAAGCGCAUGGCAACCUCUGCUUCCCUCUGCGAAGGGCCUAUCUUUUAUUAUUACCUUCUACCUUAUGCAAGAGUCAUGGUGAUCUUCACCUUUCCUUUUUACAUUUUAUCCUUUGGCAAGCACAGGAUGUUGGAAAGAUCCUGAUAUAUAUAUCCAAUUGGAUGUGGGUUAGCAUGAACUAUUAUUGUUGACAUUACCCUUGAGGUAAGAGGUUGGGAGGCAAAACUAUAAGCCCCUAUAUUUCUCUGUGUCCGAUUAAAACUCCGUAACCACAAGUAUUGCGUGAGUGUUAGCAAUUGUGAAAGACUAAAUGAUAGUUGAGUAUGUGGACUUGCUGAAAAGCUCUGACAUAGACUCUUUCUGAUGUUAUGAUAAAUUGCAAUUGCUUCAAAGACUGAGAUUAUAGUUUGUUGAUUCUCAAUAAAGUUUCUGAUUCAUACUUUGCAUUGUGAAUAGAUUAUUACUUGAGCAUAAGAGAUUAUAUGACAUUACCCUUAUAUGUUGCUGUUAUGAGAAUAAUCAUGAUGCCCUCAUGUCCGUAUUUUAUUUUAUCGACACCUCUACCUCUAAACAUGUGGACAUAUUUAUCGUUAUCGGCUUCCGCUUGAGGACAAGCGAGGUCUAAGCUUGGGGGAGUUGAUACGUCCAUUUUGCAUCAUGCUUUUAUAUCGAUAUUUAUUGCAUUAUGGGCUGUUAUUAAACAUUAUGUCACAAUACUUAUGCCUAUUCUCUCUUAUUUUACAAGGUUUACAUAAGGAGGGAGAAUGCCGGCACCUAGGAUUCUGGGCUGGAAAAGGAGCCAAUAUUAGAGACCUAUUCUGCACAACUCCAAAAGUCCUGAAACUCCACGAAAGUUAUUUUUGGAAAUAAUAAAAAAUACUGAGCGGAAGAAAUACCAGAGGGGGCCCACACCCUGGCCACGAGGGUGGGGCGCCCUACCCCCUGGGCGCGCCCCCUGCCUCGUGGGCCCCUGUUGGCCCUGCGAUGCCCAUCUUCUGCUAUAUGGAGGCUUUCGUCCGAAGAAAAAUCAUAAGCAAGCUUUCGGGACGAGACUCCGCCGCCACGAGGCGGAACCUUGGCGGAACCAAUCUAUUGCUCUGGUGGAGCUGUUCUGCCGGGGAAACUUCCCUCCGGGAGGGGGAAAUCAUCGCCAUCGUCAUCACCAACGCUCCUCUCAUCGGGAGAGGGCAAUCUCCAUCAACAUAUUCACAAGCACCAUCACCUCUCAAACCCUAGUUCAUCUCUUGUAUCCAAUUCUUGUCUCCAAGCCUGGGAUUGGUACCUGUAGGUUGCUAGUAGUGUAGAGUACUCCUUGUAGUUGAUGCUAGUUGGUUUAUUUGGUGGAAGAUCAUAUGUUCAGAUCCUUUAUGCAUAUUAAUACUCCUCUGAUUAUGAACAUGAAUAUGCUUUAUGAGUAGUUACGUUUGUUCCCGAGGACAUGGGAGAAGUCUUGCUAUUAGUAGUCAUGUGAAUUUGGUAUUCGUUCGAUAUUUUGAUGAGAUAUAUGUUGUCUAUCCUCUAGUGGUGUUAUGUGAACAUCGACUACAUGACACUUCACCAUUAUUUGGGCCUAGAGGAAGGCAUUGGGAAGUAAUAAGUAGAUGAUGGGUUGCUAGAGUGACAGAAGCUUAAACCCUAGUUUAUGUGUUGCUUCAUAAGGGCUGAUUUGGAUCCACAUGUUUCAUGCUAUGGUUAGGUUUACCUUAAUACUUCUUUUGUAGUUGUGGAUGCUUGCAAUAGGGGUUAAUCAUAAGUGUGAUGCUUGUCCAAGUAAGGACAGAACCCAGGCACCGGUCCACCCACAUAUCAAAUUAUCAAAGUACCGAACGCGAAUCAUAUGAAUGUGAUGAAAACUAGCUUGACGAUAAUUCCCAUGUGUCCUCGGGAGCGCUUUUCUCCAUAUAAGAAAUUGUCCAGGCUUGUCCUUUGCUACAAAAAGAAUUGGGCCAACUUGCUGCACUUUAUUUACUUUUGUUACUUGUUGCUCAUUACAAAUUAUCUUAUCACAAAACUAUAUGUUACCUAUAACUUUAGUGCUUGCAGAUAAUACCUUGCUGAAAACCGCUUAUCAUUUCCUUUUGCUCCUCGGUGGGUUCGACACUCUUACUUAUCGAAAGGACUACGAUAGAUCCCCUAUACUUGUGGGUCAUCACCCGUCCUUGUACAAGACUGCAUAAAGAAAGCGGUGCUGAUCUGGUGUCCGGCGCCCCUUCCCGAAGACCCCGCGUCCGCCCUGCUGACGCGUAUGUUAACACCGACACCGUACCAGGUGUCUGCAGAGGGGGGUGAGAGCGGGGAGCCCAAAGGAGAUGCCUGCCCUGAGGAUGAUUCAAACGUUGUGUUCGGGGAAACCGAAACCCUUUUGCCCAAGGGCAAAGAUGUAGAGGGGGCCUUCCAUCGCAAGAAGAGGGCCGCUUUUGGAGGUCAGGAGGGGAAACCUUCUAAGAAAGGGAAAACGCAAUCGUCGGGCGGCUCAGGUCGGGCGAGCGAUGUUGCUGCAGAGCUUGAUGAUGAGGACGAACCUCCGGCCAGACCGUAAGUGACACAGGGUACUUUAACCAUACCUCAUUCCUUUCUUAUUACUGAAGUAAUCCUCCGAUAUAUGCACAUCCUCGCAGGUUAACGCCUGGUGUUUCUCAAUCGUCCUCCUCCUCGGGAGACCUUCUGCCGGAGAUGAUGGAGAGUGACACACCUUCUCCGGCCUCCUCGCCCAAUAGGGCGGAUGAUCUUGAGGUGUCGUCCCGGAGGGCUCCUCCCCACCGGCAAGUAGCGCAGGAAAUGAGGAAGGAGUUGCCCGUAGGUGGCGCCUCUGUCACUCAGGGUUCGGGGAUCAAGAUUGACGGCCCCAAACUAUCCGGUUUACAGCCGGAGGUGAUUCUGGAGGCGGGUAAGCGGAUUCCUUCAAAGGAGUGUCGUGCUCCGGCGGCGGUGUCCGAAGACCCAGGUGUGCCGGGGACGCUGACGGACAUGCUGCGAUGAGCGUCCGUUUCGGAAGAGCACCGUGCCUUAAUGGUUACGGUGGUUAAGAAGGUUCUCUUCGCGAAGAGCGGGUUGGACGAGGCCUUUAUGACCCUUCUGAGAGGUUUUGAGGUUUGUGAUGUAAUGUUGCCAAUUGAAUGAUAUUGACAGAAUGCACCUAUUGUUAUGCAGUAGCCCCUAAGACUCGGAUUGCCUUCCAAAGGAAGCAAUCGGAGGAUCAAAAAAGAUAUGCUCAGGUACUAAUUUUGAUUUAAUUUGGAAUACAGGCUACCGCCCCUCCUGCCACUACUCGAAGUACGGAGGUGGCCGAACUGCAGCGAAAGCUAGAUAUUGCGGAGGGUGACAUUGCAUUGGUCAACAAACGUCUUGACAACUCGCAAGGUAUAUAUUUCGAGCAUUCCUUACACCAAUGUGCUUGUAAUUUAAGCCUGACUCUGAAAAAGAGUUUUAUAUGAAAUGUGCAUGAAUGCAGAUGGUGCCGCCGUCGUGGAAGCCCUUCGGGCGGAGCUGACCCGGGUCAAGGAGCAGGCCCGGUUUAGUUAUGCGGCUGCCGAAAAGGCAUCGGCUGAGUUGAAAGCCGAACACGCUGCGCGGCGCCAAGACAAGGAGAAGAUGUCCACCAUGGCGCUCGAGUUAGAGAAUGCGGCUAGCCGCUGCAAACUUCUUGAGAAGGAAAAUGAAGUCAAAACGGCUGAACUUGAUAAGGCCUUACGAGAGGUAAGAGAAGCACGGUCUGAAUCCAGAGCAGCCCGAGAGGAGAUCUGGCAAGCUGGGGAGAUUGUGGCUGGCAAGCCCUUUUUGCUACAGGCUAAGUUCGGAGAUCCGAACUAUGCUCAGCUUAACCAAGUGUGGAGUUCUCCGGACAAUUUUUUAGACUUGCCGAAGAGUUCUUCCGAUGCGGCACAAUUUUACCAUGCGCAAGAGUGGUAUCAAGGGAGAACCUUUUCUGGUCACAAUGUGGCGCGUCGGAGCGCCCUCUGUUGUUGAAUGAACAGAUGUCCCAGUGGGCGGAGCUGCAUAGGAUAUCAGGCGCUGCCAUGAAGAACUUCGUAGUCCGGUUGUGGCCGACUGAACCUGUUCCGAGUAGUUACUUCGGCCUGGAGCAGCGGCUAAUUGACGCGGUGGCGCGUAUUGACAUUGUGAAGCGGUCGGCGUGCAUUGAAGGUGCACGGAUGACCUUUGCCCGCGUCAAGACAUUCUAGGGGAAGAUGAAGGCCAUCGAUGUUGCGGCGAAGAGUCCACCCAAAGGCAAGGACCGUCCGGAACCGGAGCACUAUUUUGAAGACGUCCUAGAGGCCGCCCGCUUGAUAGAGAGUCAGUGCUCGAAAGACAUAAUAUUCGAGUAAUGUGUAUAAGUGUUGUAACAGACAACUUUAUGGUUAAUCUGUUUUCAUCUUUUGCUCGAAAGCUUGUAUUCCUCCUGUGUGGCCAUUUUAUUGUAAUCUGAAAGUUUUCCAGUCGUCGGCUUCAGCCCCCUCGUAGGAAAUACGGGGGUGUUUGAUGUCUACUACGCAACCUUCUUCUUGUAGACAUUGUCGGGCCUCCAAAUGCAGAGGUUUGUAGGAAAGUAGCAAAUUUCCCUCAAGUGGAUGACCUAAGGUUUAUCUGUCCGUGGGAGGUGUAGGAUGAAGAUGGUCUCUCUCAAGAAACCCUGCAACCAAAUAACGAAGAGUCUCUUGUGUCCCCAACGCACCCAAUACAAUGGUAAAUUGUAAAGGUGCACUAGUUCGGCGAAGAGAUGGUGAUACAAGUGCAAUAUGGAUGGUAGAUAUAGGUUUUUGUAAUCUGAAAAUAUAAAAACAGCAAGGUAGCAAGCGAUAAAAGUGAGCACAAAUGGUAUUGCAAUGCUAGUAAACAAGGCCUAGGGUUCAUACUUUCACUAGUGCAAGUUCUCUCAACAAUAAUAACAUAAUUGGAUCAUAUAACUAUCCCUCAACAUGCAACAAAGAGUCACUCCAAAGCCACUAAUAGCGGAGAACAAACGAAGAGAUUAUGGUAGGGUACGAAACCACCUCAAAGUUAUUCUUUCGGAUCGAUCUAUUCAAGAGUUCGUACUAGAAUAACACCUCAAGACACAUAUCAACCAAAACCCUAAUGUCACCUAGAUACUCCAAUGUCACCUCAAGUAUCCGUGGGUAUGAUUAUACGGUAUGCAUCACACAAUCUCAGAUUCAUCUAUUCAAACCAACACAAAGUACUUCAAAGAGUGCCCCAAAGUUUCUACCGGAGAGUCAAGAAGAAAACGUGUGCCAACCCCUAUGCAUAGGUUCAUGGGAGGAACCCGCAAGUUGAUCACCAAAACAUACGUCAAGUUGAUCACGUGAUAUCCCAUUGUCACCACAGAUAAGCACGGCAAGACAUACAUCAAGUGUUCUCAAAUCCUUAAAGACUCAAUCCGAUAAGAUAACUUCAAAGGGAAAACUCAAUCCACUACAAGAGAGUAGAGGGGGAGAAACAUCAUAAGAUCCAACUAUAAUAGCAAAGCUCGCGAUACAUCAAGAAUGUACCACCUCAAGAACACGAGAGAGAGACAGAGAUCAAACACAUAGGUACUGGUACAGACCCUCAGCCCCGAGGGUGAACUACUCCCUCCUCGUCAUGGAGAGUGUCGGGAUGAUGAAGAUGGCCACCGGUGAGGGAUCCCCCCUCUGGCAGGGUGCCCACUAGUAGAAAAAGGGCCUAUUGUCCCGGUUCGUGAGGGCCUUCUGUCCCGGUUUGUGAACCAGGACUAAAAGGUCGUUACUAAUGCCCUUGUCCUUUAGUCCCGGUUCUUACACGAACCGGGACAGAAGGUCCUCCACGUGGCCGCUGCGGCCAGCCCAGGACGGAGGGCCUUUGGUCCCGAUUGGUGACACCAACCGGGACCAAUAGGCAUCCACGCGUCAGCAUUUUAGGGGCUGGGGUUUUUGUUUUUUUUGAAAGGGGGGGGUUAGGGGGUUUUGGGGGUUUAAUUUAGGUUGUUAUUAGGUAGCUAUUAGAGAGAAGUGUCCUCUCUUAUAUCUCCGUGCUUGGUUUACCAAUGCUACAUACUGCUAUGCCUAAACAUGGCUUAGAUUGAAGUGAAGGCAACAUGUGGUGCAUGUCGAAAGUAAUACUAAUCCUAACUUGAUCAAGUUUGGAUUGUACUACUUUCGACACGCACCACAUGCAUGUUGCCUUCACUUCAAUCCAAUCCAUGUUCAUUUCACCCGCUGAUAUAUAAUAACUCUUCAUGCGCGCAUCAUGCAUCAUCAUAUAUAAUAACAAGUCCUACUAAUCAUCAUCAUACAACUUCUACUCGUUAUUAAUAACAAGUCAUACGAUCAUCAUCCUCACAGUCAUCGAACCAACCCUACUUAAUUGUUCUUAGCACAUGAUCAUCAGUAUUAGGUAGGACCGAAAUACCCUCUUUAAUGUAAAAUAGCAUAAAACAAUAUAGACCCUGACUCUCCAUUAUGGAGAAUGGAGAUCAUCCUGUCUCCAAUUCUUGCGCUUCGCUUCCUUUUGCUUCCAAGAACCUCCUUGCGACUGUCCAUACAUUUUUUCCAUUCUUUGAUUUGCAUGUCUCCACUUCUUUUAGAAAUCCAGUAUGGACAGUUGAGAUUCGUAGGAUGACCUGGUUGUAUAUUCAAAACAUCAAGCCUACCAUUCUGAUACAUCAAAUGAGGCACACAAUCCUCUAGGAUUAUCUGUUGAAAAAAAUAGUAAUAACUUCAUAGUUAGCAAUGAUGUGCUAGUUUUAGAACUAUGCAAAAUAUGCGCGGAUGUCGUAAUAGUAAGAAAUCUUACCAGGGUAUCUCCAUAGUAGUUACCGUAGUUCAACACGUGCACUAGUGGCACGUAUUGACCAUAAUGUUGAGGAGUUUGAUUGUAGAUAUUGUAAUUCUCAAUAUCAGUACAAAAUCCGACCAGAUGAGUUUUCUCCUUAUAAGUUAACUCAGAGCCAUCGGUGUAGUAGGUUCUGUCUACCAUGUUCCGCACAUUGUUUGAACAAUCAAAAUAAGCUGUCAAUGAAAAUAAGCUGUCAACUAUUUUGAAAUGAACAAUAUAAAUUAGCUAAUAACUAUGUUUGAGAAACUCACAUAGCGGUAGAAUUGGAGGCGUAUCAACAAGGGCCCAAAUGUCCAUAUUGUCUUGCUCGAUGUCAGGAUCACCAAGAUCCAUGGUGACAAGCAUACCCUCAUCAAAACCAUACAUCUUGCAAAAUGCUUCCCAAUUUUUGCAACCAAAUGGGUUACGCUCUCAGAAUUAUACAGCUUUACUUCAAAAUCUAUAUCAUGAUGGGUCCUUAGGUGAAUUUUAUUUGUUUCCAUACUUUCAUGGUCUUCAAAACCCAUCCUCUCCAAGACGUAGCGUCUUGCAUGGCAUGGGAUAAGCUAGCCGAAUUGUAAAAGAUGAAAAGUACACGUUGAAAUAGUUGAAGUCGUGCUUAAUUACGAAAAAAUAACACUUGUCGUCGUUGCGUACCGUUUCAACAUCGAAGGUCUCCUCCAGCUUAAUACUGAAGCGCCGAUCUUCGUCCAGGUGAGGCCUGUCGCACUGACCUCGGUCGUCGUGGCACCAGUCGCACUCCCCCGGGAGACUUUCGUCGUCCGAGUACGACAUUUCCUAUGUUCAUAAUUCAAAUAUUAAACAUCUACAAUUAAAUAUAUGUACUAAAAAACCUAAGUUAGAUCAUUAUUAUUCAUCAUGGGUUGACUAUCGGUUUGUCGAGUCUUUUCUUGAAAACUCUCAGCUCACGUGGUGUAUACAUUCGACCGUUGGUGAUGGUCGCUCCUCCAUUUGUCCCCGUGUGCAUUACACCAAAAUGUCUAGCACACGGGAACAAAGGAAGAAGCGACCCCCACGACAACAGUCGGGAUUCUUCGUCCUCUCAUAUGUAUAUGGUGGAACUCUCCCUCACUGAUUCCUCUCUGACAUUUGCGACCGUCGGUGAUGGUAGCUCCUCCUUUCGUUCUCGAGUGCAUUACACCAAAUUGUCUAGCACACGGGAACGAAGGAGAAGCUACCCCCACGUCAACAGUCGGGAUUCUUCGUCCUCUCAUAUAUGGUGGAGACUCGACAGACUUACAGUCAACCCGAAAUAUCGUUUAAUUAUCUUUCUAAAAGAGGAUUUGGCUGGUCUCACCUCGAUGUCGGAGGGGGCGGUGACGGGGACGACGGCGGGGAUGAUGGAGGGGCCGGGGGCUCCUAGAUUUCUGCGAAAACAAAAACCCUGUAAGCUAUCAACUAAUCAUAGUGCUCUCCAAUUUUAGCAUUCAAAGUAGGAUCGGAGUAGUUUUCCACUUUGAGCAUUCAAUAAACAAAAUCAAAUCACAAAAUAAAGUAGUAUUCAAAUUAGGAUGCAUUCAAUUAUAAGCAAAACUACAUCAUCUCCAUGCGUCCGUACAUCGUCGAAUAUUAUCACUAAUACACCUCGAAUACUAUCAUACAUAUAGCAUCGCUAGUACAGCUAGAACAGUAGCGCCCGACAGGUAUCGGCGCGGGCGGUGGACACCCAAAGGGACGGAACCAUCAUAGGAUCAUAGCUCCAGUGAGAUCCGUGAAGAACCUGCCAGGUAUUGUCGAACCUGCCCUCCAACGCAACCAUGUAGCGACGGACGUGCUGGUCCUCCUCGCUGACACGGUGACGUACCACCUCCGCGGUGUCCGGAAGCCUCGGCACCGUCACUGGCCCACGCGAGCGCCACCAAACAAGGAUCGGGUCAACGACGGGCUGGUUCCUCACCAACCUACGCCCACCGGAAGGUAGCACCUCCCAAAACCAGCCCGGCGGAGCCCAGUCCCGGACAUGGCCCCUCUGAUCAAGCCGGCCUCCUACGCCGAGUCGACGACGAGGAUGCGGGAUAGGCAUCGUCGACGUCGAUGCGGGAAUAAUUGCUUUAACUAAAAAAACAAACUAGUUCUAUUAAUUUCCUUGCUAAAAAUAAACAACUUCUAUAGUAAAAUAAACUAGUUUUGUUAAAUCAGCUAGUUCAACUACUAAUUAAGAACUUACUAUAAAUAAAAUAAAGUAGUUUUAUUAAUUAAUCAACUAGUUCAACUACUAAGCACUUACUAUAAAUAAAUAAAAUAAAGUAGUUCUUACUAAAAAUAAACUACUUCUAUAUAUAGUAAAAUUUAAUAAAAUAGUUCUAUUAAUUAAUCAACUAAUUCAACUACUAAGUACUAACCUAAAAUCGAUAUGUACUAAUAAUUAACCUCAAUAAAAAAUUGUAUGAACAUUAUAUUCAUACAUACAUAGCCACAUCCAUUCAUCAUAUAGCUACCACAUACAUAUAUAUAUAUACAUUAUAUAUAUGGAAAAAUGCAAUGAACAAAAAAAUAAUACAGAUUAUAUGAAAAAGAUAAACAGAGCGGUGGCGUGGCGGCGNNNNNNNNNNNNNNNNNNNNNNNNNNNNNNNNNNNNNNNNNNNNNNNNNNNNNNNNNNNNNNNNNNNNNNNNNNNNNNNNNNNNNNNNNNNNNNNNNNNNNNNNNNNNNNNNNNNNNNNNNNNNNNNNNNNNNNNNNNNNNNNNNNNNNNNNNNNNNNNNNNNNNNNNNNNNNNNNNNNNNNNNNNNNNNNNNNNNNNNNNNNNNNNNNNNNNNNNNNNNNNNNNNNNNNNNNNNNNNNNNNNNNNNNNNNNNNNNNNNNNNNNNNNNNNNNNNNNNNNNNNNNNNNNNNNNNNNNNNNNNNNNNNNNNNNNNNNNNNNNNNNNNNNNNNNNNNNNNNNNNNNNNNNNNNNNNNNNNNNNNNNNNNNNNNNNNNNNNNNNNNNNNNNNNNNNNNNNNNNNNNNNNNNNNNNNNNNNNNNNNNNNNNNNNNNNNNNNNNNNNNNNNNNNNNNNNNNNNNNNNNNNNNNNNNNNNNNNNNNNNNNNNNNNNNNNNNNNNNNNNNNNNNNNNNNNNNNNNNNNNNNNNNNNNNNNNNNNNNNNNNNNNNNNNNNNNNNNNNNNNNNNNNNNNNNNNNNNNNNNNNNNNNNNNNNNGACGGCGAUGGGCGAUGGCGUGGGCUCGGGGGCACGGGCGACGGCGACGGCGGCGGGGCAGCCUGGCGGCGUAGAUCGAGCUCACGGCGUCGUCGGGCGGGGGGAAACUGGCGAUGGAAAUCCGAAAAUUUCCUAAGUGCUGGCUUAUAUAGCAAAGGCUUUGGUCCCGGUUCAAGGCACAAACCGGAACCAAUACCCACCCUUUAGUCCCGGUUGGUGGCACCAACCGGGACCAAAGGCCUCUUUUCACCAGCGCAAAGGGCGGGAAGCAGAGGGCUUUGGUCCCGGUUGGUGGCACCAACCGGGACCAAAGGGGAGCAUUGGUUCCGGUUGGAGCCACCAACCAGGACUAAUGUGCUGGCGCGGUGCGGUGGGAAGUUUAGUCCCACCUCGCUAGCUGAGACAGCUUAGCACCUGUUUAUAAGCUGUGUUGCAGCUCAGGUGCUGAGCUCCUCUCUAAUAUGCACGCAUUACAUGCCUACCCUUGUCACUGCCAUGUUGGGCCUAUUGGGCCUGCGGGCCUGCAUCCUGGCCCAUGUGCAGAUGGGUUUCUAGUCGUAUGCAGGCCGUGUGGCCCAUUAGGCGGCAUUUUUUUAUUUUUUUCCAGUAUUUUUUUCUUUUUUGAAUUAUUUAUUUUCUUUUGAUUUUUGCUUUAUUUUUUUAUUCUUUUGCUUUUAACUCAGAAUAAUUAUAAACUUUCUGUUACUCCAUUAGUUUCCAAAUUUGAAUAGUUUAAAUUUUAAUUCUUUACGAAAAUACUAGAGGUUUAUAAAAGCUUUUUAGUUGAUUCCUUUUGCUAUUAGAGUUUAUAAAAGCAUAUCAAAUGAACUUUGAAAAGGUUGAAAGUUUGCAUGGUAUCAUCAUUUCAUCCACAUAGCAUGUUCAAGAAAGUUGAGAGGGUUACGACAAAAACUGGAUGCACUUUGUGUACAAAACGGACAAUCUCUUUAAAAGUAUCAGGAUUUCAUCCGGAAACUCGUCUGUUACAAAGGGAUUUUAUUUUUUAAUACUUAUUUGAACUCCUGAAUUUUUGUGUGUUCAAAAUGCACCAUUCAAAGCCACAUCAUCAUUUUUCAAUCCUUUCUGACUUCAUUUGUUAUUUUUCAUGCAUUUACUAAUUAUUUUGAGCUAUAAGACCCUAAAAUUGAAAAGCAUUUCAAAUGAACUCUGAUAAGGUUGAAAGUUGGCANNNNNNNNNNUUUGAACUCCUGACUUUUUGUGUGUUCAAAAUGCACCAUUCAAAGCCACAUCAUCAUUUUUCAAUCCUUUCUGACUUCAUUUGUUAUUUUUCAUGCAUUUACUAAUUAUUUUGAGCUAUAAGACCCUAAAAUUGAAAAGCAUUUCAAAUGAACUCUGAUAAGGUUGAAAGUUGGCAUGGUAUCAUCAUUUCAUCCACAUAGCAUGUGCAAGAAAGAUGAGAGGGUCCCGGCAAAAACUGGAUGCGCUUCGUGUACAAAACGGACAAUCUCUUUCAAAGCAACAGGAUUUCAUACGGAAACUCGUCUGUUACAAAGGGAUUUCAUUUUUUAAAACUUAUUUGAACUCCUGACUUUUUGUUUGUUCAAAAUGCACCAUUCAAAGCCACAUCAUCAUUUUUCAAUCCUUUCUGACNNNNNNNNNNUUCUGACUUCAUUUGUUAUUUUUCAUGCAUUUACUAAUUAUUUUGAGCUAUAAGACCCUAAAAUUGAAAAGCAUUUCAAAUGAACUCUGAUAAGGUUGAAAGUUGGCAUGGUAUCAUCAUUUCAUCCACAUAGCAUGUGCAAGAAAGUUGAGAGGGUUACGGCAAAAACUGGAUGCACUUUGUGUACAAAACGGACAAUCUCUUUCAAAGUAUCAAGAUUUCAUCCGGAAACUCGUCUGUUACAAAGGGAUUUCAUUUUUUAAUACUUAUUUGAACUCCUGACUUUUUGUGUGUUCAAAAUGCACCAUUCAAAGCCACAUCAUCAUUUUUCAAUCCUUUCUGACUUCAUUUGUUAUUUUUCAUGCAUGUACUAAUUAUUUUGAGCUAUAAAACCCUCAAAUUGAAAAGCAUUUCAAAUGAACUCUGAAAAGGUUGAAAGUUGGCAUGGUAUCAUCAUUUCAUCCACAUAGCAUGUGCAAGAAAGUUGAGAGGGUUACGGCAAAAACUGGAUGCACUUCGUGUACAAAACGGACAAUCUCUUUCAAAGUAUCAGGAUUUCAUCCGGAAACACGUCUGUUACAAAGGGAUUUCAUUUUUUUAAUACUUAUUUGAACUCCUCACUUUUUGUGUGUUCAAAAUGCUCCAUUCAAAGCCACAUCAUCAUUUUUCAAUCCUUUCUGACUUCAUUUGUUAUUUUUCAUUCAUUUACUAAUUAUUUUGAGCUAUAAGACCCUAAAAUUGAAAAGCAUUUCAAAUGAACUCUGAAAAGGUUGAAAGUUGGCAUGGUAUCAUCAUUUCAUCCACAUAGCANNNNNNNNNNNNNNNNNNNNNNNNNNNNNNNNNNNNNNNNNNNNNNNNNNNNNNNNNNNNNNNNNNNNNNNNNNNNNNNNNNNNNNNNNNNNNNNNNNNNNNNNNNNNNNNNNNNNNNNNNNNNNNNNNNNNNNNNNNNNNNNNNNNNNNNNNNNNNNNNNNNNNNNNNNNNNNNNNNNNNNNNNNNNNNNNNNNNNNNNNNNNNNNNNNNNNNNNNNNNNNNNNNNNNNNNNNNNNNNNNNNNNNNNNNNNNNNNNNNNNNNNNNNNNNNNNNNNNNNNNNNNNNNNNNNNNNNNNNNNNNNNNNNNNNNNNNNNNNNNNNNNNNNNNNNNNNNNNNNNNNNNNNNNNNNNNNNNNNNNNNNNNNNNNNNNNNNNNNNNNNNNNNNNNNNNNNNNNNNNNNNNNNNNNNNNNNNNNNNNNNNNNNNNNNNNNNNNNNNNNNNNNNNNNNNNNNNNNNNNNNNNNNNNNNNNNNNNNNNNNNNNNNNNNNNNNNNNNNNNNNNNNNNNNNNNNNNNNNNNNNNNNNNNNNNNNNNNNNNNNNNNNNNNNNNNNNNNNNNNNNNNNNNNNNNNNNNNNNNNNNNNNNNNNNNNNNNNNNNNNNNNNNNNNNNNNNNNNNNNNNNNNNNNNNNNNNNNNNNNNNNNNNNNNNNNNNNNNNNNNNNNNNNNNNNNNNNNNNNNNNNNNNNNNNNNNNNNNNNNNNNNNNNNNNNNNNNNNNNNNNNNNNNNNNNNNNNNNNNNNNNNNNNNNNNNNNNNNNNNNNNNNNNNNNNNNNNNNNNNNNNNNNNNNNNNNNNNNNNNNNNNNNNNNNNNNNNNNNNNNNNNNNNNNNNNNNNNNNNNNNNNNNNNNNNNNNNNNNNNNNNNNNNNNNNNNNNNNNNNNNNNNNNNNNNNNNNNNNNNNNNNNNNNNNNNNNNNNNNNNNNNNNNNNNNNNNNNNNNNNNNNNNNNNNNNNNNNNNNNNNNNNNNNNNNNNNNNNNNNNNNNNNNNNNNNNNNNNNNNNNNNNNNNNNNNNNNNNNNNNNNNNNNNNNNNNNNNNNNNNNNNNNNNNNNNNNNNNNNNNNNNNNNUAAUUAUUUUGAGCUAUAAGACCCUAAAAUUGAAAAGCAUAUCAAAUGAACUCUGAAAAGGUUGAAAGUUGGCAUGGUAUCAUCAUUUCACCACAUAGCAUGUGCAAGAAAGGUGAGAGGGGUACGGCAAAAACUGGAUGCACUUCGUGUACAAAACGGACAAUCUCUUUCAAAGUAUCAGGAUUUCAUCCGGAAACUCGUCUGUUACAAAGGGAUUUCAUUUUUAAUACUUAUUUGAACUCCUGACAUUUUGUGUGUUCAAAAUGCACCAUUCAAAGCCACAUCGUCAUUUUUCAAUCCUUUCUGACUUCAUUUGUUAUUUUACAUGCAUUUACUAAUUAUUUUAAGCUAUAAGACCCUAAAAUUGAAAAGCAUAUCAAAUGAACUCUGAAAAUGUUGAAAGUUGGCAUGAUUUCAUCAUUUCAUCCACAUAGCAUGUGCAAGAAAGUUGAGAGGGUUACGGCAAAAACUGCAUGCACUUCGUGUACAAAACGGACAAUCUCUUUCAAAGUAUCAGGAUUUCAUCUGGAAACUCAUCUGUUACAAAGGGAUUUCAUUUUUUAAUACUUAUUUGAACUCCUGACUUUUUGUGUGUUCAAAAUGCACCAUUCAAAGCCACAUCAUCAUUUUUCAGUCCUUUCUGACUUCAUUUGUUAUUUUUCAUGCAUGUACUAAUUAUUUUGAGCUAUAAGACCCUAAAAUUGAAAAGCAUUUCAAAUGAACUCUGAAAAGGAUGAAAGUUCGCAUGGUAUCAUCAUUUCAUCCNNNNNNNNNNNNNNNNNNNNNNNNNNNNNNNNNNNNNNNNNNNNNNNNNNNNNNNNNNNNNNNNNNNNNNNNNNNNNNNNNNNNNNNNNNNNNNNNNNNNNNNNNNNNNNNNNNNNNNNNNNNNNNNNNNNNNNNNNNNNNNNNNNNNNNNNNNNNNNNNNNNNNNNNNNNNNNNNNNNNNNNNNNNNNNNNNNNNNNNNNNNNNNNNNNNNNNNNNNNNNNNNNNNNNNNNNNNNNNNNNNNNNNNNNNNNNNNNNNNNNNNNNNNNNNNNNNNNNNNNNNNNNNNNNNNNNNNNNNNNNNNNNNNNNNNNNNNNNNNNNNNNNNNNNNNNNNNNNNNNNNNNNNNNNNNNNNNNNNNNNNNNNNNNNNNNNNNNNNNNNNNNNNNNNNNNNNNNNNNNNNNNNNNNNNNNNNNNNNNNNNNNNNNNNNNNNNNNNNNNNNNNNNNNNNNNNNNNNNNNNNNNNNNNNNNNNNNNNNNNNNNNNNNNNNNNNNNNNNNNNNNNNNNNNNNNNNNNNNNNNNNNNNNNNNNNNNNNNNNNNNNNNNNNNNNNNNNNNNNNNNNNNNNNNNNNNNNNNNNNNNNNNNNNNNNNNNNNNNNNNNNNNNNNNNNNNNNNNNNNNNNNNNNNNNNNNNNNNNNNNNNNNNNNNNNNNNNNNNNNNNNNNNNNNNNNNNNNNNNNNNNNNNNNNNNNNNNNNNNNNNNNNNNNNNNNNNNNNNNNNNNNNNNNNNNNNNNNNNNNNNNNNNNNNNNNNNNNNNNNNNNNNNNNNNNNNNNNNNNNNNNNNNNNNNNNNNNNNNNNNNNNNNNNNNNNNNNNNNNNNNNNNNNNNNNNNNNNNNNNNNNNNNNNNNNNNNNNNNNNNNNNNNNNNNNNNNNNNNNNNNNNNNNNNNNNNNNNNNNNNNNNNNNNNNNNNNNNNNNNNNNNNNNNNNNNNNNNNNNNNNNNNNNNNNNNNNNNNNNNNNNNNNNNNNNNNNNNNNNNNNNNNNNNNNNNNNNNNNNNNNNNNNNNNNNNNNNNNNNNNNNNNNNNNNNNNNNNNNNNNNNNNNNNNNNNNNNNNNNNNNNNNNNNNNNNNNNNNNNNNNNNNNNNNNNNNNNNNNNNNNNNNNNNNNNNNNNNNNNNNNNNNNNNNNNNNNNNNNNNNNNNNNNNNNNNNNNNNNNNNNNNNNNNNNNNNNNNNNNNNNNNNNNNNNNNNNNNNNNNNNNNNNNNNNNNNNNNNNNNNNNNNNNNNNNNNNNNNNNNNNNNNNNNNNNNNNNNNNNNNNNNNNNNNNNNNNNNNNNNNNNNNNNNNNNNNNNNNNNNNNNNNNNNNNNNNNNNNNNNNNNNNNNNNNNNNNNNNNNNNNNNNNNNNNNNNNNNNNNNNNNNNNNNNNNNNNNNNNNNNNNNNNNNNNNNNNNNNNNNNNNNNNNNNNNNNNNNNNNNNNNNNNNNNNNNNNNNNNNNNNNNNNNNNNNNNNNNNNNNNNNNNNNNNNNNNNNNNNNNNNNNNNNNNNNNNNNNNNNNNNNNNNNNNNNNNNNNNNNNNNNNNNNNNNNNNNNNNNNNNNNNNNNNNNNNNNNNNNNNNNNNNNNNNNNNNNNNNNNNNNNNNNNNNNNNNNNNNNNNNNNNNNNNNNNNNNNNNNNNNNNNNNNNNNNNNNNNNNNNNNNNNNNNNNNNNNNNNNNNNNNNNNNNNNNNNNNNNNNNNNNNNNNNNNNNNNNNNNNNNNNNNNNNNNNNNNNNNNNNNNNNNNNNNNNNNNNNNNNNNNNNNNNNNNNNNNNNNNNNNNNNNNNNNNNNNNNNNNNNNNNNNNNNNNNNNNNNNNNNNNNNNNNNNNNNNNNNNNNNNNNNNNNNNNNNNNNNNNNNNNNNNNNNNNNNNNNNNNNNNNNNNNNNNNNNNNNNNNNNNNNNNNNNNNNNNNNNNNNNNNNNNNNNNNNNNNNNNNNNNNNNNNNNNNNNNNNNNNNNNNNNNNNNNNNNNNNNNNNNNNNNNNNNNNNNNNNNNNNNNNNNNNNNNNNNNNNNNNNNNNNNNNNNNNNNNNNNNNNNNNNNNNNNNNNNNNNNNNNNNNNACUGGAUGCACUUCGUGUACAAAACGGACAAUCUCUUUCAAAGUAUCAGGAUUUCAUCCGGAAACUCGUCUGUUACAAAGGGAUUUCAUUUUUUAAUACUUAUUUGAACUCCUGACUUUUUGUGUGUUCAAAAUGCACCAUUCAAAGCCACAUCAUCAUUUUUCAAUCCUUUCUGACUUCAUUUGUUAUUUUUCAUGCAUUUACUAAUUAUUUUGAGCUAUAAGACCCUAAAAUUGAAAAGCAUUUCAAAUGAACUCUGAAAAGGUUGAAAGUUGGCAUGGUAUCAUCAUUUCAUCCACAUGGCAUGUGCAAGAAAGUUGAGAGGGUUACGGCAAAAACUGGAUGCACUUCGUGUACAAAAUGGACAAUCUCUUUCAAAGUAUCAGGAUUUCAUACGGAAACUCGUCUGUUACAAAGGGAUUUCAUUUUUUAAAACUUAUUUGAACUCCUGACUUUUUGUGUGUUCAAAAUGCACCAUUCAAAGCAUAGACUGAUUUUGAAUGGUGCAUAUUCAACACACAAAAAGUCUGUAAAGAUCGCCAACCCCAACAUAAAAAAAUGAGCAUAGAUGCGCUUAUAGAGAACAUUCAACCUAAAUUCAUAAUAAAUUUCUAUGAAUUUCAGAGAAACUCACUCUGAAUUUAGGCCAAAUUCCCUGUAUAAGGGCAUCUAUUUUCAUUUUGAGAGGAGCUCAACAAGGCAGAGAGGGACGUGUUUUUUUUCUCUUUUGCUUUAUUUGUUUUGUUUUGUAGAGGUGCCAGAGCUCGAAGCAAAAAUAGAGAUGAAAAUAAUUUUGAGAGGUAUGCUUUCAUUGUCAACAUAACGACCAAGAGUUCCCAAUAUCUUCCAUACUACAUACAUUAUAGGCGGUUCCCACGCAGAAAGGUAAAUUUUUUACUCCCCCUCCACCAACAUUCACACUCCACGGCUUGUCCGAAACAACGGGUGCCGUCCAAUUAUCAACAUUCCUAGGGGAGUUUUGUUUAAAUUAUUUGCGAAUUUGUUUUUGAUCUUUUGAUCAUAGGACUGGGCAUCCCAGUUACCAGCCAUUUUCUCGUGAAUGAUGAGCGGAGUCCACUCAUCGUGAGAAUAACCCACCUAGCAUGGAAGAUGCUGCUAGCCCCUAGUCGCUACAAGAGCGUUUCAUGCAUACAAAACAGAUUAUUAUUUGAAGGUUUAGAGUUUGGCACAUGCAAAUUUACUUGGAACGGCAGGUAAAUACCGCAUAUAGGUAGAUAUGGUGGACACUCAUGGAAGAAACUUGGUUCAAGGAAUUUGGAUGCACAAGCAGUAUUCCCGCUUAGUGCAGAUAUUUUGGCUAGCAAAGGAUUCUAAAUAGCAAGCACCACAUGUUAGAGGAUCCAUAACAAUAUAACUUCUAUACAAAUACACCCAAGCAUAACUCAUUAUGUUGUCUUCCUUGUCAACUUCAACUAAUUUGCUCAGGUUUGAAAAUAAUUAAUGGGGCUCACAAUCAUAGAAUAUGUCCAAGAUAGUAUAUUUAUAUGUGAAAUCUCUCUUCCUUCAAUAUUCUUUCAUGAAUUGUUCAAGUGACCAAUACAAUGUUUGCUAACCUUCAAUAAAUUUACCACCUCUACUUCUUAUAUGUAAAGUCAUUACUCCCCAUGGGAUAAGCAUAUGAAACAUAUAUAAUUUCAUAUUUAUGACAUUCAAAUCAUUCAACCAUUUACUCAUAGGAUAUAAGUGAAGCACACGAGUAAAUGACAAACUACUCCAAAGAGAUAUAAGUGAAGAUCAAUGAGUAGUUAAAUAAUUAUGUAGCUAUGUGAAGACUCUCUCUCAUUUAAGAAUUUCAGAUCUUGGUAUUUUAUUCAAACAGCAAGCAAAACAAAAUAAAACAACAUUUCAAGGAUAGCACUCAUCAUGUGAAGAAGCAAAAACUUAGGCUCAACCGAUACUAACCGAUAAUUGUUGAAGAAGAAAGGUGGGAUGCCUACCGGGGCAUCCCCAAGCUUAGAUGCUUGAGACUUCUUGGAAUAUUAUCUUGGGGUGCCUUGGGCAUCCCCAAGCUUGAGCUUUUGUGUCUCCUUAAUUCCUCUUAUAUCACGGUUUCCUAAAUCUCGAAAACUUCAUCCACACCAAACUCAACAAGAACUCGUGAGAUAAGUUAGUAUAAACCAAUGCAAAAACCUUAUCAUUUUCUACUGUAACAAAUCACUUAAAUUGUUAUUCAACGUUGCAUACUAAAUGCCUCUGCAUAUUUAAUAGUCCUAUCCUCAAAUAGAAUCAUUAAACAAGCAAACAUAUGCAAACAAUGCAAACAUAACAGCAAUCUGCCUAAACAGGACAGUCUGUAAAGAAUGCAGCAAGAUUCAUACUUCCCUAGCUCCAAAAAUUAUGAAAUAAAAUUCCCACUGUAGUAAAUUUAUCAGAGCUUAUUAUGAAAAAUGUUUCAACAUUUUAUCACAUUCUGAAUUUUCUAGGGAAUUUUUGCAACAGCGGUAAACUUUCUGUUUUGAAACAGCAACAUGUAUACUUGCAAAAUAAGCAUGGUAAAGGCUAUCCUUGACAUUUUUAUUGAAAAUAGAGAUGCAAAAAAUUAUUCUAAAUAACAGCAAGCAAAUACUAACAAAAGAAAAUGACGCUCCAAGCAAAACACAUAUCAUGUGGUGAAUAAAAAUAUAGCUCCGAGUAAAAUUACCGAUGAACGAAGACGAAAGAGGGGAUGCCAUCUGGGGCAUCCCCAAGCUUAGGCUCUUGGUUGUCCUUGAAUAUUACCUUGGGGUGCCUUGGGCAUCCCCAAGCUUAGUCUGUUGCCACCCCUUAUUCUAUAGUCCAUCGAAUCUUUACCCAAAACUUGAAAACUUCACAACACAAAACUCAACAGAAAACUCGUAAGCUCCGUUAGUAUAAGAAAAUAAAUCACCACUUAGGUACUGUUGUGAACUCAUUCUAAAUUCAUAUUGGUGUAAUAUAUACUGUAUCCAACUUCUCUAUGGUUCAUACCCUCCGAUACUACUCAUAGAUUCAUAAAAAUAAGCAAACAACACUUAGAAAACAGAAUCUGUCAAAAACAGAACAGUCUGUAGUAAUCUGUAUCAAACGUAUACUUCUGGAACUCCAAAAAUUCUAAAAUAAACUGGUGGACCUGAGGAAUUUGUCUAUUAAUCAUAUGCAAAAAUAAUCAACUAAAUAUCACUCUCCAGUAAAAAGUUUUAGCUAAUCUCGUGAACGCUAAAGUUUCUGUUUUUUACAGCAUGAUCAUAAAGACUUCACCCAAGUCUUCCCAAAGGUUCUACUUGGCACAAACACUAAUUAAAACAAAAAACCACAUCUAAACAGAAUCUAGAUGGAUUAUUUAUUCCUAAACAUAACCAAAAAGCAAGAAACUAAAAUAAAAUUGGGUUGCCUCCCAACAAGCGCUAACGUUUAACACCCCUAGCUAGGCAUGAUGAUUUCAAUGAUGCUCACAUAAAAGAUAAGAGUUGAAACAUAAAUAGAGCGUCAUGAAACACAUGGAAAGUGCAUUUAAGUCUAACCCACUUCCUAUGCAUAGGGAUUUUGUGAGAAAACAACUUAUGGGAACAAUAAUCAGCUAGCAUAGGAAGGCAAAACAAGCAUAACUUCAAAACUUUAAGCACAUAGAGAGGAAACUUGAUAUUAUUGCAAUUCCUACAAGCAUAUAUUCCUCCCUCAUAAUAAUUUUCAGUAGCAUCAUGAAUGAAUUCAACAAUAUAACCAGCACCUAAUUAAAGCAUUCUUUUCAUGAUCUAGCAGCAUAGAAAUUUUAUUACUCUCCACAAAAGCAAAUUUGUUCUCAUGAAUAGUAGUGGGAGCAAACUCAACAAAAUAACUAUCAUGUGAAGCAUAAUCCAAUUGAAAAUUAAAAUCAUGAUGACAAGUUUCAUGGUUAUCUUUAUUCUUUAUAGCAUACGUGUCAUCACAAUAAUCAUCAUAAAUAGGAGGCAUGCUUUCAUCAUAAUAAUUUUGCUCAUCAAAAAUUGGGGGACAAAAAAUAUCAUCUUCAUCAAACAUAGCUUCCCCAAGCUUGUGGCUUUGCAUAUCAUUAGCAUCAUGGGUAUUCAAUGAAUUCAUACUAACAACAUUUCAAUCAUGCUCAUCAUUCAAAAAUUUAGUGCCAAACAUUUUAAUGCAUUCUUCCUCUAGCAAUUGAGCACAAUUAUCGGAAUCCUUAUUUUCACGGAAGACAUUAAAAAGAUGAAGCAUAUGAGGCACCCACAAUUCCAUUUUUUUGUAGUUUUCUUUUAUAAACUAAACUAGUGAUAAAACAAGAAACUAAAAGAUUAUAUUGCAAGAUCUAAAGAUAUACCUUGAAGCACUCACCUCCCCGGCAACGGCGCCAGAAAAGAGCUUAGUUGACGGGGUGUGAGUGCCGCUUACCUAGACUCCCCGGCAACAGCGCGAGAAAAGAGCUUGAUGUCUACUACGCAACCUUCUUCUUGUAGACGUUGUUGGGCCUCCAAGUGCAGAGGUUUGUAGGAAAGUAGCAAAUUUCCCUCAAGUGGAUGACCUAAGGUUUAUCAGUCCGUGGGAGGUGUAGGAUGAAGAUGGUCUCUCUCAAGGAACCCUGCAACCAAAUAACAAAGAGUCUCUUGUGUCGCCAACACACCCAAUACAAUGGUAAAUUGUAUAGGUGCACUAGUUUGGCGAAGAGAUGGUGAUACAAGUGCAAUAUGGAUGGUAGAUAUAGGUUUUUGUAAUCUGAAAAUAUAAAAACAGCAAGGUAGCAAGCGAUAAAAGUGAGCACAAAUGGUAUUGCAAUGCUAGUAAACAAGGCCUAGGGUUCAUACUUUCACUAGUGCAAGUUCUCUCAACAAUAAUAACAUAAUUGGAUCAUAUAACUAUCCCUCAAGAUGCAACAAAGAGUCACUCCAAAGCCACUAAUAGCGGAGAAUAAACGAAGAGAUUAUGGUAGGGUACGAAACCACCUCAAAGUUAUUCUUUCGGAUCGAUCUAUUCAAGAGUUCGUACUAGAAUAACACCUCAAGACACAUAUCAACCAAAACCCUAAUGUCACCUAGAUACUCCAAUGUCACCUCAAGUAUCCGUGGGUAUGAUUAUACGGUAUGCAUCACACAAUCUCAGAUUCAUCUAUUCAAACCAACACAAAGUACUUCAAAGAGUGCCCCAAAGUUUCUACCGGAGAGUCAAGAAGAAAACCUGUGCCAACCCCUAUGCAUAGGUUCAUGGGAGGAACCCGCAAGUUGAUCACCAAAACAUACGUCAAGUCGAUCACGUGAUAUCCCAUUGUCACCACAGAUAAGCACGGCAAGACAGACAUCAAGUGUUCUCAAAUCCUUAAAGACUCAAUCCGAUAAGAUAACUUCAAAGGGAAAACUCAAUCCACUACAAGAGAGUAGAGGGGGAGAAACAUCAUAAGAUCCAACUAUAAUAGCAAAGCUCGCGAUACAUCAAGAAUGUACCACCUCAAGAACACGAGAGAGAGAGAGAGAUCAAACACAUAGCUACUGGUACAUACCCUCAGCCCCGAGGGUGAACUACCCCCUCCUCGUCAUGGAGAGCACCGGGAUGAUGAAGAUGGCCACCGGUGAGGGAUCCCCCCUCCGGCAGGGUGCCGGAAUAGGGUCCCGAUUGGUUUUUGGUGGCUACAGAGGCUUGCGGCGGCGGAACUCCCGAUCUAUUCUGUUUUCUGGAGGUUUCAGUAUUUAUAGGAUUUUUUGGCGUAGGUCUCAUGUCAGGGCGGUCUCCGGGUUGUUCACGAGGCAGGGGCCCACGCCCAGGGGGGUGGGCGCGCCCCCCACCCUCGUGGGCAGCCCCGGACUCUCCUGGCCCAACUCUUUUACUCCGGGGGUUUCUUUUGGUCCAGAAAAAAUCAACAAAAAUUGGCACGUCAAUUGGACUCCGUUUGUUUUUCCUUUUUUGCAAAACUUUAAAACAAGGAAAAAACAGAAACUGGCACUGGGCUCUAGGUUAAUAGGUUAGUCCCAAAAAUCAUAUAAAAUAGCAUAUAAAUGCAUAUAAAACAUCCUAGAAGGAUAAUAUAAUAGCAUGAAUACUUCAUAAAUUAUAGAUACGUUGGAGACGUAUCAGUGUUCGGAAAAGCAUUGAAUCACUCUUUAUCCAACGUCUCGGUCCAUGAAGGAGGUGAUAAUGCGGCAAACCAGGCAAUCGGACUAUAGGGCGUUAACACUUUCACUUAGCCAUACGAGUUUUAUGGCGGGGCUACGACAUAGCCCCUAGUAUGUAUGCGGCGUAUUAUAAUUUUUGUGCCUUACAUGUUUUGAUAUGAAAAAGAUCCUUCGUGUGACACGGAGAAUCGCUAAAGAUUCGAAUAAGUCGUCAAGUGGUUGACCAGCUCUCACCACAUCAUGAUAGUCAGUUUUCGGCUUUCUCUACUGAGGCGCUCAUCCGGUCAAAGCCAGUGCAGAAUCGCAGUAGUUCUCACUUUACUACCCUAGCCGAUAGAGCGGAACAUAGGGUAGGAAGCACAGGAGCAGGGCAACCCAACUAUUGACCAAAGACAAUGAUUCGGAGCUGAUGCAUAUAGGGCCAAACUUGCGACGUCGAAGUAAGCUAUAGAGUUGUUCGGACUUUUAUUGGCGACUCAUUUGUUCCCAUACCGAGCCCCUGGCAGGUUAUGCCAAGGUGCGUCUUGUAACACAGCCGUUAGGGCCUUACUCAUUGUAGUAAGAGUACGGAGAAUUAGUUCGGAUAUAGUUUACUGGGAGUGGAGCAACAAGCCAAUGAUAAAUUCGUAUAUGGAAAGGAAAAACCACAACCCGGCUAUUUGACAUGCUCGGGGUCGGGGAUGGAGGAAAAAAGGCAUAGUACAGGCUCAGAAUAAAGAGUGCGGUCUACAAAAAGCUGUUUUGGACCUCCUGUCGCACGUCUGCGCCGCCCGUCCUCGGGGAGGGGAGUCCUUAACGGAAGUAGCCCCUUAGGUGAAUGUACGGAUCCGAACUCCGAUAGAGUCCGUUGUAGAUGUUGUCUUGUUGGUCACCUGUUUUUGAGUUAUAAUAAAGAAAAGUAAGUGAAACAGAUAAAGAACGUUACGGGAAUGCUUGCAGGGUUGUCCGUAUUGUGCUUCCGCCGAUCCCCAUGGUAUCUUGAGCGCGUAGUGAUGGACACGUGGUGUAAAUCUGGCCGGCGCAGUGGGUGGGUGGCGGAAGCCGAACUGCUAUUUCCGUUCCGGGAGUGGUCGAACUUUGGAGGGAAACUGUUUCUGGCCCCCGGCGUUCGGCUGGCGAGCUGCUCCGUCGUCUUUAUCGCUUGAUGGCCUCCUCCCCUUGUGCUCAGUGUUAAGCUUGCCUGCCUGCUUGAAGACCCAACAUUUUUUGUUGGUGUGAUUAGCUGGCUUAUCAGGGUGACCGUGAAUCUGACAAGGUCGGUCUAAUAUCCCGUCGAGGGCGGAUGGUUCAUCCUGGUUGGCCUUAAAUGGCUUCUUCCGUUGACCGGGUUUCAGAUUGUGAAAUCCGGCAUUGACCGCUAUGUCGCGUGAUCUUUCAUUAUUGCUGCGACUGUUGUGUUUGUUUAAUCGUGGCUUGUCGUUGCCGUCUCGGAUUUAGGAAGUGCCUGGGUCACUGGCGUUGUUGCGCUUACGAGUGAGCCAGUUGUCUUCUCCCACACAAAAGCGAGUCAUUAGAGUGGUAAGGGCUGUCAUGGAUUUAGGUCCUUCCUGGCCGAGGUGACGUGCUAGCCAUUCAUCCCAGACGCUGUAUUUGAAGGCCGCAAGGGCUUCCGCGUCCGGACAAUCGACAAUUUGGUUCUUUUUUACUAAGAAUCUAGUCCGUAGUUCCCUGGCUGACUCGCCGGGCUGUUGGACAAUAUGACUUAAGUCAUCGGCAUCUGGUGUCCGGACAUGUGUUCCUUGGAAGUUGUCACGAAAGGCGUCUUCCAGAUCUUCCCAGCUGCCAAUAGAAUUUUCUGGCAAACCGUUUUGCCAGUACUGUGCUGGCCCCUUAAGCUUGAGAGGCAGGUAUUUAAUGGCAUGAAGGUCGUCUCCGCGAGCCAAGUGGAUAUGGAGGAGGAAGUCCUCAAUCCAUACUGCGGGAUCUGUUGUUCCAUCGUAUGAUUCGAUGUUGAUGGGCUUAAACCCGUCUGGGAAUUCAUGCUCCAUUACCUUGUUGGUGAAGCAAAGAGGGUGUGCGGCUCCUCUAUGUUGGGCCACACUGUGAAGCACCUCCGGCGGACUCCGCUUACGGUUUUCAGACCGAGCGUGCUCGUAUUUGUUGUGUCCGAAUAGGUAUCCGUUAUUACUGGCCGGGGCAUGUCUCCGCGAUCUGUGUCUCGGUUUUGUGUGUCCUGUUCUACCCUUCGGGUCUUGUUGGAUGUCGCGAGUGUUCCCCCGAGCUUCUUUAUUCUUGCUUAGACGGCCGGAUGGGUUGGCAUGGUGCUUUGCUGGGGCUGCUGCUUUGCCCGGACCGAACUGUGGUCGGCCUACUGGCUUAUUCGAUGGUGGUGUGGGCUCCAAAGCCUUGCCAUCGUAUUGAGGGAGCCGCCUACUGUUGUGGUGGCUUUUGUCUGGGCCGCUAAGGCCGUAUUCUUCGGCGGCCAGGACCUCGGUCCAUCUAUCGUUGAGCAAAUCUUGGCUCACUUGAAGCUGCAGCUGCUUCCUCCUUAGGCUCCUUGCGGUGGCUAUGAGCCGGCGUUUAAAGCGCUCCUGUUCUAGAGGUUCCUCGGGCGCGAUGAAUUCCUCGUUGCUGAGGCUCUCUUCUUCCUCGGAGAGAGGAAGAUAACUACUAUCCUCCGAGUCACCGUAUGCGGCCUGUUCAUCAGGGCUAUCCUGCCCGCUUUCCUGGUCCUCCUGUUCGGAUCCUGUCUCAACGGGGUCUUCAUUGUCCGGAGUAUUAUCACCUCCGGUGCUAGUAUUGUUUUCUCUUGAGUGACGUGACUGAGAGUGGCGCCGGGGGCGCCGGUGUUCGGACUGUGUACCAGGAGGUUUAUCCUCGACUGGAUCUUCCUUGUCAUCGUCGAGAUCGUCGUUGGGUGCGUCUACCAUACACACGUCAUACCAGGAUGUGGUCGCCCCACUUCUAGCGGAUAGUAAGCUCUUGCUUUGCCCCUCAUCGUCGUCAAGAUAGUCAAUGUCUUCGGAGCAGGGGUCAGGCGUGUUGGUUGGGUCUUCGAGGUGGCUAUGAAGUGGGUGGCGGGUGGGAAGCGAAAUUCUCCAUCAUUCGCCGGAAGGUCGAACCGAACAUAGUUCGGUGACGAGCCGUCUGCCAGGGAUAGGCUUUUUAGUGAGUUUAGGAGGUCGCCCAUGGGCGAGCGUUGGAAGAUAUCCGCGGCGCUGAACUUUAAGAUCGAUAGCCGAUCGAGUUCGGUAUCCGCUGGCUCGCAGGGUUCGGAACUCGAUACUAGAAACAAGUCCAGGGUUCCGUUGAUGCAAGUAUCGUACGAAGUGGAACCUGCAUGCGGCUCCAACGCCGCCGAAUCGGUAGCCCCCGUGAUGGGGUUGAGUUUCCCGUCUUCGGAUGACUUGAUCUGCUCCGGGUCUAAGGCCAGAGUUGUUAUAGGAGUUAUCUCCUGGAUACGGCCCGAUGACAGGUUUAAGCCAUGUUCAUCGGGGCGAAGGGGAGCGGUUGCCGCAGUCUCGAACCCGUCGAAGAUCAAGUCUCCACGGAUGUCCGCAAUGUAGUUUAGGCUUCCGAAUCUAGCCUGAUGGCCAGGGGCGUAGCUAUCGAUCUGUUCCAGAUGGCCGAGCGAGUUGGCCCGUAGUACGAAGCCGCCGAAUACGAAGAUCUGUCCGGGGAGGAAGGUUUCUCCCUGGACCACGUCAUUACUGAUGAUCGAAGGGGCCAUCAAGUCCUUUGUCGACGGCACAGUGGAACUCUCAAUGAAAGAACCAAUAUCGGUGUCAUAACCGGCGGAUCUCGGGUAGGGGGUCCCGAACUGUGCGUCUAGGAUCGAUGGUAACAGGAGACGGGGGACAUAAUGUUUACCCAGGUUCGGGCCCUCUGUAUGGAGGUAAUACCCUACUUCCUGCUUGAUUGAUCUUGAUGAAUAUGAGUGUUACAAGAGUUGAUCUACCACGAGAUCGCAAUGGCUAAACCCUAGAAGUCUAGCCUAUAAGUAUAUGUUAAUGAAUCUGUCCUAUCCGGACUAUGCUCUCCGGUUUAUAUAGACACCGGAGAGAUCUAGGGUUACAUGGAGUCGGUUACAUAAGAGGGAAUCUUCAUACUCGGUCGCCAAGCUUGUCUUCCACGCCAAGUAGAGUCCAAUCCAGACACGGGUAUAGUCUUCGGCCUUCAUGCCUUCAUAGCCCAUUAGUCCGGCCCAGUAGAUAACAGGCCGGACGCCCGAGGACCCCUUAGUCCAGGACUCCCUCACCGAGCUCAUCGACUUCGACGUCGUGCACAUCCGCCUGCCGUACAAUGCCAUCUUCGGGUAUCCGGCCCUGGCUAAGUUCAUGGCGGUCACCCACCACGGCUACAACACCCUCGAUGCCGGGAAGCGGCGGAAUCAUCACGGUCCCAUGUGAAGAGAUAGAUGCGGUGUGCUCCCUCGAGCGCGCCUUCCAAGCUGCAGCAAUUGACGACCCCGAUAACAAAAGCGAGGGCCCUCCUGAGGCCCUCGCCAAGAAGAAGCAGCAGCUGUGCCGUGCAGGAUCUCAGGAGGGCGGUGACGCAGCUGGGGCCUCGUCAGGAUCAGCGCCCGCUGCGGGGGGACGCCUCCUUCCAUCGCAUAGGAAGGCGCGCCCGGUGCCCUCCUCGGGCAGGGCUCGAGGGCUCUCUUCUAGAGAGCCUCGGACCUUGCCAACCUCACGAGGGAGGCGCUUGGGCACCACUUGGAGGCGUGCUUCGCGGCACGUUUACCUCAGGAGAACACAGGGCAAGGAGUGCCCACCACUCAGGAGUUCAUCACCAAGACCACUCAGGAACUGCAAGAGGCAAGGGCUAUGCGCGGCGACCGCUGCUCACCAGGCGCAGCUCCCCAUCCAGGCGAGGAUGCCGGGCUGUGGGUCUGCAUCGACGUCCCGGGGCUCAACAGGGUAGCAUCUCAGGAGCGUUUUUGGCCUUCGCGUGUGGGCCGUUGCGAGGGCCCACCACACAGCUACGUUCGCAUGCCCUUCGGCUUGCCGAGCGUGGCGUUAGCCUAUCAGCGCAACAUGCGGUGUAUCCUGGCGGCUCAGGAGGCCAGGUACAACGCCGUCCUGGCAGAGAUGGAGAUGGUCUUCAGGGAACCACCUGAACCCCCGGAGCCUCCCGAGGCUCAGGGCCCUGGUGGCUCGUGAGGAGCCAUUCCUUCGCCGCACGCCUUCAGCUGCACCAACUCUUCUUCGUCGACAGAACUAGGUGACAUUUUCCAAGUUCAUUUAGCUGGGAGCGCCCCUCGGGCUGCAUUAUUCCCAGGCCGCGUGGGUCCGUCCCUGUGGCAUGUAUCCUUUGCUUAUGUCUUUAGCUAACUUGCUAGGAGCGCCCCUCGGGCUGCAUCAUCCCCAAGCCGCUCGGGCCUGACCCAGUGGCAUGUAUCUUUCUGCAUUUACCUAAGCUGGUUUGCUUUCCAUGCUUAAUCUGCCUGAUUACCACCUGCUCGAUCACCACCCACCACGGGUCCAUUCAUCCCAUGCAAUUCGCUUGCGCGUUAAAAGGGGGGCUCCUGAGCAUCGCGACUCAGGAGCUCUUACUGGCUCUCCAGCCCUCACCCCCUGGCCUUGACCAUAGCAUCGCGACCUGGCAUACCAGUGGCAGCUGAGCUCGCUCGAGGGCCGGGACCUGAGGACAUAGAGCGCUUGCACCUAACCGUCUCGCAGGAACACACAACCAUCAAAGACUCAAGACCAGGCGCAACCCGCCUUGAGGUAGGGCCUCCUGAGUCCUGCGCUGGCUCACGAGUGCCCAGAUACACUUCGCAGCCCUGCCGUGCAAGCCACGUGUCAGGGUGGGGCUGUACACGCCCCAGGGGCUCCUCCCGGAGAGGGCCCCCCCUCCCACGCACAAGUGGAAGCACCAUGCUCCGCGCUGGCCGUCGACACUACCGAGGAGCGGCUAUGCCCGUGCAAAAGCGGAAGCACUAUGCUCCACGCUAGUGAUAAACAACUGAGGGCGGCCCCACGAUCGUACCAACCUCAGGGAGCCCCAGAGCUCAGUGUCCUGCCUCACCGCAACGCCUCCCCUCAGGAGAGCCGCGCGAGGGGGCUGCGCUCGGGUCACGCCCAAGCGUACGCCACCCAACCAGGUCUUCCGGGCCUGGGGGCUGCUCUCGGGUCACGCCCAAGCGCACGCCGCCCAAACAGGUCUCCCGGACCUGGUCGUCGCACGCCCCUCCCGAGGCCUCGACGAGGGAAGGUAUGGAGAUUGUUUGCGCAUCAAGGGGGACUCCUGAGCAUCGCGACUCAAGAGCCUAACUGGUCACGUAGCCCCUCACUCCUUGGUCCGUCCUGGUCUCCGGUCAGCCCAACGGCAGUUGAGGUAUGCGCGGGGCCGGGCUCUGCCGACGUAGAACAUUAGUCUAUCCUCGCGUACUCUCCCUAUAAGCUGUUUGCGCGUCAAGGGGGACUCCUGAGCAUCGCGACUCAGGAGCCUAACUGGUCACGUAGCCCCUCACUCCUUGGUCCAUCCUGGUCUUCGGUCGGCCCAAUGGCGGUUGAGGUAUGUGCGGGGCCGGGCUCUGCCGACGCAGAACACAAAGCGGAUAGGAAGAAAAUCACAAAAUAUCGAAGCAAAUAUUACAAACAUAUUGUCCUCACAAUAUCAAAUGAAAAGUCUAAACGCCUCCACGAGGCCUGAUGCAUGUUGCAGGAACGAGACAGGAAACUAGCCACAGGUCACGCCUGAACACCGUCAUCGCCUGCAGAAGGUGCUCCGCCCCGGGUAGCGACGUCCUCACCUGCACCACCAGCCGCAGGAUCGGUGGCAUCGCCAAACAAGGGUGCGGAGGCAAAGCCGCGGAACCUCUCCAGCAGGGCCUCCACCUAGCCUUGCACGGCUGUGGCGGCGGCUUCGCAGUGAUCCUCAGCCACAGGCUCCAGCGGCUCAUCAAGACAAGCGUUGGGGUCGCGAAGGUACAGGAGGCUGAAGAUGCGAGUCAAUGCAGCUGAAGACAGGACUCGAGCUUCUGCCUCCGCCAUGGGACCGACACCAUCAACGACUUCCUCGAGCGCCUUCACCAAGAGGGGAAGCAGCCAGGCGGGGCCGUCUUCAUUGGUGGCCAGCAACUUCUCCAGGCCGUGCUUGUAGAGCGUCUUCAGUGCCUUGCGAGAUCUCUCCUCAAGGUCGGCAAAGCCCACGCGGUCUUCGGCCAGGACCCGCGCCUUGGCGUCAAGAUUGGCCUCCCUCGCCUUCACCUUCCGCUCUAGCUCUUCCAACCGGUUGCGCUCGGCGGCCUGUGUCUUCCCCAACUCCGCCAGCUCAGCGUCACGGUUCUUGACAGCGUCCUCCUGGGCCUUCACCUCCUCCUCCUUUGCCAGGCGGCCGCGCGCUUCUUCGGCGUGCUUGUCGCGCAGGCUCUGCAAUUCGUCCUCCAGCUCUUGGCGGCGGUCGCGGGCGGCCUUAGUGUCUUUCAGCGCCGCCUCACGAUCGACUGCAGCGUUGGCGGCACUCUGCUUCUCCUUCUCGGAAGAUGCUGCGGCCUGGCUUAGUGCCGCGCGAACCACCAAGUCGGAGUGAAGCCAGCCAGAGGCCAGUUCUAGGCGCCCGGCCACCAGGCGUGGAUCUGCGCUCAGGAGAUCUGCCUGCAACUGGGUCAUCUUUGAAAGAGCAUGUUCCACAGCAGCAGCAGGAGCAGAAGAACCUGGGAGUGGAGGUGCAGCAGUGGGAGGAGGCGACAUCGUCACCAAGGCCUGGGAGGCUGCGGGUUCCGGAGCAGUCGGGACCUCUCCAGCCAAGCCAGACACCGGCACCUCCGGAGCCAGUGGGGGCAUGGGGGCUGAUUCCACAUGGCGAUGCACUUCUUGGCCUCGUGAGGGCGACCGGGUUGGGGAAGUGCGAGUGCUGCUGCUGCCUCCUUUCCCUGCGGAGGGAGGCGCGGCCGUCGCGUCCUCCUUCCUUUUCUUCGCUGAAGGCACCGUCCUGAUCAACCAAGGGUGAACGUCAGGAAACAACGAGUACAAGCAGGGACAAGAUGAAGCUCAAGGCACUUACCAAUCCACCGUGACAUAUUUCCACUUGGGGAGCUUGAAGCCUGACAGAGUCGGGGCCUGAGAAGUGGGCACGCGGGCCCCGACGGCGGAAGGGCCGGAGCCGGCCUUAGGAGGCGUCAAGAUGGAGGCGGCAUCCCGAGGAACCAACGACGACCUACCCCCUGUCGGGAUGAGAGGUUGCUCCCUCUCCUCCUGGCGAGCAUCGGCCUCGGCGUCGUCAGGAAGGGCGCGGAGGACCUCGGCCUUGCUCAAGGGAGGAGUCUCCCCCGCCUCCUCCAGAGUCUUCUCUGAGUCCACCUCUUCUCCCUCCUCCCCACGGGACUCAUCAGAGGACAUCUCCACCAGAUUCGGUGCUGCAAAAGCUCCUGCGAGCGCUGGCGGCACCAGCCCGCGCGCGUCGAAGGUCGGCCUGGAAAGCACAAGCGGCUCCCAAUCCUUGCGGAGGAACAAAGGAGUGAAGGCGCUCGGCGGGUACACCUGGUUCUCCCCAACCAGGAGGCACAAGACAGCAGCCAGUUCGACACCAGGAAGGGCCCCCUGUCUCAGGCGGGUCUUGUCUUCAUCACCCCCGAACUCCCAUAAGGGACGUGCACGCGCCUGAAGCGGGGCGACGCGCAGCACCAGGAACUCCCUCAGGAGCAUGGCCUCUGUAACCUUCGCCACCUUCGUGUUGCCCGGCUUCAGGUCCACCUGCAACUGCGCCAACACCGACAAUGCCCGCUCAUCGGCAAGCUCUGCGCAGAGCCACCCCUUGUUGGAUUGGGGCGCCUCCGUCGGUAGUACUAGGCGUGGGUGGGCGUGCUUAGCGUCCAUCAUGACGCAUUUAGCCCGGAUGUUGUCGGCCCUGUUCCCGGUGCUCGAGAUUGAGUUGGCCUUGCCGGACGCGAUGAAAUUGGCGCACCCGGAGACUUGUCCAUCACUGACACGAAGGAGGAAGAAGUGGCGUAGGAGCGCCACGGACGGCAUCACGCCCAGAUACGCCUCGCAGUAGUAGGCGAAGAUGGACAGGAGGAGGACAGAGUUGGGAUGGAGGUGCAGCGCCUGCAGCCCGUAAUGGUCGAGGACCUCAUAAAAGAAAGGGACAUUUACAUCUAUGCACCUAAUUUGCGCCCACUCUCAGAUUUACCCCUAAUUUCAAAGCCUGCUCAAAUUUGCCCCUACGCCGUUAGGUGCACUUACAGAAAUACCGUUCGGUGCCGUUACCGUCCGGUCAAAGCAAGUCAAAGCCGGUCAAAGGGCUUUGACCGUCCUGGAAAAUAUAGCAAAAAAAUUCUGAAAACUUGUGGGAUCAAAGAUACUUGGUUUCGCAAGGUGCGUGCAAAGUUUCGUGUUGUUUGUACAUUCUAGGAGGUCGUGUUAGAGAAAAAACAAUAAAUAUGUAAGCCUGUGAACAGUAAAUUCAAAAAAAGUAGGAAAAUUCAAAAAAAAUGAAAUUUUUUGGCAUCAAAGAGGCUCGGGUCUGCAAGCUGCGUGCAAAUUUUUGUUGUGUUUGGACAUUGGAGGGGCUUGUGGAGAAAAAAACAAAAUUUGGCUUGGGAAAAAACAUGGGAAAAAUGACUAUUUUGUUUUUUCUUGCUAGUGCUGCUCGCAUGUCAUUUGAUCACAAAAACUUGCAAGCACCAUGUGCACCCAAGCCACUUUGAUGGCAAAAAAUUUCAUAUUUUUCAAAACUAGCUUGCUAUUUUAUUUCAAAUUUACUGUUCACAAGCAUGCAGAUUAACUGUUUUUCCUCGCCACGAGCUCCUGGAAUGUCCAAAUAGCACGAAAAUUUGCACACACCUUGGGCACAUGAGUAUCUUCGAUCUCACAAAAUUUUAGAUUUUUUUGCUAUUUUUCUCAGGAUGGUCAAAGCUGUUUGACUGGACGGUAACGACGCAGAAGGGCAUUUCUAUAAGGGCACCUAACGGCGGAGGGGCAAAUUUGAGCAGGCUUUCGAAUUAGGGGUAUAUCUGAUUAGGUGGUUCGAGUUAGGGACAGAAAUGCAAAUGGCCCUAAAAGAAAUUAGAGAAGGGGGAACCAACCUGACGGCGACGCUGCUUGAGAAGAAGGGGAAAAAGGUGCUCCCCUCAGGCUCCGGCACAUCGGAGGCGAGCCGGAGCUCCCUCUCCCCCCAUUCGUUGCUCUCCCCCGCCGUCAGCAAGCGCAUGGAGGCGAGGCUCUUCUCUGUGACGGUGGGCGCUUCAAGAGCUGGCUCAUACCAAGCCGGCGCCGAGGAGGACUGGGCCUUGCGUGGCGCCAUCUGUCGCGGGUGCAGAACAAGAUUGGAGCAGAUCUGGAGGUACCGAAGGCGAGAAGCGAGAAAGGGGAUCUGGAGCGAGGCGAGGAAGAAGCAAUGAAGGCGAGCACUGUCUGCGCCAGCCUUUUGUUGUCACAGCCCCAGAUCAGUCCUUGCUUGAUUUUUCUUGCCUCCAUGCAUCAUGUUUAAAUUCAAAUGAAAUUAGAAUUGAGGAAUUUUCAAAGCCUCAGAAACCUUUUAAAAAUGAUCAACAUUAAAAUCUUCUCAAAGAAGCCUAAGAAAAUGUUCCUGUUAAACCUUGAAAAAUAUUGGCAAGAAUAAAAUUCAAACCAAUAUUUUUGGAAGGUUUAACAUAAUUAUUUUGGGCCUUUGAAUUAAUCCAAUAAAUAUUUGAAUUGGAUCUAUAUUUGUUAUAUAAUAAAUAUAUGUUCAAUAAUUCUGGAAACUGUUGUGUAGCUUUGGAUAAGUCCAUUUGGUUUACACAAUUAUUUUCAUGAAUUUUGAAAAAUGGUUUGGUCUUUGAACUGAAUCAAAACAUAAUAGAAAAAAAUAGAAAACAGAACGAAUUAUUAACAGAGAGAGAGAGAGAGAAAGGCCAGGGGCCACUUACCUGGUGCCCACCCGCGGCCCAGCAGAGGCCCAGCCCACCUGGCACUGCCAGUCAUCUCCCUCCUCACGCCAGGAGGACAGGAGCGCGUGGCCGCGGCACGCUGGCACGCGCCUGGCCACCUCCUGCUUGCCGCCGAACGCCUAGCGCUGGCUACGAACGCCACAUACUCUCCCGCGCGUCCCUCGAUCGCUUGCUCGUCCCCAUCCCCUCUCUGCUCUCUCUCCCUCUCUGCCCGAGUGGAGCUCGUCGACGCCGCUCGCCGUUGCCGUGGCCACCGAGCCCCCCUCGCCUAGCUAGGAUGCCCAGCAGCUCCGCCCCCUCGCGCUACGCCUCUCCACCGAAAGAAGCCACUCCGGACGCCCUGCAACGACUGCAUCGUCAUCGUCUUCGAGCUUCGACCGCCGGCAACCCCACCGUCGAUUCGGCGCCGCCAGGACCUUCCCGGGCUCGCUGACCUCCUCUUCGGCAUCGCCGUGAGCCCCUGCUCCCAACCCCUAUCUCCCCUCUGUCGAUUUCCUCCUCUAGCCCCUUUGGCCACCCCGACCGAAGCUCGCUGCCGUUGCGCUUCGUCGCUGCCGUGGCUAGAGACCACCUCCGCCGCGUCUGAGAGAGUCACCGUCCUCAGCACGUUUGCAGGAGCACCUAGCACCCCACCGCUCGACCUGCCGUGCGCCACAACGCCGGUUCCGAGCGCAACCGAACUCCGGCCGCCGCCUGCCAUCGUUGCAGCCGUCGUUUCCGGCCUCCUCUCGCCCAACCGCCUGCUCCGAUGGAUGCGCGCAAGCGCCAGCAACCCGUAGCCGCAAACCGCUCGUCGAUCCGUUCCCUAUAGCGCGAACCCGAAGCCCUCCGCCGUGCUGCGUGCUCGCCGGCGACCAACCCCGGCGGCAGCCGACGUGGCAUCGUCAUUAGUACUAAUGACGGGGCUAACUAACGUCCUCUGCCACUGACAAAUGGGCCCCGCGCCCUCAAUUAAUCACAGGUUUAUCCCCUGAUUAGAUUAAGCUAAUGCCCGUGGCCCCACAGGUUAGUUUGACCUAGCCACGUCAGCAUUGACCCGGUCCCACGUGUCAGCCUCUGUUCCUGCCUUGUCACACUGACAUACGGGACCCACGCGUCAGGUUUGACCUGGACCGUGGCCCGUUGACCUGCUGACGUCACACCUAUGUCAUGCUGACGCAGUAAAACAUUUUCUGAAUUUAAGUUUAUUCAGGAAAUUCCAGAAAAUAGUAUAAACUUCUAAAAAUCAUAUAAAAUCAACCGUAGCUCAGAAUGAAAUAAUUUAUAUAUGAAAAAUUAUCAGAAAAAUGCAAUCUAUCCAUUUGUAUCAUUUUCAUGCAUGUCAAACUAAGUUAUACCUGCUGUAUAGGUGAAAACAUGAUAAUGACAUUAUAAAUGCUAAAUGUGGAGUUUGCAUAUGAACCCUUAGUUCAUAUGGACCGCAUUUAAACUGUUGCUAGAUGCAUUAGUGUAAAUCAUAACAUUCUUGACAUGUCAUGAUCAUGCAUCAUAUUGUGCAUUGCAUUGAUUGUGUUCUUCCUUGUUUGCCGGUAUUUGUCCCCUCUCGAUAGCUGUGAUUCCGACGAUGAGUUCGAUGACACCGUUGAAGAACUAUAAUAUCUUCAGAAGUGCUAGGCAAGCAAAACCCCCUCGUUCAUUCCGAUACAAUCCCACUCUCUCGCUCCUGCUCUCUUUUACUGCAUUAGGACAACAACGAUUCAAUGUUACAUGCUGCGGUAGUUGAACCCCUUAUCCUCUGCAUGACCUGUCAUUGCCAUAGUAAAUAGAUGAAACCCACUAGCAUGAGUAGGAGUUGUUUGAGCCCUGAUGUGCCUACUCAUUCAUGCUUGUUUGUCAUGCAUGCUAUUGCUUAGAGUUGUGACAGGUCUGAUUCAUCGGGGAUGAAUUGGAGUCGUGUGAACAUGUCCAACUAUGUGUUAGCUAAGUGUGUAAAUACGAUUUGGUAAAGGUAGCGGUGAGAGGCCAUGUAGGAGUACAUGGUGGGUUGUCUCAUUGAAGCCGUCCUCAGGAACUGAGUUCUGUGGUUGUGAUCCAUGAUACAGUUACUACCACGCAUUGGGCCCGAAACCAAUGGACCCUCUCGGCUUCUUAAUCACCCUUGUCCUCUGUCCAGGAGUUGCAAGUAGUUUCUGGUGUUUGUAGUAUGCUGGAGGCCGUGGGCAGCGCUGACCGGAGGGGUGGGCUGUGAUGCGGUAGGCACGAGGCACGGUGUACCGGGUGCCCGUUUGGUGUCACGGGAACCCUGCACACAUCGUUCGGGGCCGUAUGUGGAAACCUCGGCCGGACUCCCUGCGGAUGGAACCUGAAUAGGCGAUAAACCUGGACUAGAGACUUGAGUGUUUAGGUAGGCUGUGGCCGACACCCUCGCUGGGCUUCUGCUUGAAGGUUGCCGAGUACAUGUCGUGUAAACGGCGGUAAGUGGUGAGAGCGUGUGUGUCGAAGUACACCCCUGCAGGGUUAACAUCAUCUAUUCGAAUAGCCGUGUCCGUGGUAAAGGACUUCUGGGUUGCCUAUAACAGUUCAUAGACAAGUGAAAGUGGAUACUCUAAAAUGCGCAAGAUAAGCGUGAGUGCUAUGGAUGGCGUUCUCGUAGGGAGACAGGAGCGGAUCCAUAGUGGAAUAUUGAUAUGGUGAAUAUGUGGACUCGUGUGCGCCACCUCAAAAGAGUUGCUUGCAGUCGUAGUUCAGGUUAGCCACUGAGUCAAAGCUGGCUUGCUGCAGUUAAACUCCACCACCCCUUUUGUUGAUACCGAUGCAUAUGUAGAUAGUUCUGAUGUAAGUCUUGCUGGGUACAUUUGUACUCACAUUUGCCUAUUUUAUGUUUUGCAGAGAGACGUCAGUCUCGCUAGUAGUGCUGUGUGGACUUCGACGUUUAGCUUGUUACCUUAGCUACAAUCUUGUGCCCUCGGCAGGAUCUGGUAGAUAGUCAGGCUUCUCAGCCUUUUUCAUUUGUAGUUGUCUGUACUCAGACAAGUUAAGCUUCCGCAUGUGCUUGUUGCUUGUAUGCUCUGAAUGUUGGGUCAUGAGACCCAUGUUUGUAAUAUCUGGCUCUUCGGAGCCUAAUGAAUAAAUACUCUGAGUCGUAGAGUCUUGUUGUGAUGCCAUGUUGUAUUUGCACAUAUCGAGCAUAUUGUGUGUAUGAUUGAAAUGCUUGGUAUGUGUGGGAUCCGACAACCUAGUUGUUUAUCCUUGGUAGCCUCUCUUAUGGGGAAAUGUAGUCUUGUGCUUCCAUGAGCCAUAGUAGUCCGCUACAGCCCGGUUCACCGGAGUCCUGCUAGCCCAGCACUACUGCUCCGGAACACUUGACUGGCCGGCAUGUGUUUCACUUUGUUCCUGUGUCUGUCCCUUCGGGGAAAUGUCACGCGGUGACAUCCGGAGUCCUGCCUAGCCUGCUACAGCCCGGGUUCCCGGGGUCUUGUUAGCCCAGUGCUAUAGCCCGGAUUCGCACGCUGCUGACCGGCAUGCUCGAUGUUGAUUCAUGUAUGCCUGUCCCCGUACGUUAGUGCCACUUUGGGUUCACGACUAGUCAUGUCGGCCCGGGUUCUCUGUCAUAUGGAUGCUAGCGACAUUAUCAUAUACGUGAGCCAAAAGGCGCAAACGGUCCCGGGCCAUGGUAAGGCGACACCCGUGGGAAUACCGUGCGUGAGGCCGCAAAGUGAUAUGAGGUGUUACAGGCUAGAUCGGUGUGACUUAGAAUCGGGGUCCUGACAUUUGUCAAGUCGGGCAGUUGCCGAGGCAGCGUGGGGAAGCGGAGACGCCCACGUCCAAUCAACCGCCACGCGUCAACCAAAGCCGCAUGCUUUUGGGGCCCGCGGUGCUCCGUACUUGACCCUUGGCUUCGCCUCGAAGCCAAGCACGAGCGCGCCUUGGGCCCAGGGGCUACUGUCGGCGUUCUGGGAAUGGGGGUCCCCAGACUUGCCUGCCUGCGGCCCAUGGCGUGGCUAAGCUAGCGGGCCGUACGGCCCGUCUUCAUCAACAAGGCAUCCAAGACCCUCGCGAGGGGCCAAGCCUCGCGAGGCGGACGAUGCAAGACCUCCUCAGGAGUGGCCUAGCCAGGCAGGCUCAUGAGGAGGGGAGAUAUCAAGGCGGGGCAAACCUCGCGAGGCUCUCGUGAGGUAAGCCAUGAUGAUCGACACCAGGCAGGCGCCAGGCGGGCGCCAGCGCGCGCGGCGUCCUUGUUUCCUCUUUGGUGCUAAGGAGGCAGGCGCAGGCGCGGAGUACCGAGGCAUCAAGCAAAGGUUUCCAUAUCGGUGCAACGAGACCAAGACCAGCAGGAUGGCAAGAUGGAGGUCACCGUGGAGCCCAAGACGACGUCAUCACCAGAGCCUUUAGCAGGAGAAGACCACUUUUGUCAGGAUAGCUUGUACUAGCUAUCCCCUUUCAAAUUCGCCCGCCGUUGUUAGCUCCCUUCCCACUCAAUAUUUGGGGAGAGGACCAGGGCCUAUAUAAGUAGAGCUAGCCACCACAGUAGAGGGGAUCGAAUCGAGACCCACGCUAGUUCACCAAGCACAAGAACACCUCAACCUCAGGAGGCUGUUCUUCCCCUUGUACUGUUCAUCAUCAGCCCAAGAGGCAAUCCACCACCACACACACUGGAGUAGGGUAUUCCACCACAACGGUGGCCCAAACCAGUAUAAAUCUCGUGUCUUUCUGUGUUGCGAGUGCGUCGAGUUCGUCCGCGAGAUCUUAGUGAGCUAGGGCGUGGAUCGGUAGGAGGGGAAGAUCUUCGCGCGCACCCAGAGUUCGAACCUUAAGGGUUUUGCCGAAACCCGAGAUCUGACAGUCGCGUCAACUCGUACAACGAGGAGAAGCUUGAUUUUACUACUACACGCCUUCUCCCUCGCCCAUGCGCGCGGUGGCUCGCAGACGAGGACACACUUUUGCUUAGGCUGGUCGUAAUGGAAUACUAGUAUCAUGCAUAUGAUACUAGUGUAUGAUACUACACAUCCGUAGUGCAUAGUAUCAUAUGUUAGUAUCAUCGAUGACUUCAUUUAUUAGCAUGCAUGACACAUAGUAGCACAACAUUUAAUAUGAUACGGUAUCAUGAUAUGAUACUCAAACCUCUCUUUCUUCAUUUACUUCUAUGCCACCUCAUCAAAUUUGCCUAGUUGGCAUGCAUGAUACUCCCUCGUUCAUAAAUAUUUGUCUUUUUAGAUAUUUCAAAUGGACUACCACAUACGGAUGUAUAUAUACAUAUUUUAGAGUGUAGAUUCACUCAUUUUGCUCCCUAUGUAGUCACUUGUUGAAAUCUCUAGAAAGACAAAUAUUUAGGAACGGAGUACUACCUAUGAUACUCCCAUUACAACUAGCCUUAUAGAGUACUACAACAAGCUAUCCCUCCCGCACGCAGUGGACGGACAUGCAGCAGUGGAUUCGAUACUAUAGAAGUAGUAGUAACAUCAAUGUUCGUCUUCUCGAAGAGGCGAAGAGCCAAGCGCAACCCGAACGUGGCAGUUGCGAACGCUCGCCACAGUGUGUUUGGUUGCAUUCUCAUCUCAGCAUAGUUGUUCCCUCUUCGUGCAUGCUCAUCCCAGCACCCCUCUUCAUGCAUGCUCCUAGUGUAUUUGUAUUAAGCUAGUGUGUACUCAUGCACCCCUCAUACACCCUACCAAACACCCAAAAGUGGGUCGAGAAGGGCUUGGAGCACGCAUAUAGCCAGGCUCUUGCAUGAGACAAAAUUGCUAUUUGAGCCCACUAUUGUAGUACUACUUGCUAGUAUAGCCCUGUAAACGGGAAAGGAGUAUUUGCCUUUCUAGAUAUUUCAACAAGUGACUACACUACACCCUAAAUGAGUAGUACUAGAGCAAAAUGAGUGAAUCUACACCAUAAAUAAAUGCGUAGUUCUCUCAUUUUUUCUCUCCGCCUUGGUCGCGGUGCACAAUAUUGAGUACUCCUAUAUGACUAGCCGCUCUAUCUACAUGCGGGACAUCAAAGCAUCUGGGCCCGCGUGCCAUCCACCAAAUCCCAGCGAGGUGCUAUAGUCGAGACUCACCGGUCACCCCGGUGUGGCCUCGAAGUGGCCACGAAGUCGUACUGGACGAAGCAACCAUCAUUUCACUGGAACGCUCGUUGAAGCCCUUUCUCCCCUUUCUUGAAGAAAACCUCACUCCAGGCUACUCACUUCUGCCAUUUUUCUUCUGUACCGAUGAAGGAAAGGUGGGCGAAUCAGUGAUGCUACUAUAUUCUCAUUCCAAGAAUCUUCUUUUUGCGAAGCACCGACCGGUUCUCACAGCCUAUUCUUUUCUCGUUUUCAUUGCGAUUGUGGUUUCCUUUCGAUUGCUUUUUGUUUGUCAGUUCAUUGAUGGAUCCUGGAGCACUAGGCAAAGAGUUGCCGGCGGACAACCCAUUGGAGACAGCAAUCUCCAGGAAGCGAGCACCGAUCAACGAGUUGACCAUGUUGGCGGGCCAACCCAUGGAAACAAAGACCUCCAAGAAACAAGCACUGGCCAAAGAGUUGACGACGUUGGCGGGCGAACUCCUCAAAGAAAGUUGGAAGAACAACAAGGGCCCCACCGUGCCUACCCCAGAAACUCUAAUGGCCACUUAUGCGAGGCUCAAGGCCGAGUUUGAGGAGAUAGUGGCCGUUAAGAAGCAGUAUUCCCCUGGCAAGGUGAUGACCCCCAUCGAGGAUGAGGAGAUGGCCCCCCAGAGGGAUGGGAUUCCCCGGUGAGCUGCACAAGGUAAAAAAUAAUGGCUUACCAUAGUUGUGGUUUUUUGAUUAUUUGCUAUGUGCUUGCUAAUAUGUUAGGGUUGUGCAGGUGCCGGUGGACGUCCUUGAUGAUUCUGAUGUCGCCGCCCAUCAUGUGGACAACGCCCAGUGAUAGUUUUCGAUAUCGCGGUCUGUCCUGUUGACAUCGCCCCGGAGAUCGAUUCCGAUGCCGUUGUCCAUCCUGUGGACAUCGCCCCAAAUAUCGAUUCCGAUGUCGAGGUGGACAUCGCCCCAGAGAUCGAUUCCCGUGCCGCAGUCCGUGCUGUGGUCAUUGCCCGAGAGAUCGAUGACAAGAAAUAGUUGGUCGCGCUAAUCCUUCAGGGUAGUUUGCAUUGUGUUUAAUUACCAGAACGAUGUGUGUUAUCAAACCAUCUUAGAGCUAGUGCACUGUCUUGUGUGGGCGGUACUGAGGGAGUCCUGUACUAAGGGGUCCUCGGGCGUCCGGGAUAUGUGACGUGGGCCGGACUGAUGGGCCGUGAAGAAACCAGACAGAACACUUCCUCCCGUGUCCGGAUGGGGCUCUCCUUGGCGUGGAAGGCAAGCUUGGCGUUCGGAUAUGAUGAUUCCUUCCUCUGUAAACCGACUCUGUACAACCGUAGGCCCCUCCGGUGUCCAUAUAAACCGGAGGGUUUAGUCCAUAGAAGAAAUCACAAUCAUACAGGCUAGACAUCUAGGGUUUAGCCAUUACGAUCUCGUAGUAUAUCAACUCUUGUAAUCCUCAUAUUCAUCAAGAUCAAUCAAGCAGGAAGUAGGGUAUUACCUCCAUCAAGAGGGCCCAAACCUGGGUAAACAUCGUGUCCCCCGUCUCCUGUUACCAUCGACCUUAGAUGCACAGUUUGGGACCUCCUACCCGAGAUCCGCCGGUUUUGACACCGACAUUCGUGCUUUCAUUGAGAGUUCGACUGUGAUGUCGAAGACGGGAUUGAUGGCUCACCUUGUUAUCAAGGACAGUAUCACCUUCGGAGGAGCCCCGGCCUCAGGCCAAACCCUCCGGCUGGGUGACUUUACCAUGACCGCCCGUUCGGCCGUUAAGCCGAUGACAACUUCUCAGGUCAUCGAAAGUCGCCUCCGUGUUGACUCCGAAUACUCCAAACGGAUGGAUCCGGCGGAGUUGUCGUCUUUAACCGAACUCCUGGAUCGCAUCACCGCCAUGGGGGUCACUACAGACUAUGAUCAGAUUGGGAUUAAACCCGAUCAGAGAGAAAUCAAAUCUCAGCCGAUCACCCAUCAGAUAGCGGUCGUAGAGGAGCAAAACAACAACUCUUCCUCUAUGUUGAAGACGAGCUAUGUUCGGAUUUCCAAGCUCAAAGAGCCGGAUACCUGUCUGCGGAACGACACUCCCAGUCCUCCGAACCUGGAAUCGGGCAUUGGGCCUGGAAAAUCAUUUGACAUCCCGGAGCCCGAACUAAUAAGCUCGGAAGCUUUUCAAACUCCAGACUCCAAAUUGGGUCAGGGUUCGGAUUUAAAGCCACCCACCCACCACAAGCAAUAUUUGACAAGCAAUUCCAGCCCUCUGGAUAUAUGAGACCUCAUGUACAUACGACAAUAGUCUCAGGAAAUAGUCCAUCACUUUUGGGCCAGAUUCCUCCUUGUUAAAGACAAGAUUAAAGAUUGCCGCGAUGAGGACGUGAUUUCAGUAUUCUGCAAUAAUUGCACGGACGAAGGAAUCCUCAACGCCAUCAACCGGCGUCGCGUAUUACACUUCGCUGACUUGGCAACCAUAGUACAGAAGUACUGCACAAUGGAAAGCGCCUGGAAAACUCAGACAGCUCGCUGGGAACCACCGGUCUCCACUCAACCCCUCUGGCGGGCAAAAAGGAUGCACCCUCGCGAGGCACCUGACCCCAUAGUGAAGAAAACUAAGCCCACUACGGGACGCAGAACCGUUCUGGAGGGAUGGCUUGAUAGGCCAUGCAAAAUACACAUGACACCGGAUAACGUACCAACCCACAACCUUAGAGCAUGUUGGAUACUCCGGCAAGUGGCCAAGAGCGGCGAGGAUAUCCUCACCAAAAACACCUCAAAGUAAUGCACCCGGAAGAUGACGACCUCAGAGUACUAACGGUCUUCGAGACUUUUGCUUCAAACAAUCGGCACAAGAGGGCACUCCGCGACCUCGCCGAAGUCUGCCAAGUCGCAUCAAUAAACCCCUGGAAGGACACGGCCAUAACUUUCAAUGCCAGUGACGAACCAAAAUUCCGGUUAGUCCGAGCACCAGCCGCCUUGGUCCUCAAUCCAAUUGUGGAAUGCUUUCGGCUCACUAAAGUACUCAUGGAUGGCGGCAGCCGACUAAACCUCAUCUACGACGACACACUCAAUAAAAUGGAAAUAGACAGGAGCCGCAUCGAGCAAAGUAAUACGACCUUCCGAGGAAUCAUUCCUAGCCGGGAGGCGCGAUGCGCGGGGAAAAUUACACUCGACGUGGUCUUCGGCACGCCGGAGAACUAUCGGUCUGAAGAGAUAACCUUCCAAGUGGCCCCUUUCAACAGUCGAUAUCAUGCCCUGUUGGGGCGAGAUGCAUUCACACGCUUCCAAGCUAUACCUCAUUACGGGUACAUGAAGCUCAAGAUACCCGGGCCCAACGGUAUUAUCACUCUCGCCAGUGAUCCGGACAUAGCACUCCGCGCAGAAAACAAAACCGCAUCCCUGGCCCUCAAGGCACUGUCCGAGACCCUCGCGGCCGAAGAGUUAACCGCACUACGCUCCACGGUGGAUAGGGAUGACGUAAUCCUUGAUAAGCGGCCCAGAUCCACCUCCUUCAAACCAGCAGACGAAAUAGUCAAAUUUCAAGUCCACCCGACGGACCCCAAGAAGACAGCUUCCAUCGGAGCACAGCUGGACCCAACGGUCGACGCUGCACUGCGAGCGUUCCUGCGCGAGAACUAGGACAUAUUCGCCUGGCACCCUUCUGAUAUGCCAGGAAUCCCACGCAGGUUGGUCGAACAUGGCCUCAAUAUAUUGAAGGGAUAUAAGCCAGUCAAGCAAACACUGCAGCGCUUUUUCGGACCCAAUUGACAAGCUAUGGGGGAGGAGCUAGCCAAGUUAAUCAUGGCCGGGUUCAUCAGAGAAAUAAAACACCCGGACUGGCUAGCAAACCAGGUGAUGGUGCCAAAGAAGGAUAAAUCCUGGCGCCUGUGCGUCUAUUUCAAAGACCUCAACAAGGCCUGCCCUAAGGAUCCCUUCCCCCUCCCCCGCAUCGAUCAGAUUAUUGAUGCUACUGCAGGACGUAACUCACUGUGCUUUCUCGACGCAUACUCCGGAUACCAUCAAAUUAAAAUGAAGGAGUCCGAUCAAGCCGCAACGGCAUUCAUUACCCCAUACGGGCCUUUCUGCUUCAACACUAUGCCCUUUGGGCUCAAAAACGCCGGCACCACCUACCAACGCAUGAUUCAAACAUGCCUGGAGAAACAAAUCGGCAAGACAGUUGAAGCAUAUGUGGAUGACGUCGUCAUCAAGACUAGGCACGUCGAGUCAUUAAUAGACGAACUGCGUUUAACAUUCGACAACCUCCGUACAUAUGACAUCAAGCUCAAUCCGAAAAAUUGUGUUUUCGGCCUUCCCGCUGGAAAACUGCCGGGCUUCAUCGUCAUCAAUAGAGGAAUUGAGGCAAAUCCAGCCAAAAUCCGAGCUUUGUCACAAUUGGCUACACCAACAGACCUUAGACAGGUCCAAAAACUAGCCGGAUGCGUGGCAGCUUUAAGCCGCUUUAUCUCCAGACUAGGAGAAAAAGCAUUGCCACUUUAUCGCCUUCACCGAUGCACCGACCACUUCGAGUGGACGGAUGCGGCAACGGCCGGACUGGAAUAAAUAAAGGCUCUUUUAGCAAGCAACCCAAUCCUGGCCACGCCGAGCGCCGGCAAACCCAUGUUAUUAUACAUCUCAGCAACACAUCAGGUGGUGAGCGCGGUGCUCGUCAUUGAGCGAGAGGAGGACGGACACAAAUUCCCACUUCAAAACCGGUAUACUACGUAUCCACUGUCCUCACACCAUGCAAAUCCCGGUACCCUCAUUACCAAAAGAUAGCAUAUGCGGUCUUCAUGGCAUCCCGGAAGCUACGACACUACUUCCAAGAGUGCUCGAUCACGGUGGCUUCCGAAGUACCACUCAAUGAGAUAAUAAACAACCGCGAGGCUACGGGCCGGAUUGCCAAGUGGGCCAUUGAUCUCCUGCCAUUCGACAUAACGUACAAACUGCGCCGAGCCAUUAAAUCCCAAGUAUUGGCCGACUUCGUCGCUGAAUGGAUAGAGGCCGAACUCCCUAAAGAGUACGGCACAUAUUCCAACUGGGUCAUGCACUUCGAUGGCUCUAAAAUGCUAGCCAACUUAGGAGUAGGCGUUGUCUUAACAUCCCCCAAUGGAGACACAGUCCAGUACGUACUCCAAAUAUUAUACACAGACUCCAACAAUGCAGCCGAAUACGAGGCCUUAUUGCACGGUCUUCGGAUGGCUGCCUCCAUGGGCAUACAACACCUAGAGGUGCGCGGGGAUUUAAUUCUUGCAAUAUCCCAAAUAAAUGGAGACUUCAACGCCAAAGAUCCAAAGAUGGCACCCUAUCGUAAUGCCAUACUCAAAAUAUCAGCUCGGUUCGAGGGACUCGAGUUUCAUCAUGUGGCUCGAGAAAGUAAUCAAGCAGCGGAUGUCCUUGCUCGCAUGGGCGCCAAGCGUGACCCCAUCCCACCUAACAUCUUUCUGGAUAGGCUCUUCAAGCCAUCCAUGGUGGGCAGGGUGAGAGCAGCAACACCAGUUCGGAUCUGAUUAUACCCCCAGAUUCCGAACACAAUACCGAUAUCAUCGGGGGCUCAGCCACCGAAAUAACACCAUCGGCCCAUCUAAUAAUGGCAGUAAUUGCCCCAUGGACCGAACCCUUCUUGGCCUACCUUAAUAGGCGAGAGCUCCUUGAGGAUCAGAAUGAGGCUCGCUGCAUCGUCCGGCGCUCGAAAGCCUACAAGGUUGUCGGAGUAAAUGGCCACGGGUAGCCUAACCGACUCCCCCUGGCUCUUCAAAAAAUUAUUAGGCCAUUCAAGCCUUCAAGCAUACAAAGCACAGGGCCGCCUUCCCCCGGCCGGCUAUCCCCUGGGCCGACUCCCAGAAGGCGACCCAGUCUCAGAAACCUCCCCCAAGAAAGAUACGAGAUAGCCGACUCCGAGGAGCCGGCCCCAAGAGGAGCGACUCCCAGAAGCCGGCCAUGAAGAAAGCCGACUCACGAAAGCCGGCCAUGAAGAAAGUCGGCUCCCAGAAGCCGGCCAAGACUGUACCCACAUAACGGCAAUAAGAUGGGGUGUGGCCGUAGUACGACCCACUGCCCCCAAAUCCCGGAACAGGCAUGGCCACAGGGCGCCGUACGGGCCAGCCACCCCCCGACCGGCGCGGCACUGUAGCCAUGUUGGCCUCGAUGUCACCCACAACAGGCGCCAGUACGGCCUGUAGGCGGCGGGCCCCUUUUGCCAGAGAGACAUCUGAAGACGGCCCUGCCUCCUCUAGUCGGCCAGGGAUAUGGCCGGCUCCCAAUAGCCGGCUACCUCCCUCCCUCGAAGCAUGCACCCCAUUAAGGAGACAAGACGAGGUAAGGCUACAGUGAGAGCUCGCAAGACGGCGACACUGUAGCCAUGCUUACCUCGACAAAGCCCUCAUCAUCAGAGGCGAGACGACAGUAACCAGCCGCCGACAAAGCCCCCAAGCGGUGGGGCCGGCGUGCCGGCCAAGAAGCCGGCAGCCGGCGGGACCCACCAGUCGGCGGGCCCCAGUGACCGGCGGAGAAGCCGGCGAGCAUAGACACUGACGGCUGGGACCCGCGCCCAGCCGGAUUACCAUUGUACCCCUGGGGGGUAGGCCUAUAUAAACCCCCCGGGACACCCAUGCAAAGGGUUGAUCUCAUAGAGUUACACACACCCACAGAGAGAAAAGGAGAGCUAGCCUUGCCCUUCUUCUUCCUCUAGCCAGACAGCUCAAGGAGCACUUGUAGCUACUUGUCUUGAUCUCGUGAUCAUGUGGAGACCCCGCAGAGCAGGACUAGGGGUGUUAUCUCCACGGAGAGCCCCGAACCUGGGUAAGAUUCGCCGGCGUGCAUGUUUUCGCCUCAUCCCGUUUCCAGGCACCGGCGACAUCUUACUGGCUCCCAUAAUGAUAAGCCACCCGUUGGCAUAUGUCGCACCCACCACCCGACAAAGGUCCAUGACGGAGAGCUCUACAAGAAAAGUGCUACCGGAGUCCUUCAAAGAUGUAUCUCCGAAGAAGAGGGACGACAACUCCUGGCCAAAAUCCAUGUUGGUCUCGGCGGUCACCACGCUGCGGCUCGGGCCCUUGCAAGUAAAGCCUUCCGUACAAGUUUCUUUUGGCCGAUGGCCCGAGCAGAUGCACAGGACCUUGUCCAACGUUGUGUCGGAUGCCAGCUUUUCGACAAUCAAAGUCAUUUGCCGCCUACCGCUCUACAAACAAUCCCCAUUACUUGGCCUUUUGUGGUCUGGGGGCUUGAUAUGGUCGGAACCCUUAAAGGAGGAAGCCAUAAGAAAAAAUAUCUGCUAGUCAUGGUAGAUAAAUUCACCAAGUGGAUAGAGGCCAAACCAGGUAAAACGACCGAAGCCGGACCAGUGAUAGACUUUAUAUCCGGUGUCGUGCACCGUUAUGGUGACCCACACAGCAUCAUCACUGAUAAUGUCUCCAAUUUUACAGCCGAUGAAGUGAAAACCUGGUGUGCUAACCUGGGCAUUAAGCUCGAUUACGCCUCCGUCUAUCACCCACAAACAAACGGUCAAGUCGAACGAGCUAAUGAUCUUAUCAUGAGCAGCAUUAAGCCUAGACUAGUGCGGUCUUUGAAAGAAUCAGACAAGCACUGGGUUGAGGAGCUCGACUCCAUACUCUGGGGGCUGCAGACCAUGCCCAAUCGCACUACCGGAUACACACCAUUCUUCACGGUGUACGGCACAGAGGCCGUUUUGCCCUACGACAUCAUUCAUGACUCACCUCGAGUGCACAUGUAUGAAGAGAGAGAGGCCGAGCUUGAUCGGUAGGACAGUUUAGAUGCCCUGGAGGAGGAGCGCGACGUUGCAAAAGCCCAUUCUGCAUUCUAUCAACAACAGGCUCGCAGAUACCAAAGCAGAGAAGUGCGGGCCAAGACUUAUAAUGUUGGUGAACUCGUUCUACGCUUGCCAGAAAAGAAAAAGGACAAACUCAAGCCAAAGUGGGAGGGUCCCUUCAUCAUAGAUGAAGUUCUCACUGGAGGAGCGUGCCGCCUGUGUGAUGCAUCGGACAGUCGCUUAGAGCCGAACCCGUGGAAUGCCGCCAGACUCCGAAGAUUCUACGCCUAGAGCCGUACUCUUUGUUCAUCUUCUUCUCCUUUGUUUCCAUUUUUUCUUUCUUUAACUUUUUCUCUAGAUCUAUAGCUCUUGUGCGGCCAAACCGCACACCUAUGACGUACACAUCAUUAAAUGUAUACGCCCAUAAUACCUGGGGGCUUCUUUUACAGAAGCUUAUUAUUAUUUUCCGAGCAUCAAGCUCACCACAUAUGCGUCCUUUCCUCAUAUGUACCUUUUCUUCACCAUUAUAUGCACCGUUAUGACUUAAGUUUUUGCCAAGCUGGGUUGCCUGGCACCUGUGCUUAUGCCCUAUGUUCUCGUUUGUUUGGCUAGGGCAUAAAGGGAGCACCUCUGUGAUUGUUACAGCCUGGUCAUCCGGACUUGUACCUCAGAUUGGGUGAAGCCGAAAGCUAGCGUUCUUAAGGGAAUAUUCGGUCGGCGGACUAAAGACGUUAUACCCUAAUUACACUGUGAACCCUCAGAUGUUACGUAUAGUGCAAUUUUUCAAUCACAGUUCGGGCAUGCAUACUAACGCAUGUUCACCCAGGGAAAGGAACCCUUAACGGAACUAUUCUCCCUGGAAGAUGUUUCUUACAAUCAACAAGUAAUAUAACAUAGCUAGCCAGAUACAACUUGUCUGUUCAAGCAACUAUGACCCCUAUGCCUAGUUUCCAUGCAUACACCAGUCUAUAUUGCUGCUCCGGUAUUCGGAAACACUCCGCACCUUCGGGUCCAGAGGUCGAAGCGAAAAGGUCUGCCAUGACAAUCGUUUUACAAUCCGGCUAGGGACAAAUUUGUCAAUUGAAGUACAUAGUCACUUGGACUAAAAAACUUCUUCCUCUAUGCUGUCUAACAGGCUGUCUAGCUUACAAUCCUAUUGGGAAAAUUUGGCGGCUAUCUUUACUUGGUCAUAUACCAAACUAACUGGAAUUUCUUGUCCAUCUGACCCCCGAGGUCCGACCCGGGCCAUAUGAUUCGGAUCAAGCUUGGUGUACCGUCUUUUCACCAUGGCCCAGGCAUCUCGCGCACCUUCUCGGCAGGCCGAUAUCUUCCAUAAUCGAAACGCCGCCGAGCUCCUUUGAAUAGCUUCACAAGCUCCUCCAUACUUCCUGGAGGGGAGGCGGAUGGCCACAAAGCCUUGGCAACGCUCCGCAUUGCUUGCCGAGCUCGCUCGUGCACUGGGGACAGCUCUUGCAGCAGAUCGCCUUGAGAUCCGGACAUUUCCUCUUCGAGACGGCCAGUUAGGAUACCUGCAGACAUAAAUCUGUCAAUUCAUUUCUUCACUGAAUUACACGGAGGUAAGUUCAAAAGCAUACUGAAUAUGCCGCCUCAUAGCCUCCUAUUUUCCUUUACAGCAUCAGCUAGCUGGGCUCGUACAUCUUUUAGCUCUUCGCCCAGCAGGGUGUUGGAAUCCUGCAGCUUGUUCUUAUCAUCCCUGGUCCGUGUCAACACACGUUUUCCAGCGGCCAGUUGCUUUUCGGCCCGUUGUUUACCCGCCUGUGCGACCUCCAGUUCCUAUUUCAGUUGAUCUAACAAUCCUGCCAUGGGAAAUACAACAGUAUUAACAUUACUGGUAUAUGAUUAUAUUUUUCUGGGUGGAGGGGAACAUUACCAGGCGAUGCCUCCUUGGAUUUCUCCAGUUCAGCGGUAACAGUAGCUAGCUGGGUCUGACACUUUUCUAGCUCUUGAGACAGCAGGUUGUUCUUCUCCGUGAGUGCCUGGUUAUACAAUGAUCCUUAAAUCAGUUGUAUCAACUGCUUCAAGUCUCGGGGGCUACUGGUAUAUGAUUACCACAUCUGUACAAUGCGUACUUACCCGCAUAUCUUUCAAAUGCUGGUAUGUGGCUCUGGCAAGCCCAUCCCGAGCAGCUCGGAUGUAUGCAUCAGCCGAGCUAAAGGCAUUGAAUGCCUCUUUUGUAAAGCCGGGGUCGCGAAGAGCGGCCCUCCGGUGCCGAUGAUUCAUGGCACUCUCCACUUCAGAGUUCGUGAUGGAUACAUCAUCUGAAUCCUCUGCAGAAGGACAAUCCGGCGUCACUCCCGUGUCAGCCUCCGUCCUUAAGGCAGGGUCUGGAACCUGACUGGUGGAGGCGCGACCGGCAGGAUCCCCGGACAUAGUCCGGCGAACGCUCUUCCUGAUAAGACACAGCGGACAAUGUCACAGUUCGAUGUGACUGCCAGGGGGCAUAUUUAAAAAACCCAUACCUCUUUGAUGAAGGCUCGGCUGUGUUGUCAUUUGCCUUCCUCUUCGAAGACUUGCCCGACGCGGGCGCCGCUCUCUUAUGAGAUGCCUCUGGUGCAGCAUGGCGCGCCGAGAGCCUCCCCUUUGGAGCACGAGACAGUGCGGUGGGUGAGGCAUAAUGAGGAAGCUCUUUCGGAGGAGAUGUCUCCUGAUUACUUACAUGUGAGGCAGGAAGGAGGCCGGGAUUGUCGGCCAUGAUGGCCACUUCUGUGCCGUCAUAGCUCGCCUGGUAGAAUACUCCCUCCUCAAGCUCUACAAAUAUGUCCGGAUCCUCUUCGAAUCCGGGGUCAAGGUCCCAGUUAUGGUCCUCCGGCAGUGGAGCAGGGCUAUAGAUCCCCGUGGUAACCUUCCGCCAUUCCUGUUACAAAUGGACAGGUUAAUGUCAAUUCAAUGUGACUCAGGGAGAGGAUUGAGUAAAGUGGCGGGAUUAAAACUCACCCAGCUAGGAGGAUUGUACAUGGAAAAUCCCUCUCGGCGCUUAAGACGAGUGAACUCCCCUUUGUACAGAUCGGCCAAUAUUGUGGCCAGGGCGGCGGGGGUGUCCGGACCCUUCCGUCUGCAGCGUGAGGCGUCAUCUUCCCCAUUGUAGUGCCACAUAGGGAGCCCUCUGAAUUGGAGUGGCUGAACACCUUGCACUAUGGAAGUCGCCAUUACCUCGAUUAUUGAUAAUCCGGACUAGGCGAGUGUCCUUAUCUUGCCCAUUAGUUGUUGGACUUCCGCGCUAUCUUCCUCCUCGAGGCUCCGAGGGCGCCAGCUAUGGCGUUUCUUCAAUGGAGCACUGGAAAAUUCAGGAAGACCCAUUCGGACUGGGUCGGGGAGAGCGACGUCCUCAAUAUAGAACCACUCUGAGGGCCACUCUUCGGACGCCUUCUUCGGCGUGCCGGACAGGUAUUCGGUCUCGGCUAUGCGCCAUACCUCGGCACCGCCCACCUCGAAUACAGAUCCCUUUUGGGUGCGAGGGACGAGGCAGAAUAGCUUCCUCCAUAACUCAAAGUGGGCCUCACAGCCCAGGAAUAGCUUGCAAAGAGCAACAAUACCCGCAAUGUGCAUGAUAGAGGCUGGCGUGAGGUUGUGCAGUUGAAGGCCGUAAUACUCCAGGAGUCCUCGGAGGAAAGGGUGGAUUGGAAAUCCGACGCCUCUUAACAAGUAGGAAAUGAAGCACACUCGUUCCCCCUGGUUGGAUUGGGCAAAUUUUCCGCCAGGGAUUCGCCAGUGAAGGAGGUNNNNNNNNNNNNNNNNNNNNNNNNNNNNNNNNNNNNNNNNNNNNNNNNNNNNNNNNNNNNNNNNNNNNNNNNNNNNNNNNNNNNNNNNNNNNNNNNNNNNNNNNNNNNNNNNNNNNNNNNNNNNNNNNNNNNNNNNNNNNNNNNNNNNNNNNNNNNNNNNNNNNNNNNNNNNNNNNNNNNNNNNNNNNNNNNNNNNNNNNNNNNNNNNNNNNNNNNNNNNNNNNNNNNNNNNNNNNNNNNNNNNNNNNNNNNNNNNNNNNNNNNNNNNNNNNNNNNNNNNNNNNNNNNNNNNNNNNNNNNNNNNNNNNNNNNNNNNNNNNNNNNNNNNNNNNNNNNNNNNNNNNNNNNNNNNNNNNNNNNNNNNNNNNNNNNNNNNNNNNNNNNNNNNNNNNNNNNNNNNNNNNNNNNNNNNNNNNNNNNNNNNCAUUUCUCCCAAACGCCUUUUUCGGAGCCAUGAGGGUGGGAGGAAGAACUGGGGGCGCUAGCCAUGUGUUGAAUGGUUUCCCCUGGCAAGCUCGAAGGAUUUUCCGCUUGGUGUGGAAUGGGAUCUGAGAUCCAAUCCCUUUAAAUAGACGCCUUUCUUACACGGCCGGGGUGUUACGUGCAAAAAAUACCCUGACCUUUCGUAUUCGCUCGACACGUGGAGGCAGAAGCAAGGGGGGCACAGAAGCCAAAGGGAAUGACAUUAAAUCACAAGCUGAGUACAGUUCUUCGGGUCAGGUGCUCUGAAGUAAUCGAAGGAGGAACCCGCCUUGCAAUGCCGAAGACAAUCAGCACGUCGGACACAUCAUCAUUGAAGCCUGGUUCGGGGGCUACUGAGGGAGUCCUGGAUUAAGGGGUCCUCGGGCGUCUGGGCUAUGUGACGUGGGCCGGACUGAUGGGCCAUGAAGAUUUCAGACAGAAGACUUCCUCCCGUGUCCGGAUGGGACUCUCCUUGGCAUGGAAGGCAAGCCUGGCGUUCAGAUAUGAUGAUUCCUUCCUCUGUAAACCGACUCUGUACAACCUUUAGGCCCCUCCGGUGUCUAUAUAAACCGGACGGUUUAGUCUGUAGAAGAAAUCACAAUCAUACAUGCUAGACAUCUAGGGUUUAGCCAUUACGAUCUCGUGGUAGAUCAACUCUUGUAAUCCUCAUAUUCAUCAAGAUCAAUCAAGCAGGAAGUAGGGUAUUACCUCCAUCAAGAGGGCCCGAACCUGGGUAAACAUCGUGUCCCCCGUCUCCUGUUACCAUCGACCUUAGACGCACAGUUCGGGACCCCCUACCCGAGAUCCGCCGGUUUUGACACCGACAGGUACUUGCUACUUUUGUCUGAUAGUGAAUCAUGCGAACCGUCUCCGAGUUGUGGAAACAGAUGUAUCCUCACCAGCUUUUGACGUAAUAUAUGGCAUGCUUAGAUGUAAGUUUGAACUGUUUAUCAUAUCAGCGGGGCUUGUUUGAUGAUUCUUGGUGAUAGUAGGCUAGCUACUGUGUGAGCUAUAGUGCUUGCAAUACACUCACUGAAGAGAAACGUUGGGGCUGAUGAGCUCGUGGUACGCUUAUACUGAUACGUUGUCGAUCGGCCAAUAGCCAAAGCUCCUAAAAUUGUAGGCUUAGCAAUCGAUCAGACAAUAGUCGACACGGAUACAUUCAGGCCUCAUUUGGUUCAUACGGUAGGAAAAUCUUAGCAAAAGUACAGAGACGUACAACACAAAAUCAUAGCGGUACAGAGACGUACUCCCUCCGUUCCAAAAUAGAUGAGUCAACUUUGUACUACUAACUUUGAAACAGAGGGAGUACAAAUCCUAGGCGGGCUAGUUUGGCCUUGUGAGUUUCAGUGAGAUGACGUGGUACAGUGCCGUCCAGUCUUCGCGUGUGGUAGCAGUACUGCGGGUACAGUAAGUUUUCUUGAAGAAGCGGAAUUCAAUGAAGUCAUGAUGGUUCCUUCGUCCGACCAACUUACAGUGGGAAAGGUUGGGCCUGCGCUGCGACCGGGGUGGACCAGGAUAAUUUUGUGCAUGGCAGGUGGACCAGGAUGGUCGACGUCCCACAUAUCGGUGAAUGAAAGUAUUCUUUCCGAUAUGGUGGACGAGCAACGAGUAUUCAUUGUUAAUUUUUGAUGAAACCUAUUGUAUCCACUUUUACAACGGAGGAGUGUGAAACAUGGCAGCCCAGUGAACUUGACAUGUGCACCACUCCCUCCUUCCUCAUGUAAUACUACCAUAGUGUUGACUAUAAGGUUGGCUAUAAGGUUACAACUUUUUCUCACUUUCUCUCUAUCUAUUUCCUCUCAAAUGUAAUACUACCAUAGAAUUUUACUGGUACUACUUGCUAUGAAUGGGGGCAGCUGGCAUCUGAGGGGGAGCACGCACGGGGUGGUGGUGGGGUGGGGGGUUCUGGUGGGCCAGGGUGGUCAGAAGCGGGCUUGGAAGCGGUCCGGACUCCUGGAUGGCCCACCUCACAUUAUCAUCAUAUAUUUCUUAGACUCCGUGUGCGGCGGGCGGGCGAUCUCUUCUCCCUCCCCCGUCUCUCUCUUCUCAGCCGACGCCCGCCGAGCAAUUAGAUUUCGGCUAUCGACGGUUUAUUCAAGUGCAGUCCCACAUGUCAAUGAAAAUGUAAGACAACGCGUGUCCCCACUGGUGAGCGGCGUGCGAGCCGGACUGUCGGGGGUGCGAUGCGAACGCGACGCGUAUGAGUCGUAAGUGUGCCGCCUUUUCCUUUUGAACUUGCAAAGCGUAACAUUUUCGUGCGAUCGAUCGAUAUAAAUCCAGAACAAAAUGACGAGGGCGGUGCUUUCCCGCGCGUUAGGCGGCCUAGUUUGAGUGAUAUGACGUGCUACAGUGCCGUCCACUUGCGCCAUUUUUAUGUAAGCAAGGGUCUACACUGUUACGUGGGAGGAGUGCGAAACACGGCGGAUCUGAUUUUGAUCGAGGGAUAACUGUUCCCUAUGAAAUAAUGGAGCACUGUUAGCGAUUAUAGCAUGAUAGUUAGGGCAUCUCCAGCGCUGGCCCUCAAAUUUACACCAGCAUCUGUCCGAGGACACUGAUGAAUGCCAUCCAAUGCUGCCCGCAUACCUUUCGACAACUAUAUGAACUAACCGGACGAAAUUCGUGCAAACACAGCAAAUUUCAAAUUAACCGGAUGAAAUUCAUUACAUUUCGAAAACUUCUCCUAUAAACUGGAUGAAAUUCAUUACAUAUUUCGCACAAACCGUACUAAAACCUACUGUAAACCUAAUCUAAACAAUCGCCGGCGCCCGACCACCAUGUCCGGCCAUGAACCCGAGAAAGCCGGCCAUUGCCUUUGCCUCCUCCUCAUCCGCCUCGAUAACCUCCUCCUCCGGAGCACAAGGUUAUGAUGAUUUCAGCCUCCACGUCACCGUCAAGCGGCUAAUCGGCCGCCGAUGUUUAUCCCAACAAGCUUGGCGUCGACUGAGUGGAGGAGCGGUGGCCUUCCUGGGACCAGAGCGGUGGCGACCUACCGUGUACUACUCUUCCUCGCUGCCGGCUGUGCCCUCGCACGCGCGCCGGCUUCAUGGUCGUGGCGGCGGAGGGCAGCCGGGGGGGGGGCGGUGAUCUCCUUCGUCUGCUCAUGCGAUAGUACGUCCAAGAGAGCUUUGGAGCACGCCCGGAGCGGAGCCGCCGAUGUCCUUCGUCUGCUCCUGCGACAGUACGUCCAAGAAAGCUUUGGAAUGCCACGAGGCCAUGGUUGGAGUGGUGCCAACAGAAGGAAGGGACCGGCGGAGAAUGAGUGUGGGUCUUUGGCUUUGGCUGGGAGCUGGGGCUCAAGUUAAUAUAGGGGCAAAUGGCAAUGGGCCUCGGCAGACGGAUGGACAGCUGGCGUUGGAGUAGGUUCGUCGGCAGCCGCAUGUCAUUAAUGUGGGCGGCGGACAGAAGGAUGUCCGUGUGUCGUUAACGCGGAGGAGUCGCUUGCACCGGGAUGCCGCGCGGGUGGCGCUCUCUCAAUCGUCGCGCUGCUGCAAUGCCGGGGCCAGUGAGAGGUCGCGUCGGGCGUGAAUGCGGACGCUGCUUAGUGACUUAACUGCAGGUGCGCUGGGUCACUGACAUGUGGGCCCAACGGGCAUCUGGCCUGCAUGUCAGUGUAACAACUGCACCUGCAGUUAAGUCCGGUGAAUGCGGCAUUGACGUUCUGGAGAGACGGUGACCAUUUCAGGCGGGAAGCGCGCGCUAGCUAUGGAAGGGGUUUCGGUAGGCCAGGGCGGUCAGACGCUGGCGUGGUGGUAAAAUGUGAACUCAUGGAUGACGAGCCUUUGAAGUGUAUGCGACAUGUAUUGACAACCAGGCGUCCAUGCAACCGCUCUUGUCGCCAGCUAGCCUUCGACGACCACCAUUAGACACCACACAACCAUGCAUAACUUACGAAUAAUGGACGAAUCGAUCAGAAACACACUCGUGUGCAGUGGCACUAUGAUCGGUUGCUCACGAUAGUACAUACUCCGUACCAUAGUAUCCUCUCUAGCUAGGCUGUUUUAUUGUGACGCCCCGAGACCGACGCUUCAGAAGACUUCCAUAUUUUCAUGAUCACCGUGUGUUUCUUUUGAGCUAGCUCUUUUAUUUUUUUUGCAUUGCAUCAUGUCAUCAUGCCAUCAUGUCAUUAAUCUUUGCAUCUCAACUCAACUAAUAAAUUGCAUAGAUGGUUGAUCUAUUUAAAUCGAGGGAAGGGUGACUUCUCAUUAUAACAUAUCCUCCCAAUAUUAGGGAGCUAUAUUAAAUAUUUCUUUAAUUUGGAGAUCACCAUAACACACAUGCAAAUUAUCCCAAUGCCUUUGUUAUCUUAAUUCUUGGUCUCCAACCUUGCCAUAUAUUCUUUCAUCAUAUUCCGGAGCUCCACCAAAAAUCCGAACAUUUUUGGACCUUCCCAACCCUCGCUUCCUAUUCAAAUCAUUUGAAUUUAAAUCAAAUGAGUUUGAAUUUAAAUCUUUCAAUCAUGGCCUUUUCUAUUUUCUCGGAACAAGCACAUUUUUGUGAGUCUAGGAAAAUUAUCCGCGUGUCCAACUUCUUCCCCUAACCUCUCUUUCUUUUCUUUCUUAUCUCUGUCUUGUUUUUAUUUGUUUUAGAGUGAGAGAUAGCCCAGCAGGCCAUCUAGGCCCAUCCGCAGCCCAGCUCCUCCAUGGCCCAAGGCCCAGCUCGCCCCAACUCUUAACCCUAGCGAGCAUCUCCCCUCGUUCCCUCAUCUCGUUCCCCCUCCGCCGCCACCCACACGCACGCACGCAGAGGGCAGCGCUCGCGCCCGUUCCCCUCACCAGCCACCGACCGGAUUCGUCCGUUUUCGGCGUUCCCGGCGCUACCGGAGCCCCAAGGCCCUUGUACCAAGUCCGUCGCCGUGCCAUCUUCAAGCCAUCGGGCAUUGGUUCCCUGCUUGGCCCACUCGUUCUCUGCACGAGAUGCCUCGUCGCCGGGAGUUUGUCGCCAAGUUUCGCCAAGCCGUCGCCGUCCCUUCUCCUGUACCCGUCCCCGUCGGAUUUGCUCAAGCGCGCCACCCCCCUGCGCCUCAAGACUCUCCCGCCGGAGCCCCGCAGACCCGCGCCGUCGCCUCCUCUGCAUCGAGCGGGAGGACGACCAGAAGUGCCUUCUCUGCGCCCGAGUUUCCCCUGACCUGAGGCCAUCGUCCUCGACAGCGUCAAGUCCUUUGUCGCGCCGCCCUUCGCCAAGUCCCGCUCGCCAAUGCUCCUUGACUUCGUCCUUCCCGCGCGGUACCCGCCUUGCCAAGCCCCUGCAUCGCGCCGCUGUUUCCUCUCCUUCAACCCGCGUCGCCUCUGCCAGCCCUGUGCUCCUGGUUGCAUCCACCAAGCUCCUCUGCCCCGUUUCGCCUCGGCCUCGGCCGAGGAGGAGGAGCAGCGUUGCUGCCUGCUCGAUCCGCCUGCACGCGCGCCUCGCGCGUUGACCGCGACCAGCUCCAUGCCCGAGCGAGCAUGCUCCUGAUCCCGAUGCCCAGCACCGUCCAAGUUGUCGCCUCUAUGCACCAUGCAGUGUUACCGUGGACGCAUGCACCCCCGGAUCGGAACCUCAAGCACCAAGUACACCACCGACAAGUCUCGGACUCCGAACGCCAAGUACAACUACGAACCCCAAGACCUCGGAUGCAUCAAGUUCCUCUACGACCUGUGUACAGCUACCGUCGCCAAGACCGGACCGACAAGUACCCCGACAACGUGUGUACCACUACCGUCGCCGUGUACCACUACUUCCACUACCGUCGCGAGAACGUCUACUUCCAUCUACUCCGCAUUGAACUCGUUCCGCCCCAAAAACGCACGCUUCGAAGGUAUAACCGCCGAGACGACCGCCAAAUGCAUGUGUGUGUGAGAUGCUCCCUAUGUUUGCACCGUGUCCGAAUUGUCACUCGUUUCCAUGCCACUAACUCGUGGGAACCCGGUAGUCGGGAGCACCCCACCAUCUUUAGCAUGUUCUGCACAUCCGCACACUUCCUUUUGCACCGGUAUCUCCAUGAGCUACCGGAACCGAUAUGUUACCGUGGCAUCAUUUUCGGAAUCGUUGCCGUGACACCCUUUCUUUCCGCCACGAUGACAAAUGCCUCGCAUCUUGCUCAAGUCAAUAUUUUCAUUAAAUUGCAUAAAGCUUGCAUAUGUCAUCCGCAUCAUGUUAACAACUUUUAAAAUUGUUGUUUGCUUUAAAUUGCUAUAUGCAUAUGGGGGUUUUCCGGAAUUGUUGUUUGUUAUUUCCGGCCUGAUGUAAACUUGCCUAAAUAGAAAGUUUAUUUAUGCUUCACCCCUUGCCAUGUUGAAUAACAUUUAAUAUUGUCGGGUACAUAAACAAGAGCGAAUUAAAUAACUUGAAUGUGGUGUUUCGUCAAUAUGCAACUCGUUGCAUAUUGAGCUCCACUUAAUUUGUAAUAUUGUUUGUGCACUUUGCCAUGCCAUGCCUCUUUAAACCAGACAUGCAUCAUACUUGGUUGCGCAUUAUGCCAUGUUUAUGUGAUGGUUGUUUACUGUGUUGCUUGCUUCUCUCCGGGUUGCUUCUCUCGUUAGCUUCGGUUUCGUUCCGGAGUUGUGAGGAUUCGUUCGACUACGUCCGUUUGUCUUCUUCAUGGACUCGUUCUUCUUCCUUGCGGGAUCUCAGGCAAGAAGACCAUACCCUCGAAAUCACUUCUAUCUUUGCUUUGCUAGUUGUUCGCACUAUCGCUAUGCUUGCGCUACCUACCACUUGUUUAUCAUGCCUCCCAUAUUGCCAUGUCAAGCCUCUAACCCAGCUUUCCUAGCAAACCGUUGUUUGGCUAAGUUGCCGCUUUUGCUCAGCCCUUCUUAUAGUGUUGCUAGUUGCAGGUUAAGUUGAAGAUUGCUCCAUGUUGGAACAUGUUUAUGUUGGGAUAUCACAAUAUCUCUUAUUUAAUUAAUGCAUCUAUAUACUUGGUAAAGGGUGGAAGGCUCGGCCUUAUGCCUGGUAUUUUGUUCCACUCUUGCCGCCCUAGUUUCCGUCAUACCGGUGUUAUGUUCCUUGAUUUUGUGUUCCUUACGCGGUUGGGUGAUUUAUGGGACCCCCUUGACAGUUCGCCUUGAAUAAAACUCCUCCAGCAAGGCCCAACCUUGGUUUGACAUUUCCCACCUAAGCCUUUUUCCUUUGGGUUUUCGCGAGCCCGAGGGUCAUCUUUAUUUAACCCCCCCGGGCCAGUGCUCCUUCGAGUGUUGGUCCGAACUGAGCUGCCUGCGGGGCCACCUUGGGGAAACUUGAGGACUGGUUUUACUUAUAGCUAGUCUCAUCCGGUGUUGCCCUGAGAACGAGAUUUGUGCAGCUCCUAUCGGGAUUUGUCGGCACAUCGGGCGGCUUUGCUGGUCUUGUUUUACCAUUGUCGAAAUGUCUAGUAAACCGGGAUUCCGAGACUGAUCGGGUCUUCCCGGGAGAAGGAAUAUCCUUCGUUGACCGUGAGAGCUUAUGAUGGGCUAAGUUGGGACACCCCUGCAGGGUUUUAUCUUUCGAAAGGCGUGCCCGCGGUUAUGUGGCAGAUGGGAAUUUGUUAAUGUCCGGUUGUAGAGAACUUGACACUUGACAUAAUUAAAAUACAUCAACCGUGUGUGUAGCCGUGAUGGUCUCUUUUCGGCGGAGUCCGGGAAGUGAACACGGUUUGGGUUAUGUAUGAACAUAAGUAGUUUCAGGAUCACUUCUUGAUCAUUUCUAGCUUCACGACCGUUGCGUUGCUCCUCUUCUCGCUCUUAUUUGCGUAUGUUAGCCACCAUAUAUGCUUAGUGCUUCUUGCAGCUCCACCUCAUUACCCCAUCCUUCCUAUAAGCUUAAAUAGUCUUGAUCUCGCAGGUGUGAGAUUGCUGAGUCCUGGUGACUCACAUAUUCUACCAAAACAGUUGCAGGUGCCGACGAUACCAGUGCAGGUGACGCAACCGAGCUCAAGUGGGAGUUCGACGAGGAACUUGGUCGUUACUAUGUUUCGUUUCCUGAUGAUCAGUAGUGGAGCCCAGUUGGGACGAUCGGGGAUCUAGCAUUUGGGGUUAUCUUCUUUUCAUUUGGAUUUGACUGUAGUCGGUCUAUGUGUGUAUUUUGGAUGAUGUAUGAAUUUAUUUAUGUAUUGUGUGAAGUGGCGAUUGUAAGCCAACUCUCUUUAUCCCAUUCUUGUUCAUUACAUGGGAUUGUGUGAAGAUGACCCUUCUUGCGAUAAUACCUACAAUCCGGUUAUGCCUCUAAGUCGUGCCUCGACACGUGGGAGAUAUAGCCGCAUCGUGGGUGUUACAAGUUGGUAAUCAGAGCCAUCCCCGACUUAGGAGCCCUCUGCUUGAUCGAAUCGCUGGCGUUAUUGAGUCUAGAAAAAAAAGUUUUGAGUCUUAGGAUUAUAUAUAUAUCGGAGAGUAGGAUUCUUUUACUAUCAGUCCCUUCGUCGCUCUGGUGAGGCCCCCUGACGUAGAAGUUUUGACUCUCCUCUCCUCAAAUUUCACUAUUUUUUUAGGAUCACGCGGGUAUCUUGGAAUCGUUCCGAUGGUUUUGUGACGAGAACAUUGUUCUUGGUGCCUCCUGACAUUUAGGGGUUGUGGCAGUGUCCCGGGGAGUUGAGCUCCGAGGUGUUGUCGUCACAAUUUUAUCGUUGCAGUUCUGGAAUACCCGAGUUUCGCCGACAUCGAAAAUCUCUUUUAUGCAGUUGUUGGUGAGAUCACCUCGACGCCACCCAGUACUAGGGCGGGAGUUCGGGAGUAUUGCCAUAACUCAUAUAACGGAUGCUUUUCGAAGGUUGAGGUAAAUGAUUUCCGAAGGUUUCUUGGUUAUGUGUUGAAGGAUGGAUACAGCUGGAUCUAGGUAUUGUUAGUUUGGGUGGGAUAUAUUGCGUCCCCUGUAUCCCCAACACCUGAUUGCAUAACCAGAAAGUUUCGGGAGUUUAUAAGUGGGAAUUCAAGUAGCUCCUAGGAUAUCUUUCCGACAGAUGCAUGAUAUGAGAUUGGGGUUCGACGUCUAGUGGUCCGCCUAUCCACGGUUGGUUUUACAGUGGUCUCGUAGUGUCUUAAAGAGUACUUGGCUAUGCCGACUCGGGGACGCUUCAUAUGUCAUGUGCACUGCCUUGUACAUGAUGGUGCUGUACGAUCGAGCCCGUGUGGGCCCCACCACGAAAACUUCGGACGAAAUCUCUAUCAUAUGUUUGUUCCGGCUUAUUCUGCAAGCCAAUCCUUUGUUUUGUUUUGGUUUCUGGUAUUCGAGUUGCGUCGAAGUCAAGUGUUGAUUCCAUACCUUUCCUAAGCGGUGUUCUCAUACUUCUAUGUGAAUAAAAAUCCUUCUUGAUCAUCGAGAUUGUCAUGCCUAUUCUUUUCCAACCGACGUGCUCUUUUUCAAGUGGAUCCGAUCAUUUCAACAUUCGCGAGAUCAAUUCUCAGUUGUUUGCAACGGUGUUUGCUUCAUCCGUCCCAAGUUGUCUUUGUUUUCCCGCCCUCCCACCCUUUUCUUCAAGGACCCAAAUUUCUUAAUCAAGUAUCCUCUUAUGGAUGUGAAGUUUCUCCAUUCUUUUCCAUCAAUGUUCUAAUCCGGUGAUUCUCAGGAAGAUGCUAACGGAGCUUCAAGUUUAUCAUUCUUCACUUUUUUCUUCUUCUACGGUGGAUUCAAUUCAAACUUUCUCGAUCAUAUCCUUUCCUCGUUUCAAAUGCUUUAUCAUGCAGGUGCACCUCUUUAUCAUCCACUUCUCACCAUUCAUUUGUUCUGGAGUGCUGAAGAUAUCUCAGGAGAUUCGUGUUUUCAUUCCUAAUCCGUUCAAGCUAUCUCGAGGUUAUUAUCUCUUUUGAGCCAUUUAAUUCUACUAGCGCAGUCUCUCUUUUAAAUCGUUCAACGGUGUUUUCUUUUGAGUGGGCCCUAACCCACAGGUCAUUUCCCAGGAUCUUACCUGACUCUUCUAAUUUUUCCGGAGCUUCUAAAAUUCUUUUCAAAGUUUGACGUAAGAAUGGGUUAUCAUCAGUCAUAUGUCUUUCUCCAAGAUCUUUCAAAUUCUUUUCAUCGUUAGUUCAACCUUUCUAAUUUUCAUUCCAAAGUGCUUCAACAAUUCAUGGUGGUGUUUCUUGUCGUCAUUCUUGGAUUUUGAAGACCGAAGAAGAGUUCCUCUUAAAUCCUUAUCCGUUCUCUCAAAGAUGCGAAGUUCAAGCGUGAUGCCAUCCUCUCAUAAUUGUUUUCGAUCGUGAGAAUUCUUUUCACCCAUCCGGAGCAUUUCAGGAGUCUUUUCAGUUUGAUUCUUCGGAGCCCAUCAUCUCAGAAUUAUUCAUUCAAGCUUUCAGCUCUCGUUCUCUAGAUCAUACCGGUGCAUCAUUCAAGUACUAUCUAAUCAGCCCGGGAUCUCUGCGUUCACUUGUAUCUAAAUUCUCUCAAGUAUCUUCGUUCAUUUUCUAAUUCUUCCCGGUGUUUCUUUAUCUUUUCUUCGUUCAUUUUCAAUUCUUACGGUGGUUCGUUCAAGAGUUCUCUUCCUUCGUUAUCAUAUAUAUUCAUUCGUUCUUUCCAAUCCUACCGGUGGUUCGUUGAAGACCUUCCCAAGUUUGCGUCAUAUAUAUCUUAACCCUUUCUACGAGAAUAAGUAGUAUGCCAAAUCCAUUGCUUGUCAUCAAUUUAAUUGGCGAAGGAUGAGCAUAAUGUAAUUCUUAUUCUUGUUUCAUCGAGUAAAUUCAAUUCUUUAUUCCGGAGGUUCAUCAAAAUUCUUGAUUUCAUUUGUUCAUCUUUCUUUCCGGAGUUCCAAGUUUUCUCGGUUAUAUCAUUUCAAAGCUUCAUCUUAUCACUGCAAGGCUUCACCUUGUGUUUUCAACUUCUCUUUUUUUCUAUCAUCCUUUUUUUACCAGAGUUCUUCAUGGAGUUUCUUCAUGGUGGUUCAUCAAGGAUUUAAUUCAUUCUCAAAGUGUUCUCAAGAUUCUUGUUGGAAGAGCUCAAAUAUUCUUCUUCCUGCAUUCCAAAACUGCAAUUCGUUCUACCUUAUCAUUUGAGGUGGUGUUAUGUCAUUCUUGACAAUUUGAGCUCGCGUUUCAUGAUUCACAUGUUUUCAAGAAUGAGAUAUUUUAAAUCCACCAAUCUCUUCGUUGGAUUUAUCUUGUGUCAUGUUUCACCUAAAGCCUUCCCUAAGGAAUGUUGCUAUUAUGGUGCUUAUCAAUGAUCCAAGUUUUCUCCUAUUCUCUCGGCGAAUCAAGUUUUCAUCUCCGUGUUGCUCUCAAGCAAUCAAUUGUUUUCCGUAGUGGCAUGUAUUCACCUCUAAGUUUUGAGUUGUUUCCAUAAGCCCACUACAAGUUCAUUCUUUUCGUUGUUGGUUUUCCAACAAAUCCGUUCAAUCCUUCUUUUUAAGGAGGCUCUUUCAAAUUCAAUUGUGAUAGAAGUUGUUGUUCUUUUCUCUGUUCUCUUGAUUCCACUCUUUCAUAUGUCCCGAAGGCAUUGUGAUGUUUUCUUCGACCCAUCAUCUCAUUUUGUAGAUCAUGUUCUUUUCCUUGCUUAUCCAUUUAACCAGAGUGUCGUGUUUUCAUUCGAGCUCUCUCAUCUUAUCAAGUUUUGCCUCCUUCCUCAACCAGAGUGCGGUCUGAAAUCUUUCUUACCCCUUGUGCCAUUUUUCAAUAGUUCUGGAGGCAGUGUGUUGUUGAUUUCAUCAAGUAUCAUCCCAUCUUCUCAAGUUCAUGUUAAUUCCUUCCAUUUUCAGUCGGAGUGCUGUCCAAAUUAUAUCAUUCUUAAUCCUACUCUAUCUUGUUUUAACCGGAGUGGCUUCAAAAUCUAUGUUGUCCCCUAAGCUCUUGGUUCUCAUCAUGUUCUUUGUUCUUCUCUGCUAACGCAGUGUUUGCAAUCUCGUUCACCUCUAUUGUAUUCUUUCUUUCGAUUUGUUCAACCUCUCAAGGUUUGUGGGUUUCACUCGUUUGUCAAAGAAGCAACUUUGUUUUACCUCUUGCUCUUCCGUUUCUCUCCGGUGCCAUCCUAGAUCUCGGGACGAGAUAUCUUGUAAUUGGAGGAGUGUUGUGACGCCCCGAGACCGACGCUUCAGAAGACUUCCAUAUUUUCAUGAUCACCGUGUGUUUCUUUUGUGCUUGCUCUUUUAUUUUUUUUCCAUUGCAUCAUGUCAUCAUGCUAGCAUGUCAUUAAUCUUUGCAUCUCAACUCAACUAAUAAAUUGCAUAGAUGGUUGAUCUAUUUAAAUCAAGGGAAGGGUGACUUCUCUUUAUAACAUAUCCUCCCAAUAUUAGGGACCUAUAUUAAAUAUUUCUUUAAUUUGGAGAUCACCAUAACACACUUGCAAAUUAUCCCAAUGCCUUAGUUAUCUUAAUUAUUUGUCUCCAGCCUUGCCAUAUAUUCUUUCAUCAUAUUCCGGAGCUCCACCAAAAAUCCGAACAUUUUUGGACCUUCCCAACCCUCGCUUCCUAUUCAAAUCAUUUGAAUUUAAAUCAAAUGAGUUUGAAUUUAAAUCUUUCCAUCAUGGCCUUUUCUAUUUUCUUGGAACAAGCACAUUUUUGUGAGUCCGGGAAAAUUAUCCGCGUGUCCAACUUCUUCCCCUAACCUCUCUUUCUUUUCUUUCUUAUCUCUGUUUUGUUUUUAUUUGUUUUAGAGUAAGAAAGAGCCCAGCAGGCCAUCUAGGCCCAUCCGCAGCCCAGCUCCUCCAUGGCCCAAGGCCCAGCUCGCCCCAACUCUUAACCCUAGCGAGCAUCUCCCCUCGUUCCCUCAUCUCGUUCCCCCUCCACCGCCACCCACACGCACGCACGCAGAGGGCAGCGCUCGCGCCCAUUCCCCUCACCAGCCACCGACCGGAUUCAUCUGUUUUCGGCGUUCCCGGCGCUACCGGAGCCCCAAGGCCCUUGUACCAAGUCCGUCGCCGCGCCAUCUUCAAGCCAUCGGGCGCUGGGUUCCCUGCCUGGCCCGCUCGUUCUCUGCACGAGACACCUCGUCGCCGGGAGUUUGUCCCCAAGUUUCGCCAAGCCGUCGCCGUCCCUUCUCUGGUACCCCGUCCCCGUCGGAUUUGCUCAAGCGCGCCACCCCCCUGCGCCUCAAGACUCUCCCGCCGGAGCCCCGCAGACCCGCGCCGUCGCCUCCUCUGCAUCGAGCGGGAGGAUGACUAGAAGUGCCUUCUCUGCGCCCGAGUUUCCCCUGACCUGAGGCCAUCGUCCUCGACAGCGUCAAGUCCUUUGUCGCGCCGCCCUUCGCCAAGUCCCGCUCGCCGAUGCUCCUUGACUCCAUCCUUCCCGCACGGUACCCGCCUCGCCAAGCCCCUACAUCGCGCCGCUGUUUCCUCUCCUUCAACCCACGUCGCCUCGGCCAGCCCUGUGCUGCUGCUUGCAUCCGCCAAGCUCCUCUGCCCCGUUUCGCCUCGGCCUCGACCGAGGAGGAGGAGCAGCGUUGCUGCCUGCUCGAUCCACCUGCACGCGCGCCUCGCGCGUUGACCACGACCAGCUCCAUGCCCGAGCGAGCACGCUCCUGAUCCCGAUGCCCAGCACCGUCCAAGUUGUCGCCUCUAUGCACCAUGCAGUGUUACCGUGGACGCAUGCACCCCCGGAUUGGAACCUCAAGCACCAAGUACACCACCGACAAGUCCCGGACUCCGAACGCCAAGUACAACUACGAACCCGAAGACCUCGGAUGCAUCAAGUUCCUCUACGACCUGUGUACAGCUACCGUCGCCAAGACCGGACUGACAAGUACCCCGACAACGUGUGUACCACUACCGUCGUCGUGUACCACUACUUCCACUACCGUCGCGAGAACGUCUACUUCCAUCUACUCCGCAUUGAACUCAUUCCGCCCCGAAAACGCACGCUUCGAAGGUAUAACCGCCGAGACGACCGCCGAAUGCAUGUGUGUGUGAGAUGCCUCCUAUGUUUGCACUGUGUCCGAAUUGUCACUCGUUUCCAUGCCACUAACUCGUGGGAACCCGAUAGUCGGGAUCACCCCACCAUCUUUAGCAUGUUCUGCACAUCCGCACACUUCCUUUUGCACCGGUAUCUCCAUGAGCUACCGGAACCGAUAUGUUACCGUCACAUCAUUUUCGGAAUCGUCGCCGUGACACCCUUUCUUUCCGCCACGAUGAAAAAUGCCUCGUAUCUUGCUCAAGUCAAUAUUUUCAUUAAAUUGCAUAAAGCUUGCAUAUGUCAUCCGCAUCAUGUUAACAACAUUUAAAAUUGUUGUUUGCUUUACAUUUCUAUAUGCAUAUGGGGGUUUUCCAGAAUUGUUGUUUGUUAUUUCCGGCCUCAUGUAAACUUGCCUAAAUAGAUAGUUUAUUUAUGCUUCACCCCUUGCCAUGUUGAAUAACAUUUAAUAUUGUCGAGUACAUAAAGAAGAGCGAACUAAAUAACUUGAAUGUGGUGUUUUGUCAAUAUGCAACUCGUUGCAUACUGAGCUCCACUUAAUUUGUAGUAUUUUUUGUGCACUUUGCCAUGCCAUGCCUCUUCAAACCGGACAUGCAUCAUACUUGGUUGCGCAUCAUGCCAUGUUUAUGUGAUGGUUGUUUACUAUGUUGCUUGCUUCUUUCCGGGUUGCUUCUCUCGUUAGCUUCGGUUUCGUUCCCGAGUUGUGAGGAUUCGUUCGACUACGUCCGUUUGUCUUCUUCAUGGACUCGUUCUUCUUCCUUGCGGGAUCUCAGGCAAGAUGACCAUACCCUAUAAAUCACUUCUAUCUUUGCUUUGCUAGUUGUUUGCUCUAUCGCUAUGCUUGCGCUACCUACCACUUGUUUAUCAUGCCUCCCAUAUUGCCAUGUCAAGCCUCUAACCCACCUUUCCUAGCAAACCGUUGUUUGGCUAAGUUACCGCUUUUGCUCAGCCCUUCUUAUAGCAUUACUAGUUGCAGGUGAAGUUGAAGAUUGCUCCAUGUUGGAACAUGUUUAUGUUGGGAUAUCACAAUAUCUCUUAUUUAAUUAAUGCAUCUAUAUACUUGGUAAAGGGUGGAAGGCUUGGCCUUAUGCCUGUUGUUUUGUUCCACUCUUGCCGCCCUAGUUUCCGUCAUACCGGUGUUAUGUUCCUUGAUUUUGCGUUCCUUACGCGGUUGGGUGAUUUAUGGGACCCCCUUGACAGUUCGCCUUGAAUAAAACUCCUCCAGCAAGGCCCAACCUUGGUUUUACAUUUGCCACCUAAGCCUUUUCCACUUGGGUUUUCGCGAGCCCGAGGGUCAUCUUUAUUUAACCCCCCCGGGCCAGUGCUCCUUCGAUUGUUGGUCCCAACUGAGCUGCCUGCGGGGCCACCCUGGGGAAACUCGAGGACUGGUUUUACUCGUAGCUAGUCUCAUCCGGUGUUGCCCUGAGAACGAUAUUUGUGAAGCUCCUAUCGGGAUUUGUCAGCACAUCGAGCGGCUUUGCUGGUCUUGUUUUACCAUUGUCGAAAUGUCUUGUAAAUCGGGAUUCUGAGACUGACCGGGUCUUCCCGGGAGAAGGAAUAUCCUUCGUUGACCGUGAGAGCUUAUGAUGGGCUAAGUUGGGACACCCCUGCAGGGUUUUAUCUUUCGAAAGCCGUGCCCGCGGUUAUGUGGCAGAUGGGAAUUUGUUAAUGUCCGGUUGUAGAGAACUUGACACUUGACGUAAUUAAAAUACAUCAACCGCGUGUGUAGCCGUGAUGGUCUCUUUUCGGCGGAGUCCGGGAAGUGAACACGGUUUGGGUUAUGUAUGAACGCAAUUAGUUUUAGGAUCACUUCUUGAUCAUUUCUAGCUUCGCGACCAUUGCGUUGCUCGUCUUCUCGCUCUUAUUUGCGUAUGUUAGCCACCAUAUAUGCUUAGUGCUUGCUACAGCUCCACCUCAUUACCCCAUCCUUCCUAUAAGCUUAAAUAGUCUUGAUCUCGCGGGUGUGAGAUUGCUGAGUCCUCGUGACUCACAGAUUCUACCAAAACAGUUGCAGGUGCCGACGAUACCAGUGCAGGUGACGCAACCGAGCUCAAGUGGGAGUUCGACGAGGAACUUGGUCGUUACUAUGUUUCGUUUCCUGAUGAUCAGUAGUGGAGCCCAGUUGGGACGAUCGGGGAUCUAGCAUUUGGGGUUAUCUUCUUUUCAUUUGGAUUUGACCGUAGUCGGUCUAUGUGUGUAUUUUGGAUGAUGUAUGAAUUUAUUUAUGUAUUGUGUGAAGUGGCGAUUGUAAGCCAACUUUCUUUAUCCCAUUCUUGUUCAUUACAUGGGAUUGUGUGAAGAUGACCCUUCUUGCGACAAUACCUACAAUGCGGUUAUGCCUCUAAGUCGUGCCUCGACACGUGGGAGAUAUAGCCGCAUCGUGGGUGUUACAUUUAUAGAUUGUCGUUGUGAUGGACGAUAUACGUGAUCAAGGCGCCGAGUCACGAGUAUGACCGUUGGUGUUGAGCUAGGUGAAUACAUGCUCGGUGUUCGUGGAGGCCUCCAGUAAACAUCUAAAUAGUAAUGUCAGGCACCGCCGGGGCGCGAAGGUGAGGGCUCGCUGUUUGCAUUGCGCCAUGAGCAGGACUUUCAUUGAGAGGGCGACGUGCAUGCAUUAGCAUGGUUUGACAGCGUGAGUGUGAGUGUCAGGCUGUUUGCACGCGUACAUGCUAGUUGCCUCUAUGGACGGUGUGCGCUAAUGUGUGCAUCACGUAUAAUAUAAAAAAAUCCAUUUGUGCAUUUAACGCAAAGUAUUUCAUUUUCAUUUGGCUGACGAGUGUGCGUUGCGGCGACGAGUCCGUGGUUUGAUUCCUUACAUACGCAUAAUUUUGGUUUUUAUUUCUUUCUCCACUGACAGGUAGGCCCGCAUAGAUAGAUAGAUAAAGAAUACGAGCUGAUGAGGCGCAUGCGGACUGUUUGACUGGUCAACCAGACAAAUACAGAGCUAUACGCUGAGCCAGUGACCGUAUAAUCACCAUAGCUCGUAUACAAUGAUCAAAGUGAGCUAUCAAGACAAGUUCGAUGACCGCCAAUGCAUUUUAAUUGGUAAUAAAUGACCAGGAUUGAAGGGGAAUCCAAAUUUCCUUCAUCUUCUGUCCUUGAGCUCUUGACAAACCAAUGCACUAUACGGUUGUCCGGCCACUCCACCCCAGAGCUGUCGCCAAGCAUCGUUCAUGCCACCGUGCCGCACACUAACCGGUAAGUAAGCGAUGGCAUCCCGCCACGCCGAGUUCCUCGCCGCCCACGACCGCACGCAGAAUGGUAGGGAAGCAAUGGCAUCGCGCCAUGCCGAGUUCAUCGCCGCUCGCGACCUCACACCUAUGUGGGCGGAAUUUGAAGCUGGCAAGGCCGAAUGGGUGGUAGAGCAAGAGGCGGCCAAAGCCACACAGAGGGAGCGGAGAAGUCAGAAAGCACUCAAGAAAAGAGAGGCCUGCCGCCGCAAGAAAGAAGAGGAUGCAUGCGCUGCUGCAGAGAGGUCGGCGGAGAUCCAAGCACGGUGGGGUGUCGCCGACAAAGUUGGGAAGGAGAACGACGGUGUCUAGCCAGCAUGUGAGAAGUAGUAGUACUAGUAGUUAGUGUGUGUGUCUGUGUCACCCGUACGUUUGUUUAAUUAAUUACGAGCAUGUACCAGUACUACUCCCUCCGUCUAGGUGUAUAAGUCAUCUUAGGUUGUGCACUGCGACCAAGGCGGAGGGGAAAACGAGAGAACUUAAUGGUUUUGCUAAUUAAUAGCAUUGCGUGCAAUGAACUAACCACUACAUGUCAUGUUUGGUAGUCUCAAGUAAUUGAAAACAUGCACUGCCCACAUCUCUAUUGGUUGAUGUGUCCCGAAACAAGAAACGAGAAGGGAGUUAAUGUACCGUACCCAAGUGUUUUGGGAUUAUUUGGUUUUCGUAAGGUGACUUACACACCAAGACGGAGGGAGUAGUUACUACUGUAGUUUUUAGAGAAAAUUACCAGUACAUUGGCCUAGACUCAAUGGAAAAAUUCCUAUCCUAUGCAUCAAAUGGCAUCUCUUUCUCUACAGGAAUUGAGAUGCAUGUCAUCUCACUUCCUAUGAUUUUCAUAUUCCUAUAAAAUUCCUAUCCUAUGAACCAAAGGAGGCCUCUGCUAGAGUAACUACUAUAGCUAGCAGUACUGCUGGUAUAGUAGUUUUCUUCAAGAAGCGGAAUUCAACGAAGUCAUGAUGGUUCCUUUGUCCGAGCAACUUCACUAUGGGAAAGGUUGGGCCUGUGAUUUGACGGCUCAUUAGUAAUUACUGCGGCGUGACGACCGGGGUGACUCGCCCUUGGAGUUCUACGAGCAUGGCAAGUGGACCAGGAUGGUCAACUUCCCACAUGUCGGCGAGCGGGAGUAUUCUUUCCGAUAUCGAGGAGCAAGGAAACCGUGUGGUAUAGUAUCACUGCUGAUUUAUAUAUUUUUUCUGGUGAAUGCUAGCGUUUCAACUCUUACGACGAAGGAAUGCCAAACACGCACGUGCUGGAUGUCCCACACUCAGCGAAAGGAGUGGGACAUGAACAGCGUGGUAGAGCGUCUCCACUUCUGGGUCGGAGACCAAGUAGUAGUACUAGUGGUAUGAACGAUACAAAGUGCGACCCAGAGAGAAAGACACGUCUAGUUGGAACGUCUCGGGGCAUACACGUAAACAAAUAUAAAACCUAAUAUGUGCCUCCAAUUAAUAUAGUAGUAGUAGAGUAGGGACAUACUCCAUAACAUCACCGGGCAUUGUACGUACAACAUUUAGUGGUAGUAAGAGACAAAUGCCUAUAUUUCACGCAUGUUCAUACUAUUUGUUCCUUUCUACUUCACUUACUGUGCUACAUUACUCUGGUUCGUACGUCCACUCCUGGGUAGAUGUCCGUCUCGUAGUUCUAGUCCCACGUGUUCUUCAUAGAUGGAACGAUCCGUAACUGUGGGCAAUGGGAGUACAUAUUAUCGCACUUAUUAGUGUGGCUCCCCGCGAUGGAGACUCAUCCAAACUAUGGCCAGCCUCGACGUAGAGCAGUCGCGUGCACCGGGAAGCAGCGCUCUCUCGGCCGUCGCGCUGCUUCAAAGCUGGCGCCAGUGAGAGGUCGCCACCGCUCUGGCCGGGCAUUAAUGCGGCACUGACGUUCCGGGGCAACGCUGACCGAUUCACGCGGGAAGCACGCGCCGGCAAGGGAGCGGGGUUGGGUCGGCCAGGGCGGUCAGACGCAGGCGUGGUGAUGGUGCUGGUAGUUUGCAAAACUACUCAAUUAUUGCACUCAAUUUCCUAAGAAAAUGUGGUAAAACAACGUUACUCCACAGCCCGCUUCCCUUCUCCUUCCUCUUCCACCGCCCGCGCACGUCCGCGGGAAGCGACCGGUCAACCCUUAUAUAGGAGUGCUAGCACAAAAAGAUGCAUGCAUGACCACUAAAAUUUCCAGAUGAAAGCGCCGCUCCGGCAGGAGUAUGGCGUAUGUCGUUACCUUCGGCCGGGCCAUGGCUACCGAGCUACGGCGACUAGAGAAGUGGCGGAGAGAGGGGAACGAAUGCGGCUACUGUUUGGGUUCCCCGUCCGGCUUAAAUAAAUGCGCACCAUCACGUGUACCCGCGGGUGCACAAAUAUUAACAUACGCGUCUGCUUAAGUGGGCGUCACUGGUGUGUGAGAGAUUCUGAGAGACAGAGUGCGUGUGUGCAACUCUACUCUUCGGACAUGUACCCAACCUUUUGCAUCGGGAUAUAAGUAUAAUGGUAUUACACUUUAGCUAGUGAUUUACGUGGCCAUGUUAAUGUGAUUGUGUAAAAAAAAUGUCUCUUCCUGCUCGUGAUUUGCGUUAUAUAAUUACUAGCAAGAUGCUCAUGCAUUGCACGAAACAUCAAUAUGCAUUUUUUUUACAAAACACCUGUUGUAAUUGACCCAUGCAGGAGUAAUACCAUGUGUAAAAACUAAUGAUAUCUCGGGAAUUUUAUCGGAAAACUGGUAUCUCGACAAUUCAUCGAAAAAAUGAAAGAUGAGAGAUAAGGUGAGGAGGAGUGGCGCAUGGUGGUUGCUGGUGGUCGGACUGGGCGGGGGCAUGGGGAUGGACGGCGCCGGCAGACGGCAGCGGCCACCAUGCUAGAUUGUUCCAGAGACUUCCUUUUUUAAUUGCUCAGCAAUGAGGUUGUGGGAGAUAAGGACAAUGAACAAGGCAAUGCCUUGUCUGUAAAUGUGGAGAGAGGUGCGGGUAUCUUUUGUAAAAUUGUCAUAGUUUGCAUUAUAUCCAUCAGAUAUAGAUCGAACGGUCUAUAUUACAAGAUGGCAGGCACACCAUCAUCACCAACUCGUUUUUUAUAAGAAUAGAGAUGAUAAGUUUGCUAACUACUAAAGUAAAGUGGAAUUUUUCCAUGUUAUAGAAGUAAAUUAAGGUGAUUGCUUAUCAUACGGGUAAGGUUGGAUGAAGGGUGCUAGGAACAAAUGCUCCGCCUAGAGCAUGUGUGUGUGAGAUGGAGUCUUAGUGUGUGUGGGGGGAGGGGUGUGUGUGUGUGUGACGCGGGGUCCUCGAUGGCGGAUGUAAUUUAAGUGUGUGUGGCUUCAUCAUAGUGUAUGACAGAGGCCACCAACGAGGGGGUGCGAGAGAGAAAAGGCCCGUAGAGAGGGAAGAGAAGGCGUGUGCGCGUGAGAGGAGUCGACAUCGAGAGAACGUGUUUGUUCGAGAGACACCGAGGAAGACUACUAUAUAUCGAUGGUGCAUGUAGGCGGGAAUUAAACGAAGGGAUGGUCUUAUUGGUUUUGGGGAUAUUGGGGAAGAGUGAGAGAGGGGGGGUAGUUAGAAGGAGAUUGUUAAGUGUGAGUGUGUGUUUUACCCAUCCAGACGGAAGUUAUGUGCACACAAGAAGAGAACGAUUCGAUGUGGCGUUAGGGUUGAGGGUAAUUAACUAUGUAUGGAGACAUAGGAAACCUUGAACGUGCAUGUGCGAGAGGUAUACAUAUAUAUGUUGGAUGUGUGUGUGUGCGCGCGAGCAUGAUCGAGAUAAAAGAAAGAAGACAUAAGUCAUAAGAUCAACGAUAUGGGAGAGAUCGGUAUGACAAUAUGCAUGCAUGUGAGAGUGCUGGGAAGAAGGCUCGAUAAUUGAGCAUGUGUUUUUUGUCUUUAAGAUAUAGUGGCGUGGGCUGGAGCAUGCAUCUAUGGCGAGCAGAGGGAGCGAGACACAAUGAUUGUGCAAAAGAGAUCAACCUAUAAAUGCAUGUAUGGAGAGACAUAUAUAGUGUGGGUGAUAGGAAGCAAGAGUGCGUGCGACAAAGAAAUGUUGACGGAGAAACUACAAAUAGAUACAGAGAUAGAGAUGCUAGCUAGAGGGACAUCGGCUAGUUUGAGUGUUGGAGAUGACCGCCGGGUGGUUCAGAGGGUGCAGUUAUGUGUGUGUGAGAGAAAGAUAAAAUGAGGGCACUUGACUGCAUGUAGAGAGAAACAUAUAUAGUGUGCAUGAUAGGAAGCAAGAGUGAGGGCGAGAAAGAAGGUUGAUGGCGAAAUAGAUAAAUAGAAAGAUAAAGAUGCUAGCUAGUGUGUGUUAGAGAUAGGAGUCGAGUGGAUCAGAAGGCUGAGUUAUGUGUGUGGGUGUGAGAGAGAGAUAGAGAGAGUGUGCAUGUAAGUCACAUACAAACAAAUAUCAGAGAGAAAUUAGAUCCCGAGAGACGGAGUUUUGUGUAUGCGAGAGAGAAAGAUAUUUCACAACAAGAGUGAUAGCUAGAGAGACAUAUGAGGGAACGCAAGAUAUCUCUAGGGAGAGAGAGAGUGUGUGAGCGACAUACAAGAGAAUGGUGGAGAGAUAUGAGACCCUGGGAGACAGAGUUUGUGUUUGUGUGUGAGAAAGAGAUAUUUAAGAGGAAGAGUUGUAGCUUCUCAUAUCUAAGGAGCGAAAGACAUCUCUGUGUGAGAGUGGGUGUGCGAGUGGCACGCAGGGAAUAGUAGAGAGAAAUGAGACCCCGGGAGAAGAAGUUUGUGUUUGUGUGAGAGAAAGAGAUUUCACAUGGAGAAUCAUAGUUAGAGACACAUAGCAGGGAGCGAGAUAUACUUAGAGAGAGAUAGAGUGAUGAAGGUCGAGGGAGAGAGUAUCGUCAGUGUGUUGCGAAGAUAAAAUAUCAUUGUCGACAUACAGGUAGCAUGAGAGAUACCCAAGAAACGAUGAACGCGUAUAGGUCUAGAGAGAUACUCCUAUAUAAGCAUGAGUCAUAGCUAUAUGAGACGAAUAUCUGGAUUAAAGGGGAUUCAAAUAUUUAAACUGGAGAUCACGACAUCGAUAAUAUCAUGACGCAAAUUGGUGUAUCAAACAUGCAUAUUCAUUUGAAUUUGGGGACACGUGUAAUGUUAUAUAGUUUACCAAUAUUAGUGAUCCAUAGAUUCUUUAAUUAGAGACAAUGCAUGAUUUAUAUGCAAUUAAUGUCUAAACGGGAUUACGCUAUAUGUUGCGUGUGUGAAACACAUUAUACAUGUUUGAGAAGUAAAAAAACCGCAUGAAACACACAUUAAUUCGAGACAGUUAGCGAGGAAUGCAUACAUUGUAUUUCAACAUAAAGUGGUUUCAAAUAUUUGGAAAUCCAAAUUAAGAUGGAUACAGCCUUAUGAAUCUGAGAUCAUGCCAUUUGUAAAUAAUAUUUAUGUAUAAAGGGUGUUGUUCUUUUGAAAGUAUAUAUAAAAAAUGAUGUAUAUAGAAUUUUAUUCGAAUCACAAAUGGAUCCUGGCCGAACAAAAAUAGAAUACAAACUGGAUUCGAAUUGAGUUGGCACAGUAAACGUGCACUCUUGCUCUGCAAAAAUUUGAAUGAAGCGGGGAAAGUCGCAGUAACCGCCCGAAACCAAAAUCUGCGAGAUGGAAAUUACUGCCUAUCCCUGACACCCAAAGCCUAUCGGCUCGAUUUCUAUGGGUUUCGAUAGGGGUAGGUUUGUAAUUUCACUCAAACGUGACAUAACCGCCUCUCACCCGGAUUCAUACACGGUGGGCGCCAAAACACUGCGUCUCCUCGGCCGAAAUCGACUCCCUCCCCGAUUCAUACAAGGUGGGCGCCAAAAAGAAACUCUCAUCGGCAAAUACUCGGUGUAUGCGAGAUUACCGUCCUAUCCCCAACCGACUAAUAUUGUUGUGAUGUAGGAAAUUUUAAACAGGGGCUAAGUUUGUAAAUUUCCUCGCAUUUGGGACAAGCGCGCCCUGAAGACAUGGUUCCCACCUUCCUCUCUCCCUCCAUUUCCCCAUUCAUACUCCGUGGGCGCCAAAACAGCCUCUCUACCCCAGCCUCCUCCAUCCGCCACCCCAUCCACCGCCGUCCUCCUCCACCAUGCCGGAGCUGAUACCCCGAUAACGUCAUCCAUUACAAGAGAUUGACCUCUCUCACCCGCAGCUUCGGACCGGGAUCCUUGCAUCCCGUCCUCUCGCUUCAUCCCUGCCGUCGUCCACCAUGCCGGUGCCGCUCCUACGACUGUCUCCUCCACCGCGCCCCGCCGCCACCGUCUACCCUCCUUGAUCUGCUUCCACGCCGCCGACAGCCAUCGCUACCGCAGCACCGUCAAAUUCUCAGCAGAUGCAUACACGGCGCCGCACCAGAGGCGGUACUCUUUCGUAUCUGCUCAACAGCUGAGCUACCAGAACCACUUGCCUAAAGUCUCUUUUCUUCAUCUCUUAUUUAUCACAGCAAGAAAAUAGAUCGCCACUGCUUUACUCUGAUUUCUUGUCCAUCACUUACUUGCUAGUUGAAAGCAAACAUUGGUUGCGAAGUUGCCUUUGUCCGGUUUGCACCUUCAGAUCCGCCGUGGCACGCUCAACACUAUACUUGCAAUGCUUAUGGUUUUCCCCUUUUAUAUUCCACACUAGUUAAAUGACAGUAGACUAAAUUUCAAAAUUGGGUCAGUCGAUUUUUCAGAGCUCGCCGGAGUUCUCCGGUGCGAAUGAAGGGGCUCGUGUGGGGACGGUGGUUGUGGGGGGCGGUGGUGGGGCCUCGCCGAACGAAGAAAACUCGACGCGGGUUGGGGCGGGGGUGGGGGUGGCGGAGGAACACAGGCGGUGGGGGCGGUUCAGGGGAGGGCGGGGGGUCGGGGCCGGUGGUUCAGUCGGCGGCCCAUGCGGUGUUCUGUAUGGGAAGAAUCAGAGACGGGGAAGAAGAAGGGUUAGGAGACGUAGGAUCUUCAUCCAACCGCCUGAAAUGGUUGACUGUCCCAAAUGACAAAAGUCACGCGACUUGCAUGCAGACAUGCAGAAUAUGCUUCUUUAGUUCUUCUUUAGUAAGCACAGUAUGUUCCUUGUCAGGAAGGGGAGUAGGGACAUAUGCAGUCGACACCUCUACUGGGCCGGUUCUGCUAAAUGAUUUCGCACUUCGAGUUGGUCUGCCAUAAUACCCCGGAAAUGGUGGGAGCCGCGCGGUUUUUGAUAGAUUAAACUGAUAGUAGUAGCUGUGCGCCUUCAGAUGGAUAGAGCUGGCCUGUAGGUGAUCGAUAGGCUGUAUAUUAGUAGCGGCAAAACCUUAUGUUUUCCAGCCAGUUCCGCUUUCCCGAUUUAUUUAUGGUGGUUAUGGUGUACCCCUAUUAUCUACACUACGAUCUGCCUAUUGGCUCUACGCUCUCGUUAUCAUGGUUUGGCAAUAAACUUUCUAUACGGUAUGUUAUGAACCUAUCAUCUGCCAACUAUCCAUACAUCUGGGGUCGCCAACAGGGAGCUCAUUUUUGUGUGUAGUUGUGCCAGAUUAUAUUAAUCUACUCACCAUAUUACAGCACACAUGGGCUCUCUCAUCAGAAUCUAGUGAUAGCGCACAAGGGUUUACAGGGAGCCUCUAUUAUAUUACAAUAUCCUCUGAAUUACAAAGAUAAUCUCACUAAUAUUUGUGUUUUCAUGCUUUACAAAUAUUGUACGUAAUCACAAUGAAUAUAAGAAUGCGCACAUCAGAAGAAUAUUGCGGAACAGUUCAUUGGGUAACAAACUUGGCAUCAAGGGAUUGAGGUACAUUGUGGAUGCAAUGAAACCCACAUGCUCCCGACCUAUAGAUUCAUAUUCAAAAUAUGAUCCUAAUGACUAUUCUGAGCUCAAGGAGUCAAAGGCAGAUGGCCUAUCCUGUUCAACCAAUAAGGUGCCUAUUCUAAUUUGGCAAGGUUUUAUUGGUUGCACAUAUCUUGCAUAAGGUGUCUUGCAUUUCUUUUGCUUCGUUGCACCGCCAUCUGCUUAGCUUACUCAUGAUAUAUGUGAAGAUGCUAUGCCAAUCCAUUAUCAACACCUAUUCCAUUUGUCGUCAUACCAUGUUUUUCCAUUCAAAUGUUGUUCUUGUUUCAGACAUCCAAAAGGAAGAGGGUGAUUGCAGAACCUGAAGGAGUACAAGCAAAGUCCUUGAAAAAGGUGGUGCUACUGGAGAAAUCACAUAGCACCCGACGUAUAUUGGCCAUAGAACCAGCGCUGCAAAACCUAGGAUAUCGCAACUAUGUUGGUCGCUGCUUUGCUCUUGUGAGUAUGUAUUGUCCUAUCGCCGUCCUUACAUUCAUAUUAAUGCUUGUGCAUUAUAGCUUGCUUAUCCACUGUUCGCUCCAAAUUAUCAGAUCUAUAUUAAUGCUUAAAUUAAUGUAGAAUAAACCCAAUGCCUAUGAAGAAAUUUAGUUCUGCAUUGUUCUUGUUAGUAUCUGUUGUCCUUCAUCACUGUACUUAUAUUUGCCAGCUAGUUCUUCAUGUACACUUUACAACUUAUUUUUCCUUGUCCUCCAUUUUUCUACACAUCAGAUCUACAUUUACUCUUGCCAAAAUAUUGAAUGAAACCAAUGUUACUGAAGAAGUUUAGCUCCGCAUUGCUCUUGUCAUUGCCUUCUGCCUGUAUGUUGUAUUUACAUUUGUACUCUGCAUCUUAAGUUAAAUAAUUGCCAUUUGUUCUUAUAUUUUCACAUCUAUAUUUACUCUUAACAAAAUGUAGAGUAAAGGCAAUACUCUUGAAGAAGCGUGUGCGGUAAACUUCUUGAAUUGCCCCCCCCCCAUCAAUAUGGACAAGGCCUUUAUUAGGGCUGGGCGCUCGAUUAAUAUGGUUAUUACGGUUCGGUUUAUUCGGUUUUUUAUAAUUUCGGUUUUGGAGAAAUGGCAACCGAAAUAAUCACACAGAAAUUAGCCACCGAACCAUAUUAACCAUAAUAUAUCGGUUCGGUUUAUUCGGUUAACCGGAAAACUGAAGUACAUGCACCAAUCAAAGCCACGCCUUAUGAGUGGCUAUUUGCAUUGCGCAAACUACAAAUAAUAAUGACAAGAGCUAGCAACCUUAACACAAAAUAUGAUAGUCAAAAUGUCACAUCAUUGGGUGUAAUGACAGUAUAAAUGGAUAGGGAACAAAGUCUCACGUACGGACAUAUAACAAAUAGUCUCAGUUAUGUAGCAGCAAAAGCAAAUAGCAUAGUUCUUAUUUUCUCACACACAAGUGGAGGAAAAUCAAACAAAAGGCUAUCAAAUAGGUGACUGGUGACAAAAACGUGAAUAAAUGGGACUUCAUCACAGGAACAAGACUUCAAGAUCUCAGAUCUGCACUACUACUUCCAUGUCUUCAUACUGCACAUGUACACAAGAUCCAUGGAUAGAAAUCGUAUAAAUACUUGCUGAUACACUAGCUCGUGACAGCCGUUUCAUGCAAAACAAUAUUAAAAUAUUCCUAGUAGUAGUAGAUCAAUCUAAUCACUUGCAUGGAGUCAUGUUACGUAGUGUACUAGCUAAUUGUAUUGAGAUUUCACAGAUUAGAACUCGAGAAGCUAGCGGAUGGCUUACGUCCGUCACAACAAAAGGACUGCAGAACGCCGACUCGCCGGAGCCGACUCGAUGAGUAGCUGAUCGUGCGUCUAGGGUUGGAGAGGAGAGGGCACCACCUAACGAAGGGAUGUAUGGGCGAUGAUUAGGGUUUCGCGGACAUGUGAACGUGUGGUGAUUAUGUAUAUACAUUAGUUGGGCCGAAGGACAAAUGGGCUACGCUCAACUGCUCACAAGUCAUAGCCACAGUUACGUACAGGUACAGAGCACGGGCGUCCGGCCAUCUUAAAUAAUAGCGGUUUCUUCGGUGAUAUCGGCUUGUGACCGCAGGAAACCGAAGUUGCACCGAACACCGAAUAGAAAACGAAGCUGCCACCGAACCAUAAAACCAUACACCGAAUAAACACAUAAAUCGGUUAAAUCGGUUCGGUUCGGUUUGGUUUUCCGGUUUUCGGUGUGACUGUGCCCACCCCUAGCCUUUAUAGAGCCUGUCUUCACUACUAAUGUAAGUUUGUCCUCCUCCAGCCUUCAAACUUUGUUGUUUAUAUUUGGAUAUCUAUGAGUGCAAAUGCUGUUUAUUUUUGUCGUUUGCAUCAAAUUGCUUGUUCAAAGUUUAUAAAGUAGAAGUACAUAAACAUAAGUUUGUCCUUCUCAAUUUCAGUCUUUAGUUGGAAAAUCUAGUUCCUUAUUCGUACCAUGUAAAUUAAACUAAACAUAGCAAGUUAUCUUCUAAGAACUAUGUGUAUGCUUGUGUUCUUGAUAUGUAAUCCAGUGGUGUGGUGAGACUACCAACAACAGCACAAUGUCAUAUCCUGCUAUGUCUCAACUAUGAACAAUGCCAUAUUAUAUUAAUGUUAUUUAAAUUGUGUCUCUUUAUUUACCAAUCUGAAAUGGUAUAAAUUAACAGUGCACUCACCAUUCAUGCUUAUAUGUUGUUUAGAACUACAUCUAUGCUUGUGUUCUUGAUCUGUAAUCCAGUGGGCUGGUGAAGCUGGCCGCUCCUGCACAAUGCCAUUUCCUACCGUCUUAACUAUGAACAAUGCCUAUUAUGUUAAUGCUAUUUUAAACCGUGUCUCUUUAUUUUUGACAAAGAAAUGAGAUGAAUUGACAACGCUGAUGCUUAUGCGUGCAAAACAUGUUAUCUACCUACUUGUUUCUCUUUCAGGGUGACAACACUGCUGCUAGGAAGAACUGCCACAAUGAUAGUGAGACGAACCCAUUGUUUGUCCCACUAACACAUAUUCCAGAGGAGAAGGCAACACAUAUGAGGGUAGGGAUACAAUCAUGAAGUCACAUCUUGAUCUAGUGUCAAACUUACUCAGUGACACAAGCUCGAUGAAGUCGCUGCCAGAAUCUGUUCAUCUUCUUCAGUCUGAAAUUCAAGCAGAAAUACAUGCUUCCGCUCAAAUACGACUGGAACUCCAAUCUCUAUGUAAGAUUAACCAUAAGUACAUGACGUUUAUUGAUGCUAUGCAGCUUAAGUUGGUGGAUAUGAGCACCAAAGAAGCGCAGUCUCAUCAGGUUGCUAAGCUGCUUGCGCUGCAGCUCCUGGGCUGGGCUAACCUUUCUUGAACUAUGUUGAAGUGCUGUCGGUUCUGUCUAUUAUUUUGUCCGCCUGUUAACUUCCACUGGUGGCGACAUGCCCAGUUUAUGUAAUCUUCUAUCUGGUUGCCCUUUAUUAUCACUGGCGGCGAACUUUGUUGCCGAGGGUAUGUAAUAUGCUGUAAUUUCUUUGUUGUAUAGUCUAGGUUUAUUCUUGGUGGGUAUGCUGUAAUUUAGGCCGGAAGGUUCAGUGGAUCUCAGUGUUGCCGGUCUUUAGGCCGGCCCGUUACUCAUAUGGGCCAAAGCUUGGGCCUAUAAUCAUCUUGGGCCAUUAGCAGGUCUAAACCUAUAGUUGUUUCCCGCCUUUAACAGGCCAAGUAAAGUUCUGUCCAGCUGGGCCAGAGAAUACCAUGGGCUUUUAACAUGCUAAAACCUAGAUUGGGCCAGUGUUGAGCCGAAAAAUUCACGGGCCAAUACAGGCCGAAACUGCCUAAGGCCCAUGUUUGGCCCAAACAGGACGAGCAGUUAACAGGCCAAAAUAUAUCUCGGGCAUGUUUGGCCCAAUAAAAUUAUGGGCUUUAAGCAGGCCGGUAUCUACGUGGGCCAUGGGCCAAAAAGUGUCAUGGGCCAUUAUCAGAUGGGCUCUAAGCAGGCCGGAUUCAACACAAGUUGUAAUUAGGCCCAACUGUUACAUGGGCCAUUAACAGUCCGAUAUGCCAGUUGGGCUGAAAUUUAUCCACGAAGUCUACAGGCCGUUAAGAGGCCUAAAGUUACUUCGGACAAGAAUUAGCCCAGUUUCGGCAUGGGCCGUUAAAUGGCCUUUAGUUAAACUGGGCCUAACACGUCCCAGAUGCACCAUGGGCCGCUAACAGGCCGAAACUAUUAUCGAGCCGAACUGGUAAACGGGCAUUUAAUAGGCUGAAAUACAAAACUGUCUUAGUAUGGGCCCAAAAGAACAGUGGCCUAUUAACGGGCCUGAUCCGAUAUGGGUCAUAAUUUGGCCCAAAACACAGCAUGCUGUGAACGGGCCUGAUCCGAUAUGGGCCGUAAUUUGGCCCAAAACAUGGCAGGCUGUGAACGGGCCUGAUCUGGUAUGGGCCUCAAUUUGGCCCGAAACAUGGCAGGCUGUUAAUGGGCCAGCCCACUAGUGUCUGAAAAACAUGGUGGGCCUUUAGCUGGGCCGGCAUUUUCACCGGAAUGGGCCUCUGUUGGGCUGUGUCACGUGUCGACGUAUCAUAGGCUCCUCCUGUCCAAUGAGUGGAUGACAUCUGUCCGAACAUUGAGCCGACAUGUGUUUUCUCCGGCCAAUGAGAAUUUUACACGUGGAAAAUUCCCAUUGGUCCGGGCUGUUAACGGGUUAUCGGAUCCAAAACCAGACCCGGUAGCUUAACGGUGUCCCGUUAUGGUGGAUGCCACAUGUCGGUCACCCUUGACGAAAGCACUUCUAUGAUGCGCGAUUUAUCGUCAUGGAAGCGGACACUUCCGUGAUGAUAAUCUUGGUAAUGUCAUGGAACACUUCUACGACAACACAGGUAUAACUAUCUUGAUUCUGUCAUAAAUUUGUCAUGGAUGUACAUGCAUGGCAGAAAACGUGACCUACUGUGACAAACACGUAUCAUCACGGAAGUGUAUUUUUUUGUAGUGGAGGCUACGAUGGAGAUCAAGGUGUCAAGCCGGUGACGAUGGAAAUCGUGACGGUGCUUUGGAGAUGGAGAUCAAAGUGACAAGAUGAUGAUGGCCAUAUCAUGUCACAUAUUUUGAUUGCAUGUGAUUUUUAUCCUUUAUGCAUCUUAUUUUGCUUAGUAUGGCGGUUGCAUUAUAAGAUGAUCCCUUACUAAAAUUUCAAGGUAUAAGUGUUCUCCCUGAGUAUGCACCAUUGCAACAGUUCGUCGUGCUGAGACACCACGUGAUAAUCGGGUGUGAUAAGCUGUACGUUCACGUACAACGGGUGCAAGACAGUUUUGCACAUGCGGAAUACUCGGGUUAAACUUGACGAGCCUAGCAUGUACAGACAUGGCCUCGGAACACUGGAGACCGAAAGGUCGAACGUGAAUCAUAUAGUAGAUAUGAUCAACAUAGAGAUGUUCACCAUUGAAAACUACUCCAUCUCACGUGAUGAUCGAACAUGGUUUAGUUGAUAUGGAUCACCUGAUGAUUUAGAUGACUCGAGGGAUGUCUAUCUAAGUGGGAGUUCUUAAGUAAUAUAAUUAAUUGAACUUAAUUUAUCAUGAACUUAGUCCUGAUAGUUUUUGCAUAUCUAUGUUGUAGAUCAAUGGCGCGUGCUACCGUUUUGUUGAAUUUUAAUGUGUUCCUAGAGAAAGCUAAGUUGAAAGAUGAUGGUAGCAACUACACGGGCUGGGUCCGUAACUUGAGGAUUAUCCUCAUUGCUGCACAGAAGAAUUAUGUCCUUGAUGCACCGCUAGGGGACAAGCCCCCUCCCGCUAAUGUAGACGCUUUGAACGUCUGGCAGACGUGGUCUGAUGAGUACUCUAUAGUUCAGUGUGCCAUGCUCUACGACUUAGAAUCGGGACUUCAAAGACGUUUUGAACGUCAUGGACCAUAUGAGAUGUUCCAGGAAUUGAAGUUAAUAUUUCAAGCAAAUGCCCGAGUUGAGAGAUAUGAAGUUUCCAACAAGUUCUAUAGCUGCAAGAUGGAGGAGAAUAGUUCUGUCAGUGAACACAUAAUCAGAAUGUCUGGGUAUCAUAAACAUUUGACUCAGCUAGGAGUUAAUCUUCCGGAUGAUAGUGUUAUUGACAGAGUUCUUUAAUACUGCCACCAAGCUACAAAGGCUUCGUGAUGAACUAUAAUAUGCAAGGGAUGGAUAAGACGAUUCCCGAGAUCUUCGCUAUGCUCAAAGCUGCGGAGGUAGAAAUCAAGAAAGAGCAUCAAGUGUUGAUGGUUAACAAGACCACUAGUUUGAAGAAAAAGGGCAAGGGAAAGAAAGGGAACUUCAAAAAGAAUGGCAAGCAAGUUGCCACUCCGGGGAAGAAGCCCAAGUUUGGACCCAAGCCUGAAGCUGAGUGCUUCUACUGCGAAGGGACUGGUCACUGGAAGUGAAACUGCCCCAAGUAUCUGGUGGAUAAGAAGGAUGGCAAAGUGAACAAAGGUAUAUUUGAUAUACAUGCUACUGAUAUGUACCUUACUAAUGCUCGUAGUAGUGCCUAUGUAUUUGAUACCGAUUCGGUUGCUCAUAUUUGUAACUCGAAAUAGGGGCUACGGAUUAAACGAAGAUUGGUGUAACAUCCCAAAAUUCUAAAUUUUGGAAUGUUAUAUUAAAUAGAUAGUUUUGAUUGUUUGUUUGAUUAUGGUGUGGUUGCUUGUGUGAAAUGGAGUGAAAUUUGGAACUUUUUGAAGUUAAAUGAGAGGGAAUAAAAUGACUUUCCCAAAAAUUUCACUUUGCUUUCUGAUCUCCAUGAAUUCAAAUUCAUUUUGUCACAAGACCCUAGAGUGAAGAUAAUAUGACUUCUUCCAUUUAAAUAAAUGAAAGAGGUUUUGAAAAUAUAUGAAUUUCAUUUGGAAAUAUUUCAAAUUCAGAAACUAUAUGCAACUCAAUGAUUUUCAUGAGAGAAGAUAAAAUGACUUCUUCAAAUUGUAUGAAAUAUGAGUUGGAAGUUUCAAAUGAAAUAAAUUUAAAGCCCCUACGAAAUUAUUUUCAUUUUAGAGUUAUUUGAGUUUUAUUCAAAUUAUUUUUCUCCAAAAAUAAAAUAUAUGGAAAGUAGGGUAAAAUGAUUCCCUACAUUAGAAAAUUGGAGAAAAAUGGUUUUGAAAUCAUUUUGGUAUUUUAAAAUAUUUUUAUUUGAUUUUUAAAUGAAUCCGUAGCACUGUUUGAUUUAUUUAAAUGAUUGUGGAUUUUAUUUGAUGCUAGAAAAAUGUUCAUGUGGUAGAACAUCUUUUUCGGAAAAUUUUGGUAUAUUAUAUGCCUAUAGUAUAUUUUUUAUCAUUUUAUUAUUUUAUUUUCUUGUCUGUGAAAUUAUUAUUUAAAAAAACGUCAGCGCAGGCGAGCGCUAGCGGCUCAGCUCACCUGCGCUUACGGCCCAAGGCCCAGCCUCCAGCCGCGCGAGCGUCGAAGCGCUAUGCUUCGGUCGCCCGUUCCCUCCCUCUCUCUCCCGCGGACGCCGACACGCGGGCCCCGCGUUUUCUUCCUCCUCCCGCAAGCAACCGGAGUCCACCCCGAGCACGACCUCGCCAGCGCCGCACCCUUCAAACCUGGGAUUCUAUCCCUCGGCUAACCCCUCUCCCAAGAUGACCCCUAUAUAAGCCGAGACCCCAGCGUCGUUUUGCCUCAAACCACAGUGCCCAAGACCCUCCCCACGUCCCGCACCGUCUUGCCGGAAUUUCGAGAUCCGCCGGAGCUCCGCCGUCAAAGCCCCGCUCCUUCCCGUGGACUUCGAGGAUCGCCGCCACCUGCAUCAGCUUCGCCACCACGCGCCGCCUCUCCCCGACCUUGCGCCCACAACGGAGGACCACCAGAGCGGGCACCACGACCACGACCGAGCCGCCGCGAGCUUCUUCUCCGGCGACGUCGACGCCCACCACCGCGGUAAGCCGUCGCUCGGUCUCGUCCGUCCGAUCCUAAAUCUAGGGCUGAGAUUAGGUUUAGUUGUUUUUUUAUUUCCGAACUGGUAUGCUUUAGUUAGUGAACGUUCGCUCUAUUAGCCCCGCAGCGAACGGUUUUUCAGCUUGUCGUUUUCUCACACGUGUCCAGGGACUUAGUUGUAGAUAGUUUUUUUCAGUUUAGCCCCUGCCUUUCAAUCCCUCGCAACUUUUUACUCGUUAGUCCAAAUUCAAUGAAACCAACGCCAAAUUCUUUGUUAUGAUCCCCUCUAUCCAGUAAAACAACUUAAACAUGUUUUUGAAAGUUUUAAAAUUUGAAUUCAAACAGAUUUGUAUUUGAACUUCGUUUGAUCGUAACUUGAGUUUUAUAACUCCGUUUGAGUUGAUUCUUUUUGAAAAUUAAAGCUCUUGACCUAAACUUUCCGAUAAGGCCAAAUUCACUUAAUUUUGGUACUGUUAGAAAUAGUUUUCUGUUGCAAGAGUUAUUUGCUUGGUUUUGAAGUUUUCCGAAUUGUUUUUUUUGUUCUCUUCGAUUCUUUUGCAUGAGUGCUUAUGUAUGCAAUUGCUUUCUCACGAUAGAUUGAACGGAGUGUGAUGAGUAGAACUAUCAGGAGUUAUGAGUGCAAAUCAUAUUCAUCAACAGUACAAGGCAAGUUCACACUUUGAUCAUAUCCUUUUAUUACCCAGUUUUUAUGCAUUAGUUUCAACCCUCAAACAUUGCAUGGUUAGGAUUUGAUUCAUGUGGGUAUUGGGAAGUAGAUGAUGAGGUAGAACCUAUUGUCCUUUAUAUCAAACCCUGGGAGUUACUUCUACGUUAUGCUUAUACUGCUAUGAUAUGCUCGUAGACGUGGAUUGGUUGAGUGUAUCCAUGACAGAUGUGAGAGUUAUUAAUUAAUGGUUAACUUAAUGUGGCUACUUAAAUACACAUCUGGCUGGAUUAGUUGAGGCACCCUGGAGCACCAAGUGGUUGUCUGGGCACCUGGAGAAUCCAGUGUUGUCCUAGGAUAUCCCGGAGUAACCGUGUGAUCAUCCUAUGGUUCGCCACGGAGGCUCAAAGGGAUCAUAAGAUUAUUCAUGCUGGAAACUUCCAUGUGCAGCCACAAGCCAUUAUGGGCUCUGGCCAUUAUGGGCUCUGGCAUAGUUGAGUAUGUUGCAUGACCUCUUUCAGUGGUAGGCUAGCAUAUGUAGGGGAUGUAGGUGGUACUGUCUACCCAGAGUAAAGAGUUAACACUUCUGAAAGACUGUGUCUCGGUCAUCCGUUUCUCAAACAUCAUGAAGUGCGAGAAAUCCAACGGAGGAGAUCGAGUCUUGUGGGGAAAAGUGCGCAAACCUCUGCAGAGUGUACAAACUAAUCAUGGUUAGUCGUGUCCCCGGUUAUGGACAUCUUGAGUCUCUGGUACUUGGAUUAUCAUGUUGAUCUCAACACUCUAUUUAAUUAAUUUGAUUGGGUUAAUGAUUAUUAUUUUGGGAUUGAGUUGGAGGAACCUUUUCAAUAGUUUUCAACCAAUUUUGUAGUUAAAUAAAAUAUAUUCCUUUGUUGUAGGGAAAAACUAGCUUUAUGCAAAAUUAAACCCAGAGCCUCCACCAGCCAAAUAUGCAUGUAGUGAUAGCCAUUAUACAACAUUGCUCUACAGUGUGAAAUUGCCUGUACAUUCAAUGUACUGACCCUUUGUGGCUGCAACGUCUCAUGUUGCAGGAAUCUUACAACGAGUAAGUGAUACGUUAGGGUGACGAUUUCUACACUCAACUUUGCCGUUGGUGUUGAUGGGAAUCCACAACCUUGUUGUUACUUCCGCUAUAUGGAUUGAGGUAAUAGUAUUUACGUUACUUUAUACAUGUGAUUUACCUCUAUUAUAAAUCCUCGAGUACUGUGUGUGUCAGCAUACCGAUCUAGGGAUGACACUUAAGCACAGAGACUUGACCGUCUGAGGUCGGGUUGCUACAAUUGGCUAAGGACGAGGUGACGAUGCGCGUCGGGAAUGGUUACAAGGUCGAUGUGACUGCCAUCGGCACGCUACUUCUACAUCUACCUUCGGGAUUAGUUUUAGACCUGAAUAAUUGUUAUUUGGUGCCAGCAUUGAGCAUGAACAAUAUAUCUGGAUCUUGUUUGAUGCGAGACGGUUAUCCAUUUAAAUAAGAGAAUAAUGGUUGUUCUAUUUAUAUGAGUAAUAUCUUUUAUGGCGAUGCACCCUUGAAGAGUGGUCUAUUUUUGUUGAAUCUCGAUCGUGGUGAUAGACAUAUUCAUCAUAUUGAUGCCAAAAGAUGCAAAGUUGAUAAUGAUAGUGCAACAUAUUUGUGGCACUGCCGUUUAGGUCAUAUUGGUGUUAAGCACAUGAAGAAACUCCAUGCGGAUGGACUUUUGAAAUCACUUGAUUAUGAAUCAUUUGAUGCUUGCGAACCAUGCCUCAUGGGCAAGAUGACUAAGACUCCGUUCUUCGGAACAAUGGAGCGAGCCACUGACUUAUUAGAAAUAAUACAUACCGAUGUAUGCGGUCCAAUGAGUGUUGAGGCUCGCAUCGGGUAUCGUUAUUUUCUAACCUUCAGAGAUGAUUUGAGCAGAUAUGGGUAUAUCUACUUAAUGAAACACAAGUCUGAAACAUUUGAAAAAUUCAAAGAAUUUCAAAGUGAAGUGGAGAAUCAUCGUAACAAGAAAAUAAAGUUUCUACGAUCUGAUCGCAGAGGCGAAUAUUUGAGUUACGAGAUUGGCCUUCAUUUAAAACAAUGUGGACCAGUUUCACAACUCACGCCACCUGGAAACACCACAGCGUAAUGGUGUGUCCGAACGUCGUAACUGUACUUUAUUAGAUAUGGUGCGAUGUAUGAUGUCUCUUACCGAUUUACUACUAUCGUUUUGGGGUUAUGCAUUAGAGACAACUACAUUCACGUUAAGUAGGGCACCGUCUAAAUCCGUUGAGAUGACGGCGUAUGAACUGUGGUUUGGCAAGAAACCUAAGCUGUCAUUUCUUAAAGUUUGGGGUUGCGAUGCUUAUGUGAAAAAGCUUCAGCCUGAUAAGCUUGAACCCAAAUCGGAGAAGUGCACUUCAUAGGAUACCUAAAAUAAAUUGUUGGGUACACCUUUUAUCACAUAUCCGAAGGCAAGAUCUUUGUUGCUAAGAAUGGAUCCUUUCUAGAGAAGGAGUUUCUCUCGAAUGAAGUCAGUGGGAGGAAAGUAGAACUUGAUGAGGUAAUUGUACAAUCUCUUGAAUUGGAAAGUAGCUCAUCAUAGAAAAUCGUUCCGGUGAUGCCUACACCAACUAGUGAGGAAGCUAAUGAUAAUGAUCAUGAAACUUCGGAUCAAAUUACUACCGAACCUCGUAGGUCAACUAGAGCAUGUUCCGCACCAGAGUGGUACGGUAAUCCGGUUCUUGAAGUCAUGUUACUAGACUAUGACGAAUCUAUGAACUAUGAGGAAGCGAUGACGAGCCCAGAUUCUGUGAAAUGGCUUGAGGCCAUGAAAUCUGAGAUGGGAUCCAUGUAUGAGAAGAAAGUAUGGACUUUGGUUGACUUGCCCGAUGAUCGGCAUGCCAUAGAGAAUAAAUGGAUCUUCAAGAAGAAGACUGACGCUGAUGGUAAUGUUACUGUCUACAAAGCUCGACUUGUUGUCAAAGGUUUUCAACAAGUUCAAGGAGUUGACUAUGAUGAGACCUUCUCACCCGUAGCGAUGCUUAAGUCUGUCCGAAUCAUGUUAGCAAUUGCCACAUUUUAUGAUUAUGAAAUCUGGCAAAUGGACAUCAGAACUGCAUUCCUUAAUGGAUUUCUUAAAGAAGAGUUGUAUAUGAUGCAACCAGAAGGUUUUGUAGAUCCUAAAGGUGCUAACAAAGUGUGCAAGCUCCAGCGAUCCAUUUAUGGACUGGUGCAAGCAUCUCGGAGUUGGAAUAUACGCUUUGAUGAGGUGAUCAAAGCAUAUGGUUUUAUACAGACUUUUGGAGAAGCCUGUAUUUACAAGAAAGUGAGUGGGAGCUCUGUACAAUUUCUAAUAUUAUAUGUGGAUGACAUAUUGUUGAUUAGAAAUGAUAUAAAAUUUCUAGAUAGCAUAAAAGGAUACUUGAAUAAGAGUUUUUCAAUGAAAGACCUCGAUGAAGCUGCUUAUAUAUUGGGCAUCAAGAUCUAUAGAGAUAGAUCAAGACGCUUAAUUAGACUUUCACAAAGCACGUACCUUGAUAAAGUUUUGAAGAAGUUCAAAAUGGAUCAAUCAAAAAAAGGGUUCUUUCCUGUGUUACAAGGCGUGAAGUUGAGUCAGACUCAAUGCCCGACCACUACAGAAGAUAGAGAGAAAAUGAAAGUCAUUCCCUAUGCCUCAGCCAUAGGUUCUAUCAUGUAUGCUAUGAUGCGUACCAGACCUGGUGUGUGCCUUGCUAUAAGUCCAGCAGGGAGGUACCAAAGUAAUCCAGGAGUGGAUCACCGGACAACGGUCAAGAACAUACUGACGUACCUGAAAAGGACUAAGGAUAUAUUUGUCGUUUAUGGAGGUGACAAAGAACUCAUCGUAAAUGGUUACGUUGAUGCUAGCUUUGACACUAAUCCGGAUGACUCUAAGUCACAAACCGGAUACGUAUUUAUAUUGAAUGGUGGAGUUGUCAGUUGGUGCAGUUCCAAGCAAAGCGUCGUGGUGGGAUCUACGUGUGAAGCGGAGUACAUAGCUGCUUCGGAAGCAGUGAAUGAAGGAGUUCAUACCCGAUCUAGGUGUAAUACCUAGUGCAUCGGGUCCAAUGAAAAUCUUUUGUGACAAUACUAGAGCAAUUACCUUGCCGAAGGAAUCCAGAUUUCACAAAAGAACCAAACACAUCAAGAGACGCUUCAAUUCCAUCUGUGAUCAAGUCAAGGAGGGAGACAUAGAGAUUUGCAAAAUACAUACGGAUCUGAAUGUGGCAGACCUAUUGACUAAGCCUGUUCCACGAGAAAAACAUGAUCAACACCAAGACUCCAUGGAUGUUAGAUUAUUGACUCUAGUGCAAGUGGGAGACUAAAGGAAAUAUGCCCUAGAGGAAAUAAUAAAGUUCUUAUUUAUAUUUCCUUGUAUCAUGAUAAAUGUUUUUUAUUCAUGCUAGAAUUGUAUUAACCGAAAACUUGACACAUGUGUGGAUACAUAGACAAAACACAGUGUCCCUAGUAAGCCUCUACUAGACUAGCUCGUUAAUCAAAGAUGGUUAAGUUUCCUAACCAUAGACAAGUGUUGUCAUUUGAUGAACGGGAUCACAUCAUUAGGAGAAUGAUGUGAUAGACAAGACCCAUCUGUUAGCUUAGCAUAAUGAUCGUUAAGUUUUAUUGCUAUUGCUUUCUUCAUGACUUAUACAUAUUCCUUUGACUAUGAGAUUAUGCAACUCCUGGAUACCGGUGGAAUACCUUGUGUGCUAUCAAACAUCACAACAUAACUGGGUGAUUAUAAAGAUGCUCUACAGGUAUCUCCGAAGGUGUUUGUUGGGUUGGCAUAGAUCGAGAUUAGGAUUUGUCACUCUGAGUAUCGGAGAGGUAUCUCUAGGCCCUCUCGGUAAUGCACAUCAUAAUAAGCCUUGCAAGAAAUGUGACUAAUGAGUUAGUUGCGGGAUGAUGCAUUACCGAAUGAGUAAAGAGACUUGCCGGUAAUGAGAUUGAACUAGGUAUGAAGAUACCGAUGAUCGAAUCUCGGGCAAGUAACAUAUCGACUUGUCGGGAAGAACGUAUGUUGUCAUUACAGUUUAACCGAUAAAGAUCUUCAUAGAAUAUGUAGGAACUAAUAUGAUCCAGGUUCCGCUGUUGGUUAUUGACCGGAGAGGUGUCUCGGUCAUGUCUACAUAGUGAUCGAACCCGUAGGGUCCGCACGCUUAACGUCCGAUGACGAUUUUGUAUUAUAUGAGUUAUGUGAUUUGGUGACCGAAUGUUGUUCGGAGUCCCAGAUGACAUCACGGGCAUGACGAGGAGUCUCGAAAUGGUUGAGAGGAAAAUAUUCAUAUAUAGGACGAUAGUAUUUGGACACCGGAAGUGUUCCGGGGGUACCGAGUACGUAUCGGCUCAGCGGAAGGGGUUCCGGGCAACCCCCGGAAGCUAUAUGGGCUUAAUGGGCCUAGGAAGGGAUAGACCAGCCCAGAAGGGGCUGGUGCGCCCCUCCACCAGGCCUGCCAGCCCUAGGGAAGGAAAGGGAGGAGGGCUAGCCCCACUUUCCUUCCCCUUCUCAAGGGAGAAAGGAAAGGGGGCACCACCUCCUCCUUCCUUCUCCUAGUGCCAAAAGAAGGAAGGGGGCCGAAUUGGGGUGGCACCCCGAGUAGGAUUUGGCCUACUUGGGCGCCCCCUAGCUGCCUCUUCCCCGACCAACCUAUAUAUAUGUGGGGAGGGAGGUGCCUAGAGGACACACAAACAUCUGUUAGCCGUGUGUGGCGCCCCCCUCCACAGUUUACGCCUCCGGUCAUAUUGUCAUAGUGCUUAGGCAAAACCCUGUGCGGAUCACUUCACCAUCACUAUCACCACGCCAUCGUGCUGACGAAACACUCCCUCGACACUUUGCUGGAUGAAGAGUUCAAGGGAUGUCAUCAAGCUGAAUGAGUGCAGAACUCGGAGGUGUCGUACGUUCGGUGCUUGAUCGGUCGGAACAAGAAGAAGUUUGACUACAUCAACCGCGUUGUCAAACGCUUCUGCUUUCGGUCUAUGUUGGUACGUGGACGCACUCUCCCCCUCUUGUUGCUAUGCAUCUCCUAGAUAGAUCUUGCGUGAGCGUAGGAUUUUUUUUGAAAUUGCAUGCUACAUUCCCCAACAAAUACCUACACAAACAAACACCAACUUGCACCCAACGCGAUAAAGGGGUUGUCAAUCCCUUCACGGUUAUUUGCAAAGUGGGAUCUGAUAAAGAUGGAUAAACGGUAAAGUAAUAUUUUUGGUAUUUUUGGUUUAUGGAACGGAAAGUAAAAGAUUGCAAAGGAAGUAAAUAGGAAACUGAAAUUAUAGAUCGAAAACUUAUAUGAUGGAAAGUGUACCCGAGGGCCAUAGUUUCACUAGAGGCUUCUCUCAAGAUAGAAAAUAUUACAAUGGGUGAACAAAUUACUGCCGAGCAAUUGAUGGAAAAGCCCAAAGUUAUGACAAUAUCUUAGGCCAUGAUCAUGAAUAUAGGCAUCACGUUCGUAUCAAGUAGACCGACUCCUGCCUGCAUCUACUACUAUUACUCCACUCAUCGACCGACUCCUGCCUGCAUCUAGAGUAUUAAGUUCAUGAAGAACAAAGUAACGCAUUAAGUAAGAUGACAUGACGUAGAGGAAUAAACUCAAGCAAUAUGAUGUAAACCCCAUCUUUUUAUCCUCGAUGGCAACAAUACAAUACGUGCCUUGCUGCCCCCAAUGUCACUGGGAAAGGAUACCGCAAGAUUGAACCCAAAGCUAAGCACUUCUCCAAUUGCAAGAGAAACCAGUCUAGUUGGCCAAACCAAAUCGAUAGUUCGAAGAGACUUGCAAAGAUAUCUAAUCAUGCAUAUAAGAAUUCAGAGGAGAUUCAAAUAAUAUUCAUAGAUAAGCUGAUCAUAAAUCCACAAUUCAUCGGAUCUCGGCAAACACACCGCAAAAAGUAUUACAUCGAAUAGAUCUCCAAGAACAUGGAGGAGAACAUGGUAUUGAGAAUCAAAGAGAGAGAAGAAGCCAUCUAGCUACUAGCUAUGGACCCGUAGGUCUAUGGUGAACUACUCACGCUUCAUCGGAAGGGCAAUGGUGUUGAUGUAGAAGCCCUCUGUGAUUGAAGGCCCCCUCCGGCAGGACACCGGAAAAGGCCCCUGGAUGGGAUCUCACGGGUACAGAAGGUUGCGGCAGUGGAAAAGUGUUUUCGUGGCUCUCCUAGUAGGUUUUGGAAUAUUUAAGAAUAUAUAGGCGGAAGAAAUAGUUCGGUGGAGUCACGAUGGGCCCACAAGGGUGUGGGGUGCGCCCUACCCCCUGGGCGCGCCCUCCGUCCUUGUGGCCGCGUCGUGGCUUCCCUGACGUGUACUCCAAGUCCUCUGGAUGUCUUCUGGUCCAAAAAAAAAUCAUCGCGAAAGUUUCAUUCCGUUUGGACUCCGUUUGAUAUUCCUUUUCCGCGAAACUCUAAAACAAGGGGAAAAACAGGAACUGGCACUGGGCUCUAGGUUAAUAGGUUAGUCCCAAAAAUAAUAUAAAAUAGCAUAUUAAUGCAUAUAAAACAUCCAAAACAGGUAAUAUAAUAGCAUGGAACAAUCAAAAAUUAUAGAUACGUUGGAGACGUAUCAGGCAUCCCCAAGCUUAAUUCCUGCUCGUCCUCGAGUAGGUAAAUGAUAAAAACAGAAUAUUUGAUGUGGAAUGCUACCUAACAUAUUUAUCCAUGUAAUUUUCUUUAUUGUGGCAUGAAUGUUCAGAUCCGUAUGAUUCAAAACAAAAGUUUAAUAUUGACAUAAAAACAAUAAUACUUCAAGCAUACUAACAAGAUAAUUAUGUCUUCUCAAAAUAACAUGACCAAGGAAAGCUUAUCCCUACAAAAUCAUAUAGUCUGGCUAUGCUCCAUCUUCAUCACACAAAAUAUUCAAAUCAUGCACAACCCCGAUGACAAGCCAAGCAAUUGUUUCAUACUUUUGAUGUUCUCAAACCUUUUCAACUUUCACGCAAUACAUGAGCAUGAGCCAUGGACAUAGCACUAUAGGUGGAAUCGAAGGUGGUUGUGGAGAAAAAAGAGGGAGAUAGUCUCACAUCAACUAGGUGUAUUAACGGGCUAUGGAGAUGCCCAUCAAUAGAUAUCAAUGUGAGUGAGUAGGGAUUGCCAUGCAACGGAUGCACUAGAGCUAUAAGUUUAUGAAAGCUCAAAAAGAAAACUAAGUGGGUGUGCAUCCAACUUGCUUGCUCAUGAAGACCUAGGGCAAUUUGAGGAAGCCCAUCGUUGGAAUAUACAAGCCAAGUUCUAUAAUGAAAAUUCCCACUAGUAUAAGAAAGUCACAAAAUAGGAGACUCUCUAUCAUGAAAAUCAUGGUGCUACUUUGAAACACAAGUAUGGAAAAGGAUAGUAACAUUGCCCUUCUCUCUCAUUUUGUUUCUUUUUUUCUCUUUUUUUCUUUUUUCUUUCUCUUUUUCUUUCUCUUUUUUUCUUCUUUCUUUCUUUCUUUUAUUUCCUCACAUGGGACAAUGCUCUAAUAAGGAAGAUUCAUACUUCUAUUUACUUACAACUCAAAAAUUACAACUCGAUAGUAGAACAAGAUAUGACUCUAUAUGAAUGGCUCCGGCGGUGUACCGGGAUGUGCAAUGAAUCAAGAGCGACAUGUAUAAAAAAUGAUGAAUGGUGGUUUUGCCACAAAUAUGAUGUCAACUACAUGAUCAUGCAAAGCAAUAUGACAAUGAUGAUGCAUGUCAUAAUAAACGGAAUGGUGGAAAGUUGCAUGGCGAUAUAUCUCGGAAUGGCUAUGAAAAUGCCAUAAUAGGUAGGCAUGGUGGCUGUUUUGAGGAAGGUAUAUGGUGGGUUUAUGGCACCGGCGAAAGUUGUGUGGUAAAAGAGAGGCUAGCAAUGUUGGAAGGGUGAGAGUGCGUAUAAUCCAUGGACUCAACAUUAGUCAUAAAGAACUCACAUACUUAUUGCAAAAAUGUAACAGUGAUCGAAACAAAGUACUACACGCAUGCUCCUAGGGGGAUAGAUUGGUAGGAAAAGACUAUCGCUCAUCCCCGACCGCCACUCAUAAGGAAGACAAUCAAAAAAAUAUCUGAUGCUCCAAUUUCGUUACAUAACGGUUCACCAUACGUGCAUCUACGGGACUCACAAACCUUAACAUAAGUAUUUCUCAAAUUCACGACUACUCACUAUGAUGACUCUAAUAUCACCAUCUUCAUAUAUCAAAACAAUCAUAAGGAAUCAAACUUCUCAUAGUAUUCAAUGCACUUUAUAUGAAAGUUUUUAUUAUAUCCCUCUUGGAUGCAUAUCAUAUUAGGACUAAAUUACCAUGCUGUUUUAAAGACUCUCAAAAUAAUAUAAGUGAAGCAUGAGAGUUCAUCAAUUUCUAUUAAUUAAAACCACCGCCGUGCUCUAAAAAGAUAUAAGUGAAGCACUAGAGCAAAAUUGCCUAGCUCAAAAGAUAUAAGUGAAGCACAUAGAGUAUUCUAAUAAAUCAUGAUUCAUGCGUGUCUCUCUCAAAAGUUGUGUACAGCAAGGAUUAUUGUGGCAAACUAAAAAGCAAAGAAUCAAAUCAUACAAGAUGCUCCAAGCAAAACACAUAUCAUGUGCUGAAUGAAAAUAUAGCCUCAAUUAAAGUUACCGAUAGACGAAGACGAAAGAGGGGAUGCCUUCCGGGUCAUCCCGAAGCUUAGGCUCUUGGUUGUCCUUGAAUAUUACCUUGGGGUGCCUCAGGCAUCCCCAAGCUUAGGCUCUUGCCACUCCGUAUUCCAUAGUCCAUCAAAUCCUUACCCAAAACUUGAAAACUUCACAACACAAAACUCAACAGAAAAUCUCAUAAGGUCUGUUAGUAUAAGAAAAUAAAUCACCACUUCUGGUACUGUUGUGAACUCAUUCUUUAUUUAUAUUUGUGUAAUAUCUACUGUAUUCCAACUUUUCCAUGGUUCAUACCCACCGAUACGAGCCAUAGAUUCAUCAAAAUAAGCAAACAACACAUAGAAAACACAACCUGUCAAAAACAGAACAGUCUGUAGCAAUCUGGAUAUUUUGAAUACUUCUAUACCUCCAAAAUUCUGAAAAAUUAGGACACCCUAAGAAUUUUUUUUAUUAAUUUUCUACAAAAAGAAUCAGUAUUUUAUCACGCUCCUGUGAUUUUUAACAAUUCUGGGACUCAGCGCAAAAGUUUCUGUUUUUCAGCAAGAUCAAAUCAACUAACACCGUAAGCUAUCCCAAAGGUCUUACUUGGCACAAACACUAAUUAAAACACAACCUAAAAAGCAAAAAAAAUUGGGUUGCCUCCCAACAAGCGCUAUUGUUUAACGCCCUUAGCUUGGCAUAAAACACAAAUAGAUCUAAGUGUAAUCAUCUUUGGCAUGCAACCCUUCAAUUGUGCACUUACAAUUCUUAGGAGAUUCUUUAGUUUUAUAAAUGAUCAAACUCCUAGGCAAGAAAUCAAGAAAUUCAUUCGUGGCACUAGGUCCCUUAAUAAUAUCCAAAAAAAUCAGGGCAAACACUUAUGGAUUUGAGAUCUUCAUUAUCUUUAAUAGAAUAUUCACCCUAAUCCUUAGGAACAUAAAUAAACUUGGCAAUUUUAGUAGGAGGAAGCUUUUGAGUAGUUUUGACGGAGGAAAAAGCGGAACCCAAGUUGGUAAUAGUAUCUUCUAGUUUGCCAAUUCUAGUAGAAUCUUGAUCUAUCUUUUCGUUAACUAGGGGUUCCUUUUCCCUAACAUUCUUUGAAGUAACUCCUACUUUAGAUCCAUAUUGAGUAAUAUGAUUAUGAAUCUUUUUAUCCAAAUUUUCAAUCAACUCAACGGUGGCAAUCUUAUUUUCAAUAAUACCAAGCCUUUGCAUUACAUGCUUAAAGGUUAAAACAGUUCCAUUAACCAAAAGAGGUGAUGUGCCUAAGAAAUCUAUCAUGGCAUUGUAAGAAUCACAAGUAUGGCUACCCAAGAAAUUCCCUCCAGUAAUGUAUCUAGAACAUAUCCAGUCCAAGGAGUAACGCCCACAUAAAAAUUGCAAAGAAGAACAGCAGUAGGUUGCUUUUGAGUAGAUCUAUUUUGAGCAUUGCAAAUUCUACACCAAGCAUCUUUUAAGUUUUCUCCCUCUUUUUGUUUAAAAUUGAGAACUUCGUUAUCGGGAGUGCUAACAAUGAUGGGAGGACUAGCCAUAGGAGCGAGACAAGAACACAAAAGGUAAACGAAGAAGACGAACGGAAGAGGAGCGAAGAAAAGGCAAAUCUUUUCAAAAAUCGUUUUAGAAGUGGGGGAGAGGAAAACGAGAGGCGAAUGGCGAAUAAUGUAAUGCAAGGGAUGAGAGUUUAUGAUGGGUACUUGGUUUGUCUUGACUUGGCGUAGAUCUCCCCGGCAACGGUGCCAGAAAUUGGCAAGUUGACGGGAGAUCAAAUCUUGACUUGACUUGGCGUAAACCCCCCCCCCCCGGCAAUGGCGCCAGAAAUUCUUGCUGCUACAUCUUGAGCUUGCGUUGGUUUUUCCCUUGAAGAGGAAAGGAUGAUGCAGCAAAAUAGAGUAAGUAUUUCCCUCAGUUUUGAGAACCAAGGUUCAAUCCAGUAGGAUACAACGCACAAGUCACCGAAUACCUGCACAAAUAAACACCAACUUGCACCCAAAGUGAUAAAGGGGUUGUCAAUCCCUUCACGGUUAUUUGCAAAGUGAGAUUUGAUAGAGAUGGAUAAACGGUAAAGUAAUAUUUUUGGUAUUUUUUGUUUAUGGAAUGGAAAGUAAAAGAUUGCAAAGGAAGUAAAUAGGAAACUAAAAUUGUAGAUCGGAAACUUAUAUGAUAGAAAGUAGACCCGGGGCCCAUAGGUUUCACUAGAGGCUUCUCUCAAGAUAUAAAAUAUUACGGUGGGUGAACAAAUUACUGCCGAGCAAUUGAUAGAAAAGAGCACAUUUAUGACGAUAUCUAAGGCAAUGAUCAUGAAUAUAGGCAUCACGUCCGUAUCAGGUAGACCGACUCCUGCCUGUAGCUACAACUAUUACUCCACACAUGGACCGACUCCUGCCUACAUCUAGAGUAUUAAGUUCAUGAAGAACAGAGUAACACAUUAAGUAAGAUGACAUGAUGUAGAGGAAUAAACUCAAGCAAUAUGAUGUAAACCCCAUCUUUUUAUCCUCAAUGGCAACAAUACAAUACGUGCCUUGCUGCCCCUACUGUCACUGGGAAAGGACACCACAAGAUUGAACCCAAAGCUAAGCACUUCUCCCAUUGCAAGAAAAACCAAUCUAGUUGGCCAAACCAAAUCGAUAGUUCGAAGAGACUUGCAAAGAUAUCAAAUCAUGCAUAUAAGAAUUCAGAGGAGAUUGAAAUAAUAUUCAUAGAUAAGCUGAUCAUAAAUCCACAAUUCAUUGGAUCUCGGCAAACACACCGCAAAAAGUAUUACAUCGAAUAGAUCUCCAAGAACAUCGAGGAGAACAUGGUAUUGAGAAUCAAAGAGAGAGAAGAAGCCAUCUAGUUACUAGCUAUGGACCCGUAGGUCUAUGGUAAAGUACUCACGCUUCAUUGGAAGGGCAAUGGUGUUGAUGUAGAAGCCCUCCAUGAUCGAAUCCCCCCUCCGGUAGGACGCCGGAAAAGGCCCCUAGAUGGGAUCUCACGGGUACAGAAGGUUGCGGCCGUGGAAAAGUGUUUUCGUGGCUCUCCUAGUAGGUUUGGAAUAUUUGAGAAUAUAUAGGCGGAAGAGAAAGGUGGGUGGAGUCACGAGGGGCCCACAAGGGUGGGGGGCGCGCCAUCCGUCCUUGUGGACGCCUCGUGGCUUUCCUGACGUGUACUGCAAGUCCUCUGGAUGUCUUCUGGUCCAAGAAAAAUCAUCGCGAAAGUUUAAUUCCGUUUGGACUCCGUUUGAUAUUCCUUUUCUACAAAACUAUAAAACAAGGAAAAAACAAGAACUGGCACUGGGUUCUAGUGAAGGAAAUAUGCCCUAGAGGCAAUAAUAAAGUUCUUAUUUUAUAUUUUCUUAUAUCAUGAUAAAUGUUUAUUAUUCAUGCUAGAAUUGUAUUAACCGGAAACUUGAUACAUGUGUGGAUACAUAGACAAAACAUUGUGUCCCUAGUAAGCCUCUACUAGACUAGCUCAUUAAUCAUAGAUGGUUAAGUUUCCUAACCAUAGACAUGUCUCGUCAUUUGAUGAACGGGAUCACAUGAUUCAGAGAAUGAUGUGAUGGACAAGACCCAUCCGUUAGCUUAGCAUAAUGAUCGUUAAGUUUUAAUGCUAUUGCUUUCUUCAUGUCAUAUACAUAUUCCUUUGACUAUGAGAUUAUGCAACUCCCGGAUACUGGAGGAAUACCUUGUGUGCUAUGAAACGUCACAACGUAACUGGGUGAUUACAAAUAUGCUCUACCGGAAUCUCCGAAGGUGUUUGUUGGGUUGUCAUAGAUCGAGAUUAGGAUUUGUCACUCCGAGUAUCGGAGAGGUAUCUCUGGGCCAUCUCGGUAAUGCACAUCAUAAUAAGCCUUGCAAGCAAUGUGACUAAUGAGUUAGUUGCGGGAUGAUGUAUUACGGAACUAGUAAAGAGACUUGCCGGUAACGACAUUGAACUAGGUAUGGAGAUACCGACGAUCGAAUCUCUGGCAAGUAACAUACCGAUGACAAAGGGAAUAACGUAUGUUGUCAUUGCAGUACGACCGAUAAAGAUCUUCAUAGAAUAUGUAGGAACCAUCCAGGUUCCACUAUUGCUUAUUGACCGGAGAGGUGUCUCGGUCAUGUCUACAUAGUUCUCGAACCUGUAGGGUCCGCACGCUUAACGUUCGAUGACGAUUUUGUAUUAUAUGAGUUAUGUGAUUUGGUGACUGAAUGUUGUUCGGAGUCCGGGAUGAGAUCACAGACAUGACGAGGAGUCUCGAAAUGGUCGAUAGUUAAAGAUUCAUAUAUAGGACGAUAGUAUUCGGACACCGGAAGUGUUCCGAGGGUACCGGGUACGUAUCGGGUCACCGGAUGGGGUUCCGGGCAUCCCCCGGCAACUACAUGGGCCUAAUGGGCCAAGAAGGGGACAGACCAGCCCCUAGGGGGGCUGGUGCGCCCCAUGUAGGCCAAAAUGGGGGGGGGAGGAAAGAGGAGAAGAGGGAAAGGAAGGGAUUCAGCCUCCCCCUUCCUUCUCUCCUCCCUUCUCCUUCCUUCCCCCUCCGGAUGAAUAUGGAAGGGGGGAGGCCGAAUUGGGAGGCGCCCAAGUAGGAUUCCUCCUACUUGGGGUGCCCACUUGGCUGCCUCUCCUCCCCUCCAACCUAUAUAUAUGAGGGGGAGGCACUAGAACACACAACAUUGAUUCCCAGCCGUGUGCGGUGCCCCCUCCACAGUUUACGCCUCCGGUCAUAUUCACGUAGUGCUUAGGCGAAGCUCUGCGCGGAUCACUUCACCAUCCCCUUCACCAUGCCAUCGUGCUGACGUAACUCUCCCUCGACACUUUGCUGGAUCAAGAGUUUGAGGGACGUCAUCGAGCUGAAUGUGUGCAGAACUCGGAGGUGUCGUACGUUCGGUGCUUGAUCGGUCGAAAUGAGAAGAAGUUUGACUACAUCAACCGCGUUGUCAAACGCUUCCGCUUUCAGUCUAUGAGGGUACAUGGACACACUCUCCCCCUAUCAUUGCUAUGCAUCUCCUAGAUAGAUCUUGCGUGAGCGUAGGAAAUUUUUGAAGUUGCAUGCUACGUUUCACAAUAGUGGCAUCCGAGCCAGGUCUAUGCAUAGAUGAUAUGCACGAGUAGAACACAAAGAGUUGUGGGCGGUGAUCAUCAUACUGCUUACCACCAAUGUGUUAUUUUGAUUCGGCGGUAUUUUUGGAUGAAGCAGCCCAAACCAACCUUACAUGACCACGUUCAUGAGUGUCGGAGUAAUGGGCCACGGGUAGCCUAACCCGAGUCCCUGAGCGUUUCAAGACAUUGGGCCAGCUGCGCCCCUCAAGCAUCAAGGAUGAAGCGCCGCCUUCUGGGGGCCGGCUGACUCAAGCGGCCGGCUGCCAGAAGGCGGCCAUGCACCAGAAGACGACCCCAAGACGGGCCGACUCCUAGCAAGCGGCCUCCAGAGAGGCCGGCUCCUAGCAGGCAGCCGACAACGCCUUCAAAGCCUGCGCCCCCAUUAAGAAGACAACACAGGAUGUGGCUAUAGUGCAGCCCAUCACCCCCGUAUCCAGGGCAAGGCGCGGCCACGGUGCCCCGUACAGGCGGAGAUCUCCGCACGGCGUGGCACUGUUGCCACUCCACCCUCGACAUCAACCCUGACAGGUGGAACCCUGUUCCCACGACGGCCUGUCGGUACGGCCUGCAGGCGGCGGGCCCUACCAGGCAGCGAGAGCCCGGAGGGCGGCGGAGCCUGGCCAGUCGGACUCGAGGGAGGCCGGCCUAUUGCAAACGGCCUACUCUUCCCUCGGAGUCCGCGCGCCAUUAACCAGAUGAGACAUGGUGUGGCUACAGUGAUCUCCCACCAGACGGCGGGACUGUAGCCAUGCCUCCCCCGACCAAGCAUGUGUCAUUACCAUUGCGGCUACAUUAACAAGCAGCCGGCCGGACCCGUAAGCGGCGGAGGCGGCCUGUCGGCUCCGUACUGGACCAGUCGGCAGGGCCCUCCAGGCGGCGGGCCCCAGCAGCCGGUGGAGAAGCUGGCGACCAGAGACACUGACAGCCGGGUCCUACACUCGGCCAGAUUACCAUUGUACCCCUGGGGGGUAGGCCUAUAUAAACCCCCCUGGGCACCCAUGCAAAGGUUCCCAACCUGUUAGACCUAGACUCACUCAUAGAGAGAGGAGAGAGCAAGCCCUGCCUUCUUCUACCUCUAGCAUACAGCUCGAGGAGCACCAUUGUACUCACUAGUGCCUUAGUGAUCAUGCGGAGACCCCGCAGAGCAGGACUAGGGGUGUUAUCUCCGAGGAGAGCCCCGAACCUGGGGUAAAGUGCACCGGCGUUCGUGUCUAUGCCUCAUCCCGCUUCCAGGCACCGGCGACGUUCUACUCGCUCCCACCAUGAUAAGCCAUCCAUUGGCAUAUGUCGCACCCAACCCCCGACAUUUGGCGCCCACCGUGGGGCGAGGUGCACCGUCUCCCGAAGACCUGUUCUGGAUGGGAACCUUGUUCCUUCCUGGCGAGCGCAACCAGCACGGCAUGCGAGACGGCGUCUGCGCCGACAUGCCGCACGACGCGGAGGUCGUCUGCGUGGUGAGCUGCCUCGCUGAUCUUGUUGGCGAGAUUCGCCUCUUUGACGAGCCCGUAUCGAACGUGGGCACAGAAGGCCCCGAGAGUCACCUCGUUAGCCUCCUCGAUCAACUCCACGUCGCUAGCGAGCCUGCUGUGGACUUGGAGUUGGUUGGUUCCACCGCCCGAUGCUUGUCGACUCCGACACGGCGUCGCUUGACGCGUUCCCCACCAACGUGGUGGUCUACGACGAACUGCUUCCUCGCGCGGAUAGCGGCGGCAGCACCGUCAUGGAGGUGCUCGUCAUCAGCCACAGCGAGCACUCUGGUGGAGGUGGCCAGGAUCCGCUGCAAGCGGCAUUGCGAGACCUGGCCGCACCCAUACCCGAAGACGUUGAUGGCGAAGCACUGGAGGAGCACCGCAAGGUGCUUUUCGACAGCGCACAGAAGCUGGGCACGAUGAGACGCCUCUCUGAGGCCUACCAGCGCGAAGUUGAUCGUGCCAUCGGCGGUACGCCGGCUGGUGGUGAGCCCAGCCGCGUGGGCAUCGUCCGGCAACGCGGGGCCGCCAUCGCCGGCAUGCUGGGGGCCGACCGCCCGACUUACGCCACGCCCCAGGAGAACAUAUGAGCCACCCAGGCGGCGACAGAAGAGCUGGAACACCUGGACGGCCACGAGCGUCGCUGCAUGAUGGGCCACGUGCAGCAGCUCCUUGACGCAGCCACCAUGCAGCAAGAAGCCGGCCGCCGAGUGGCGGAGCCCGGCCUGCAGGCUGAGAAUCAGCCGCCUCGCCGAGAGCACGAUGCGACCUCCCGGCCGCCGAUAAGCCGCCACCGAGAGCGACGAGACAAGGAGCCGGCUGCCAGCCGCAGUCGGACGCACAGCACCAUCGAGCGCGACCAGGAUGGUCGUCCACGAGCGGUGGAGCGACCGGGCGACUACCAGCCUCCCCAGCGCAGAGAGAGGCGUGUGUCUCCGCCGCUUGUUGAUCAUCCGAGUCUUGGAGGCCGGCUUGGCCCCCGAGAAGGAAUCGGAGAGAAUGACGCACGCCAUCGGAUCGAUCGCCUCAACCGAUCCCUGGCGCUAGAAGAAGAGGACGCAUUGGGCCCGCCUUGCUUUGGCCCCCGCAUCCGUGAUGAGCCUUUCCCCAAAGAGGUGACGCUCCCAAGAGAUACGCCCAAGUACGCUGGCUCCGUGAAGCCGGAGGACUGGCUGGUCGACUACUCUACAGCUAUCAGCAUAGCAAACGGCAACAAGCGUGUUGCUGUGAAGUACGUUCCGCUCAUGCUCCAGGGCACUGCCCGGACAUGGCUGAACAGUCUGAAGCACCGCAGCAUCAACAACUGGGUUGAUUUCACCGAGGCCUUCGUCCGCAACUUCACCAGCGCAUACAAGCGGCCUCCCAAGCCUCGCCAGCUCUCCUUGUGCGUCCAAGGCCUCAACGAGUCAACUCGCGACUACCUCACGCGCUGGGCUGAGCUACGCAACUCCUGCGAGGGCAUGCACGAGGUGCAGGCCAUCGAGUAUUUCAUUGCCGGGUGCCGAGAAGGCACCCUCCUCAAGCAUCGGCUUCUCUGCGACGAGCCGGCGACCCUCGACGAACUGCUGACCAUAGCAGACAAGUACGCUACGGUCGACUCCUCCAUGAAGGCAGAGAUCCAAGUUGACGCAUCUGGCAAGGUGGCUCCCCAAGCUCCUCGGACCCCGGCUGGUGACACCAGUUGGCGCCAGCACCAAAGCGACAACAAGCGCAAGGCCACGCAGCCGGCUUGCACAAGCCGGUAGGUGGCGACAGUUGAAGAUCAGCAGCCGGAAGGGCAGCCUCCUCCCAAGCAUCAGAAGGGCGGCAAGCCCAACUGGCUGCCCGUCUUCUCAUACGAGCAAACUCUCGAUGCACCCUGCAAGUUCCACAACGGCGCGAAGCCGUCCAACCACACCACUCGGACAUGCCACUGGCUCACCAGGAUCGCCAAGGGAGACGGACUACAGCCUCCUCCGCAUGUCGGCCCGCCGCCUCCUCCUCCCCAGCAGCCGGCGGUUCAGCCAGUCGGCGCAAUACAAGAUGAAUAUCCUGAAGAGCAUGGAGCUUAUGUCGUAUUCACCAGCGUGGCCGACGAUAAGCACAGCAGACGGCAGCGGCAACAAGAAGUACAUGCAGUAGCAUCAGAGACCCCCGAGUUCAUGCACUCGUCUGAGAAGCCUAUCGGUUGUAGCAGGGCAGACCACCCGGAGGUGAUGCCCUCCCCUAGUUCUUAUGCCCUGGUCUUGGAUGCCACCUUUGCAACAGAGAGGCGGGCUGCUCGCUUCUCCCGAGUUCUGAUAGAUGGUGGCAGCAGCAUCAACAUCCUAUACCGAGACACUAUGGAGAAGUUGGGAAUCAAGCAGAGGUAGCUUCAGCCCAGUCGGACUGUAUUCCAUGGCAUAGUUCCUGGCCUUUCCUGCUCACCAAUCGGCAAGACUCGGAUAGAUGUCCUCUUCGGAGAAAAAGAUCACUUCUGCCGAGAGCCAGUAUGGUUUGAGGUGGUGGACCUUGAGAGCCCCUAUCAUGCGCUACUUGGCCGGCCUGCUCUGGCGAAGUUCAUGGCGGUCCCCCACUAUGCUUACCUCAAGAUGAAGAUGCCGAGCUCCAAGGGAAUCCUGACCAUAGCAGGGGACUACGGGAAGUCGUCCGCCUGUGCGGCAGACAGCAGCCGGCUAGCCUAGUCCCUCGUGAUCGCAACGGAGAAGCGGCUCCUUGACCGGGUUGUGGCAAUGGUAGGCAAGCAGCCGAAAAUGUUGCCAAACCCCAAGGAGUCGGAAGCCGAGGGCUCGUUCAAACCGGAGAGGCACGCUGUCAUAGGCGCAAACCUUGAAAGCAAAUAGGAAAGCGAGCUCAUCGAUUUCCUCCGUGAGAAUCGGGACAUCUUUGCAUGGUCUCUUAAGGACAUGCCGGGUGUUCCGACGGAUUUCGCCGAGCACAAGCUACAUGUCCGACCUGAUACCAAGCCCGUCAGGCAGCCCUUGUGCCGCCUGUUAGAAGAGAAGAGAAGAGUUUUGGAGAAGUGAUAACCUGGCUUCUAGCAGCCGGCUUCAUUAUGGAAGUGUUCUUCCCCGAGUGGUUAGCCAACCCAGUCGUUGUACUGAAGAAGAAUAAGCAGUGGAGCAUGUGUAUUGAUUAAACCAGCCUCAACAAGGCUUGCCCCAAAUAUCCAUUUGCUUUGGCAAGAAUCGACCAAGUGAUAGACUCCACAGCCGGAUGCAAGCUGUUGAGUUUUUUGGAUGCAUACUCGGGGUAUCAUCAGAUCAAGCUGAACCCGGCCGACAGGCUGAAAACUGCCUUCAUCACACCAUUCGGAGCCUUCUGCUACCUGACCAUGACGUUCGGCUUGAGGAAUGCCGGCGCCACGUUUCAGCGUUGCAUGCAGAAGUGUCUCCUCAAGCAACUCGGCAAGAACGCCCACGUCUAUGUGGAUGACAUUGUGGUGAAGACGGAGAAGCGAGUCACUCUGCUUGAGCACCUCAAGGAAACCUUUGAAAACUUGCGUCAUUUUCAAAUCAAGCUCAAUCCGGAGAAAUGUGUCUUGGGAGCACCAGCCGGCUAGCUUCUUGGCUUGCUAGUCUCGGAGCACGGCAUUGAGUGCAACCUGUGAAGAUCAAAGCCAUUGAGAGGAUGGAGGUACCCACCCGACUACUAGAUGUGCAAAAAUUCACCGGCUGCUUGGCAUCCAUCAGCCGUUUCAUCAGUCGGCUGGGCGAGAAGGCUCUUCCCCUGUAUCAACUCAUGAAGAAGACCACUUUUUUCGAGUGGAACGACAAGGCGGAUGAAGCUUUUCUCCAACUCAAGAAGAUGUUGACCACUCCGCCUGUCCUGGCGGCUCCGGCUGCUAACGAGCCCAUGCUUCUCUACAUCGCCGCCACCAGCCGGGUGGUCAGCACAGUCAUAGUUGUGGAGCGCAAGGAAGACGGCAAAGCACUACCAGUUCAGAGGCCAGUGUAUUACCUGAGUGAAGUAUUGUCUGCCUCCAAGCAAAACUACCCACACUAUCAGAAGAUGUGCUAUGGCGUGCAUUUCGCCGCCAAGAAACUGAAGCCAUACUUUCAAGAGCACGUAAUCACUGUUGUCUGCACUGCUCCACUUGCCGAGAUCAUUGGAAGCCGAGAUGCUUCGGGCCGAGUGGCCAAAUGGGCCAUAGAUUUGGCCCCCUACACCAUCUACUACCAGCCUCGCGCCGCCAUUAAGUCCCAAACACUGGCCGACUUCCUCAUCGACUGGGCCGAGACCCAGUACCUGCCACCAGCGCCGGACUCCACCCAUUGGCGGAUGCACUUUGAUGGUUCCAAGAUGCGCACCGGUCUGGGAGCCGGCAUCGUCCUCACCUCUCCCAAAGGCGACAAGAUCAGAUAUGUGUUGCAAGUCCAUUUUGCUGCUUCCAACAAUGUAGCUGAAUACGAGGCACUCAUACACGGGCUCCGGCUUGCCAAGGAACUCGGCAUUCACCGGAUCCUGUGCUAUGGUGACUCCGACUUGGUGGUCCAGCAGUUGUCAGGCGACUAGGACGCCAAGGAUGCAAACAUGGCAAGUUGCCGCUUCCUCGUCCAGCAACUCAGUGGAUACUUUGAAGGGUGUGAGUUCCUCCAUGUGCCAAGAAAUGACAAUGAACAAGAAGAUGCCUUGGCACGAAUCGGCUCCACCCAGCAAGCAAUACAAGACGGCGUCACACUACAGCGCCUCCUCAAGCCGUCUGUCAAGCCGUCACCAGAAUCAGAUUCCAUCUUCGUGCCGGCUCCUCUAGAAGUAGUUGGAUCCGACUUGAGGGUCCUAGCAGUCGGCACGGAGAUUCCAGCAGGCGGCUCGGGGGUUGCGGCAGUCGCACCCGGCCUGGGGACUUCAGAACCCGGCCUGGGGACUGCAGCAGUCGGCCGGGGAACUUCAUCGACGCAACAAGCGGCAGCCGACUCCAACCCGCCACCUCCCGGCCCAACUGCCCUCGUGCAAGUUGCAGUUUUGGCAGUCGAAGAAAUAGUAGCACCUUCAUGGGCGCAGCCCAUCCUCAACUUUCUGGUGAACAAAGAGCUGCCGACUGAUGAGAUCUCGGCCAGCCAAGUGCAACGUCGGGCAGCAGCAUACACCAUUGUCAACAGAGAACUGGUGAGGCGCAGUGUCACUGGUGUAUACCAGUGAUAUGUCUCCAACGUAUCUAUAAUUUUUGAUGGCUGCAUGCUAUAUUAUCGUCUGUUUUGGACAUUAUUGGGCUUUAUUAUUCACUUUUAUAUUAUUUGUGGGACUAACCUAUUAGCCGGAGGCCAACCCAGAAUUGCAGUUUUUUUGCCUAUUUCAGAGUUUUGCAGAAAAAGAAUAUCAGACGGAGUCCAAGCGGAAUGAAACCUUCGGGAACGUGAUUUUCGGAACGAACAUGAUCCAGAGGACUUGGACCCUACGUCAAGAAAUCAAGCAGGAAGCCACGAGGUAGGGGGGCGCGCCUACCCCCACCCCCACCGGGCGCACCCUCCACCCUCGUGGGCCCCACGUUGCUCCACCGAAGUACUCCUUCCUCCUAUAUAUACCUACGUACCCCCAAACGAUCAGAUAAGGAGCCAAAAACCUAAUUCCACCUCCGCAACCUUCUGUACCCACGAGAUCCCAUCUUGGGGCCUGUUCCGGAGCUCCGCCGGAGGGGGCAUCGGUCACGGAGGGCUUCUACAUCAACACCAUAGCCUCUCCGAUGAUGUGUGAGUAGUUUACCUCAGACCUUUGGGUCCAUAGUUAUUAGCUAGAUGGCUUCUUCUCUCUUUUUGGAUCUCAAUACAAUGUUCUCCCCCUCUCUCGUGGAGAUCUAUUCUAUGUAAUCUUCUUUUGCGGUGUGUUUGUUGAGACCGAUGAAUUGUGGGUUUAUGAUCAAGUUUAUCUAUGAACAAUAUUUGAAUCUUCUGAAUUCUUUUAUGUAUGAUUGGUUAUCUUUGCAAGUUUCUUCGAAUUAUCAGUUUGGUUUGGCCUACUAGAUUGAUCUUUCUUGCAAUGGGAGAAGUGCUUAGCUUUGGGUUCAAUCUUGCAGUGUCCUUUCCCAGUGACAGUAGGGGCAGCAAGGCACGUAUUGUAUUGUUGUCAUCGAGGAUAACAAGAUGGGGUUUUUAUCAUAUUGCAUGAAUUUAUCCCUCUUCAUCAUGUCAUCUUGCUUAAAGCGUUACUCUGUUCCUAUGAACUUAAUACUCUAGAUGCAUGCUGGAUAGCGGUCGAUGUGUGGAGUAAUAGAAGUAGAUGCAGGCAGGAGUCGGUCUACUUGUCUUGGACGUGAUGCCUAUAUACAUGAUCAUACCUAGAUAUUCUCAUAACUAUGCUCAAUUCUGUCAAUUGCUCAACAGUAAUUUGUUCACCCACCGUAAAAUACUUAUGCUCUUGAGAGAAGCCACUAGUGAAACCUAUGGCCCCCGGGUCUAUCUUCAUCAUAUUAAUCUUUCAACACUUAGUUAUUUUCAUUGCUUUUUUAUUUUACUUUGCAUCUUUAUCAUAAAAAUACCAAAAAUAUUAUCCUAUCAUAUCUAUCAGAUCUCACUCUCGUAAGUGACCGUGUAGGGAUUGACAACCCCUUGUCGCGUUGGUUGCGAGGAUUUAUUUGUUUUGUGUAGGUGCGAGGGACUCGCGCGUAGCCUCCUACUGGAUUGAUACCUUGGUUCUCAAAAACUGAGGGAAAUACUUACGCUACUUUGCUGCAUCACCCUUUCCUCUUCAAGGGAAAACCAACGCAUUGCUCAAGAGGUUGCAAGAAGGAUUUCUGGCGCCGUUGCCGGGGAGGUCUACGCAAAAGUCAACAUACCAAGUACCCAUCACAAACCCUUAUCUCCCGCAUUACAUUAUUUGCCAUUUUCCUCUCGUUUUCCUCUCCCCCACUUCACCCUUGCCAUUUUAUUUGCCCUCUCUUUUUUGUUCGCCUAUUUUUCGCUUGGUUUUUGUUUGCUCGUGUGUUGGAUUGCUUGUUUGUCACGAUGGCUCAAGAUAAUACCAAAUUAUGUGACUUUACCAAUACCAACAAUAAUGAUUUCCUUAGCACUCCGAUUGCUCCUCUUACCGAUACUGCAUCUUGUGAAAUCAAGGCUGCUUUGUAGAAUCUUGUCAUGAAAGAUCAAUUCUCCGGCCUUCCUAGUGAAGAUGCCGCUACUCAUCUAAAUAGCUUCGUUGAUUUGUGUGAUCUGCAAAAGAAGAAAGAUGUUGACAAUGAUAUUGUUAAGUUGAAGCUAUUUCCUUUUUCGCUUAGAGAUCAUGCUAAAGCUUGGUUUUCAUCUUUGCCUAAAAAUAGUAUUGAUUCUUGAAAUAAGUGCAAAGAUGCUUUUAUCUCUAAGUAUUUUCCUCCUGCUAAGAUUAUCUCUCUUAGAAACGAUAUUAUGAAUUUUAAGCAACUUGAUCUUGAACAUGUUGCACAAGCUUGGGAGUGGAUGAAAUUAAUGAUACGUAAUUGCCCUACACAUGGUUUGAAUUUGUGGAUGAUUAUACAAAUUUUUUAUGCCGGAUUGAUUUUGCUUCUAGAAAUCUUUUAGAUUCGGCCGCGGGAGGCACUUUUAUGGAAAUCACUUUAGGAGAAGCUACUAAACUCCUAGAUAAUAUUAUGGUUAAUUAUUCUCAAUGGCACAUUGAAAGAUCUACUAAUAAAAAAGUGCAUGCGAAAGAAGAAAUUAAUGUUUCGAGUGGAAAGAUGGAUGAACUUAUGAAAUUAUUUGCUACUAAGAGUGUUUCUUCUGAUCCUAAUGAUAUGCCUUUGUCUACUUUGAUUGAGAAUAAUAAUGAAUACAUGGAUGUGAAUUUUGUUGGUAGGAAUAAUUUUGGUAACAACGCGUAUAGAGGAAACUUUAAUCCUAGGCCUUAUCCUAGCAAUUCCUCUAAUAAUUAUGUUAAUUCCUACAACAAUUAUUAUGGAAAUUUUAAUAAGAUGCCCUCUGAAUUUGAGACUAGUGUUAAAGAGUUUAUGAAUUCGCAAAAGAAUUUCAAUGCUUUGCUUGAAGAGAAAUUGCUUAGAGUUGAUGAAUUGGCUAGGAACGUUGAUAGAAUUUCUCUUGAUUUUGAUUCUUUAAAACUUAGAUCUAUGCCUCCUAAGCAUGAUAUCAAUGAGUCUCUCAAAGCCAUGAGAAUUUCCAUUGAUGAGUGCAAAGAAAGAAACGCUAGGAUGCGUGCUAAGAAAGAUUGCUUUAUAAAAGCGUGUUCUUCUAAUUUUUAUGAAAACAAAGAUGAAGAUCUAAAAGUUAUUGAUGUGUCCCCUAUUAAAUCUUUGUUUUGCAAUAUGAAUCUUUAUAAUGAUCAGACUGAAUAUGAUCCACCUUUACCUAGAAGGCGUUCCAAAAAUUCGGAGUUUUUAGAUCUUGAUGCUAAAAUUGAUAAAAGUGGGAUUGAAGAAAUCAAAACAUUAGAUGUUAAUGAACCCACUAUUUUGGAUUUCAUGGAAUUUAAUUAUGAUAAUUGCUCUUUGAUAGAUUGUAUUUCCUUGUUGCAAUCCGUGCUAAAUUCUCCUCAUGCUUAUAGUCAAAAUAAAGCUUUUACCGAACAUAUUGUUGAUGCUUUGAUGCAAUCUUAUGAAGAAAAACUUGAGUUGGAAGUUUAUAUCCCUAGAAAACUUUAUGAUGAGUGGGAACCUACUAUUAAAAUUAAAAUUAAAGAUCAUGAAUGCUAUGCUUUGUGUGAUUUGGGUGCUAGUGUUUCCACGAUUCCAAAAACUUUGUGCGAUUUGUUAGGUUUCCGUGAUUUUGAUGAUUGCUCUUUAAACUUGCACCUUGCGGAUUCCACUAUUAAGAAACCUAUGGGAAGAAUUAAUGAUGUUCUUAUUGUUGCAAAUAGGAACUAUGUGCUCGUAGAUUUUAUCGUUCUUGACAUAGAUUGCAAUCCUUCAUGUCCUAUUAUUCUUGGUAGACCUUUCCUUAGAACGAUUCGUGCAAUUAUUGAUAUGAAGGAAGGGAAUAUUAGAUUCCAAUUUCCAUUAAAGAAAGGCAUGGAACACUUCCCUAGGAAGAAAAUAAAACUACCAUAUGAAUCUAUUAUGAGAGCCACUUAUGGAUUGCCCACCAAAGAUGGCAAUACCUAGAUCUAUCCUUGCUUUUAUGCCUAGCUAGGGGCGUUAAACGGUAGCGCUUGUUGGGAGGCACCCCAAUUUUAUUUUUUAGUUUUUUGCUUUUUGCUUCUGUUUAGGAAUAAAUAUUUGAUCUAGCCUCUGGUUAGAUGUGUUUUUAUGUUUUAAUUACUGUUUGUGCCAAGUUAAACCUAUAGGAUCUUCUUGGAUGAUAGUUAUUUGAUCUUGCAGAAAAUUCCAGAAACUUUCUGUUCACGAAAAUAAUUGUUAAAAAUCACCAGAACGUGAUAAAAUAUUUAUUCCAAUUGCUGCUGAUCAAUAAAAAAAGUUUCUAGGUCUUCCUAUUUUAGCUGAAUUUUUGGAGUUCCAGAAGUUUUAGUUAGUUACAGAUAACUACAGACUGUUCUGUUUUUGACAUAUUCUGUUUUUCGUGUGGUGUUUGCUUAUUUUGAUGAAUCUAUGGCUAGUAAAAGAGUUUAUAAACCAUAGAGAAGUUGGAAUACAGUAGGUUUAACACCAAUAUAAAUAAAGAAUGAGUUCAUUACAGUACCUUGACGUGGUCUUUUUUUUCUUUCGCUAACGGAGCUCACGAGAUUUUCUGUUAAGUUUUGUGUUGUAAAGUUUUCAAGUUUUGGGUAAAAGAUUUGAUGGAUUAUGGAACAAGGAGUGGCAAGAGCCUAAGCUUGGGGAUGCCCAUGGCACCCCCAAGAUAAUCUAAGGACACCAAAAAGCCAAAGCUUGGGGAUGCCCCGGAAGGCAUCCCCUCUUUCGUCUACUUCCAUCGGUAACUUUACUUGGAGCUAUAUUUUUAUUGACCACAUGAUAUGUGUUUUGCUUGGAGCGUCUUGUAUGAUUUGAGUCUUUGUCUGAUAGUUUACCACAAUCAUCCUUUCUGUACACACCUUUUGAGAGAGACACACAUGAUUCGGAAAUUAUUAGAAUGCUCUAUGUGCUUCACUUAUAUCGUUUGAGCUAUAUAGUUUUGCUCUAGUGCUUCACUUAUAUCUUUUAGAGCACGGUUGUGGAUUUUUUUUAUAGAAACUAUUGGUCUCUCAUGCUUCACCUAUAUUACUUUGAGAUCCUUAAAAUAGCAUGGCAAUUUUCUUUAAUUAAUAUCAUGAGAAAUUUGAUGCUUGAUAAUUGUUUUGAGAUAUAAAGGUGGUAAUAUCAUAGUUGUGCUAGUUGAGUAAUUGUGGAAUUGAAAAAUACAUGUGUUGGAGUUUGUGAUUCCCGUAGCAUGCACGUAUGUUGAACCGUUAUGUAACGAAGUCGGAGCAUAAAGUAUUUGUUGAUUGUCUUCCUUUGUGUGGCGGUCGGGAUCGUGCGAUGGUUAACUCCUACCAGCCCUUCCCCUAGGAGCAUGCGUAGUAGUACUUUGCUUCGAGAGCUAAUAAAUUUUUGCAAUAAGUAUAUGAGUUCUUUAUGACUAAUGUGAGUCCAUGGAUUAUACGCACACUUACCUUUCCGCAAUUUUCUAGCCUCUUCGGUACCGCGCAUUGCCCUUUCUCACCUUGAGAGUUGGUGCAAACUUCGCCGGUGCAUCCAAACCCCGUGAUAUGAUACGCUCUAUCACACAUAAACCUCCUUAUAUCUUCCUCAAAACAGCCACCAUACCUACCUAUCAUGGCAUUUCCAUAGCCAUUCCGAGAUAUAUUGCCAUGCAACUUUCCACCGUUCCGUUUAUCAUGACAUAGUCCAUCAUUGUCAUAUUGCUUUGCAUGAUCAUGUAGUUGACAUUGUAUUUGUGGCAAAGCCACCGUUCAUAAUUCUUUCAUACAUGUCGCUCUUGAUUCAUUAUAUAUCCCGGUACACCGCCGGAGGCAUUCAUAUAGAGUCAUAUUUUGUUCUAAGUAUUGAGUUGUAAUUCAUGAGUUGUAAGUAAAUAAAAGUGUGAUGAUCAUCAUUAUUAGAGCAUUGUCCCAAGUGUGGAAAGGAUGAUGGAGACUAUGAUUCCCCCACAAGUCGGGAUGAGACUCCGGACUAAAUAAAAAAAAGAGGCCAUAAAAAAAGAGAAAAGGCCCAGAUAAAGAAAAAGAAAAAAAGGAGAGAAAAAGAGAGAAGGGACAUUGUUACUAUCCUUUUACCACACUUGUGCUUCAAAGUAGCACCGCGAUCUUCAUAAUAGAGAGUCUCUCAUUUUGUCACUUUCAUAUACUAGUGGGAAAUUUCAUUAUAGAACUUGGCUUGUAUAUUCCAAUGAUGGGCUUCCUCAAAUGCCCAAGGUCUUCGUGAGCAAGCAAGUUGGAUGCACACCCACUUAGUUUCUUUUUGAGCUUUCAUACACUUAUAGCUCUAGUGCAUCCGUUGCAUGGCAAUCCCUACUCCUCGCAUUAACAUCAAUUGAUGGGCAUCUCCAUAGCCCGUUGAUUAGCCUCGUUGAUGUGAGACUUUCUCCUUUUUUGUCUUCCGACAUAACCCCCACCAUUAUACCUUAUUCCACCAUAGUGCUAUAUCCAUGGCUUGCGCUCAUGUAUUGCGUAAGAGUUGAAAAGGCUGAAGCGCGUUAAAAGUAUGAACCAAUUGCUUGGCUAAAACCGGGGUCGUACAUGAUAUGAAUAUUUUGUGUGGGGAAGAUGGAGCAUAGUUAGACUGUAUGAUUUCGUAGGGAUAACUUGCUUUGGCUAUGUUAUUUUGAUAAGACAUAAUUGCUUAGUUAGUAUGCUUGAAAUACUAUUGUUUUUAUGUCAACAUUAAACUUUUAUCUUGAAUCAUAUCAAAUCUGAACAUUCAUUCCAUAAUAAUAAGAAUUAUAUUGAAAUUAUGACAAGUAGCAUUCCACAUCAAAAUUUUUGUUUUUAUCAUUUACCUACUCAAGGACGAGCAGGAAUUAAGCUUGGGGAUGCUUGAUACGUCUCCAACGUAUCUAUAAUUUUUGAUUGCUCCAUACUAUAUUAUCUUCUGUUUUGGACAUUAUUGGGCUUUAUUAUUCACUUUUAUAUUAUUUUUGGGACUAACCUAUUAGUCGGAGGCCUAGCCCGAAAUUGCUGUUUUUUGCCUAUUUCAGAGUUCCGCAGAAAAAGAAUAUCAAACGGAGUCCAAACGGAAUGAAACAUUCAGGAACGUGAUUUUCGGAACGAACAUGAUCCAGAGGACUUGGACCCUACGUCAAGAAAUCAAGCAGGAAGCCAUGAGGUCGGGGGCGCGCCUACCCCCCUGGGUGCGCCCUCCACCCUCAUGGGCCCUACGUUGCUCCACCGACGUACUCCUUCCUCCUAUAUAUACCUACGUACCCCCAAACGAUCAGAUAAGGAGCCAAAAACCUAAUUCCACCGCCGCAACCUUCUGUACCCACGAGAUCCCAUCUUGGGGCCUGUUCCGGAGCUCCGCCGGAGGGGGCAUCGAUCACGGAGGGCUACUACAUCAACACCAUAGCCUCUCCGAUGAUGUGUGAGUAGUUUACCUCAGACCUUUGGGUCCAUAGUUAUUAGCUAGAUGGCUUCUUCUCUCUUUUUGGAUCUCAAUACAAUGUUCUCCCCCUCUCUCGUGGAGAUCUAUUAGAUGUAAUCUUCUUUUGCGGUGUGUUUGUUGAGACCGAUGAAUUGUGGGUUUAUGAUCAAGUUUAUGUAUGAACAAUAUUUGAAUCUUCUGAAUUCUUUUAUGUAUGAUUGGUUAUCUUUGCAAGUCUCUUAGAAUUAUCAGUUUGGUUUGGCCUACUAGAUUGAUCUUUCUUGCAAUGGGAGAGGUGCUUAGCUUUGGGUUCAAUCUUGCGGUGUCCUUUCCCAGUGACAGUAGGGGCAGCAAGGCACGUAUUGUAUUGUUGUCAUCGAGGAUAACAAGAUGGGGUAUUUAUCAUAUUGCAUGAAUUUAUCCCUCUUCAUCAUGUCAUCUUGCUUAAAGCGUUACUCUGUUCUUAUGAACUUAAUACUCUAGAUGCAUGCUGGAUAGCGGUCGAUGUGUGGAGUAAUAGUAGUAGAUGCAGGCAGGAGUCGGUCUACUUGUCUUGGACGUGAUGCCUAUAUACAUGAUCAUACCUAGAUAUUCUCAUAACUAUGCUCAAUUCUGUCAAUUGCUCAACAGUAAUUUGUUCACCCACCGUAAAAUACUUAUGCUCUUGAGAGAAGCCACUAGUGAAACCUAUGGCCUCCGGGUCUAUCUUCAUCAUAUUAAUCUUUCAACACUUAGUUAUUUUCAUUGCUUUUUUAUUUUAAUUUGCAUCUUUAUCACAAAAAUACCAAAAAUAUUAUCCUAUCAUAUCUAUCAGAUCUCACUCUCGUAAGUGACCGUGUAGGGAUUGACAACCCCUUAUCACGUUGGUUGCGAGGAUUUAUUUGUUUUGUGUAGGUGCGAGGGACUCGCGCGUAGCCUCCUACUGGAUUGAUACCUUGGUUCUCAAAAACUGAGGGAAAUACUUACGCUACUUUGCUGCAUCACCCUUUCCUCUUCAAGGGAAAACCAACGCAGUGCUCAAGACGUAGCAACCAGCGCUGCGUGGAGCCGGAGAAAGGCCAAGCAAUCCUCAAAGAUAUCCACCAAGGCGAGUGUGGUCACCACGCGGCUUCAAGAGCAGUUGUUGCCAAAGCUUUCCGCCAUGGGUUUUUCUGGCCGACUGCUCUAGAAGACGCCAAAGACUUGGUCCAGAUAUGCAAAGGCUGACAGAAGUUCCGCUCCGAGCCACAUCAGCCAGCUUCUGCACUCAAGACCAUCCCCAUUGCCUGGCCCUUUGCCGUCUGGGGGCUGGAUAUGGUGGGACGAUUCAAGACAGCACGCGGCGGCAUGACUCAUUUGCUUGUCGCCGUGGACAAAUUCACCAAGUGGAUAGAAGCAAAGCCUAUCAAGAAACUGAAUGGCCCGACUGUUGUGACUUUCAUUGCAGAUAUCACCACUCGGUAUGGCAUACCACACAGCAUCAUCACCGACAACGGCAUAAACUUUGCCAAAGGCGCCUUGGCUCGUUUCUGCGCGACGCAGGGCAUCCGACUGGACUUAGCAUCCGUUGCCCAUCCGCACUCAAACGGCCAGGUGGAGUGAGCAAACGGCCUCAUCAUGUCCGGCAUCAUCAUGCCCAUCCGUCGAGCCUCUGGAGCAUUCGGCCGGCUAUUGGCUCGACGAGCCACCGGCCAUCCUCUGGAGCCUGCGCACAACUCCAAACAAGUCAACCGGCUUCACGCCUUUCUUCCUCGUCUACGAUGCCGAAGCCGUCAUCCCGACGGACAUAGAAUUCGACUCCCCCCGAGUCACCAUGUACACCGAGGAGGAGGCAAAAGAAGCACGAGAGGACAGCGUCGAUCUACUGGAAGAGGGCCGGCUGUUGGCACUCAGUCGGUCCACCAUCUACCAGCAGAGUCUACGCCGAUACUACAAUCAGAAGGUCAAGCCAAGAUUCUUCCAAGAGGGAGACCUUGUGCUCCGGCUGAUCCAGCGAACAGCCGGCCAGCACAAGCUCUCGACACCUUGGGAAGGCCCCUUCAUCAUCAUCAAGGUUUUGGGCAAUGACUCCUACUACCUGAUCGAUGCUCAGAAGCCUAGAGCACGCAAGAGAGACGAUUUCGACAAGGAGAUGGAGCGGCCAUGGAAUGCAAACCUCCUUCGAAGAUUUUACAGUUGAUGCAGUAUGUACCACGCUACCUUUUGUAUUAAGUACGAAGACUCCUGGUCCCCUGAGAAGAGCUUGGGGGCUACCCUCUUUUAUCUAUAUGAUAAGUAUUAUGCCUAUGAGUAUGUUAUUUCAUUACUCCGCCUAGCACCGGGUUCGAACAGUCGGCCCGCGGGCUCGCCGCCUUGCACUAUGAGAUGCUUCCUGCAGCCGGACAAGUAGUGUGUUGGCACCUCAACAUUCUCCUGCCAAAGCCGCAGCUCGCAAAGCAACUAUCCAGUGGGCAAGAGCUAAGGGCAGAAAGGGUGUCCGCAUGAAAAAUGGCUAAGGACCCAAAGCAUGCACAUAGUUCAAGCCGGCUUCUCGCCUCAUCGACCGGCUGCUGAGCAGCCGGCCGGCCGGCUUCUACUUAAAUUGCUAAACACUCUAGUCGGCUAAGUACUUGCCCUCCCGAAAGUAGCUAAGUACUUGACCCAGCCGCAGUUCGCAGAGCGGCUGUUUGGCUGGCAAGACGGCAGCCAAGGGAGGGCGGCAAAGGAAAAAAGCCAAGGAGCAGAAAGCAAGAAAAGGCAGAACUCGGCAAAAAUAUUUACAUACCAAAGGCCCUUGGCCAGCAUUCAGCAGAAGUUUGAAAUACACCCCGUGGGUGGAAUUGUGCAAAUUUCACAAAGUUUGUCAAAACUAAUAAAGCAGGAAAAUAAGAUAAGUCGGCAGCCUAGGAAGCAGCUGAGGGGUCCGACUGGUUGGCGGAGUCGGUGGUGCCGGUUGCUGGAGAGGAUGGCUGGUCAGUCUCCGCUUGGUCGCCUCCAGCAGCAGUUGGUGCACUUGAGCAUGGCUCGUUGUUCGAGGCAUGGUCAAGCUGAGGCUGGCCGUCCGCUCCGACCUCUGGCGCUUCCUCUCCACCUUCCUCGUCCUCCUCGCCUUCUCCCUCGUCGCUGGAGUCGAUCAUCUCAGCCAAGUCCUCGUCGUCCUCCGAGUUCAGCCCAAACCACUCUGGUGGCGCCUCGGCACCGUUCUCGGCCAGCUCAGGAACGAAGAUGCUGGUGUUGGUGUACUCGGCAAUCGCCGCGGCCCGCCUGACAAGGUCAUGCUCCACCGCCACCAGCUCCUCUUGGGCCUCCUGUCGAAACGUGGUCAACUGGGCUAGAUUUAGCCCAGGGUACCACGCCUUGACAAACUCCAAGGCCCGGCGCUCCAGCUCGGGCCGACGAACCCUUCCAAGCCUCAAGGCGGCCGGCCAUCACCUCCAGCUAGUCGGCAGUCCGACUAGGAGUGCGCGGAGCCGGCAUGUCUGGCCAAAGGGCGGAGAUCGCUUGGGCCCCGACACGCUGAAGACGAUGCAACAUCCGAUGAGCUAGCCGAAGGCGGGCCUGGAUGCUGAGAAGCUGUUCGCUAAGGGUCCGGGGGUGUCGGCAGCGAUCUCUGCACCUCCCGCCCUCUGUUCUUCACAAUAGGACUCAAUAGCCUGGUUGGCUGCGCCAGAAUGGCCAAGGAAGAAGUCUGCUCAGGCAGAAAGCAAGUAGGGCAGAAGUCAGAAGCUAGAAGCCGACCUGAUCAGCAGCCGGCGGCUCGAGGAAAGGAAAAAGAAGAAGCUUACCAUCAACCAUGUCUUCAAUGCUACCGAAGCCGGCAAUCAGCAGCGCCUCCUUGUUGGUCCAGGCGGAGCGUUCAGUCUCAAACUCGGCGAGGAGAUUGGACUCUUUCUCCUCCGCCUCCUUCUGGGCCGUCUGGAGAAGCUUCGCCUGCUCCGCCAGCUGCUUGACCAGUCGGUCGCGUUCCUGGGCCAGCUCAUUGCACUCCGCCUCGUUGGCACGCAACGCAGUGUUGGCUUCACCCAGCUGCUGCUGAAGGGUAGCGUUGGCCUCUGCAAGAAUAGAGAAAGAAAAAGACAUUAACGAUCAACAAAGGAGAAGUACAGUUGCCGGGGAGAUCCGGCCCGACUGCUCAGCAGUCGGCCCGAAUCUCGGGGACUACGGCCCGCGGAUGCGCUAGCGCGCCCCCGCGGAGAAAGAAAACAAAGACUUACUCCGGCUUUCCGACAAGUCGGCAGUCCGUCGGUCCAGCUCCUGGAUGUUGGAGUUGAAGGUGGUCGCGCGGAGGUUAUGAUAGUCCUAUAAUGAAGAUGCCAGAUAAAGUUAGCACUUGGAGCUUGUCAAUUAAAAGUUCCGAGCCGUCUUCUCAGCAGUCGGCCCGAAACUCGGGGACUAGACCCAGUGGGUGCGCUGGCGCGUCCCCACAGAGAAGUACAAGAAUCAAAGAUGAAGAAAUAAAAGGCAUACCCAAAUGGCUGCUCGCGAGUCCAAGAAUGCCCGGUUGCACAGCUUAAGAGCGUCGGCCUCUGCACGGAGUUUGGCCUGGACGUCCAGGAUCGUCUGGUUCAAGGCUCCCAUCCUGCCUCCACGCACCCAGUCAGUGGGGGCGGCACUGGUCGCUUCGGCAUCUAGGAUUGACGAACUCGCGACGCCGGUUUCCAGCGGUCGUGGCGCCGAAGUCGCCUUCGCAAGACGACGGCGCGUUGGUGUGCGGGCCUCAGGAGUCGGGCCCGUCACCACCUCGUUUCCGGCUGGUGGCACCAGUGGGGCAGCCGGUUGCUUGUCUCGUGCUCCUCCAGACGGCGGUGGCGGAGGCACGGCCGCAUACAGCAUGACGACAUCGCCUCCUGCCCUCUCCAUGAUCAGGUGCUCGUCGCCGGCUUCCCCAGUCGGCGCCGUGAACUCUGGUGGCGGCGGCGCGGAGUUCAAGGGAAAAACGAAUAGCGGCUCCUGGCGGCGCGCGGCUUCUUCAAGCCGCUUCUUCGCUGCGGCAUCGGCCUCAGCCUCCGCCAGCUUCUUCAACGCGGGAGCCUCCGCCUUGUCCGCCUCCGCCUUCUCCCUGCGGGCGGCUUCUUGCUCCUCGCGCGCCUCCCGCGCGUUUCGCUCCUGCGCCUCCCGGAGGUCGGCAGCCGGAUCGAUUCGCCGGGUGGUGGUGGAAGUCUCCGCCGACCCAACGACGGAGGCGGCGGCCGACUUCUCAAGAGAGAGCGGGGCCCUAAGUCAAGAAGAAUAAAGCAAGGAAGCUCAGAUGGAGCCAACAAGAAAGGAAAGCUCAAGAAAAAUAUACUUACGCCGACAUCAUGGGAGGCGCCUUCGGAAGCUUCUGAAACUUGGCCGCCUUCGCGGCGGCCUCCUUCCACCUGGUCACAGCAGUAGGAUUCUUGGUCUUCUUCGGCGCGCUGCCAAACAAGAGGAUGCCUUGUUUACGCUUUCACGUGCCGCCUCGAGCAACCGGCUCGGUAGAAGGGCCCACAUCCGCCUUGCCGGCGCCUCGCGUAGGGCGCGGCUCGUCCUCUUCAUCAUCAUCAUCGGGCCAAGUCUCGAUGCCGCCUCCUUCUUCGGAGCCGCCUGCUACGUCGCCGCCGCCUAUGGCGUCGUCCUCCAGGGCGGCCGCCCCCAAGUCGGGGUCGUCUACGUCGCUCACCUCCCGGUCCGGCUGGUAGUUACCAGCCGGCCCCACGAUGGCGGUGGUCGCCGGAGACAUAUGGAUCUGCGUUCAAAGGACCGACUGUUCAAGACCAAGAUCAAGACCAAGACAAGUACUAAAAAGAAAGAGUUGAAGAACUUACAGCGGGCGGCGGGUUGGCGUGGGAGUAUGGCCGCUUGCCGAACCUCCAAGACCCCUCCGACAGCUUGAGGUCGGAGAUCUCAUUCACCAUCCGGGCCACCUCGGCAGUCGGCAUGUCCCUCGUGCACAUCCGGCUCAGGUCGCGGUGCCCGCUCAUCCGACAGAUCAGAUGAGGCCGGCCUUGGAGCGGGAGAACCCAGCGCUUGACAAAGGCGACCAGCAGGUCGGACGCCUUGAGGCCCUCCGCCUCUGUCAGCACCCGGAGCCGGUUGAUGGCGGCGGUGGCAUUGGCAGAUAUGGGCUUCGGCUUGUAGCCCCAGUUGGCCCGAGGCUCAGCCGGAGGGCCAACUUCGUAGGAAGGCAAGUUGAUGAAGUCGAUUGCCGGGUCGACGUUCUCCAGGUAGAAAUAUGAUUUUUGCCAUAGUUUCACCGACUGUGACAGCUUGAUGGCGGGGAAGGCGUUCUUCACCGACGGCCGGCGCACCGCGACGAAGGCACCACACGGGGCUGCCUUCUCCUUAGCGGAGGUGCCCAGUGUUGGGAAUCGUAGCAUAAUUUAAAAUUUUCCUACGCUCACCAAGAUGCAUCUAUGGAGUAUACUAGCAACGAGGGGAAAGGAGUGCAUCUACAUACCCUUGUAGAUCGCGUGCGGAAGCGUUCCAAUGAACAUGGAUGACGGAGUCGUACUCGCUGUGAUUCAAAUCACCGAUGACCGAGUGCCGAACGGACGGCACCUCCGCGUUCAACACAUGUACGGUGCAGCAACGUCUCCUCCUUCUUGAUCCAGCAAGGGGGAAGGAGUGGUUGAUGGAGAUCCAGCAGCACGACGGCGUGAUGGUGGAUGUAGCGGGAUGUCUGCAGGGCUUCGCCGAGCUUCUACGAGAGAGAAAGGUGUAGCAGGGGAGGAGGGAGGCGCCCAAGGCUGAGAUAUUGCUGCCCUCCCUCCCCCCCCUUUAUAUAGGCCCCCUGGGAGGGGGGGCGCCGGCCACAACCCAUCUAGAGGGGGGGCGGCGGCCAAGGGGGGUGCCUUGCCCCCCAAGGCAAGUGGGGCGCCCCCCACCCUAGGGUUUCCAACCCUAGGCGCAGGGGGAGGCCCAUGGGGGGGCGCCCAGCCCACAAGGGGCUGGUUCCCUUCCCACUUCAGCCCACGGGGCCCUCCGGGAUAGGUGGACCCCCGGGACCCUUCCGGUGGUCCCGGUACAAUACCGGUAACCCCCGAAACUUUCCCGGUGGCCGAAACUUGACUUCCUAUAUAUAAUUCUUUACCUCCGGACCAUUCCGGAACUCCUCGUAACGUCCGGGAUCUCAUCUGGGACUCCGAACAACUUUUGGGUUUCCGCAUACACAUAUCUCUACAACCCUAGCGUCACCGAACCUUAAGUGUGUAGACCCUACGGGUUCGGGAGACAUGCAGACAUGACCGAGACGCCUCUCCGGUCAAUAACCAACAGCGGGAUCUGGAUACCCAUGUUGGCUCCCACAUGUUCCACGAUGAUCUCAUCGGAUGAACCACGAUGUCGAGGAUUCAAUCAAUCCCGUAUGCAAUUCCCUUUGUCAAUCGGUAUGUUACUUGCCCGAGAUUCGAUCGUCGGUAUCCCAAUACCUUGUUCAAUCUCAUUACCGGCAAGUCUCUUUACUCGUACCGCAAUGCAUGAUCCCGUGACUAACGCCUUAGUCACAUUGAGCUCAUUAUGAUGAUGCAUUACCGAGUGGGCCCAGAGAUACCUCUCCGUCACACGGAGUGACAAAUCCCAGUCUCGAUCUGUGCCAACCCAACAGACACUUUCGGAGAUACCCGUAGUGCACCUUUAUAGUCACCCAGUUAUGUUAUGACAUUUGGCACACCCAAAGCACUCCUACGGUAUUUGGGAGUUGCACGAUCUCAUGGUCUAAGGAAAAGAUACUUGACAUUGGAAAAGCUCUAGCAAACGAAACUACACGAUCUUUUAUGCCAUGCUUAGGAUUGGGUCUUGUCCAUCACAUCAUUCUCCUAAUGAUGUGAUCCCGUUAUCAAUGACAUCCAAUGUCCAUAGUCAGGAAACCAUGACUAUCUGUUGAUCAACGAGCUAGUCAACUAGAGGCUUACUAGGGACACGUUGUGGUCUAUUUAUUCACACAUGUAUUACGAUUUUCGGACAAUACAAUUAUAGCAUGAACAAUAGACAAUUACCAUGAACAAAGAAAUAUAAUAAUAACCAUUUAUUAUUGCCUCUUGGGCAUAUUUCCAAUAGUCUCCCACUUGCACUAGAGUCAAUAAUCUAGUUACAUUGUGAUGAAUCGAACACCCAUUGAGUCCUGGUGUUGAUCAUGUUUUGCUCUAGGGAGAGGUUUAGUCAACGGAUCUGCUACAUUCAGGUCCGUAUGUACUUUACAAAUAUCUAUGUCUCCAUUUUGAACACUUUCACGAAUGGAGUUGAAGCGACGCUUGAUAUGCCUGGUCUUCCUGUGAAAUCUAGGCUCCUUCGCAAGGGCAAUAGCUCCAGUGUUGUCACAGAAGAGAGUCAUCGGGCCCGACGCAUUGGGAAUCACCCCUAGGUCGGUAAUGAACUCCUUCAUCCAGACUGCUUCCUGUGCUGCCUCCGAAGCUGCCAUGUACUCCGCUUCACAUCUAGAUCCCGCCACGACGCUUUGCUUGCAACUGCACCAGCUUACUGCUCCUCCAUUCAAAAUAUACACGUAUCCGGUUUGUGACUUCGAGUCAUCCAGAUCUGUGUCGAAGCUAGCGUCGACGUAACCCUUUACGACGAGCUCUUCGUCACCUCCAUAAACGAGAAACAUAUCCUUAGUCCUUUUCAGGUACUUCAAGAUAUUCUUGACCGCUGUCCAGUGUUCCAUGCCGGGAUUACUUUGGUACCUUCCUACCAAACUUACGGCAAGGUUUACAUCAGGUCUGGUACACAGCAUGGCAUACAUAAUAGACCCUAUGGCCGAGGCAUAGGGGAUGACACUCAUCUUUUCUCUAUCUUCUGCCGUGGUCGGGCAUUGAGCCGUGCUCAAUUGCACACCUUGCAAUACAGGCAAGAACCCCCUUCUUGGACUGAUCCAUAUUGAACUUCUUCAAUAUCUUGUCAAGGUAUGUACUCUAUGAAAGACCAAUGAGGCGUCUUGAUCUAUCUCUAUAGAUCUUGAUGCCUAAUAUAUAAGCAGCUUCUCCAAGGUCCUUCAUUGAAAAACACUUAUUCAAAUAGGCCUUUAUACUUUCCAAGAAUUCUAUAUCAUUUCCCAUCAAUAGUAUGUCACCCACAUAUAAUAUGAGAAAUGCUACAGAGCUCCCACUCACUUUCUUGUAAACACAGGCUUCUCCAUAAGUCUGUGCAAACCCAAACGCUUUGAUCAUCUCAUCAAAGCGAAUGUUCCAACUCCGAGAUGCUUGCACUAGCCCAUAGAUUGAGUGCUGGAGCUUGCAUACUUUGUUAGCAUUCUUAGGAUCGACAAAACCUUCCGGCUGCAUCAUAUACAACUCUUCCUUAAGGAAGCCGUUAAGGAAUGCCGUUUUGACGUCCAUCUGCCAUAUCUCAUAAUCAUAGUAUGCAGCAAUUGCUAACAUGAUUCGGACAGACUUCAGCUUCGCUACGGGUGAGAAAGUCUCAUCGUAGUCAACCCCUUGAACUUGUCGAUAACCCUUAGCGACUAGUCGAGCUUUGUAGAUGGUCACAUUACCAUCCACGUCCGUCUUCUUCUUAAAGAUCCAUUUGUUUUCUAUGGCUCGCCGAUCAUCGGGCAAGUCAGUCAAAGUCCAUACUUCGUUUUCAUACAUGGAUCCUAUCUCGGAUUUCAUGGCUUCUAGCCAUUUGUCGGAAUCCGGGCCCGCCAUCGCUUCUUCAUAGUUCGAAGGUUCACCGUUGUCUAACAACAUGAUUUCCAGGACAGGGUUGCCGUACCAUUCUGGUGCGGAACGUGUCCUUGUGGACCUACGAAGUUCAGUAGUAACUUGAUCCGAAGCUUCAUGAUCAUCAUCAUUAACUUCCUCCCCAGUCGGUGUAGGCACCACAGGAACAUCUUCCCGCGCUGCGCUACUUUCCGGUUCGGAAGGGGUGACUAUCACCUCAUCAAGUUCCACUUUCCUCCCACUCAAUUCUUUCGAGAGAAACUCCUUCUCUAGAAAGGACCCAUUCUUGGCAACGAAGAUCUUGCCUUCGGAUCUGAGGUAGAAGGUAUACCCAAUAGUUUCCUUAGGGUAUCCUAUGAAGAUGCAUUUUUCUGACUUGGGUUCGAGCUUUUCAGGUUGAAGUUUCUUGACAUAAGCAUCGCAUCUCCAAACUUUUAGAAACGACAACUUAGGUUUGUUCCCAAACCAUAAUUCAUACGGUGUCGUCUCAACGGAUUUCGACGGAGCCCUAUUUAAAGUGAAUGCGGCAGUCUCUAAAGCAUAGCCCCAAAAUGAGAGCGGUAAAUCGGUAAGAGACAUCAUAGAUCGCACCAUAUCCAAUAGAGUGCGAUUACGACGUUCGGACACACCAUUUCUCUGAGGUGUUCCAGGCGGCGUGAGUUGUGAAACUAUUCCACAUUUCCUUAAGUGUGCACCAAACUCGUGACUUAAAUAUUCUCCACCACGAUCUGAUCGUAAGAAUUUUAUUUUUCUGUCACGUUGAUUCUCAACCUCACUCUGAAAUUCCUUGAACUUUUCAAAGGUUUCAGACUUGUGUUUCAUUAGGUAGAUAUACCCAUAUCUACUUAAGUCAUCAGUGAGAGUGAGAACAUAACGAUAUCCUCCGCGAGCCUCAACACUCAUUGGACCGCACACAUCGGUAUGUAUGAUUUCCAAUAAGUUGGUUGCUCGCUCCAUUGUUCCGGAGAACGGAGUCUUGGUCAUCUUACCCAUGAGGCAUGGUUCGCACGUGUCAAUUGAUUCGUAAUCAAGAGACUCCAAAAGUCCAUCUGCAUGGAGCUUCUUCAUGCGCUUGACACCAAUGUGACCAAGGCGGCAGUGCCACAAGUAUGUGGGACUAUCGUUAUCAACUUUACAUCUUUUGGUAUUCACAUUAUGAAUAUGUGUAACAUCACGUUCGAGAUUCAUCAAGAAUAAACCAUUAACCAGCGGGGCAUGACCAUAAAACAUAUCUCUCAAAUAAAUAGAACAACCAUUAUUCUCGAAUUUAAAUGAGUAGCCAUCUCGAAUUAAACAAGAUCCAGAUACAAUGUUCAUGCUCAAAGCUGGCACUAAAUAACAAUUAUUGAGGUUUAAAACUAAUCCCGUAGGUAGAUGCAGAGGUAGCGUGCCGACGGUGAUCACAUCGACCUUGGAACCAUUCCCGACGCGCAUCGUCACCUCGUCCUUUGCCAGUCUCCGUUUAUUCCGUAGUUCCUGUUUUGAGUUACAAAUAUGAGCAACCGCACCGGUAUCAAAUACCCAGGAGCUACUACGAGUACUGGUAAGGUACACAUCAAUUACAUGUAUAUCACAUAUACCUUUGGUGUUGCCGGCCUUCUUGUCCGCUAAGUAUUUGGGGCAGUUCCGCUUCCAGUGACCACUUCCCUUGCAAUAAAAGCACUCAGUCUCGGGCUUGGGUCCAUUCCUUGGCUUCUUCCCGGCAACUGGCUUACCGGGCGCGGCAACUCCCUUGCCGUCCUUCUUGAAGUUCUUCUUACCCUUGCCCUUCUUGAACUUAGUGGUUUUAUUCACCAUCAACACUUGAUGUUCUUUGAUGAUCUCCACCUCCGCUGAUUUCAGCAUUGAAUAUAUCUCAGGAAUGGUCUUUUCCAUCCCCUGCAUAUUGAAGUUCAUCACAAAGCUCUUGUAGCUUGGUGGAAGUGACUGAAGGAUUCUGUCAAUGACCGCGUCAUCCGGGAGAUUAACUCCCAGCUGAGUCAAGCAGUUGUGCAACCCAGAAAUUCUGAGUAUGUGCUCACUUAGAGAACUAUUUUCCUCCAUUUUACAACUGAAGAACUUGUCGGAGACUUCAUAUCUCUCGACCCGGGCAUGAGCUUGGAAAACCAAUUUCAGCUCCUCGAACAUCUCAUAUGCUCCAUGUUUCUCAAAACGCUUUUGGAGACCCGGUUCUAGGCUGUAGCGACCAGACCUCAAAUGGCCUGUGCUGCUGUGCUCCAGUGUCAUCCCUGGAUCAGUAAUGCUGACACGCACAGUACAAAUGGAGGAUUUAUAACAGAGUAGCAAUCACACACUUAUUACAUCGAAUAUCUCCAAGGAGAUUAAGUAUGAAAACAUGGCUUAAGGCCAUCUAAUAACGAUAACAGCGGAAGACUUGGAAGAUAAGUGAGUCCAUCAACUCCAGCGGCAUCACUGAGUAUAAGACCACGACCUAAGGCACCAUACUCGUCGUCUGAAAAGUCUGCAACAUGAAACGUUGCAGCCCGAAAACGGGUCAGCACAUAGAAUAUGCUGGCAAAGUAGCACAAGGAGAACAAUGAACAAUGAAAAUGCUAUACUAUAUGCAUUUAUGGCUGGUGGAAAGCUCUAUGGUUACAGUUUUGCGGAAAGCCAAUUUUAUCCUACUUCAAAGGAAUAAAUUUUAUUUAACUAUCAUGGUGGUUGUGAAACAUUGAGAAGGUACCUCCAACUCAAUCCCAAUUAGGUGUCAUCAUUAACCCAACAAAAUUAAUUAAAAGUAACAUAGUGAUGAGAUUCAAAUGAUAAUCCAGGUACUAGAUACUCAAGUUGUCCAUAACCGGGGACACGGCUAAUCAUGAUCAGUUUGUACACUCUGCAGAGGUUUGUGCACUUUUCCCCUACAUCUGCUAGUCCACCUCUUCAAGAGAUCCUGUAACCUACUCAGCUAUGCUAGAGCCCAUAAUAGCUUGUGGCUGCACACGGAAGUUUCUAGCAUGAAUAAUCUUAUGAUCCCUUUGAGCCUGGGUGGCGGACCUUAUACAUACAGACAACACUGGAUUCUCCAGGUGCCUCAAUCCACCCAGAUGUGAGUUUUAGUUGCCACCUUAAGUUGAACCAUUAUUAACAAUCUCACAUCUGUCAUGAAUAUCACUCAAACCCAAUCCACGUCUACGAGCAUAGCAUGGCAAUAAUAAAAGCAACGUAGAAGUAACUCCCAAGGGUUUGAAUAGAAAACAGGUAAUAGGUACUACCUCAACUACUUCCCAGAUACCCACAAUUUAAUUAGAUCCUAAUCAUGCAAUGUUUGAGGAAUAGAUCUAAUGCAAUAAAAACUGGGUAUGAAUGGGGUAUGAUCAAAAGUGUUACUUGCCUUGCUGAUGAUCCGCAAAACCUAGCGAGUCGAAGUAACAAGCGGCACACUCCUGGUACUCUAUCGCAAACAAACAAGCAUACAAUCAGUACUCAACUAAUGCACAGGUAAAACUCGAAUGAAAGAUCCAACCAGAAAGUUCAACUUAAGAACUCCGGUUUGCAAAAAGAAUCAACUCGAAAGAAACAACGAAAGUCAAACGGCGAAAGAAAGAAACUUUGUUUGCUAAUCUGGAUCUAGGUCAAAUUUUACUGUAGCAAAAACUUGUUUGAGUAGGUUAAACGGAAAAAGAAUUUCGAGACGAAACUCUAGGCGCUUGAAUCGCCUGAUUCCGAUAAACGAGCGAGAAGUUAAACAGAUUCGAAAAUUCGAUCAGAAAUCGAAUCUGAGAAAAUAACGAGAAAAUCCGAUGAAAAAGAAAAACGGGCGAACGGUUAAAUAACGGACGUUCGUUAACAGAGAAAAACCGACGAACGCGUUCGUUAAAACGAACGGUUCGGUGAACGCUCGCAAAUUAAGAAAACCGAAAAAAAACGAUCUAGGGUUUUUUUUUAAAACGAAGGGGUUUUUUUUACAGAAAACCGGUCAACGACGGGAAAACGGCUGGCGGCAGUACCUCGACGGCGGGCUCCGGCGAGGGGCUUUGGUGGGGCGGGGCUCGGCGGCGGGUGCGGGGCUCGGGGAGGCGGCUCCGGGGCUCCCGGCNNNNNNNNNNNNNNNNNNNNNNNNNNNNNNNNNNNNNNNNNNNNNNNNNNNNNNNNNNNNNNNNNNNNNNNNNNNNNNNNNNNNNNNNNNNNNNNNNNNNNNNNNNNNNNNNNNNNNNNNNNNNNNNNNNNNNNNNNNNNNNNNNNNNNNNNNNNNNNNNNNNNNNNNNNNNNNNNNNNNNNNNNNNNNNNNNNNNNNNNNNNNNNNNNNNNNNNNNNNNNNNNNNNNNNNNNNNNNNNNNNNNNNNNNNNNNNNNNNNNNNNNNNNNNNNNNNNNNNNNNNNNNNNNNNNNNNNNNNNNNNNNNNNNNNNNNNNNNNNNNNNNNNNNNNNNNNNNNNNNNNNNNNNNNNNNNNNNNNNNNNNNNNNNNNNNNNNNNNNNNNNNNNNNNNNNNNNNNNNNNNNNNNNNNNNNNNNNNNNNNNNNNNNNNNNNNNNNNNNNNNNNNNNNNNNNNNNNNNNNNNNNNNNNNNNNNNNNNNNNNNNNNNNNNNNNNNNNNNNNGCCGGCGGUGUCAUGCGGCGGCCGGACUCGGGCGGCGAGCUCCCGUGCGGGAAGAGGAGAGGCCGCGGGCGGGCCGUCGGCUGGGCCUGUGGCCCAGUCUGCGCGGGCGUUUUUUUUUUUAAUAAGUUCCGCGUAAAAUAUUGCGUAGCAAAAUACAUAAAAAUAAGAAAUAAAUUUUCCCCGUCUAGUUAGAAAAUCUAGAAUAGGGUGAACAUUUUUAAAAUCAAAAAUAAAUAUUUUGAAAACAUGCAAUAUUUUUAAUGCAAUAAAAAUUGCAAAUAAAAUCCAAAUAAAUUCCAAAUAAUGUUUUUAACAUUUUUCCUCCAGUAUUUCAAUUGUUUUGGAGAAUUCAUAUUUUCUCCUCUCAUUUAUUUAAAAAGAAAUAUUUUUCCGGAGAGAAAAAUAAUUAAAACCAAAAUCCUCGUUGGAAAUAUUAAUUUGAAAAAUUCGGGAAAAUCCCCAACUCUCUCCGAGGGUCCUGGAGUUGCUUAGGAUUUAUCGAGGAUUUGUCAAAAUGCAACAAAACAUGAUAUGCAAAUGAUGAUCUAUGUAUAACAUUCCAAAUUGAAAAUUUGGGAUGUUACAUAGGCUGUAAAGCAUGCCGCACUGAACGAGGGAGUAAUCAUCAGCACGCUGCUGCCAAGCGUUCAUAACGUCUUGGUUCUCUGGGAUUGGUGCAUCACCUAGCGGUGCUUCUAAGACAUAAUCUUUCUUGGCUACUAUGAGGAUGAUCCUCAGGUUCCGGACCCAGUCCGUAUAGUUGCUGCCAUCAUCUUUCAGCUUGGUUUUCUCUAGGAACGCAUUGAAAUUGAGGACAACGUUGGCCAUUUGAUCUACAAGACAUAGUGUAAAGAUUUAAGACUAAGUUCAUGAUAAUUAAGUUCAUCUAAUCAAAUUACUCAAUGAACUCCCACUCAGAUAGACAUCCCUCUAGUCAUCUAAGUGAAACAUGAUCCGAGUUAACUAGGCCGUGUCCGAUCAUCACGUGAGACGGACUAGUCAAGAUCAGUGAACAUCUCCAUGUUGAUCGUAUCUUCUAUACGACUCAUGCUCGACCUUUCGGUCCUCCAUGUUCCGAGGCCAUGUCUGUAGAUUCUAGGCUCGUCAAGUCAACCUAAGUGUAUUGCGUGUGUUCCGAGGCCAUGUCUGUACAUGCUAGGCUCGUCAACACCCGUUGUAUUCGAACGUUAGAAUCUAUCACACCCGAUCAUCACGUGGUGCUUCGAAACAACGAACCUUCGCAACGGUGCACAGUUAGGGUGAGCACUUUCUUGAAAUUAUCAUAAGGGAUCAUCUUACUUACUACCGUCGUUCUAAGCAAAUAAGAUGCAAAAACAUGAUAAACAUCACAUGCAAUCAAAUAGUGACAUGAUAUGGCCAAUAUCAUCAUGCUCCUUUGAUCUCCAUCUUCGAGGCACCAUGAUCAUCUUCGUCACCGGAUGACACCAUGAUCUCCAUCAUUGUGUCUUCAUGAAGUCGUCACGCCAACGAUUACUUCUACUUCUAUGGCUAACAUGUUUAGCAACAAAUUAAAGUAAUUUACAUGGCGUUUAUUCAAUGACACGUAGGUCAUGCAAAAUAAUAAAGACAACUCCAAUGGCUCCUGCCGGUUGUCAUACUCAUCGACAUGCAAGUCGUGAUUCCUAUUACAAGAAUAUGAUCAAUCUCAUACAUCACAUAUAUCAUUCAUCACAUCUUCUGGCCAUAUCACAUCACAUAGCACUUGCUGCAAAAACAAGUUAGACGUCCUCUAAUAGUUGUUGCAAGUUUUUACGUGGUUUGUAGGUUUCUAGCAAGAACGUUUCUUACCUACGUAUGACCACAACGUGAUUUGCCAAUUUCUAUUUACCCUUCAUAAGGACCCUUUUCAUCGAAUCCGUUCCGACUAAAGUAGGAGAGACAGACACCCGCUAGCCACCUUAUGCAUCUAGUGCAUGUCAGUCGGUGGAACCUGUCUCACGUAAGCGUACGUGUAAGGUCGGUCCGGGCCGCUUCAUCCUAAAAUGCCGCCGAAUCAAGAAACGACUAGUAGCAGCAAGAAGAAUUGGCAACAUCAACGCCCACAACUUCUUUGUGUUCUACUCGUGCAUAGUAACUACGCAUAGGCCUGGCUCAUGAUGCCACUGUUGGGAAUCGUAGCAUAAUUUAAAAAAUUUCCUACGCUCACCAAGAUGCAUCUAUGGAGUAUACUAGCAACGAGGGGAAAGGAGUGCAUCUACAUACCCUUGUAGAUCGCGUGCGGAAGCGUUCCAAUGAACGUGGAUGACGCAGUCGUACUCGCCGUGAUUCAAAUCACCGAUGACCGAGUGCCGAACGGACGGCACCUCCGCGUUCAACACACGUACGGUGCAGCAGCAUCUCCUCCUUCUUGAUCCAGCAAGGGGGAAGGAGAGGUUGAUGGAGAUCCAGCAACACGACGGCGUGAUGGUGGAUGUAGCGGGAUGUCUGCAGGGCUUCGCCGAGCUUCUACGAGAGAGAAAGGUGUAGCAGGGGAGGAGGGAGGCGCCCAAGGCUGAGAUAUUUCUGCCCUCCCUCCCCCCCUUUAUAUAGGCCCCCUGGGAGGGGGGGCGCCGGCCACAACCCAUCUAGAGGGGGGCGCCGGCCAAGGGGGGUGCCUUGCCCCCCAAGGCAAGUGGGGCGCCCCCCCACCCUAGGGUUUCCAACCCUAGGCGCUGGGGGGAGGCCCAUGGGGGGCGCCCAGCCCACUAGGGGCUGGUUCCCUUCCCACUUAGCCCACGGGGCCCUCCGGGAUAGGUGGCCCCACCCGGUGGACCCCCGGGACCCUUCCGGUGGUCCCGGUACAAUACCGGUAACCCCCGAAACUUUCCCGGUGGCCGAAACUUGACUUCCUAUAUAUAAUUCUUUACCUCCGGACCAUUCUGGAACUCCUCGUGACGUCCGGGAUCUCAUCCGGGACUCCGAACAACUUUCGGGUUUCCGCAUACACAUAUCUCUACAACCCUAGCGUCACCGAACCUUAAGUGUGUAGACCCUCCGGGUUCGGGAGACAUGCAGACAUGACCGAGACGCCUCUCCGGUCAAUAACCAACAGCGGGAUUUGGAUACCCAUGUUGGCUCCCACAUGUUCCACGAUGAUCUCAUCGGAUGAACCACGAUGCCGAGGAUUCAAUCAAUCCCGUAUGCAAUUCCCUUUGUCAAUCGGUAUGUUACUUGCCCGAGAUUCGAUCGUCGGUAUCCCAAUACCUUGUUCAAUCUCGUUACCGGCAAGUCUCUUUACUCGUACCGCAAUGCAUGAUUCCGUGACUAACGCCUUAGUCACAUUGAGCUCAUUAUGAUGAUGCAUUACCGAGUGGGCCCAGAGGUACCUCUCCAUCACACGGAGUGACAAAUCCCAGUCUCGAUCCGUGCCAACCCAACAGACACUUUCGGAGAUACCCGUAGUGCACCUUUAUAGUCACCCAGUUACGUUGUGACAUUUGGCACACCCAAAGCACUCCUACGGUAUCCAGGAGUUGCACGAUCUCAUGGUGUAAGGAAAAGAUACUUGACAUUGGAAAAGCUCUAGCAAACGAAACUACACGAUCUUUUAUGCUAUGCUUAGGAUUGGGUCUUGUCCAUCACAUCAUUCUCCUAAUGAUGUGAUCCCGUUAUCAAUGACAUCCAAUGUCCAUAGUCAGGAGACCAUGACUAUCUGUUGAUCAACGAGCUAGUCAACUAGAGGCUUACUAGGGACACGCUGUGGUCUAUGUAUUCACACAUGUAUUACGAUUUCCGGACAAUACAAUUAUAGCAUGAACAAUAGACAAUUACCAUGAACAAAGAAAUAUAAUAAUAACCAUUUAUUAUUGCCUUUAGGGCAUAUUUCCAACACCGAGUUUGGUGUAGAAGAAGGCUCCCGACAACUUGAUGGUGCGGAGGAUGCCAAGGUAGCCCUCGCACGCCGUGACGAAGGCGGACAACAGCGUCACGGUGUUGGGCGUCAAGUCAUGCGGCUGAAGACGGUAGAACUCCAUGAAGGAGCGGAAGAAUCCGCUCGCCGGUAGGCCGAAGCCGCGGAGGAAGUGCAAGCGGAAGAUGACCCGCUCGCCUCCUUGCGGCACCGGCGAGAUUUCCUUCUCCGGCGGCACGCGCACCUUGACGAAGCCCGGGCCGGGCAGCCGUCGUGUCGCGCGGAGGAAGGUGAGAUGGUCGUCAAUCACCACUGAGCCAUCCCAGUCUCCUCCCUUCUCGUGCGCCAUGGAGACCGAGCGAGAAGCUUGGGGCGAAGGAGCCUGGCGGCAGCAAGCUGCGGCGGCGCCUCGGCGGAGCGCGGAGGUGCGGCAGCGGGAAGGAAGGAAGAAGAUGAAAAUGGCGAAAGGAGCGGAGGGCGCGCGUGCUCCGCCGCUCCGCCGCUCCCCCUCUUCCCCCUACUUAUAGCCCUCAGGCUACAAAGCCGAGGGGGCGGGGCGUGGGAUCAUGGGAUUAACUGCGCCCACGACCCCGCAUUUAUUUCGCAAGUUACUACGCAGUAACUCCCCCCGGAAUCGCAACCGUUUGCCUCGGCCGCAGCGGAUCCGCCCGCGCGCCAAGGCCCGGUAGUGGCGGGCCCGGCCUGCUGUCAUGUCCCAUCGUGAGCAUGGGUUGGCAGGCUGGCACGGCUGGCUGGUGCCGCAUGCCGUACUUGCAGCGGGUGAGGGCCUAGAGGCUUAGCAAGCACGCCACCUGGUUCCCGCCUUGACAUUUCGAAAUCAUCAUUCAAAGCCGCCUGGUCGCAUCCGACUCCCGACAGGCGGCACGCCAGGAGACGGAUGGAGCAUUAAGCAAGAACACUCGGAGGAGGAAACUGCUGAGGCCUCUCGACUUAUCAGCCGCGACGCCUAACCAGCUUCGGGGACUACUGUCGGAGUAAUGGGCCACGGGUAGCCUAACCCGAGUCCCUGAGCGUUUCAAGACAUUGGGCCGGCUGCGCUCCUCAAGCAUCAAGGAUGAAGCGCUGCCUUCUGGGGGCCGGCUAGCUCAAGCGGCCGGCUGCCAGAAGGCGGCCACGCACCAGAAGACGGCCACAAGAUGGGUCGACUCCUAGCAAGCGGCCUCCAGAGAGGCCGGCUCCUAGCAGGUGGCCCACAACGCCUUCAAAGCCUGUGCCCCAAUUAAGAAGACAAGACAGGAUGUGGCUACAGUGCAGCCCAUCACCCCCGUAUCCAGGGCAAGGCACGGCCACAGUGCCCCGUACAGGCGGAGAUCUCCGCGCGGUGCGGCACUGUAGCCACUCCACCCUCGACGUCAUCCCUGACAGGUGGAACCAUGUUCCCACGACAGCCUGUCGGUACGGCCUGCAGGCGGCGGGCCCUACCAGGCAGUGAGAGCCCGGACGGCGGCGGAGCCUGGCCAGUCGGACUCGAGGGAGGCCGGCCUCUAGCAGACGGCCUACUCUUCCCUCGGAGUCCCCGCGCCAUUAACCAGAUGAGACACGGUGUGGCUACAGUGGUCUCCCAACAGACGGCGGGACUGUAGCCACGCCUCCCCCGACCAAGCAUGUGUCAUUACCGUUGCGGCUACAGCAACAAGCAGCCGGUCGGAUCCGCAAGCGGCGGAGGCGGCCUGUCGGCUCCGUACUGGACCAGUCGGCAGGGCCCACCAGGCGGCGUGCCCCAGCAGCCGGCAGAGAAGCCGGCGACCAGAGACACUGACAGUCGGGUCCUACACUCGGCCAGAUUACCAUUGUACCCCUAGGGGGUAGGCCUAUAUAAAACCCCCAGGGCACCCAUGCAAAGGGUUCCCAACCUGUUAGACCUAGACUCACUCAUAAAGAGAGGAGAGAGCAAGCCCUGCCUUCUUCUACCUCUAGCAUACAGCUCGAGGAGCACCACUGUACUCACUAGUGCCUUAGUGAUCAUGCGGAGACCCCGCAGAGCAGGACUAGGGGUGUUAUCUCCUAGGAGAGCCCCGAACCUGGGUAAAGUUCGCCGGCGUACGUGUCAACGCCUCAUCCCGCUUCCAGGCACCGGCGACGUCUUACUAUCCCCCACCAUGAUAAGCCAUCCAUUGGCAUAUGUCGCACCAAAACCCCGACAUCGUGUCGUCGUCGGAGGGGGAGCACGGCCAAGGCGGCCGUGCGGCCGCGACGGACCUUGAAUGGGAGGUCGUGGUCGUUUGGGACGACACCCCGCCGUAGACCAACGUGGUCGAGCGGGCGGGGACCGACGGAGGGGGCGGUGACGCCAUCUUGGGGGAGGCGUCGCGGAUGGCGCCGGAGGGGGUGGCUUGGACGUCGACGAGCCAGGCACCGCCGGUGGGGGAGCCUCAAGCUACUCUGCCCGCUGAGCCGGCGUUGGUGCCGGAGAGGGCGCCGGCCUCAGGGGAGGCGGCCGGCGGGGAGCACGCCCUGGUGCUCAGGCCCGGAGGUCGCCGGGUUGCCGGGCCGCAGUCAUCAUGGAGCGGGACCAGCGAGGUCCCCUUCGGGCCUCUGACCCAGCAGGAGGCGGCGCUGGCCGCCGUGACCUAGCGCCUACGAGGGCGGACGGACCGGAUCCAGGCCUUUGCCCAGGCCGAGGUCGAGGCGACGCAGGAGCUGGAGCGCGCCGUGUUUGUAAGUUUUCUAUUGCAUUUUGCUCUUUCUCUUUUCGUUGCUUCUUCUUUGUGGGGGCACGCCAGCACACCCACUGGGUGUAGCCCCCGAGAUUCGGGCCAACUAUGUAGCAGUUGGGUCGAAUCCUAUCUUGCUGGCUUGUAUUGAUUGUUACUUUCUGCAGCAACUAGACUCCUACCUGGUCGGCGUCUUCAACCGGCUCCUCGCACUACAAAAAAAAUACACUUCCGUGAUGAUACAUGUUUGUCACAGUAGGUCGCGUUUUUUGUCAUGCAUGUACAUCCAUGACAAAUUUAUGAGAGAAUCAAGAUAGUCAUACCUGUGCUGUCGUAGAAGUGUUCCAUGACAUUACCAAAAUUAUCAUCACGGAAGUGUCCACUUCCAUGACGAUAAAUCGCGCGUCACAGAAGUGCUUUCGUCAAGGGUGACCGACACGUGUCAUCCACCGUAACGGAACGCCGUUAAGCUAUCGGGUCGGGUUUUGGAUCCGAUAACCCGUUAACAGCCCCGACCAAUGGGGAUUUUCCAUGUGUAAAAUCAUCAUUGGCUGGAGGAGACACGUGUCAGGUCCGUGUUAGCACAGGUGUCACUCAUCCAAUGGGCGAGACGCGCCUAUGAUAUGUUGACACGUGGACCGGCCCAUCAAGUUUAAAUGGGCCGGCCCAACUGAAGGCCCACAAGAUUUUGCGGACCAUAAUGGGCCGGCCCAGCUAAAGGCCCACGAGAUUUUGCGGACCAUAAUGGGCUGGCCCAGCUAAAGGCCCACAAGAUUUUGCGGGCCAUAGGGCCGGCCCAGGUAAAGGCCCACAAGAUUUUUGUGUGCCAUAAUGGGUCGGCCCAGGUAAAGGCCCACAAGAUUCUUGCGGAUCAUAAUGGGCCGGCCCAGCUAAAGGCCCACGAGAUUUCGCCGACAUUAAUGGGCCGGCCCAGCUGUAGGCCCACAAGAUUUUGAGGACCCUAGUAGGCCGGCCCAUUAACUGGCUGCCAUGUUUUGGGCCAAAUGCCGGCCUAUAUUUGAUCCGGUCCAUUAAUGGCCUGCCACGCUCCGGGCCUAGUAGUGGCCCAUAUGAGAUCCGGCCCGUUAAAAGCCUACCAUGUUCUGGGCCAAAUUACGGCCCAGAUCAGGUCUGGCCCUUUAAGAGGCUUUGGGCUCAAUUAUGGCCCAUAUCAGAUUCGGCCCGUCAACUGGACACUAUGCUUUUGGGCCCACUUGCUAAAGGCCCACUUAGUAAUUCGGCCUGAUAUUAGUUUUGGCAUGUUAAGGGCUCGUUUAACAUUUCGGCCCUAUAUUAAUUUCGGCCUGUUAAAAGCCCAUCAUAUAGUUGGGCCUAACUACGGCCCGGUUUGCAUCCGGCCUGCUCGCAGCCGAUAUCUGAUUGGGCCAAACAAGGAUCGAGACAAUUUUGGCCUGUUAAAAGCCCGUGAUUUGAUUCGCACAAUCAUGGGCCGGGGUUCAUUUCGGGCUGCUGCCGGCCCGUGAGCUGUUCGACACGUUUCAGGCCCAACCUACAUCGUGAUUGCAUGACGGCCCGAUUAUGUGUCGUAAUUUUACGGUUUGGCCGGUUUACUGCGAAGACAAGAUAUAUAUAUAGUAAAAUAACUACAGCAUCGUGAAUAAGAAAAAACCUAGACUAUACAAUAAAGAAAUUACGGCAUAUUACAUCCACUGGGCAUCAAAGUUCGCCACUAUGAUAAUAAAGCACAACCAGACAACUGAUUACAUACACUGGGCAUCAAACAUCGCCACCAGUGCAAAUAAACACGCCGACAAAAUAAUAUACAAAACCGACAGCACUUCAAUAGAGUUCAAGAAAGGUUAGCCCUGCUGGCGAGCUGCAGCGCAAGCAGCUGAGCAAGAUGAUGAGACUGCGCUUGUUCAACACUUAUAUCUUCCUCACUCUGAAAGAUAAACAAGCAGACAGAAGACAGGUUUUGCACAUAAAAGUAUCAGUGCUGACAAUUCAUCACAUUAGUAACUGACGAAUAAAGUGACACCGUUUAAAAUUGCAUUAACACAAUAUGGUAUUAUUCAGGUCAAGACAUGGCAGGAAAUGACAUUGUGAAGGAGUUGGCAGCUUCACGACACCACUGGAUUACAGAUCAAGAACUCAUAAGUAUCAAUGGUUAGUGUGCUGUCAAUUUAUACCAUUUCAGAUUGGCAAAUAAAGAGAUGGUUUAAAUAAUAGUAGAAUGAUAUGACAUUGUUCAUAGUUAAGACAUUGCAGAAUAUGACAUUGUGCUGUAGUGGGUAGGUUCACCACACCACUGGAUUACGGAUGAAGAACAGAAGCAUACAUGCAGUGCAAAAGAAGAUCACUUGCUCUGUAUAGUUUAAUUUACAUGGUGUGAAGAAGGAACUUGGUUGUACAACUGAAAACUUAAAUUGAGAAAGGACAAACUUUUGUUUAUGAACUACAUAAUAAACUUUAAACAAGCAAUUUGAUGCAAACACCAAAAAUAAACAGCUGUUGCAGUCAUGCCUAACCAAAUAUAUACAACAAAGUUUGAAGGCUUGAUAUGGACAAACUUACAUUAUUGGUGAAGACAGGCUCUAUAAAGGCCUUGUCCAUGCUGAUGGGGGGGCAAUUCAAGAAGUUUACCACAGAAUCUUCUUCAAAAGCAUUGCCUUUUUUCUACAUUUUGUUAAGAGUAAAUAUAGAUGUGAUAAUAUACGAAAAAAUGGGGAAUAUUUAAGAUAAGAUGAAGAGUGAUGCUACAUAACCAAGUAGCUCUAAAUGUAAGUGCAGCGAUACAGGCAAAAGGUACAGCCAAGAGCAAUGCACAGCUAAACUUCUUCAGUACCAACCUUAUGGUAAGAGUAAAUAUAGAUCUGAUGUGUAGAAAAUGGAGGGCAAAGGAAAAUAAGCUGCAGAGUGAUGGUACAUGAACAACUACCUGUCAUUAUAAGUACACUGAUAAAGGACAACAUGUACUUACAAGAACAAUGCAGAGCUAAAAAAACAUUGGCAUUGGAUAUAUUCUACACUAAUGUAACCAUUCAUACAGAUCAGAUAAUUUGGAGCGAACAAUUGAUAAGCAAGCUAUCAUGCAUACUGUUGUCACAUAAUGAACCAGGUAUGUAUGCAAGUACAGUGAUACAGGACAACAGGUACUAAUAAGAGCAAAGCAGCGGGCAGCAUAUUUGGGAUAUCCUGCCGUUCUUGUCAAACCGGAAUUCUUCUUCGAGCAGAUUUCCUGCAAAAAAGAUCCGUAAGGCACAUGCGGAAAAGUAGAAGUUCAAAUUGUCAUGUGAUUUCAUAGACAGUACCUCAUCCUGGGAAUGAGACCAGUGCAUAACAAGGUUUUUCCAUUCAGUGUCUUCUAAAUUUAGCACAGGAGACUUCACCGGAAAUUCGUUUAUAGACUUGCCAUCAAAGUGUGAUUUCCUCAGGUAACACCGAUACUGCUGCAAUGCUUCCUUGAAAAGCACAAGCAAGCUUUGCUCGUCAUGACUAUCCAGAUUGACCCUCGCCUAGAUACAAAAAUUUAAUGUAAAUCAUUGAUGUGUUCAAUCAGCAGAAAACAGGAAAAUAAUAACCAUGAAUAAUAGCACUUACACGUAAGUUGGACAGGAAGAUGUGAAAAUGGUGUUUGUCUUCACAGUAAUCUUCCCAUGAUGGGAAUAUAUGCACGUAGUCCCUAACAACAUUGAAAGCAUUGUCUUUUAAACUGGGAAUAAAUGGAAUGGGGUUCCAAGCUGCAGGAAUUGGCCGUCUCUGCAGUUGGGAUAGGUCUACGGCCGGUGGACUUGCUGUACUUUUUGCUGGAGUGGGAUUUUUCUGUGGUACAGCUGGUGCUAUGGCAAAUGAAAUCGGUAUACCUUUUGUUGGAGUGCAGGUCCUGUGUGGUGGGGCUAGUGGUGUGGCCAGUGAAGUAUGGGUACAGUCUGCUGGAGUCGGUCCUACGUUUUGUGUCACUGGUUGUACAGCCAAUAUAAGUGGGGUGCUGUCUGAUUUCUCCGGCACCACCACGUUUUUCAAGGACUUUGCUGGUGCUCCUUCAGGUUCGGCAAUCACCCUCUUCAUUUUUGAUGUCUGAUGCACAAGAACAGCAUUUGAGUGGAAAAACAUGGUAUGAUGACAGAUGGAAUAUGUAUUGAUAAUGGAUGGGCAUGGCAUCUCGACAUAUAUGAUGAGUAAACUAAGCAGAUGGUGGUGCAACAAAGUAGAAGAAAUGCAAGACAACGUAUGCAAGAUACCCGCAAUCAAUAAAACAUUGCCAAAUUAGAACAGGCACCUUGAUGGGUGAACAGGACAGGCCAUCUGCCUUUGACUCCUCGAGGUUAGAAUAGUCAUUAGGAUCAUAUUCUGAACAAGAAUCAACAGGUGGGGAGCGUAUGAGUUUCAUUGCAUCCAGAAUGGCACUCAAUGCCUUGGUGCCAAUUUUGUAAGUCAUUGCAGUGUUUAGCUUCAAGAGUGGACUGCUGCUAGUGCGACACAAAGCAGCUGCACAAAUCAUAGUGUAGAUAUAACGGGAAAAUCUUAAGCAUCAGAGUAACAUCAGCAAAGUGGAACUUGCUGGAAUAUAUGUGCUAGUAUUGCCAGUAUGGCUAGAAAGGCUUCGGAUACCAGCUCUCUUUAAGUGAAGGGGCGGUACUGUUAAUAUCAGUGUAACUCUCAAAGGCGACACAGCUCCCCGCAUUUCCUUGCUAUUCUUAUAGGAAUCAAGUGGGCAGGCCACUACAAAUCCUAUUCCUAUGUUUACAAGAUCCUACGAAUCAAAGAGGCUCAAAGUGUCCAUCACAACCGACCGUAUAGACCUCUACACUGCAAAUGUCCCUGCUCAUCUUCAGUACAAGGAACAUACUGUACUACUAUCAUACUCCCUCCGUUCCAAAAUAUAAGUCUUGGUAGAGAUUUCCACUAUGGAUCACAUAUAGAUGUAUCCAGAUACAUUUUAGAGUGUGGAUUCACUCAUUCUGCUCCAUAUGUAGUCCAUGGUGGAAUCUAUACAAAGACUUGUAUUUAGGAACGGAGAGAGUACAUAUUAAAGAAGAACGGAAGAGGAACAUGGUAAAGAAGAGCAAGCAGAUUUUGGAUAAUAAAAUGUUGGUUGCGCAGUGCCCACACAUGAUGAACCAGAGCGCAUUAAGAAUGCAACUCCCAGCUGUCUCUCGACCAUUUCAGGCGGUUGGAUGAAGAUCCUACGUCUCCUAACCCUUCUUCUUCCUCAUCUCUGAUUCUUCCCAUACAGAACACCGCACGGGCCGCCGGCCGGACCACCGGCCCCCACCGCCUGUGUUCCUCCGCCACCCCCACCCCCCACCCCAACCCCCACCCGCGUCGAGUUUUCUUCGUUCGGCGAGGCCCCACAACCACCUGAGCCCCUUCGAUCGCACCGGCGAACUCCGGCGAGCUCUGAAAAAUCGACUGACCCAAUUUUGAAAUUUAGUCUACUAUGAUUUAACUAGUGUGGAAUAUAAAAGGGGAAAACCAUAAGCAUUGGGAGUAUAGUGUCGAGCGUGCCAUGGCGGAUCUGAAGGUGCAAACCUGACAAAGGCAACUUCGCAACCAAGACAAGAAAUCAGAGUAAAGCAGUGGCGAUCUAUUUUCUUGCUGCGAUAAAUAAGUUGAGCAGAUACGAAAGAGUACCGCCUCUGGUGCGGCGCCAUGUACGCAUCUGCUGAGAAUUUGACGGUGCUGCGGUGGCGAUGGCUGUCGGUGGCGUGGAAGCAGAUCUAGGAGGGUAGACGGUGGCGGCGGGGCGCGGUGGAUGUGACACCGAAGUUUUUAUUUGGAUUUUCAAAGGAUUUUAUUUGACUUGACGGGAGUGAUUUAAAAAAAAAUUCAAGAGAACUCUCCCUCUCAAAUAUUUUUCAUUUGGAUUCACCCAAGAUCUGUCUUUGGUCUUGGAGGUUCUUGCUUUUAUUCUUUGGCCUCAAGACAAAAUGUUGUUCAUUUGGGGAAAAUAACUUUUGAAAAUCUUUUUGGAAAUGCACUAUGGCUUUUGGAAAACUCCUUUGCCACUUUCCACUUUUCUCUCUUACCUUGGCCUUAGUGAAAAUGCUCACUCCUAACUCCUUCCCUCACCUUUGGAUCAUGAUUGGCAUCAAAUCCAGCAAGUUGAACCUCCCCAUGUGAUUAUUUCCAUUCAAACUCCAUUCAAAUAAAUUUCUGUCUUCUCUUCUAGCACUUGGAGAUUUACAAAGGAACUCCAUUUUAUGUUUUGAUUUUUGCCCCCAAACCAACUCUCCUCCCUAGUCCUUUGAACCCUCAACCAAGAUCCAUGAAGAUCCCCUGGUCUUCAGUUCAAAAUUUUCAAACUACACCUGCUGCAAGUUUGGACCAGAUUUGCCAAAUUUGGUGAAAUUCAUUCAAAACCUUCUCCAAAAAUUCCAAGUAAAAUCAGGCAGCCUCUGGGUGCAUUGAGUGGUCAUCUCACCGAGUUACAACUCCAGAAAAAUUCAUCUCAUUGCAAAAUCCUUCUGUCGAACACCUGCAGUGCACUGUCUAUGUCAAGUUCAGAAAGUUCAGAGAUUCAGUCAGUGGCCUGCUGUCGUUUUCUUCAGAGAAGGACGUCGAUCUCGCCAGUGCCACCGCGUCGCCUUGCUCCUCGUCCCCUCCCCCUUGUUCCUGCACCGCACGAAUGCAUGGCGCCUUGUGGGCGUCGGCGACGAGCAGCAGAAGGUGCGCCGCCCCGUGACCGACGCCGGCGGCAGCUUUGCGGACGCCGGCGGGAGACACGGCGCCAACGACGCCACCCAGCGCCGCCCAAACCACCGGAGCUCGCCGCGUGGCCUUCCACUCCCCCGAAUGCGCUGCCGCUCUCGUCAUGAACCGCAGGGCGCGGAGCGCGCUCUCUGCCGCCGUCGAGCCCGUGCGGUCACCUCACCGUGGACCGACGCCAUUACGCCAAGCCGACCCCAUUUAGCUGUGAAACGACUCCAGUAACCUCCACUGAUGCUGCCUGGCCACUCAAACCACCUGCCAAUCCACUGCUCCGCCGUAAUCGCUCGUCGGAGAUUCUCCGUUCACGGCCACCCCGUCGAUCUGCCUAUAAAUAGAGGCCCCGAGCUUCAACUCGAGCACCCACCAUCCCUACACUUCCCCUAGAGCACGCCUAGCCACUGGCAGAGCCCCGAGGAGGUCUCCUUCCUCGACUCCGGCCGCCGCGACCCGCCACGGGAUCCAGCCCGAUUCGCCCCCGUGUGUGCUCCUCCGCCUCCAUUCUCUUGCCAGUAGCUUCACCUUGCAUCCCUCGUUCUGACCCACGCCUCAAUUUGUAGCUUGCAGCCCUCACCGGAGUUCCCCAUCCUCACCCGAGCCGCCGUCCGCCGGAGAUAGUGUCGCCGUCGACGUGGUGCUCCCCGUUGGACGAGUCCACCACCCACCGACGCGGAAGAAGACGCUGAAGCUCUUGGUACCCUCCGUUUCACCUAACUCGCCGUGGUUUGACGCCGGCGUCCACCGCAGUCUUCGGGCGCCGGCGAGCUUUUUAAACCUGACAGGUGGACCCCGCCUGUCAGCCUCUAUUCUAUUCUCCUGCGAACCGUUUUCUGUUGGCGCCUUCGGGCAACUACGUUUUCUCCUUUGCGCUUGCGCAUUUCCAACUGAAGCGUUUUCUGUUUUCUCAAUUAAAACCCUGGAACUUUUCUGCUUCAUUAUAGAAAGGUCCCUGGGCAGAAACCUUUAUAACUUUUAAAUAAAAAGGUAUUUUUGAGUGAUUCUUUUUCUGAAAAUCUUCAAUUUUGUCUAGUUUUUUAUGGGAUUUAUUUGAGAAAUAUUUGGAAAAGUUUCUGUGCAUGUGUUGGUUUUCACGUUAGUGCCCGUCUCGUGAUUGCCGUAGGUUCCGGAAGAGGUGACGGAGCCGCGAACUUCGCCGAGCUAGACUCCGACUUCUCCGAACCAGGCAAGCAUGUUUUGAACAUUUGAUAUGACAGGUGUUUUGCAUGUUUGCGUGAGAGGUUGUGCGUGGCAUAUGAGCAUUGGUAAAUACCUCGUUGCUUGUAAGGCAACGACCCGGUUGUUCCAAAGUUGCGAUGAUCUCUGAUGAGAGAUGGCCUAAUCAUGUGGUGACAUGAAGGGCAGCAAGGUGGUACUGUUGUAGCAUGCCAGCCUUGCGUCAUCCGACUUUCUCCGACGUUAACGUGGUUGGAGCCGCGUUACCGUUCUUUCCCCUUUCCGUGCUACCACAUGUCUCAUUGCCAGGAUGCGGUUUAGUAAGUCGGUAACCUAUUUUCGUGUACACACCAAAUAGAGAGGCCGGGAUGAUGGUACCUUGGCCCAGGAUUAAAGCCAGUCAUCCGGUCAGGGGGCAUGGGUGUUUCCGGUUGGGACCGAGAGGGGGGGCACCCCCUUAAAGCGCGCGUAUAAAAAUUUGAUCCCAUGCUACGCGAGGUUAUAGCCUCCCCGUCUCAAGGUUUUUCUUGAAUGUUGCCGAGGGUGAUCCCUGGCUUUGGAUGGUUGAAUUGGGUGUGUACUGGUUAGACGUGUUUCUCCCAAAACACCGUAGACGGAACUAGUCCCCGUGACUACUGAAAUCCGUUGGCUGUGGUUAAGUACAAACUCUGCAGAGUCAAUUCUUUCCAAAUCAUCGUAUCCAUGAUCUAGUAGUGUAAGCAUUAUAUCCAUAUCUAUCCGUGUGGAAAACUUGUCCCCGGUGAACAAGCUCGAGUGGUAAAUCCAGAUUUAUUGUUAUUCCUGUGGAUGGACUAACCUUAUAAUUAUCUCAUGCUUGUGAUAAUUUAUGUUCCCGAACUAUUGUAUUAUUGAGCUGUAUUACUAGCCCUUUAUGUGGUGUCGCCUCGACGCCCGACUGUGGUAUUAUUAUUCCGCAUUUUUCCGCUCGAGGAGUCUUUCAGACACUCGUUUGGCACCUGUAUUAUUAUUCCGCAUUUUUCCGCUCGAGGAGUCUUUCAGACACUCGUUUGGCACCUGUAUUAUUAUUCCGCAUUUUUCCGCUCGAGGAGUCUUUCAGACACUCGUUUGGCACCUGUAUUAUUAUUCUGCAUUUUUCCGCUCGAGGAGUCUUUCAGACACUCGUUUGGCACCUGUAUUAUUAUUCCGCAUUUUUCCGCUCGAGGAGUCUUUCAAACACUCGUUUGGUAGCCGUAUUAAUAUUCUGCAGUUUCCGCUCGAGGCGUCAUUCAGACCCUCGCUUGGCACCCAGUAUUUAUUAUCUCUAUGUCUGAACGCACUGGUUAACUUGUUCAUAUGCUUCAUGUUUGCAUUUGUUAUAUCGUAUGUCCAAACUGUCUUGCGAGUACUUUCAUAGUACUCACCUGGCUUGUUGAUUUGGCCAGAUGUUGACGAAGGCGAUCUCUUGGAUGAAGAGUUUGAUAGCGCGUCCGACGCCUAGAGGAGUCCCAGUCAGUCCUGCGCGAUCCCGGAUAUUGGUCACUUGUAUUGUAAACGCUUCCGCCACCCGCAAUAAGUCCUCUCGAGCCUCACUCCGACGCUCGAUGAGCUGUAGUCGUCUGGAAUCAUAUCACUCGCUUCGCGGUGAUAUUUCCACCACCGUUAUUAUCGUAAGUUAGUAGUUUGCCACCCUAUCCGCCGUCUUGUUUUAUCGGCGUGUAUGUAAUAAAUGGUUGGGCAGUCUCUGCUCAACCUUGUAUUAUAUUUAGUACUCCUGGUAUUUUUCUUCUGUGACCAAGAUAUUGUCUACCAGUGAGAAGGAAUUCUUCCUCGCUGGUCUGUAAAAGGGACUGGUCUCUCAAUAAUUAUUUUAUUGAAAAACCGGUCGUGACAAGCUUGGUAUCAGAGCCAGGCUGACUGUAGGAAGCCACUAGGUGCGAUCGCUAAUCGGUUAUUAGCGUCUUUUGUGCUUUUUCAGCAUUUUGCAAUCGUAGCUAUUUUUUGUUGGUCAUCAUAAAUUUAUGACAUGACUACUCAGAAUUUUUGCCUACUUUUGUAGAUGGCUGGCAGCAGCUGUGAGAAUCGAGUGUUCACCAACGUGCCCGAGGGGUUUGUCAAGCUCCUCGUCUCCAUCACCAAGCUCGCGAUCGCGCCAGCAGCUCGCCCGGAGUUCACACUCUAUCAGCACAAGCUCAGUGACGACGUGUCUAUGCACCAAGCCGUGGUGCAGUUCAAGGGAGGAUGUUCUGCUGCUCGCCACUUCCGUUUUAUGGGAAGGGCCAUGCCUACGGAGAGGCAUGCCAUGCAGAUGGCUGCCCGUGAGGUGAUAGCUCGCCUUCGGGACAUUCUUCCUACGAUGAAGACUCGUCGCUACCGCUACCUCCCAUGCCAUGUGCCUUACACCAGCCACUAUGCGUUCGCCUGCCAUCGGGGAGAGCGAGAUGAAGCCAUCGAGAUGGUUGUGGAGUAUCUCAAGGCUCUGGAGGAAUCUUUCGACAACCUCGUAGAUGAUCUUGUGGCUGCCCGCAUGGACUUAGUCCGGGGCGGUCCUGCCAGCAGGAAGGAGCUUCUCCACACGGCGCCACCCCUAACAUUUGUCUCGUCUUCAGCCUCGUAUGCACCGGCCGUUUUGGCCACUGCUUGCCGUCUGCCUACCACUGAGGAGUUCGACCGAGUCAUCGCUCCCACUCCAGUCAGAGCCGCACCGCCUGCAGCACGCGCUCUACCACCAGUCGCCCCCCGCACCAUCACCACAGCGCAGCAUCACGCGCCAGGAGCCAGCUAGAGAGGAGGUGGAGGUUGACUCUCCUGGACCGCUGAGCCUUGCCAUCGGCAAGGGGAAGGAGAUCUUCACCAUCUCCGACUGAGAGCACCGAGUAGCCGCGUGUUAUGUCUGCCUAUAUGAUGUGCUGUUUAUUCCUGUAUGCUAGUUUGUAUUGGUGUGUUUGCUGCCUUCCGGAGUAGUACGCUAGUUUUUAAUAACAUGUCAGGAUUGUGUACGCGCAUCCUGAGUGCUGUAUCUUGUGUUUGCUUUUCGCAUGUAAGUUUUAUGUUAAGCACUUCUUCUCCAUAAAAAAAAUCAUUUGUGUUUCCUUGAAAACCCUGAAGCCUUUUGAUUAUUGCCUUUGCGAGUUUUUUCUUGUGCUACACAGUUUUUCUCAUGGGUUUUGCAAAUAAUACCCCAGACUGGAAAAAUGUCUCGCCCGUGGACUCGCUCCAUGCCCCAUCAGCCAGAAGAGGUUUACGGGACAUAGACCAGCAACAAUUUCACUCAGGGUCAGUCCAGCCAACAAGACAGCGAAGCAGCACUGUCUCAAGUAUGCCGUCUUUUCGAGCAAAGUCAGCAACAGCACCAAGAGAUGAUGAAUCAUGUCAUCAAUAUGGGAAACCACCGUGAACCCUAUCAACCACAUUCCAAGUUAUCCGAAUUACAGAAAACUCGCCCCUCAACUUUUGCUCACACUGAUAGGCCGCUGGAAGCCGAUGAUUGGCUUCGUGAGAUUGAAAGGAAACUGAUUAUUGCUCAGUGCUAAGAUCAUGAGAAGGUGCUUUAUGCACCACACUACCUUACUGGAGCAGCCGCAGCAUGGUGGGAAAACUUCCUACACAUGCAUCCCAGGGAACACAACAUCACCUGGGAAGAGUUCAAGGAAGGCUUCCGUGGGGCACACAUCCCCAGGAGCAUCCUAAAGAUCAAGAAGAGAGAGUUUGAUGACCUGAAGCAAAGAGGCAUGUCAGUGACAGAGUAUAAUGGUCAGUUCACCCAGCUGUCUGGUUAUGCCUACGACGAGCACAUGACAGAAAGCAAGAAGAUGGAAAAAUUCCUGGACGGCCUGGCACCAGCGCUAUGAUGCCAACUGAUUGUGCACACCUUUCCAGAUUUUAAGACGCUGGUGGACAAGGCCAUCACCUUGGAGAAUGAGCGCCGUAGUCUGGAAGAUAUCCGUAAGCGGAAGAGGGACAAGACGACCCUUGCCUGCGCAACCGAGGCAAGACUGAGGUCCCAAGGACAGACGCAAGGAGAUCCACGACUACCGAGCCAAGGCCCGUCGGACAGUUUCAUGCCAGGGACAAGGAGUUCACAUACCGUCCAGGGGUCACCUGCUAUGCUUGUGGUCAACAAGGGCAUUAUGCUAAACAGUGCCCGAAGCCAAGAGACUCGGCACCCAAGCCAAACAAUGGUGGAAACAACCCCGCCCCCAAGCGCAACAACUUCAACCCCAGCAACAACCACAGGAAGGGUCACCUGAACCAUGUGACGAGGGAAGAAGCGCAGAAUGCCCCAGACAUCGUGCUCGGUACGUUCCCUGGCAACACAGUACCUGCCACGGUUUUGUUUGAUUCUGGAGCUUCCCAUUCGUUCGUUUCGAAGAGUUUUGUUUCGCAACAUGGUUUUCCGAUACUUCCCUUGGAAAAAUCUAUGGUCAUCAAGUCCCCCGGAAAUAAGCAAAUCGCUCAGGGUUACUGCCAAGGAGUGGUCAUUGAGUUCGAAGGACUACAAUUCCACGCGAAUCUCAUCGUGUUGGAAAGUAAAGGACUGGAUGUCAUUUUAGGGAUGGACUGGUUGACCACCAACAAGGGAUUCAUCGACUGUUUCAAUCGGACAGUAAUUCUCACACACCAUCACGGCAAGACAAUAAGAGUCUCCGCUCAAGAAAGGCCACGAUCACAGAAACCAAAACUGAACAAAAUGAACAUUGCAGAACUGAGAAAAGUUCCAGUGGUAUGCGAAUUUCCUGAUGUGUUCCCUGAAGAACUACCAGGCAUGCCACCAGACCGAGAGAUCGAAUUCAGCAUCGAACUAGCGCCUGGCGCCGCUCCCAUCUAUAAGAAGCCUUAUAGAAUGGCACCCUCAGAAUUGGUGGAGUUGAAGAAGCAGAUAAAGGAAUUGUUGGACAAAGGAUUUAUUCGAGCCAGCUCCUCACCGUGGGGUUCGCCAGUGUUGUUCGCCAAGAAGAAAGAUGGGACACUGAGGCUGUGUAUAGACUAUCGAGCCCUCAAUAUGGUCACCAUCAAAAACAAAUAUCCGAUGCCACGGAUAAAUGAUUUGUUUGACCAGCUCGCACAAGCUAAGGUAUUUUCAAAGAUUGAUUUGAGAUCGGGAUACCAUCAACUGAAGGUACGGACAGAGGAUAUCCCCAAGACAGCAUUCACUUCCAGAUAUGGGUUAUACGAGUUCACAGUGAUGCCUUUUGGACUAACGAAUGCCCCCGCAUAUUUCGUCCACCUCAUGAACAAAGUGUUCAUGAAAUUCAUGGACAAAUUUGUGGUGGUAUUCAUUGACGACAUUCUGGUUUACUCAAGGACACCAGAAGAGCAUGCUGAGCACCUCAGAAUUGUUUUGGGGGAAUUGAGGAAACAUCAGUUGUACGCCAAAUUUAGCAAGUGCGAAUUUUGGCUAAGACAAGUUGGCUUCUUGGGCCAUAUACUGAACCAAGAAGGCGUGGCCGUAGACCCAUAAAAGGUCAAGGCCAUACUGGACUGGAAGCCGCCCGCCAACGUCACAGAUGUGCGGAAUUUCCUAGGAAUGGCUGGAUAUUACAGGAGAUUUAUUGAAGGAUUCUCCACUAUGGCGAAACCUAUGACCCAGCUACUCAAGAAGGACAAGAAAUUCGUAUGGACGGAAGCAUGUGAGCAGAGCUUCCAAGAACUCAAGAAGAAGCUGACAACCGCACCAGUCUUAACUGUGCCCGACAUACACAAGAGCUUUGAAGUGUAUUGUGGCGCGUCCCGAAAAGGUCUCGGAUGCGUACUAAUGCAGGAUGGCAAAGUUGUCGCAUAUGCCUCCAGGCAGCUGCGAAAGCAUGAGGAAAAUUACCCAACGCACGACUUAGAACUAGCAGCAGUCAUACAUGCACUCAAGGAGUGGAGGUACUUUCUGUUGGGAAAUCGCUGUGAAAUAUACACGGACCAUAAGAGCCUCAAAUAUAUUUUCACACAGCCAGAGCUGAAUUUACGCCAACGACGCUGGUUGGAACUGGUCAAAGACUAUUACGUCAGCAUUCACUACCACCCAGGGAAAGCAAAUGUAGUAGCCGAUGCCCUUAGUCGAAACCCUAGCCCGGAAAAUGACGGUCAGCAAAAUUUGAGGCCUGAGUUUCAGCGAGAGUUUGCUAGGCUCAACAUGAUGUUAGUCUCCGAGGGCACCGUAUCAAAUCUGGAGAUACAACCCACCCUGGUGGAACGAAUUAAGAAGGCUCAACAGGGACAUCCCAGCAUCGAAGGCAUAAAGAAGAAAAUGAGUCUUAAUAAGACUUCAGAGUUCGUCACAAACAGUGAAGGAACAUUGUGGUACCGAAACAGACUUUGCGUACCUAACAUUGAGGAACUCAAGCAACAGAUCUUGACGGAAAGCCACACCGCUCCAUACUCGAUCCAUCCUGGAGGAACCAAAAUGUACAAGGACAUUCAGGAAAGGUUUUGGUGGCACGGUAUGGAAAGAGAUAUAGCCACAUUCAUUGCUUGUUGCGAUUCAUGUCAGCGCAUCAAGGCCGAGCAUCAAAAGCCAGCAGGGCUACUCUAGCCAAACAGGAUACCGGAGUGGAAAUGGGAUGAAAUAGGAAUGGAUUUCAUUGUUGGGCUACCCCGAUCACAACGUGGGAAUGACGCCAUAUGGGUCAUCACAGACCGACUAACCAAGGUUCCUCAUUUCAUUCCCGUGAAGACUACCUACUCCACACAAAGACUGGCAAAACUUUAUCUAUCUCGUAUAGUUUGCUUGCAUGGAGUCCCAAAGACUAUAAUAUCAGACCGAGGCACCCAAUUCGUCUCCAAAUUUUGGGAUCACCUACAACAAGCUCUGGGCACGCAGCUAGCUUUCAGUACAGCAUACCACCCUCAGACUGAUGGACAAACGGAACGUGUAAACCAAAUCCUAGAAGAUAUGCUAAGAGCCAGUGUGCUCACCUAUGGAUCCAGUUGGGAAGAGAGUUUGCCAUAUGCCGAAUUCGCUUACAACAACAGUUACCAAGCCAGCUUGCAAAUGGCACCCUUUGAAGCAUUGUACGGACGGAGGUGUCGUACCCCACUGAAUUGGUCAGAAACAGGUGACAGCCGUAUCUUCGGCCCAGACAUGCUUAAAGAGGCCGAGGAAAAAGUGAAACAAAUCAGGGACAGACUCAAGACAGCACAGAGCCGACAAAAGAGCUACUAUGAUCAGAAGCAUCGUGAGGUCAGCUUUGAACCUGGUGAUUCCGUAUACCUCCGAGUAUCUCCUAUGAGGGGUCUGCAAUGGUUCAAAAUUAAGGGGAAGCUAGCCCCAAGAUUUAUUGGACCAUUUUGUGUGAAGGCACGAAGAGGCACGGUAGCCUACCAACUAGACCUACCCAAGGAGCUGUCAGACAUCCAUGACGUAUUCCACGUCUCACAGUUGAGGAAAUGUGUGAGUAACCCGGAGAAGCAUGUACCCCAUGAGAACAUCGAUAUGCAACCAGAUCUCACAUACAGAGAAAGGCCAAUAAAGAUUUUAGAAGAGUCUGAACGGAGAACCCGUCAGAAAACGACAAAAAAUUUCAGGGUUCAGUGGAGCAACCACACUGAGGAUGAAGCUACUUGGGAAAGGGAAGAUUUCCUUCGGGCAGAGUAUCCAUAUCUAUUUGAGGAUCAGCAGAAAUCUCGAGGACGAGAUUUUUCCUAAGGGGGUAGGUGUUGUGACACCCAAGUUUUUAUUUGGAUUUUCAAAGGAUUUUAUUUGACUUGAGGGGAGUGAUUUAAAAAAAAAUUCAAGAGAACUCUCCCUCUCAAAUAUUUUUCUUUAUGGCAAAAGUUUCAUUUGGAUUCACCCAAGAUCUGUCUUUGGUCUUGGAGGUUCUUGCUUUUAUUUUUUGGCCUCAAGACAAAAUGUUUUUCAUUUGGGGAAAAUAACUUUUGAAAAUCUUUUUGGAAAUGCACUAUGGCUUUUGGAAAACUCCUUUGCCACUUUCCACUUUUCUCUCUUACCUUGGCCUUAGUGCAAAUGCUCACUCCUAACUCCUUCCCUCACCUUUGGAUCAUGAUUGGCAUCAAAUCCAGCAAGUUGAACCUCCCCAUGUGAUUAUUUCCAUUCAAACUCCAUUCAAAUAAAUUUCUGUCUUCUCUUCUAGCACUUGGAGAUUUACAAAGGAACUCCAUUUUAUGUUUUGAUUUUUGCCCCCAAACCAACUCUCCUCCCUAGUCCUUUGAACCCUCAACCAAGAUCCAUGAAGAUCCACUGGUCUUCAGUUCAAAAUUUUCAAACUACACCUGCUGCAAGUUUGGACCAGAUUUGCCAAAUUUGGUGAAAUUCAUUCAAAACCUUCUCCAAAAAUUCCAAGUAAAAUCAGGCAGCCUCUGGGUACAUUGAGUGGUCAUCUCACCGAGUUACAACUCCAGAAAAAUUCAUCUCAUUGCAAAAUCCUUCUGUCGAACACCUGCAGUGCACUGUCUAUGUCAAGUUCAGAAAGUUCAGAGAUUCAGUCAGUGGCCUGCUGUCGUUUUCUUCAGAGAAGGACGUCGAUCUCGCCAGUGCCACCGCGUCGCCUUGCUCCUCGUCCCCUCCCCCUUGUUCCUGCACCGCACGAAUGCAUGGCGCCUUGCGGGCGUCGGCGACGAGCAGCAGAAGGUGCGCCGCCCCGUGACCGACGCCGGCGGCAGCUUUGCGGACGCCAGCGGGAGACACGGCGCCAACGACGCCACCCAGCGCCGCCCAAACCACCGGAGCUCGCCGCGUGGCCUUCCACUCCCCCGAAUGCGCUGCCGCUCUCGUCGUGAACCGCAGGGCGCGGAGCGCGCUCUCUGCCGCCGUCGAGCCCGUGCGGUCACCUCACCGUGGACCGACGCCAUUACGCCAAGACCGACCCCAUUUAGCUGUGAAACGACUCCAGUAACCUCCACUGAUGCUGCCUGGCCACUCAAACCACCUGCCAAUCCACUGCUCCGCCGUAAUCGCUCGCCGGAGAUUCUCCGUUCACGGACACCCCGUCGAUCUGCCUAUAAAUAGAGGCCCUGAGCUUCAACUCGAGCACCCACCAUCCCUACACUUCCCCUAGAGCACGCCUAGCCACUGGCAGAGCCCCGAGGAGGUCUCCUUCCUCGACUCCGGCCGCCGCGACCCGCCACGGGAUCCGGCCCGAUUCGCCCCCGUGUGUGCUCCUCCGCCUCCAUUCUCUUGCCAGUAGCUUCACCUUGCAUCCCUCGUUCUGAGCCACGCCUCAAUUUGUAGCUUGCAGCCCUCACCGGAGUUCCCCAUCCUCACCCGAGCCGCCGUCCGCCGGAGAUAGUGUCGCCGUCGACGUGGUGCUCCCCGUUGGACGAGUCCACCACCCACCGACGCGGAAGAAGACGCUGAAGCUCUUGGUACCCUCCGUUUCACCUAACUCGCCGUGGUUCGACGCCGGCGUCCACCGCAGUCUUCGGGCGCCGGCGAGCUUUUUAAACCUGACAGGUGGACCCCGCCUGUCAGCCUCUAUUCUAUUCUCCUGCGAACCGUUUUCUGUUGGCGCCUUCGGGCAACUACGUUUUCUCCUUUACGCUUGCGCAUUUCCAACCGAAGCGUUUUCUGUUUUCUCAAUUAAAACCCUGGAACUUUUCUGCUUCAUUACAGAAAGGUCCCUGGGCAGAAACCUUUAUAACUUUUUAAUAAAAAGGUAUUUUUGAGUGAUUCUUUUUCUGAAAAUCUUCAAAUUUUGUCUAGUUUUUAUGGGAUUUAUUUGAGAAAUAUUUGGAAAAGUUUCUGUGCAUGUGUUGGUUUUCACGUUAGUGCCCGUCUCGUGAUUGCCGUAGGUUCCGGAAGAGGUGACGGAGCCGCGAACUUCGCCGAGCUAGACUCCGACUUCUCCGAACCAAGCAAGCAUGUUUUGAACAUUUGAUAUGACAGGUGUUUUGCAUGUUUGCGUGAGAGGUUGUGCGUGGCAUAUGAGCAUUGGUAAAUACCUCGUUGCUUGUAAGGCAACGACCCGGUUGUUCCAAAGUUGCGAUGAUCUCUGAUGAGAGAUGGCCUAAUCAUGUGGUGACAUGAAGGGCAGCAAGGUGGUACUGUUGUAGCAUGCCAGCCUUGCGUCAUCCGACUUUCUCCGACGUUAACGUGGUUGGAGCCGCGUUACCGUUCUUUCCCCUUUCCGUGCUACCACAUGUCUCAUUGCCAGGAUGCGGUUUAGUAAGUCGGUAACCUCUUUUCGUGUACACCAAAUAGAGAGGCCGGGAUGAUGGUACCUUGGCCCAGGAUUAAAGCCAGUCAUCCGGUCAGGGGACAUGGGUGUUUCCGGUUGGGACCGAGAGGGGGGGCACCCCCUUAAAGCGCGCGUAUAAAAAUUUGAUCCCAUGCUACGCGAGGUUGUAGCCUCCCCGUCUCAAGGUUUUUCUUGAAUGUUGCCGAGGGUGAUCCCUGGCUUCGGAUGGUUGAAUUGGGUGUGUACUGGUUAGACGUGUUUCUUCCAAAACACCGUAGACGGAACUAGUCCCCGUGACUACUGAAAUCCGUUGGCUGUGGUUAAGUACAAACUCUGCAGAGUCAAUUCUUUCCAAAUCUUCCUAUCCAUGAUCUAGUAGUGUAAGCAUUAUAUCCAUAUCUAUCCGUGUGGAAAACUUGUCCCCGGUGAACAAGCUCGAGUGGUAAAUCCAGAUUUAUUGUUAUUCCUGUGGAUGGACUAACCUUAUAAUUAUCUCAUGCUUGUGAUAAUUUAUGUUUCUGAACUAUUGUAUUAUUGAGCUGUAUUGCUAUCCCUUUAUGUGGUGUCGCCUCGACGCCCGACUGUGGUAUUAUUAUUCCGCAUUUUUCCGCUCGAGGAGUCUUUCAGACACUCGUUUGGCACCUGUAUUAUUAUUCCGCAUUUUUUUGCUCGAGGAGUCUUUCAGACACUCGUUUGGCACCUGUAUUAUUAUUCCGCAUCUUUCCGCUCGAGGAGUCUUUCAGACACUCGUUUGGCACCUGUAUUAUUAUUCCGCAUUUUUCCGCUCGAGGAGUCUUUCAGACACUCGUUUGGCACCUGUAUUAUUAUUCCGCAUUUUUCCGCUCGAGGAGUCUUUCAGACACUCGUUUGGCACCUGUAUUAUUAUUCUGCAUUUUUCCGCUCGAGGAGUCUUUCAGACACUCGUUUGGCACCUGUAUUAUUAUUCCGCAUUUUUCCGCUCGAGGAGUCUUUCAGACACUCGUUUGGUACCCGUAUUAAUAUUCUGCAGUUUCCGCUCGAGGCGUCAUUCAGACCCUCGCUUGGCACCCAGUAUUUAUUAUCUCUAUGUCUGAACGCACUGGUUAACUUGUUCAUAUGCUUCAUGUUUGCAUUUGUUAUAUCUUAUGUCCGAACUAUCUUGCGAGUACUUUCAUAGUACUCACCUGGCUUGUUGAUUUGGCCAGAUGUUGACGAAGGCGAUCUCUUGGAUGAAGAGUUUGAUAGCGCGUCCGACGCCUAGAGGAGUCCCAGUCAGUCCUGCGCGAUCCCGGAUAUUGGUCACUUGUAUUGUAUACGCUUCCGCCACCCGCAAUAAGUCCUCUCGAGCCUCACUCCGACGCUCGAUGAGCUGUAGUCGUCUGGAAUCAUAUCACUCGCUUCGCGGUGAUAUUUCCACCACCGUUAUUAUCGUAAGUUAGUAGUUUGCCACCCUAUCCGCCGUCUUGUUUUAUCGGCGUGUAUGUAAUAAAUGGUUGGGCAGUCUCUGCUCAACCUUGUAUUAUAUUUAGUACUCCUGGUAUUUUUCUUCUGUGACCAAGAUAUUGUCUACCAGUGAGAAGGAAUUCUUCCUCGCUGGUCCGUAAAAGGGAUUGGUCUCUCAAUAAUUAUUUUAUUGAAAAACCAGUCGUGACAGUGGACGAGACGGUCGUAGGAGCGGCGCCGGCAAGGUGGACGACAGCGGGGAUGAAGCGAGAGGACGGGAUGCAAGGAUCCCGGUCCGAAGCCGUGGAUGAGCGAGGUCGAUCUCUUGUAAUGGACGGCGGCAUCGGGGAGCUCCGGCAUGGUGGAGGAGGAUGGCGGUGGAUGGGGUGGCGGGCGGCGGCGGACGGAGGAGGGUGGGGUGGAGAGGGUGUUUUGGCACCCACGGAGUACGAAUGGGGAAAAGGGAGGUAGAGAGGAAGGGGGGAACCAUGUAUUCAGGGCACGCUUGUCUCAAAUGCGAGGAAAUUUACAAACUUAGCCCCCGUUUCAAAUUUCUACUACAUCACAGCAACAUUAGUCGGUUGGGGAUAGGACGGUAAUCUCGCAUACACCGAAUAUUUGCCGAUGAGAGUUUGUUUUUGGUGCCCACCGUGUAUGAAUAUGAAUCGGGGAGGAAGUCGAUUUGGGCCGAGGACACACUGUGUUCUGGCGCCCACCGUGUAUGAAUCCGGGUGAGAGGCGGUUACGUCAUGUUUGGGUGAAAUUACAAACCUACCCCUAUCGAAACCUAUAGAAAUCCAGCAGAUAGGCAGUAGUGAUUUCCAUCUCGCAGAUUUUGGUUUCGGGCGGUUACUGCGACUUUCCCCGCUUCGUUCAAAUUUUGCAGAGUGCACGUUUACCGUGGCAACUCAAUUCGAAUCCCGUUUGUAUUCUAUUUUUUCGGGUGGGAUCCAUUUUCAAUUGGAAUUACAUUCUAUAUACAUCAUUUUUUCAUAUAUAUACUUUCGAAAGCACAACAAAGAAUUCUGCUCCUUUAUAUGUAUAAUAUGAUUUACAAAUACAACGAUCUCGAAAUCUUAAGGUUGAAUUCGAAAAAAAUUAACCAAAUUAUGUUCUACUAAAAUGUAUGGAUCAGUAAUAUCUACAUAUUAAAUAACAUAGAUGUGCGUGAAUUUCAUAUGAGUAUGCAUGUUUGAUAGAUCAAUUUUGGUUCGAGUAUGGAUUACAUGUAUCAUCAUCUCGAAUUCAAAUAUUUGAAUCCCUUUUUUGUUCACUCCUUUCACGCCCAUCUCUCUCGCAUGCAUGCUCCUUCAGGUAGCUAUCACUCUCUUUUCUCCAGCUCACCCGCACGCUCACUUCAUGUUUCUCCUAUCCUCGCAAACAAGGUCUCUCGACGUCUCCCUUCAGAAGUGUCACACUCUCCCUAUCAUUAUACAUUACACGGUUUUCAUUAUCUCUCACAUCUCUACUGUUCUCUGGUAUCACUCGGUACCUAAGCUUUCUUUUUCACUGCCACACACACAGUCUCCACUCGUCUUUCACUUUGUCUUUCUCUCUAUGGGAUUCUCUCACACACCCUAUAUGUCUCUACAUAUGACUCAUACCACUAAAAUUACUCUCUCUCUCUCCUGUAGACACAACAUUUGUCGCGGUCUCCUUUUCGUCUCCAUCCCAGACUGACAUUAUUCAUUUGUUUACCGAUCAGACAACCCCGACUACCGUCUCCUCUCUCUCUCUCUCACAGACACACACACACAACUCCUGCUUCCACUCCCCUUCCUGACUACCGCCUCUCUCUCACACACACAAAACUCUCGCUUUCGCACCCCGACUCGUAUUUCUCUCACAAACAUUUAUCGACUAGCUAGCCUCUAGAUAGGUUUAUACACCCGCACACUCGUGCUUCCACCAUCGCAUACAUGUCUCUCUCCCGCUCCUUGUAUCUAUGUAGAUUUUUCUUCCCUUCUUGAGACACGCCCUCUCGAUCGUGCGCACACACACACUAUCGCCUCAUUUUAAGCUGAUACCUAUCGCACACACACUCCUUGUGUCUUUGUCACACAUGCACUCCGUCCUCCUCCACUCUCCCUCUCUCUCUCACACACAUCGGCUUUUUGCAACAACUAGCAAGAUGCCCAUGCGUUGCAUGGAACAUCAAGAUGCAUUUGUAUGAGUAGUUUAUCUUGUGGGGGAAAAGGAUGAACGAGGGAAGGCCUUAUUUGCAAAUGUGGAGAGGGGUGUGGGUAUCUUUUUGCAAAAUUGCCAUAGUUUCCUUCCUAUCCGUCAGAUAUAGAUCGGACGGCCUAUAUUGCAGGAUGGCAGGCACACGAUCAUCACCGACAAUGCUUUUUAUAAGAGUCGGGAUAAAAAAUAGAGUUGGUGAUGAUGGUGGGCCUGCCAUCCUGCAAUGUAGGUCAUCCGAUUUAUAUCUGACGGAUAGGAAGGAAAAUAUGGCAAUUUACCCGCACUCUUCACCACAUUUGCAGAUAAGGCCUUCCCUCGUUCAUCCUUUUCUCCCACAAGAUCUUGAUGUUCCGUGCAACGCACGGGCAUCUUGCUAGUAAGAGUAGAAAUUAGACAUAUACCACUUCUCGAAUCUUGAAACCAACAACAUUCCUCCCUUAUCUCAUCAAAACCGCCAAAGGAAUAUAUUUUGAGUGAAAGAUAACAUAUUUUUAGUGAUAUACGUAUUUCAAAACUAGACUUUUUCUAUCAAAUCGGUGAAUACGUAUUAAUCUACUUUGAUCGUGUGGUAACGCAUUGGCACAUUGCUAGUAGUUAUUAUAAUUUUUUGGACACCAGACAAACGGUGGAGUACAUAUACGAAGAGAAGACGCGCACGCACGCAGUCGGCAUGUCGCUGUCUCGCACACAUGAGUGUUACGUAAAGGCGACGUUAACAAAUAAACCCUAAAACCCUAGGUGCACAAUUGCUGCAUUCGCGGGUACCGGGUACGUGGUGGAGCACCUUUGUAGGAAUAGUCAGCUCGCGUGAUAAUUUGAUCCGUAGGAGUUGAUGGUCGGGACCACAGGUGAACGACUUGGAGCGCGGUGGCUCGCCAGUUGCCACAGAUUGAGUAGCCACAUUUAAAAUAUCAUUUUUUAGCGGGGUUAAGAGUUCCGAUUUUCAAUGGCGCUUUAUAAGUAGUAAGUAGUUUUUAGAACGAUUGGUAUGGAGCGAAAAUGGAAUUCACACUACUACGUACCUCCUUGGCGUAUGGUUCUAUGGUUUUUUUUGCGAUGGAGGUUGUAUGGGUUUAUGUUGCGAGAUGUUGAACCUGGUAGUUCUAGGGCAAAUACUAUGGUUUAGAUUUAGAUGCUGGUUUUCAGUAAUGAAAAUCGGAAGGGGAAACUCUUCUUUGGUUAAAAAAAACUACUACCUCCAUUCUGGUUUACUAGUCCCCAUCGUACUAUGGGUCAAAGUUUGUCCACGAAUUUUACUUGUAAAAUGUGAAUGGAAAACGAGAUUUUGUUAUACCCAAACAAAAAAGGACUGGAGGGAGUGAUUGCUCUGACACGGACGCGACCUCUCAUAGCACAGGCAUUGAACCGACGCGCCGGCCAAGAGGGCCGCACUCGCUGCAGGCCCGGCUGAGCACGCCUCCUCGCCGCGUGCAACCAGCUUAAGACUGCCCCGCCUGCCUUCAUUGAAUCUGCGCGUGUGCCGGCAACACGUCCUUUCGCGAGCCGGCAGGCAUUUUAGAACACAAAAAAUGACUAAAAUAUAAUUAAUCUACGCAUGGUCUUGACUUGUUGUGCUCGCACUGGUAGCAGGAACUAGUAGAGGAUUUUCUUUAUUUAUAACUCUGCUCACAUUUUUUUGGCUUUGAACUGAAUCAUGGUUGUGGACAUUAUGUAUGAAUGUGCAGAUAUCUGUGAACAUGAGUUUGAUGUGGAAGUUGAACUUGGAAUGUCGGGCUUGCGCGUGAACUAUACCAUGUCCAAUGCUUCAUCUGUUAUUGUUUGGAAAGUAAUUGUUGUUAUUACAUGACCCGAAAAAAACAUUUUGUGCCACAUCAGUAGAUGCACGGACAUCACAACAAGCAUGCUGACUGGAUAAACAUUUGAACCUAGCUAUUAUGAAGGAAAUUUUGUAUUGAUAACAGUUUUAGAUAGCAGGAGACGCCUAGCCUGCUCUGCCUCUGCUAGCUUAUUUCUGGCUUCUUCCAUCUCUUCUUUGGCUUGGGUGAAGAAAGCAUCUGAUUGCUCUUUUCGCUUCUUCAGGAACUCAGCUACAUUCUCAAGGGCUGCUGCACGCUUUCUUUCAGCCUUUACUAAUGCCACGAGGACACGAACAGCUGACGACUCCACCUGGCUUGUGUGUAAUCCAGCAUCAUCUGGGAAUUUGCACCUUGUGUCUAAUCUAGCAUCAUUAGGGAAAUGGCACCUUGUGUGUAAUCGAGCCUCACUUUGGAAACAUGAUCUCGAGGUUGACCAUACUUCCCUCCUCGCAGGAACUGCAUCCUGACAUGAAGUUACUUCUUUUUUAGAUCAAUACUCAGAGCAACCUAGAUCCAUUUAGUAGAAGCCAGAUAAACAGAACUCGGAGAAGUGAAUUCAACAGGAAAAAUAAAAAAAACAGACUACAAGGUGAGAACACCCACUUCCUACAUCAAGCUAAAAACGAAAGCAUUAGGACGAUUAAGACUCUUCUUAUUACACAUCGAAGAACACCACGCUUAAGAGAAACAGAAACUACAACAUAUACACAUCGAAGAACACGAGGCUACACGAAAGUAAUUGAAAGGGUGUUACUUACCAAAGCUCGUUUUACAGGUUCGGUGCAGCUCCUCUUUAACUUGCCACACUCCUUGAAGAUGUCCCGAAUAUCCCGUGUUUGGUCUUCAUUGCUCCUCUGCAUGUUCGCACUCGUGGUUUUAAAAUCUCAACAUGGCAAGAAAAAUAUAAUACUAGUAAUACUCGCGCAUCUUGUGGGCAACAUUAAAGCACUCGACUGCCAUGUUAGAGCAUCUCCAACAGAAUCGCAACGCGCGGCGCUUUAAAAAGCGUUUACAGUGCUGAGAUCGAGAAGUAGAUACUAGAGAGUAGAGGAUAGUUCUCAGCAUAGAUAGAAAAAAAAAAGAUAAUUCAACUACUCCUCGUCGUCCGACUCCUCCUCGGUGAUGUCCUCCUCUGACGUCUGACUGUAGGCGUGAAGAUACCGAUCAUCGUCGGAUUCCCAGGGCGAUGCUGCUCCUAGCCUCAUGUUGAAUUGAGCGUCCGCUUUUCGCCUAUGCUUGUCCUCGCGAUAGGCGGCUCGCUCCGCCCUCCUUUGCGCGUAGAACUCGCGCUCUUUGAUGAUGUCCUGCGGGAAGUGUUGGCGCCACAGCGCCAUGGCUUCCUUGUCCAUCUCGGCGAUGCCGAGACGGUGCUCCCACCUCUGGUUGUCGUGGCGAUCCUCGUCGGUGCUAAGCCGUGGCAGAGGCGCGAGCUCCUGCGCCCGCUCCCGCGUCAGCACGUUGGGGAAGUUCAAUGUUCUAUGAGGCCACCGGAGGCGCCACAGCGCCGCGUCGUACACGCGGGCGGCCUCGUUGGCGGUGUCGAAAUUGCCGAGGCGCAUCCCGUGGAACUGGAUCUCGGCGGAGAAGCCGCCGGAGGGGCGCACGCGGAUGCCGCGGUAUCCCCAAGUUUCCCGGCGGCGCGGCGGCAUUGUGGCGCGGCGGUGGCGAGGCGAAAAAGAGCUGGGAGAGAGCGGUGGCGAGGCACAGAGCGGGGAGAGAGCGGUGGCAAGGCACAGAGUGGUGGGAGGGCGUUGGAUUUUAUAAAGCGCGCCGGACGCCGCGCGCCAAAACUAGCGCACGCCCGACCGCUUUUUCCCGCGCGCGCGCGAUCCUUUCCCGACGUCUCUGCUAUCUCUACUCUCUUCUCUACCGUUAUAUUUAUUUUAUAUUUUAUAUUUAAUAUUUAUCUCUACUUCCUUUACUGUCUAAUUUUUUUCUCUAUACUUUUUUUCUUGCAAUAUAGGCCGUCUGAUUUAUAUCUGACAGAUAGGAAGGAAACAAAUGGGAAUUUUGCAAAAAGAUACCCAUACCCCUCUCCAGAUUUGCAAAUAAGGCCUUCCCUCGUUCAUCCUUUUCUCCCACAAGAUAAACUACUCAUACAAAUGCAUCUUGAUGCGUGCAAUGCAUGGGCAUCUUGCUAGUUCUAAAAACCUUUCCAUCAUUUGCCACACUACUGGUUGCAGAUGAAAAACCUACCCAAGCACAGCGCGAUACAGGAGUGACGCACAAUUACAAGCUGAUAUUCUGUUGGACAAUGGAGGCUAUAACCAAUUACUUUUACGGGAACAAUAGCACCCAGGAAAUUUGAAGGGUAGGUAUGAACAAAAUUGGAACUGCACAUGUACUGCUAAGUGAUUCAAUACACACAUUACCAAUCGAGGAGGAGAACGAUGGUCGCAGCGGCCUCUGUGAGUCAUGGUCGGCAACGGGAGUCAGUUCAUUGUCCACGACGGUGGUAGUUCUGCGCUUGGCAUCGGCUUCCGGGAAGCAGAUCCGACACCGUGGAAGACGAUGCCGGGGAAGAGGCUCCGUGUACGACGACGACGGUGGACCGGCUCCAGUGCGGCGUACGAGGUCGUCGAUGAGGCAGAUGCGCUGCGGUGGACGAGUGCACCGAUGUAAAGGGGAGGAGCACGAAGGCUGCGGUGCCGUGGAGAAGUCUAUUUUGCGGUGGGGAUAGAAAAUGGGGAGUAUUCAGGUGUACUACUCUGGGUGACGGGGUGAGGUUGGCUGGGUAGGGUGAACCUGAAGUUACGAAAACAGCCCCCUACCAAGCGCCAUUCGUAGGCCUGUUCCGAAGGCUAUGAUGGUAACUUCCCACUGCUCGAAUCAGGGUCGCGGGAGAUUUUCCCGCCGACCUCAAAAUUUUGUGACACUGGACUCCUCGUGUGGCGUGUUGAGUGAUUCGGCUAAGCAACUAGCGAGUAGUAGUAGUAAACUCUGCAUAUUAGGUUUGACCGAAGUCAAACUUCCUAAAGUUUGACCAAGUUUAUAGAAAAAUAUAAACAUUUACCAUAACAAAUAUGUAUGAUGUGAAAGUACAUUCAAUAAUGAAUCUAAUGGUAUUUAUUUGUUAUUGUAUAUGUUAAUAUUUUUUGUUAUAAGCUUUCUGAGAGUUUACAAAACAUGACUUUGACCAAUGCUAAUACGCAGACUUAAAUAAAAACGGAGGGAGUACACAUUUGUUUUCUUAGUUUGUAGUGAACUAAUCAUUUGUUGAAAUUGUGAAAUAAAUAUAUUAGGCUAUUGACUUCGAAUGUAAUGGUCUAUACAAUUCAAUAGUUACAAUCAUUGUCGAAUCCCAGGAUGUAUACAAGGUCUAUAGUACUUCACAACAUGCUCGACUCACACACACACACACACACAAAGUAAACUAGAAGACCGUUCUCUCAUGUAUACACAACGUAUCGGCAUCUGUCUAUGUCUCACUCAUGCAUGAUCAGUUGCACAUUCACACCUCUCUAUGUCUGUAUCACACGCACACCGUCUCCACAUUGCCCUUCCGCCACAACACACAUAUGGACACAUACACAAGUUCUCUCUCAGUCACACACACAAAAUCAGUAUUAAAAAAACUAGGGCGCACCUAAAACGUCCAAAUCCAAAUAAACACGAACUGGAGCUAAAUUCAAAUAUAUGGAAAUGUUGCAGCGUCAAGAACUUUCACAGGAAAAAAAAGUUGAGUAAUAUUCGAGGAUUGUUUUCACACACACACAAAGGUUCGGUGGAUGUCCUUCGAGCGCGACACGGUGACGCACCGUUCGAUCGACCGCGCGGCCGCGGUUCACGCGCUUGCACAGGAUUCCGUAUCAUGGUUGUGGUACUAAUUGAUGAAAGCGAUGCCUACGUCUAAUGUUUACGUGUACUAGUAUGGUUUUCUUUUAAGUUUGACCAACCUUAUAUAUAAAACUAAAGUAAGCUCCCACACGCGCACUCAUCAAUAUGCCGCCGCCGCCGUUGCGCAUGCCGGCGCCCGCCUGCUCCGGCCAACAAUUUCUCGCCCAUCACCGUCGUGUCGCCGCCAUCCCUGUGCCAUGAAGCCGAAGGCUCGCCCGCUCACGUCGUCUGCAGUCCCUCCUCGCGAUGCCGCCGCGCUGCCAAGCACGCGAGCAGCUGGUGGAGCCGCGUCUAUGCACGCUGCGUACGAAGAGGAGGACGAGCGCGUGCUCCAGCACGCCGGCGAGGAGGAACUAGCGUGUCAUUGUCGUCUCCGCCCGCGCGGAGGAGGCGCGCAUGGUGGCUGUCGUGGCGGAAACCGGUCGCGCACGCGUCGAGCCCGCAAACCGGGUGCGGACGCGGAAUCUACCUUCGAGACCUUGAAUGCCACGUGGAUCCUGCAAUCUAAAGGAGCAAUUUGGGUCAGUCAACUCAUGUGAGCCGUUUGAUGCAACAUGGAUGGCUAGAAGGGCUUCUUCCACCUCUUCUGCCGUCUUCUUCCUUCGCUCCGUCGAACUUCUUUCACAAAUCGACUGACCCAAAUUAUACUACUAGUACGAACGUAUUAAGUACAGUAGGAACACGAAGAUACGAGCAGUAGUACCAACUGCAAGAAGAACAGUAGUAAGACAUAGUACUAGUACUACUGUACAUACUAAAGAGUUAAAAUAACGAGAAAGAACAUAAACAUAGUUCUGCUGGGGCCUCAGCACAACACACCCUUGAAAAUAAACUAAGCAACUAGUCCGCUUGACACUGCAGUAGAACUAGCAUGAGCAACGGCACUGCCACCUCCUCGGAGUCCGAGUCCAUGUCCUCGACUUCGUCCUCGUCCCUCUUCCUCUUCCUCUUCGCCGACGCUUCUUUGCUUGAACCGGACACUGGGCUCUGCUUCUUCAUCCAACCCUUGUAGAUAUUUAAACAAAGGUAGGCAUCCAUUGCUGCGUACAGGAUGUGAUCUUCAUCUAAUGUCCUCGACUCCCAUGCAUGAUGAAACUCGUGAUGAGGUUUCUUCAGUUUAGCGUACGAAGGAUCAAUCAUGGUUGCUGCCAGGGUCAGCAUUGAAGGUUGAGAGGAGGACACCAGGCUUGCCUUCUGGAGAUCGAAGGGCUGGCCUACAACGAGACCUAUCCGACGUAGGACAUCCCUGUCGUUCUUAAAGCCUACAGUAACGAAUUUCACUCUUUUGUCCAUGAGGAAGUUCUUAAAAUCCUGGCACUCAACGUCGGCAUGGCAUAUGUGGUAGAUCAAGCAAAUGUUAUGUACGCAAACCUGGAUCACGGUGGGCUUCUUCCUCUCUUCGUCCUUUAAAUCCUUCUCUCGUCCCAGGACUGUGGUGUACUCAACAUCUAGCCCAGCGACCCACUCAUCCGUUGAACUGUUGAACAUGCGUAGGAAGCGAGCAAGCCAUGCUUUCACCGUCUCGGAUCCACGUGUGUAGAUGACGAUGAACUGAUCGCCGGUGAUGGCUCUAACCUGGUACUCAGCGGCGACCAUGGAGAUUUGGGAGGCCAUGGAUUUUGGAGGAGGGUUAGGAGAAGUUGAACUGUUGCACCCCGAAAAAAAACUGGGAGCGAACUAAUGUGAAAGGACGGGACGACUGGGAGCGAACUGUUGUAAGGUAGAAGACGGGGACGAGUAGGGCGUGCAAACGGCGUGGGGUUGCUGGCUUGCCCGGUGGAUAAACGGCUGCAAGCCCCCAAAGAGUUCUCGAGAACUAUGCGGGACCCACUAGAUGUCAUGUCUAGUAGACCCAUAUCGUAGGUCUGACGGUAUAGCUUCUGCCUGUUCGCACGCCAUGCCGGCGCGUGGAUGUAACUUCACUUAAUUCCGUCAACCGUCGCGCCUCCCAUGACCUUUGCCUCCCUCGCGCGAUCGCACCUUUUGAGACUUCGACCGGCUAUAAAUGAGCAAUUUUUUUGCCUUUUUUUUAGACAAGCAAUUUUUUUGCCUACUCCGCAUGCAUGAUACUCCCUCUGGUCCUUUUUAUUCCCGUCAACCGUUUGCAAAGUGUUUGACCAAAUUUAUACUUUUUUUUGAACACCACCUUAUAUUAAUUAACCAGCCACACCAGUACACUCAUUCGAUACAAUAUUCACCACACAGCGCGAUACGUUAUUUACAAGAAUACCAUCUAAUCUAUUGUCAAAGCUAUACUUAGCGAUUAAGUGUGCCACCUUAUUGGCCGAAUGGCUAAUCUUUGACAAUUGAAGAUUGUUGAUCAACUUCGAGAUGCUCAACGCUUUCAUCUUUAGGUCACGCAUAGCAGACCUGUCAUAGUCCCCCGAUGCAAGAGACGCUACCACAAAAGCGCAAUCAGUCUCUAAAAUUACAGGAUUAUGAAGAGAAAUACCUAUGUAGAGACCGGUAAUGCAAGCCCUAAGCUCCGCUUCCUCCACGCUUUGACAGGCAUCAAUGAAAUCCCACAACCAAAUUUAUACUAAAAAUAUCAAUAUCUAUAAUACUGAUUAUAAUGAGUAUAAGAGAGAGAUGAUUAUAGUAACAUAGGUAGAUACCGUAACAUAAUAAAUGUGAUGCUACUAUGUGUCAUGCAUGGCAGUAAAUGAGACCACCUAUGAUACUAAUCUAUGAUACUAUGCACUAUAGAGGUAGUAACAUAGACUAGUAACAUAUAAGUUACUCCCCACUAUGACCAGCCUUAGAGUACCACUACCUCCCUUCUAGUUUAAAGGGCUCGAUUCAAAAAUUUCACCUACUCUUAGCAAGAUAGUAGAGGCGGUGGAAUAGUUUUUGAAGUCUGCAAAAGUACUCAACUAGUGCUGUCGUUCUUCACAAAAAAAUGUGUUUACCAAUGCAUGCAUGAACACUAGUUACUCUAACCCCCCUCUCUUCUUUAAUUCUUUGCCACAUCAACAUGUUUGAUAUUCCCGUGUGCAUGAUACCAGCUAAGAUACCACCAUUAUGGCGAGCCUUAAUCAUCGCAUGCAAUAAUUUAGUGCACCUUGAAAUAUGAACAUGUGUGGGGCGUGUAUGUUUUUAAUGACUUGAGACUAUACCUAGCCCGGCAUGCAAGAUGACUUAUUAUGCACCGUUCCCCAUACCUGCAGGAUAACAAGGUUUUCCAGACCUAAUAAACGUUCAUUGCAAAGAAAUGUUGACCCCGUUCGUCUCCAAAUCUUUUCCUCUCCAUGUGUGGAAACAAUAUUCCUGCCAAACUCUCCUUCUCCCUCCGGCGGUCCCACCACUCCACCCCGUGUGAAAAAAUCUGCAUGCAUGACUCUCCUCCCCCCACGCUCGUCCAAUCUGUUGUGACCAGCAAUAUUUCCACCCCUUCGCUCCCCCGUAAUUUACUCCAACAAAUAUGCCCACGUAGCUGUUACUUAACUGCAGGUGCAUUGGGUCACUGACAUAUGGGCCCAACAGGGGUCUGGCCCACAUGUCAGUGACGCAACUGGACCUACAGUUAAGUCAGUGCAGCUCAGUCCAUACCUUACGUAGGUGUGCCAUUGCUCGCUAUAAAUACUGCGCCUCCCAUGACAUCGCUAUCUCCUCCCCCUCACGUUCACGUUCAUCGCUAUCUCCUCCCCCUCCUUCUCACGUCGACCACCAUGGCAUCGCCCCUCCCAAGCCCUAGGAGCCCCUCGCUGCACCGCGCGGACGGUCACGCGUCGCCGUUCCGUUCCUCGCCGCCACUAGUCAAGGAGGACGCGUCGGUGUUCCCCUCCUUGCCGCUACGCGACGUGCCGCCGUUCCAUUCCUCGCCACCACUAGUCGAGGAGGACGCGUCGGUGUUCCGCUCCUCGCCGCGACGCGUCGAGGUGGAAGCGUUGGCGUUCUCCAUCUCGCCAGCACGCGCGCCGGAGGACGCGUCGGCUCCCCGCUACGAGGAGAACGCCGCGCCGCCCGCCGAGCCCCCCAGCCUUGAGGAGCUUUGGAAAGAAAUGGAUGUCGCCUUGUGGGAGGCUUUGCCUCCAGCAGAGCGCGCCAAAAUAGAGGCAGAGAAGAAGGCCGAGGAAGAGAAGCGCACCGCGGAACAAGCUGCCUGGGAGGCCUAUGUCGCGUCAGAGAGAGUCAGGCAAUUGGCUCUUUGGCAGAAGGCUUGUGCGAGGGCCGUGAGGGUGGCGGAGGAUGCCCGUGCCGACGCCCUGAGUGUAGUCGGGCCCAAGCGCCUCAUCUACGCUUGGCGGUACGUGGACCGGGUGCACGCUUCCAGCGAGGAGGAGUACCUGUUGGUGCCGGAUCACCACACCGGUGAGAUCGCGCUCGCCCGCCGGCAAGCCGCCAAUCAGCACCUCGCGAGUUGCAAGGCUGAGGAAGAGGCGUUGUGUCGGCGUGCUGGGAAACGGCCGCGCACUAGGGCACUCGUGGCGCGCCGUAAGCGCUCCUGCGAGCGCCGUGGCUUUUAGGAGGAGUAUAAUUUUUGUUUCGUAAGGCGAUCUCAUUAGUUUUGGGACGCAAAUGAUAAAUCCCGAACGUUCAGGAAUUUUUAGCGUCCUUAAUUAAGUAUGUAAAAGGGAAUGUUUGGAAACCUUGUGUAUUCGUACGCAUUUUGCAAGUACGUGCAUAUAGCACAAACUUUACUAUAUACUAUCGCACUACACGUCUCUCUCGAUAUAUGCUUGCAGACUGCGCUACUCCCUCCGUCCAGGUCAAUAAGUCAUCUUUGGUUGUGCACCGUGACCAAGAAGGAGGGAAGACUUAUACACCUAGACGGAGGGAGUACUACUAUUACUUAUGUAUGUGCAAAUGCACGUUUUAACAUUACGAUGCGGUUUUUGUAAAAGAAAAAAAUAGCACUAGUCAAGCUUGUGAAACGAUUCAAUGCAAAACAAAUGCAAAAAUGCUCGUUUGAUUGUUUACUUUUAGCUUCCUUCUCUGUGGUUAUUUAUCUGUCGUACUUUGUACGGAGUAUCUCACUGGUUGGAAAGGCAUGCAAAUUCCCAAACCGCUUCCUACACCCUGUAUCGAAUUUUUUGCCUAACAAGUUGUGUCGUGCAAUUGGAAUUCCAACUUGAGUACUACUACUAGUAGGAGUACCAGGGGCCAGUUCUUUUAGGCUUCUAGAUUAGUAAUCCCAUAAGAGCAAGUACAAUAGAGCUGAGUCAGCGGGCUAUAAAAAAUAAACUAGUAUAUUUCUGCUUAGUUGGAGGAAAGAGAAGAGGAGAGAGAAGGUAAGCGGGCUCUUCGUGAAGAGCCAGCUCUAGCACGUGCUCCUAGGCACUUUGUGAGAAUGAGAAGUGGGCCACAUAAUAAAAAAGUAGUACACUCUUUUGAUCUAUUAUUGUACAUGUUGGCUAUAAGAUGGGCUGUAGAUGACAUGGCACUGGCUUAUAGCCAGCAGAUGGCUAUAUUAGUAACCAUGCUCUAACUACUACCUCCGUCCUGGUUUAUUGGUCCCCAUUGUAAUCUGUGUCAAAUUUUGAUCAUAAAUUUAACUAAUGAAAUGUUAGUGCCUGUCACAUGCACUACUCCAUUCGUCUAGGUGAGUAAGUCAUCUUAGGCUGUGCACCGUGACCAAGGAGGAGGAGAAAACAAGAAACGUUAAUGUUUAUUUGCUAAUUAAUAGUAUUGCAUGCAAUGAACUAACCACUGCAUGUCGUGUUUGAUAUCUCAAGUCAUUAAAAGCAUGCACACUCUUUAUCUCUUAUUGGUUGAUAUGUCAAGAAACAAGAAACGAGGUAGAAGUUAAUGCACCGCGCCUAAGUGUUUUGGGAUUAUUUGGUUUUCGUAAGAUGACUUACACACCUAGACGGAGGGAUUACAAUGGUGAGGAAUAAACCAGUUAAAUCUUUGGUCAAAAUUUAGCACAAAUUACAAUGGUGAGGAAUAAACCAGGACAGAGUAGUAGUUUAGAAGCCCAAAUAAAUGAGUGAGGCGCCUUAUUGUUACUCUCCACUCUGACUAGUCUUGUGGGAAAAGCUGGGGAAGCCGCCAAAAGAACUGGCCCUAGGAGUAGUAGCUAGGGAUCGAGUGUGCGAGAUGAACCAGAGAAUGUAAAUGCAGAGAGAUGAAGUGCAAAAAUGACGGAGGGAUGUGAUGGUUGCUUGUCCAUUUAUUUUACCAGGCCACUUAUUACUGGGAGUGGUUAGGUUUUGUGAUAUGAUGGCUUUACUGCCGCGCCACGAGCGGGGUGAGAGGUGAGACUCUCGUGCAGCGCCGCCCUCUACACUUGUACUACAUCGGUCGUGGUUUAUUAGUCCCCCAUUGAAUUUGACUGAAGAUUUAACUGACAAAAUGUUAGUGCAUGUCAACAAAAACUAUAUCGUUGGAUUGGUAUUUGAACAUAGUUUUGAAUGAUAUAAUUUUAGGUGACAUGCAUCAGCAUUUAUCGUUCUAUAUAUAAUGUUAGUUCAAUUUUUGGUCGUACUAAUCUAUAGUAGUAAGGUGCCCGUGCGUUGCACCGAAGAGUGAAAUGCAUUGAUCGGGGAGUUGUUUAUUUUGACAAAGGAUGUGGGGGUCAUCUCAUGUGUAACGGGUAUCGAUAGGUUUCUUCGGAUAUUAUUUCAUCUCUAGAGAUCACAAACAUCUGGGUGAAAUAGAUAAAAAGGUAUCUUUUGCAAACAAAAGCGUUCAACAGUUCAACCUGCAUCCAAAACUUGUGAAGAAAUAACACUUAUUGUGCUUUGCAAGAAAUGAUCUUUAAGAAUUAGUUUUUGAGUAUUGAUUGUUAUACAUGUUGGCUACAGAUGACAUGGCACUUUCUUAUAGUCAACAGUAGGCUAUACUAUUAAGUGAUAUUAACCAUGCCCUUAUACACCUAGACGGAGGGAUUAAAUCAGGAUGACUUGCAAGCGAGCAGAGGAGAUGUAAGAAAUGGUUCAUCGUAAGUCUUUCACCAGUACUGUAGUAAAAAUUCACACAUGGAAGAUUCUAGAAUAAACCAUAAACGGAUACACUUUUAUUCAUGCGCGAUACUCCAAUAGAGCAAGAUCCUGCAUGGAAGUCUCCACAUGCUUAGACAGCGGAUUACAUUGAGUGAAGACUAAUGAUCAACAUUCAACUUGAUAAUGCGUACUUCCAGGUGAACCUCCUUGGAGUCCCCGUGCACCGCGUCGGUGGGUAAAGGAGGCCAUGGGUUUUCCAAGUCCACAUUGACGGGAUAGUCCCAGCUCCCGAGAGUCCAAGUCCGUUCGAUGAGGCCGGUGUCGCCGCCCACGCGACCCGGAGGGGUAGUAACACUGACAACGCACCCGUACAUCGGCUUCAUGUCAGUGUCAGCGUCAGCGGUGUCGCCCCUGACGCACAUUACAGAGACGGGGCGGCGGCCUGCGCGGGCCUCGCCGGUGCCCACGAUCAAGAAGAAGACGCUGCCGUCCUCCUCCGCGACUAGCAGGCGGCGGUGAUCCUCCAGCGACUCCGGCAUGGUGAACGGGUAGCACGUCUCGUACUUGAUGUUCUCCGCUAAGGGCCAGCAGUGACCGCUGCACGCAUCCGUGAGGUGAUGCACCAUGUCCGCCGGCGAGCCACAAAAUGGCAUCGGGCACUCAUAGCAGUGGACGAAGGGCUCCUUGGAGGCAUCGACCAUGCCGUCCAUGAAACGGGAGUGGCUGUAGGGGACGUUGCGCCAGUUGAAUAUAUGAGCAAGUUACUACGAGAUUUAAUCCGAAUAAGCACAAAAUAAAUCAUGACGGCUAUAACAGAGAUGAAACUAAUCAUGUGGACUAGCAUAGUAGUAGGAUACAGAGUAGAAACAUGAAUUCUACCACGAUUUCGAAUAGGAAGGACAGAAACACAUACGGUGCAACGGGAGCAGCACCGUUGGCGUUGAGGUUGUCGGCCAUGUCCAAACACCACGUAGACACGGUCUUUGAGCACGGUUCGUAGUCGUUCCACGCUCGGGCAUUGAAGUUUGUAACUAUUUUAGAUUAGAAUAUACUACUCCUCCAGUGCUAGUAGUAGAGCAGAGUCCUACUCUACUACUCUACUCAAGCAAGUUAGGGCAUAGCACUGUAUGGAGUACCAGUACUGUGAUCACUCAAGCAAGUUGUGUGGCAUCGACAUGACCCUACGCUGCUGGUAUGUGUCUCAUAAGUCAAGCGGCAUGUUGUAGUCAUCAUCACCUGUCCACUUCCAGCAGCACAUAUUCGCUUCUCCAUCUUUGUCCGCACAUAAUCUCGUCCAAUCUUCCAUCCCCGCUAACAAUGGCAGAACCGAGCAGCGUCCGCCGAAAGAGUUGCUGGAAUUCGGUCCCCACAGAGGUAAUCAAGCUCAUUGUUUCGCGUGUGGACAAUCUCAGUACCAUCCCGCUCGCCGCGUGCUCGUCGGGGCUGUACCGUUUACCCAAAGCCCUUAGGCCGGAGCUUUUUAAGCCAGCUCCUUGCUUGCUGAUGCCGCCUGAUCUUCAGAAACAGCGUGUCACGCAGCAUAACGAUCGUAGGGUGGCGAGCAUCAACCCCCUUGACUGCGAUCCGAUCCCCGUCAGCCUCAACUACAUUAACGCUAUGUACUGGGUCGGCAUGAACACGUCUUGGAUGGUGCUCGUCGACGGUCGCGGCACCUGGAUGCUCGUGGAGGUCUACACCCGGCGAUUGAUUCCCCUUCCUUCGAUUAACACUGCACUGCUUUGGCACCGCAGCCUAGAAUACUCGGAAUCUUACAGUAGCCAACAUGAUACCAAGUUUGAUUUGCUCAAGAUUGUAAUCUGCCAAGUGCCCACAAGAUCUGCGAAUUAUAAAGACUUCAGGCAAAUUGUGUUCUUCAACCGCGGUCUCGCCUAUCUGACAGGUCACUACGGUAAGUGGAUAAAUCUGCACGUCCAUCGAAGGAUCAUACAUCCUCCAUGGUUCUCUGAUGCCAUUGAACACAAGGGCUUCAUUUACGCUGUCGACUCCUUCAAUGGCUAGACAUAUUGCUGGCCUACUCCAGUCAUCGCUACAAACGGCUGUUACAGCAGUAUGUUACUUUCCUAUGAUAUCAUGAUGGCUUGCUUAUAUUACUGUCAACAUUUGCUGAAAAAAUAUUCAUGCUCAUAACAUGCUGUUCUUAAGAUUGACUAAAUCAAGAGCCCUUUUUUAUUUGACUCCAACUUGAUAUGAUGUUGUAGGCCGCCUGGUGUCCCUACCCUUCCUAAUCCCAGAACCUUUCAAAGAAAAGCGGCAUGGCAGUUGCAGGUGGUUUCUGGCUCGAUCAGACGACGGUGAAAGAUUGAUGAUCGUUCGCACGUACCGGACUUGUUGUUUCGUGGAAUACAAUCACAGUCACUGCAAGGUCUUUGAGCAGGAUCCCAGCUUCUCUGGGCCUUCAGGAAUUUUUGACUGGAGGCUGGUAAGUAGCCUUGGUACACGCUCUCCGUUUGUCGGGCUGAAUUAUCCGAUUAACCACGUGAUAACCGACGGCAAGGAUCAUGAUGGAAGCGCGGUUUCGUUCAUCAGGCAAAACUGUGUGUACACAGCGUACCAUGCGUCUCUGCAUGCACCAUACCCUGAUAUGUGCCGCCACGCUCUGCAGCCCAAAGUAGGAGAGAGGGUCGCAAGUAUCAGACUUCGACCUACUGGUUGGAGUUUCCCCCAUCAGGCACCCAUCUGGUUCAAGCCGUCAGCCAAUCUCCACAGCUUAAUAAAUAGUAACGUCUAACUGAGCCAGUUAGUUAGAUGCAUACACUUGGUGUAGUAGGAUCUUUAUUUAGUUUGAGGCAUACACUUGUUCUUUUUUGGUAGCCCUUUUGUAAUGAUGGCUGAUGUUUGGUUUGGAAGAGAGAGCUGCAUCUUCACUCUUCUGGCCUACUUACUGCUUCUGUUGCACCCCCAGCCCUGGUUGCUGCUGCUGCUGUUUUCAAUGUACAAUCAGUAGUAUAUUUCGUCUGUUGGUUGAAUAAAUGUGUUGUUAGAACGACAAACACAAUGUUUUGGAAGUCGUUGCACGGUUCGAUCCUUUAGUGCCCCGUACCGUACGUAGCGCAUACUAUUUUUCGUACGGAACACAUUUUCCACUUGUUGAUAACAUGCAGCCCACUGAUGAAGGCCCAAUAGAGAAGCCCAUAAUUAAUUGGAAGGGAGGCUCUCACAUGAAUCCGGCCCAGGUACAUGCUCAUGGUCCCCUAAACAUAAAUAAGUAAAUAAAUAAAGCUAAAUGCUCAUGCACCAGUUCUUUGGGAAAAUAGGUAGCCCAGUAUUUCUUUUUGAAGAAUACCCAAGCUAGGCCUAUUUGUUUUCUCCGAAUUACUGGGCUGCAAAUCUUUCAAGACGAGGAGAGAUGCAUUCCGGCCUGGCUUAAGAGUAUGGUCAAUGUCUGUUAAAAGUAAUAUCAAAAGGGGUUGAAAAUUGCAAAAAAAUUAUAGCAAAUGGGAUAUAAGUUUUUUUUUGUUUUUGUUCUUCACUGAUAUCUUAUACGUAUUUCAUUGGAUUUAACAUGACAUAGUACUAAUUUAUUUUUAAAUUUUUUUUAGUAUGGAUAUUAAUUUUUGGAUUAAGAAUAUUCCGUUCCCCAGCAAAAAAUUGCGAAUUUUCAAAAUUUCCCACAUAUUUAGUUAAUUUUUUUACCCUGGUACUGACCAGAAAAUGGCCAGCAAUUCUAAAAAUGGAAAACAGGCUGCAAUAAAUUCCAUAUGAAUUAGAAAAUGAGUAAAAAUUAUAAAAAUAAUAGCAAAUGGGUUGUACACGCCACAGAUUUCGAGGCUGACUUGUUUACGCAAGGCUUUGUCAGUGAACACACGAUUCUAGCAGCAGUGACUGCUGGAUGUCCAUCCAACGGCCAACGUGCUUCUUCAAUCUCUGAUCUUCCUGCUCCAGCCGCCUAAACUAGCGCCGGCGGGACUGCCUGCUCCCUCCUCUUGUGGCUCGCUGUGAUGCCGCGCAGGCUUCCCCGGCCCACCCUACUCCCUCCGCUGGCCUGGCCGCACGCAAUCAACUGCCUCCUUAUUACGUGAAAAAAAAUGAUUCCUCCCACUGACAUCAGGGGCGCACUGGUUGGGAGGCUGACCUGUGGGCCUACUAAGUUACACGUAAGCAGGGCUUGUCAACUUAGUCAACAAACAAUUCUAGCAGCAGUAACCGUUGGAUUUGAAUCGAAUGGUCCUGCUGCUUCUUCAGUCAUUGCUCUUCUUGUACCAGCCACCCAAACCAGCGCCGGGGAGACCGCCUGCUCCUGGCUCCAGUGGCCGGCUGUGCUGCCGUUGAGGCCUCAUCGCCCCCUACUACUCCCACCGCUAGUCAGGCCCUGCGGCGACGGCAGCCUCACACCGCGGCCGAACCAGUGAACCCUCGUACUCCUCUCCAUGUGGGCAUCCACUGCCGCGUCUUCCCCGGCUCCGCGUCGUCCCCUUCCUAGGCCUCGCCGUCGUCCACCGCCUUGGUGCUCUCGGCGCGGCGUGGUCAACGUGGUCAACGACAUUCCAUCGGAAGAGUACUGUACGUGGAGAGGCUGACAGCUGGGUCCAUAUCCACAGCCCAGUUUUUUGUGAUUUGCCAAGUAAGUCGCUUUGUCAGGCCUGUUGGGCUGCAAAUCUUCAAGACGAGGAGAGCUUUCAUUCGGCUGGCCAAAAAAAUGGCCCAUCAGUAAUGAGAAAUGGGCUGUACAUUUUUAAAACACAUCAAACCGGCAAUUAGUUUCAAAUAUCUUUUUUUUCCAUUUCGAGAUUUUAAAUUACAUUAAUUUUUAUGCAUGGAGAAUUUGUUGGAUUUUAUAUUGAUAUACAUUUAUUUUUAAAAUCAGUUUGAAUGUGAGUCGAAAUUUCGGGAUUAAAAACAGUUCGGACCGCACCGAAAUAUGCAAAAUUUCGUAUAAUUUUUUAACCGUGGCCGCAAUAUGGCCUGUAAUGCUAACAAAAAGAAUAUGGGCUCCAAAAAAACCUUAAUAAUUAGCAAAUGGGAUGUAAAUUAUUAGAAAUAAUUGCAGAUGGGUUGUAUGCUAUUUUCCAUAGAUUUGAGGCUUUCCUAAAAAAAACGUUGACACACAAGCACUGACUGUUGGAUGUCCAUCCAACGGCCGUCGUGCUUCUUCAAUCUCUGCUCUUCCUGCUCCAGCCGCUCAAACAAGCGCCGGCGGGACUACCUGCUCCCUCCUCCCCGCGGCCAGCUCUGCUGCCGCGCAGGCCUAACCGCCCCACCGUACUCCCAUCGCUGGCCUAGCCAUCCCUCUACUCACCCACACCUGCUGUUAUUCUCCGGCGACGGCAGAUGAACCAGUAAACCCUCGUACAGUCGUACUCCCCUCCGCGUGGGAAACAACUGCCGAGUCUUCCCUGCCUCCGUGUCCUUCCCUUCCUAGGUCUCGCCAUCGUCCACCGCCCUGGUGCUCUCGGCGCGGCCUGGUCAACAUGGUCAACGACCGACAUGCAUCUGAAGUGGACUGUACGUGGAGAGGCCGACAGCUGGGUCCACAGCCACACGCAAAGAAAUGCCUCCUUAUUACGCGCAAAAUAAUGAUUCCUCCACCUGACAUCAGGGACCCACCGAAAGGGCCUCUGUAUUUCACGAAAAAAACAUUACCGCCGCUGACAGCUCGGACCCACCAGCUAUAUCUUCGCACGCAAGGAAGUGCCUCCUUAUUACGCACAAAAAAAUGAAUACUCCCCCUGUUAGCUGGGACCCAGUAUAGUGGCAGGCUGACUUGUGGGCCUACUAAGUGGACGGGGACGGAGGGCUUUGUCAACUUAGUCAAUAUGCACGAUUCUAGCUCCAGUGACCGUACGAUGUCCAUCCAACAGCUGUAGUGCUUCUUCAACCUCUGGUCUUCUUGCUCCAGCCGCCCAAAGCAGCGCCGGUCGUGCCGCAUGCUCCUGCCUCUCGUGGCCGGCUGUGCUGCCGCGGAGGCCUCAUCGCCCCCUACUAUUCCCACCGCUGGCCAGGCCCUGCGGCGACGGCAGCCUCACACCGCUGCCGAACCAGUGAACCCUCGUACUCCUCUCCGCGCGGGCUUCCACUGCCGCGUCUUCCCCGGCUCCCCGUCGUCCCCUUCCUAGGCCUCGCCGUCGUCCACCGCCCUGGUGCUCUCGGCGCGGCGUGGUCAACGUGGUCAAGGAAUGACUUCCAUCGCAGCAAGUAAGUGCCUCCUUAUUACGCGGAAAAUAAUUAUUCCUCCACCUGACAGCUGGGACCCACCGGACGGGCCACUGUAUUUCGCGAAAAAAAUGUUCCCCCCUGACUGCUGGGACCCACCAGCUACAUCUUCGCACGCAAGCAAGUGUGUCUGGGCAAAAAAACGAUUCGCCCCCUGACUUCUGGGACCCACCAGCUACAUCUUUGCAGGCAAGGAAGUGCCUGACAGUCGGGACCCACCUGGUCGAAGCGUACGUAGCGUUGUCAUUCUGGUCGCGAACGUGUACGUACAUAUAUACUGGUGGAUGUAGAGGCACGCACGUGUCGUAGUAGAGGCGCGUACGUGUCGUAGUAGAGGCGCGCAUGUAGCAUGUACACGUACGUACAACGGCCAGGGUGCAAGAAAGAAAAUACGUCCACGUAUGUGUACAUACAGGCGGGGUCUCGAAUGCCUACUCGCGCGUACGUACGGCCAGGGCUCGUGUACAUGGCUGGGUCGGAACGGAAUGCAUCGUCGUGUUCAUCGGGAGGGCUUGGACGGAAAAGCCGAUGGAAACGAGGCCUGGCAUACCGCAGAACAGAGGAAACAGCCUUGUGUUCGACCGGCCAUGUUUGAAACGGGAUCCUGUUCAUCGGGAGGGGUCUGGCGUACCGCAAAACGGAGGAAACGGACCUCCUACAGUCGAAACGGGGGUCCUGUUGAUCGGGAGGGGUGUGGUGUACCGCAAAACGGAGGAAACGGACUUGUGUUGGAGCGCUACGGUCGAAACGGGGGUCCUGUUCAUCGGGAGGGGUGUGGCGUACUGCAAAACGGGACUCCACGGGAUACUGUUCAUCUCCACCGUCGACCUCCUCCAGCCUCCAUGAGCUACUGUUCAUCCACCGUCGACCUCCUCCAGCCACCACCUGCGACUGUUCAUCCACGAGCUCCUGUUCAUCCAGCCUCCACCACGCGCUACUCCACCGGCUACUGUUCAACCAGCCCUCUCCACAGGCUCCUGUUCAACCACCCCUCCACGGGCUACUGUUCAUCCAGCCCUCCACCGUCUACUGUUCAUUCUGCCCUCCACGGGGUGGUCCUGUUCAUCCAGCCCCAACCGGCUCGAUCGAUCGGGGUCUUGUUCAUCCAGAGGCAACACCACGGGGUCCUAUUCAUCCAACCCCACCGGGAACUGUUCAUCCAAACCCCCCCCCCNNNNNNNNNNNNNNNNNNNNNNNNNNNNNNNNNNNNNNNNNNNNNNNNNNNNNNNNNNNNNNNNNNNNNNNNNNNNNNNNNNNNNNNNNNNNNNNNNNNNNNNNNNNNNNNNNNNNNNNNNNNNNNNNNNNNNNNNNNNNNNNNNNNNNNNNNNNNNNNNNNNNNNNNNNNNNNNNNNNNNNNNNNNNNNNNNNNNNNNNNNNNNNNNNNNNNNNNNNNNNNNNNNNNNNNNNNNNNCCCCCAGCAACGCUCACUGUUCAUCCAGAGGCAGCAUCGAUCGGCUUUAGUUAGCAGCAGUAGUGAAGGAAUCGCUCGAUCGGGUUCAGUUAACAGCCAUCGAUCGAUCGCUCGGGUUCAGUAACGCGUAGCCUACAGUGCAAUCGCUCGGGUUCAGUUAGAGCCCAACGCCUCGCUCGAGUUCAGUUAGAGCCAACGCCUCGCACACACGCGCGUACGUGUACGAGAGAAACGUGCAUCGCUCGGCCCCCGACCUCCCACCGUAACCGGGAACUCCCCGAAAUUUUCCUCGCCCUUGCUUCUACCACGGUUUUUUCCAUCAUGGACGGCCCAAAGAAUGUCAUGCAGCUGCGUCUCUGGCCCGCCCAGGACGAAAAGCCAAUUUUCUAUCAUGAUUUUUUGUCAUAGAAGUAGGAGCCCACCACAUCUAUGAUGAUAGCGGGUUUUCUCACAAUUAUCGUCAUAUGUAUGACAGAAAAAAAAUUCGUUUGGCCCAAAAUGUCACGGAUGUGUCUUUUUUUUGUAGUGUCGAGACGCACCGGCGUCUCAAGGAAAGGCUCGCCACCAAGGAGGAGGAGCUCCGUGCCGCGGCAGGUACUUUUCUUGCAUGCUCUUUUAUAGUGGGGGCGCGCUAGCGCACCCACUUGGUGUAGCACCCGAGAUUCGGGCCAAUUACGUAGCAGUUGGGUCGAAUCUUAGAGUAGUACUUUGUUUCUGAGUUUCUCUUCUGCAGCCGAGGUGCUAUCUUGGAGGACCCGGCUGAUUUGGGCCGGCUUUCAUUACGACCGGCUUGUAGCAAACGUCGGUCGACUUGGAGCCGAGGUAGAGAGGGCAAGGGCAAAGGCGACGGGUGCCCGGCGAGUGCUCGACGAAGCCAGCCAGCUGCAGGAGCAGCUGGCGGGUGACAAGGGCCGCCUCAAGGCCAAGGUGGAGCGCCUCAAGGCGGAGGUCGCCAAGGUUGUGGAGGCACAGCAGGCCCUUGCCGAGGCGGACCAGCAAUGUGGCAAGCUGGCCGACGACAAGGGGCAGCUCCAGGCCGAGGUGGAGCGCCUAAAGGUGCUGGUGGCCACGGGGAAGGAGACCCGGCAGGUGGAGACCAGGCGCCGCGAGGAGGCCGUGAAGGUGGCCGAGGACAAGGACGUCGAGCUGAAGGCGACCCUUGCCAAGGUCGCCGAUCUGGAGAAGACGCUCCAGGAGCAUGACCGCACCAUCGUCCGGGUGCGGCGCGGUACGUUGCUCGAAGCGCAGCACCUGGAAGAGUCCUUCUCCAAUAAGUGCUUUCCUUUGGUUUUGUUGUUGCCGAGUUGGGACUCCGGCUUCUUGUUCUUGGUGACUUUUCUUCUGACUUGCUUUUCUUUUCGACAGGGGCCUUCCCGGAGACCCGCCAGCUGGCGGAGAAGGCGGUCCGUUUUUAGCGCGACCCACAGGGGAUCGUCAGUUCCGGGACUGACCCGCGGGUGGCCUGGACCUUCUCGGAGAUCGUGACAGCCGCCGAGGCCCGUCUGCGAGUCUUGUGCGAGCAGAUGGGGCGGUUUUCUGAGGCUGGUGCGGCGAUGACGGCGGCCCUCUGGCCGGGUUCCGUUGCGCCGAACAGCUUCAUGCGGCUGGCGCGGUGGUUGGAGGCGAGGUCGGAUCGUCUCCAUGACUGGCGGGUUUCCGCCGCUCAUGCUGGCGCCGAAAUGGCGCUCAGGUUCGUGAUGUCUUGGCAUCUGGACCUGUCGCUGGACGCGUUGAUGGGCCAGUGAGCCGGCUCGAAGAGCCAGCUGCAGGCGGAGGCCGGCCGGAUUACUGCUCGGGCCAGCUUCAUCGUCGGGUUUGCCUUCCACGACGAGUUCCGGCCAGAGCGGGCGGAAGAUGGCGGAGUCGUGCCUGCUGACGACUACGGCUUGCUUCUGGACGACCCGGAGGGCAGCUCUGAGGAGACGGACGUCUACCGCGACGCGGACGCUGGGGAGGAGGAUAGCGGCACCUCAGUGGACCCGGGAGCUGCGUGAUCCGGCGACGGGAAUGCCUGAUUUUUAACUUAGUAAAAAUUUCUGUUCGGUAGGAGGUCCACCCGCCCACUGGGGGUUAACUGGGUGUAAUGAACUCCGGCCUUGGGCCUGUUUCUGAAUUUAUGAUGUACGAGCAUCGUGAAUGUUUGCGCCUUUGCUUUUCAUUUUUUGGAGCCGUUUUCUUGCAGCUUUCCCCCUUUGGGUUUCCCCCGCGAGUCUGACGGCCGAGGCUCCGGUCCGUGACAAGGGGUUCGGCCUUUGAGAGGAGCAUACAAUACUUAGGCUUUCGAAACGUUGAGCGCGAGCGAAACACCCACUGGGCCAGCUGGCGGCAAUCCGGCGGGGCCGGGUUGGCGAGCAGCCGGUCGUGUGGCAACUUAAAGUGGUGAGGCCGGGUUGAGUGACCCGGCGGUAUGCAGAAACUUUGUGGAUGUCUGCCCCUUUGCUUUUCGUCUUUGGAGCCGUUUUCUUGCAACUUUCCCCCUUUGGGUUUCCCCCCGCGAGUCUGACGGCCGAGGCUCCGGUCCGUGACAAGGGGUUCGGCCUUUGAGAGGAGCGUACAAUACUUAGGCUUUCGAAACGUUGAGCGUGAGCGAAACACCCACUGGUCCGGCUGGCGGCAAUCCGGCGGGGCCGGGUUGGCGAGCAGCCGGUCGUGCGGCAACUUAAAGUGGCGGGGCCGGGUUGGGCGACCCGGCGGUUCUUGACUUAUUGUUCCCGGCGUGCUGGUGCUUUGGUCUCAUGUGCUUGCCGGCCAGCAGCCGAAGCCGGUUCUGCGGCUUAGGGCGAAGCGAGAAGCCGUGGCGAUCCAACGCGUCAGGAGCUGCUAAGGGGAAUGGCGGGUGGCCAAGCCGGCCAGCCCCCGAGCUCCCGGGUCGAGCGAGCCAGCCCGGUGGUCGGGAUGGUUUAAGAGGAAAGUAAUGCACAAAUGUAGGAGACACAAUAGCUUUGUCGGGAAAGGGUAGCCCCCGAGCGGCGUUCGGGGGUCCCAUGGUUUUUAGAUGAUUACAAAAGGCAGCGAUACAUACGUGCAUAUGGCUAACUGUAAAACACGUGGAGGAGUUCUGCGUUCGACGGCCGGGUUGUUUCUUCGCCGGCGGUGUCUCUCUUGCGCUUGUUUGACUUGCGGGCGUCGAUGAGGUAGUACGUGUUGCGAUCGCACAAGGCCUUGCUGACGAUGAAGGGGCCCUCCCAUGGGGGGACCGCUUAUGUUGGCCGGUCUGCUCUUGGACGAGCUGGAGGACGAGAUCUUGUCGGAGUAAAUGGCCACGGGUCCCCCUAGCUCUUUGAAAAAUUAUCAGGCCGAUCGGGCCUUCAAGCAUCCAAAACACAGGGUCGCCUUCCCCUGGUCGGCUAUCUCACAGGCCGACUACCAGAAGGCGACCCGACCUCAAAAGCCUUCCCGAAGAUAACCAUAAGAUGGCCGACUCCCAGAAGCCGGUCAUAAGAAGACCGACUCCUAGAAGCCGGCCACAAGAUAACCGAUUCCCAGAAGCCGGCCGCAAGAAGACCGACUCCCGGAAGCCGGCCAAGACUGCACCCUCAAGGGCUGCACCCACAUAACGGUGAUGAGACGGGGCGUGGCCACAGUACAGCCUGCCACCCCCGAAUUCCGGAGCACGCAUGGCCACAGAGCGCCGUACGGGUCAGCCAUCCCCCGUCCGGCGCGGCACUGUUGCCAUGUUGCCGUGACGCCAUCCACGACAGGCGCCAGUACGGCCCGCGGGCGGCGGGCCCCUUCAGCCAGAGAGAUGCUCGAAGGCGGCCAGGCCUCCCCUAGUCGGCCUGGGGCAUAGUCGGCUCCCAAUAGCCGGCUACCUCCCUCCCUCGAAGUAUGUGCAUCAUUAAGGAGACAAGACGAGGUAAGGCUACAGUGAAAGCCCGCCAGGCGGCGGCACUGUAGCCAUGCUUACCUCGACAAAGCCCUCGUCAUCAGGGGCGAGGCAAUAGUAACCAGACACCGACAAGACCCCCGGGCGGUGGGCCGGCCUGUCGGCCAGGAGGCCGGCAGCCGGCGGGACCUACUAGUCGGCGGGCCCCAACGGCCGGCGGAGAAGCCGGCGAACACAGACACUGACGGCUGGGACCCGCGCCCAGCCGGAUUACCAUUGUAUCCCUAGGGGGUAGGCCUAUAUAAACCCCCCCAGGGCACCCAUGCAAAAGGUUGAUCUCUGAGAUAGUUUUACACACCACAUAGAGAGAAGAGGAGAGCUGCCUUUCUUCCUCCUCUAGCCAAACAGCUCAAGGAGCACUUGUAGCUACUUGUGUUGAUCUAGUGAUCAUGCGGAGACCCCGCAAAGCAAGAUUAGGGGUGUUAUCUCCACGGAGAGCCCCGAACCUCGGUAAGAUCCGCCGGCGUGCAUGUCUUCGCCUUAUCCCGUUUCCAGGCACCGGCGAUGUCUUACUGGCUCCCACAAUGAUAAGCCACCCGUUGGCAUAUGUCGCACCUACCACCCGACAUUAGGCGCCCACCGUGGUGUGGUACUACUACUAUGCUACCACGCUGCCGCUGGUUUCGCAGUCCGGGUGGGACCAUCUUCGCCAUCACCGCCCUGGCGUCGCGCCGUCUCUCCGGUAGCGCUCGGGGGCUCGACUUCGACCCGCCCCCAGAGCGGCCGCGCGGGACGACGCGUCCUCGUCACCGGCCUCACCGCCUUCGUCAUCAUCACCGUUGCAACACCGAUCGUCCGUCCGCGCACGCGCUGCGCGUGCGGUGCCUCGCUUCGGUCGGCCGCAUCCGUGCGCGUGUCGUGCCGCGUCACUCGCGUCUGCUCCCCUCCGCGUUGUGCGUUGCUCCGGCUGAAGCGCGCGUUUGCCACUCCAUAUCUCAUCUAUGCAAGCAAGCUAGAUACAAGUCAAACCAUGGUCAAACCAUUAGCCAAACACCACCUAUGCAUUACUCAGACGAUGCCCAUGCACUGCUUGUACACUGGCCAGAGGCAAAGCCAGACAAUGCUUAUACGAUGGCCAGAGGCAAAGCCAGACAAUGCUUAUACGAUGGCCAUCCACCACCCAGAUAUUGCUCGGAUAAUAGUCAGAUACCCCCACACAAUGCCUAGACUAUGGCGUUGCUUGUUGCUCACUAUGCCUCGUGCAUCUCCAGCCAUCCUCGCACGCGCUGGCUCCCUCCUCGCGCGCCUCCAGCCUCCUCUACGCUCGGCCCGCCCGGACCGCGCUGUGCUCUGCGUCCGGCUCCACGCCUCCGUCCCGCUCCGCGUGCCGCGCCUCCAUCCGGCUUGAGAUGCGCUGGCUCCGCUGCGCCACGCCUGCGUGUCGGCCUCGCGUCGCUGAGCCCCGCUCACGCCCGCAUCCCUGACGCCUCCGUUCCCUGCCUCCAUGUUGCUACGCCCUUGCGCACGCGCCGACUCGCCAGCUCCCGAGCGCGCUCGCCCCGCUCCGCCAUCCGUGCGACGCGGCCGCCGCCUCCCCGCGUGACCCGGCCCCUUGCUGGCUCCUCCCGCCGGCUUCCGCGCCGGCUCCUCCCUCCGCCUCCCGCGUGACCCGGCCGCUCGGCCGCCUCGGCUUCACCCAGGCCCAUCGCUCCUCGAGUCGCCGAGUCCUCCUCCCGCCGUCUCCCAUGCUCCGCCGUCCGCGCGACCCGGCCGCCGCCUCCCGCGCGACCCGGCCGCCCGCUCGUCGUCCCCGUGCUCGCCUCUACCGCUCUUGCGCCCAGCUCCUGCGCUGCCGCGCCCCAUGGCUGCCUUCGCCGCUAUCGCGCCCCGCCGGCCCCUCCGCGUCCCAGCCACCGGCUCGCCCGGGUCCCCGGCGCCGCCCCGCGCCUGGCCGGGUCCGGAUUCGCUCGCCCCAAGCCGGCUCCGGGUCGCCGCCCGCGCCUGGCCGGGUCCGGCUCCGCCCGCCCCAAGCCGGCUACGGGUCGCCAGCCGCGCCUCAUCUGCGGUUGCCCUGCUGCUCGGGCUGAAGAAGAAGCAAAGAAACAAGGACAGAAGAAAGAGCCGGAUCCCGCUCGAGCCGCCUGCUAUGGCCGGCACCUGGAGAAAAAAAGAAAAAAAAGAGAGAGAGAAAAGAGAGGGGCCGGUUGGUUCAGCACAGUGCGUCGGCUGAAGCAAAGAGAAAAGAAGUGGCCGGGUGCCCAGCCGGCUGACUGGAGAAAAAGAAAAAAAAGAAAUAAAAAAUGUGCGUCCGAAUGCCAGAUGUGCGUCCGACCUCUGGCUGCAUGGCCGGCUGCAAAGAGCCCGACUGUUGUGCCGGGGUUCGCCCGCCCAGCCGGCUGAAGAAGAAAAAGAAGAAGACAAAGUAGUUGCCGGGAGAUCCGGCCCGACUACUCAGCAGUCGGCCCGAAUCUCGGGGGCUACACCCAGCGGGUGCGCUGACGCGCCCCCGCGAAGAAGAAGACAAAGUAGUUGCCGGGAGAUCCGGCCUGACUGCUCAGCAGUCGACCCGAAUCUCGGGGGCUACACCCAGCGGGCGCGCUGACGCGCCCCCGCGAAGAAGAGGACAAAGUAGUUGCCGGGAGAUCCGGCCCGGUUGCUCAGCAGUCGGCCCGAAUCUCAGGGGCUACACCCAGCGGGUGCGCUGACGCGCCCCCGCGAGGAAGAAGACAAAGUAGUUGCCAGGAGAUCCGGCCCGACUGCUCAGCAGUCGGCCCGAAUCUCUGGGGCUACACCCAGUGGGUGCGCUCGCGCGCCCCCAUGGAAGAUUGCAAGAAACAAAAACAAAAGAAAGAAAAGGGCGCUGCCAGACGCCUCGCCGCCUGGCCGGUCAGGCCCGACCGGCUGGACCCUCCUCAAGCGCCUAGAGGCUCGAGGGCUACACCCAGCGGGUGCGCCGACGCGCUCCGCGAGCGCCGGCUAUCUUCAACGACCUCCGCCUCGGCUACACGAAAAUCAAUGUGAGCUCCUCACCCGCAUAUUUUUUUCACCGCGAGAGCACGGAUAACCCUGAGCGAUGCUCGGGGGCUAUCUCCGCAUUUUAUUACAGUUGCAGCACUGUUCGCCCCGGCGCCAGCCAGAGUUGGCCCGGGGGCUGGCCGCUUGGCCUGAGACGUUUGUUCCCGCAGACGGCUUAGUAGCGUGCGCGGUACCAAAGGCCCACUCUUAGUCAUAGACCGCAGAGCGGCUGUCCGGCUAGCAAGAGUGAACGCUGGAGGCCACCACGCGAAAGACGUCAGGGAAGAAAAAUGGUUCGGGCGACCCGGCCGUUUCCUUUACAAGUAUCUGCUCAGUCGAAUCUGCCCUCAGACUCUGAGUACUGUACACUCCACUCCGCGGCCACGGGUAGCCUAACCGACUCCCCUGCCUCUUUGAAAAAUUAUCAGGCCUUCAAGCAUCCAAAACACAGGGCCGCCUUUCCCUGGUCGGCUAUCUCAUAGGCCGACUACCGGAAGGCGACCCGACCUCAAAAGCCUUCCCGAAGAUAACCAUAAGAUGGCCGACUCCCAGAAGCCGGCCAUAAGAAGACCGAUUCCCAGAAGCCGGCCACAAGAUGACUGACUCCCAGAAGCCGGCCGCAAGAAGACCGACUCUCGGAAGCCGGCCAAGACUGCACCCUCAAGGGCUGCACCCACAUAACGGUGAUGAGACGGGGCGUGGCCACAGUACAGCCUGCCACCCCCGAAUCCCGGAGCAUGCAUGGCCACAGUGCGUCGUACGGGUCAGCCAUCCCCCGUCCGGCACGGCACUGUUGCCAUGUUGACCGUGACGCCAUCCACGACAGGCGCCAGUACGGCCCGCGGGCGGCGGGCCCCUUCAGCCAGAGAGAUGCUCGAAGGUGGCCAGGCCUCCCCUAGUCGGCCUGGGGCGUAGCCAGCUCCCAAUAGCCGGCUACCUCCCUCCCUCGAAGUAUGUGCAUCAUUAAGGAGACAAGACGAGGUAAGGCUACAGUGAGAGCCCGCCAAGCGGCGGCACUGUAGCCAUGCUUACCUCGACAAAGCCCUCAUCAUCAAGGGCGAGGCAACAGUAACCAGUCACCGACAAGACCCCCGGGCGGUGGGGCUAGCCUGUCGGCCAAGAGGCCGGCAGCCGGCGGGACCUACUAGUCGGUGGGCCCCAACAGCCGGUGGAGAAGCCGGCGAACACAGACACUGACGGCUGGGACCCGCGCCCAGCCGGAUUACCAUUGUAUCCCUGGGGUAUAGGCCUAUAUAAACCCCCCAGGGCACCCAUGCAAAGGGUUGAUCUCUGAGAUAGUUUUACACACCACAUAGAGAGAAGAGGAGAGCUAGCCUUGCCUUGCUUCCUCCUCUAGCCAAACAGCUCAAGGAGCACUUGUAGCUACUUGUGUUGAUCUAGUGAUCAUGCGGAGACCCCGCAGAGCAGGAUUAGGGGUGUUAUCUCCACGGAGAGCCCCGAACCUGGGUAAGAUCCGUCGGCGUGCAUGUCUUCGCCUUAUCCCGUUUCCAGGCACCGGCGAUGUCGGGCGUGCAUGUCUUCGCCUUAUCCCGUUUCCAGGCACCGGUGAUGUCUUACUAGCUCCCACAAUGAUAAGCCACCCGUUGGCAUAUGUCGCACCUACCACCCGACAGAUAUCCUUCCCGAAAAUCGAGGGGCUUGACCUUCUUGCUGUGGUAGUGCCUCGGGCCUUGCUGGUAGAUGGCUAAGCGGUUGAGCGCUAGGAGACGUGCUUCUUCGAGCAGGUCGACACCGUCUUUGCGGGCUUCCUUGGCUUCGGCUUCCGUGUACAUCAUGACGCGCGGCGAGUCGAACUCGACGUCGGUCGGGAUGACGGCUUCUGCUCCGUAGACGAGGAAGAACGGGGUGAACCCGGUCGACCGAUUCGGCGUUGUUCGGAGACUCCAGAGCACGGCCGACAGCUCGUCGAGACAGCUGUCGGGCGACCGGAUGAGCGGCUCGACAAGCCAUGGCUUGAUGCGGGAUAGGAUGAGGCCGUUGGCCCCUCGACCUGGCCGUUGGACAGUGGGUGCGCAACGGAAGUCGGGUCGAGGCGGAUGCCGGAGACGGAGCAGUAUUGCGCUAGCGCGCGUUUGGCGAAGUUGGUGUCGUUGUCCGUGAUGAUGCUGCUCGGCAUGCCGUAGCGUACUGCGAUGUCCUUGAUGAGUCGGACGGCCGUUGGCUCGUCCAAUUUCUUGAUUGGCCUCGCCUCGAUCCAUUUGGUGAACUUGUCCACCGCCACCAGCAGAUGCGUCAUGCCGCCUCGGGCAGUCUUAAAGGGCCCCACCAUGUCGAGUCCCCAGACCCCGAAGGGCCAGGUGAUCGGGAUGGUCUGGAGUGCCGACGCCGGCUGGUGGCUGCGCUUGAUGAAGUGCUGGCAUCCCUCGCACGUGAGGACGAGCAACUCUGCGUCGUCGAGAGCCAUGGGCCAGUAGAAACCGUGGCGGAAAGCUUUGGCCACCAAGGACCGCGAGGCGGCGUGGUGCCCGCACUCACCCUGGUGUAUGUCGAGGAGGAUCUCGAUGCCCCUAUCUUGCUCGACGCAGCGCUGGAACACGCCUGUGGAGCUGCGCUUGACAAGCUCAUUAUUGAUGAUGCUGUAAGCGGGUGCUCGGCGCUGCACUUGCCGAGCUUCGGUCUCGUCCAUGGGGAGGACCCCGUUCUCCAGGAACUCCGAGAUGGGCAGGGCCCAUGAUGGUGUUGUCACCACGGUGAAGACGGCCACCACGGCGGGUUCCGGGGCGGCAGCCCCCGGGUCGGGGACGGCGGCGGCCGGGUUGGUGGAGGCAGCCCUUGGGCCGGGUUCGGCAGUCUCCGGGCCGGGAUUGGUAGCCUCUGGGCCGGGUUCGGCAGCCCCCAGGCCGGGUUCAGCAGUCCCCGGGCCGGGCUGAGGUGCAGCCGGGUCGCUCGGGACGUAGAUGGACUCGGAGUCCGGGGACGUCUUGAAGGAUGGCUUGUGCAGGUGCUCGAGGGAGAUGCCAGACGGGAUGGAUUGUCGGGACGAAGCGAUCUUGGCGAGCAUGUCGGCAGCCUCGUUUUCCACAUAUGGGACGUGGAGGAACUCGCAGCCUUCGAAGAAUCUGGACAGCUUUUGGACGAGGAAGGGGUUACUUGCCAUGUUGGGGUCACGGGCGUCCCAUUCCCCGGAGCACUGUUGCACCACCAAAUCCGAGUCGCCGAAGCAUAGGAUGCGUCGGAUGCCGAGUUCCUUGGCAAGCCGGAGGCCGUGCACAAGGGCUUCAUAUUCGGCGACGUGUUGGAGGCGGCGAAGUGGAUCUGGAGCGCGUACUUGAGCCGGUCGCCCUUCGGGGAAGACAGCACGAUGCCGGCCCCUAGGCCGAGACGCAUCUUCAAGUCGUCGAAGUGCAUGCGCCAGUGCGUCGAGUUCGGCGGCGGUGGCAGGUACUGGGUCUCGGUCCAGUCAACGAGGAAGUCGGCCAAAGCUUGUGACUUGAUUGUUGUGUGGGGCUCAUAGAGGAUGGUGUGGCCAGCUAGCUCGAGCGCCCCUUGGCGACCCGGCCAGAGGCGUCACGGCACCCGAUGAUCUCGCCGAGGGGGGCCAUGCUCACCACGGUAACAACGUGUUCUUGGAAGUACUGCUUCAACUUCUUGGCGGUGAAGUACACGCUGUAACACAUCUUCUGGUAAUGUGGGUAGUUUUGCUUCGAGGCGGAGAGCACCUCGCUCAGGUAGUAGACAGGGCACUGGAUAGCUUGGACCUUGUCCUUCUCUGGUCGCUCGACCACCGUCACCGUGCUGACCGACCGCGAGGUCGCGGUGAUAUAGAGCAACAGUGGCUCCUUCUCGGCCGGUGCGGCCAGGACCGGUGCGGUGGAGAGCAUGCGCUUGAGAUCCCGGAAAGCCUCGUCCUCCUGAUCGUUCCAUUCAAACGGUGUCAUCUUAUUCAUCAGCUGAUAUAGGGGCAAGGCCCUCUCGCCCAGCCGACUGAGAAACGGGCUGACCGAGGCCAAGCAGCCGGUGAACUUCUAGACAUUGCGCAGCUGAGCCGGCUUGCGCAUGCGUUCGAUGGCCUUGAUCUUCUCUGGGUUUGCCUCAAUGCCGCGCUCCGAGAUGAGGAAGCCGAGUAGUUUUCUGGCCGGGAUGCCGAAAACGCAUUUUUCUGGGUUGAGCUUGACCUUGUACUCGCGCAGGUUGGCGAAGGUCUCCUUUAGGUCAUGGAGUUGCGUGAGGUGCUGCUUGGUCUUCACCACGAUGUCGUCCACGUAAACAUGGAUGUUGCGGCCGAGUUGCAGCAGCAAGCAUUUCUGCAUGCAGCGCUGGAAGGUGGUGUCGGCGUUCUUCAAGCCGAACGACAUGGUGAUGUAGCAAUACGCCCCAAAGGGCGUGAUGAAGGACGUCUUCAGGGUGUCGGCCGGGUCCAGCUUGAUCUGGUGAUAGCCGAAGUAAGCAUCCAGGAAGGACAGGAGCUCACACCCGGCAGUGGAGUCGAUGACUUGGUCGAUCCGCGGGAGGGCGAACGGGUCUUUGGGGCAGGUCUUGUUCAGGCUGGUGUAGUCGAUACACAUGCGCCAAGUCUUGUUCUUCUUCAGGACGAGGACUGGGUUGGCCAGCCACUCGGGGUGAAAUACUUCCAUGAUGAAGCCGGCCGCCAAAAGCUUGGCGACCUCUUCACCGAUGGUCCUUCUCUUCUCUUCGGAAAAACGUCGUAGGGGUUGAUGGACAGGCUUGGCGUCCUUGCGGACGUGGAGUUUGUGCUCGGCGUACUUCCUCGGGAUACCCGGCAUGUCCUUUGGGGUCCAUGCAAAGACAUCCCAAUUCUCACGGAGGAAGUCGACGAGCUCGCCUUCCUAUUUGCUGUCGAGGCGGGUGCCCACAACAACGUACUUGCUACAGCUGGGGUCUUUCGGGUUCAGCUUCACCUUCUUGGUCUCCUUGGAGGGCUUGAACGCGGCCUCAUCGGCCGGCUCCUCGCCCGAGAUCUGUGCAGCCAAUGCCUCUUGGGCCAGGGCGACGAUCUGGUCGAGUUGGUGCCGCUCCUCGGCUAUGACCAGCGACUCGGCUAGUUUGGCGCCGUCUCGGGCACACUCCAGGGACGUGUGGUAGUCGCCGGUGACGGUGAUGAGACCCUUUGGACCCGGCAGCUUCAUCUUCAGGUAGGCAUAGUGGGGGACCGCCAUGAACUUGGCGAGUGCGGGCCGGCCCAGCAGUGCGUGGUACGCGCUGGAUAGGUCCACCACCUCGAACCAGAUCGGCUCGCGUCGGAAGUGGCUGCUGUCGCCGAACAGGAUCUUGAGCCGGAUCCGGACAAUCGGAGAGCAGUAGAGGCCGGGAACGAUGCCGUGGAAGAUCGUUCGGGUCGGCUCCAGGUCUUUGGCCUCGAGGCCGAGCUUGGUCAGGGUGUCACGGUAGAGGAUGUUGAUGCUGCUGCCGCCGUCAACAAGAACCCGGGAGAACUUGCAUGUGUGCCGGGGCGCGACGAUGGUGGGGUCGAGGACGAGGGCGUAACCACCCGGGUUCGGCAUGACGGCCGGGUGGUCCUCCCGGGUCCAGGUGACCGGGCGUUCCGACCAAUGCAUGUAUUCCGGCCUGGCCAGGAUGACGGUGUUCACCUCCUGCCGAAGGAUGCGCUCGCUGCGUUUGUCGUCGCCAAGGCUGGUGAAGAUGACGUAGGUCACAUUCUGGGCCGGGUAGGCGUCGUCACGCAUCACGCCGCCGGCCGGUGGUGGCGGUGGAGGCGGAGGCGGCUGCCCCGCUCCUGGAGCCGGGGUCGGAGGCGGCGGGAUGGUGCCCCUCAUGAUGCGCUUGGUGAUGGCGCACUGUCAGAGCGUGUGCGUGGACGGCCUUGCGCCGCUAUGGUGCUUGAAGGGAGCGUCGAGCAUCUCCUCGAAGCUCAUGGCGGGCUGCCACGUCGUCUUGCCGGUCUGCCGGCGUUUGGCGGCUGGGUUGACUGCGGGUCGGCUGCGGGCGCCUGCUCGGCGGCCGCGACGAGCCGAUUGUCAUAGCGUUGGGCCGGUUUUUCGGCCUUGCGCUUGUUGUUCUGCUGGUUGUGCUGCUGCCGGCUUCCUUCGCCGGCCGGCUUCGGAGGGGGAACCGUCUUUGCUUUGCCGGCUUCAUCCAGUGCCACCUGGAUCUUCAUGGCGGAGUCGGCAUUGGCGUACUUGUCCGCCGUCACCAUGAGCGCGGCCAUGGUGGCUGGCUCGGAGCACAAGAGCUUGUGCAUGAGGAGGGUGCCAUCCAGGCACCCAUUGACGAAGUACUGGAUCGCUUGGACUUCGUGGACGCCCUCGCAGCCGUUCCGGUGCUCUGUCCAGCGUGCGAGGUACUCGCGGCCGGUUUUCGCCGGCCCCUAUACGCACAUGGCGAGCUGACUGGGGUGGCCGGGUCAUUUGUAGGUGCCGGUGAAGUUGCGUACGAAGGCCCGCUCAAAGUCGACCCACGUGUUGAUUCUGCCAGCCAGCAGACUGUUCAACCAGGUGUGGGCUGACCCCUGGAGCAUGAGGGGCGCGUAGCGCACGGCGAGGUGGUGGUUACCGCUGGCGAUGCCGAUGGCGGUGGUGUAGUCGGUGAGCCAGUCCUCCGGCUUCACGGUGCCGUUGUACUUGGGGGUGUCGCGGGGGAGCAUGAACCCUUUAGCAAAGGGCUCGCCCCGGGUGCGUGGUCUGAAGCACGCCGGCCCGACCGGGCAGGUCUCCUCUAGCUCCUGGGAGAGGGCGAGUCGGUCGAGGCGGUGACGAGCGUCGGUGUCAUCGAUGGCGCGUGGGCCCAGCCGGUCGGCGACCGUGCCGCGGGGGGCGGGUCGACCGCAGUCUGACGUCGGCCGGGUUAGAGCAGGGGGUCGAGGCGGCGCCAGACCUCCAAGGCCGGCUCAUCGCCCAAGCCGCCGGCAGUCGUCGGGGCGAGAUUGCACCGGGUCCGGGUGCAGCCGGAGUGCGCCUCGCCGGGUGGUGAAGACGUCAAGUGCUGGUUGUCGUCGGGUCCAGCGACACGGACGGAGCCGGAUCCGGCCGGCCUGGCGAGCUGGUUGAGGCGGUCCUGCUGCGCGUUGGCCGCAGCGAGGAGGUCGUUCACCCUUUUGAGGCGAUCCUGCAGCUCCUUGCCUGCGAGCUGAUCCAGGCCGACCGCGGUUGCCUGGGCAGCGCGCAUGUUCUUCACGGGAGUCUCAUAGACGGGAGGAAGAGCGCCGAAGGCGCGCCCGAUUGCGCCACCCCGGGUCCGCAUGUCGGCGACCCAUCUUGGCUCAGGCGCGGUAGGCAUGAAGCCGUAGGCGGCGUUGCGCUCCAGCUAAGCGGAGUCGAGGCGACGCUUUGUGGCAGCGAGCAUCUUGGUGAGGUCCAGCAGGCGCUGGCGGUCCUCGUCGAGUCGUGUCCAGGCCUCAGCGAUGUUGGAGGCGUCGAUGUCGAUGCCGAUGGGAACGCGGAGGCUCUGCAUCAUGGCGCGCAGGGGGUUGGGCAAGCCGGCACUGUCCGCUGCGGCCUUAGCUUUGGCGGCCUUCCUCGUCGCGCUCGACGAGGAGGAGGCGCCGGUGUCGGUGACGAAAACUUCCAUGCAGAGGUCCAUCGCUCCGGCGGGAGCGCCGUCGUCGAUGGAGAGUGGGAAGUCGGAAAAGCUAAGUACCUCGCUGGGGUACUCGUCGGCUGUAGGCGCAUCAAAGAUGCACAGCGCGACGAAGGAGGCGGUCAGUGCGUCGACGACGUCGUCCGCCAGCAUGAUGGGCUCGUUGGAGUCAGAGAAGAGCCCCGUCUGAAGCAUGCUCCCUGCCAGGACUCGAGCUCCCCCACGGUGGGCGCCAACUGUCGUGGUGGGCGCAUUGCAGAUGCCAAGGGAUGGCUAAAGAUAGGAGGAGGCUCGAGGGCACUGGUGGGCUCCAGAGGCGAGGUCGGCAUGAGCGAGCGCGAGACGCAAGACAUACCCAGGUUCGGGGCUCUCCGGAGAAAUAACACCCCUAGUCCUGCUGAGUGUAGUUCAUAUGUAUGAGUACAAAGUUGCUCCUAGAGUUGUAUGGAGGAAGAAGGGAGGCUGGCCAAGGCUUAGGCAGCUCCCUUUCCUCGGGUGUUGCUUGCUAGGUGUGUGAGUGGGUGGAGGGGUGAGAGCAUUGCCCGUAUGCAUGAGGGCUCCUGGGGGUUUUAUAGGUCGACCCCCUAGGGGUACAAGGGUAAUGUUACAAGGCCGUAGGGCCGGGUUGUCAGUGUCCAGGAACCCGGUGCUGGGACCUGCCGGGUGCCAGGUCUCGCCGGGUUCCCUGGGCGCGGGCCCCAUGCGCCUAGGGGCACUGUGCGCCAUCUUGUCGAUCGUCAGGGCAUGGCCGAGUCGAGUCGGCUACAGUGGCGUUCCGUCAGGUCGCCGCUUGCUGGCGUCAUGGGUGAUGAUGAUUGCACUGUUGCCACGCCGGCCCUGGUCAGCGAGUAGGUGGGGGCACUGUUGCCACGCCCGGCUGACCAGAGGCAUGGGCGGGGCACUGUGGCUUUGGUCAUCAGUUGGUGGAGACUCGUCCCAUCGUACGGCCGGGAUGGGACGGCCGCUGACCCUCGGCCAGGUUGGAGAAUAUGCCAAGGGUGGAGUUGGCUUGUUGGGGAAGUCUUGAGUUAGUUGUUGGGGCCGAGUUGAGGAAUCUGGCCGGGUUGGAGAGUUUGGCCGGGUUGAGGGACUUGGCCGGGUUGAGUGACCUGGCCGAGUGCGAGCCGGAUUGAGGGGCGAUGUUGGCCCCAUUGUUUUCGACAAGGAUCCAGGUUCCAUUGCCUGCCUGGGGUUCAUCCCCCCGACAAUAUGUGAAUGACAUAUUGUUGAUUGGAAAUGAUGUAGAAUUUUCUGGAAAGCAUAAAGGAGUGUUUGAAAGGAGUUUUUCAAAGAAAGACCUCGGUGAAGCUUCUUACAUAUUGGGCAUCAAGAUCUAUAGAGACAGAUCAAGACGCUUGAUAAGAUUUUUCAAUGAGUACAUACCUUGACAAGAUUUUGAAGUAGUUCAAAAUGGAAGAGUCAAAGAAGGAGUUCUUGCCUGUGUUGCAAGGUGUAAAGUUGAGUAAGAUUCAAAACCCGACAACGACAGAAAAUAGAAAGAGAAUGAAAGUCAUUCCCUAUGCCUCAGUCAUAGGUUCUAUAAAAUAUGCUAUGUUGUGUACUAGACCUAUUGUGUACCUUACCAUGAGUUUGGCAAAGGGUAUGAUAGUGAUCCAGGAAUGGAUCACUGGACAGCGAUCAAAGUUAUCCUUAGUUACCUAAGAGGACUAAGGAAAUAUUUCUUGGUUAUGGAGGUGACAAAGAGAUCGCCGUAAAGGGUAAUGUCGAUGCAAGCUUUGACACUGAUUCGGAUGACUCUGAGUCUUAAUCUAGAUACAUAUUGAAAGUGGGAGCAAUUAGCUAGAGUAGCUCCAUGCAGAGCAUUGUAGACAUAGAAAUUUGCGAAAUACAUACGGAUCUGAAUGUGACAGACCCGUUGACUAAACUUCUCUCACAAGCAAAACAUGAUCACACCUUAGUACUCUUUGGGUGUUAAUCACAUGGCAAUGUGAACUAGAUUAUUGACUCUAGUAAACCCCUUGGGUGCUGAUCACAUGGCGACGUGAACUAUAGGUGUUAAUCACAUAACGAUGUGAACUAUUGGUGUUAAUCACAUGGCGAUUUGAACUAGAUUAUUAACUCUAGUGCAAGUGGGAGACUGAAAGAAAUAUGCCCUAGAGGCAAUAAUAAAGUUGUUAUUUUAUAUUUCCUUAUAUCAUGAUAAAUGUUUAUUAUUAAUGCUAGAAUUGUAUUAACCAGAAACUUGAUACAUGUGUGGAUACAUAGACAAAACACUUUGUCCCUAGUAAGCCUCAACUAGACUACCUCGUUAAUCAAAGAUGGUUAAGUUUCCUAACCAUAGACAUGUGUUGUCAUUUGAUGAACGGGAUGACAUGAUUAGGAGAAUGAUGUGAUGGACAAGACCCAUCCGUUAGCUUAGCAUAAUGAUCGUUAAGUUUUAUUGCUAUUGCUUUCUUCAUGUCAUAUACAUAUUCCUCUGACUAUGAGAUUAUGCAACUCCCGGAUACCGGAGAAAUACCUUGUGUGCUAUCAAACGUCACAAAGUAACUGGGUGAUUAUAAAGAUGCUCUACAGGUAUCUCCAAAGGUGUUUGUUGGGUUGUUAUAGAUCGCGAUUAGGAUUUGUCACUCCGAGUACCGGAGAGGUAUCUCUGGGCCAUCUCGGUAAUGCACAUCAUAAUAAGCCUUGCAAGCAAUGUGACAAAUGAGUUAGUUGCGGGAUGAUGUAUUACGGAACGAGUAAAGAGACUUGCCGGUAACGAGAUUGAACUAGGUAUACCGACGAUCGAAUCUCGGGCAAGUAACAUACCGGUGACAAAGGGAAUAACGUAUGUUGUCAUUGCGGUACGACCGAUAAAGAUCUUCGUAGAAUAUGUAGGAACCAUCCAGGUUCCGCUGUUGGUUAUUGACCGGAGAGGUGUCUCGGUCAUGUCUACAUAGUUCUCGAACCCGUAGGGUCCUCACGCUUAACGUUCGAUGACGAUUUUGUAUUAUAUGAGUUCUGUGAUUUGGUGGCCGAAUGUUGUUCGGAGUCCCGGAUGAGAUCACAGACAUGACGAGGAGUCUCGAAAUGGUCGAGAGGUAAAGAUUCAUAUAUAGUACGAUAAUAUUCGGACACCGGAAGUGUUCCGAGGGUACCGGGUACAUAUCGGGUCANNNNNNNNNNNNNNNNNNNNNNNNNNNNNNNNNNNNNNNNNNNNNNNNNNNNNNNNNNNNNNNNNNNNNNNNNNNNNNNNNNNNNNNNNNNNNNNNNNNNNNNNNNNNNNNNNNNNNNNNNNNNNNNNNNNNNNNNNNNNNNNNNNNNNNNNNNNNNNNNNNNNNNNNNNNNNNNNNNNNNNNNNNNNNNNNNNNNNNNNNNNNNNNNNNNNNNNNNNNNNNNNNNNNAAUGGGCCAAGAAGGGGACAAACCAGCCCCUAGGGGGCUGGUGUGCCCCAUGUAGGCCAAAAUGGGGGGAAGGAAAGAGGAGAAGAGGGAAGGGAAGGGAUUCAUCCUCCCCCUUCCUUCUUGUAACACCCCCAGUUUCAUGCUACACCAACCCUCCGUGAUUAAGCUAAUAAUUUUGCUAAACAGGAGUUGGUCACCUUUGGUUAAAAUCUCAUUUGAAAUCCCACUUUGAGAUCAAAUUCAAUUUGCAAGUGAAUUUUGAAGUUGCACAAAAGUUGCUUCAAAAUAGUUCAUCAUUUAGCCAAAAUUCCAUAACAAAUGAUUGUUAAGGAAAACAACAUCACCUCCAAGCCAAGAUGGACUAUAGCAAUUAAAACAGUGCCAUUUCAGCAUUUUAAAAUGCUAUUCUAUUGGUGCAGAAUCCAAAUGGGUACAGCUGUCCCUCAAACUUUUUGUGGCAGUGCCAAAUACUAGAAGGAAUUUAAGUGGCCUAGUCCCACAUUUUUUUCAAAGUCUUUUGGUAGCCCAAACCUUUCCCUAGCCAUCUAUGUUUUGAAUAAAAAGAGAAAAGCAGAAAAUCAGAAAAGUGAAAGGGCCUACCUGGCCUCCGGCCUAACGCCCAGCGCGGCCCAGUCCACCAGGUGCCACUGUCUCCCUCCACCUCUGUUCAUGGGGGCACCGUGGACGCCGUGUGGCCGCACAUGGCCGGGAUGGCCACGUGUCGGCCAUCCGCUGCCGUCCCGCACAGAUAAGGUCACCGGCGACGCCCCUGCAAACCCUAGAUCGCCCACUCGCCCCCGGCUCCCCCAUCUCCUCCUCUCUCUCCCUCCCCACCAGAUCCCCUCUUCCUUCCCCUUCUGCCAACGCAUGUCGUCGCCAUUCUUCUCGCACCGCCACGGCGACCGUCGACCCCGAGCUUCACCAACGCCUCCACGAGCUCUGCUGUUCUCAGCUCCUUCAUCUCCGACCAUCCACAGGAGCUGGGAGGCCCUGCUGAGGGCGUUCUUCUCUGCCCCCUUCUGCCUCUGUCGCCGAUGAUCCUCAUCGUCUUCGGUGAACCCUACAGCUACUAAUCCGUCGAGGGCUUUUCUUGGCCGCACGGUGAGCUCCUCUCUCCAUCCAUUCCUUCUUUUGCGGCCGCAUUCGUUCCUAGCUAGUUCGCCACCGUUGUCGUGCCUCUGCUUCCGUCGGCGUGCUCGUAGUUGUGCUGUUGCUACCCGUCGAGCUCAAAUGAGCUCAGAAUCGUGCUCAGCACGUCCGUGCGAGCCCGUUGCACCCCUCCCUCGCGCUUUGUCAAGCCCCGUACGGCGCCCCCUGGCCACGUCCCCCGUACGCGCCCCCUGGCCGCGACCGGCCGCGUGCCGGCCGUCCCCUAGCCGCACCCCGCCGCUCCCGUCGUCGUGCGCUACGCCCGCAGCUGCCCUUGCCCGUGCGUGCCGACAACUGCUGCUGCUCGCGGCCGCUGCCUGCUGCUUUGCCGCUGUUGCCGCUAGCUUCUGCUGCUGGUUGCUGCUGCGCUGCCAUAGCUGCUGCCUGCUUCCUAUGCCGUUUUGCCGCCCCCUCUCGCGUGUACGCCCGCUCCGCCCGGCCUCGUCCGCCUCGCCGUGCGCCGGCCCCGCGCCUAGCCCGCGCACCCGCUUGCUGCUGGCGCUGCUCGUCCCCGUUGCGCCCUGCAACGCUCGCCUCCUGCACCCGUCGCUCGCUGUUGCCCCAUGAGCCGCUAUUGCUUCUUGCUGCACCACCUCCGACCGCGCCUGCCCCGCGCCGGUGUCGGCCGAAGCCCGCCACUGCCCUCUAGCCUGGCCGCCGGUGCUACGAGCGUGCGAGCCCAGNNNNNNNNNNNNNNNNNNNNNNNNNNNNNNNNNNNNNNNNNNNNNNNNNNNNNNNNNNNNNNNNNNNNNNNNNNNNNNNNNNNNNNNNNNNNNNNNNNNNNNNNNNNNNNNNNNNNNNNNNNNNNNNNNNNNNNNNNNNNNNNNNNNNNNNNNNNNNNNNNNNNNNNNNNNNNNNNNNNNNNNNNNNNNNNNNNNNNNNNNNNNNNNNNNNNNNNNNNNNNNNNNNNNNNNNNNNNNNNNNNNNNNNNNNNNNNNNNNNNNNNNNNNNNNNNNNNNNNNNNNNNNNNNNNNNNNNNNNNNNNNNNNNNNNNNNNNNNNNNNNNNNNNNNNNNNNNNNNNNNNNNNNNNNNNNNNNNNNNNNNNNNNNNNNNNNNNNNNNNNNNNNNNNNNNNNNNNNNNNNNNNNNNNNNNNNNNNNNNNNNNNNNNNNNNNNNNNNNNNNNNNNNNNNNNNNNNNNNNNNNNNNNNNNNNNNNNNNNNNNNNNNACACUAAUUAAAACCUGUUAUUAUUAAUAACAAUUAUAUUUAGGCCAUGGGUCACUAACACGUGGAUCCCACCGGACCAGUUGACUGGUCAACCGGGACUAGUCAACCGCUGAGUCAGCAGUUGACUGGACCCACUGCUCAGUCACUCUGGUGUAUCUUUGGUGCACUGCACUGGGUGCACCUAGCCUUUUCGCUCUCUUUUUUAAUUAGAUUAAAUUCCAGAGAAUGUUUAAUUCUUAGAAAAUUAAUAUAAAAUAAACCAUAAGUCGGAUGAAAAUGUUUUCUAUAUGAAAGUUGCUCAGAAAAAUCCAAUGAAUCCGAAUACGCGGUCCGUUCAUUUGUCACAUGCCCCUAUCAUGCUGAACAUGGAACUGUCCCCCUCUUUUCUUCUGUCCUGGAAAUACCAAACGCCGGGAAAGGCUCUCCGGAUGUUUUCCCUCUCCGUCUCCAACGUGUAGUACUGUGUUAAGUCACCCCUAGCACCAUGUAUUGCCAUGUUAUGAAUUGUGAUGCUAUGUUUGCUUUAUAUUUAUUGUUUCUUCCCCCUCUUCUCUCCGGUAGACCCCGAGACCGUUGCCGGUGCCACUGUCAUCGGCUACGUCACCGACGACCCUUCUUCCCUUUCAGCGGAGCUUCCAGGCAAGCCCUCCCUUUGAUCAUCCCGAUAUCGCCCAUUCCAUUCUCUCAUGCUUGCAUUAGAUUUUCCUACUGUUAUUGUUUGCUCCUAUUCUGAUGCAUAGCCUGCUUUUGUAACCUGCUCAUUGUACCUUAUCGUCUUAUCCUAAACUGCUUAGUAUAGGUUGGUUAGAGAUCCAUCACUGACCCCCCCCCCCUUGUCCCAGUUGCCCCGCUUUAUGUUCGGUGACUCGAUCAACGUGAUCGACGUCCAGGCNNNNNNNNNNNNNNNNNNNNNNNNNNNNNNNNNNNNNNNNNNNNNNNNNNNNNNNNNNNNNNNNNNNNNNNNNNNNNNNNNNNNNNNNNNNNNNNNNNNNNNNNNNNNNNNNNNNNNNNNNNNNNNNNNNNNNNNNNNNNNNNNNNNNNNNNNNNNNNNNNNNNNNNNNNNNNNNNNNNNNNNNNNNNNNNNNNNNNNNNNNNNNNNNNNNNNNNNNCUACAGAGUUACUAUCAAGUGCCGAGGGUGAUACCUCAUCAGCACUUCUGAUGUUAACCCUAUAGUGUAGCUAUUUGGUCCUGGUCAUCGAGGGUGAUUCCUCCUUAACCACUUUCUAUACGACUCUGUCGUGCAACCCCUCAAGUGUGAACCUCGAGGGUGGUUCCUCCUAUGUUCACCUUGAUGAUUACAUCGAGUGGAAUCCACCGAGGGUGAUUCCUCGGGGUUCCCCUGGUGUUUGGACACACGGAUACUUGGACUUUACAACUGUUACUUGGAAAGGCGGGUCGCCCCUGAGGGGUACCCACGAGUGAUGUGGAGACGGGUUGACCUGGAAGGUACCCGAGAGUUGAAUACGAGAUGUGUCCGGGCAUUCUUAGCCCUUGCCGCAAGUCCUCGAGAUGGGUCGACGGGGUCACAUCUUUCGUGAGUCUCUGCUCGUGACCGCACUACCAACACACUAAUGGUUUGGAUAUUUGAUCCUAGGUGCCUCUGGCCUGAUAGCACUAACCAUCAUGUGGGCAUAGUAUGGGCGUUCUGCGUCGUAUGCAUCAGCUCAAGCUUAAUAGACGUCAUGCGACUGAGCGGCGCACGCCGGGUUGGACUGCGUAAACACCUGCCUUUUUAAGCAGGUAGCUAGGUCUGCUCACCGGCCGCAUACACAACAUGCAGGAGCGUCCGGGGCGAUGGCCCAAGACCCCUGGGGGCAUAGGUUUAGUCCGGCGUGCUGACCUCUCUAUUAACCCUAGGUCGGGUUGCGGCGUAUGAUACGUCUCCGUCGUAUCUAUAAUUUUUGAUUGUUCCAUGCCAAUAUUCUACAACUUUUACAUACUUUUGGCAACUUUUUAUACUAUUUUUGGGACUAACAUAUUGAUCCAGUGCCCAGUGCCAGUUCCUGUUUGUUGCAUGUUUUUUGUUUCGCAGAAAAUCCAUAUCAAACGGAGACCAAACAGGAUAAAAACUGACAGAGAUAUUUUUGGAAUAUAUGUGAUUUUUUGGGAAGAAGAAUCAACGCGAGACGAUGCCCGAGCGGGCCACGAGGCAGGGGCGCGCCCCAGGGGGGUCAGGCGCGCCCUAGACCCUCGUGGCCACCCCGUAAGGCGGUUGGUGCCCUUCUUUCGCCGCAAGAAAGCUAAUAUCCGGAUAGAGAUCGUGUCCAAAAUUCAGCCCAAUCGGAGUUACGAAUAUCCGGGAAUUUAAGAAACGGUGAAAGGCCAGAAUCGGGGAGCGCAGAAACAGAGAGAGACAGAGAGACGGAUCCAAUCUCGGAGGGGCUCUCGCCCCUCCCACGCCAUGGAGACCAUGGACCAGAGGGGAAACCCUUCUCCCAUCUAGGGAGAAGGUCAAGGAAGAAGAAGGAGGAGGGGGGCUCUCUCCCCCUCGCUUCCGGUGGCACCGGAGUGCCGCCAGGGCCAUCCUCAUCACCGCAAUCUACACCAACAACUUCACCGCCGUCAUCACCAACUCUUCCCCCCUCUAUGCAGCGGUGUAACCCCUCUUUUACCCACUGUACUCUCUACUUAAACAUGGUGCUCAACGCUAUAUAUUAUUUCCCAAUGAUGUAUGGCUAUCCUAUGAUGUUUGAGUAGAUCCGUUUUGUCCUAUUGAUUAAGUGAUGAUCGUGAUUGGUUUGAGUUGCAUGUUUUAUUAUUGGUGCUGUCCUAUGGUGCUCUUCAUGUCGCGCAAGCGUGAGGGGUCCCUGCUGUAGGGUUUGCAAUAUGUUCAUGAUUUUCUUAUGGUGGGUGGCGUGAGUGACAGAAGCACAGACCCGAGUAAGUAGGUUGUUUGCGUAUGGGAGUAAAGAGGACUUGAUGCCUUAUAAUGCUAUGGUUGGGUUUUACAUUAAUGAUCUUUAGUAGUUGCGGAUGCUUGCUAGAGUUCCAAUCAUAAGUGCAUAUGAUCCAAGUAGAGAAAGUAUGUUAGCUUAUGCCUCUCCCUCAUAUAAAAUUGCAAUAAUAAUUACUGGUCCAGUUAUCGAUUCCCUAGGGACAAAUAACUUUCUCGUGACAAAAAGCUCUCUACUAAAACUAAUUUAGUUGUGUCUUUAUCUAAACAGCCCCUACUUUUUAUUUACGUGCUCUUUAUUAUCUUACAAACCUAUCCAACAACACCUACAAAGUACCUCUAGUUUCAUACUUGUUCUAGGUAAAGCGAACGUUAAGCGUGCGUAGAGUUGUAUCGGUGGUCGAUAGAACUUGAGGGAAUAUUUGUUCUACCUUUAGCUCCUCAUUGGGUUCGACACUCUUACUUAUCGAAAGAGGCUAGAAUUGAUCCCCUAUACUUGUGGGUCAUCAAGACCUUUUUCUGACGCCGUUGCCGGGGAGCAAUAGCGUGGGGUGAAUAUUCUCGUGUGUGCUUGUUUGCUUUAUCACUAAGUAGUUUUUAUUUUUUGUUCUAAGUUGUUCUCUAUCUCUAGUUAUGGAUAUGGAACACGAAACACCAAAAAAAUUAGUGGUACUUGCUACUCAUGGAGAUGGGGAACCUCCUAAAACCCUCGAUGCUGGUUAUGUGAAAAAUAUUAUGUACUACUUUGAUAAUCCUGAGAAAACCCCAUUCAAUUCUGUAAUGGGAGACACGUUGGAUAAACGUGAAUACUUUAGGGAUUAUCGCUUGACUCAAAAAGGGAAACUAUUAUGGGAUCAAAUUCAUAUGUGGCAUUGGUAUGCUCGGGAGCUUUGCUUGAGAUAUGAUUAUACUUGUUGCUCUAGGAUGAAGGCUCCACACCUUCCCUUUUCAUGCAAAUUUAAUGAUAAUGAAACCUUGGCUUCUUAUGCUAAAGGUAUAUAUGAUUAAUAUGAUGUGGAACAAAUAUAAGAAUUCGUUGCUUUUAUGGGUGCUUAUGAAAUCGAAUAUUUGUUUAAAGAGUGUGAAAAUCUUUAUGAUGAUGUUUACAGACCUGAAAAUUUUGCUAUAUUUAAAUAUUGCUAUGAGAAUUAUGAAUAUAAUGCCGAUAUUGAUGCGUUUAUUGAGAAAGUCUCCGCUGUCCAAGAAGAGACUAAUAUUUUGCAGGAGUCUAUGGAGGAAGAAAUUGAUGAAACUGUGAUCUCAUUGGAUGAAAAAGAUGAUGAGGAGAGCGAAGCACAAAAGAAGGAAGAGUGGAUUAGCUACCCGUGCCCACCUUCUAAUGAGAGUAACUCUUCAACUCAUACAUUGUUUAAUUUCCCUUCGUGCUUACCGAAGGAUGAAUGCUAUGAUGAUUGCUAUGAUCCCGUUGAUUCUUUUGAAAUAUCCCUUUUUGAUGAUGCUUGCUAUGCUUGUGGCCAAGAUGCCAAUAUGAAUUAUGCUUAUGGAGAUGAACUUGCUAUAGUUCCUGAUGUUAAACAUGAAAUUGUUGCUAUUGCACCCACACAUGAUAGUCCUAUUAUCUUUUUGAAUUCUCCAAACUACACUAUAUCGGAGAAGUUUACCCUUAUUAAGGAUUAUAUUGAUGGGUUGCGUUUUACUACUACACAUGAUGAUUUUGAUAGAUAUAAUAUGCAUGUGCUUGCUGCUCCUACUUGCAAUUAUUAUGAGAGAGGAACUACAUCUCCGCCUCUCCAUGUUUCCAAUAUGAUAAAAUUGCAAGAAACUGUUUAUACUAUGCAUUGGCCUUUACUAUGUGUGCAUGAAUUGUUCUUUUAUGACAUGCCGAUGCAUAGGAAGAGAGUAAGACUUCAUUGUUGCAUGAUAUAUGUUACUUUGUGCUCACUACUAAAUCACAAAUCAUUGUUAAUUAAAAUUGGCUUUGAUAUACCUUGGGAUCCGGGUGGAUCAAUUACUUGAGCACUAUAUGCCUAGCUUAAUGGCUUUAAAGAAAGCGCUGCCAGAGAGACAACCCGGAAGUUUUAGAGAGUCAUUUAUUUCUGUUGAGUGCUUUUAUAAAGUUUUAAAAAAAGAGGGGAACCUAAAACUUUUUCAAAAAGAAAAGCGAAAGUGAGAAAGACGAGCAUUGUUAAAAUGGGAGCUAGCCUUGAACUUUGUUCAUGCCCAUGGAAACUUUGUGACCCUUGAUUACAGAAACUUUUCAACAAAAAUAAUUAUCCCCUUGUACAAUUCCAUUGUAUUAUAAAAAUAAUGUGCCAAGAUUUGCCUUUAGGAUGUUUACAUUGCUUGUUGGUUUGUGCGGUGCAGAACAGAAACUUUGGCUGUAGUGCGCGAUUUUACGUUUUUUACUGGAACGUCAAACGGUUCUGAAACUUUUUGCACGGUCUUUCUACACAAAGUUUUUAUUUUUCCUAAUUUUUGCAGAAUUUUUGGAGUACCAGAGGUAUGGUGAAUGUUCAGAUUACUACAGACUGUCCUGUUUAAAACAGAUUCUGUUUUUGAUGCAUUAUUUGCUUGUUUUGAUGAAACUAUCGAUUUCUAUCAGUGGAUUAAGCCAUGGAAAAGUUAUAUUACAGUAGCUACAGUGCAAAAACAAAAUAUGAAUUGGUUUUCAAUAGUAUUAGAGUAGUGAUUUGCUUUAUUAUACUAACGGAUCUUACCGAGCUUUCUGUUGAGUUUUGUGUGGAUGAAGUGUUCGAAGAUCGAGGAGGUCUCGAUAUGAGGAGGAGGAGAGGCAAGAGCUCAAGUUGGGUAUUCCCAAGGCACCCCAAGUAAAUAUUCAAGGAUACUCAAGCAUCUAAUCUUGGGGAUGCCCCGGAAGGCAUCCCAUCUUUCUUCAACAAGUAUCGGUAUGUUUUCAGAUUCGUUUCGUUCAUGUGAUAUGUGCAAAUCUUGGAGCGUCUUUUGCAUUUAGUUUUCACUUUUAUUUUAUGCACCAUGCUGGUAUGAGAUAGUACUUGGUUGAUUUAUAGAAUUCUCAUUGCACUUCACUUAUAUCUUUUGAGUAUGGCUUUAUAGAAUGCUUCAUGUGCUUCACUUAUAUCAUUUGAAGUUUGGAUUGCCUAUUUCUCUUCACAUAGAAAACCGCCAUUUGUAGAAUGCUCUUUUGCUUCACUUAUAUUUGUUAGAGCAUGGGCAUAUCUUUUGUAGAAAGAAUUAAACUCUCUUGCUUCACUUAUAUCUAUUUAGAGAGAUGACAGGAAUUGGUCAUUCACAUGGUUAGUCAUAAAAUCCUACAUAAAACUUGUAGAUCACUGAAUAUGAUAUGUUUGAUUCCUUGCAAUAGUUUUGCGAUAUAAAGAUGGUGAUAUUAGAGUCAUGCUAGUGGGUAGUUGUGUAUUGUAGAAAUACUUGUGUUGAAGUUUGUGAUUCCCGUAGCAUGCACGUAUGGUGAACCGUUAUGUAACGAAGUUGGAGCAUGAGGUAUUUAUUGAUUGUCUUCCUUAUGAGUGGCGGUUGGGGACGAGCGAUGGUCUUUUCCUACCAAUCUAUCCCCCUAGGAGCAUGCGCGUAGUACUUUGUUUCAAUGACUAAUAGAUUUUUGCAAUAAUUAUGUGAGUUCUUUAUGACUAAUGUUGAGUCCAUGGAUUAUACACACUCUCACCCUUCCAUCAUUGCUAGCCUCUUCGGUACCGUGCAUUGCCCUUUCUCACCUCGAGAGUUGGUGCAAACUUCGCCGGUGCAUCCAAACCCCGUGAUACGAUACGCUCUAUCACACAUAAGCCUCCUUAUAUCUUCCUCAAAACAGCCACCAUACCUACCUAUCAUGGCAUUUCCAUAGCCAUUCCGAGAUAUAUUAACAUGCAACUUCCAUCAUCAUCAUAUACAUGACUUGAGCAUUUAUUGUCAUAUUGCUUUGCAUGAUCAUAAGAUAGCUAGCACGAUAUUUUCAUGGCUUGUCCGUUUUUUGAUGUCAUUGCUACGCUAGAUCAUUGCACAUCCCGGUACACACCCGGAGGCAUUCAUAUAGGGUCAUACUUUGUUCUAGACAUCGAGUUGUAAUAUUGAGUUGUAAGUAAAUAAAAGUGUGAUGAUCAUCAUUAUUAGAGCAUUGCCCCAGUGAGGAAAGGAUGAUGGAGACUAUGAUUCCCCCACAAGUCGGGAUGAGACUCCGGACUUUAAAAAAAUAAAAGAGGCCAAAGAAGCCCAAAUAAAAAAAGAGGCCAAAGAAGCCCACCAAAAAAGAAAACAAAAAGAAAACAAAAAAAGAGAGAAAAAGAGAUAAGGGGCAAUGUUACUAUCCUUUUACCACACUUGUGCUUCAGAGUAGCACCAUGUUCUUCAUAUGGAGAGUCUCUUGAGUUAUCACUUUCAUAUACUAGUGGGAAUUUUCAUUAUAGAACUUGGUUUGUAUAUUCCGAUGAUGGGCUUCCUCAAAUGCCCGAGGUCUUCAUGAGCAAGCAAGUUGGAUGCACACCCACUUAGUUUCCAGUUUGAGCUUUCAUACACUUAUAGCUCUUAGUGCAUCCGUUGCAUGGAAAUCCCUACUCCUCGCAUUGACAUCAAUUGAUGGGCAUCCCCAUAGCCCGUUGAUUAGCCGCGUCGAUGUGAGACUUUCUCCUUUUUUGUCUUCUCCAUACAACCUCCACCAUCAUAUUCUAUUCCACCUAUAGUGCUAUGUCCAUGGCUCACACUCAUGUAUUGCGUGGAAGUUGAAAAGGUUUGAGAACAUCAAAAGUAUGAAACAAUUGCUUGGCUUGUCAUCGGGGUUGUGCAUGAUUUGAAUAUUUUGUAUGGUGAAGAUGGAGCAUAGCCAGACUAUAUGAUUUUGUAAGGAUAACUUUCUUUGGCCAUGUUGUUUUGAAAAGACAUGAUUGCUUUAUUAGUAUGCUUGAAGUAUUAUUGUCUUAAUGUCAAAUGAUAGACUAUUGCUUUGAAUCACUCGUGUCUUAAUAUUCAUGCCAUGAUUAGAUUAUGUGAUCAAGAUUAUGCUAGGUAGCAUUCCACAUCAAAAAUUAUCUUUUUUAUCAUUUACCUACUCGAGGACGAGCAGGAAUUAAGCUUGGGGAUGCUGAUACGUCUCCGUCGUAUCUAUAAUUUUUGAUUGUUCCAUGCCAAUAUUCUACAACUUUUACAUACUUUUGGCAACUUUUUAUACUAUUUUUGGGACUAACAUAUGGAUCCAGUGCCCAGUGCUAGUUCCUGUUUGUUGCAUGUUUUUUGUUUCGCAGAAAAUCCAUAUCAAACGGAGACCAAACGGGAUAAAAACUGACGGAGAUUUUUUUUGGAAUAUAUGUGAUUUUGGGGAAGAAGAAUCAACGUGAGACGAUGCCCGAGGGGGCCACGAGGCAGGGGGCGUGCCCCAGCGGGUCAGGCGCGCCCUGGGCCCUCGUGGCCACCCCAUAAGGCAGUUGGUGCCCUUCUUUUUCCGCAAGAAAGCUAAUAUCCGGAUAGAGAUCGUGUCCAAAAUUCAGCCCAAUCGGAGUUACGAAUCUCCGGGAAUUUAAGAAACGGUGAAAGGCCAGAAUCGGGGAGCGCAGAAACAGAGAGAGACAGAGAGACGGAUCCAAUCUCGGAGGGGCUCUCGCCCCUCCCACGCCAUGGAGACCAUGGACCAGAGGGGAAACCCUUCUCCCAUCUAGGGAGAAGGUCAAGGAAGAAGAAGGAGGAGGGGGGCUCUCUCCCCCUCGCUUCCGGUGGCACCGGAGUGCCGCCGGGGCCAUCCUCGUCACCGCAAUCUACACCAACAACUACACCGCCGUCAUCACCAACUCUUCCCCCCUCUAUGCAGCGGUGUAACCCCUCUUUUACCCCUUGUACUCUCUACUUAAACAUGGUGCUCAACGCUAUAUAUUAUUUCCCAAUGAUGUAUGGCUAUCCUAUGAUGUUUGAGUAGAUCCGUUUUGUCCUAUGGAUUAAUUGAUGAUCGUGAUUGGUUUGAGUUGCAUGUUUUAUUAUUGGUGCUGUCCUAUGGUGCUCUCCAUGUCGCGCAAGCGUGAGGGAUCCCCGCUAUAGGGUUUGGAAUAUGUUCAUGAUUUGCUUAUGGUGGGUGGCGUGAGUGACAGAAGCACAGACCCGAGUAAGUAGGUUGUUUGCGUAUGGGAGUAAAGAGGACUUGAUGCCUUAUAAUGCUAUGGUUGGGUUUUACCUUAAUGAUCUUUAGUAGUUGCGGAUGCUUGCUAGAGUUCCAAUCAUAAGUGCAUAUGAUCCAAGUAGAGAAAGUAUGUUAGCUUAUGCCUCUCCCUCAUAUAAAAUUGCAAUAAUGAUUACCGGUCUAGUUAUCGAUUGCCUAGGGACAAAUAACUUUCUUGUGACAAAAAGCUCUCUACUAAAACUAAUUUAGUUGUGUCUUUAUCUAAACAGCCCCUACUUUUUAUUUACAUGCUCUUUAUUAUCUUACAAACCUAUCCAACAACACCUAAAGUACCUCUAGUUUCACACUUGUUCUAGGUAAAGCAAACGUUAAGCGUGCGUAGAGUUGUAUCGGUGGUCGAUAGAACUUGAGGGAAUAUUUGUUCUACCUUUAGCUCCUCAUUGGGUUCGACACUCUUACUUAUCGAAAGAGGCUACAAUUGAUCCCCUAUACUUGUGGAUUAUCAGCGUAUCAUUUGGCCGAGGCCGGGCAUGACCCAAGAAAAUGUGUCCGGACGGAGUUAAUCGAGCAUGGUGGGUAAGUUGGUGCACCCCUGCAGGGAAGAAAACAUCUAUAUAUAGCCUGUCCUACGGUAACAGACACUCGGAGUUGUAUCCCGGUCGAUACAACUAGAACUGGAUACUGGAUGAUGAGGCAUGUAAUGGAUAUGAUGGCUCCGGGUUUGUAUUCUCGCAGGGAGUCGAGGAAGUGAUCUCUGGGCGAUGUUACAACAUACUUACUAAUAUUAUAAUAUGCCACUCUUAUCUCUUCUAAUGCUUGGAGCUGCUUGAAGAUGCUAGUCUUCGAUAAGCUAGGCUUUCCCCUUCUCUUCUGGCAUUUUGCAGUUCAGUCCACAGAUACUACCCAUUUCAUUGACACAGAUGCAUAUGUAGUGUAGAUCCUUGCUUGCGAGUACUUUGGAUGAGUACUCACGGUUGCUUUGCCCCCUCUUUCCCCCCCCCCCUUUUCAUUUCUUUUCAGAUGUCGCAACCAAAUGGUGGAGCCCAGGAACCAGACGCCACCGUCGACGACGACUACUACUACCACGAGGGUGCUUACUACUACGUGGAGGCCGCCGACGACCAAGAGUAGUUAGGAGGCUCCUAGGCAGGAGGCCUUGCCUUUUCGAUCGAUGUUGCUUUUGUGCUAGCCUUCUUAAGGCAAACUUGUUCAACUUAUGUCUGUACUCAGAUAUUGUUGCUUCCGCUGACUCUUGUGUAUUCGAGCUUAUGUAUUCGAAUCCUCGAGGCCCCUGGCUUGUAAUAUAAAGCUUGUAUUAUCUUAAUUUGUGUCUAGAGUUGUGUUGUGAUAUCUUCCCGUGGGUCCUUGAUCUUGAUCGUACACAUUUGCGUGUAUGGUUAGUGUACGAUUGAAUCGAGGGCGUCACACUUCUCUCCUCCCUUCUCCUUCCUUCCCCCUCCAGAUGAAUAUGGAAGGGGGAGGCCGAAUUGGGAGGCGCCCAAGUAGGAUUCCUCCUACUUGGGGCGCCCCUUUGGCUGCCUCUCCCCCUCCAACCUAUAUAUAUGAGGGGGAGGCACUAGAACACACAACAUUGAUUCCUAGCCGUCUGCGGCGCCCCCCUCCACAGUUUACGCCUCCGGUCAUAUUCACGUAGUGCUUAGGCGAAGCCCUGCGUUGAUCACUUCACCAUCACUGUCACCACGCCGUCAUGCUGACGGAACUCUCCCUCGACACUUUGCUGGAUCAAGAGUUCGAGGGACGUCAUUGAGUUGAACGUGUGCAGAACUCGGAGGUGUCGUACAUUCGGUGCUUGAUCGGUCAGAACGAGAAGAAUUUCAACUGCGUUGUCAAACGCUUCCGCUUUCGGUCUACGAGGGUACGUGGACACACUCUCCCCCUCUCGUUGCUAUGCACCUCAUAGAUAGAUCUUGCGUGAGCGUAGGAAAUUUUUGAAAUUGCAUGCUACGUUUCCCAACAUCUAGGUUAAUAGGUUAGUCUCAAAAAUAUUAUAAAAUAGCAUAUUAAUGCAUAUAAAACAUCCAAAACAGAUAAUAUAAUAGCAUGGAACAAUCAAAAAUUAUAGAUACGUUGGAGACGUAUCACUUACCGCGCUGCAUUCAUGCCGACCCAGAGUACGCGGAGCCUCGCAAUCUGACCGGAGGGAGGGAGGGCGGCGCUGACCGACACGAUGAUACGUCUCCAACGUAUUUAUAAUUUUUGUUUGUUCCAUGCUAUUAUAUUAUCAAUCUUGGAUGUUUUAUAUACAUUUACAAGCAACUUUAUAUCAUUUUUUUUGGACUAACAUAUUAACUUAGUGCCCAGUGCUAGUUGCUGUUUUUUGCUUUUUUUUACUUUGCAGAAUAUCAGUACCAAAUGAAGUCCAAAUGCCACUUGGAGAUUUUUUUCUGGCAAUAAGAGACCCUGGAAGCUUUGGGAGGCCAUGAGUAGAUGAUGGAGUGGCCCACUAAGCACCAGGGCACGCCAGGGGCCUCUGGCGCACCCUGGUGGGUAGUGGGGCUCACAAGCCUCCGUUUGACCUACCUCCGCCUCUAUAAAUACUCUAAAAUUAGGAAACCUACCAGGGAGUCCACGAAAUACUUUUUCCGCCACCGCAAGUUUCAGAACCACGAGAUCCCAUCUAGAGGCCUCUUCCGGCACUCUGCCGGAGGGGGAAACGAUCACGGAGGGGUUCUUCAUCAUCCUUGUUGUCCCUCCGAUGAUGUGUAAGUAGUUUAUCACGGGCCUAUGGGUCUAUUGUUAGUAGCUAGAUGACUUCUUCUAUCUUUUUGAUCUUCAAUACAAUGUUCUCCUCGGUGUUCUUGGAGAUCUAUUUGAUGUAAUGACUUUUUGCAGUGUGUUUGUUGGGAUUCGAUGAACUGUGAAUUUAUGAUCAGAUCUAUCCAUGAAUAUUAUUUGAGUUUUCUCUGAACUCUUUUAUGCAUGAUUGUUAUAGCCUCGUAUUUCUUCUCCGAUUUAUUGGUUUGGUUUGGUCAACUAGGUUGAUUUAUCUUGCCAUGGGAAGGGGUGCUUUGUGAUGGGUUUGAUCUUGCGGUGCUCAAUCUCAGUGACAGAAAAAGACAUGACACGCAUGUAUCGUUGCUAUUAAGGGUAACAAGAUGGGAUUUAUUUCAUCCGUGAGUUUAUGUUAUCUACAUCAUGUCAUUUUUCUUAAGGAGUUACUUCGUUCUUUCGUGAACUUAAUACACUAGAUGCAUGCUGGAUAGCGGUCAAUGUGUGUAGUAAUAGUAGUAGAUGCAGAAUCAUUUCGGUCUGCUUGUCUCGGACAUGAUGGCUAUAUACAUGAACAUUGCCUUGGAUAUCAUUAUAAUUAUUUUCUUUUCUGUCAAUUUCCCAACAGUAAUUUGUUUACCCUCUGUAUGCUAUUUUUAUGAGAGAAGUCUUUAGUGAAAACUAUGGCCCCUGGGUCUAUUUCUAUCAUAUAUUAAAACCGAAAAUACAUUGCUGCAAAUUUCUUUUAUUAAUUUUAUUUUGUAUUUUUUUCAGUCUAUCUAUCAAAAUCUAUACAAUUUAAUCUUGCUCGUAACCAUUGAGGGAUUGACAACCCCUCGACGUGUUGUGUUGCAAUUAUUUGUUGUUUGUGUGCAGGUGUUGUUUACAUAGUGUUGCUUGGUUCUCCUACUGGAUUGAUAACCUUGGUUUCAUAACUGAGGGAAAUACUUAUCUCUAAUGCACUGCAUCAUCAUCUCCUCUUCGAGGAAAUCCUAAUGCAGCUCACAAGUAGCACAUGACCUCUGGGCAGUCACCCCUUCAAUGCGGACGCAGGUUUCCGAGGAACCAACUCCAGCUGCUGCGCCGCAUUGAAGCGGCUGACCGGCCCUUCGCAUGGCCUGGACGCGGAUAUUUAAGCCGUGCUCCGGCGCCGUCCACAUCGCAUCCUCCUCCUUCCUCCUUCCUCCUCCUCAUCCUCCUCCUCCUCGCCACACCCCCUCCACAUCUCCGGCGAUGGGCAAGUCCUGGGCGUCGGCGCCCGCAGGCGGGAUCUGGCGGCUUGUGGAGACGCUGCCCUCAGACUCCGGGGUCGUCAUCCUCGUCGGCUAGCGGUGACUCGACGCGGGCGGAGAUCAUCAUCUCCUCCAGCGACGAGGAGGACCAGCAACCGUCGUUGCCGCCGCCACAGUCCGCGUCAGCGGUGCCGGGCCAGGUCUACGCCCGCACCGACACGGAGUUCGAGGAGCAGAUGGAUCUGAUGCUCUAUCGCUCCUUCGUCAACACUAACGGUCCAGCUCCAUCACUGGGGCGCUCCUCCCUGUGAAGCCGGAGCCGGCGUCCCCUCCACGCUCUUCACCGCCGCGCAGCAGCGGCGUCCAAAUCGGACAUUCCAUCAAGGAAGAGCGGCUCUUGCCUCCACAGCCUCGGCGCACCAUGUAGGAAGAGCGGCUCUCGCCAUAGCACCGCGCACCAUGAAGGUGGAGUGGCUUUCACUGCCGUCCCUCUACGUCGUGAAGGGGGGGCGCCACUCGCCGCCGCCCCGCUGCAUCGUCAAGGAGGAGUUGUUUGGGAAUGUUGCAUGCAAAUCAAAAAACUUCUUACGAAUCACCCAAGAUAUAUCUAUGAGAAGAAUAGCAGCAAGAGGGAAGAGUGUGUCUACGUACCCUCGUAGACCGUUAAGCGGAAGCAUAUAUUACGCGGUUGGUAGUCGUACUCUUCGCGAUCUGAUCACGAUCCAAACCGAUCUAGCAUUGAACGGACGACACCUCCGAGUUUAGCGCACGCGCGGCUCGGUGACGUCUCCGACUCCUCGAUCCAGCAAGCGAGGGCAGAGAUGUAGAUGGGAUCACAACCAGCAUGACGGCGUGAUGGUGGUGGAAUUUCGGCAACGCUUCGCUAAGCGAAAAACUGGGGACAAGGAUUAUGCCGAGAGGAAAAACGGGGCAGCAACCAAGUCCAAUCUAUUAGGGGGCUUUGUUGCGCCCCUUCCCCUUUAUUUAUAUGCGUGGGAGGGCUAGGAGUCCAUCCCCUCCACCCCAUAUGGCUGGCGCACCAAGGGGAGAAGAGUUGGACUCCUAGUCCUUCUCCCCUUGGCCUCAUGGGUCUUUGGGGCUGGUGCACCCAGCCAAAAGAGGCCGAGCUCCUCCCCUUACCCCAUGAUGGCCCUCGGGACAUGGUGGACCCAUUUUGUGGACUUUCGCCCCCCCUUCCGGAAUCCUCAGAAGCUUCUGGAAGCUUCCCAGUACAAUACCGAAAAAUAGUUUUUUCCAGAAUCCCAAAAAAUCACUUUUCAUAUAUAAAUCUUUACUCUAGACUAUUCUGGAGCUCCUUGUGAUGUCCUGGAUCUUAUUCGGGACUCCGAACAACUUUCGGUCACCAAUACAAAUAUCCCAAUUCUACUCUAGUGUCAUCGAACGUUAAGCGCGCGACCCUGGAGGUUCGAGAAUCAUGUAGACAUGAUCGAGACACCUCUCCGGUCAAUAACCAACAGCAGGACUUGGAUGCCCAUUGGUUCCUACAUAUUCCACGAAGAUCUUCAUCGGUUGAACCACGAUGUCAAGGAUUCAGUUAAUCAUGUAUGCAAUUCCCUUUGUCUAGUGAUAUGUUACUUGUCCGAGAUACGAUCGUCGGUAUCUGCAUACCUAGUUCAAUCUCGUUAUCGGCAAGUCUAUUUACUCAUUCCGUAAUACAAGAUCCCGUGACUAACUCUUUAGCCACCUUGCUUGCAAGCUCUUUACGAUGUUGUAUUACCGAGAGGACCCAGAGAUAUCUCUCCGUCAUAUGGAGUGACAAAUCCCAGUCUCAAUCCAUGCCAACCCGACGGACACCUUCAGAGAUAUCUGCAGAGCAUAUUUAUGAUCACCCAGUUACGAAGUGAUGUUUGAUAGCACACAAGGUAUUCCUCCGGUAUAUGGGAGUUGCAUGAUCUCAUGGUCUUAGGAAUAGAUACUUGACAUGAAGAAAGUUGUAGUAAUAAACUUAAGUGAUACGAUCGUAUGCUAAGCUUACAGUUUGGUCUUGUCCAUCACAUCAUUCUCCUAAUGAUGUGAUCUCAUUAUCAAAUAACAACUCAUGUAAAUGGAUAGAAAACCUUAACCAUCUUUGAUCAACGAGCCAGUCUAGUAGAGGCUUGAUACGUCUCCAACGUAUCUAUAAUUUUUGAUUGUUCCAUGCUAUUAUAUUAUCCUUCUAAGAUGUUUUAUAUGCAUUUAUAUGCUAUUUUAUAUGAUUUUUGGGACUAACCUAUUAACCCAGAGCCCAGUGCCAGUUUCUGUUUUUUUCGUUGUUUUUGAGUAUUGCAGAAAAGGAAAACCAAACGGAGACCAAUUGACCUGAAAAUUGACGGAGCUUAUUUUUGGACCAGAAGAAGGCCACGGAGUCAAGGAGUUGGGCCAGAAGAGUCAUGGGCUGCCCACGAGGGUGGAGGGCGCACCCACCCCCUGGGCGCGCCCCCUGCCUCGUGGAUAGCCCGGAGACCCCCCUGACUUGUUCCCGACGCCAAAACCUCUCAUAUAUACCCAAACUUCCAGAACAUAACCUAGAUCGGGAGUUCCGCCACCGCAAGCCUCUGUAGCCACCAAAAACCAAUCGGGACCCUGUUCCGGCACCCUGUCGGAGGGGGGAUCCCUCACCUGUGGCCAUCUUCAUCAUCCCGGCGAUCUCCAUGACGAGGACGGAGUAGUUCACCCUCGGGGUUGAGGGUAUGUACCAGUAGCUAUGUGUUUGAUCUCUCUCUCUCGUGUUCUUGAUUUGGCACGAUCUUGAUGUAUCGCGAGCUUUGCUAUUAUAGUUGGAUCUUAUGAUGUUUCUCCCCCUCUACUCUCUUGUAAUGGAUUGAGUUUUCCCUUUGAAGUCAUCUUAUCCGAUUGAGUCUUUAAGGAUUUGAGAACACUUGAUGUAUGUCUUGCAUGUGCUUAUCUGUGGUGACAAUGGGAUAUUCACGUGAUCCACUUGAUGUAUGUUUUGGUGAUCAACUUGCGGGUUCCGUUUGUGAACUUAUGCAUAGGGGUUGGCACACGUUUUCGUCUUGACUCUCCGGUAGAAACUUUGGGGCACUCUUUGAAGUUCUAUGUGUUGGUUGAGUAGAUGAAUCUGAGAUUGUUUGAUGCAUAUCGUAUAAUCAUACCCACGGAUACUUGUGGUGACAUUGGAGUAUCUAGGUGACAUUAGGGUUUUGGUUGAUUUGUAUCUUAAGGUGUUAUUCUAGUACGAACUCUAUGAUAGAUUGAACGGAAAGAAUAGCUUCGUGUUAUUUUACUACGGACUCUUGAAUAGAUCGAUCCGAAAGAAUAACUUUGAGGUGGUUUCGUACCCUACAAUAAUCUCUUCGUUUGUUCUCCUCUAUUAGUGACUUUGGAGUGACUCUUUGUUGCAUGUUGAGGGAUAGUUAUAUGAUCCAAUUAUGUUAUUAUUGUUGAGAGAACUUGCACUAGUGAAAGUAUGAACCCUAGGCCUUGUUUCCUAGCAUUGCAAUACCGUUUACGCUCACUUUUAUCGCUUGUUACCUUGCUGUUUUUAUAAAUUCGGAUUACAAAAACCUAUAUCUACCAUCCAUAUUGCACUUGUAUCACCAUCUCUUCGCCGAACUAGUGCACCUAUACAAUUUACCAUUGUAUUGGGUGUGUUGGGGACACAAGAGACUCUUUGUUAUUUGGUUGCAGGGUUGCUUGAGAGAGACCAUCUUCAUCCUACGCCUCCCACGGAAUUAUAAACCUUAGGUCAUCCACUUGAGGGAAAUUUGCUACUGUCCUACAAACCUCUGCACUUGGAGGCCCAACAACGUCUACAAGAAGAAGGUUGCGUAGUAGACAUCAAGCAGUUUCUGGCGCCGUUGCCGGGGAGGUUAGUGCUUGAAGGUAUAUCUUUAGAUCUUGCAAUCGAAUCUUUUUGUUUCUUGUUUUAUCACUAGUUUAGUUUAUAAAAGAAAUCUACAAAAAAAUGGAAUUGAGGGUGCCUCAUAUGCUUCAUCUUUUUAAUAUCUUUCAUGAGAAUAAGGAUUCUGAUAAUUGUGCUCAAUUGCUAGAGGAAGAAUGCAUUAGAAUGUUUGGCACUAAAUCUUUGAAUGAUGAACAUGAUUGCAAUGUUGUUAGUAUGAACUCUUUGAAUAUUCAUAGUACUAAUGAUGAUUGCACUAGUCAUGAUGAAAAUGUCUCUUAUAAGCAUGUCAAUUUUUGUGGAGUGCAUAGAGUUUGCAAGUACACACCAAAUAGGGAAGAUAGAUUUUGCAAGAGGCAUAAGUAUUUAGAAACCAAAUGGUUGCAAGAGAGGCUAGAUGUUUGUGCUGAAAAUUUAAAAUUUCUUUACCAUACUUGUGAACUUUGCAAUGAACAUGGUUAUUUAAAUCUCUAAUGCAAAUUGUUUCAUGAUCGUAUCGUGUCCAAAAAUUGUGAUGACUUGAUUUCCCUUGCACAUCAUAAUGAACUUAGUUUGCUUUUGGGUUAUGAAGAAAUGAAACGUAUAACUAAGCAUAUUCCAGAAUAUAACCUUGAGAAAUUCCUCGAUAUUGAUCUAGAAGAAAUUUUUAUGUAUUGCGCGGUGAAUUGCAUUGAAAAUCCUUAUAUUGCCAAUUACAUAAAGAAAAGAAAACAAAUAGAAGAUGAAGAGAAUACUAAUGAAAGGGAAGAGACUUCCCAAUAUCCUCCUAUUAUUUCUUAUGAUGAAUCAGGCAACGAGGAGGAGCUUUGUAUUCAACCCAUCUCAUUAAUAAGGAGCUCGAAAAAGAGGGUUAAACCCACACAUGAUGUGAAGAAGAAAAAGGAAAGACGGAGAAGCAAAGGUAGAAAGGUAUCCCUCCCAAAUGAUGUUGCUCCUAUUACUCAUUGUGAUGAUGAUAAUUGCUAUACUAUUGGUGUUAUCUAUACUAUUAAUGAUGAGAGUGAUUAUGCUUAUGAUAUGAAAAGACCCAAGCUUGGGGAUGCUAUGUUUGAUGAGAAUGACAUGUUUGAGAAUAUAUUUUCUGCAAUUAAUGUUUGUCCCAAACUUGGGGAUGCUAUGUUUAAUGAAGAUGAUAUUUUUAGCCUCCCAAGUUUUGAUGAGCAAAUUUAUUAUGAUGUUAGCAUGCCUCCUACUUAUGAUGAUUAUUGUGAUGAUACUUAUGCUAUAAAGAGUAGUGAUGAUUAUAUUUAUAAAACUUGUCAUGAUUAUGAGUACCCUUUCUCUGAACAUUACUCUUUUAAUGUGGAAACAAUUUGUAGUAUUCGAGUCUCUUAUGAUACUCCCACUAUUCCGAAUGAGAAGAAUUUUGCUUAUGUGGAGAGUAAUAAAACUUCUAUGCUUGUAGAUCAUGAAAAUAAUGCUUUAUGUGAUGGUUAUAUUGUUGAAUUCAUUCAUGAUUCUACUGAAAAUUAUUAUGAGGGAGGAACAUAUGCUUGUAGGAGUUGCAAUAAUAUCAAGCUUCCUCUCUAUGUGCUUAAAAUUUUGAAGUUAUGCUUGUUUUGCCUUCCUAUGCUAGUUGAUUAUUGUUCCCAUAAGUUGUUUCCUCAAAAAAAUACCUAUGCAUAGGAAGUGGGUUAGACUUAAAUGUGCUAGUCAUAUUCUUCAUGAUGCUCUCUUUAUGUUUCAAAUCUUAUCUUUUAUGUGAGCAUCAUUGAAAUCAUCAUGCCUAGCUAGGGGCGUUAAACGUUAGUGCUUGUUGGGAGGUAACCCAAUUUUGUUUUUGUUCCUUGCUUUUCGUUCCUGUUUAGUAAUAAAUAAAUCAUCUAGCCUCUGUGUAGAUGUGGUUUUAUGUUUUAAUUAGUGUUUGUGCCAAGUAAGACCUAUGGGAUAGUUAAUUUGAUCUUGCUGUAAAAACAGAAACUUUGCGCUCAGUCCCAGAAUUGUUAAAAAUCACCAGAACGUGAUAAAUUACUGAUUCUUUUUGCAGAAGAUGAACAAACAAAUUACCUAGGACUUCCUGUUUUAUCAGAAUUUUUGGAGUUCCAGAAGUAUACGUUUGAUACUGAUUACUACAGACUGUUCUGUUUUUGACAGAUUCUGUUUUUCAUUGUGUUGUUUGCUUAUUUUGAUGAAUCUAUGAGUAGUAUCGGAGGGUAUGAACCAUAGAGAAGUUGGAAUACAGUAGAUAUUACACUAAUAUGAAUUUAGAAUGAGUUCACAACAGUACCUAAAGUGGUGAUUUAUUUUCUUAUACUAACGGAGCUUACGAGUUUUCUGUUAAGUUUUGUGUUGUGAAGUUUUCAAGUUUUGGGUAAAGAUUCGAUGGACUAUUGAAUAAGGAGUGGCAAGAGCCUAAGCUUGGGGAUGCCCAAGGCACCCCAAGGUAAUAUUCAAGGACAACCAAAAGCCUAAGCUUGGGGAUGCCCCGGAUGGCAUCCCCUCUUUCGUCUUUGUUCAUCGGUAACUUUACUUGGAGCUAUAUUUUUAUUCACCACAUGAUAUAUGUUUUGCUUGGAGUGUCAUUUUAUUUUAUUUUGUUUUGCUUGCUGUUUGAAUAAUAUCCCAAGAUCUGAAAUUCUUAAAUGUUAGAGAAUCUUCACAUAGUUACAUAAUUAUAUAGCUACUCAUUGAUCUUCACUUAUAUCUUUCGGAGUAGUUUGUCGUUUGCUCUAGUGCUUCACUUAUAUCUUUUAGAGCACGAUGGUAGUUCUAUUUUGAAGAAAUAGAUGAACUCUCAUGCUUCACUUAUAUUAUUUUGUGAAUCUUUAGAACAGCAUGGUAAUUUGCUUUGGUUAUGAAUUUAGUCCUAAUAUGAUGGGCAUCCAAGAGGGAUAUAAUAAAAACUUUCAUAUAAAGUGCAUUGAAUACUAUGAGAAGUUUGAUUCCUUAUGAUUGUUUUGAGAUAUGAAGAUGGUGAUAUUAGAGUCAUGCUAGUUGAGUGGAUGUGAAUUUGAUAAAUACUUGUUCUAAAGUUUGUGAUUCCCGUAGCAUGCACGUAUGGUGAACCGUUAUGUGAUGAAGUCGGAGCGUGAUUUAUUUAUUGAUUGUCUUCCUUAUGAGUGGCGGUCAGGGACGAGCGAUGGUCUUUUCCUACCAAUCUAUCCCCCUAGGAGCAUGCACGUAGUACUUUGUUUCGAUAACUAAUAGAUUUUUGCAAUAAGUAUAUGAGUUCUUUAUGACUAAUGUUGAGUCCAUGGAUUAUACGCACUCUCACCCUUCCACUAUUGCUAGCCUCUCUAAUACCGCGCAAUUUUUGCCGGUAUCAUACACCCACCAUAUAUCUUCCUCAAAACAGCCACCAUACCUACCUAUCAUGGCAUUUCCAUAGCCAUUCCGAGAUAUAUUGCCAUGCAACUUACCACCGUUCCGUUUAUUAUGACACGCUCCAUCAUUGUCAUAUUGCUUUGCAUGAUCAUGUAGUUGACAUCGUAUUUGUGGCAAAGCCACCGUUCAUUAUUUUCAUACGUGUCACUCCUGAUUCAUUGCAUAUCCCGGUACACCGCCGGAGGCAUUCACAUAGAGUAAUAUUUUUUUCUAAGUAUUGAGUUGUAAUUCUUGAGUUGUAAGUAAAUAAAAGUGUGAUGAUCAUCAUUAUUAGAGCAUUGUCCCAAGUGAGGAAAGGAUGAUGGAGACUAUGAUUCCCCCACAAGUCGGGAUGAGACUCCGGACUAAAAAAGAGAGGCCAAAAAAAGAGAAAAGGCCCAAAUAAAAAAAAUUAGAGAAAAAGAGAGAAGGGACAAUGUUAUUAUCCUUUUUCCACACUUGUGCUUAAAAGUAGCACCAGGAUCUUCAUGAUAGAGAGUCUCCUAUGAUAUCACUUUCACAUACUAGUGGGAACUUUACAUUAUAGAAUUUGGCUUGUAUAUUCCAAUGAUGGGCUUCCUCAAAUUGCCCUAGGUCUUCGUGAGCAAGCAAGUUGGAUGCACACCCACUUAGUUUAUUUUGUUGAGCUUUCAUACACUUAUAGCUCUAGUGCAUCCAUUGCAUGACAAUCCCUAUUCACUCACAUUGAUAUUUAUUAAUGGGCAUCUCCAUAGCCUGUUGAUACGCCUAGUUGAUGUGAGACUAUCUUCUCCUUUUUGUCUUCUCCACAAACCACCAUUCUAUUCCACCUAUAGUGCUAUGUCCAUGGCUCACGCUCAUGUAUUGCGUGAAAGUUAAAAAAAGUUUGAGAACAUCAAAAGUAUAAAACAAUUGCUUGGCUUGUCAUCGGGGUUGUGCAUGAUUUAAAUAUUUUGUGUGACGAAGAUAGAGCAAAGCCAGACUAUACGAUUUUGUAGGGAUAACUUUCUUUGGCCAUGUUAUUUUGAGAAGACAUGAUUGCUUUAUUAGUAUGCUUGAAGUAUUAUUGUUUUCAUGUCAAUAUUAAACUUUUGUUUUGAACUUAUGGAUCUGAAUAUUCUUGCCACAAUAAAGAAGAUUACAUUGAUAAAUAUGUUAGGUAGCAUUCCACAUCAAAAAUUCUGUUUUUAUCAUUUACCUACUCGAGGACGAGCAGGAAUUAAGCUUGGGGAUGCUAAUACGUCUCCAACGUAUCUAUAAUUUUUGAUUGUUCCAUGCUAUUAUAUUAUCCUUCUAAGAUGUUUUAUAUGCAUUUAUAUGCUAUUUUAUAUGAUUUUUGGGACUAACCUAUUAACCCAGAGCCUAGUGCCAGUUUCUGUUUUUUUUCGUUGUUUUUGAGUAUCGCAGAAAAGGAAAACCAAACGGAGACCAAUUGACCUGAAAAUUGACGGAGCUUAUUUUUGGACCAGAAGAAGGCCACGGAGUCAAGGAGUUGGGCCAGAAGAGUCCCGGGCUGCCCACGAGGGUGGAGGGCGCGCCCACCCCCCUGGGCGCGCCCCCUGCCUCGUGGACAGCCCGUAGACCCCCUGACUUGUUCCCGACACCAAAACCUCUCAUAUAUACCCAAACUUCCAGAACAUAACCUAGAUCGGGAGUUCCGCCGCCGCAAGCCUCUGUAGCCACCAAAAACCAAUCGGGACCCUGUUCUGGCACCCUGUCGGAGGGGGGAUCCCUCACCUGUGGCCAUCUUCAUCAUCCCGGCGAUCUCCAUGACGAGGAGGGAGUAGUUGUGACGCCCCAAGACCGGUGAUUCAGAAGACUUCCAUAUAUUUCGUGAUGUCCGUGUGUUUCUUUUUGCUUGCUCUAUUUAUUUUGCAUUGCAUCAUGUCAUCAUGCCAUCAUGUCAUUUAAUUUUUUAAAACUCAACUAAGUAAAUUGCAUGGAUCUUCGAUCCAUUUAAAUCGAGGGAAAUGCACAUGGUGAUUUCUCUUUAUAACAUAUAUCCUCCCAAUAUUAUUAGGGAGCUAUAUUAAAAUAUUCCAUUAAAUUGGAGUACACCAUAACACACUUGCAUAAUAAUUCCGUGCCUUUUUUGCUUCAAGUUUGGUCUGCAAACUCUGCCCUAAAUUCUUUCUUCACUUUCCGGAGCUCCACAAAAAAUCCGAACAUUUUUGGACCUUCCCAACCCUCACUUCUUAUUCAAAUCAUUUGAAUUUAUAUCUUUCAAUCAGGCCACUUCUAUUUUUCCUGGAUCAAGCGCAUUUUUAUGAGCCCGGGAAAAUUGUCCGCAUGCGCAAAUUCUUUCCCUAACCCUCUCUUUCUUUUCUUCUCUCUAAUUCUUUUCUUCUAAAGAAUAAGAGGGAGAAGAGAGCCCAGGCCUCUGGCCACUUCCUUCUCUACCGGGCCGGCCUCUAAGGCCCAGCCGCACCCCGCUGUUAACCCUAGCCCUGACCCCCCUCCUCUCGAUCUCUCCCUCUCGUACUCCCACACCGCCGCCACACACACGCAUCGCACAGGAGAGGAGCGCACGCGCCCGAUCCCCAUGGCGCCCCUGUUCCCGGUGCCCGUGGCCCUCGACGCUCGCCGGCGCUGCAGUUCUUCUCCAGUUCGUCGUCGUCCUCGCCUCGCCUCUGCCCUGACCCUGCCGCGGCCACCUCUCCUCGCCGCCGUCGCGCCCCCUUCCAUCUCCAGCCGCUCCUCUGCAGCUCCUCCCCUGCCUCGUCCUCCGGUUGGGGUGCUCCAAGAUCGCGCCCGCCGCUGCAGUUCGCCGCGCCUCCGCCUCCAGCCAUCACCAACGUCCGGCCACGUCCUCGCCUUGUACCCCGCCACCGCCGGAGCUGCUCCGUCCGCCUCGCGCUAGAGCCGUCGUUCCCGCGCCGCCGCCGUUCCCGUGCCAUCGACCUUCCCUUCGGCCUCUGUUGUCGCACCUCUGCGGUUCACGAUUGCCCUCUGCCUCGAGUCCGAGCUCGAGCCCUGCCCGACGCUGCCAUGGACAGCCACCUCGCCUGCAUCCUCUCGUCGGCCCUCUCUGCCUGCUGCCGUUCUGCCAUCUCCGGCCAACUCUACUGCCACCGCUGCUGCCUUGACCUCCCCUGGUUCAGCUUGUUUUGAAUGAACAGCAGCCCGAUGGCUUCUCUGCUCCAAGAUCCUUCUGCACGCCAAGGCCCGGUGCACCCCUCGAUUCGCCAAGUACCACGACACCCACGUUCGCCUGCAGAAUGUGUACCACUACCGUCGCAAGAACCGAGACCGGCAAGUCUGGAGACCGCCAAGUACACCUUCGGUUCACCAAGUACCUCACCGGACGUCUACGACCCGUGUACAACUACCGUCGCCAAGACCGGACCGACAAGUACCCCAACAACGUGUGUACCACUACCGUCGACCUCGAAGACUCCGUGGACGUCAAGUUCCUUGACGUGACCCCGAACAUCUACGGAGUGUGUACAACUACGAAACGUGUACAACCACUUCCCCUACGACCCGUGAACGACUACUUCCCUCGACGAUUUUGAACCGCCCCGAAAUGCACGCUUCAAAGGUAUAACCGCCGAGACGAUGACCCGUGGACGAAUGCAUGUUGUAUGAGAUGCUCGUGUUUGCACCGUGUCCGAGAGAGGUCUUUGCACGUUCCUCGAUUGCCAUGCCGCCGUACCGUGGGAACCCGGAAUCCGGGAGCACCCCACCAUCCUUGCAUGACACGCUCACGCCCACUUCUUUUGCACCGGUAUCUCCAUGAGCUACCGGAACCGAUAUGUUGCCGUGGCAUCAUUUUCGGAUUCGUUGCCGUGGCACCCCUUUCUUCCACCACGGUGACAAAUGCUUCAUAACAUGCUCAUGUCAACAUUUUCAUAAAAUGGCAUAAAACUUGCAUUUUCAUCCGCAUCAUGACAACAACAUUUAAAAUGUUUAUUAUUGUUGUUUCCUUUAAAUUGCUAAAUGACAUAUGGGGAUUUUCCGGAAUUGUUGUUUGUUAUUUCCGGCCUCAUUUAAACUUACCUAAAUAGUUAGUUUUCAUAUGCUUCACCUCUUGCCAUGUUAAUCUACAUUUAAUAUUGAUGAGUACCAUAAAUGAGAGCGAACUAAAUGAUUGAAUGUGGUGUUUCGUCAAUAUGCAACUCGUUGCAAAUUGAGCUCCACUUAAUUUGUAGAAUUGUUUGUUGCACUUUGCCAUGCCAUGCCUCAUUAAACCGGACAUGCAUCAUACUUGAUUGUGCACCGUGCCAUGUUGAUGUGAUGGUUGUUUACUAUGUUGUUUGUUUCUUUCCAGGUUGCCUCUCUCGUUAGCUUCGGUUUCAUUCCGGAGUUGUGAGGAUUCGUUCGACUUCGUCUGUUUGUCUUCUUCAUGGACUCGUUCUUCUUCCUAGCGGGAUCUUAGGCAAGAUGACCAUACCCUCGAAAUCACUUCUAUCUUUGCUUGCUAGUUGUUCGCUCUAUCACUAUGUUGCGCUACCUACCACUUGCUAUAUCAUGCCUCCCAUGUUGCCAUGUCAAGCCUCUAACCAUCCUUUCCUAGCAAACCGUUGUUUGGCUAAGUUACCGCUUUUGCUCAGCCCUUCUUAUAGCGUUGCUAGUUGCAGGUGAAGUUGAAGUUGGUUCCAUGUUGGAACAUGGAUAUGUUGGGAUAUCACAAUAUCUCUUAUUUAAUUAAUGCACCUAUAUAUUUGGUAAAGGGUGGAAGGCUCGGCCUUAUGCCUGGUGUUUUGUUCCACUCUUGCCGCCCUAGUUUCCGUCAUACCGGUGUUAUGUUCCUUGAUUUUGCAUCCCUUACGCGGUUGGGUGAUUUAUGGGACCCCUUGACAGUUCGCUUUGAAUAAAACUCCUCCAGCAAGGCCCAACCUUGGUUUUACCAUUUGCCUAUCACCUAUUUCUUUUCCCUAGGGAGUCGCGCUCCCGAGGGUCAUCUUUAUUUAACCCCCCCCCCCCGGGCCAGUGCUUCUCUAAGUGUUGGUCCGAACCGAGCAGCCUGCGGGGCCACCUCGGGGAAACUCGAGGCCUGGUUUUACUCGUAGCUUGACUUAUCCGGUGUUGCCCUGAGAACGAGAUAUGUGCAGCUCCUAUCGGGAUUGUCGGCACAUCGGGCGGCUUUGCUGGUCUUGUUUUACCAUUGUCGAAAUGUCUUGUAAACCGGGAUUCUGAGACUGAUCGGGUCUUCCCGGGAGAAGGAAUAUCCUUCGUUGACCGUGAGAGCUUAUAAUGGGCUAAGUUGGGACACCCCUGCAGGGUAUAAACUUUCGAGAGCCGUGCCCGCGGUUAUGUGGCAGAUGGGAAUUUGUCAAUGUCCGGUUGUAGAGAACUUGACACUUGACUUAAUUAAAAUGCAUCAACCGUGUGUGUAACCGUGAUGGUCUUUUUCGGCGGAGUCCGGGAAGUGAACACGGCUUUUGGGUUAUGUUUGACGUAAGUAGGGGUUCAGGAUCACUUCUUGAUCAUUGCUAGUUGACGACCGUUCCGUUGCUCCUCUUCUCGCUCUUAUUUGCGUAUGUUAGCCACCAUAUAUGCUUAGUGCUUGCUGCAGCUCCACCUCACUACCUUUUCCUACCCAUAAGCUUAAAUAGUCUUGAUCUCGCGGGUGUGAGAUUGCUGAGUCCGCGUGACUCACCAGAUACUUCCAAACAGUUGCAGGUGCCGACGAUACCAGUGCAGGUGAUGCUACCGAACUCAAGUGGGAGUUCGACGAGGACCUUGCUCGUUACUAUGUUUCGUUUCCUGUUGAUCAGUAGUGGAGCCCAGUUGGGACGAUUGGGGAUCUAGCAUUUGGGGUUGUCUUCUUUUCUUUUGGUUCCGUAGUCGGACCUAUGUGUGUACUCUGAUUGAUGUAUGUUUUAUUUAUGUAUUGUGUGAAGUGGCGAUUGUAAGCCAACUCUUUAUCCCAUUCUUGUUCAUUACAUGGGAUUGUGUGAAGAUGACCCUUCUUGCGACAAAACCACAAUGCGGUUAUGCCUCUAAGUCGUGCCUCGACACGUGGGAGAUAUAGCCGCAUCGUGGGCGUUACAGUAGUUCACCCUCGGGGCUGAGGGUAUGUACCAGUAGCUAUGUGUUUGAUCUCUCUCUCUCUCUCUCUCGUGUUCUUGAUUUGGCACGAUCUUGAUGUAUCGCGAGCUUUGCUAUUAUAGUUGGAUCUUAUGAUGUUUCUCCCCCUCUACUCUCUUGUAAUGGAUUGAGUUUUCCCUUUGAAGUCAUCUUAUCGGAUUGAGUUUUUAAGGAUUUGAGAACAUUUGAUGUAUGUCUUGCAUGUGCUUAUCUGUGGUGACAAUGGGAUAUUCACGUGAUCCACUUGAUGUAUGUUUUGGUGAUCAACUUGCGGGUUCCGUUUGUGAACUUAUGCAUAGGGGUUGGCACACGUUUUCGUCUUGACUCUCCGGUAGAAACUUUGGGGCACUCUUUGAAGUUCUAUGUGUUGGUUGAGUAGAUGAAUCUGAGAUUGUUUGAUGCAUAUCGUAUAAUCAUACCCACGGAUACUUGUGGUGACAUUGGAGUAUCUAGGUGACAUUAGGGUUUUGGUUGAUUUGUAUCUUAAGGUGUUAUUCUAGUAUGAACUCUAUGAUAGAUUGAACGGAAAGAAUAGCUUCGUGUUAUUUUACAACGGACUCUUGAAUAGAUCGAUCCGAAAGAAUAACUUUGAGGUGGUUUCGUACCCUACAAUAAUCUCUUCGUUUGUUCUCCUUUAUUAGUGACUUUGGAGUGACUCUUUGUUGCAUGUUUAGGGAUAGUUAUAUGAUCCAAUUAUGUUAUUAUUGUUGAGAGAACUUGCACUAGUGAAAGUAUGAACCCUAGGCCUUGUUUCCUAGCAUUGCAAUACCGUUUACGCUCACUUUUAUCGCUUGUUACCUUGCUGUUUUUAUAAAUUCAGAUUACAAAAACCUAUAUCUACCAUCCAUAUUGCACUUGUAUCACCAUCUCUUCGCCGAACUAGUGCACCUAUACAAUUUAGGGCUUAUUCCAUCUGUGCCCCCAAUUCCUUAGUUGUGCUCAGUUUUCCCCACGCUUCAAACUUUUGCUCACUUUUCCCCACUCCCUUAGCUGAAACUCUCACAAAUGUUCAUAACAGACGUUUGCCGUCUUGGCCGUUAACUGACUUGUGGGGCCACGUUGGACUCUGUUGACUGUGGUUGUGGCUUCGCUGGUUGGGCCGUGUUUGUGUUCAUAGGACGGGCCCGUUAGUUUGUUGGGAAUAAAUUAAAAAAGCCUUCUAUCGAUGGAUGCAGCCUGCUAUGCAUGCCCGGCUUUGGCAUCGAUUUAGCCUGCUAUGCAUGCGAACACCGCCACGCACACAUCUAGUGACCUAGACCUAAACGCAUGCAUGCACGCCGAGACGCACGCAUCGAUCCUUGCCGCCCGGUUGCCGGUGAAUUUAGUCGCUCCGCAGCGUCGUUUCACGCGUCGCAGGCAUAAGUGCCGGUGGCAGAAGGGGCAGGCUGCACGCACGCUCGCGUCUAUGUCGAGGCAUCGGUUCACGCCGCACGAGUGCCGCUCGAUUCAGUUGUGGGAGGCAGGCAGCCGCCAACGCAGAGCACGCAGAAGGGGGAGGCAGGCAGCCGCCAACGCAGAGCACGCAGAAGGGGGAGGCAGGCAACUGCCAACGCAGAGCACGCAAAGCACGUUCGCAUGGAUUCACGUUCACACAUUUAUGAUCGCAUCGGUUCACGCAGGCACUGAGUCACGAUCUACGCCGUUUGCGCGUGUACCCACUUCGUCUCUCCUGGCUAUUUAAACUGCCCUUCAUUGCCUCUUCUUCUACAGAUCCAUCUGCGCCUCCCACUUCUCUUCUUCCCCCAAAAGCCAAAGCCGUUCCACUCAGCGAAGCGUUUCAAGAUGCAGUACAACGGGCCGACGUUCCAAGUGCCGCCCACCGUGCCGGAACGGCGGUACCCCGCCAACGUCGUUGUCGAGGGAUCGCUCCGCGUGUGGGUGAUCUCACGCUGGAGGGGUAGCACUGAGCUUGCACGGGGGUUCCUCCGUGCGGGCUUCCACCACCUCCCGCCGGGCUCGCCGCCCAUGUUCAACCUCGUGGAGCAGCGUCCCCACGCCAACGCUCCAGUGGUAGGGCUCGUCGUCCACUUCACCAACAGGUUCGAUGCCUACUACCUGCUCGGCAAGGUGUAUUGGUGUGGGUGCGAGUUCAUCGCAUUCACCACCCAUAACAUCUUCACGGACUUCGAGAGCGUCUUCCCCGCUCGCAACCGCAUGCACAGCCUCCCGUACUACGUCGGCAACAACGGCCUUGAGGAGGAGGAGUACUGAAGCCGACGGCGAAGAAGACGGUGAAGCCGGCGGUGUGCGUGUUGCCCUAGCUACCCUAUCCCUAUCUACUAUGUAGUGUGAGUGUGAGUUUGGUGUGCGUGUUGCCCGACCUAGCUAUGUAAGAACUUGGGAACUUAUGUUGCCCUAGCAACCCUAUCUAUUUAUGUGUGUUAUAUUAAUGUUUUGUUAUGUUUGUUGCCCUAGCAACCCUACUAUCUAAGUUAAUUUAUGUGUGUUAUAUUAAUGCUUUGUUAUGUUUUUAUUUCCCUUUGUAUUUUGUUUGUCCCAAGUUUAGACACGGCUAAUUGGCGUGGGGAAAAUUAACCAAACUAACUAAAAAUGAUGUGUUCAUAGAUGCCUUCUAAAAAUAAGAACAUAUUGUACAUUUGUACACGGCUUUGGUUUGUGAGCUCUGUAUUUUUUAGGUAUUCCAAGAAUACUUUGGUUUUCAGAAAUAUUGAAGUAUCAAAUACUUUGAGAUGUUUGGCUUUAGUCAAAAGUGUAGUUUUAUAUACUUUAAUAUGUAGAAAACUACACUAUGUUUGAAGUAUAUAAAAAAGAGGGUUGGACCUCUUUUUCCAAUCAUGAAGUAUUGGUUCUCUAGGCAUAAUAAUACUGCGGUUUGCAAAUACUUUGAUUCUAAAAAAUGAAGGGACCCAUAAAGGAAAGCAAAAAAAAUCCUCAAUGAGAUAGAAGAGAUUGGGCAAUCAAAUUAAUUAAAAAAGCAAUCAGAAACAAAAAAGGACAAAGCAAUCGUUCCUAAACAAAAAAAAGAAACAUCGCUUGUUUCUGGGCCUCAUUUAUCCUUUGUGGGCCUAUUGCAGCUUGAUUCUCUUUGGGCCCGCGAACUAGGUUUCUAGCAGAACUGACGAACUCGAGGACAAAAGUUUGGCAAGUGCGAGAGAGAAGAGAUGAACUUGAUGUAUAUCCCUUGUGCUGCUCAAGUACUGCUUACUGUCAUCUGACGAGCUAGGGUAUGAUCCAACACUCAAGGUUAUUUGCUAACAAAAUAAUCCUAUCACUGAACUGGUACUUGUCUUCUGCCGAAACUGAAAGUGUCGAAACUUAACAGUAAACUGCAUACAUUCAGAGAUCGACAGUUGCACUAAACAGAGUUGCAUUUGAGAUAAACAGACUUGGAUUGCUAAACAGUGGCAACAACAGUAGACAAACAUCUCUAAUGAGAGAUGGCCAUCAAGUAAAAAAUUCCUAGAGAAAGUAUUCCUAAAGCUAUCAGAUUGGAUUGCUUCUUCAACUCAAUCAGCUGCUUGAAGUUCUUGUUCAUCUUCUUCAAUUCCGUCUUCAGUUCGACAUCUACCACCGUCGGGUAUUCCGGACGCGCUGCUGCUGCCGGAGCGGCACUGUCAUGGGGCAGAUUGAACUCGCGGAUUGCAUUCCCCCUCGAAUCCAGCAAGCCCAACCCUUGAAGCCUCUGGAUGUAAUCAUCCAUCCACUCGAAAUGGUGGCAUUUCUUCACGAUCUAAAAACGAAAUGUGAUAGAUUUUUUGAGAAAUUAGAGAUAAAGGAUGCGAGGAAAACUCAGAUCUAACCUGCCCCUCCGGCUUGCUCUCGCAUUUGACGAACUCGUGCCCAAAGUUCCCAUUCUUCUCCUCCUUCGAAGUCAACCGCUUCAGUGGCGCAGUCCGUGGGCAGUCAGUGCAUCGAGUCAUCGGCACUGGACCAUACACCGGCCACGUGGAACGGGGGGCUGACGAGGAGGUCGACAUAUCGCCCGAGAGGAAGAAACAGAGGAAUUGCUCGAGAGGAAGAAGAACGAGAAGAUGGGGAAAGAAAUAGAGGAAUUGCUCGAGAGGAAGAAGAACGAGAAGAUGGGGAAAGAAACAGAGGAAUUGCCCUAUCUGCUCGAUGCCUUUGUCUGUCAGAUGGAGAAGAGGAGAAGGGGAAGCUAUAUUGACAAUUUGCCACAUUGUAUUUUGUAGUUUGAAUAUUUGAACCAACUCUUAACACUGACAUGUGGUGGUCAUGUGCGAAAAAUACAAUUUCAUAUGUAAAGUGGGGCAGAUCGUAAAAACCCGAGAAGGACAGUGCAGUAGCCAAUCAGGAUGCAUCACGCGGAUCGCGCAUGCCUGCCCACAUCUGACGGGUGGUGUUUGGUGCUUGGUAGGAUCCGACGACGGACGUUCGACGCUAGGGUUUGGAGCAUUUCUGCGGGGUUAUGAGCGAGUCAACGGGGUUAUUAGGGUUUGACCAGAUUUCAAAUGGCCAUAACUAAAUUAGAAAAAAUCGCAAAAAUAUAAAACAAACGUAGUUCGUCCGUUUAUGAGACCUAGUUACCAUAAAAAAUAUAAACUCGGUAUAGGGGCAUUUUUUUGAAAAAUCAUUUUUUGAAGUGAUCUGUCAAAAUCAAGUUCAAAUGUUUUUAAAAAAUUCAAAAAAACUCAAAAUGUUGUAAUUCUUGUGCACAUAGCCGUCAUAUGUGACAAGGUUAUGAGAAAAAUAUAUAAACUUGGUGUAGGUCAUUUUCAUGAAAAAAGGCUUCACACAAAUGAGCUAUCACCUAUGAACAUGUUCAGAGUUCGUAUAAUAGGGAGAGAGGGUUUAGGGUUUGAAAAAAAAUCAAAAAAUUCAAAAAAAUCAGAAAAAAUCUCCAUAGCUUCAUUUUCGAGUGAAUAAGAAGGAUCUGAACUUACUUUUUCAUUUUCAUAUCUAAAACGUGUUAUUUCACGGUUUUGAAUUAAAAGCAUAUUUUUUCAAAAAAAAUGUAGUAAUAUGAAUAUUAAUCAAUAAAUAGUGAGACUUCGUUUUUACCAUAUAUAUAUGGAACAAGUGUUCAUAAAAAUAUAUAUGCCUCAUUUAGCCAAGGUAAAAAAAACUUGAUUUCAAAUAGGGCUGUUUACCCUAGCUUUCGAGCUUGUUUCUAGCACAUUUCUCAUUCGGACUGUUCACCUACGAAUAUUGGGCUUCAAAUGCUCGAUCAAAUACACCACACAGAGCAAUGAACCUCCAAUGUUCAACUUCAACUUUGGCUCGAAUCCAAAUUUUGGCCCAAAUUAAAAUAUUGAUUUAAAUUCAAAUUUUGAUGGAAAUUUGAAUUCUGACACAAAUAAGAAACCAAAGUAGAAGCAACAUUAUUACAAGGGAUCCCUUAUUACAACUGAUAAGUUUUCACAGUAGCUCAAAUAUACCAAGUUUUAAGAUGCCAACAUCUUAAUACAAAUCUACCAAGUUUUAAGCGAUCGACUCGCCCUCAAAUUGACAACACAAACAUUUCCCAACAACUUAAUUUAAAUUUUCGACUUGCUCCUUGUGUUUGUAGCUGGCUUCACCGUCUUGCUCCUGGUUUCCCUAGUUGAGAUGCUCUUUUCUUUCAGACUCUUGUUCCUUUUGAUCUUGGGCUUUACUUGGGGUUUUCCCCGUGGAGGUGUUGAUGGAGUAGUUCCACUCGCCGAGCACUUGACGACCAUUUGACGGUCAUCUAUGGGUUCAAUAAUCUUUAAAGGCACAGUUGGAAAAAUUACCCCCUCCUCUUCCUCUCUUAUAGCUUCAAAACAUCAAAGGCCAUGGUUUCAAAAUCUUCUGCUUCUUCAUCUCUUGGCCUUUUCUCCCUAGAGCUGGUAAAUAAAAUUAUAAGCCAUAGGCAAAAAAGACAACAAAUGCAAACAAAAGGGUAGCUGCAUUCUACAAAGGGUGCAAACACAUACCAAGAUGCUUCAUUUGCUGCUGCAUUCUCCGCUGCUUCAAUUGCUGCUGCAUUCUCCACUGCAUCUUCAGUCUCCAUUGCUGCUGCAUUCUCCUCAGCAUUGGCUGCUGUCCAUUUUUCCUCCUCUCCAAAUGAUGCAUCCACUGCAUUGGUACAAAGCCUAGCAAUAUGCCCCAGAACUCCACAUUUUUUGCAAGCACGCUUCUUUGGUAGACGACCCUCCUCACCUGCUCUAAUCCUUUGGUUCCUUGGUCUUCCUGGUGGUCUAGUAAUGACAGGAGCGUGGAGUUUGAACCCUGGAUCUACUAUGUUCCAUUGAUCUUUCCCCAAUAGUGCAGGCACAUUGUCAGCAUAAGCAGACAUAAAUUUGGCAACAGAGAAAUACUCAGAGCAAUAUUGAUCAACUUCACCAUCUGCACCCCCGAUAACGGUCAUCAGAUGUAGGGCAUGUAUGCAUGGCUUCCCACGGAUCUGCCAUUGCCUACAAGUACAUUCUCUAGUACUUAGGUUCACAGGAUACCUCCAUACCCUAUUUUUAGUGUCAGUAUAUGUAACCUUUCCCUCAUAUGUACCAGAUCGAAUACAUUUCAUCUUCAGUCCUCUUGCCUUCAAGUGCAAUGCCUUAAUCAGUGAUGGGAGCAUGUGAUGACCAACAUAUUGUGUUUCUGCAAUUCUUUUGCGAAGAGCCAUCUUUAUCAUGAUCAUUUGCCUCAUCUUGUCAAAUGCUUGCCACAACAAGAGCCCUUUCACUGACUUGAACUUUGAAUUGAAGCAUUCUGCAAGGUUACUGGUCACAUAAUCUACUUUGCAGAUUUCGUUGAAUUGGCUUCUUGACCACACCUUACCAUGAUGUGCAUCCAUGUACUCCUUCACAAGAGGAUUUUGAGCAUACAACACUCUCAAAUGGUGUUCAUGCUUCCUUUUGCUGCAUGUGUAUGAUGCUGGCCAUAAGUUCUCAUCAUAAACUUUACCUUUGAACUUCUUUUUGAAAUUAUGCGCUAGGUGUCGCAUACAUUCCCUAUGCUCCACUCCAGGGAAUACAAUUUCCACUGCACUCUCUAAACCCUUGCAAGCAUCUGUGUGUAUAGCUAAACCUGGGGGUGUGCCUAUAAUGUUGCGCAACUGCUGUAGAAACCAGACCCAACUUUCCUCAGACUCUGCCUCCACCACACCAAAUGCAACUGGGAAUAGCCAGUUGUGUCUAUCAACUGCAGAAGCUGCUACUAGCUGUCCUCUCCAUCUUCCAGUCAAAUGUGUAGCAUCUACAGCCAAAUAGGGCCUGCAACCAUCUAGAAACCCCUGCCAGCAAGCCUUGAAACAAACAAAAGCCCUUCUGAAGCACUCCUUCUGAAAUGACUUCCCUUUUAUUUUGAAUGGAACUGUAUGCUUGUCAAUCUCUACAACACUCCCUGGACUUGCCAUCUCCACUUCAGCUUUGAAAGUGUAAAGCAGCUGAAAACUGUCAUUCCAUUGACCAUUAAUUCUGUCAAGAGCCCUUUCCCUAGCAUUGAAAAUUCUCAUGUAAGGAAUUUCUAUCUUGUACUUCUCAAACAGCUUCCCAUGGAGUGCUGUUGGACCAAGUCCAGGUUCUUCUCUCAGCCAAUCCAAUAUAGCAUCUGCCACCCACCUAGUUUUUGCUAGCUUGGUUUUGGCCUUCCCCCCUCCCCCUCCAGGUGGACAUGUGUGCUUGUGUGGGUUUUUCUUUAUCUGAAACAAAAUAAAAGGGUAAAAAACAGUUGAGAAACCUUACUCAACGAUCUGAAACUAAAUUACUAACUGAACUUGGAUUACCUGAAUAUAUUUGCUCUUGAUCAUAUGAGAUGCAUGCAACUUCCACCUACACCUAGGAUAUGGACAAAAUACUCUGAACCUUGCUGGCUCACUCCUUUUAAUCUUAUAGGUGUUUUCAGAUAUAAUACACCAUGUUGUCACUGCAUUCCGACAGUCCACCAUUGAUUGGAAAAUGGUACCUACACUAAGCUCAGGUUUUCCCCUGUUCCACUCAAUUGUUGGCAUGUCAUCACCAUCGUAUUCAUCCUCGAUUAAGCUCUCCAUGUUCUCCACCUUCUCUUCAUCGUCAGUGUCAUCAAACCUAGCUUGGCUGAUGGGCUCCUCCAUAUAUUCGUCAUCCACUGCUUGCUGACUGGCUACAUCGACCAGUUCAGGAAACAUCAUCUCGUCUUCAUCAUCAUUUGUAGGCACUGCCUCGUCAGGUUCUGCAUCUUCUUCUACACCAACUGCAGAAGGUACACGAGAAGCAGCAGCUGAAUCGGAACCAGAAUUGGCAGCAGGCAUGUUCUGGCUCCAUGAAUCGGCACCUACAAGGAGUGCCGGGGUGCUGGCUAUUAGCACAGACAGAUGAUGUCUGAACUCCCUUCCCCUUCGCCCGUUCUGCGCGUGGCUGAAGCACAUCGAUUUGGAGUUUACCAAAUCGGCAGCCAGCAAUCCCAGCAAAAAGCAACGGCAUAUGAUCGUCGCAAGUUAGUGGGAGAAAUCUUUGCUCGUCACUGCUGAAGUAAUUCAGUUCAACAGCAUCGGCAUCACUCCAGGGAUAGGUGUUUCGGAGCUCAGCUCGCAAAUCUUUGAAAGAUAUGCUGGUUUCUACCACUUUGGGAUAGAAAAAUGAUGAAAUCAAAUGCGGUUUAGUACCACGCAGCACACUAGUUUCCAUUCUAAUCGCCAGCCGGAAAGCCAGCGCGGGAUCAAUCCUAUUUUGUUGAAGGAAACAAAGGCUUCAGUUAGCCGGGUAAAAUCGAGCACAAAUUCAAACGAUUCAAGCAAACAGAAGUCAAAUACGGCCUACAAUACGACUUAGAACGUCAAUUCGAGAGGAAACAAUGCUUACCCAGGUUUAAUCCAUGAAUUAUCUGCCACAGAUUCCACCCAAUCCUCUCCACGGUCGACUGCAUUCCGGCCAUCCUCACUCAACAUCGCUAUGUAAUCCCAGGUGGGGAGGUGGGCUAUAUCUGGCGGAGACGCGGCGUCGCCGACGAACUGAAUAGGGGCAUAGGGUGGAGGAAACAACUGUCGUGGACGCGGCACGGCGCCGGCGGAGGGGGAGGGGCGGCGCGGUGCAGUGCGGCCUAUCUAGAUUGUGUUUCAGAUUCAGACAAGCUGCCCAAUACGUGUCUCCUUGCGGUCCCACCCGUCAGCAAGCAACAGUCAGACGAAGACUCGGCCCCACUCGUCAGCAAUUAACGGUCAAUGGACGGUCAAGACGGCAAACGCCCGCUAUGAGCAUUUGUGAGAGUUUCAGCUAAGGAAGAGGGGAAAAGUGAGCAAAAGUUUGGAGCGUGGGGAAAAGUGAGCACAACUAAGGAACCAGGGGCACUAAUUUAAAUAUCCCUACAAUUUACCAUUGUAUUGGGUGUGUUGGGGACACAAGAGACUCUUUGUUAUUUGGUUGCAGGGUUGCUUGAGAGAGACCAUCUUCAUCCUACGCCUCCCACGGAAUUAUAAACCUUAGGUCAUCCACUUGAGGGAAAUUUGCUACUGUCCUAGAAACCUCUGCACUUGGAGGCCCAACAACGUCUACAAGAAGAAGGUUGCGUAGUAGACAUCAAGGAUCACUAGGGACACGGUUUUGUUUAUCUAUUCACACAUGUAUUUAAGUUUCCGGUCAAUACAAUUCUAGCAUGAAUAAUAAACAUUUAUCAGGAAUAGGGAAAUAUGGUAAUAACCAAUUUAUUUUGCCUCUAGGGCAUAUUUCCAACAGGACCGCCGCUCGCCGCGACCCCUGCCCAAGGCGCGGACGCAUUCUGCACUACCUCCACGGUGCCUCCUCGUCAUCGUCGUCGUCCUGGAGCGCCAUGACAGCGCGGGAGUACGCCGACCGGGAGCAGCGUCGACGAGACAGGUGCAACGCCGCGCGCCGAUCCCAGUUCGCGGACUCCGGCGUCCCGCCACCACACAUCGUGGCGGACCCAUACCUGUCGUAUGCCUGGGCCCUAGACCGCUCCGUGACGACAUCGAAGACGGCCAAGCACCGUCUCCGCCGCCUCAAUGAGGAAAUGGCUAGGUACGGCGAGGAAUGGUCCCUCGUCGAGAUCGCUGCCGCCGAAGUCGACGCCUCCAACGGCAGCCGCCCUCUCCCCCAGCCCACGUCCUCGAUGGCCGAGGCCGCACUGCGCAUGGCGCAGGAGGCGGCGGAGAGGAUUAUCCGUGAGCGUUAGGCGGACGCCGGAAAGCCCUACCGCGACGCCACCACCUUCCGCCGCCCCAAAGCCCGACGACGACGGCGGCGGCGGGUCGGGCGACGAUGACGAAGGAGGAGUUGCCGACCAGCCCGGCAUUGGCUACGAGGUCACCGUGAAGUAUUAGGAUAGUUUAGGGAUUUAGUUUUAGGGUUUUAGUUCACCGGGCGAAAUAUCGUCCAGUUUUAUGUCCAAAGUAUCCUACUUUCAAUGAAAUCCGUUGUGUUUAUAUCUAAUCUGCACUUGUUUGCACGAAUUUCGUCCGGUUGAUUUAAUUUGUUGUGAAAAUGUAUGCGGCUAGCGUUGGAUGUUACCUCCCGCAGUGUCCACGGACUGGACCCUCCCUCUCCGCGGACGGAUGGGAGAGAUUUUUUGUGGGUUGCUGUUGGAGAUGUGCUUAAUACAACUUUGUACUAAAAUUAGUACAAAGUUGAGACACUUAUUUUAGGACGGAGGGAGUAGAAUUCAGAAUAGAAGUCCCUUUGCACCUAAAAAAUAUCUCGGCGUGCGCUUUUUCAGAAAGAAAGAAAACCUAUCUUUGCGUAUUCUAUAGGAAAAAAUUAUCUCGCUCUCUGCUGCCACGAAUGACAUGUGGGGCCCAAAGCCACCGCACAACAAUUCCGAAGGUCGAACCUCUAGAACAUUCGCCAUCAGCGGUCGAAAGACCCCCUUUCAGAAGUUUCCAUCGCCUUCCAGACUCGCCGCUCCAGCCACCUACAUAAACUCCCUCGCCAUCUCAUCCCCACCAAAGCAUUCGACAAAAUUCAACCAGCAAUCCAACGCAAGACCAACCCGAGGAGAUCGACCGAGCUCAAGAUCCGCGAGCGAGAAUGGCGGGCAUGGUGUUCGGCUUGGAGAACCCGAUGAUGACGGCGCUGCAGCACCUGCUGGACAUCCCGGACGGCGAGGCCGGCAACACCGCCGGCGGCGAGAAGCAGGGCCCGACGCGCGCCUACGUCCGGGACGCGCGCGCCAUGGCGGCCACCCCGGCCGACGUUAAGGAGCUGCCGGGCGCGUACGCGUUCGUGGUGGACAUGCCGGGGCUGGGGUCCGGCGACAUCAAGGUGCAGGUGGAGGACGAGCGGGUGCUGGUGAUCAGCGGCGAGCGCAGGAGGGAGGAGAAGGAGGAAGCCAAGUACAUGCGGAUGGAGCGCCGCAUGGGGAAGCUGAUGCGCAAGUUCGUGCUGCCAGAGAACGCCGACAUGGAGAAGAUCUCCGCCGCGUGCCGCGACGGCGUGCUCACCGUCACCGUCGAGAAGCUGCCGCCGCCCGAGCCGAAGAAGCCCAAGACCAUCCAGGUCCAGGUCGCCUGAGCUGAGAUGCAUGGUGUGCGGGUCGAAUCGAAGCAGAGUGUGAGUGAGUAGCGAGUUUCCUGUGAUGAGUAAUGGAUGGUUUGCUGUUUCGUUAAUGGAAAUGGGGAAUUGGGGAUGUUCUCUGGUUUCGCCUGAAUAAAACAUGCGAUUCUCUCGGCCACAUUUUCGAUUGAAAAAUCCAAGAUACCCGUGUUCAGAAAAUUCAGAAACAUGUAAUUCAGGAAAACUGGAUAAGACCACAACAUGUGGAAUAGCAAAAAUUAGGUGGAAAACGAACUAGCUCUGACACCAGGGAGAAAAAUCCUGGAUGUCUUGCAUUUUCAUCUUGACAAAUGGCUGCCUGGGAAGAUAGAAAAAAUAAAUUCUAAUUAGAAUUAAGAAUUCAGAAAUGUUAUUCUGCUUUGCGUGAAAGAAACAUGUGACAAUCUUUUUUUCUUGCACAAGAAACAUGUGAGAAUCUCCAAAUUCGAUUAAUCGAGGUAUGAGGAUAUGUGAGAUAACCGAUUCAGUGUAUUAUGAACUGAUUUUCAAAUACAUUUAUUUUGACACAACGAAAAAUAAAGCAGCCAUGAUUGUGUGGGGGCUAAAAGAGUGAUGUGUUAUAUGCACAAACUUCUUUAUCUUGACAGAACUUGGGAAAUGCCGUGGUACUCUCGGGUGUGAGUACAUAUGUGGGAGGUAAUUCCAAACAAAAACAUAAAAAAUCUGAAACAUUUUCAAAAACAAAUUUGACCUUCUGUUAUGCCAAGAAAAAAAAAGGUCCCGUCAACUUCGGAAAAUAAAAAUCAGACGACGAAAAACGUGAAUAAUAACUUGUAUAUAUUGUUGAUCUUUUUCACCGAAAAUAUUGUGAAAGUCAUUUCCCGUGAAAGCAAUUUCUUGGCCAAAGUUUUUAUACAAAUACAACGAGAGUAGGACAUUUUGGAGACCAAAUCCAAUAGAGGCCUUAGUUAAAAAAACAUUUUUUAAUUUAAAAAACUAAAAAAUCAGUAUGCUUGUAUACAAGGAGUCAAGGAUAUAAUGUGUAUGUGUGUAAAAAUAUAGGAUGAUAUACCUUAAAAUUUGAGCUUCACAAAAAAGGUGACGGCCUUUGAGGAUCAACAAUACAUAUGCUAAAAAUGCACAAAAUUGUCUUUUUUGUAGCCAUCAUAUUUGACCAGAAAAUUAACACAAAUGUAUAUUAUGUCUCUAGGUAUAUGUGUAUUUUUUCAGAAUUUUUUAAAGCUGGAAAGUUUGAAUUUCAAAGUUUUCAAAUUAAGACCUCCAUGGAGCUCGGGCUCCAUUUGAAAUUUUCAUACAACAGAAGGUCAACUUUGUUUACCAAAAUGUUUUGUCUUUUUUGACUCUUUUUGGAAUUACUAAAAAAAUAUCAUAUCAGGUGCACUUGCACCCCAGAGCUGGGACAAGCACCUUUGGCUCUCGGGUGUAGGUGCACCCUAUAUGGGAAGAAAAAUAGCAAUUUUGAAAAAAGUGAUAAAUUAGGAAACUUUUUGUUAAUGAAUGACUUUCAUUCUAUUCUAGGUGGAAAAAUCAGCACUAUAUACAAGCUAAUAUUCAUGCUUUUGUCCUUGAUUUUUCUUUGCACUAAAGGCGACGGGAGUUUUUUCUUAAUGAAACUUUUUAAACAAGUACAAUUGAACGUCAACUUUGUUUCUAAAAAUAUUUAAGAGCUUUUUGACCUUUCCUGGCCCCAUAUAGGUUGCACCUACACCCAAGAGCCAAAAGGUAUUUCUUCGGAUUGAAAAUGAUAUUUACAGAAUUAAAGAGUUAAUGCGUGUCUGAGCGAGCUUUUGCUAGGGCAGUCCAAUAUGAUGGUGACUAAUGGGUUUUUUCACCACUCCCCACAAAAGGUGUAAUUAGAGCUUAGCCUCAAACUAUGUUACCUUUUUUUCUCUGCUAAUAGAAACAAGAGUGGUCCUCGCAGUUUGGAAACAAGAAUGGUCUUAUUAAUAGCAAGGUGUACCUUAAGAAAAUUGUUUUAAUUCAUUUAUCUUUUCUUAGUGGACGUGAAAUCUUUUCGUGGCCUUUUUCCUGAAUGGCUUUAUUUGAUUUAAUCCCUUUUGCAUAAAAUGUAUAACUCUAUAGUUUUGUGUGCGUCCCAAGCCGAAGGAUGUAAUGAGGGAUUUGGUAAUUUGACAUCUCCCCAAAAGGGCAGAAGUUGUACAAUUUGUGAAAAAACAAAAAAUCACCUAGAGAGGUAUGGUGUGAUAGCUUCCUUGUAUGCUCUUUUUUCUUGGUUCUUGUUUGUAAUCUCCUAUUUCUAUAUGAAACUGUUGGUUCAUAAUCAACCCUUGGAAAAGUCAACAUCCUGAUCUACGAAUUUUAUAGCGAGGGUGUCAUUAAAUUCUUUUGAGACCCUUCCCCUAUAGAAGUGAAGUUAUUUCGUGUAAUUAUAAUUGUGUUUGCUAUUUAUCAGCUGACUGGAAUUUUCAGCCACGUCAGUCAACAUGUGACUGAGAAGUAGGUGAGACGACGCUAAGGCCGAGAUGGAGGUGACACUGCCUGUCGCGGUGUCUCCAAGAUGUAGAGCCAGGUCCUAGACGGAGGCAGGGACGACGCAAGUUGUCAUGGCAUCGUCGACGGAGGACAUGUAGGAUGCUGCGAGUUGUGGGGUUCGGGUGGAGGUGGGUUAGAGGAAUGACCGGCGACGGUGGCGGCGGCUCGGGCUGAUAAGGGCGGUGAGGCUGCAGUGUGGGCGUUCAUGUGUGAUGGCAUUGGGCAUGGAGGAAGAAAAAAGGUUACGGGCCUGUUGGAUGCAUAUCGAACAGUGGAGGGAAAACUGACCGAAGAGAAACCUUUUCGAGCCUGAAAUAGUCGUUCUCAAUUGUAACCUUUGAAACUUGGCACGGUAUUGAAGAACCAGAGUUGCAUGUGUGUUGUAUGACUAAGGCCUUUGUGGCAAUUUUAAGGCCUUUGUUUACUCUAUCUUGAAGACCUUUGUUCUACACGUCUUCGUAUGGAUUUUGAAGAAAUAGAGUUCCAUUGUAUGACAUGUGAAAAAGAAAAGGUGCACAUGAUGAGAUAGAAUCGCACUAUGUUUUUUUUAUCGUGGUCCUUAAACCUACAUCCAAGAUAUACAUAUCUAUUCCCUCCGUUCUAAAAUAGAUGACUCAACUUUGUACCAACUUUAGUACAAAGUUGGGUUAUCUAUUUUGAAACGGAGGGAGUAUGUGGUAAUUCAGAAAUUCAAUUCAGCUCCAAGGAGCACGUGCUCCCGGGCCCAAAAUAAUUUUUGAAAUGUCAAAUAAGUGAAGACAAGAAAUUUAUGUGUUCUUAGUCACAUCCAAAUGCUACCUGUAAAUUUUCAGGGCAAAAGGUUAAGCAAAUUGAACACCAAAUGUUACGCCUAUGUCACCCCAAAUUUGUUUUCCCCGUUUCGCAUGAAAAUUGUCAAGUAUGCUUGCGACACUAACACGAACAUCCAUAAAAAAAAUUCAGAAUUUUUUGAAAACAUUUACUAUUUUUUCACAUUACUGUUCAUCUAAGGGCACAUGCUCCCGGGAGCCAAAACGCCUCUCCCCACCAAACCUUCUCUUCUAUCUGUAAGUAGCUGCUACCUCCAUUUCAAAAUAUAAGAAAUAUAAGACAUUUUGGUAGGCUAGUUUAACCUACCAAAAUGAGGUAGUACUAGGUAGUAUAAUUAUUUGUGUAUCACUACAUUGUCCAAAUCAUCACAUUAUUAUUGCUAAGUCUCAAUCGACUGAGACAUAAGUCUCAGUCGAUGCUAUAUUCAUUCGAUCUUGCGUGAAGAUUUAUGCAAAAAAAAAAAGCUUUUUCUUGUUUCUUCUUAUAUUCUAUGUUACUUCUUAGUCACCUGAUAUCUAGCCACACCCACAUGAUUAUUGUUCUGAACACGUGUGUGGCGCACAAGCAACAUUUACUACUUCCUUCGUUCUAUGAUGUAAGCCUUUUUUUUAAAAAAUGUCUUACAUUAUUACAUCAUGGAACAGAGAAGUAGUUCCGUAGUUCUGUACUAGCUUACCCCUGUGCGGCGGCACGCCGCGCCCGUCGAUACGGUGCGGUUAUAUGGAUUAUGUUUCUUCUAUGUAAUAAGUGUUGUUAUUUUAGGAUGCCAGAUGAUCACAUGAAAAACUAUGGAUGUAGGGAAAAAAAGAUGGAAGGGUGAUGCAUGUGAACAAAGAGGGGAAUAUACGAUGACACAUCUCUUGUAGGGAUGAUUUAUUUUGCCGAACGUGGUGCGAGUCAUUGCCAGAUUAGAUCAUCUGAUGUAGCCUCCCAUUGGAUUAGCUCCUAUGAUAAAGUAGUAAAGAGACGCAAAUAGUCAGACGUAUGUAGUUAAUAAUUUUUUCCUUCUUUCAUACAUUUUUUUACUAUCACCAAGAAAUGACCGAGGCCAAUCUCGUGCACCAUCGCCGACUACUCCAGGGAAGCGAUCGUGUCCAGCGACGCCAGGGACACGUCGCCGGCGGUCACCCAUGCCUUUGAGGCGUCCAAGUGGAACCAGCUCGCUGGCGUGCCCGUCGACCGUCGAACACCUCGCUGUCCCGUGCUGGACGUCGACAAUCUCCACAUGGUAGCGACAAUGAUGCAGUUUCUCGCUCGGCGGAGUAGCAGCGACGGAGGCUGGAUGCAGCUCCUCCCCAGCAAGCCCGGAGGUGCAGCGUGGGGAGAGCCCGCGGGAAGCCACUCUGAACCUUGGAGCGCGGCUCCACAACUCGCGAUGUCCGAGCUUGCUCCGUACUGCACGUCGAAGAAAGGAGGGGCCUAGGAGGGAGGGGCAUGCCCGACGAGGCGGUAAACGAAGCUCCUUUCCAUCCCACACGAGAGAAUCGGAGAGAGGCUCGAUGUUUUGCGCUGAUGCUAUUUCUCGGUGGUACUUCGGUCGAGAUGCGAAAGCGAGUGAUGACCACAGAGAAGAGGAAGGAGAUAUUUAUAGAUGCUUAUGGCGGUGGACGAUUCAACCGGAAUCUUCCGGAAAACACCUCGAUCAUCAUGGGCGGUAAACCGUAGAGGCAUCCAGAAGAAGAAGAGAUAAGGAAGGAGAAGUAAGCAGUGAGGCAGAUAAGAAAGCAACGAAAGCGGUGGAUUGGAUGGGAUGCAUGUAGCGCACAUGCGAGGGAGACAGAAGGAAUGUCCCGUAUCUAGCCUAGAAUCGCGCCCGAGCGGUGCGGUGGCUGUCUUGGCCAUAUCCCUCUGUCGUCUUGUAAUUGGUUGUAGUUGCCCAUCCCGCUGCCUGCUCAUGUGCCUUGUAACUGGACGUAGUUACCCAUCCCCCGAUCACCGCUUCGUCAGACUGCUAUAGGUCGGCCGCAUAUCCAAGCAAUGUGUUCCGAUUGGUCUGCAUGCAUGCGGUGACUAAUUUGCCAACGUUCCUUUGCUAAGCAUCGAUUUGCUUGUUUCUUAUCUGUUCCCGACGACGAAAGCAAAACUAAAAACCAACACGCCACAUGGCCGACUUAAUUACAACAUAAACGGCUAGAAGCAAACGUCAGUAAAGCAAGCACGUUCAAAAAAUUUAGCCGAUGCAUAUACGCCCACACAUGCAUUUGUACACAGCCACAUACCCAAAAAAAAUGCACGUGUCAACAGCCCAAACGCCAAUAGGUUGCUUUCAAGAUCAAACAAUUAUCUGAACCAAAAUCGCUAAAGACACCCAAAUGCACACGGAAAAUGCGAACCAGUUAACAAAAUUUUCAUCGAAGGCCAACGGCCAUCGCGUGAUUCUACAAGGUAAUCCACCAAAAUAAUACACGUGUUGCCAUCCAGCUGAUCAAGAAGUCACUUUCACAUAAGUGGGUAAAAAACCUGGAGGCAAAAACUUUUCGAGAUAUAGUGGUUUUGGUAUAAAAGCCUUUGCCCCUAAAAAAAUAUAUGUAUGCACUUUUUUCACAACGAAAAUCUCUCUAUGCGUAUCCUAGUCCUAGAAAAAGACAUCUCUCUGCUGCACCGAAUGACAUGUGGGCCCAAGGCUACUGCACAACCAAUUCUGAAGGUCGAACCUCUAGGGACGUGUUUGGUUGCCCGCAUGAGGCCCAGCCUGGCCCGGGCGGGAAGAAUUUGGCCCGUUUGGUUUUCUGCAUUCACUGUGCGGCCCGCAUCGCACGAAGCUUAAAGCACGUCCAGGCCAGGCCCAGGGGCAACGCACGAAUCGGCAGUAGCUCGCGAGCCUGGCCAGGACGAGGCAGGGGAGGGCGACGCGCUUCUCCCCUCGUGCGAGCAGGGGAGAUGGCGCGAGCUCGCCCGCGUCGCCGAAAAAUCGGCGGGAGGAUUUCGGCUCACCUCCCGCCGCUCCACCCCCUAUUUAGCCCCUCCCUCACCGCCCCAACUCCCGCCGCCAUUCUUCCUCCGUUCGCGCUUUCCCGCCGACGCGCAUCGGCACCGACGAGCAGGUAAGCGGCGCAUCUUCAUCGGCCGGCUGUCCACGGCGUCGGAGCUCCUUCGCCGGCCGACGUUCAUCUUCCACCACCGUCCCCCCUCGUCCUCAAGCUGCAGCCAUGGCCUCUGUGAAUUCAAUCCCCCUUUCUCUCUGUUCCUUCUAGCUAGAUCUGAGCUGCAGCUAGGGUUUGAUCUAGAUGCAUGGUUGAUUAGUGGUCUGAUCUGUGAGCUGAUAUGGUUGGUUGCUAUGAUGCGGUUACAAUUUGUGGUAGGGCUAGAUGUUCAAGCAUGUGGUAGGCUAGAUUAGUAGUAGAGUUUGAAGUUGAACCUUGUGCUUGUGUUGAAUCAUGCUCAGAUCUGUGAUUUGUAGCUAUUGGUGGUCCAUUUGUAGCAUGCUGUUUGUUUUAGAUGUAUGUUCCUGCUCAUAGAUUGUCUAGUAUGCUUAGUAUGAUAGUGAUGAAGCAUGUGCUUGCUAUGAUAGUGAUGAACCAUGUACAUGUAUGCUCCUGCUUUCAUGGAUUGUCCGGUAUGUUGUGUGCUAUGCUCACUGUUAAUGUGUGCUACGAUUGUAGGACAUGACCACGCAGACGCAAGAUCUUAGUCAGGUCCUUGUCGUGUCCGACAGCCAGUUUGCUCCAUCGUUUGUCGAGGACUCGCAGCCUAUGUCCGAGAUGGCACCUGAUUCAGAGGUGUUCGAGUCUGAUUCCCUCUAUGUGCCAGUAGUGCUCGUUGAGCCAACUACUGUUGCUGCUGCUGCUGCUGCUGCCGCUGCACUCAAGCUAGCAGCAGCAAAGGCAAAGAAGGAUAGUAGGUCGAACAACAUGAAGUGGCAGCCGUUCAUGUCCACGUUCGUGCUGAACAAGAUGUGUGAGCUCAUCUCUAGUGGAGUUAGGACUGACAAGGGCUUCAAGGAGGUGCACUUGAACACCGUUGCGAAGCAGGUGUUCGAGUUCUGUGGGCAAGAGGUGUCUGCCACCCAGGUGUACAACCACCUGAGGAAGUGGAGAAGUCGAUGGAUCCAAGUGUCCAAGCUGAGAGACCUUAGCGGUGCCUCAUGGGAUGAGAACACUUGCUCCAUAGUUCUGGAGGCAGAGCACUACGCCGGCCAUGUCGCGGUUAGCUCACAACCCUCUUCAUUUUCAUACUGUCCACCAUUACCUACUCCUAAUCGCAACUAACAACACUUGUGUUUCAUUCUUAGGACCACCCAAGGGACGCUGAGUUCCUCAACACACUCAUCCAGAACUACAACCAGAUGCAGCACAUCUUCUCCUUCAGGGCUGGCAACUGGGAAGCAUGCCAUGGGCUCGGGGGAGCCUCUUGGUUCUCCCAUGCCUAACUUCCCUGGGACCCCGGACGUCGAGAUCCUUGAUGGCCCUGACAAGCCCCCUGCGAAGCCCUUCGACAAGCCAUUUGACCCCGUUGAUAGGAAGAGGAAGAGAGGAGGCCUGAUGGAGGAGGAGAUCAAUGUCUUCUGCAGCAUGACUGGGGCGGUGAAGGAGGUGGCAACAGCCACCAGGGAGUGCAAGCCCCUCGACGUCCACCCUGACCUGUAUGCCGCUGUCAUGACCCAGGGUGGCUUCAGCGACGAGGCUCUCAUGGCAGCUCUCAGCCACCUGCUUGACAACAAGGCCCAGGGUGUUGGGUACGUUGCCAUGGCCGACGCUCACAGGGUGCUGUGGCUCAGGAGCUGGCUGGGCAAGCACUACUACUAGAGUAGUGCUGCCUGUGAGCGUGCAUGAUCCCCGACGGCGAUGGUGGUGGCGACGACGACGACGGUGACGGUGAUGAUGACGACGUACAUUUUGUGUAGCUAGGGCUCAAAAACUAUUUGAUGGUCUGUAUAUUUUGGUGAGGUGGUAUAUACUAACCCCUCACGGUGACGGUGAACUUGCGGUGGUAGGACGACACCCUCUUUUGGAUGUGGUGGUAGGUUAACACCAAGGUGGUGCUAGGAAGAACUUGCUAUGCCGUAUGAUCAUGCAUGCAUGCUUUACUUCUCUUCUGCUCCAUUGUUGUUUGUGUGCUACUUUGCUUGCUACUUGUGCUCCAUUGAUUUGCUGCUUCAACUCUUGCUGUUGUGCAUUGCUAGGGCAAGUGGUAUGCCGUGUUCAUUGGUGAGAUUCCAGGGGUUUAUAGUUCAUGGGAAGAAGCCAAUGCACAAGUGCCAUCGUAUAGCAACAGCAAUUAUAGAGGGUUCAAGACUAAGCAGGCAGCAGAACAAGCUUACUCCGCCUGGGUGCGAAAGGACGGAGGCAGCAGUGUCGACAGUGCCAAGGUUGGAGUUGUCAAAGUGGAAGCUGCUAAAGUGGAUCGUCAGUUCGGCCUGAAGCUGAAGAACUUCAUCAUCUUCGCCCAGUUCGUCACCAUUACUGUGUUGUGGCGUUGGUGUGCUAGGUAUGGGUAAGCUCACCAACUAGGAUACAAGGUAAGCACAACAUAUACGCCGUAUGCAACCAAACGCCAUGUUCAUGUGCCGCUAGGGCCAAUGCAGCCAACCAGACAAAGUGCACUUGCGUAUUACCUAAUGCAGGGACUAGGAUGCACGCAACCAAUCAAAUUGUAUAUGGCGUAUUAGGACCUGUUUUUUCUUAACCAGAUUGGAUUGAGAAGGGCAUGCAACACGACUGCUAUUCCAAACUGGAACCAAACACGCCUUAGAACUUUCUCCAUCGGUGCCCGAAAGACUCCCCACUGCUUCGCACUCGUUCCACCACCUUUCAGAAGUUUCCAUCACCUUCCAGACUCCCCGCCCUCCCUCCUCCUCGCCAUCGCAUCCCCACCAAAGCAUUCCACAAAAUUCAACAAGCAAUCCAACCCGAGGAGAUCGAUCGAACGAGAAUGGCGGGCAUAGUGUUCGGCUUGGAGAACCCGAUGAUGACCGCCCUGCAGCACCUGCUGGACAUCCCGGACGGCGAGGCCGGCAACACCGCCGGCGGCGAGAAGCAGGGCCCGACGCGCGCCUACGUCCGGGACGCGCGCGCCAUGGCGGCCACCCCCGCCGACGUGAAGGAGCUGCCGGGCGCGUACGCGUUCGUGGUGGACAUGCCG